This 377536-nucleotide long non-coding RNA is filed under the name Eucalyptus grandis. Its description in RNAcentral is "long non-coding RNA (EGRA_LNC004223)". The record is from RNAcentral. Lineage: Eukaryota; Viridiplantae; Streptophyta; Magnoliopsida; Myrtales; Myrtaceae.
GCCCUAAUACAUCUUCGAUCGAUCGAUCGACUGGUGAGGUCUUCGGGGAGCUUCUGUGAACGUUUUUCACUACUAAUCGUUACGCCGCUGCUUCUGUUCUUCAGUUUGAUAUCUAUUUUGCUUUUUUAAGCUAGUUUUCGUUGAUGUCGCGACUGUUUCUUGCUGAUUAGAUCGUCUUUGACCUGGGGCCGGAUGGUUUCUAGCUCGGGUAGCAAGAAAAUGUUGGAGAUCUCUCGUGGUGAUCGAGAUAGAUAGUAGUGUAAGAAGAUGAGAUGAAGAUUUAAGAAAUGUUGUGCCGUAGGUGUGCUCGAGCCGUACUUGCUGACGGGUGUCCGUGGAAUUACUUCUGUUGGACGUGCUUGUUUGUCUUAAUGGCGGUGCUUUCUUUGAACUGGAGAUUAUUUUGUGCUUGAGUCAGAAAUUGGGAAUGCGAGCAAUUUGAGCAUGGACCCAUCUUCUCCAAUUGGAAAGAGAGAUGUGCUUCAUUCCCUUUUAUCCAUGUUAAUAUGCAUGCGAUUGUUCAAAACAAAGUUGAACACAAUCUUUUGUUAAAUUUAUAGGAUCUUUACGAUCCUUGAUGACCUCACGAAAUUUCGUAAUUGUAUACUUUUUUCUCGAGUUUUUAAGUUCUUAUGUGGCAUGUGUGAGAUUUGAUUCCAUGUUCAUUGAUAUGUAGUCCCUUAUUGAUUGAUGGGAGAACUUGCUGGCGAUAAACAUGUCGAGUGCAUAUUGUCUGAUGAAAAGAUAGGGAUGAAAUUUUAACAAUUCUCUUCUUGUUCUCUUGUCCACUUCCUGCCACUUACUGAAAAUGACUCGGUUGAUCUGGAUCUACCAUUCAGCAUUUUGGAGUUUUACCGAGUUGAGCUUUUGGGUUGAUAUUGCACUUAGAAAAAGGAUAGUUUUGAGUAGUGGUUUUGGAGCGCUAGAGAUUGAAUGGAGCAUAUUGGGGAUUGACCAUUCUAGAUCUUCUUGGAAAACUUGGCAGUGUGGAUUCAAAUGAAGUUGUUUCUUGGAUCCCGCAAUGCCAGCACGGGUCUCGUUUGUUUAUUUGUCUCUCAACUUCUUUUUUGCGAUUACCCACGAAAAAUGUGCAGCUAACAGAACCUCCACUCCACAUUCAAUCAAAUAUUUCUUAUAUGAUGGUAUGAUUAAGAUUUUAGCUUGGGAUUAACAAUUCCAUCUGUCACAAUAAUGACUGCGCCUUAGAAGUGAUUAGUGUUGCUUUAUUUAUUUUUGAAAGUUCACUCUAAAGAACAAAAUGUGAAUUUCACUUACGGUUGCUUGUGCUGGUGGAUUUGGUGGAGACAUUAUAGACAUCUUCUGUGUGACAGAUUGUAUCCUUUGGAAUAAAGGUUCCUAGAUUUGCAAACUCUUACCAUCGAUGCAAGUUCCUUCGUGUUGUUUUAUGUUUUUAAGUUUUCAACAUCACGAGUGGCAAACUUACCUUAGGCUAGCCAGACAUUGAUGAGGGGGGCUCUCUAUAUGGAGAUUGAAGUUGCUACUGUCGGAUAAUCCCUGGUGUCAAAUGUUCUACAUUGCUGUGCCUAAACCAUGAUUCAGGCAUCAGAGCAGUGCGAAACGAAGAUGGAUAUUUCUCUGGGGAUACAUGGGGAGAAGUUUAUACUCGGUGUCUUGUCCUCAUCUUGGAUCAAUUAUAAUUUUUGUGCUUCUUGAGGAUGUUUCUUAAAUUAUUGACAUCCCUUCAAUCCUUUUUUUUCCCUUCGAAGGUUCUCUUAUUGUGCUAUAUGCUGUUUUUCGAUACUAAAACGGUCGGAUUCGAUAAAUGUGGAGAAUGCUGUCAGAUAUAUAGUGAGUUGCAAAACUCUGGAUGGCAGGUUUGGUUGCAAUCCCGGUGCAGGGUCUCACCUGAAAUGAUAUCAUCGCAAACAGCCUUUGCUCUCUUUACUAAUCUAGCUGGUAGUAGUUAACAGUUGGAGAAAACCAUCUGCUCUAUCUAUAUCUACAAGGAACUAUUUGUCACCAAAAAGCCAAUUAAAAGAUUCCAGAUCCCGCCGUACCAUCACAAAAGGUAAAGAAACUUCAGAGUUGCCUAAAAUAUUAUUAAGCUACGAUCUUCACAAGACAAUGAUCUCCUUUGGAUCGGUAAGACUAUAGUCUCAUAUAAAUUGAAUACAGUAUAAUCUUGGCGAUAUAUUUUGAGAAUGUAAACUCGACCUCAAGGCAUACUUAUUGAAUUUCAUAAAUCAUCAGUUUUGAAUAAUUUUUCUUUCCAAUUCCCAGGAUCCUACAAUGUGCAGUUCUAGAAGUCUAUACUCGGGGACACAGCAGGUCCACAAUUGAUUGCAAGUAUUCCAAUCUGAAAAACCUCCGGACUUAGUAAAGUAGUAAUCAGGAGAUUAACAGAACCGCUUAAAUCCUAGAAUGCUGUGCUAAUUGAGCAAGUAAGCACACUUCAAACGCGUAAAACCGGCAAUGAGCAACAACUGAAAACUGCUUUCUCAUAAGCAGCCACGAAGGGCCUCAGUGAAUUGCAGUUCUUUACUAGCUACGUAAUAACGAAAGUUUCUCCAGUCCACUGUCCUACCCUUGAAUAAUAUAGAGCAAAUCUAGCAACCCAACCAAAUCUAGCAACUAUGUCAUAACCUCAUGCUGAGCUCUUUCGCUGGUUCGUAAUUUCUGAUUGGUGCAUAGUAAGUCAUGUAUUUGCUUAAUUACAUGGUGGUCUUUUAGUUAUGCUCCAAUGAACACAUGCAAAAGAUAAAACCGAGUCGCCACGGUUUUAAGACAUUCCUUAGGACUCAUCUUAGACGUGCCAAAGUAGGAAGGAAUUAAUGAUUUCCAGUGGAGAAUUAGGCAUAAAACAACGAAGCACGAAGCAAGUAAAUUAAGAAGCACGAGAGCCUGACCAAGCACCUUGCCACGAAGUGGCUCACUUUUCUCUCUUCUUUCAAUUCAAAUACAAAAAAUAUUUGCAAAAGGAAGAACUGGAACGUGGGAGUAAUCCUGAAGCGACAAGAUUUGGUGUUCCUGCUUCAAUAGAUGACAAAACCGUGUGUAUUUUGUCUAGCCAAUUGUCUAGUCAGCCACGUAGUGAAUUUGACCUGUGGAAUCCCCAACCAUAUGUAGCAGACCUCAAAUUACCAAUGGAAACCACAACUGCCCAAAAUAUGGGGAAAAAAAAGGAUAACCAUUUUAAUUCUGCAUGAUGAACCAAGAAGAGAGCACUGUUUGCUUCAUUUUCAACCAUCAAGAGCUCCUCACAGGUAAUGAACAGAUACUGGAAUAUCAUUAAAGCGACGAUUAUCCAAACCUUAGAAUAUAAUUAUAAAUAAACUCUUCAAGAGAAGAUGCACAACAUCCUCUGCACAUGAUUACACUCAAUCAAGCAGUCCACAAAAGCAUGGCAACAUAACUAGACUAGGCAUUCAAAUAGUCAAACAAAUGCAAGAAAGCAGACCCUUAAACAACUAUUACCAUAUGAAGCUCGAGCUCAUGCUUAACUACGCAAAGAUAAAUCACACGAUUCCAUUCAACUCGACACCAACUGCCACCCUGACCACCAAAAAAAAAAAAAAAAAACACACACACACACACACCUCCCAACUGCCACACCACUCUUACGUAAUCUUCGGCUAUUAGCUAGUGAUCCAGAGCUUGAGUUCAGGCCGAUGACUCCCGCCACUGAUGGAGUUAAUGAAUGCUUUAAUUCCUCCAGCCGAGCAGCAUUCAGUUUAACAAAUCCUCGGAAGAUAAUUUUUAUUAACAAAUUCAGUUUAACUAAUUGUUAUUCAAAUUCAAAUUCGAGACAAUAAUUUAACACUUUUCUUCUCCUUAUUUUCCUGAUUCUGCAGAAAGAAAUAAUAAAGCGAGUUUGAGGUCUCUUGCGCCUAAAUUUCUCUUAAGAAAAGCCCCUUCGUUAUGGAUGGUGAGGGAUGUAAGAUACCCAACCUCGCCACCGAAGUGACGCACACAACAUAUGGAGAUUCCCAGUAAGAUGGGGAAUUUUAAUAAGAUUUUUCUUGGUUGCGCGUUUUCGAAUGAGUUCAUUGUCUCUCUUCAGUAGACUAAAGCAGAAAUAGAAAGCAAGCAAAGCAUAAUAAAAAACGUAUGAUCUAUGAAUAGAAAGAAGGCGCACCGUUUUCUACAGAGAAUCCCCUGUGAAAGGAAGUGAAGAAUGGACGAAAGAGUUCUGGAAUUUCUUGUCUAUUUCGUAUAUGUUCUGAUGUACAAUUCUCUUGUAAUUAUAGUACAGAGAUGAAGUAAUACAAAGCAAACAAAUAUUUAUGAAAUCGUAUCUAAUCUCAAUCUAAGAUCCUAACUAAAUUGUGUACAAUUAAGAUCAAUUGAGAUUCCGAGCAUAUCUCCUAGAAUUGGAUUAGAGGAUAUCUUCCAACACUCCCCCUCAAGCUGGUGGCUGAUAGAUAUCCAAGACGCCUAGCUUGCUUAAUAGAUAUGCAUGUUAUCUUUGACACAAGGGCUUGGUGAAGAUAUCAGCUGGUUGCUCUGCCGUUCCAAUUCCUCUAGUCUCAAUUAUCCCUUCUUGAAUUUUUUCUCGAGUGAAGUGACAGUCCACUUCUAUAUGCUUCGUUCUUUCAUGAACUAUGGGAUUCGCUGCAAGUUUGAGUGCCGCAUCGUUGUCACAAAACAACCUAGUCGGAUUCUUCAAUUUUAUUCCAAGAUCCCCAAGUAGUCCUCGUAUCCAUACUAUUUCACAGGUAGUUUUUGCCAUAGCCCGAUAUUCUGCUUCGGCUGAAGACAAUGAUACGGUUGCUUGUUUCUUGGUUUUCCACGAAAGAAGAGAAUCUCCAAGUUUAAUGCAAAAACCUGUAAUGGAUCGUCGACUCAUGGGACGAGUUGCAUAAUCUGCAUCACAAUAUGCCGACAUUUUCAUGUUGCAUUCCCUGGAUAAAAGAAUCCCUAGUCCAGGGCACUUCUUCAAGUACUUCACGACUUUUAAGGCAGCAUUCAAGUGAGAUAACUUGGGACUGUGCAUGAAUUGGCUGAGAAAUUGUACUGCAUAUGAUAUAUUAGGUCUGGUCAUAGUUAAAUAUAUGAGCUUCCCAACAAGUUUCUAAUAACUUGAAGGAUCAUUGAGGAUAGGAUCAUGAUUCUCAGAUGUCCUAGCAUCAUAAUCCUUGGUGGUCAAUUUUAUGUUCUGCUCAAUUGGAAUAACUGAUGGUUUACAUCCGGACAGACCUACCUCUAAUAUAAUCUCCAGCACAAACUUCCGUUGACUAAGAAAAAUCCCACGAUCAGAUCGAGCAAUCUCGAUUCCAAGAAAGUAUUUGGGUGCUCCCAAAUCUUUAAUGUGAAAAGUAAGAUGCAAAUGCUUCUUGAAUCUCUCUAUUGCAGUCUUAUUAUUUCCCAUGAUGAGAAUAGCGUCAACAUAUAUCAUUAGAUAAAUAGAUGACGUACCUUGAGUCCAUGUGAAUAAAGCGUAAUCAUAUCUGGACUGUUUGAAACCGGCAGAAAUAAGGGCAUCAGCAAAUUUGGCAUACCAUUGCCUGGAGGCUUGCUUGAGACCAUAAAGAGAUUUACGGAGACGACAUACUCUAUUCUCCCCCUGUCUCUGUAAUCCUUGAGGAAUAUCCAUGUAGAUUUCCUCAUCUAAGUCUCCAUGCAGAAAAGCAUUAUGUACGUCCAUUUGGUGUAAAGACCAAUCAUUAAUGGCUGCAAUAGAUAAGAAGGAUCUUACGGUUACAUCUUUGGCAAUGGGAGAAAAGGUUUCAUGGUAGUCGAAGCCUUCUCGUUGAGUAAAUCCUUUAGCCACCAACCUAGCUUUGUAACGCUCAAUAGACCCAUCUACACGGUAUUUAAUCUUGUAUACCCAUUUGCAUCCAAUAGGUUUGAUUUGGUGGUAGAGGAACCAGAUCCCAUGUCUUAUUUGCAGUUAGUGCUUGCAAUUCAGCCCCCAUAGCUUCCUGCCAUCUUGGAGCUUUAGCUGCUUCUUCAUAAGUGGAGGGCUCGAUGUUUUCUGAUAUUCGACUCACACAACAUCUAUGUUCCGGGGAAAGUCUAUGGAACGAAACAUAAGAUGAUAUUGGGUAGUUAAUACCUGGUGAGUUGAGCGAUGCACAAACAUAGUCUGUUGUCCAAGCCUGCGGUCAUGUAGAACGACCAGAACGUCGAGGAAGAGUCUCUGGAACUAGAGUUGAAGAUUCUUCCGUAUUGCCAAUUUCAUCAGAAGAUCCUUCCGCCAUUAAAGAAGUUGCUGGAUCAUCAGGAGCAUCAUUUUCGACAAUUGCUGGUUCGGAAUUUUCAGAAGUGUUUGGAUUCAUCAUAAGCGUUCCUGGAGUUCCUGUCACGAAAUAUUUUGUAGCUGAAACAUCCUCCACAGAUAUUGGCUUACCAGAAAUAUUUGAAGUCUCUGUUGAGGAAUCCUUUUCUUGGAAGGGAAAAAUGUCUUCAUGAAAGAUAACAUCUCUGCUGAUGAAGAAGUCCAAUGUUGUUUGAUCUAGGACUCGAUACCCCUUUUGCAAAUUCGGAUAGCCCAUGAAGACGCAAUGUCGAGCACGAGGCCCCAUUUUGCCUCGAGGGCCCAAAACAAUAGCGAAGCACUGGCAUCUGGAUACCCUUAAAUGGCCCAAUUCUGGUUUCUUCUGGAAAAGUAACUCAAACGGGGUUUUUCCAUUGAGUAUUCGAGUUGGCAUAUGGUUGAUGAGAUAUGCUGCAGUAAUGAUACAUUCACCCCAAUAAUUAUAUGGAAUUGACGCCUGAAAUUUUAAUGCACGUGCAACCUCCAAUAGGUGACGAUGCUUGCGCUCUACUACUCCAUUCUGUUGUGGUGUAUAGACACAAGAACUUUCAUGGAGAAUCCCAUGAGAUGACAGAAGAGAGUUGCAGUCAUUGUUGAAGAACUCCUCUCCAUUGUCUGUCCUAACCCGUUGGAUAGAUCUUCCAAACUGGUUCUUGGAUAGAGCAAUAAAUGUCUUCAAAUGUGAGAAAACUUGUCCCUUUGACUGCAUCAGAAACACCCAGGUGGCGUGAGAAUAAUCGUCCACAAUUGUCAAGAAAUAGCGUGAUCCAUCAUGAUGUUGGGUAUGAUAAGGACCCCAAACAUCCAUGUGGAUUAAAGAAAAAAUGUGCGUUGCACGAUUUUUACUUAGGACAAAAGGAAUGCGUGAUUGCUUUGCAAGGGGACAUAUGUGACACUUAGAAUAAGGAAAUGAAGCACUAUGACCCAAUCGUGAAUGUGAAAGGUAGUCUUUAUCAUUGGUAGUCGUGUUACACAAUGAUAUUUUAUUUGAAGGAAAUAAAGAUAAAUCAAAAUUACUUGUAGAAUUUUUCCACAGAAACAAUCCUUCAGAAAGACUACCCAAGCCCAUCACUCUGCCAGUCGAAAGGGCUUGAAAGGAGCAGGUGUCAGAAUCAAACAAUACACGACAGGAAUUUUCUCUACAGACUUUGGACACAGAAAUAAGAUUGAAUUGAAAUUCUGGAAGAUAAAGGACAUUUUUGAGUAUGAUCUCUGGGCUAAGUUUGACUAACCCAGUGAUUUUGACAUGAGUAACAUUCCCAUUUGGUAAUUGAACAGUUGUAGGAAAUUCUAGGUUCUCAUGUAAAUCGGAAAAUAAUGCUCUUUCACAGGCGAUGUGAUCACUUGCCCCAGAAUCAAUUAUCCAGGAUUUCCUGGAAAUAUUAUUAAUCAGGCAGCGGGAAAUACCUGAAAAAUUUCCUCCCUUGCUUGAGAUGUCCAAUUUCUGUAUGGCCUGCAUCAAUUGUUGAUAUUGAUCAUUUGUAAUGGGUCGACAAUAUUAGAACCACCAACCUGGUAGGCCGCAGAAAUCCUUUUUCCUUUAUCUCCGGGUUUACCGUGUAAUUUCCAGCAAGUUUCCACUGUAUGAUGUGGCCUUCUGCAAAAAUCACAAUAUAAUUUACCCCUUUUUUGAUUAAAAUUCCUUGCGGUUGCCGAAAAAAUUCCUCCGCCGUCAGAUCCAGACGAAAAAGGACCACCGUCGGAUGUCUUGCCACUUGCUCCAUCUCCACUGUUGGAUCCGAUCGAAUAUAUGGGUCCUUUUGGACCGUCCGAUCUGUGGGUCAAAUGAUCUAAGCCGUCCAGCGCUCCCUUUUUAAGGGAAUAGGGAUCCUCAGAUCCGCCCGAACGAAACCCUAGCCCGAGCUCUCCUCCUCCAUGCGCCCCUUUUUCGAGCGAUGGAUUUAGGGUUUUCGAUCCCCAAUUUCUUCGCUCGCUGCGACUAGCCAGGGCAAAAACCUCGCCUCCCUUUGCCGAUUCUGAAGAAGCAAGCCUCUGGCUUUCUUCUUGGACGGCUAAUUGGUAGAUCCGGCCAAGAGGAGGCACUGGUUCCAUGGCCAAGAUCUGCGAGCGAAAUGUCAGGUAAGAAUCAUUCAAGAUUAAAAGGAAUCGGGUCGCCUUUUCCCUUUCUUUGAUCGAUCGGUAUUGUGCGAGUGUCUCCUCUGGACCCACGAGUUUCUCCUCUGCUGCUUCGAGAUCGUUCCACAGGGAUGAUAGUUUGUUGUAACAGACCAUGAUUGUCAUGUUUCCUUGUUUUAAUUCACUGAGCUCCUGCAAAAGUGAAAAAAUUCGUGCCCGAUCUAACUUGCCAUACAUCUGUUUGAUGUUUUACCACAUGGUUUUCGAGUCCUCUAUUGGUGGGAGACCAGCCGCGACCUCUGGGGAGAUGCAGUUGCCAAGCCAUGUCCUCACGAGUUGAUUGCACUUCCUCCAGAAUCGGGCUAGUCGCUCAUCGGCAGGAAUCGGAACCGCCCCGUUGAGGAAUCCAUCCUUGUCCUUCGUCACAAGGGCGCGCCGGAAGUCUCGGGACCAUCUGGCGUAAUUCUCUGGGCCGGUUAGCCGAAGGUUGAUCAACUUCAGCUCGGGGCCAUCGGACGUUGAGAUGUGCAGAGGAUCACCAGGCUCCGGUCGCCUAGUGACGGCAGAGACGGGGAAUGGCAUGAAUCCGGGCACAAGGUUCGGGUAAGAAUUUGUCCCUUGGCCCGAUUCGUUUGUCCCGAAUUGAUACCCUGCAUUUGAAAGCCCCGGAUAGGGAUUCGUUCCUAUACCGGGUUCUCCAGAUCCGCUUACCUGCUCCAAUCCUGGGGUCGAGCUUGCCCCGUUUACGGCUGGUGAGCUUGCCUCGUAGGUUCCCUGGUGUCCUACAUAAACGGGCGAUGAUGUAUUCGGGUUUGUCCCGACAUAAAAUGGGUAAGGUACCCACUGGAAUGGAUGACCCGCAAAGAGUUGCCCCAGACUGAACUGAGCCUGAGUAGGUCCCCAUUGAACUGGGUGAGUCUGGAUUGUUUGUUGUUGUGUUGUUGCAGGUACAUUUUGAAUCGGCACUGGUGAUGAGGCUUCUGCGGUGGUUUGUUCAUUAGCCAUUGGGAUGAAGAAAACCAGUAGCUCUUGUAUUCUUCUUCGAGGGUGAUUCCUAUACCAAGAUGGCAGAUCUGUUAUGUGACUCAGAUCUCCUUUGGUGGCAAUCUGAAGCGGAAGCAAAGGAUGGACAGAAGCCGAAGCUCUGAUACCAUGAAAGGAAGUGAAGAAUGGACGAAAGAGUUCUGGAAUUUCUUGUAUAUUUCGUAUAUGUUCUGAUGUACAAUUCUCUUGUAAUUAUAGUACAGAGAUGAAGUAAUACAAGGCAAACAAAUAUUUAUGAAAUCGUAUCUAAUCUCAAUCUAAGAUCCUAACUAAAUUGUGUACAAUUAAGAUCAAUUGAGAUUCCGAGCAUAUCUCCUAGAAUCGGAUUAGAGCAUAUCUUCCAACAACCUGUUCCAGUUUCAGAGUCCGCUGCUUCAAUUUCAAAGCUCCACGCUAGCUUUGCUCCAUUCAGAAUCUUCUCUCUGUAAGACUUCCAACGGUCAUAAGUAUACCUGUUGGGAGAAUUACGACAGUCGGGUAACUCCCCGCUACCUAUUAUGAUUAUCGAGCAAUGAUCUGGUAUUUUUGAUCUCGAUGGCUUAAAUAUCCUUCCCACUGAUCUACAGCUUUCAAUUCUCAACCGAUGCAAAAACUCUAAUUCGUCAAUGCCCUCAAAAACCAGCAGGCUUUUGCACCAGCCAAUGUUUAACUCCUUCAAGUUCUUCGAGUUUGACAAACUGCCUAAGCUUUUUAAUGAACAGCACUCUUUAACAGAAAAUUCUUCCAAUGAUUCGAAUGGAGAAACAAAUUGAAUAUCCUGUACCUCUGGGAACCCUGAGAGAUCAAAUUUUACAAGCAUCUUUUGGGAGCUUGGGAAAGGGAGCGCUCCCCUCCAAUGAUCAAUCAACUCGGGAGCUUGUAGUUCAUUGCACCCCGGCUCCUGCGGUUGACAAACCGAACUCUUGGAAGAUCUGCAGUCCUGAAUAUGUGAUCUUUCUGAUGAUUCUAAGACAUCGGCCGGACACCUUGUUUUCUGUCGAUUUUCCUAAACAUGUUGGAAGGAAUGGAGUCUUCUUUUCUGAUGGAGGAAGCCUCCCUAGAGUUUCGUAGAGCUCUAAAACUAUCAAAUUUGAAGAAAGUUGUUUGAAAGUUGGCAAGUCUAGUCCGUAUAGAAUAAGUUCUUUCAGCAAAGAAAGAGAACACAACUCUGUAGUUGGUGCGUGGACAUUUAUAAAGCAAACGUGCAGCUUCCUCAAUUUGGUUAUACUCCCAAUCCAUCCCAAGUCGCCGGUUUGGAAUUCAUUUGAUGGAUGUCUAUUUGUAUAGCCACUAGAUAGGAGCAGUUAAACCAGGUUAGUAAGGUAUGAGAGGUUAGGGAUAGUCUGCAGCGAGGUAGAUCUUAGCCGUACAAUGGUCAAACUUCUGGGGAGCUUCGGCAACUCUUGUAUGCUAUGGCAAGGAUCCAAAUCUAGUGUUUGGAGAAGUAACUUGCUCAUCGUACUAGGCAAUUUUUCAAUCGGUGUGGAUGUUUCAUUGACAGAUGACAAGCUUGGUAGUCUACCAAUGGAAUCCAGUAAUCUUGCAAUUCACGUCCCUGAUAGAUUUAGAUUCGUUAACAACUCUAAUUUCGAAAUUGAAUCGGGGAGUUCAAUCAAGUUAAGACAAAACAAAAGAGAGAGGUGCCGCAGAUUAUGUAACUCUCCAAUUUGUUCAGGCAAUUUUCUAAGUUCGUGAGUGCGCUGAAUGCUCAAGUAAGUUAGUGACCUUAGAUUCCCAAUAGAGCAGUCAAUUUCCAUCAAAUUUGAAUCAUUAAUAGCCAACUCCUCUAAAUUUGAGUACUCGGGAAAGGUUGGUAUCCUAUUCAUCGACACAUUAUGCUCAAUAGUGAGAACCUUCAAUUUCCUUGCCCCCUAAAAAAGCCAAUGAAUCAUCAAGACAUACAAUAAAUGAAUAUGGAUUUAGGCUACCAAUGAGAAAAUUAGAUUAGAAAUCCAUCAAAUUUUAUCCUUCAUUGAAUGAGAAAAUUAGACUAAGAGGAAAACUGGCAUACCUUGAUUAGACACUCGAACGCCUCUUCUGUGAUAUCCAUCCCAAAAAGAUUCACCACAACCGCGUUUUCUAGAUGCAACAAAGCGGUUGCCUCCAAACAUUUAUUAGGAUCACGAGCAAAACGUGUAUAACUGCAACGCAAAUAAAUCCAUUUCAACUCAGAAAGAGCCCAAAAAGUCACCUUGGCAGGUUUCCCCACUCAACCAAAGAAACCGUAUAUGUGGGAACCGCUUCAUUUGCUCCGAAGUGACAGUCAUACGAUCUAACAAACGGAGUGCUUGAACGCUUCUAUUGAUCUGCCAAUGACAUUGAAGAGGAGAAGCAAGAAUUUGUCAAUAUUCCACUAUUUUAUUUCAUAGAAGAGAAGAAAAACCGAAAUAGGAGAGUAUCUUCCAAAUCAAAAACAAGAAUCCUCAAUUAAGAAGUGGGCAUAAGCAAUUUUCUUUUCAAAUUUGGCCAUACUUUACCUCCGUUGAUCUUAAUUUGCAAAUGAUGUCAUUGGUAUCCCAUAACCUGGUAUUCUCUUCUUUAGCAAUUUUCCUUCCAAGGUCUCUCAUCUGAUCGUGUCUCAUCUGAUCGUGCAUCCAAAAUCUAUCAUUAGAUAGAACCUUUAUCAUGCACCUCUCAGUAAGGACAUCAAUGGUAUCCUCUGGGCAAAAUGCACAAUCUUGCCACAUGUAUAUUGGAUUAGUCUUAUUUUGACCGACAAAAAAGCAUGCAAUAUCAAGAAAUAUCUGCUUUUGAUUCAGAUAUAAGGCAUCAUAGCUAAUCCUUAGCUUUGGCAAGACAUCAUCAUGAGGUGUUUCCCUUAGCUUCUUUAGCCACUCUUCCCAUAUUGCUUUCUUUUUCUUAUAAAGGUAUGAGCCUAUUACUUCAAGAGCUAAAGGUAGUCCAUCUGCAGUACGGACAAUCCCUUUUGAAAGAUUGUAGUAACCAGCUUCAGGUUGAUAGUCAUUGAAGGCAUGUCUACUAAAAAGUCGAAGUGCGUCUUCAUCACUUAACCCCACCAUUUCAUAAUACCCCAACAUAUACUUAAAUUUCUUGUCAUUAAUAAUGCUCUUGUCCCUAGUGGUAACAAGUAUCCUGGUACCAUGAUACAAAGAAUUCAUUCCAAUUAGAUUUUCUAUUUGGGUGAACUCAUCAACAUCAUCCAAUACAAUUAGCAUCUUCUUGCUGCAAAUUGUUUCUCCAAUCCUCUGCAUCCCAUUAUAAGUACUGUAAAUUUUUCGAUCCACUUUUAAAUAAGAGAUAUCGGACAAUAAAUUUUCUUGUAGCUUGACCAAGCCUUCUUUUGUUUUCACUGUUUCCCUCACGUCACCAAGAAAGCUGCAAUUUUUCCCAAAGUGAUGACAUAGUUUGUUAAAGAUAACAUUGGCCAAUGUUGUUUUACCGAUACUGCCCAUCCCAUAGAUUACAAUGAGCCGCACAUCUUCAGAGUCGAUGUCUAGUAAUUUGUCUAUGGCUACUAUACAAUCCUCUAUUCCAGCUAAAUUUUUAGGUGCUUGUCUUUGUCUUGUCUGUAGCCUGCCUAGAACCUCAUCAACAACCGCCUUGAUAAGAUCCCCAUGGUUGCUACAAAGUUAAACAAUUUCAAUUGAGAAAAGGUGACAAAUUUGCAUGCUAACCAACCAUAUACCACUUAGCCAGCGGGAAUGCAAUCAAGUUUAGGAUAUAUAAAAAUUUAACGUUACCCCCAAAGCUUCAGGAACAUGCCAAAUUACUAACUUGAACAUCCAUUACAAGUUUAAGUUAAAGAAAUAGAGGAAGAGAAAUGCUUGAUCUUUAUAUCAAGUGGAACAAUCAAAAUUUCUGGCAAAAAAGGAUAGAAGAAUCAAAAUAUAGAUGUAGGAUGAAUUAUUGUAAUAGUAGAUUUACUUAAUUUUUUCAGCGUGGAAAAGAACCUCGCAAAGGCAACAAUACCUUAAUCAAGUUCGCUAGCAAACAAUAGGAAUCUUAUUACAUAUAAGGAUCAAAUUAGUAUAAAAAGAUGAAGCAAAGCCAAUCUUUUUAUACGGUGGAAAAUAGGUGAAAAAACAGAAUUAUAAUAACCCUAUUAUGUAAGAAAUUUUUUUUGGAAAUCUCGUGAUUUAAAAAAUAAAAUAAAAGAACUAUGGCCUGAUUGUACAAAAUAAUUGUUAAAAAAAUUGAAAUUUAAAAAAAAAAUUGAGUUUGAAACUUUCUGUUAAGGAAAUUAGAGUUGGAAUAUAAUUAAAGAAUUUUUAUAAGGACUAUGGCCGGAUUGUACAAAAUAAUUUUCACAGUCGUAGGUAGAUUGUCACCGUGAAUAAUCCUCCAGCUUGAAUCCCUUGGUGUCAUUGACUUCUUUGAGAGCUUGCCGCCACGUCUCCACAUCCUCAGAGCUGAACUUCUUCUUCUGAUCCUUAAUCUCUUCCGCCAAAUCUGAUAUGGCUUUGCUGUACAACGUGGUUUUCAACUUCACGUCAUCGGGUUUCACAUCAUAGGAGAUGGGCAAUAUAACCUUCCCAUUUUUGUUUGAUUUAGAGUUCUUCACCAUCUUCACAAGCUCACAUAGGCACCAUGACUUGAAGCAUACUUUUCGGAGAAGAUGGGUAUGUAUAGCUUGGAAUCAUCGUUCGCUCGCAAAAGGCUGUUGCUAAGUCUUUCACCCGGUCGAAGCUCUUCAUCAUCCAUGAAGACAUGAAUCCCGACAGCUACCAAGGCAUGGUAGAGGCAGUUGGUGAAUCCAUGAUGGGUAUUAGGCCCUCUAAAACUUAGGAACACCUGAUACUCACCUCCUGAUGUAUUGCUAGUACUCGUUCCGAUUUUUUAGCUCGCCAUAGGAGCUCACUUUGCAUUUAGUAGGGUCAAUCCUCUCUCUCUCUCUCUCUCUCUCUCUCUCUCUCUCUCUCUCUCUAAUAGACACUAUCGAAUCUAGGCAAGUUCGCACAAAGCCUUGCGGUUCUCAGAUGUGAAAAGCCUUUAUUACAUUCUCAAUGUGAAAAACUUUCCAGAUCAUCCUCACUUGGGAAUUUACAAAAGGAGAACUAGUGCGUUACAUCAGAAAAAGGAGAAAAGGCUAUUUGUUAUAGAGACGUUUGUAUUGGGUCACGCACGAGGUUUAAUCGAAAGUUAAACGCAUACAGGAAAGUUCAGUGCAACUUCCAAUUUAUAGUCAAUAAAGUUGGUGGGUCUACAAUUGACAAGCGGAGGACAAUUAUGGAUAUGUACCUUGUAACAUGCCCAAUUUCUUUCUAGUUUCUUCUUGUGCUUUUUCACUCUUUGCUUUUGAACUUUUGGAUUUAAAAGAAAAAAAAAAGAUUCUCAAACAUUUAUUAUUCUAUAGACAUAUCUAUAGUUGGACAUAUUUAAAAUCCCAAUCCAGUAUUGUAAAUUCACAAUUUAUCUAUAUAAAUGCAUGACAACAAAAUAUUCUUAAUGGGACUUUGCGUAAAUAAAAAAUCUCCUUCAUAUUACUAAUAAUUGGAUUUACUGCAUUCGGGGUAGAAAAUGCACCACCUGAGCACUACCCAAGCGUAUGCUUCCUACUCACUGUGAAAUAUUUGUUUGGAUCUCAUCACCUUAAAAGACUUAUCUUUUAUUUUAAUUAAUUUAAACCACUUAAUAUUAUCAUAGAAUAUGACUCUAUAUUAUACAGCAAAUGAUUGCUCAAAUCUUUGACUUUUAAUUAAAUGGACUACCUAAAGGCAAGGAAAUGCAAUGAUGCCACUCAUCAUGAUGUUGCUUCGAGCGUGGAAAAGGGAAAGAAACCAUGAUGGUCAUGACGAUAAGAGGCGACUUUGCUCAGCUGAAGAAAAGGAAAAAGACAAAGAAAAGUUACACUGAUGGUGUCUUUUUCAUGUUGGCCACUCGUUAUUUCUCUUCAUCUUCAUUUCCUUCCGCUGAAUUUCCUCUUUAAAUACGAAGAUGAAGAGCUAUUAAUGUAAAAGAGAGCUCUGAAGGCUGAACAGAGCACAUUUGAAAGUGCGCCGAGAGUUCCUCUUGAGAGAUUUGAUUAAGAGAGUUUCCUUCGUGAAAUUACGGCAAAUAUUCUUGCGUUGAAACUAGUUAAAUCUUAUAUUAAUAUUUAUGUCAUUCUUCAAUGAAGUUGAGAUGUCAUUUCGAAAGAUAUUAUGAAGGAUCAAAACCUAUUGGGUGCAAAUGAAUUUUUAGAAAAAAAGUAUCAUUUUAACAGUUCUAUUCAAACUUUUAAGGCUAGACUUGUAGCCAAGGGAUAUAGACAAAAAGAAUGAAUAGAUUAUUUUGAUAUGUAUGCUUUUGUUGCACGUAUAACUUCUAUUUGAGUUCUUUUUACUCUAACUUCUAUUUAUGAUCUUUGUGUUCAUCAAAUGAAUGUUAAGACUGCUUUCUUAAAUGGAGACUUAAAUAAGGAGAUUUACAUAGAAUAACUGGAGGGUUUCGUUCUUCAUGGAAAUGAAAAGAAAGUAUGUAAAAUUAAUUAAGUCUCUUUAUGUGCUUAAGCAAGCUCUUAAGCAGUGGCAUGAAAAGUUUAAUUCGGUUCUAUUAUCAAAUGGUUUCAUUAACAGUAGUACUGAUAAGUGUAUAUACUCUAAAUUCACUAAAGACUAUGGUAUGUUAGUGUGCUUGUAUGUUCAUGAUAUGCUUAUCUUUGAAACGAAUAUGACUGGAAUUAUUGAGACUAAGAAGUAUCUAACUUUCAUGUUUAAAAUGAAGGAUUUUGGUGAAAUAGAUACUAUCCUAGGUAUUAAAGUUAAGAAACAUAGCAAGGGUUGUUCUUUAAGUUAAUGUAGUUAUGUUGAAAAAUUAUUAAAUAAAUUUCAACAUCUCGGUUUCAAGGAAAUAAGUACUCCAUUUGAUUCCAGUAUUAAAUUAAAUUAUAAUACUGGUAGAGUGGUGGUAGAACUAGAAUAUACGAGUGCUAUGGGAUUUUUAAUGUAUGCGAUACAUUGACUAGACUCGAUAUUGCUUAUUUUGUAUGCAAGUUGAGUAGAUAUACUAGUAAUCCAAAUACAAAACAUUGAAGAGCUACUACCAUAAUUUUUUAUUAUCUAAAGAGAACUAAAAAUUUAGGAUUGUUCAAUAAUAAUUAUUCAACAGUAUUAGAAGGAUACGCCGAUGCUAGUUGGAUUACAAGUGUAGGAGAUGAGCAGUCCACUUCUGAAUGGAUUUUCUUACUAGCUAGAGGUGUUGUAUCUUAGGCAAGUAAGAAACAAACAUGUAUAACUCACUCAACAAUGGAAUUUGAAUUUAUUAUACUUUAGCGGCAAUUGGAAAAGAGGCUGGAUGGAUUAUGAAUUUGUUGUUGGAUAUCAAAUAUGGCCUAACCAUAUGCCUCCUCUUUCUAUCCACUGUGAUAGUCAAGCUACUUUGACAAGAGCCUAUAAUAGCACCUAUAAUUGUAAGUCUAGACAUAUUAAUUUAAGACAUGAAUAUGUGAGAUAAUUGAUUAAAGAUGGUACCAUAACAAUUGUCUACGUAAGGUCAAGUAAUAAUCUUGACGAUCAUUUGACGAAGGCUUUACCAAGACAUAUGGUAAUAAUUAUCUCACAAGAAAUAAGGCUAAAACACUUUAAUUGAAAUAACCAAUAACAGUAACUCGACCUUUUUCUAGAACAUCACUAGUUACAAGGUGUUGCGAUCAAAUUUUCAGGUGCACCACCUAAAAUUAAGUUAAUGGAUUGCUAAGCCUAAACUUAACUUGAGCUCUCCCAAGCCCAUACUAAUUCGCGACUUAGGUUCGAGUUCUUAACAUGCAAUUGAUUUUUCAAUUAGAAGUCGCCACUAAUCUAUUUUUGGUAGGUCGAUUAGAAACCCAAGUAAAAUAAUGGGAGAUUUACUUUACUUCGACGAACCAGAGAUUUUGGGUACAGGAACUUGAUUAUGUUAGAUUUCUCCAACGCCCUUUCGGUACCUUUCUCUUUUAUUUUGAAAAAAAGUUUGACAGGCAGCUUGAAUUGAUUUUAAUUUAUCUCCCUAACAUGCGAGGUUAUCAUGCGGGUGUGUAAACUACCAAUUUAACACCCAAGUAAAACAAUAACUAAAUUGCAAAACUUACCUCAUAGCAAUGAAAGUAUCUGUGUUGUUAGAUUAGAAUUCACAUCAAGGUCUUAAAUAUGAUUUCUAAUUAACACGUAAUCACUCAAUUUUUGUUUUCACUUAUUUAAUGAGAAUCUAAUCUAUAUGCAAUGUAAUAUUACUAAUCUAACAUGAAAUGAUAUGACAUAGCAGUAUAGCCUAAACUAUAUGACAUGAGAAAAGUAAUUUUUUUCAUAAACAUGCAAUAAUUAAAUAUGCAAUUUAAAUUAACUAAAAUGACGUAAUUCUAAUGAUGGGCAAUUUCUAAUUAAAUGAACCUAGCAACAAUCACUAAAUGACAUGCAUAUUAUGAACCUAAUUCUAUAUGACGUGCACAUGAUUUUUAUUUUCUCAAUAAGUAUGCAAUCUAUUAUAAUAUGCAAUUUAUCUAAAGAUCAAUUUAAACUUAAAAUAAAACAUGUAAUUUUAUCUUAAUAUGUAAUGACGUACAAAGAAUGCCCUAAUUUUACGUGACAUAUGCAUGAUGACUUUUUUGUGUUUUUUUUACUUUUUUUUAAAUUUGAAAUUUAAAAUUGCCAAAUAAUUAAACGUGCCAUUUUUUUAUUAAAAAAUAGCAUCCUAAAUUGAUUGAUUUCUUUUUUUUUUUGGAUUUUUAUUUUCUAAAAUUCAAAAUAGAUAAAUUUCACAUUCUAAACAUGCAAGAUAAUCCUAAAAUGAGGAAUGUUCUAAAACGAACCUAAUUUAUCUCAGAUUAUUUUUUUUUAUUUUUUUAUGAAAACAAAAUUAAUUCAAGCGACAUGGAUCAGAGUAAGACAAGAUUGAUAUAAAAUAAAAAAUAAAAUUGACGAACCAUAUCUCGUGCAUGAGAUCGGGUUAAUCAAUUUUAAAUAAAUCACGAAUCGAAUCUUAAGCGUGAGAUCGGAUUGGCAAUUUUUCAAGUGAUUGCGAGUCGGAUUUCGAGCGCAAGAAUUGACCUGUCGAUCCCAAAUUUCAUAGGUGAUUUCAUGUCGGGAAGUCUCAAUCUUACAUUAAGGAAUAGUUAUGCUAAAAAAGAGCAAAUAAAGUAAAAUAAAUAAAUAAAUAAAUGGAAAAACAAACUACUUACUGUGAUUUUUUCCUUUUUUUUUUUGGCUUUUUUCCUUUUGUUUCCAAAGGAGGCAGGUGGCUGUGGUGGGUGCUCGGUCGGGAGUUGCAGUCGUUGAAGGUUCGUAACGAGGACCGUCGUGGGAAGGAGUGGAGGAAGUGCUGGCAGUGAACAACAGGGGCGAACAGUGCAACAACCUCAUCGUCGGACGAAUCACAGACUACAAUUCGUCAUGAAGCAGUGCAAGGGGGCCAUGUCAUCAACACUUCCGGUGUUGACCACUCAAUGAAAAAUCGGGAAACAAUCUGCAAAAACAGAAAUACGGGUCAUGGGGCCGAGAGGAAGCAGCAGCGCAAGGUUCGAUCAGGCUAGCUGCGGCACGUUGGAGGUUGACGAGGCUUGAGUGGGAAUGGCGAGCCCCGUGAUCAGCAACAAGAAUCGGUGAUCAAGCAACCGCCUCGUAGAGUCAGGGAUCUCCUCAGUGUUGCUAGCCAGGGAUGAAGGAGGCUGUGAUUCAGAACAGAUGGAUGUAGCGAUUGAUUCCACGAAAGCAGGAGCAACACAGGUCGUCUUCAAGGAUGGAGGCGGAAAGGCAACAACUGGCUUGGGAUCUUCUGUGGCAUUGCGAUCAGGUGGAGAGGCAGGCACGGCAAGGCAGCAGCGUGCCGAGGCGCUACAGCAGGGGAGCGGUGGCACAGCGUGGUUUUAAAAUCGGGCUGUAGCAGCUUCGCUCAAGCGCACGGAUGACGACCAGCGGGGCACGGGCAGCAACGGCAGAGGUGCGUUGAGGCAGGGGCAGCUUCACGGGUUGCUGGCAGCUUGGGAAGCAGCGUCGCCGGUAGAGCAGCGACGAUCAGUGGCUCGGAGGUGAUGGCGCGGUGGAGGCUGACAUGUUGAAGAUACACAAGGAUAUUCAACGGAAUCAUUCAGAUAUCAUUGCACAAGUCAAGAUCAAUUAAUAUCAGAUCUGAUUUUGUAUAUAAUAUUGUUUCCUUUUAUUUACAUACAACAUGUACUAUAAUACACGUUCGGUACAUUGCGUGAAUAUACUGAAAUAGAAGAGAAAAUUUCCCCUCUCGCUUCCUUUCCUCUUGUCUUCUUCAUCUUCUUACAUGGAUCAGAGCGGGUCAUGCACCUUUAAUCUGCUUCUUCCGCCUUGCUUCAUCCUCUUUUGGUCUUCUUAUUGUCUGCCGGAAGAAUCUAGCUAACCUGCAAAACGCAUUAGCAACCUUGAGGAAAUCACAUUGAAACAGACGAAGGAAAAAGAAGAGGGAGAUCUCCAUACCAUCAUGGCUGACAAUCAACCUUAUUACUUGUGGAUGCAGCGACCUCAGAAGCACAAGAUCAAGUGCAUAACAUCAUAGGUCGGACUGAUCAGCCCACAAUGGGGCAAUUUUUUCCAUGGCAACCCAGUCUAGGGUAUCCCCAUUCGGGGACUUCCUACCAAUGGGUACCAAUGCCAAUAUACUAUGGAGGAAAUCCAAAUGUAUCAUUCUCAGGAAGUCAAACUCAAAACGGUCCAUUAGGCACGAGCGGGGUGGACCACUCAUAAGCAAUCGGGUUAUCUAAUGCGAGCGAAAACCCUAACGGGUCAAGUGAUUCACAUGCGGGGACUCAAGGCACUUUCAAUCAGGGUCAGCAAGCAAACCCUUACUUCGGCUUUCCACAUGGUUUCCUACCGAUCUCGGCCGCCAUGGGUCGCCUAGAACUCGGCGACGCCUUGUAUGUCUCCAAUUCCGAUGGGCUAGAGUUGCGACUUAUUAGUCACCCUCUCACAGCACCCAAAAACUACUUGAGCUGGACACGAGAGUUUCGGGGAGCGCUCAUCACAAAAGAUAAAGAAGGUUUCAUCGACGAAACUAACCCGAUUCCGACUGAUGAGAAGAUGGGGUGACAAUGAAAAUAAAAUGCAACCAAUUGGUGAGAACGUGGAUAGGUAAUUGCAUCAACCCAUAAAUUGCAGCAGGUUUACCUCCCACAGAGGAUUCAAAAACAGUUUGGCAGAAUAUUCAAGAAAUGUACAGGAAACUCGAUAGGGCAAAAAUUUUCUUGCUACACCAAGCCCUCAACGAGCUGAAGCAGGGAAACAUGUCAGUGACGACAUGCUUCAACAAGCUCUCUACCCUCUGGAAUGAGCUAGAAGCGGUAGAGGAGAGCCUCGAAGGACCAGAGGCAAUGCUCCAACAAUAUAGAGCAAUGAAAGAUUGAGAGAAAGCAACCCAUUUCUUAUUGAUUCUCAAUGACUCUUACCUUCAUUUCAAAUCAUAGAUCCUGGCCAUGGAACCAGCUCCUCCCCUUGGCCAAAUCUUUCAGCUCGCAAUGUAGGAGGAAAACUAGAGGCUCACUGCAACCGACGACAAGACCUCCGAAACCCUAGCACUAACGGUGAAAAUUGAGAAGGGACGGAAAACCCUAGCCAAAGGGAGAGAGGCGACGUCGCUAGGGUUUGGAGAGCCAAAGGGGGAGCUAGGGUUCGCGGAGCCGAAGGGGUUUUUUAAAGGCUUCGUGGACGGCCAAGAUCGACUCCAGCGAUCUAACGGUCAAAAAGGGGCGUGGUACUCGAUUGAUCUUGACGGUGGAGAUGCGCUUGGCUUAAAGGGAUCAAACGGUCUAAAUUAUUCGAGAAAUUAUGGGCCAAAUUUUAAAAAUAGAGGGAAGUUAUUUUGUGAUUAUUGCAAAAGGCCCCAUCACACAAUUGACAAUUGUUGGAAAUUACAUGGGAGACCUGAAAGGAAGGGAAAUGAGAUUUCAACAUCAGCUUACCAGUCCACACCAUCCACAGAUGUCAAUCAACCCAUCACACAUGGAGAAUAUCAACAAUUAAUGCAGGCUUUGCAAAAAUUGGAGGUUCCAAAAAAGGGGAGUAGUUUUACAGGUAUUUCUCAUUGCCUGACAAAUAAUAUAUCAAGAAAUGCCUAAAUUAUUGACUCGGGAGCAAGUGAACAUAUUGCAUGCAAUAAGGGAUUAUUUUUUGAUAUUCAUAAAGAUUCAACUAAUCCUAUUAUUGUGCAAUUACCAAAUGGAAAUAUCACUCAUGUCACCCUAAUUGGGACUGUCACUCUUAGCCCGCAAAUUACUCUAAAAAAUGUUCUUUAUAUUUUGGAUUUCCAAUUUACUCUUAUCUCUGUGUCCAAAGCCUGUCAAGAAAAUGAGUGCCAAGUAUUUUUCAAUGUUGAUAUCUAUCUAUUUCAGACCCUUUUGUUUGGGAAACUAAUGGGCUGGGGUAACCUCUCUGAAGGAUUGUUUUUUUUUUUUUUUUGGAGAAAUUCACCCAAAAAUCUUGAUUUACUCUCUUGUAAUAAAUCAUUGUGUAAUCUGACUACUAAUGAUAAGAAUUUCCUUUUGCAUUCCAGAUUGGGUCACAGCUCUUCUCUUCCUUAUCAUUAAUGUCCCAUUUGCCCACUUGCGAAACAAUCGUGUACACCUUUUCCACUAAGUCAACAUCAUUCAAGUGAUAUUCUUUAUCUGUUGCAUGUCGAUGUCUGGGGGCCAUACCAUACAUUAAAUCAUGAUGGGUCUCAAUUCUUUCUCACCAUCAUAGAUGAUCACUCUAGGGCCACAUGGCUUUUUCUCAUGCAAAGUAAGGGUUAAGUUCUGUCUCAUCUAAAGACUUUUCUUUCCUUGUCAAAAACCCAAUUUGGGAAAAAUGUUCAAAAAAUACAAACAGGCAAUGGAAGUGAAUUCUUCAAUCAUGAAUAUACUUUUUUUUUUCGUCACAUGGGAUACUACAUGAGAGCACAUGUGUCUAUACACUACAACAAAAUGGGGUGGUAGAGCGAAAACAUCGUCAUCUAUUAGAAGUGGUGCGGGCUUUGAAAUUUCAAGCUUCUGUUUCAGAAACUUUUUGGGGUAAUUGUGUUUUAACUGCAGCUUAUUUGAUAAACCAUAUGCCAAGUAAGCUUCUUGGCGGCGAACACCUUUGGAGCUGCUUUAUGGAAAGAAACUAGAUCUGGCACAUUUGAAGAUUUUUGGAUGUCUUUGCUACGCCACCAUAGUAGGUCCUAGAGAUAAAAUGGGACCUCGUGCUCGUCGCUGCAUCCUUAUGGGAUAUCCCAGUUUACAGAAGGGAUAUAGGGUAUUUGAUCCCUUCACAGGAGAAUUCAUAGUUAGUUGGGAUGUUUCAUUUCAAGAGAAUUCUUUUCCUUUUGCCGCCUCUGCAUCAAAUACAGAUCAAGACGAUCAUUUCCAUACUAUUUAGACGGAGGAGACUAUGGAAGAUCCAAACUAUGUUCUCUUUUGUCCAUCAGCAGAUAUCAGGCCAUCUGCUAUGACACCUAUGGACACAACAUCCUUACUUGAAGUGACAGCACAACACCAAGAGGAAGUCACUUCCCCAGUUUCGAGUACUGUUGGCAAUUCAGAUAAUAAUUCACCAUCAAGGAACGAUGUGCCAAGGCGAUCCGGACAUAGCACACAUCCGCCAACCUGGGCCAAAGACUACAUAUGCGGAGUCCAGAAGUCACCAGGUAUUUUGUUCCCAGUUGCCUCAUUUGUUUCCUUUGAUAGACUUUCUCCAAAAUAUAGAUGUUGUAUUACUCGCAUUUCCGAUGGGUGAGAACCAUCGAGUUUUGAAGAGGCAAGCACUGAUCCACACUGGCAAAAGGCCAUGGAAACAAAAUUAACGACCUUGAUGAAUAAUCAGACAUGGGAUCUUGUUACCCUACCUACACACCACAAGGCAAUUGGAUGCAAAUGGGUUUACAAGAUCAAAUAUCGUGCAGAUGGAUCUAUUGAGAGAUACAAAGCCCGAUUAGUGGCAAAGGGUUUUACACAACGGGAAGGUUUUCACUACCAUGAAACAUUUUCUCCCAUCGCCAAAGACGUUACCAUCUGCUCAUUUCUUUCUGUAGCGGCAUUUCAGGACUAGUCAUUGCAUCAUAUGGAUGUUCAUAAUGCGUUCCUGCAUGGCGAUUUAGAUGAGGAAAUUUAUAUGGAAGUGCCACAAGGUUUAUGGAGACAGGAGGAGGAUAAAGUAUGUCAUCUCCGCAAAUCCUUGUAUGGACUCAAACAAGUCUCAAGACAGUGGUAUGCGAAGUUUGUUAAGUCAUUGAUAGCUACCGGUUUUCAACAGUCCAAGUUUGAUUAUGCUAUUUUCACAUGAACUAGAGGUAUGUCAUCUAUCUACUUAAUGAUAUAUGUAGAUGAUAUACUUAUUAUGGGCAAUGAUGAAAUAGCUAUUAAAGAAUUCAAAGACUAUUUGCAUUCUACAUUCCAUAUUAAGGAUCUAGGAUCACCAAAGUACUUCCUUGGAAUCAAAAUUGCAUGCUCAGACCAAGGAAUUUCCCUCAGCUAGAGAAAAUUUGUACUAGAGAUUAUAUCAGAAGUAGGCCUAUCGGGAUGUAAGCCAGUUGUAAUUCCAAUCAAGCAAAACAUUAAACUGACUACGGCAAAUUAUGAUGCCGGUUUAUCUCCAUAGACUGAUCCUGUACUCAAGGAUCCAUUUAGAUAUCAGAAGCUUAUUGGGAAGCUCAUUAUUUGACCAUGACCAGACCAGAUAUAAGUUAUGCAGUUUAGACACUUAGUUAGUUUAUGCACCAACCGAAGGAAUCUCAUAUGAAUGCAGCACUUAAAGUGGUGAAGUACUUGAAGAGUUGUCCAGGACUUGGGAUUCUCCAUUCCAGGAAAUGUGACAUGAGGAUGACUGUAUACUGUGAUGCGGAUUAUGUGACCUGUCCGAUGAGCAAAAGAUCCAUAACCGGUUUAUGCAUCAAAUUGGGGAACUCUUUACUCUCAUGGAAGACAAAAAAGGAACCGACUGUUUCACUAUAUUCAGUAGAGGCAGAAUAUUGUGCCAUGGCCAAAAUAACUUGUGAAAUAGUAUGGUUACGAGGAUUGCUUCGAGAUCUUGGAGUACAAGUUAGAGGACCGACUAGACUAUUUUGUGACAAUGAUGCAGCCAUCAAACUUGCGUCGAACCCUAUUGUGCAUGAGAGAACCAAGCACAUAGAAGUGGAUUGUCACUUCACUCGAGAAAAGAUCUAACAAGGGAUGAUCGAGACACAAGGGAUUGGAAUAGAAGAACAACUAGCAGAUGUCUUCACCAAGCCUUUAUGUUAGAGACAGCAUGCGUAUCUUUUGAGCAAGAUAGGCGUCUUAGAUAUCUAUAAGCCACCAGCUUGAGGAUGAGUGUUGAAGAUAUGCAAGGAUAUUCAACGGAAUCAUUCGAAUAUCAUUGCACAAGUCAAGAUCAAUUAAUAUCGGAUCUGAUUUUGUAUAUAAUAUUAUUUCCUUUUAUUUACAUACAACAUGUACUAAAUACACGUUCUGUACAUUACGUGAAUAUAUUGAAAUAGAAGAGAAAAUUUCCCCUCUCACUUCCUUUCCUCUCAUCUUCUUCAUCUUCUUAUACGACAGUGCAGGGUAUCGGGUAGCAAAGGAAAUCCCCUGAAGAAGAAGCACAAUAGCUUUUCUUUCUUUUUUUUCCCUUUUUUUCCUUUUCUUCCCUUUCUUCUCACGACCCUCUCUCUACUCUCUCUUUCUCUCUACCACCGUCAGCAAAAGGAAAAAAGUCCUCUGCUCACUUUUUCCUUCCCCCAAAGAAACCGUACUUUUUUUUUUCUUUUUGUUCCUCUUUUUUCUGUUCUUCUGCACUUGGUCAGAAGGAAAGAAAAAGAAAACUGAUUCCUUUUGCUUUUUCUUUUGUGUCGUGAACAAAGAAAAGACCCCUCCCUCGGGAGCAAAAAUUUCUUCCUCGACAGAGAAAACCGAGAAAAACCCCUCAAUGUGAUUGAAAAGAAAAUAACCCCUCCUCAACGUGGCUGUGUAUUUCUAUUGUGUGGCCCCCAAAAAUCCUAUCCAUUUUACCUUUUUAUAGGCCACCGAUUAAAUUUUUUUUUUCCAAAUUGAUAUCCACAAAAAUAUUUUUUUUUCAAAAGCAAUAUUCACUUUUCCGAACGCAAUAUUUGUUUACACUUGCCUUAUUCAAAAAUAUUCCAUCAUAUCUUAGAAAAUUUCAAACUACUAUUUUCACAAGAUAAUUUCCGAUCAUAAAAAACAGGCUUAGGCUAAUUUGCUCGCUUAGUGGGCUUAACCCAACUCAUCAAAUUAAAGUUCAAACCCACUAAUUCGAACCCAUUUGUCACCGGUCCAAUAAAUGCAAAACAUGCAAAUUAAAAAUCAAUGCACCUAAAAAUUAUAUGCUAUGCAAUUAAUUAUUAUUUAUGGAUAAAAUUAACUCAUAAUUUUCUAUACAAUAAAUAAAUGACCAGAUUGCCAAAAUUUAGGUGUCAACACAAGGUUUAAUGGGUAAUAACAAGUUAUUGAUUGUGAUUGUUUGUACCUAACGUAGACCUAAUAUGAAAAGUUAGUAUUGCCUGUUACAUUUUGUAGGUUUGAUUGAAUUCUUAAUGAAGUAUAAUACAAACUUGUAAUGUGUUGAUAAUAACAGAAACGCAUAGUAGAUACUUCAUCUAUAUGAGCUUAGAAGUGAUGUCACUUCUUACAAAAAUUAGGGUUGCUUUCUAGAGAGCUCAUGAAACAGGAUCACUAGCAAAGUAAUGCCCUCAAGAUUGAUAUUCCUGAAGCUUUUCAAGUUAGAACAAUUAUUGCGAAAUUGCCUCCAAGUUGGAAAGACUAUGGAAAAAUAUUGAUUCACAAAUCAGAGGACUUUACUUUGGAGCAAAUACAUAAACAUCUUCGUAUUGAAGAAGAGUUAUGUUUCCAUGAUAAUUCUAUUUUGUACAGUUCCAAGGUGAACGUUGUGAAAGAAAACGGAAAAUCAGUCAAAACUUUAAAGUAAAAAGCGGGCAUAAAUUUAAGAGAACACAAAAGAAGAAAAAUGAUUGUUGUUUUGUUUGUGGUAAACAAAGACACUACGACAAGGAAUGCAUUCACCACAAGAGUAUUUCAAAGGACAAGAACAUUCCAAUAGUGAAGGCAGAUGCAAAUCUGAUUGAGGAAAAUUACGUGGCCAUGAUUUCAAUCAUGUUUUCAAACAUGAAAAUUUCUGAAAUCAAUGAUGCGAUGGCUAUGGUUUCUGAAAUUAAUUUUACCACUAUCCAAUCUAGUUGGUGGUUAGAUUCUGGAGCAACAGUCCAUGUGUGCAAGGACAAAUACAUGUUCAAGCAAUUUGAAGAGAUUAUUGACUCAAAUGUUUAAGAGGUCCUGAUAACAAAUAAUGCUCUUGCAAAGGUUGCUGGAAAAGGCACAGUGGAGAUAGACUUCACUUCUGAAAAAGAAGAUAACUCUUCUUAAUGUGUUAUUUAUAUCUGAAAUUAGGAAAAACCUAGUUUCUAUUGAUUUACUUUGUAAGAGGGGGUUUUAGGUUUUGUUUGAAUCCGACAAAGUUAUCUUGUCGAAGAAUGGGCUGUUUGUUGGAAAGAGUUAUGCUAAUGAUGGCAUGUAUCAACUGAGUAUCAAUAAUAAUAUUGCUGCAUUUGAUUUAUUGGAUGAUAAAAAAAAUUUCCUCCAUAAUACAAAGAUUGAAGCUGCUGCAUUCUCUACAACAAAUGCUCCACCUAAGCACUACCUAAGCAUAUAUGAAAUAUUUGAUUUGAUCUCCUCGCCUUAAAGAUUUACCUUUAAUUACAAUUAAUUACCUUAAACAACUCAUAUGUUCUAAAAAAAAAUGCCUUUAUAUUGAAAAGCAAAUGAUUGUGCAAAUCUUUAACCCCACUUAUUUCCUUAUUGACAACUAUUAAAAUGUGGGCGUGGUGUAAUUGGUGCAGUAUGGACGUCAAACCAAACCAAACUAUAUAAAUGUUAGAAUAAAUCUCGAGUUGGAGCUCGGUGGAUGAAACCAAACCGGAUGUGAAUUAUGGGUGCUCAAGGUGUGGUGAUAGGAGCAUAGGACUCACUUACCCGGUUUGGAGAUCAUUACAACCCCACUUUGACAGAUCUGGAAAGCACGCAACCAUUACAUCUUCCAACGCCAGUGUACGAACCCUCAACAAAUAGUGGAAUUGGCUCUCACAACAGUGAAGCUUUAUCUCUACACUUUGCAGUUGACUUUGGCCACAAGGGUAUCCUUGCCGAACCCUAAUCGAUGCUGGAUCCCCCCUGAACCUGGCGUAAUCAAAGUCAACCUGGAUGGGGCUUUUCCAACAGGGAGGGAAACAGGUUUGAUCGCGUGCAUUUGCCAUGAUCACUCGGGCACCUUGAUCGACGGCUUCUCCAGCAACGUCCAAGCCUCCUCCCCCCUUCAAAUAGAGACCCAAUCCCUAUUACUCACCCUCAAGUAUCUAUUGCAAAGAGGAAUGGCUACCACUAACCCGAUCCUCGAAUCGGACUAUCUGGAGCUUGUGGAGACCGUAAAUCAUCACCGGCAGCCAUCAUUGGAGUGUCAACCUCUACUCGCGAACAGCACUGCCUUGCUUCAGUGUUUCCCUAAUUUGCGAUUCCAGCACUACAGGCGUGAAGUAAAUUCCGCUGCUGAUUGGGCUGCCAAGGCCUAGGGCCGUGGCUCUCUUUUAUUGAAUUGGGCUCUUGAUCCCUCCCCAAAUACUCUUGAAUAUGCUUUGUAUUGAGGCCCUGUCUAGGGGUUGUGACAAUUUACCUUUACGAAUGCAAAGGUGUGUUUUCGAUCCAAAAAAAAAAAAAAAAAGUGACCUGUCAAUGGUCAUGACCAUAAGAGACGACUUUACUCAGGUAAAGAAAGGGAAAAAUAGAUUAAUUAUGGCCAUUGCCGAAUGGUGAAGACAGUUGCAAUGAUGGUCUCUUUUCAUGUUGGCCACUCAUUGUUUCCUUUCUUCUUCUUUAUUUGCUUCUGCUGAAAAUUCUUUUUAAAAACGAAGAGGAAGAGCUCUUAAUGUCAAAGGGAGAUGCGAAGGCUGCACAGAGCAUAUUCAAAAGUGUGCCGAGAGUUUCCCGAGGAGAGGUUUGAUUCAGAGAGUUUUCUCGGUGAAAUUACACCAAAUAUUCCUGUGUAGAAGCUGAUUAAAUCUUGUGUUAAGAUUUUUAUCAUCCUUUGUAAGUAUUUUAAAAGAAAUUGUGAGAAUUAAAUACUAUAUAAGUUAUUGGGUGUAAUGAAGAGUUGAGAAAUAGCAAAAGUAUUUGAGUGACUCAAUUAUAGUUAUAAUCUUUUAUUAUAUUGUUUAAUCUCUAGUGAAAUCUUGUCUUGCACUACUUGUGGACGUAGGUCACAUGACUGAAUCACGUAAAUCUAGUUUUCGAUUCAUUUUCUUAUUCUAUGUAUUUUAUUACAUUGCUCAAAGAAAAGUGAAACCAAACUAUAAGAUAUUAAUAUGACCAGCAGGCAUUCUUGAUUAAAUGCAUAAAAAAGUAUCUUUUAUUUUCUUAAGAUAUUGAUCAAUAUUUACAGGCUUAAACUCUUGGUUGAUGAUAAAAUUUGAUCCGUCACCUGAUUAACAUUAACUCCCAUCAUAAAGACGAGAUUCGAUAUUUGCAAGGUGAUGCUUGCUCUUGGCAUGAUCGAUCUCAACUUGGUUUCUAUUAAUUAUAUCAUUUGAUCAAGAGUCACCACUAAUUUUUAUGAACUGGUUAGGAGUCAAGUAAAAUGCAGGAGCCCAUCUUACUUCGGCAAACCAAAGAUAUGUGGGUCCGGGGGCUUAAUUAGGCUGGAUAUAUCUAACGCCCAAUUUAGUAUAUUUUCUCUUUUAAUGAAAACAAUUAUACAUGCGGUCUUCCUAAUCUUAGUUACCCAUUUUAUUCUCAAUGCUGAGCAAGGCAGGUGACCAUGCAUAAAUUCACUCAAGCAAACACACAUAAAAUCCAAUAAUACCGAAACAAAUAGAGCAAAUAAAAGGUACAAAAUAAAGAACUUGAGCUGCAUCGGGAAAAAAUCAAUACAAAGCCUGUUAUGAAGUUCGCGGACAGGACCCCUUGAGCUAUAAAUAGAAACUCAAUGUAAAAUUCCAAAAUAAACUAUGACUCAAAACCGAAAGGUAAAUAAAUGAUCAUUCAUGAAUAUCUACUAUAUACACUACUUUCCUAAAGUAAACUAUUACAUCUUGAAGUAAAAUGUACUUAAUGCAAUCUAAAGUGCAAUAAAAUUCCCAGAAUGAAUCGGUUUAUGAAUAUGCAUGAUUCCUAAAAUACACUCCCAGAUGUAUAUAUAUUUUUAAUUAAAAUGCAGUUUAUAUUUUUAUUUAUUUUUUCCGCAUUCCCCCCUCCCCCCUCUCUCUCUACAUUAUAGUGAAACGAAAUGAAACUAAACAUUUACUAAGUACUGAAUCAAAUUUGAACUAGAAUCUUUAUGCCAAAAUAAAUUUGAACUAAACCUGGAUUUUCAUGAAAAUUUGCACUACGUUCACUUGGAAUAUAUAUAAUUCCGAGUGAAUGUUUCGACCAAUAUAUAUAUUGGUCGAAACAUUCACUCGGAAUUUCAACCUUAAAGUUCUGCGAGAACGAGUUAGUGCACACUAGAAAACAAAGAAAACUAAAGCGACAUAAUGCUAUGAAUUACAACGAAACUAUUCCAGACUAUGCAAAAAUCAAUGGUGGAUGAAUAUAGCUAUACAAAUUCCCCAUUUUCUGUCUUUAGACUUUUUACAUUUAACUGAAGGCAUGCCUACAAAAAAAGUUAACUGUGUCUUCAUCGCUCCACCCACCAAUUCAUAAUCUAUACUUGAGUCCCUUGAUAUUUGAAAAGCUCUUAUCCCAAGUGGCAAUAAGUAUCCAACUACCAGUAUACAAAAAAAAAAAAAAAAAAUUCAAUCAAAUUAGUUUUUGGAUAUGGUUGCCCUCAUCGACGUCAUCCAUUACAUCUAGCAUCUAUCAUUGCUAUCAAUGUCAUGAGUCACUCUAGAUUAAGACAUCGGACAAUAAUCCCUUGUUUUUGGUUUUUUCCUCACAUCAUCAAGAAAGCUAUAGUUUUUCCCGAAGUCAGAAUGAUAGAUUUAUGAGAUGGGCCUGAGUUGGCCCAUCCGCUCAAAUUGGGCCCAAAGGGCCCGGCCCACGGGAAUAGGGCCCGUGGAGGGGGAGAGGUAUAAAAGGGAGGAGAGAGAGAGAGAGAGAGAGAGAAGACAACGUUUGACAAUUAAACGUACGUCUUCUCCCGCGCGUUCUCUCUUCCUCCAAAAAGAACAGUAAGUUCAAGGCACUGUUUUCUCUCCUUCAAGUCAUCAUCAGAUCGAACGGGGCUAGAAUUUCUUCCUCUUCUUCGGCAUUGGUGUUUAAUUGUGGCUAACAAGGUACGUUCGAAUCCGUGGUGUGCUUUACGAUCGGUGAUGCGUGUUUUCCCGGGCUUCGUCUUCCGCAUUGAUUUAGGGGUUCGAUUCGGUGUUGAAUCCGGUUUUCGGGGAUCAGUAAUUCCCAACAUUGGUAUCAGAGCCCUGUUUCACGUUUUUCCCGAUCAAUUCUGAUGUUUUUGAUUGAUUUUUCGCGAAAUCACUUCGGCCGUACGGAACCGGGCGAAAAUCCCGACACCCGAGCGCUGUUCGGCCAUUUUUCUGAGUUUUCGUAAGUCGAAAUCAAAUUCUGAAGGCACUGGGAGAAAGGCGAAAUCAAAUUCUGAAGGCACUGGGAGAAAGGCGACGUCGAGACGAGUCCGGCGAGUGGUCGCACGUCGCCGUACGACGCCGCACGCGCCCACACGCGCGGCCAGAAGCCGCUGCGCGUGGGCGCCACGCGCCCGAAGCGCUGGCUAUGGCCAGCGCGUGCGCCACACGCGCCGGUGACGAACCGGCACGUGCGCGCCGGCGGCCGGCGAAGCGGCACGCGCCGGUCCACGGACCGACGCGUGCUGACGUCACUCGCUGACGUCAUCGUGACGUCACCAACGGUCGAUAACCGUCGGGGAUGACGUCAUUGAUGACAUCAGCGCCGACAACGGUUGGCCGGCCGGUCACCGGCCGGCGACCCGACCCGCCAGCGACCCAACCCGACUCGCGAAGGAGGCAUGCGCCCGGCACGUGCCGGAUGACGUCUGCGUUACGUCAUCCCCCGCACGCGCGAGGCACGUGAGUUCGGUCCGUGCGAGCGGUCCGACCGGCCCGUCCGGUCCGACCGGUUCGACCGUCGCGACCGGUCCGACCCGCGCGCUCGUUGACCCGACCCGUUGACCGUUGACCGACGACCGUUGACCGUUGACCGACCGUUGACUUUGACCGUUGACCAAAAAAAAAAAAGGAAUUUGUUUCUUUUUUCAAUUAUGUCUGUGUGGGUUGUAGGUCAUCCAUUUUAAUUCUGCAUUUCUUGCAUGAAUCAUGGAAAUUUAUGUAUUUUCCAUUUUGUUUAUUAUGGAUGAUAAGUGAUCCAUUUUAGUUCUGCAUUUGUUGCAGAAACUAUGAUGCGUAAUGCAUGGAUACCUGUAAUCUCGAGAACGGACGAAGGAAGAGCUAGACUGAAAAGGCUGAUGAAAGAGUUAGCUGAUUUUCGGUGGCUUGAUGGUGAUUUAGUAUCACAUAUGGUCAAGGUCAAUCAGAUGAUACAGGAAAUCAUCAAUAAUGGUUAUCUUAUGCCGGAUUUUGAGAAGGUGCCGGCUUUGUUGAACACUCUUCCACCUGAAUGGCAAGUAGUGUUAGAUCGGCUAUGGGAGGUCAACGUGGUCCCGGGUUAUAGGAGGCUGGUGGAAGCUUUUGUAAGAGAGUACUAUAGGAUUGAGUUGGCCAAAACUUCAACCCUUAGAUUGUGCGCUACGUGGCGCAGAGUGAAUGCGCCUUGGUGGCGACAUGAGAGCUCUCCAAAAGUUUUUCCAUGGUUGGCAAAUGUACCUUCAGUUUUCUCAGAUGUUUUGACGGAUAGAUUAGAAGGGACAUUCCCUAUUUAUUUCUUUGAUUGAUUAUGUAAUGAUUACUACCUGAUUGUUGUUAAUGUAGCAACCGAUAUAUUAGUUGUAUUAUGUGAAAGCUCUGUUAUUCUAUUGGAUGUUAGAUAAUAUUUGCUUUCUGUUACUGCUGAUUGCUGUGGGUAGUUAGCUGUGGGUAGUUAUAGAAGUUUUUAUAACUUCAUAGAAUCGAUUUUGCAUAUGACAAUCAUAUUAAUGAUAAUUUUAAGUUAGGAUUUUUGGAGGAUGAUUGGAAACGUAGUGACCUUUUGAUUCUGAAGCCUUACUUAAAAUUAUUCAUUAAUAUGAUGGAUCUAUGCAAAUAGGGAUGCAUAAAUGAUAGGCAUUAUUUAUUCGUGCAUGUAUGUCUGAUGUGUUCAGACUGAUGGUUUCAGCAACUAAGAAUUUAAAUGCUGAUUUGAACGGCUACAAUUGUGAAAUAUUGAAUAUGAAGAUUCAAUAUGUGCUGGAAAAGCAAGAAGCACUAGAAGCUCUUGACCAUGUUAUGGAAGAUCUUGAGAAUGUUGUGCGCCACCUUAAGCUGGUAGAGGACCGCUUAACGGCAUGUGAGCUGAGAAUAGAUAUUUGCAAUGCUGGUUCUAGCUCAUAAAGAGUUUUGAGCUCUAAGCGCAAGCGUAUUGAUUCGUUCAAUAUGUGGGAAUGCAAAUGAUCAAGUCCUUAUUGCAAGAGAUCAAGAGUUAACCAACACAAGAGAGGAAAAAGUCCUCAAGUGAAGAAAAUGUCAAGGGUGAAAUGUUACAACUGUGACAAGAAGGGUCACUAUGCUCGCGACUGUCGUGAGCCAAAGAAGGCAAACACCUCUUGUACAUUUGAGAACUUUGAUUAUGUGUCAAGUUCUGCAUUAUAGGUUGAAUCCAAUCCUUUGUGGAAUGUAGAUUCAUGAGCGACAGACCAUGUAGCAAAGGAUAGAGGAUCCUUUGUGGAAUUCCGACGAGUAUCAACUGGAACUGAGUGGAUCCAUAUUGGAAACAACUCUAGAGCUGAGGUAAAGGAAUUGGCACUGACCAAUAGAACAUGCAUGGUGGACGCAUCUUGAUGUUCUAUAUGCUCUGGAGAUUCGUCGAAAUUUAAGUGUUUGUUUUGCUGUUGGUUAAGCUUGGUUUUGGUAUGAACUUCCAUAAUAAAUGUGUAGAUUUAUGUUUAGAUACAAAUUACUAUGGUUGUGGUCACUUUCUAGAUGGUUUUAUUGUACUAAAUGUUGACUGUGAUGAUGUCAAUAUGUUAUCCCCUUGUUUCACGUCUUCUAUCUUAUAUGAUAAUGAUGUGAAUAUGAUGGCAUGCUAGACUUGGUCAUAUGGGCCAACAACAUAUGAAAAGACUAGCCAAAAAGGGCUUAUUGGGCAAUAUUGAAAAAAGUUGAUUUGUCCAUAUGUGAGCAUUGCCUAGUAGGGAAAAUGACAAAGAGACCAUUUGGAAAAGGUAAAAGAGCUGAAUUUCCUCGGCAUUUAAUCCAUUUGGACGUCUGUGGUUCAAUGAAUGUGAAAGAAAGGUAAGGGGCUGUUUGUUUCAUCACUUUUAUAGAUAAUUCUACUUGAUUCGGAUAUGUCUAUUUGAUUUCUCAUAAAUCUGAAGCAUAAGUUGUUUUAGAAGGUUUAUGAACCUGGUAGAAAAUCAAUUAGACAGGAAAAUAAAGGUAUUUAAAUCCGAUUGAGGUUGAGAAUAUUUAUCUGAUAAGUUUAGAAAAUUAUGUGAUGAAAAAGGAAUAGAAAGAUAGUUGUCUAUUCCAUAUACUCUUCAACAAAAUGAUGUUGCAAAGAGAAGAAACAGAACCUUAUUGGAAUGGUUAGGUCCAUGAAGGCGCAUGCUAACUUACCCAUCACCUUUUUGGAGUGAUGUGUUGUUAACUGCUGCUUAUAUACUUAACCGGGUGCCUUCCAAAUCAGUUAGUUCCACUCCAUAUGAGUUAUGGAUAGGUAGAAAACCGGACUUAAGUUUACUUAAGCCAUGGGGUUAUGUUGUCUAUACUCAUAUGUCCUCUCACAAGUUUGGGAAAUUGAGUCCCAUAUAAAAGUAGAGUAUUUUAAUGAGAUACUCCGAACACUCAAAAGGGUAUGUGUUCGUAGGUGAGCAGGAAAGUGGGAGAAUAACUGAAUUUGAAUUACAGGAUGUCACAUUCUUAGUGGAUGAAUUUCCUAAGAAGGGCAAAAUAGGGAAAGAUUACUUCCUAUUUGAAACCUUGGAUUAAGAUUAUAAUAUUAGUGGUGUUUAUCCAAGUGGGAGUAAUAUGAGAUGUGAUGAAUUGAAUUCAACUCAUUCUCAAUUACAACCACCUGAUGUGGCGACAUCAUCAUUACCUAAUCCAAGUGGGAGCAUAAUGGGGAAUGAUGUGCUAAGUGUACAAUCUCCCAUACGGUGAACAAGUCACUAAAGUAUUCCCCGUCGAUGUUUUGACAUUGAAAGGGAAACUUCUAUGGUUGCUCCACAAGACGAGGAUGAGCCAAGAAAUAUUAAUGAGGCUCUGAAUUGCCCUAGUAAGGAAAAAUGGAUUAAUGCAAUGGAAGAGGAAAUGGAGUCAAUCAAAUCAAACCAAGUCUGGGAACUGGUUGAUCUGCCAAAAGGACGCAGAACUAUUGGGAACAAAUGGGUUCUCAAAAUAAAGCGAAAGGCUGAUGGCUCGAUUGAAAGGCAUAAGGCUUGCCUUGUGGCGAAGAGGUAUAAUCAAUAGGAAGGAAUUGAUUAUGAAGAUAUUUUUUCUCCUAUAGUAAGAUUUGCCUUGAUUCGCAUAGUUCUGGCAAUAGUGUUUAGUAUGGAUCUUGAGUUACAUCAAAUGGAUGUAAAGACUGCUUUCCUCAAUGGAGAAUUAGAGGAUGAAAUAUAUAUGGAACAACCUGUUGGUUUCAUAGUGAAAGGCCAAGAAGAAAAGGUAUGUCGACUUUGGGGGUCGAUAUAUGGCCUUAAGCAGUUGUCAAGACAAUGAUAUAUACGUUUUCAUAAUGCCAUAAUGGCAUAUGACUUUACAAUGAUAGAUGAGGAUCAUUGUGUAUAUAUCAAAAGAUCCAAGGAUCAAUUUGUGAUCAUAUCAUUAUAUGUUGAUGAUAUACUAAUUGCCGGAAGCAAUAUGGAGCUAGUCAAUACUGUCAAAAGUUGGUUGUCUUCCAAAUUUUGAAUUGAAUGAUAUGGGAUUGUAAACCCAUUGACGCUCCUAUUGCAAAAGGUGAAGGAUUGAGCCAUAGACUGUGUCCAAGGACUCCACAAGAGAAGGAACAAAUGAAACAUGUUCCUUAUGCUAGUGCUGUUAGAAGCUUGUUGUACGCUAUGAUGUGUACAAGACCUGACGUAUGUUUUGCAGUUGGAAUGGUGAGUAGUUACCAAUCUAAUCCAGGUCAAGCACAUUAAUAAGCCGUUAAGAGAAUACUGAGGUAUCUAAAGGGGACUGCUGAUUAUACGCCGAGUUAUUAUGGAAAAGGAUCUGCGACUCUAAGGCUAUUCUGGUGUUGAUUGGGGAGGAGAUUUAAAUGAAAGGAAAUCUACCUCUAGGUUUGUUUACUUACCAAAUAAUGGCACCAUGUGUUGGAGCAGUAAGAAACAAAAGUAUAUAGCCUUGUCCACGAUGGAAUUGAGUUCGUGGCAUUAUCAGCAGCAGUAUAAGAAGAUGUUUGGCUUAAGGGAUUUUUUGGAUCAUUUAGGUGUUAUUGGAAGUGCUGCAGAUUCAUUGUUGGUUAACUGUGAUAGCCAAGCAGCAAAAGUGUACACCAAAGAUCCAAAAUAUCAUGGCAAGACCGAACAUAUAGAUACCAAGUAGAAUCUUGUCAAGGAUAUGGUUGCACGAAAAGAUGUGAACUUAGAGUACAUACUACGCAUGGAAUGGUAGCAGAUCCUAUGACAAAGCCAAUACCUAGAGAUGUGUUUUGUGGCCAUGUGAAAUCUCUAGGAUUGCGUAGAGGAUGAUGUACUGAAUAUUGUAAUUUCCCUAAGAGUUCACAUUUGAUGAAUUUGUGUUUUCAUCAUUAAUGCCUAUGAAUCUUUGUUUGAUCUUUAUGCAUCUUAAUGCUCAGUGCAUUACUUUAAGUUAGAAGAAGUAUGUCGGACAAAUGAGAUUAGCCCACUCACACGGGUAAUCGCCUCUAUUUACUGUGUGAUAAGCUUAUUAUCUAGGUGAUAAUUGAGAGCUCAAGCUUAAAACACAUAUGUCGCCUUAACUGGAUGUUAAGAUGAGGACAUAAUACUUACUAUGUCCGAGAGUAAAAUACCCCACAUAUUUUACUUUAUCUGUCUAUGAUGCCAGAUGUGAGUUAUGAUGAAUUUAGUGAAUGAGUAGAUACGUGAACUCAAGUUAGACAUUGGGUAUGUCUAAACUAUCAUCUGUACGGUAUUGAAAGGUGUAGACAUACGCUCCAUGGGAAAGGAGUUAAUACCGUAAUACGUAUUUCAUACUACGUAUGCAUNNNNNNNNNNNNNNNNNNNNNNNNNNNNNNNNNNNNNNNNNNNNNNNNNNNNNNNNNNNNNNNNNNNNNNNNNNNNNNNNNNNNNNNNNNNNNNNNNNNNNNNNNNNNNNNNNNNNNNNNNNNNNNNNNNNNNNNNNNNNNNNNNNNNNNNNNNNNNNNNNNNNNNNNNNNNNNNNNNNNNNNNNNNNNNNNNNNNNNNNNNNNNNNNNNNNNNNNNNNNNNNNNNNNNNNNNNNNNNNNNNNNNNNNNNNNNNNNNNNNNNNNNNNNNNNNNNNNNNNNNNNNNNNNNNNNNNNNNNNNNNNNNNNNNNNNNNNNNNNNNNNNNNNNNNNNNNNNNNNNNNNNNNNNNNNNNNNNNNNNNNNNNNNNNNNNNNNNNNNNNNNNNNNNNNNNNNNNNNNNNNNNNNNNNNNNNNNNNNNNNNNNNNNNNNNNNNNNNNNNNNNNNNNNNNNNNNNNNNNNNNNNNNNNNNNNNNNNNNNNNNNNNNNNNNNNNNNNNNNNNNNNNNNNNNNNNNNNNNNNNNNNNNNNNNNNNNNNNNNNNNNNNNNNNNNNNNNNNNNNNNNNNNNNNNNNNNNNNNNNNNNNNNNNNNNNNNNNNNNNNNNNNNNNNNNNNNNNNNNNNNNNNNNNNNNNNNNNNNNNNNNNNNNNNNNNNNNNNNNNNNNNNNNNNNNNNNNNNNNNNNNNNNNNNNNNNNNNNNNNNNNNNNNNNNNNNNNNNNNNNNNNNNNNNNNNNNNNNNNNNNNNNNNNNNNNNNNNNNNNNNNNNNNNNNNNNNNNNNNNNNNNNNNNNNNNNNNNNNNNNNNNNNNNNNNNNNNNNNNNNNNNNNNNNNNNNNNNNNNNNNNNNNNNNNNNNNNNNNNNNNNNNNNNNNNNNNNNNNNNNNNNNNNNNNNNNNNNNNNNNNNNNNNNNNNNNNNNNNNNNNNNNNNNNNNNNNNNNNNNNNNNNNNNNNNNNNNNNNNNNNNNNNNNNNNNNNNNNNNNNNNNNNNNNNNNNNNNNNNNNNNNNNNNNNNNNNNNNNNNNNNNNNNNNNNNNNNNNNNNNNNNNNNNNNNNNNNNNNNNNNNNNNNNNNNNNNNNNNNNNNNNNNNNNNNNNNNNNNNNNNNNNNNNNNNNNNNNNNNNNNNNNNNNNNNNNNNNNNNNNNNNNNNNNNNNNNNNNNNNNNNNNNNNNNNNNNNNNNNNNNNNNNNNNNNNNNNNNNNNNNNNNNNNNNNNNNNNNNNNNNNNNNNNNNNNNNNNNNNNNNNNNNNNNNNNNNNNNNNNNNNNNNNNNNNNNNNNNNNNNNNNNNNNNNNNNNNNNNNNNNNNNNNNNNNNNNNNNNNNNNNNNNNNNNNNNNNNNNNNNNNNNNNNNNNNNNNNNNNNNNNNNNNNNNNNNNNNNNNNNNNNNNNNNNNNNNNNNNNNNNNNNNNNNNNNNNNNNNNNNNNNNNNNNNNNNNNNNNNNNNNNNNNNNNNNNNNNNNNNNNNNNNNNNNNNNNNNNNNNNNNNNNNNNNNNNNNNNNNNNNNNNNNNNNNNNNNNNNNNNNNNNNNNNNNNNNNNNNNNNNNNNNNNNNNNNNNNNNNNNNNNNNNNNNNNNNNNNNNNNNNNNNNNNNNNNNNNNNNNNNNNNNNNNNNNNNNNNNNNNNNNNNNNNNNNNNNNNNNNNNNNNNNNNNNNNNNNNNNNNNNNNNNNNNNNNNNNNNNNNNNNNNNNNNNNNNNNNNNNNNNNNNNNNNNNNNNNNNNNNNNNNNNNNNNNNNNNNNNNNNNNNNNNNNNNNNNNNNNNNNNNNNNNNNNNNNNNNNNNNNNNNNNNNNNNNNNNNNNNNNNNNNNNNNNNNNNNNNNNNNNNNNNNNNNNNNNNNNNNNNNNNNNNNNNNNNNNNNNNNNNNNNNNNNNNNNNNNNNNNNNNNNNNNNNNNNNNNNNNNNNNNNNNNNNNNNNNNNNNNNNNNNNNNNNNNNNNNNNNNNNNNNNNNNNNNNNNNNNNNNNNNNNNNNNNNNNNNNNNNNNNNNNNNNNNNNNNNNNNNNNNNNNNNNNNNNNNNNNNNNNNNNNNNNNNNNNNNNNNNNNNNNNNNNNNNNNNNNNNNNNNNNNNNNNNNNNNNNNNNNNNNNNNNNNNNNNNNNNNNNNNNNNNNNNNNNNNNNNNNNNNNNNNNNNNNNNNNNNNNNNNNNNNNNNNNNNNNNNNNNNNNNNNNNNNNNNNNNNNNNNNNNNNNNNNNNNNNNNNNNNNNNNNNNNNNNNNNNNNNNNNNNNNNNNNNNNNNNNNAUCUCCUGAUAUCCUAUACAACUUCGAAUUUUAUAUUAAAACGUGAGAAAAUAACGUAAUCCUCCUAAUUUGUAUCGAAAUAUUAAGCAUUUGUAAUAAAUAAAUAUAUGAACUUUUUGACUAAACAAAAAAUUAAGGAUCCAUGGGGCUAAUUAUAAUAAAUAAAAUCAUAAGGCAAAAAAUUAACAACAAAUAUGGGUCUAAUAUUAAUCUUAUUCCCACAAUUACUAUAUCAAGCAUAACUCCUCCUACAAAAGAAAAAUUAGACGAGCCAAUCCAUGUGGUACAUAAGAAUUUGACGGUGACGAACACCAUCCAUCCGUCAAAUAGUGCGAGAGGGAGCCGAUGAGAGAGGGAAGCAAGUGAGGAAGAGGAAUGAUUAAGGAGGAGUGUUGUGUAUGUUUGAGAGAGCCAAGAGGAAAAACGCCGUGUGAUUGCGGGAAUAAGAAUAGAAAUAAGAGAAAAAAAAAAUAGGGGUUUUGACCUAUACUUAUGAAAUCGGUUCCAAAACUGGUCCAGGAACCAGCUCUUGGGUGGGUAAUCAAUUGGACCUGGUUUUCCGACCGGUUUAAACCAAUUCUGAAUUUUGGGAACUAGUUCCUAGACCAGUUUCAAUGGGAAUCGAUUCUUGAGCCUAUUUUCCGGGUGGGUCGGUCCGGUUUCUGGAUAUACCCGGUUCGGUUGCACACCCCUAGAUAAUUAUGUGAAAAACUUCUCCACUAAAUCAUCCUACUUUAUAAGUUUACUUAAGGAGAACCAACGCAUUACAUUAGAAAAGGAGAAAAUCAUGUCUAUUAUGAGAAAUAAACGAUGAAAUUCUUGAUUUGAAUGCUUGAAGUAUGAUGCCACUUUCUUUAGUGAGAGACAUCAUUUUGGACGCUUGUAUCGUGUAACUCUUGUGAUUCAAUUGAAAAGCUUUCCACCAAAUCAUCCUCCCUUAAAAAAGUAUGGUUUGAAGGAAAGUGAAACCCAACUAAAAGAUAUUCAAUAUGAUCAGCAUUAGGGGGUAUUGUUCUUUUAUUGCCAUUUUGUCCAUUGAAUCGCUCCAGGCCGUGUGUACCUUUUACUUUCCUUCCUUCAUUUUCCAUGAUUCUAUGAUCACAUAUAUUUUAUUUAUUUAGUUUUGGACGCAACAUAUCAAGAAAACCCUAAAUUUGCAACUACAAUCUUGAUAUAUUAAAUAAGUCUAUUUUGCAUUAUUUGACAUAGAUAUUCACGACGUUUGUUAGCGAUACAUUUUUUUAAUUAGCAUGUUUAACAUAAAUCAUUUUCAUAUUUCAUCUCUUAAUAAUUUUUCAUGAGAAAUUGAAAAUCAUUAGGAAUAUUAUCCUUCGAAAUUUGAAGUAAUGAAGCUCAGCUAGAGCCUAGCCGCAAUUAUUUAUCUUUUGGCUUGUUUUAUUUAUAAAAGUCUUUCAUGGCAUUUUUGGUUGCUUUGACUUGUUGACUAAAUCGGUGCACUGUAUGAAGUCUUCGAGAGGAUGACUUGUCCACAUUUAUUUUAUCUCAUUCAUAACACUAGUAUCCACAUCAUUGGACUCAAUUAACACCAAUUUAUAAACGCAAACCACUCCAUCAACAUACGUUAGAUUAGUUCCAUUCACAGGAUGGCUAGCAAGACACUCUAUGCAAUGAGUAAGAGACACCAUGAUCAAAUUUGAACAAAGUAAUGUUUCAAGAAUAGCGUUCAAAAUACACGUAAUGCACUCAUGAUGGUUUAUAGGAACUCAACUCUGCACAAAUUAUGUAUAAAACAACAAUCCUUUGUAUCACAUGGCAAUUGGAUAUCAUAACUAUGGUCAUCUUCGAUGCACUACUUUGUUCAACUUAGCAACACCUUAUGAAAAUAGAGUCAUUUUCCUAAAAAAUCACUUCCAGGAAAAUCACUCUAUUUUCCGGUGCUUAGUCAAAAUCUAAAAUUUGAGUGAAAAAUAUUUUCUAUCGUUCGUUAGCUCAUUUAAUUGUUUAGGAAAAAUUAUCAAAAAAUUAAUUUUAAUAUUUUUAAUUGACCAACAAUUAAUUUUAUUUUUUUAUAUUUUUUAAAUGAAUUUUUAAUUAUUUAUAUUUUAAAAAAUCGAAAUUUUUAUUAUUUAUUAUUUAUUUUCUUUUUCUUUUUUUCUUUUUCUUUUCCUUCCUCCUUCCUCCUCCUCCUUCCUCCUCCUUCCGCCACCGACGCCUCCUUCCUACCUGACAACGGCCAACUACCCAGCGACCGACCGAGACCCGGUGGCCAGAUCUGGCAAGCUUGAGGCUAGGCCGAUAGAGCUUGAGCUCACCGCGAGCUUCAUUGGGCUCUAGCGGGCCACGAGCUCGCCAGAUCUGGCGGCGGAGCUCGGGCUUGCUUGGAUCGGGAGCUCGAGCUUCGCUGCUAGAUCCAGCAAGCUUGCAGCUCACCAGAGACUGACGAAGCUUGAGGCGAGCUCGCUCGCCCAGCUCACCGGAUCUAGCGAGCCACAAGCUCUACCCAGGCUGGCGAGAGCUCUGCCUUUACCCAAUCUAGCGAGGCUCGAUCUCAGCUUCGCCAAAUCAGGCUAGGCGGAGCCUCGCCGGCCUGGGGUGAGGCCGGUGAGGUCGCUGGCUACUGGCUUGCGACCGGUCGCCGGACGCCGCCGUGGCCAGUAGCUGGCCACCACCAAAGAAGAAGAUGAAAAGGAAAAAAAAGAAAAGAAAAGAAAUUAAAAACUCAAUUUGAAAAAAAGAAAAAAAGAAAAAGAAAGUAUAAAAUAAAACGAAAAUGUAUUAAUAAAAAGAAGUAAGAGGGAAGAAGUCAUGGAAAACGUUUUUCACUUUUCAAAAGUGGAAAGCAUUUUCCUCACUUUAAGGUUGUUUUUUCUAAUGAUGGAAAACAUUUUCCUUGACUAGUUCAUUUUCCGUAAAACAAACACUGGAAAAUCUGGAAAAUAUUUUUCCAUAAUCCAUUUUUCGCGAAACGAACAAACCCUAAAUAUGAAAAACUUCUCCAUAUCAUCCUCCUUUAGAAAUUUACAAAAGAAGAACCAAUUCGUUACAUUAGAAAAGGAGAAAAGGAUGUUUAUUAUGAAAAAUAAACGAUAAAAUUCUUGAUUUGAAUGCCCAAAGUCCGAUGCCACUUUCUUUAGUGAGAGACAUUAUUGUGGACGUUUGUAUCGUAUAACUCACGUGAUUCAAUUGAAAAGCUUUUCCACCAAAUCAUCCUCCCUAAAAAAUUUACAAAAGGAGAAUCACUACGUUACAUUAGAAAAAGGAGAAAUGGAUAUUUAAUUAUAAGAUAUAAACGAUGAAGCCCAAUGCCCCUUUGGUCAGUUAGAGACAUCAUUUUGGACAUUUGUAUUGCAUGACUCAUGGGUUUAAUUGAAGAUUAUGGAUAAAGACUCUUAAUUCCAUUUUCAUGACUCAUAGGGUUGUCAAUGAAAGCGAAAAGGUUUCAAAUAAAUAUCGGAAUCGACAAAAAUUUAAAGGGAAACAAAUAUUACUAUAAAAUCUUCCACAACCAUUUGCCAUCAAUUAUGCGCACAGCCAACUUUCCAGCAGGUGCAGAAAACAUUAUAUAUUAUGGUCCCUUUUGACAUCGAAAAUACGUCAAGGUAACUUAGCAGCAGGUGCAACUUCCAAUUUAUAGUCACUAAAGUUGAUGGCUUUAUUAAAAAAAAAAAAAAGUGGAGGACAAUAAUGAAGGUGUAACUUUUCUAUAGUUGGAUAAAUUUAAAAUUCCAAUCCGAUAUUGUAAAAUAAAAUUUAUCUAUAUAAAUACAUAAUAACAAAAUAUUUCCAAAGAAUCGCCUCUCAUUAUGACACAUGGGACUCCGGAUAAUUAGAUAAAUUUCCUUCAUACCAUAGAGAUUGAAUUUGCAGCAUUCACUACAAAAAAAAUGCUCCACCUAAGCGCUACCUAAGCAUAUACUUACUACUCACUACUCACUAUGAAAUAUUUGAUUUGAUCUUUUUGCCUUAAAGACUUACCUUUUAUUAUAAUUAAUUGCCUUUAACCACUCAAGUAUUCUCAUUAAAUGCGCCUUUAUAUUAAAUAGCAAAUGAUUGUGCAAAACUUUUUCAACUCUUAUUUCCUUAGAUUGUCAUUGCAUUUCUAAAAAAAAUAAAUAAAUUAGGGACCGAAUUUGCCAACAACGCUAUAAUUUGACCCCUAACCAAAAACACUUACCACGGACAGUUGUUUGCAUUCGUUCCUCACAUACAUGACUAGAGGCAUGUUGAUUUCAAUACCUUGGGCCUGGCAUCAAAAUAAAUCUUGGACAGGAAAAAGAUUUCACAUUCUUCCUUUCGGAAAGGGAGGAUUAGGAAAAUCCUAUUAAUUGCAACUUUCUCCAAACCUCCAAGAAAAGGAUAAAAAAAAGGCUUGAAUGGUACAACCCCUCCGUAACCCCUACGGGAAAAAUAGAGAUGUGUCCUACGUUAAAAGGCUCGAAUGGUAUGAUCCCUCCGUCAUCCCAAAAUGAAAGGGAUUGUAGACAUUUUUGAAACAUCUCUAACAAAGAGAGAAAUAGUCAAUUUUGAAAGAACUUAAACACCAAUUCUGAAAUCCCUUCUCUCCCACGUCACACCUCGGAAUGCACCCUUAUUAUAGAGAGAAAGACGACCUAGUAUGAUAUCGAUAUCUCUUGGAAUCCUCAACUAAAUAGGAUACUACCAAUAAUCAUAGCAAUCCACAUAUGUCCGUUUCCCAUUAAUCAAUACUGAUUGAUGGAAUUCUGAAGAAAUAUUCAAGGCCACUCAACAUUACUCGAUUGAUUUGCUCCUUUCAAGUUGACCCAUUUCUGUGCGCACCAUUAAGCCUCAGCUAGCCUCAUCGCUUUAGCCUUAUUGGGACAUGAAACUAAGUCGAGAUAUGGGCCACCUAGUCCACAAUCGGCCAAGAGUCUCACCUGGGACCAGAGAGCGAGUGUAACAUCCCGGGUCCCACUUGUGUGAUAUUGUCCGCUUUGGACACUGAGUCCUCACGGCUUUAAAACGCGUCUCACAAGUUAAGGGAACCCAAGCCUUAUAUACAAGGCCCAUGACCCCUCCCUCAGCAAUGUGGGACAAGAGGGAGAGGAAUCCCUUCCCUUUCCCUUGCGCGCGUCCGAGGACCGGAGGCGCGGACGCACCGCCAUCCCUCCUCCCCGCGCACUGCCGCUCGGGUCGUCACACUCUCCCCCCCUUGGGAGCACAGCGUCCUCGCUGUGGCCUCACAUGCUGUCGGGAGUCGGCUCUGAUACCAUUGUAACAUCCCGGGUCCCACUUGUGUGAUAUUGUCCGCUUUGGACACUAAGUCCUCACGGCUUUAAAAUGCGUCUCACAAGUUAAGGGAACCCAAGCCUUAUAUACAAGGCCCAUGACCCCUCCCUAAGCAAUGUAGGACAAGAGGGAGAGGAAUCCCUUCCCUUUCCCUUGCGCGCGUCCGAGGACCGGAGGCGCGGACGCACCGCCAUCCCUCCUCCCCGUGCACCGCCACUCGGGUCGUCACAGCGAGAGCGUGCGAAAUAGAAAAGAAAAGAAAGUAGAGCGGAGGGCAGUCUUGGCAAUAGGAGGAAAUAACAAGAGUAGGACCUGUUCAGGCAGCUUAUCUGGCUGCAUAUUGAAAGUGAGUUAUUACGUGAACAGCCCAAGGAUAGCAGAGGAUAAGAUGCAGGGAAUGUUUAUCAUUUUCUUACCUGUUCCUCCGUUAAUCUCGCGUGCUAACCAGUAACCAAUCAUCGCUGCCAUCAAAGCCAAUUCGUUUCGAAGCCCCGCUUCACAAUCGUCGUUUUGACCCUCCACGGCCUGAACAAUCGUCUUCUCUCAAAUCUUUGGACUGAGCCAUCGCUCGAUGAGCUUAUUGCUUCCCCCACAUGACCAGACAAAUCCUCGCCUUCCAUCAGUAGCGUAGUCACUGUGUCACCGCGUGUUUCAUGGGUUACUCCGCUUGGCUGCUCUUCGCCGCCCAAAUUACUAGCGCUAUGUUAGGUAAUCACACAUUGAUUUCAGAAAAAAUAACGCAAGCAAACAAUCCACCCAGACUAAAUAUAAUAAUAAAAUAAUAUAAUCGGAAUAACACAAUACAAAAUUUAUUAUCAAAGUUCACCCUAACCUAAGCUAUGUUUUCACGCAGAGGUACUAUGCAAAUCCACUAGACUUUGAAAAAAGUUGAAAUACAAUAAUGAUUUUCUCUCAUGGUCAAGGUACAAAUAGAUUAAGAAUCCUCACAAAUAAGAAACUCACUUUUUUCUUCUCUCUUUUUUAUUGUCUCUCUAUUUUCUUUUAUAGCUCCUUGAUGGCUAGCGUUCGACUAUCGCUGAUAUAAAGUGUAGCUUUAAACUAAAAACAAAACUAAUAGAAAAGACAAAAAGAAGCCCCCAAAAAAAUUUGGCUUCACCCACCAGCAAUCUCCCACUUGAAGCACAAUGCAACUUAGCAUUCAUCUACUUCAAAAUCUAGUAACUAAAAUUUGUACCUUUGCAAUACUCCUCAUCAAUUAGGAUGGAGUAAUACCGAUCGUAGUGUUGACACCUAAAUUUUGAAUGUUCAUAUAGGCUUCAAGUGUAUAGAAAAUUAGGGAUUCAUUUUUAACCCCUAAACAAAAAUAGUUUUCACCAAAAUUGCAUAGCAUAUAGACAUUAGGAGCAUUUGCAUUAAGAUGUAUAGAAUUUAUAAGAAAAAAUAUUUAAAAAAAAAGAGGAAAAAGAGGAAAAAAACAAUUAAUUAAUUAAAAAUUAAUAUUAGAAAAAGAAAAAGAAAAAGUGAGAUGGGGCUAGGGUCAGGCCGGCCCAGCCUUCUUUCCCUUUCAUUUCUACCUUUUCUUUUUUGCCUAGGCCUAGCCCGGCCCACUUUUCCUUUUCUUUUCCCCAAGCCCAGCCUCUUCCUUCAUCUUCUCCCUCACGCACUCCCACUCGCUCACGCUCUCACGCGUUCUGCAAAAAAGAAAAAGAAGGACGAAGGACGAAGGACGGAAGCAGAGGCGGGACGGGGAGUGAGGAGCGCGCCUUUUGGGUCGGGAGCAGGCCGGCACGGCGAGCUGGCGGUGGCAGAGGCGAUGCGCGCCUGCCAGGCGUUAGAGGGGGAUUCUGGGGGGCUCGGACAGAGGGAGAAAUGGACGGAGAGAGAAACAGGGAGAUAGAGGGGAUCCGGCCGAGAGGGAGACCACGAGUGAGAGAGCAGAAAAUUCGCGCCUGCUGAGCGCCGUUCGGCCAUCCUCGACACAAACCGGCGUCCACUAGCCGAUGCCACCAAGCCUGCGGCCCCCAUCUUUAACGGCGUCUGAUUUUUGGUGAGUUGAGUUUCGGUUUCGAUCCGCCGUUUUCCCGUGGUUCCCGGCUUGGCGACACUGAGAUGGCCGGCUAUAGUUCGAUUCGCAUUGAGACCGGCUUCUGGCCGUCGUCCCCAAGCCGGCUAAGGCCCCCGCGGUCGCGCGCUCUGGCGCCCCUUUUUUGUCCAUUCUUUACUGCUCUGUUUUUGCCCUAUUUCUGGCAUGCCGGGCCGGAGCUCGCCGCCGUCCGGCUCACGCGAACUCCGGCCCCUUCGCCCUCGUUUUUUGAUAUUGUCGGUCUGGUGGGUCGUAUUUCGAGGGGACCGUGCGAGUUUGAGUCUCGGCUGAGCCGGGAGCCCCUCGUUCAGUGUUGCAUGCCACCCGCUCGAUGGAACGCCUCAACGAGAUCUAAUUUUCGUCUCCUCCUUCUUUUGCCGAAAUCGAGUCGUCCACACUGUUGCGUUCUAUUGCUAUGUCCCUGUGACGCUUGGCGUUAUGGGCGCGGCCGUUUGGUGGCUUCGCUACCCCCGCCACCGCCGUUGUUUACUUUGUUUUGUGUUUCGAGCUUUGUAACCGACAAUAAUGGAGGCUCGUUACUGUGGUUCGGCCAUGCUGGCCGUCGCCAAGAGUCCAGAGCCGUCGGAGUUAGAGCGUGGGCAGGCCGAGGGCGACAACGUCGUCGGCUCACGGCCAUUUGGAGAAGACGGUGGCAGCGGGAGGUCAGAAUCAAUUAGGUUGGAAGGAUUAAUUAGGUUUAAUUAGCAUGGGCUUAAGUUAGUUUAGUGGGUUUAGGUUCGUUUCUGUUUUCAAGGGAGCAAAAAAGUCUACCGGUUUAUAUUUGGACCAGUGAUUUUCGGGCUUAAUUUGCUUUAGGGUGUAUUUGUUUCGCAAAAUCUCAAUGAUAUGGGAAAAGGCUUUCCACUAAAACAUUUUCUAGCAAUACUAUUAGUUUCCUUUAUUUGGUAAUAUAUAAUCAUAAAUGUUUUUCAGAUAUUAUAGAAAAAUAAAUUCAAUCUCAUUUCUUUAUUUCAGGCAAAAAAAUGAAUUUUUAAUUUUAGAAAAAUUGAAACUUUUAAUUAUUUAGUUAUUUUUUUCAAAAAAUCAAAUUUUUAAUUUUCUAUAGUAAAGAGAUGUUGGAUUCUCAUUAAAGUGACCAUUAUCCAAAUCUUAGAAUAUACUUACAGACAAAGUCUUCUCGAGGAGAUGCACAACAUCCUGUGCAUAUGAUUACACACGAUCGAGCAGUCCACAAAAGCAUAGCGACAUAACUAGACAAGGCAUUCAAAUAAUCAAACAAUUGCAAGAAAGCAGAUUCUUACACACAUAUUACCAUAUGAAGCUAGAGCUCGAGCUCAUGCUUAAGUACGCAAAGAUAAAUCACACCGUUACAUUUAACUAAACCUCAACUGCCACACUACUUUUACAUGUUCUUCAGCGAUUAGCUAGUCAUCUAGAGCUUGAGUUCAGACCCAUGCCUCCAGCCACCGAUGGAGUUAAUGAGUGCAACCAUUGGAGCCUCAUGUGGAGCCAUAUUCCUCCAGCGGCGUGGCAUCGAAGACGAAAAUGUGCAUGAGAGUGAAAAGUGGCAUUGAAGGAGGACUUGAAGCUCGCGGAUGAUGGAACCUGGGAAAGGAGAGACGACAGCGAACGACGGACUUAAGCUUGCAAGGAGUGAGCAAGGAUUGGGCACGGAGUCACCGAGGAGCGAGCGACAGCUAUUUGCUUCAGCAGUGAGAGAAAGGAAGAAGAACUCUAAUCUCAAUUCGAUUUGCAAUUUAAGACUGACUUAGCCACCUCGGUCCUAAAAUCCACUUCACGCCCUUUUUCCCCUUUACGGUUCUUUUGCCGACUAUCUUGCGCUCUCUUUCCUUCUCUUCAUUUUCCUGGUUCUAACUAAGAAAAAUAAUAGGGUGAAACGCACCCAAGCUUUUUCUGUAAGUUUUCUCCUCUUUCUUCUUCCUUCUUGCUUUGCCAACUGUCUUUCUCUUCCUUUUCUUCUCUUUAUUUUCCUGGCCCUGCAGAAGGAAAUAAUAAGGCUCUUGGGACUAAAUUUCUCUUGAGAAAGGCCCUUUUGUUAUAGAUAGUGAGGGAUGUAAGAUCCCCAACCUCGCCACCGAAGUGGACACACACAACAUAUGGAGAUUCCCAGUAAGAUGGGGAAUUUUAACAAGAUUUUCCUUGGUUGGGCGUUUUAGAAUCAGUUCAUUGUCUCUCUUCACUAGAAUAAAGCAGAAAUAGAAAGAAAGCAAAGCAGAAGAAACAACGAUGAUCCAUGAAUAGAAAGAAGGCGCACCGUUUACGACCGAGAAUCCCUUGUUUCUAUUUCAGAGUCCGCUGAGUCAGUUUCAGAGCUCCACGCUCGCUUUGCUCCACUCAGAAUCUUCUCUCUGUAAGACUUCCAAGUGUCGUAAGUCCGACCACAGUCGGGUAACUCCCCACUACAUGUUAUGAGUAUCGAGCACUCAUCUGGUAUUUUUGAGCUCGAUGGAUCAAGAAUCCUUCCCACUGAUCUGCACUUUUCAAUUUGCAAUUGAUUCAAAAACUCUAAUUCGUCAAUGCCCUCGACAACCUGCAGGCUCCAGCACCGAUUAAGAGUCAACUCCAUCAAGUUUUUCAAGUUUGACAAACCGCCUAACCUUUUUAAUGAAGUGCACCCUCCAACAGAAAAUACUAACAAUGAUUUCAACGUAGAAACAAAUUGAAUAUCCUGGACCCCGGGGCACCCCCACAGAACGAAUUUUUGAAGCAUCUUUAGGGAGCUUGGGAAGUAAAAGGCUCCCCUCCAAUGAUCAAUCAACUCGGGAGCUUGUAGCUCAUUGCACCCUGGGUCCUCCCGCAGACGAACCCGCCCCUGCGACCAUCUAUGGAAUAGGAAAAAUUCCAUUUCAAGUUGCCGUAACGCCUUGUUUUCUUCUGCUUCUCUCGAACUUGAUGAAACGAUUGCAGUCUCUUUUUUCGAUGGAGGAAGCCAUGAUGAAACGAUUACAGUCUCUUCUUUCAAUGGACGAAGCCAUAUUUGUUUCCCUCGAGUGUCGUAGAGCUCUACAACCCUUAACUUUGACGGAAGUUGUUUGAAAGUAGGCACGUCUGCUCCAUGUAGAGUAAGUACUUGCAGCAGAGAAAGGGAACCCAACACUGUAGUUGGUGCGUAGACAUUUGAAAAGCAAAAUUGCAACUUUCUCAGCUUGGAUAAAUUCUUAAUCCACUGCAAGUCGCAAGUUUCAAUUUUAUCUGAUUUGGCCAUAGAUUCAGAGCGAUCAGACAAGGCCAGUUCAACAAGAUUAGUAAGGCAUGAGAGGUUAGGGACAGUGUGCAACGAAGUAGAUGCCAGCUGUAGAGUGGUCAAACUCUCGGGGAGUUUUGGCAACUCUCCUAUCUGAUCACAAUCAUUCAUAAUCAGUGUUUGGAGGAGAAGAAGCUUGCACAUUGUACUGGGCAGUUUUUCAAUCGGUGUGAAUGAUACAUCGACAAAUGACAGGCUUGAUAGUCUAUCAAUGGAAUCUGGUAAUCUUCUAAUUCUCGUGCAUGAUACAUCCACCUUUGUUAACCACUCUAAUUUCAAAAUUGAGUCAGGGAGUUCACUCAAGCUAACACAACUCUUGAGAGAGAGAUGCUGCAGAUUAUGUAAUCCUCCAAUUUGUUCAGGCAAUUUUUGAAGUUCAAUGCAUUUCUCAAAACUCAAGUCAGUCAGCUCCGUCAAUUUCCCAAUGGAGCAAUCAAUUUCCAUCAAAGACACAAAUUUAGAAAAAUUCAACUUCUCUAAAACUGAGUAUCGGGGAAAGGUUGGCGUCUUAUGUAUCAAUGCAUUAUAGCAAAUAGUGAGAACCUUCAAUUUCCUUGCCCCCUAUAAAAACCAAUGAAGUACCAAGACAAACAAGAAAAAAAAAAAUUAGGCUACCAAUGAGAAAACUAGAUAAUAAAUCCAUCAAAUUUUUUGCUUCAUUGAAUGAGAAAAUUAGUCUAAGAAGGGAACUGGCAUACCUUGAUUAGGCUCUCGAGCGCAUCCUCUGUUAUAUCAAGCCCGGAAAGAUUCACCACAACCACAUUUUCUAGAUGCAACAAAUUGGUUGCCUCCAUACGUUGAUUACAGCAGUCUGGGUCAGGAAAAGUAUAAGGGUAACUCAAAACGAUCCACUUCAACUCGAAAAGACAGCCCGCAAAGUCUCCUUGGCAAGUUACAUUAUGUAACGAAAGAAACCGCAUAUGCGUGAACCGCUUAAUUUGCUCCGAAGUGAGAGAUAUUGGAUAUUGACUCCAAUGCCACGAUAAUCCCAAUUGGAGUGCUUGAACUUUUUGGUUGCUCUGCCAAUGACAUUGAUGAGCAAAAGGACGAAUUUGUCAAUAUCCCACUAUUUUAUUUCGUAGAAGAGAAGAAAAAAGGAAACAGAAGAGUAGCUCCCAAAUCAAGAACGUGAAUCCCUAAUUAAGAAGAGAGUGUAAGCAAUUUUCUAUUCAAAUUUGGCCGUACAUUACCUCUGUUAAUCUUAAUUCACGAAUGAUGUUGUCUUUAUCCCACAAUCUAGUUCCCUCAUUUUUGGCAAUUGUCCUUCCAAGAUCUCUCAACUGAUCAUGCAUCCCAAGGCAAUUAUUGUUCAACUCCUUUAUCAUGCAUCUGUUAAUAAGAACCUCAAUGGCAUCCUCUGGAUAAAACUCACAAUCUUUCCACAUGUACAUUGGAUUAGUCUUAUUCCGACCAAUGAAAAAGCAUGCAAUAUCGAGGAAUAUUUGUUGUUCAUUCCAAUCCAAGUUAUCAUAGCUAAUCUUUAGCUUUGCCAAGACAUCCUUAUGAGGUGUAUUCUUUAGCCUCUCUAGCAUCUCUUCCCAUUUUUCUCUCUUUCUCUGAAAAAGCGAUGAACCUAUUGCUUUAAGAGCUAAAGGUAGUCCGUCUGCGGUAGAGACAAUGCUCUUUGAAAGAGUGUAGUAAUCAGGUGGAGGAGAGUCAUCAUUGAAGGCAUGCCUACUAAAAAGUUUAAGUGCAUCUUUGCUACUCAACCCCACCAUUUCAUAAUUCUUAAAUUCAUACUCCAAUUCCCUGAUAUUCAAAACGCCUUGGUCCCUAGUAGUCACAAGUAUUCUAGUACCUGGAUACAAAUGGUCCUCUCUGAUUAGUUUUUGGAUCUGGUCGGCCUCAUCAACAUCAUCCAACACAAUCAGAACCUUCUUGUUGUAAAUUGUGUCUUCAAUUCUAUUGAUCCCAUGAUCAAUGUUAGCAAUGUUGUGAGCAUCUCUAAAAUCAGAGAUAUCGGACAAUAAUUUCCUUUGCAGUGCGACUAAGCUUUUGGUUUUUGCUGUUUCCCUCACGUCAUCAAGAAAGCUGCAGUUUGGGACAAAUUGAGGAUAUAGUUUGUUGAAGAUAAUCUUAGCAAGUGUUGUUUUACCGAUGCCGCCCAUCCCGUAGAUUCCAAUGAGCUGCACACCACCAGAAUUAAUGUCUAAUAAUUUUUCUAUGUCUGCUAUUCGAUCCUCCAUUCCAACUAAAUCUCUGGUUACACGUCUCUUUCUUGUCUUAAGCCGGACCAUAACCUCGUCAACAACCUCUUGGAUAAGUUUUGUAGGGCUGCCACAAAGUUCAACGGUUUCAAUUGAGCAAAGGUGACAAAUUUGCAUGUUAACCAACUAUCUACUAACCAACCAGGUGGGAACGCGAUCAAGUUUUAAAAAUAUAGAAGUGAAAUGUUUGAUCGUUAUAUCAAGUAGAAGAAUGAGAAUUUCUGGCAAAAAGGGCAGAAGAAUCAAAAUAUAAACAUCUAAUGAAUUAAUGUGAUAGAAUAUUUACUCAAAUAAAAAAUGGCCCCAUCGGACAAAAUAAUUUUCACAAUCAUGGUUAUAUUGUUACCUUGAAUUUUUCUCCAGCUCCAAUCCCUUGAUGCCCCCAACUUCUUUGAGUGCCUGCCGCCACUUCUUUAUAUCCUCGGAGCUGAACUUAAGCAUCCGAUCCUUUAUCCUUUGCUCCAAAUUUGAUAUGGCAUCUUCGUAUAAUGUGGUUUUCAGCUUCACAUCAUUGGGUUUCACUUUGUAGAAGAUGGGCAAUAUGACCUUCUCUUUCCCAUCUUCUUUAUGCUUAGAGGUGUUCUCCACCAUUUUUGCAAGCUCGUCAAGGCACCAGUGACUUGACGCGUAAUUUUUGGAAAAGAUGGGUAUGUAGAGCUUGGAAUCAUUAAUCGCUUGCAGAAGUUCGCCCUCAAUUUUUUCACCAGGUCGAAGCGCUUCAUCAUCGAUGAAAACGUGAAUCCUGGCAUCUACCAACGCUUGAUGGAGGAAAUUGGUAAAUGUAUCACGAGUAUCGGGCCCUCUAAAACUCAGGAAGACCUCAUACUUACCUCCUAAUGUAUUGCUAGUGCUCGUUCUUGUCUCUGACUUCGCCAUUGGAGCUCACUCGCAAUGGCAAGGUCAGCCCUCUCACAUGGUCUCUGAAUUCGCCAUAUGACAUUUCACAUAUUUGAAUCCGAUCCCAUCUGCCAUCCAAAACGCGUAUAGGCAACUUCGUAGCAAGUGCAGUUGCCAGUUUACAGUCAAUAAAGUCGAUGGCUUUAAAGAAGAAAAAUGACCGGUUUGCAAUAUACUAACCAGAUCAUGUAGAAUUUAGCAAGUUCUAAUGGACAUUAUAUUUUCUUCCAUAAUCAAUAGGAGGCAAAAAUUAAAUUGACUUAAUCAGGAUUUUCUCACACUUAAUUUACACUCCCUUUCAAUUUAAUGCAACUAUGAGAUGAUCGUGGCUCUUCUCCUUUACUAUGCAUCCACUUUCUCAUUCUUUAAUAAAUUUAACAAAUUUUGCGCCUAGAGGAGAAUUUUUGCUCCUUUGAAAAUGGUUUGGAACUUCGCAAUUUUUCGGAUCAAAUUUUCCAAAUUUUAAAUGGAAAGAUUAUUUGCCACCUGCAAUUUCUUGUAAAAGAGAUAGCAAUAUUUGCAAAAUAUAGAGAAUAGCACAUACUUUCCUUCCUUGAAUUCGCGGAUUAAUUUUGCCAGUUAGAAGAUAUGCUUCUAACAUAUAAAAGCACGCAUUAAUUUCUUUCAAGAUUAAAAAGAUUCUAAUGUUUAAAAGAAAAUCUGAUUUUCAAAUGUUUAAAUCAUUUAUAAUUAUUCUAUAGCAAUGGGUAAACAUAUUUAUAUAGAUACAAAUGGAAUUUAUCUAUAUAAAUGCAUAAUAAGAAAAUAGUCCUAUAGAAAAGUUUAAGUUUAAGUGCAUUUAUUUCAAGUGAGAAGUUCGUCAAAUUUCAAACUGUUUUUUUUUUUUGGAUUGGACAUUUUAACAAUAAUAACAUUACAUUCAUUAAUGGGAAGAGCUUUUAUUACAUUCUUAAUGUGAAAAGCUUCUCCACCAUAUCAUCCUCCUUUAGAAAUUUACAAAAGAAGAACAAGCCCAUUACAUUAAAAAACGAGAAAAGGCUGUUUAUUGUAAGAUAUGACGACAAAAUUCUUGAUUUGAACACCCGAAGUCCAAUGCCACUUUCGUUAAUGAGAGACAUCAUUUUGGACGUUUAUAUCGCGUGACUCACGACAUUUAAUUGAAAGUGACGGAUAGGCAACUUCUCAGCAGCUGCAGCUUUUAAUUAACAAUGAAUGAAGUUGAUGGGUUCAGAAAAAACCACAUGGAGGACAAUUAUGGAGAUGUACCACAUUUUUGGGUCGGUCGAGAUGUACAAUUAUGGAGAUGUACCAUUUCACACGCCCAAUAUCUUUCGCCUUUCUUCUUGGCGCCUUUGAACUUUUGAAUUAAAAAAAAAAAAACUCCAUUUUUCAAAUGUUUAAAUAAUUUAUAAUUAUUAUAUAGCUAUAUCUAUAAUUAAACAUAUUUACAUAGAUAAAAUCACAAUCUAUAUAAAUGUAUAAUAACAAAAUAUUCCUAAAGAAUAUCUCUCUCAUUAUGACAUAUGAGACUUUAGACAAUUAGAAGAUUUUCCUUUAAACUAUUGAGAUUGGAUUUGCUACAUUCACCACAAAAAUGCUCCACCUAAGCACUGCCUAACAGUAUGCUUACUACUCACUAUGACGUAUUUGUUUCGAUCUCUUCCCCUUAAAGACCUACUUUUUUAUCAUAAUUAAUUACCUUCAACACCACAAAUAUUGCAAUAUAUGUGCCUUAUAUUGAAAAGCAAAUCUUUUACAACACUUAUUGUCUUAUUGAAAACUAUUAGAAUGCGAGCAUGAUAUAAUUAGUGUGGUUUGGACACCAGCCAAACCUAAUUAUAUAAACAUUGAAAUAUAUCUCAAGUCGGAGCCGAAUUAAAACCGGAUCGAAAGGGACUUAUCGACGCUCGUCCUCUAAUCAAGAGUGGUGAGAGGAAAUGCAAUGAUGGCCUGUCCAUGGCCAUGGUGCCAUCCCAUCAUGGUGUUGCUUUGAGCGUCGAAAGAAAGAGACCGUCCUGGUCUUGACCAUAAGAGACGACUUUGCUCAGCUGAAGAAAGGGGAAAGAGAGAAUGAUGAUGGCCAGUGGCCACCGCUGAUACGAGACAAAAGGGGAAGGAAAACGACGAAGAAAGUUGCAAUAAUGGUGUCAUUUAACGAUGGCCGCUCAUUGUUUCCUUUCUUCUUUAUUUGCUUCUUGUGAAUUUUCUCUGUGAAUACGAAGAGGAAGAGCUCUUAAUGAGAGCUCCAAGGACUGCACAACGAGAUUAAAAAUUUCCUCUUAAAAGUUUUGAUUCAAAAAGUUUUUCUUUAUGAAAUUACACAAAAUGAAGUCAAUUAAAUCUUGUGUUAAUGUUUAGGUCAAUCUUUUUAUGCGAUUGAAAUAUUAUUUUGAGAGAAAUUAUGAGGGUUAAAUAUAGAGUUAUUAGUCAUAUUUGAGGGAUAAAAAUACAAAUAAUAUUUGAGUAACUCAAGUAUUAUUAUAAUCUCCAUGGCAUUGUAAUUUCAUGGUUUUCAUUUCCUCGUGGACGUAGGUCACAUAACCGAAUCACGCAAAUUUAGUGUUUGAUUCAUUUCCUUGUUUUACAUUUUUAUUCAAGCACUUGUUUUAUUUCCAACAAUAAAUAUGGUUUGAAGAAAAGUGAAACCAAAUUAAACCGUAUUAUAGUCAAGAUCAAACCAAGCCAAACCAUUUUAUGUGGCUUGAUUCGGCUUAAUCGUUCUUUCUGCUUUUAUUUUACCUCUUCAUCAUAUGUAAUUUCAUAAUUUAAAAAAAAAAAAAAAAACCCCAGAUUCUAUGCCACAACCCUCCCGAGGAAGUUACCGAAUUACCAAGUAAGCAUGAAUGGUCCCUUUUGCAAGGUGACGCUUGCUCUUGGCAGGAUCAAUCACAACUUGGUUUUUAUUAAUUAUUUCAUUUGCUCAAGAGUCACCACUAAUUUUUUAUAAACUGAUUAGGAAUAAAGUAAAACACGAGCCCAUUUUACUUCUACAAACCAGAGAUUUGUGGGUCUAACGACUUGAUUAGGCUGGAUAUGUGAUGUGCAAUUAUUCACGUGGUCUUCCCAAUCUUAGUUACCCAUUUUGUUCUCAAUAUCGAGGGAAGCAGGCGAUCAUGCAUGAAUUCACUCAAGCAAACACAAAUAAAAUUCAAUAAUACUAAAACAAAUAGAGCAAAUAAAAGGUACGAAAAUAAAGAAAUUGAGCCGUAUUGCAAAAAAAAAAAAAAAUCAAUACAAAGCUUUGUUCUUAAGUCCCAAGAUAGGACCCCUUGAGCUAUAAAUAGAAAUUUGAUGUUAGAUCUCCAACUAUGGCUCCAAACCGGAAAGUAAGAGCUUGUUUGUUUGUAUUCUUUUUUUGUUGUCAUGAACAUAAUUUCUUUUUUUUUGUUCCGGGCAAUUAAAACAAAAAAAAAACGUGUUUAUUUACAUUUUUGUUCCAAAUCUUUUUUUUUAUUCCCGGGAACAAAUUUGGAACAGAAACAAGAAAUAAGAAAAAUUUGUUUCUUAUUCCCGGAACACUUCUGAGAAACAAUUUUUCUCUCUCCUAUUUUUGUUCUUCUCUUUCUUUUCUUAUUCUUUUCUUAUUCUUUUUUUUUUUUGGCUAGUCGCCGACCUCGACUAUGGCCGUCAACCUCACCAGGGUGUCGUCGGCCCCUGGUGAGGCUCGGCCUCACCUUGGUUAGGCGAGCUCAGCCUCGCCAGAUCUGGGUGAGCUCGAGCUCGAGCUCGCCCAGCCAAGGCUCAGUUGACCUCGCGCUGGCCGACAAGGCUUGGCCUUCGCCUUGGCUGAGUGAGCUCAAGCUCACCCAGAUCUGGCGAGGCCAAGCCUCGUUGUGGCUAAGCGAGGCCACCAGCCCUCGUCGGCCAAUUGUCGACCAUGGUUGAGGUCGGCGACUAGCCAAAAGGAAGAAAAAAUAAAAAAUAAAAAAGGAAAAAGAAAAUAAAAAUAAAAAUGUUUAAAAAAUUAAAAGAAACAAAAAAAAUUAUACAAAUUUACCAAACGUGUUUCUAUUCUUUUUCUAUUCCAAGAACAAAAAUUUUGUACAGUUACCAAACGCGUUAUUCUAUUCAAAAAUUGUUUGCUGGAGCAUAAAUAAUUUUUUUAUUUCUGUUCCCAUAACAAUUUUUAAACAGAAACGUUAUCAAACACACCAUAAAUAAAUGAUACUUCAUUAAUAUCCACCAUAUAAACUACUUUCCUAAAAUGAACUAUUACUUCAAAACGUAAAAUCUACUCAAUGCAAUGUUAAGAAACAAAAUUUAUUUAUGAAUAUGCAUUACUAGUAAAAUAAACUCCUAGAUUUUUUUUAAUGAAUAUGCAGUUUAUCUUUCCACUUGUUCUUUUUUCUUUUUUGCAUUUUACCCCUUCUUUAUAUAUAUACACACAUAUCUAAGUGAAACAAAAUUUGACUACGUGUUGAAAUAAAUAUGAACUAGAAUCUAUAUGCCAAAAUAAUAUGUAAUAUAAAUCCGGAUUUUCAUAAAAAUUUACACUACGUUCACUUGGAAUUUUUUUUCUCUGGAAACGCUCAAUUGGAAUUUCAACCUUAAAAUUCCAUCAAGAACGACUUAGUGCACACGAGAAAAUAAAAAAAACUAAAGUGACAUAAUGCUAUGAAUUAGAGCCAGACUAAUCCACACUCUGCGAAAAUCAACGGUGGAUGAAUAAAUCUAUAAGAAUAACCCAUUUUCUCUCUACCGCUUUUUUUAGGGUGCAGUUUAGCUAACCGUCCUCUGCCAAAUGAUGGAGUGACAGUCAACUAAUGACACACAAUUCGUAUAGAUUCCAUCUUUUACCCCUUUUUUUUUUUAAAAAAAAAUUAUGUUUUCUUAUUGCAAGCUUAAAUUGAGAGAUAAAAUCAUAAGAGAGCUCAUACAAUCAAUUUUCAUGAAUAUUAUGAAACAAAAAAUAAAUUAGAUAUUGAAAUAUAAAUAAUUAGAAGUAAAAAAUAUUGUCAUCCACUAAAAAGAAAUCGUUUGUUUCAAUAACAUAUAUCGAACAAUAAUUUUUCUUGUGACAUGACUAGGCCCUUGGUUUUUAGCAUUUCCCUUGUGUCAACAAGAAAGUUGCAGUUUUUCCCAAAGCAAGGAUAUAGCUAGUUGAAGAUAACCUUGGCGAGUGCUGUUUUGCCGAUGCUACCCAACCCAUAGAUUUCAAUGAACUAAAUACCAUCAAAAGCGAUGUCUGAUAAAGUGUCUAUCGUUGCUAUUUGAUCCUCCAUUCCAACUAAAUCUUUGGUCACUUUGUCUUCACCCUAACCACAAUCUCAUUAACGACCGACGUGAUAAGAUUCCCAUAGCUGCCACAAUGACAAACAAUAUUAAUUGAGAAAAGGUGACAAAUUUUCAUGUUGACAAACAAUUUACAUAUAUCAGAUCUUGAAUCAGCCUCAAUUCAUUUCAAAUGCGCAGCUCUUAUAUUUUUGUUAGAUUGCAUAUUUCAAAAACAAUAAUGACAUUACAUUCAUUAAUGGGAAGAGCUUUUGUUACAUUCUUAAUGUGAAAAGCUUCUCCACCAAAUAAUCCUUCUUGAAAAAUUUACAAAAGAACCAACGCAUAACAUUAAAAAAGGAGAAAAUGAUGUUUAUUAUGAGAAAUAAAUGAUGAAAUUCUUGAUUUGAAUGCCCGAAAUCUAGUGCCACUUUCUUUAGUGAGAGACAUCAUUUUGGACAUUUGUAUCGCGUGACUCACGUAAUUCAAUUGAAACUUACGAACAUACAACUUCACAGCAGUUGCAGCUUUCAAUUUAUGGUCAAUAGAGUGGAUGGCUUUAGAGAAAAUGAGAUGAAGGACAAUUAUGGAGGUCUACCUUUUCACAAGCCCAAUUUCUUUGGAGUUUCUUCUUAGUGCAUUUGAACUUUUGAAUUUAUGACCAUUUUUUUAAUUAAAAAAAUGAUUUUCAAACAUUUAAAUCAUUUGUAAUUAGUUUAUAGCUAUAUCUAUGGUUAAACAUAUAUAUAUAUAAAUAAAAACGGAAUUUAUCCAUAUAAAUGCAUAAUAAAAAAUAUUCCUAAAGAAAAGUUUAAGUUAAAUGCGUUUAUUUCAAGUGGGUGAUUCAUUGUUAGUCAAAUUUCCGCUUGUUUUUUUGUUUUGGACAUUUUAGCAAUAAUAACAUUACAUUUCAUUAAUGGCAAGAGCUUCUCCACCAUAUCAUCCUCCUUCAGAAAUUUACAAUAGAAGAGCAAGCGCAUUACAUUAUUAAAGGAGAAAAGGCUGUUUAUUGUGAGAUAUGAUGACAAAAUUCUUGAUUUGAACACCUGAAGCCCGAUGCCACUUUCGGUAGAGAUAGACAUCAUUUUGGACUUUUGUAUCCCGUGACCCAUGAGAUUCAAUUGAAAGUUACGGACAGGCAACUUGACAGCUGCCGCACAGCUUUCGAUUAAUAGUGAAUAAAGUUGAUGGCUUUAUGAAAAAUCAGAUAGAGGACAAUUAUGGAGAUCUACCAGUUUUUUGGUCGGUUGAAUACAAUUAUGGAGAUGUACCAUUUCACACGCCCUUUCGCCUUUCUUCUUGGUGCCUUUGAACUUUUGAAUUAAAAAAAAAAAAAAAGAUCUGAUUUUGGGCGUGGAAAGAAAGAGAGGCCGUGCUGGUCUUGACCAUAAGAGGACGACUUGGCUUGGCCCAAGAAAGGGAAAAAGACAGACUGAUAAUGGCCACUGCUGACAUCGGACAGUACAGAAGGAAACGAAAACGACGAAGAAAGUUGCAGUAAUGGGGUCUUUUAACGAUGGCCAGUCAUUGUUUCCUUUCUUCUUCUUUAUUUUCUUCUAGUGAAUUUUCUCUUUAAAUUCGAAGAGGAAGGGCUCUUAAUGAGAGCUCCGAGGACUGCACUGAGGAGAUUGAAAAUUUCCUCUUAAGGGAUUGAUUCAAAAAAGUUUUCUUCUUGAAGUUAGUCAAAAUUAAAGCUGAUUAAAUCUUGUGUUAAUAUGCAAAUUGAGAUAUUAUUUCGAAAGAAAUUAUGAGGGUGAAAAACAUAGAGUCAUUAGUUGUACUUAAGGGAUAAAAACACCAAGGAUAUCUGAAUGACUUGAAUAAAAUUAUAAUUUUUAUUGUAUUGUAAUUUUAUCUAUAAUGGAAUUGUGUGCUCCUUUUCUCGUGGACGUAGAUCACAUAACCAAAUCACAUAAAUUUGAUAUCCGAAUUAUUUUCUUAUUUUGUAUAUUUUAUUUAAUCACUUGUUUUAUUUUCAAUAAUAAGUACGGUUCGAAGAGAAGAGGAACCAAGCUAGACUGUAUUAUAGUUAAAGAUCAAACCAAGCCAGACCUUUUUUUUUUUUUGGGGGGUUUGAUAUGGCUUAAUUGUUCUUUCUUCUUUGGUUUUCCUCUUCAUCAUUCGUAAUUUUAUGAGAAAAAAACCAAAUUCCAUGUCACGAAACUUCCAAAGCGAGAUCCCCGAGGAAGUUGCUGGAUCACCAAGCAAGCACAAAUGGCCUCUUUUGCGAGGUGAUGCUUGCUCUUGGCACGAUCAAUCUCAACUUGUUUCAAUUAAUUAUUUCGUUUGAUUGAGAGUCACCACUAACUUUUUAUGAACCAAUUAGGAGUCAAGUAAAAUGCGGGAGUCCGUCUUACUUCUGCAAACAUGAGAUUUGUGGGUCAGGAGACUUCAUUAGGCAAGACAUAUCUCAAGCCCAAUGCUGUAUAUUUUCUCUUUCUAUUAAAACAAUUAUUCAUGUGGUCUUCCCAAUCUUAGUUACCCAUUUUAUUCUCAAUGUUGAGAAAGGCAGGCGAUCAUGCAUAAAUUCACUCAAGCAAACACGUAUAAAAUCCACUAAUACUGAGACAAAUAGAGCAAAUAAAAAGGUAGGAAAAUAAAGGACCCAACCCGUAUCGGGGAAAAAAAUCAAUAAAAGCCUUGUUAUAAGGUUCCGGAACAUGCCCCUUGAGCUAUUAAUAGAAACUCAGUGUAAAAUCUCCAAAAUAAACUAUGGCUUAAAACCAGAAAGUAAAUAACUGAUAAUUCAUGGAUAUAUAUAAACUACUUUCCUAAAAUGAAGUAUUACAUCAAGAAAUAAAAUCUACUUAAUGCUAUAUAAAGUGCAAUGCAAUGUUAAGAAAACAAAAUCUAUUUAUGAUUAUGCAUGAUUCCUAAAUUAUCCUCCUAGAUGUAUAUUUUUUAAUAAAAUCUAUCUAUUUUUUUUGCUUUUUCACAUUAACCCCUUCUAUAUAUAUUAUAGUGAAACGAAAUUAAACUAAAAUAUAACUAAGUGCUGAGAUAAAUUUGAACUAGAAACUAGAUACCAAAAUAAUAUGUUAUAUAAACCCAGAUUUUCGUGAAAAUUUGCACUAUGUUGCGUUGGAAUUUCAACCUAAACUUCUUGUGGGAACGAGUUAAUAAACACCAGAAAAUAAAGAGAACUAAAGCGAUAUAAUGCUAUGAAUUAAAGUAAAACCAUUCCACAAUAUGCGAAAUCAAGGGUGGAUGAGUACAUCUAUACUAAUUGCCGAAAUUAAAUAUUAAAAAAAAGAUAUAUAUAUAUAUAUAUAUAUAUAUAUAUAUAUAUUCCUGCGCUGUUACAGGUUGAAGUGUUCAAAUUGAAUCACAUCAUGUAGAUUAUUUAUAUUUCCAUGUUUAUGCUUGCUGAGACACGAGGAACAAUCAACAUGAACAAACACAAAAAUCCACGCAGGUUUUUGAUUUUAUUUCCUUUCUUCUUUCGUCUUUCUUUUCACACCUGCAGCAUAAUUCCUUUUCACUUGUGCUGGUCGGAUAAGUCUGUCGCAUAUUUCCCUCUUGGUCGAGCCCAUGAAAGGCAGCCAGGGUCGUGCGGGCUUGGACUCGGAAGUUCAGAUGAAUUCAUGGCACAUUUUGCGUGUUGGGAUCCACUCAAAUUCAACUCACAAGCGGACUAAUUUAAACGAAAUUCGUAGUCAGGUUUCACGCUUUCUUUGGUGCGAAUGCAUUAUUCCUAACAAAAUGUUGGUACUACCUAAAUGCCGUAAAUGAGGAUGCAAAAAAUGUGCAAUCUCAAAAGAUUUAGGUAUUAGCAUUAUGCGUUGACAAAAAUUCAUAAAUUCACACAAAGUGAAAAUCAAACCUAUUUAAAUAGCUAUUUCAUGUAUAAAUGGUAAAAAUAAUUAGCAAUAUCAAUCAUUUAUACAAUGCGGUGUCGCGGUUUUGGUUUGGUUUCAAAAAAGUUGAAACCAAGCCAAACCACAAAAAACGAUUUGUUUCAUGGACGACAUGGAUAUUGUUAAGAGGGACCCUCGAGCUCGAAGGGAAGGUGUUUUGGUUGCCAGCCACAUCGUGGAGCUUGGAUUAAGGCAAGGCUGCCUCCAUCAAGAUGGAUAGGGAAAGCAACGCUAUCAACCCAUAGAUCCAAAUGCCGCGAGAAUCGAUCCAAGCAUACUGGUUCGAGACGAAGGCCUCCCGAUCGUGAACUGAAGCUUCAUGGAUAUCAUGAUUUUCUAGAAUACUUUCAAAAAGAUCAUACUUUCAAGAAUAUUUUUUACACCAUUGCAUACUUUCAAACACAAACGGACAUGGCACAUGAAGUCAUGCCAAGACAAAAAAUGACAAAGGAAUUUUCCUGAUGACAUCUCUAAAAAUAUCAUAAGUCGCAUAAAUAAUGUUAGGAAUUAUUUGAGAAUUGAAUUUAGAGGACAAAAUUGGAAAAUGUGGUAUCGAAAGAGCAUUGUGGAAAGUCUAACCCCUCCCCACACAUAAAUGAAUCCUUCGACAACAAGUUUCAUUGGCUUUCACAAAUGAUCAAUAUUAAACGUGGACCUAGUUUCCAAUCAGCCAAAUUUUUCAAAUUGAUUGGCAGUUACUCCAUCUCAUACUUAGUUGAGUGGACCGAAAAAAAAUAUUAUAUUCUUUUAUAUAAUAAUAGACCGUAAAAUCUAGCCAAUAAAAUGGGCCCAAAUUCUGUCGGCCCCAAAGCCUCUUAAGCUUUUGAUUUCCGAAACAAAAGAAGCCCUUCGUUCCUCAAGAAGUUCGAAGCCUGUUGCGAAAGGAAGCCAGCAAUCCAGCCGAGUUGGAAGACUCGGAAUCUUCAGUCGAGCGAAUAGCGUUUUCGGGUUUCCGAAUCGAACCCACUUCUUCAUUUUCACACAAGUUCAUCUUUUUCAAUCGACUGGUAAGGCCUUCUGGGAACUUCUGCGUGUUUUCCGCUUUGAAUCGUCGCGCCGGAUGCUUCUGCUCUUCAAUUUGAUUCUCUUUUAUUCUGUUUAUGUUAAUUUGCGUUGAUUUUCGUCGAUGUUGUGACUGUUUUUGCUGGUUGGAUCGUCUUUAACCUGGAGUUGUGCGGUUUCUAGCUCGGGUGGCUAGAAAAUAAGAAAGAUCUGUUUUGGUAAUCAAGAUAGAUAGUAGUGUAAGGAGGUGAAAUUGAGAUUUCAAAAAUGUUAUGUCGUGGUUGUUUUUGAGUGGUAAUUGCUGAUGGGUGUCCGUUGAAUUGCUUCAGUUGAAUUUGCUUGUUGGUCUAAAUGGCCUGCUUUCUUUGAACUGGAGAUUAUUUUAUGCUUGAGUCGGAUAUUGGGAAUGCGAGUAUUUUGAGCAUGGAAACAUCUUCUCCUAUUUGAAAUGGAGAUGAGCUUCUUCCCCACUUUUCAUUUUCAAUAUGCAUGCGAUUGUUCAAAACAAAGUUGAACAUAAUGUGUUGUUAAAUAUAUAGGAUCCUCAUGAUCCUUGAUGACCUCACAUAAUUUUGUACUAGUAUACUUUCUGCACUUGAGUUGCUGAGAUUUACGUGGCAUGUGCAAGAUUUUAUUCCAUGUUCAAAGAUACGUAGUUUCUUAUUGACAGAUGGGGGAGCUCGCUGGCAAUAAACAUGUCAAGUACAUAUUGUCCGUUGAAAAGGUAGGUAUGAAAUUUCACAAUCCUCUUCUUGUUUUCUUGUCCACUUCUUGCCAGUUACUGAAAAUGACUUGGCUUAUCUGGACCUGCUAUUCACAUUUCGGAGUUUACUGAUUUGAGAUUUUGGGUUGAUCUUGCACUCAGAAAAAGGAUAGUUUUGAGUCGGUGGUUAUGGAGCACCUGAGAUUGAAUGGAGCAUAUUGGGGAUCGACCACUCUAGAUCUUCUUGAAAACUUGACACCGUGGAUUCAAAUGAAGUUGUUUUGUGGAUCCUGCAAUGCUAGCAUGAGUCUGGUUUGUAGUUAUUUAUCUCUUGGCUUCUUUCUUAAGUACCCAUGAAAAACAUGCAGUAUUUGAAAGAACGAUCAACAUUUUAGCUCGGGAUUAACAGAUUGCCCUUAUUAUAAUAAUGACCACAUCUUAGGGGUGAUUAGUGUUGCUUUAUUCAUCUUUUAUUAUAGCUUCACUCUAAGGGACAAAGUGCAUGUCACCUACGGCUGCUUUUACAAGUGUCUUUGGUGGAAACACGGGACAUGUUCUGCAUCUGCUGUAUACGCUCAGUGCCGUGCAAGUUUUGGCCCCUUUUUGACAAGUUACAUGUUCUUGACAUCAACAAGGAAACAGAUUGUAUCCUUUGGAAUGAAGUAUCCUAAUUUGCCAAACUCUUACAUAGAUGCAAGUUCCUUGGUAUUAUUUUAUGUUUUUAUGUUUUCAACAUCAUGAGAGUAAGGGCGCGCAUGGAAACACUUCUGUUCUUUUUUUGUUCCUGGAAACAAAAAUAAAAAAAAAAGUGUUUCUGUUCCGGAGAACAGUUUUUGAACAAAAGAACGCGUUUGGUAAGUGUAAAAAAAAACUGUUCUUGGAAUAAAAAAAGAACAAAAACACGUUUGGUAACUACAAUCAAUUUCUGUUUCUAGAAUAGAAAAAGAACAGAAACACGUUUGGUAAACGACAAAAAAAAUUCUGUUUUAAAUUUUUUUUUAAAAAAAAACUUUUCUUUAAUAAAGUUUAAAAUUGAUAUUGAAUUCUCAUUCUUAUGAAAUGCUCAUUAAUUUUAUUUUGUUCAUGGUUAGUGAAGACAAACAUUUUUAAGGGCAUAUUUCGUAGAAAAUUUUGUAAUUAAAGUUUGUAUCAAAUUUUUUCAAGUACUUUUUUUAUUUUUUAGUUUUAAAGCAUAUAAACUUGAUAUUGAUUUCUCAUUCUCAUUAAAUGCUUAUCAAUUUAAGAAGGAUGAAGGAAACAUUGCACCAAAACUAUAAAAAAACAAACUAUUGUUAAGAAAAAGAACAUGAAAUGAACAAGAAAUAAGGAUAACCAACCACAUUAUCGAGCAAAGUCAAUGCAGUGACAGAAGUAUUUUGAAAUUACAGAGAAAAUUCGAUGCAGGAGAUGAGCAAGAAAAAACUCAAUUUCCCAACCCCCAACCCCCAACCACUCCCCCACAAAAAAAAAAUAAAAUAAAAAAUAAAAUGAGCGUUCUUCUGGACGGUUUCCUGGAUAAAUUUUUCUCUCUGACAAUUACAAGCAAAGGAGAAAACUUUGCAUAACUAAUAUAGUACCGGCAAGCUUCACAUAAGCAUUAUGUAUCAUCCAAAAUCAGUUGAUCCACAAUUGCGUCAACGAGUCCCUUAGUAGAAACUAUACUCUUCAUAAGAACCUCAUGGCAAGCAACAUUCCCUAAAAUUCCAAGACAAAUCUCCUGCAAACCAAUAAAAGCAGCAGAAAUGGAAUUAGAUUAAUAUACUUAUUCAGAACCAACCGGGCCACCGUUCCCAAAUAUGGUUUCCAAAUGCCCACCAACACAACGGUUUAAGAAAACAGAAGCAUGGAGAAUAGCUUACUCUAACCCCAGUGGAUUGGGAGACUGUGAGUUUUGCCAGAAGCACGUCCAGGACAAGGUUCUCAACCUGUGACAUGCAAAACAUAAAAAGAGUAAAGUGGCUGCUCAGUUGAAUCAGAUACUAACUUACUGUAUCAUACAACAUUUUCCUUCAGACAUGGCUUUGUUUGCAAGUGACUCAGUUCAGGCUGCGAGCUACUAGAGAGGAUGGAGCUCACAUACAAUGUGAAGAAACAAUUGUUGAAUAUGACAAAAGAAACUACAGAAACAACAAAUGCUUUGUUAUAUUUGGCAAACAACCAAAUCACCCUUUUUGCAGAAAUUUCCUAUUAAUGCGCCAAUUACCGGAUAAGUCCACCUAAAAUGAAGCAAACAAGAUAUCGAGGUACAAUAGAUAGCAUUUGAAAAACUAGGAUGCACUCUCUUGUACCAUGAGUUCUGCAUGAGUUUGACUUGCAGCAAGGUCCCACAGAAUGCAACCAUUCCCUUCCCAAACCUCUUCUAAUGUAGAAGCUUUGGGUAAUCCAUUUCCGCAACCUGACUCUCCAUCAACUCUGCCUUCUUCACAGGCAGAUUCCUUAUUAUCAUCAAUGAUGUCCAUUGUCUCAGAAAAGUCACUCGCUGGGUCUUGUACUCUCGUAUUAUCCAGUGGGGCCCGCUUUUCUUCAAUGGAAUCCGAGCUAGACUUCUAGGAAUUAUUUCCGUCAACUCCAUUGGAGCAAGAGUUAUGUGUCUGAUUCGGUGGUAGAAGUUUUCGUAUGAGGGAAAUUAUGUAGUUGGGAUCAACUGUUGUUGGGAGGUCAAAUAACUGCACAAAACAGGAGACUUAAGGAGAAUUAAUCAAUUCCAACUCGCACUUUCUUUCUCGACGGUCUCUCUAUCAAUUAAAAAACAUUAGAAAUCACGAAACGAUGCAGAAAUGGCAUCCACAAGUUCUUUCAUAAUAGUCAAAGACAGAAAAUAAGAGACAGGUAUAAAUGAUCUUGAAGAGCAGCAAUCUAAACUCAGCAACAGAUGGACGCCCCCACCACGACAUCUAAAGUAAGAGCGACUCCAUUGACAUCACAAGUCAAAACCAAGCCUAAAAUGUCCCGUAGGUUCCCAUGAGUAAAGAGACUAAUAAGUAAUAACCUAGGAAAUUCAAUAUCUUCCAGGAUAACAUCACCACCAUGGCCGCUAUCGUCUUUUUUGCAUAUAAGAGAAGCUCAAUCCCGAUAGUGACCAUCCAUAACAUCACGGGAAAUGCGUCACACGGAAAGUAGCCGCUCCCGAGAAAGAACAACCAUCGGAUUCUAGUUCCCGACAGUCGAAACGCGCGUCUCCAGCACUCGGAAGCAGUUCGAUUGCGGGAACGCUAGGGUUAGCGGAAGACAAACAGACAAAAAACCUAGCACCGGCCCGCGUCCCAACUGAGACGGACCGUUCUCCGUAUUCUCGGACGACGCGAUUCGAUGGAAUUGGAGAACGCGAGCGAUCAUACCUCGUCGGGAGGCGCGGCGGGAUGAUGAACCGGCGCAUCUCUGUCCACCACGCGCUCCUUCUCCUCUGCUUCGUCUUGAAGGGCCGAUCCCAAGUCGACCGCCAUAGCCCUUCUCGGCUGGUGCGAAAAGGGAGAGAGAACCCCCAGCUGAGGCUUUGGAGUAGAUCAUCGACCGUCUCUAGCACCGAGGUGAAACCGGUCGCCAAAAAACUCUCCUCCGCACAGUUAAAAAAUCACGCCUCCUGUCUCGCCGGACCGUCGGCUAUCAGCCCCACGGGAUAUCAGUGGCGGCGACUGGCGAGGCAGGGAAGAUAAAGACCGCCGCAUUCGCUAACGAAGCUUCAGCCGAGAGCACCAGCACGCACGAAGGAGAAGCCGCAGAUCUGGGCGAGCAACGCUCGCUCGAGGCUCGAGCGAGCCGUCCUAGAUCUACCGUCGGCAGCCUCAACCGAGCGUCCUAGAUUUGCCGCGCCGAAGCCCAUCGUCGACCGGAGAAGGAGGAGCACCAUAAACGUACCUGGAGUCGCCGGAGAGUCAGCCGAGUGGGAGCCGCCAAAGAGAUGGGAGAGACGCCGGAAAAGGGAGAGCAUGAGAACGAAGCUUCAGCCGAGAGCCACGAUCACGCACGAAGGAGAAGAAAGCUUCAGCCGGUGUUGUUCCAAUUUUGUUCCGGUUUUGUUUUUUGUUCUUUUCGUUUUUGUUCUAUUUUGCCUUCCAAGAAGUGUUUCUUUUGAACAGAAACAACUUUUUUAUGUUUCUUUUUUUUGUUCUUAUUUUGUUCCGGGAACAAAAAAAAAAAAUAACAGAAAUGUAACCAAACGCGUUUCUGUUCUUUUUUGUUCUCGGGAACAAAAUCCUGUUGACACCUAAAUUUUGACUAAUCAUUUAGUAAUUAAUUGCAUAAAAAUUUAGGGAUUAAUCUUUAACCCCUAAGAAAAAAUAUUAAAAUUGCAUCUCAUGUAGUCGCAUUUGCAUCGGUACUAAGGGGACAACAAGAAGCAGGGGCUCGCGGUCGAUUGCAUACACAAACUCGGUGGAGUGCGGAUUCGGGAGAAAUCUUCAAAGAAGCAAAAGCACCUCACAACAUAUUAUAUAAUAUGCCCAUAUUGUAUUAUUAUAAUAUAUCCAUAAUAUUAUAUAAUAUGUCAGUUUUAGUAACACCAAGAAGAAACCUCCUCAUUAAUGCAUCGCCAUGCACGCACGAAAUGGGACAGGCGUUUGCCUUGCUGAGAACAGGGGGGGAAAAAUAAAAUUCAUUUCGGAGGUCUGUGAGGGGAGCGAAAAAGAAAAAGUUUCAUCGUGAAGGGCUGGUCUCAUUUUCUCUUUCGGUCAGACGAGUGAACGAAAGGAGCUUGUCAGAGAAAAAUAAAAAAAGAAUGUAAAGCCAGGGGGGAGAACUUCUCCUUCGUUCACGCAAGCGGAGAGAAAGGUGGGGAGAUUAAAAGAUAGGGGUUUGUCAGAGAAAGAAAAAAGAAACAAAUCAAGUACAAGAGCUAAACAAAAACAGAAAAAGUACUCUGAGGAGAAGAGAGAGAACCUGCAGAGAGAAAAGAAAACUGAAGUCAGAGAAGGCAACAAGAAAGGGAAAGGAACGUGAAAGAAAAAUAAUAAAAAAGAAGGGUUGUCUUCUUUAAGUAGAGGCUCCGAGCGUGCCAGGGUGGGAGGAACUUCUGCAGCUGCCCAUUACCGCCGGAGCCCCGAACUCUCUCGCCACUGCAGCCUGCACCACCGCGCCAGUUCCGAGUCGGCCACCGCUUCCUCCGCCCGAGAUCCAUCCACGACGCCGCGCCGCCGCACUCCUGUUAACGCCGCGAGCACCCUCCAGCCCACACCCACAUUCACGCCUCUGACCGCCCGCACCAGCAACCCUCCGAAGGCUCCUGCAUCGACCCACGCUGCCCACGCUCGCACCACCGCGUCUCCACCUCCGCCGCACGCCGCCUCGCCUGCAGUGUGCACCGACCCGCGACGCCAGGACCGGAGGUUAAGCUACCCCAACCCGCACCUCUGCUCGCCCGUGGCCGUGCCUCCUCCUUCACCGCGCCCCUGCUUUGUCAAUGCCCGACUCCUCCGCAACCGGUAACCCCGAGCUCCACCGUUCUGCACCAACAGUCUGCCAGUAGCCCCUGCUGCUGAUCUGCAGCACUCCAGCUUGCGCCGCCCCACAGAGGACACCGAUCUCGCCACACCGGAGUGUCCCCGACGCCGUCGCUCUAGAUUUGCCACCGUCUGCGAACCAGACUCGACUGCAUCGGCCCUUUGCCCGCCGGAAGGCGCCGCAGAACCGCGCCUCCGCCAGUCACCACCGUGCCCCGUCACACCUCCAGCCUCUGAGUGACGUACGUAGCAACCCAACGUCUCCGCUGCUGCUCCACUCCCCUGCGACGGCCGGCUCCACCUUUGCUCCACCCCCCUGUGACGACCGGCUUCACCCCCUGAGACUCUGGCUUUUCUCGUUCGCUGCUCGCGGCCCCAUCUGAACCUCGGUCCCCUGCUAUUCGAGCCUUCCCACCCGACGCUGUGACCCAAGCUACUGCGCCUCCACCUUCCGAUCGAUCGCGCUUCUACUUCGCCUGAGAACUAUAGCUCGACCCAUUCGAGUCGCUGCUCCGCCCGAGCCGGAGUCGACGCCAAGCCUCCCUUGCCGAGCCGCUCCAUCCUCUGCUGCCGCGCUUCCGUCUCCCUCGCUGCAACCCAACGCCGACGACCGCCGUGCUCGCCUUCCACCCGCGACGCCCCUGUUCCGCCGGCUGCCCCUUCUGCCCGAGUGCCGUCCCUUUCCCGCCGGUCCUCGCCGGAGCUCCGACGCCGGUGAGCCGUCACCUCCGGGGACCCACAAGCUGCCAACGUUCUUUGCAAAACAAAAAGCAAAAAAGACAAAAGCAAAAGGGGAACAUUAGGUAGUUAUAAUAAUAAUAAUAAUAAUAAUAAUAAUAAUAAUAAUAAUUAUUAUUAUUAUUAUUAUUAUUAUUAUAAUUAUUAUUAUUAUUAUUAUUAUUAUCAUCAUCAUCUUAUCUUUAUUUUUAUACAGUUUAUAGUUCAUUUUUAUAUAUAUAUUUUUUAGUAUGAUUAUUCAUUAACGCAUGAUUAAAGUUUCAAUGUGAAAUAACCCCUCAAAUUAGGGAUUAGGAGUCCGAUUUUCGCGCCCGAAAUCCGACUCAUAAUCCCUUGCAAAAAUCAACAAUUCAAUCUCAUGCCCGAGAUUCGAUUCGCGAUUUAAUUUAAAAUUGACCAACCCGAUCUCAUGCGCGAGAUAUGGUUUGUCAAUUUUAGAUAUUAAUCUUAUCUUGAUUGGAUUGGAUAUCGGGUUAUUUGAAUUAAAUUUUGUUUUUUGCAUAAAAAAAAUUCAAAAAAAUGCGAAUUAGAUUACGGUUCGGGUUAGCAUAUUUAGUUAUUUUGUCUUUAAAAAAAAUUAAAAAAAUCCAAAAAAUGCAUUUAGGAUGUUAGUUUUUNNNNNNNNNNNNNNNNNNNNNNNNNNNNNNNNNNNNNNNNNNNNNNNNNNNNNNNNNNNNNNNNNNNNNNNNNNNNNNNNNNNNNNNNNNNNNNNNNNNNAUCCCCAAAAAAUUAAUUAAUUUAGGGUGCUAGUUCUUUAGGUUGCAUGUUUAAUUGUGUGCAUUUUAAAAAAAAAAUUCGAAUUUUAUAUAUACAAAAAAAACAAACAAAAAUCAUCAUGCAUUUUAGAAUAAAAUUGCAUGUCUCAUUUUAAGUUUAGAUCAAUUUGCAUCUUAGGUUAGAAAUUGCUAGAUUAAAAUAACGUCCUAGUUUAAAUUAGGAUUUAGCAUGACUUAAUCCUAAGUUUAAAUUGGAGGGAAUUUUAAUUUAGCUAGGUAUUUUUUGCACUUUUCUUAAUUUCGCAUAUCAUGAAAAAUACAAAAAAAAAUUUCUUUAGAUAAAUUAGUUUCAAGUUGUAGGAUAAAUUGCAUUUUUAGGAAUAGAAAUAUCAUGUGCACGUCAUCUAGAAUUGGGUUCAUAUAAUCAAAAAUUGCCCGUCAUUAUAAUUAUGGCAUUUUAAUUUGCAUAUUUAAUUAUUGCAUGUUCAUUAAGAAAACACGGAAAAAAGAUUUUACUCAUGUCAUGUAGCUUAGAAUACAUUGUCAAGCCAUUUCAUGUCAGAUUAGAUGCAUUGCAUAUUGCAUGAUUUUCAUUAAAAAAAAAGGUAAAAAAAAAACUGCGUGUUAGAAAUCAUAUUUAGGAUUGUUGAUGUGAAUUCUGAUUUAAUAUUGCAGAUGCUUUCGUUGCUAUAAGGUAAGUCCUGCGAUUUAUUCAUCGCUUUCUUGGGUGUUGAAUUGGUGGUUUGCGCAUCCGCAUGAUCACCUCCCAUGUUAGGAUGAUAAAUUAAAAUCAAUUCAAGCUGCCUGCAAAAUAUUUUUUUUCAAAUAAAAAGAAAUGGUACCGAAAGGGCAUUAGAGAAAUCUAGUGUAACCAAGUCCCCGAACUCACAAUCUCUGGUUCGUAGGAGUGAAGUAAUUCUCCCAUUACUUUAUUUGGGUUUCUAAUCGACCCACCAAAAAUAGAUUAGUGGCGACUCCAUGAUAAACAUCAUUUGCAUAUUAAGAACUUAAACCCUAAGUCGCGAAUUGGUAUGGGCUUGGGAGAGCUCGAGCUAAGUCUAGGCUUAGCAAUCCAUUAGCCGAACCCUUAGGUGGUCCAAACCCGCUUCGGGGAGGUCGCGACAGCUUGGCGACUCCGCUGGGGACUUGAGUUAAAACUCUUAGUGGACUUAGGCCAAUUUUUCUUUUCUUUUGAAAAAUGUUUUUAUUUGGCAGCGAGGAUUCCAGGUACGUCCCUAACAUUUAGGUGUUAAAUGUUUUUGCAGGAUGGGAGGUAUAAGGGGAAGUGUUUGCUGACCUUUGUUUUGCAGGGAGGUGUAGGAAUGUAUGGUUUACUUUCACUUAUGAAGUGUUGCUUGAUAUAAAUUGACGUGCAUGCCUUGCAUCUAGCACUACACUACUGCACACACAACCCGCCGCCGGACCUGGGCCGCAUAGGAUCAUCUAGGAUGGUAUUAAGAUGGAUACCACUUCGACCGCAUGCCCGCGGUACGAGUCGUCCAUCUCAAUCCCGAAGUUUCUUUUCUGGUGUCAAGAGUACCCACCUCGGUUCGCAUGCCCGCAACCCAGGUCGGCUCUUUGACCAAGCCGAAGUCAUGGGGACCCGACUUAGUCCGCACGCCCGUGGCUAGUCUGAUCAUCCUUGUGGCUUCACUUUGUUAAGCCUUAUAGACUAGAAAUUGAGCCACUUACCAUGCGCAUGUCUAUGUGAUUGCCCUUUGUUUAUUGGUAAAGUAAGUUCUCUAAAUUCUUGCCUUUGCAAUUUACUUACUCUAUUGCAUUAUUUUGUCGGUCCAUGGCAUUAGGAUUGUCCUGAGUCUUGAUCAAUAUACAAUGGGAAUACCGGACAUUCGAAUUAUUCUCCCUCCAAAGGAAGAGCUUAGCGCAUGGUGGGACAAGUUAGACCAAGUUGGCCGUCAAUUUGUAGAGUCACACAUUAGUCGACUACUUCCAUUGCUGCGUAUCAACAUCCAUGGCGGCCUCAUCCAAGCACUUGCUCAUUGUUGGUGCCCUGAGACUUCUACUUUCAUCUUCGGCGGUAAGCAUGAACUCACGCCCACCUUGGAAGAGUAUAGUAUUGCCAUAGGGAAACCUUUGAAAGCUGAAUUAAUUAGCCCACCUAUCGGAAUAGACCCCGUUGUGGCCUUAUCCGAUUUUCUGAGAAUUAAGGAGGAUAAUGUAAGGAAGGUUUUAAAAGCUCACCGCAAUACAUGUCACUUGUCUUUUCUAAAAGAAUGUUUUGAAAAUGGCAAUUCAUUUCAAAUGAGAAGAGUUUUCCUUUUAGCUUUCUUUGGGUUUAUACUUUUUCCUCAUUGCAAGAAUGCCAUUAACCCUUUGAUGGCUCACUUAGUUGAACAAGUGUUGGGAGGAAAAAAUUUCAUAAACACUAUUUUGGUUGAAACCUUUCUUUCCCUCACUCGAUUUAAAGGAAGCGGGGAUAAGACCUUCCGUUCCUCUCCUGAGCUUUUACAAAUUUGGUUCCUUUCUCACAUAAAAGGGUUUGGUGGUUCAAUGACUAUACUUGAUGUUAAUAACUCUAAUCACCCUAUUAUGAGAUUUGAGAACAACCAAAAACAUGCACCGGAUUACCAUUAUUCUAGAUGGCUAGCUUUCAUGAAAAAACCAACUUCCAAGGGUUUCCUAUGGCAUGCUAAGUGGUUCCAAGUUCGUGUGGCGAGACUUUCAUGUGGAGGUGUUGGCCCAAUCCCUCUACUGGGAUUCACUGGAGCAACGGAGUACUAUCCAACUAGAGUAAUCCGUCAGUAUCAAGUUGUGCAAGAGCUUCCCCCGGCAUUGCAAGCAGAUCCACUCCGAGUCAACUUCAUUGAUGGAGACCGAGGCCAUGAAGAUUCCAUUCUCACAAUUAAAUCAAUGUGGGAUAUGUGCCAGCCACGAAAACUCAAGUGGCCUGAGGAGGAGCUCAAAGGCAAAGAAAUGAAGUACUAUGCCUCAAUUAAGUACAUUCAACAACACAAGAUUCCAGAGGAGUUACUUCCAAAGAUACCAAAGGUGCCGCUGAAGAUCACCAACCGCGCUGAGAAUAAACGCCUCAAAAGGGUUGCUGAAAAAGCUCAAGAGGAGAAUAAGCGAUUGCGCCGAGUGGUGUCCCGAGUGUAUAUUGAUCAAGCUAGAUGAAGUGUUUGAGUCAAUCUUGUUGUUUCAUUUCUAGAUUAAUGUUUAGGAAGUUGAGUCAUUUACUUUCCUAGUUUGUUUGUUUAGGGCAUUUCGAGCUUCUAUUUCAUUAAUGAAGUGCUUGAAUCAAUCUUGCUUCUAUCUUGUUAGUAGUGUCAAAAACUCCGUUAAUGAAUAAAAGUUUUAGACCAUUGCCAUGGACCGGUAUAUUUCAUAUGGGAUACUUAUCUUUGUCCGUUUCUUCAAAUUAGGUGAUAACGGAUCCUCCGCGUUCGCCCAUCAUUACACGAUCAAGAGCAAAAAUGGCCGACCAAAUCGAAAUGCAUGAUCGUAUGACCGCUGUGGAAAAUCAACUCCAGCAGUUGCUCACCUCAAUGCAACUUAUGAUAGAUCAAAUGCAAUCCCUCCAAGUGAAGCAGACUCUUGCACCCGCUCUCCCCGAGAUAGUAGUCCCAAAGCAGACGAACAAAGCCCAAAUGAGUGAUGAUGACAUGCCGGAACUAGAGGAUGACCCACUGUUCGUCACAGCUGAAAAGGUUAAGCCCGACAAUGUCCCUAAGGCGGAGCAAGAUGAACGCUUCGCCAAACUUGAAGAGAAACUGAAACAAUUGCAAGAAUCACAGAAUUCACUCCCGUUCGACUUGUCAGUUUAUGAGAAAGUCAAAGUGCCGAAGAAGUUUAAGAUGCCGGAGUUCGAGAAAUACGAUGGUACUUCCUGCCCAAAAGCACAUUUGCAGAUGUAUCACGUACGCAUGGCCCAAUACGUCAAGAAUGAGCCUCUCAUGAUCCAAUCGUUUCAUGCAAGCUUGACUGGGCCCGCACUCAACUGGUACAUAAUGAAAAAUAUAAACCUUCUCGACACCUGGAAUGAAGUGGCUGACGCUUUCCUAAAGCAGUAUAAGUUCAACAUGGACAUUACACCCUCCCGAGAGGAUCUUGAGCGGAUGGAGAAGAAGAAAAAUGAGUCAUUUAAGGAGUACGCCGUAAGGUGGCGAAACUUGGCGGCUCAAAUCACUCCUGAGCCUACAAACAAGGAGUUGAUGAAGUUGUUCGUCAAGACUCUCCCAUAUGAGUUCCGUAACCGGAUGGCUAGCACAUACGUUGAGAACUUCAACCAGCUUAUCCUAGUGGGUGAACAGAUCGAGAUGGGCCUAAGGGAUGGAUGGUUCAAUGAACCAACUCUUCAAGGCAAAAGGUUCACCAUGAAGAAAGAUAAAGAACCAACCACUGAAGUCAAUGUUGCAUAUGUGCAACCAGCCCCUAGUAAGCCUCCGAUGGUUCGUGUCCCCGAGAAUCAGCAGGAUGGAGGCCGAGUGCCUGCACAGCGGCAAUUCACCAAAAGGCAGUUCUCUCCUCUUCCUGGCCCUCUAUCUCAGGUCUUGCCAAUACUUCGAAACAAGGGAUUGAUCUCCCACGAACCAAAGCGGCCCAAUGCUGAAAAAUUCUCCAACUAUGACCCCUCCAAAAAAUGUGAGUAUCAUAUGGGAGAGGUCGGCCAUUCAACUGAUGAAUGUUUGACUUUGAAACACAAGAUCCAAAAUUUGUUGGAUACUAAGGCAUUUUCUUUCCGUACCACCCAACCGAAUGUCAAGAAGAAUCCGUUGCCGGAACAUCAGGGAAACGUGAAUGCAAUCUUCGAGUUCAAUACUGGCAAAAAGAUGAACUUGAAGGUGUCUGUCAAAGAUAUCUACAGCGGAUUAGUUAGAGUUGGUUAUUAUCCGACAGAUGAGAAUCCUCCCUUGCCUACCAUGAAGGAAAGGGUUCAAGAAAUGGUUAAGGCUGGCGUGAUCAUAUAUGCUGACCAAGCUGGAACAGUGUCAACUAUCUCCGAAGUCAUCAUUGAUUGGGAGAAGGAAUUUGCUAAGCUAAGUGCUGAAAAGAGUGAACCAGAUCCAUUGAUCGAGGACAUGCCCCAACUUGAGGAUGCCUCUGACCAUGAAGGACUAAUAGUGGAAGUGCCUUCAACUGAUGAAGAAAUAAUUAUUGAGAUGCCCCAGCUGUAUGAGUACAAGGAUAACAAAGCAGUCCCUUGGUCAUACGAGCUAGAUGUUGACCUGAUUACAAGGUCUGGUCGGACCUAUGCUCAAGCUAAUGCCCAACCUGCAAAGCCAAUUACUGACGAAGAGGCCAAAGAAUUUCUAGCGAUAAUCAAAGCAAGUGAGUAUAAUGUGGUCGACCAGUUGCGGAAAUUGCCUGCUCAGAUCUCUCUACUUGAACUCUUGCAAACAUCUCCUACACAUCAAAAGUCUCUAAUGAGGGUUCUAAGUGAAGUUCAUGUACCAGAGACGAUCGAGGUAGACAGUUUGGAGGAAUUCGUAGGAUCGAUUCUUCUUAAGGAUUUAAUAGCCUUUUCUGAUGAAGAAUUCCCUCCUGAGGGGAGAGGACACACUAAGGCAUUAUAUAUAUCCGUCAAGUGCAAGGCUUCCCAUGUGCCUCGAGUACUCAUUGAUAAUGGGUCUGCCUUGAAUAUCUGUCCAUUGGCGACUCUUCACCGCCUAAAAAUAGACCCUUCAAAAAUAAGUGCUGCAAAGACCUCCGUCCGAGCUUUUGAUGGUACGAGAAAGGAGGUAAUAGGGGAGACCCACCUUGAUCUGCAAAUAGGGCCGGUGAUGUUCAACGUCCUUUUCCAAGUGAUGGACAUUCCUACCGCAUUUAAUUUUCUAUUAGGACGUCCUUGGAUUCAUACUGCUGGAGCUGUGCCAUCAAGUCUCCACCAAAGUGUGAAAUUUGUUGUCAAAGGAAAGCUAGUCAUUGUUCAUGGCGAGGAGGAUCAUCGGAUCUAUCAUGAGACGGCUAUCCCCUAUGUCGAGCCGGAACGUAGGGAGGAGUCGAGCUACCAAUCGUUUGAGCUCGUAUCCACUAUCCAUGCAUCUCGAGGAUCGAGAGCACCCAUCCCUGAUGUGUCAAAUGCAACAGUUAUGGUAGCAAGAGUGAUGGUUGGAAAUGGCUUUAUUCCUGGCCGUGGACUUGGUAGACAAGAACAGGGCAUUCGGAAUCCUAUUGAAGCCCCUCGAAGGUUUCGUUCCGCCGGAUUAGGGUAUCAUAGAAGAGGUGGAAGACAUGAACAAGAGAGGAACAACUCAUUACUCCUCGAUAUCCGUGAGACGUUCCCGGGCCCUGCCAGAAUGAUGCAUGACGAGGGAGGAAUGAUCAACACCCGAGGUAUCGUGCUCGAUGGAUGGAAUGGCAUGGACGACCCGACAACUUCAAAGAUAGAGGAUCCAGAUGAUGGGAUGGAAGGGAUCACGACUCUAUUCGAUGAUCUCCUCAUAGGUGCCAUUGAUGAAGAACCAUCGGAGGAAAUGGGUGCUAGCCCACAAGAGUAACACGUUUACUUUUCUGCACUCCCCUGCGUGGGAAUCCUAUCUCUUUUAGGAUGUGAUGUUUUCUAGGGUUUGCUUAUCGUAUUAUGUAUGUCGUUUGUCAGGAGUUGAUGGUUGUUAGGGUUUCGUUUCACUUUGAUUGCCGUACUUUUCAAUCCAAUAAAUGUAAUUUGGUUGAUGAAUAUCAAUUAUGAUUACAAGUUUUAUUUUGAAGGCAUGAUGGGGUAUACCAAACCAGCCCGUUGAUGAUAUCCAACCGAUGAAAGAAAAGAAAAAUCCAAGGAGAAUUCUGAGGCCUGGGCUUCAUCAUGUUUCCUCGUGUCAAAAAGUUUUUCCAAAUUGUUUUGCCAAAAUUCUUUAAAUAAAAUAAAAAUUCGAAAAAAAAAAAUUCAAAACGAAGGAAAAUUCGGAAAAAUAGAAAAGAAAUUCAUGCCUUUUAGCCCUGUUUGUCUUUUUGACCUAUCCAUUUUAUGUUUCAGGAGCAGCCUUAUGACGGGCAAAGAGGUGAAAAUGGUCCAAUCCAAUGUCAUGAACGAUGACGGUGAUGACCCUGAUGAUCCAAAUGGUGACUCCAUUGAAGUACAACAAAGUUGGGAGCACCAUGAAAAGCCCAAAGUUCUCACCUCCGAGCAAACUGUCACCAUCAAUUUGAGUGAUGACGUGGAUCCUAAAGAAAUAAAGAUUGGGGCAAAUCUUCCCAAAGAUGAAGCCGAGCACCUGACUCAAUUGUUGAAAGAGUAUCAGGAUAUCUUUGCCUGGACGUAUGCUGAUAUGCCAGGUUUAGAUCCGUCAAUUGUGGAACACUGUUUGCCCACCAAUCCAGACAUGCGCCCUAAGAAGCAGAAGCUUCGGAGAACUAAACCGGAGCUCUCGAAGAAGAUAGAAGAGGAAGUAAUGAAACUCCUCAAAGUGGGAUUCAUCGAAGUCUCGCAAUACCCUGAAUGGGUGGCCAAUAUAGUACCGGUCAUGAAGAAAGACGGUCGAGUCCGAGUGUGUGUUGAUUAUCGGGAUUUGAAUAAGGCCAGCCCAAAGGACGACUUCCCAUUGCCACAUAUCGAUGUUCUCGUGGAUAGUACUGCUGGAUUUGAAUUAUUCUCUUUCAUGGAUGGUUUUUCUGGCUACAACCAGAUAAGAAUGAAAGAUGAAGAUAAAGAGAAGACAGCAUUUAUCACCACGUGGGGAACCUUUCAUUAUAAGGUCAUGCCUUUCGGACUCAAAAAUGCAGGGGCAACUUACCAGCGAGCCAUGGUUACUUUGUUCCAUGACAUGAUGCAUGAAGAAAUCGAGGUAUAUGUCGACGAUAUGAUUGCAAAAACCCAACCUGGGAAAAGUCAUGUUGAAAUCCUCAAGAAGUUAUUUGAUCGGCUUCGUGAAUUCAAACUCCGUUUAAAUCCUGCCAAGUGCGUGUUCGGGGCAACAUCAGGAAAAUUACUUGGGUUUAUGGUGAGUAGCAAAGGGAUCGAAAUUGACCCAUCUAAAGCCAAGGCAAUAUGUGAGUUGCAACCUCCGUCCCCCCCUCCAAGGAGGUCCGGAGUCUCCUAGGAAGACUGAAUUACAUUGCACGAUUCAUUUCCCAACUCUCAGAGACCGCUAAGCCAUUCUUCAAACUCUUGAGGAAAAACGUACGAGUUGAGUGGAAUGAUGAAUGUCAAGAGGCGUUCAACAAGCUGAAGCAAUAUUUGAUGGAUCCGCCAGUUCUUGUCCCACCAAUAUCGGGGCAUCCUUUGAUUUUGUACCUCACAAUCCAUAGUGAGUCACUUGGCGCGAUGUUAGCUCAGAAAAGCCCCGUGGAUCAGAAGGAACGGGCCAUCUAUUACCUCAGUAAAAAGUUCACUGUCUCGGAGCUAAAAUAUUCUGAUGCUGAAAAAACUUGUGCUGCGCUAGUAUGGGUAUUGCAUAGACUGCGACAGUACACCUUGCAUUACCAAACGUUUCUCGUAACUGAGAACGAUCCCAUCAAGUAUUUAUUUAAUCAACCAGCUUUGGUGGGUAAGCUAGCCAAAUGGCAGGUCUUGAUUUCGGAAUUCGACGUACCGUUCAUGCCACAAAAAUCAGUUAAAGGCCGAGUAAUUGCUGAUAUAUUGGCUGAGAAUCCUAGAAACUUGAAUGAUGAUGAUUGUCCUUUGGAUGAUCGUAUUUUGGCCAUAAGUGAAGAUGCAUGGUCUAUGUUCUUUGAUGGAGCUGUGAACUUGUCUGGUUCUGGUACUGGGGCAGUAUUAAUUUCCCCAGACGGACAACACUUCCCAGUAGCCGCGAAAUUAAUAUUCCCAUGCACUAACAAUAUAGCUGAAUACGAAGCUUGUAUUCUCGGACUUCAAGCCGCAAUUGAAGUGGGAGUGGCCAAAUUGAAAGUAUAUGGAGAUUCCGCACUGAUCAUACUCCAGACAGUAGGUGAAUGGAAGACCAGGGAUGCUAAAUUACUGCCGUAUCAUAAGUACCUCGAAGAGUUGGUGAAGGAGUUCGAUGAAAUCUCGUUUGACUNNNNNNNNNNNNNNNNNNNNNNNNNNNNNNNNNNNNNNNNNNNNNNNNNNNNNNNNNNNNNNNNNNNNNNNNNNNNNNNNNNNNNNNNNNNNNNNNNNNNNNNNNNNNNNNNNNNNNNNNNNNNNNNNNNNNNNNNNNNNNNNNNNNNNNNNNNNNNNNNNNNNNNNNNNNNNNNNNNNNNNNNNNNNNNNNNNNNNNNNNNNNNNNNNNNNNNNNNNNNNNNNNNNNNNNNNNNNNNNNNNNNNNNNNNNNNNNNNNNNNNNNNNNNNNNNNNNNNNNNNNNNNNNNNNNNNNNNNNNNNNNNNNNNNNNNNNNNNNNNNNNNNNNNNNNNNNNNNNNNNNNNNNNNNNNNNNNNNNNNNNNNNNNNNNNNNNNNNNNNNNNNNNNNNNNNNNNNNNNNNNNNNNNNNNNNNNNNNNNNNNNNNNNNNNNNNNNNNNNNNNNNNNNNNNNNNNNNNNNNNNNNNNNNNNNNNNNNNNNNNNNNNNNNNNNNNNNNNNNNNNNNNNNNNNNNNNNNNNNNNNNNNNNNNNNNNNNNNNNNNNNNNNNNNNNNNNNNNNNNNNNNNNNNNNNNNNNNNNNNNNNNNNNNNNNNNNNNNNNNNNNNNNNNNNNNNNNNNNNNNNNNNNNNNNNNNNNNNNNNNNNNNNNNNNNNNNNNNNNNNNNNNNNNNNNNNNNNNNNNNNNNNNNNNNNNNNNNNNNNNNNNNNNNNNNNNNNNNNNNNNNNNNNNNNNNNNNNNNNNNNNNNNNNNNNNNNNNNNNNNNNNNNNNNNNNNNNNNNNNNNNNNNNNNNNNNNNNNNNNNNNNNNNNNNNNNNNNNNNNNNNNNNNNNNNNNNNNNNNNNNNNNNNNNNNNNNNNNNNNNNNNNNNNNNNNNNNNNNNNNNNNNNNNNNNNNNNNNNNNNNNNNNNNNNNNNNNNNNNNNNNNNNNNNNNNNNNNNNNNNNNNNNNNNNNNNNNNNNNNNNNNNNNNNNNNNNNNNNNNNNNNNNNNNNNNNNNNNNNNNNNNNNNNNNNNNNNNNNNNNNNUGGAAGUAGAAAUCCCCUCUUUGAGAGUCUUAUCCCAAGUGGAAUUGUCCGAGACCGAAUGGACACAACAAAGGUUUGAGCAGUUGAACUGAUUGAUGAGAAAAGGUUAAAAGCUCUUUGCCAUGGUCAGACGUAUCAACAAAGAGUAGCCAAGUCUUUCAAUCGGAAGGUACGGCCGAGACACUUUGAAGUGAAUGAUCUAGUUCUAAGAAAGGUGUUGCCGAUUUUUCCUGAUCCUGGAGGCAAAUUUGCUCCAAAUUAUAGCGGCCCAUAUAUGGUGAAGAGGGUACUCCCUGGAGGUGCCUUAAUCCUUAUAGAAAUGGAUGGUCGUGAGUUUUCUAAACCUGUUAACUCUGAUGCUGUGAAGAAGUAUUACCCUUGAAAGAAUUUGUUGUGAAUUGAAGGAACUCAUUUCUUCGUUGAAUUGUGUGAGAAUGGAUUGAAUGAGAUGAGAAGUAGGCCUUAUUCCAUACACAUAUCGAAUUCAUUUGAUUCGGUAUAUUAGACGUGUUGACUCAGUGUUAGUUCAAUUAAAUAAAAAAGGAAAUGCCCUGAGGACACCACCAGCGCCUCGGCCUGGUGGCACGGGGAAUGAAAAGGUCCGAAAGCGACCAGGGUUCGAUCCCUGGAAACGGCAACAAGUUUGCCACCAAAAAAAAAAAACAAAAACAAAACAAAAAAAACAAAUAUAUAUAUAUAUAUAUAUAUUUUACCAAUCAUUUUCUUUUCUUUUUGAGCUGCAAACUCUUUGUGAAGUACAUGUGACCUUUCAAAGAAGAAUUUUGCAUUGAUAGUUUUACCUGUUUAAUUACCAAUUUCACUGAGGAUUGUCACCAUCGAUCAAGUUAAUGAAUGAUGUGGAAUGAAUUGAACGUGCUAAAUGAGACAUGUCAGGAUGAUGAAAGGCAAGCUUUAUCCUAUACACAGUCCCUUCCUCAUAUGCUGGUGAGAUGAGUGUAGGAAACUCCAUGUUUCUAAGGUAAAGAGUUUUCUUGCGAAAGAUACGAUGAUCGAAAUGAUGAGAGGCGGUUCAUUCUCUAUCCCAAACACUAUGUGAUCAUCCAUUGUUUAAACCCUUUUGAGCCCACACAUGUGAAUAAUUUUUAAAUUACCCCUGUCAAAAACCACCCCACAUUGGGGCAAGUUGGAGGUAAGACGACAUCAUGAGGUGAGGAAUUUGAUAGGAAUAUUCUUGCUCUCACUUGCAUCAAUAUUCAGGUAUUGCUAUUACAUUGAAUUCAUACGAUAAUUCAAGUGCCUUAGGAUGAUGAAGAGCAGUUCUUUCUCUAUCCUACACACUUUAUCCAUUGCAUAGCCCCUUGAGCCUGUAAAUUCGUUUCAUUUAAACCCAAUUGGUGAUCAUCCCCCACACCGGGGCAAGGCAAAAAGCAAAUGUUCAAGCAUCAAAAUCCUGAGUGCUGACAAAAAAUGAGAACUCCUCAAGAACCCAAAUGUUAAAGCAUUACGUGGUUAUUAAAAAAAAAACAACAAAAAAAAAACAAAACAAAACAAAUGGGGCAUGAAAAAGCAGUAUGCCUGGUAAAAGCAAGGCAUGGGGAAUGAAAGAAAGAGUCAAGAUAAAUGACUAUCAAUUGUAAAAGGGUGUAUUCCCAGUGGAGUGGUACUCAAAGAACUCAAAUGCCAAGUUUUUAUAGUACCUAUGAGGAAAAUCCCAAUGAUGAAGAAAAAGACCGGUGACAAUGCCAAGAUGAUCACCAAUUCUCAUCCCCCUAUACACAUUUUGAGCCUAAUGAUCUGUUCACUUCUCAAUCUAUGAACUUAACCUACGCUACGUCCCUUACAAAGUCUCUUCAGAUUAGGGCACUGAAAUUAACGUAGGAAUUCGUAUGCUUAAAAGCAUCGCUCGAAGAAGUGCGAGCAAGACCAUUUCUAUCUCAUUUCGCAGGUUCCUUGACUUGUAAACCCGAAGGUGAUUGCGAAGUAUUGCUCUUUCAUUAGCCUUGACUCGAAGAGUCCCUCUUUGUUGAGCCAUUGACCGAGCCUACAUUACAGUCCUGAUAAAGACCUCUCAGAUUGACCAGGUCGUACCGCUUGCGAGAAUACUCGAACCCUUAUUGACAUGAUGAAAGUAAGAUGGAGUGAUUCCUGUGAUCCCACAUUAAUGGUCGGGACAAAAUGGCCUUCUUAAUGAGAGUGAGCGAAAGUCCUUUCUAACUGAAAGUCUCUCAUUUGGUGUUCUUGAAAAUCCAUGUCAUAAGUGAAAAUUGUCAUAAUCGAUGAUUCUCCCCAGUGGAAGUUCGGUGGUGCAAAUAUGGUAAAACCAUCAUGCAUAAAUUUUGGUUGAAUGGAUAAAAGCUUCAGUGGAUUUUGGAGUGUGCUGAAUUGCUUAUUUCUUUGGCAAAUGCAUGUAUUUUUGCUCUAAUCAUGUCUGACAGGUAAUGUUUCCUUGAAGACCCAAGAGCUCCUGACAUUUAUGUUGCCUUUCAGAAGCCUCGAGGUGAGAAACCUCCAUGAAUAUUUGAAGUACCUCCUUGAUGUUCCAAAAUUUUUGUUUACCAAGAGGUAAGUGACCCUCACGAAUAUCCCAGGUUUGUCCUAGGUAUUCCCAAAUUCUUGAUAUCUUUUUCGUUAUACCUUAGUCUGGAUCUAGGUAUUUCGAAUCUUCUUAAUCCAAUAUUCAUCUCACCUAACAUUGAGUGUUUAUUGGUUAAGUCCCAAAAUUCUUGACAUCUCAGUCUGGAUCUGGAUGUCUCAAAACUCUUCGUUAAACAUUUCACUCUGGAUGUGGAUGUUUUUCGAUCUUUUUCGUUAUACCUUAGUCUGGAUCUAAGUAUUUCGAAUCUUCUUAAUCCAAUAUUCAUCUCACCUAACAUUGAGUGUUUAUUGGUUAAGUCCCAAAAUUCUUGACAUCUCAGUCUGGAUCUGGAUGUCUCAAAACUCUUCGUUAAACAUUUCACUCUGGAUGUGAAUGUUUUUCGAUCUUUUUCGUUAUACCUUAGUCUGGAUCUAGGUAUUUCGAAUUUUCUUAAUCCAAUAUUCAUCUCACCUAACAUUGAGUGUCUAUUGGUUAAGUUCCCAAAUUCUUGACAUCUCAGGCUGGAUCUGGAUGUCCCAAAAUUUUUCCUCGUUUAGGCGACCGUAGAAUAGUACGGGUCCUAGACACAACCAAGCAAUGCUAUACUGGGCGACCAUAGAAUGGUACGGGUCCUGGGAAAGCAGUCUCUUUGCAAAGUCAUGUUACUAUUCUAGGCGACCGUAGAAUGGUACGGGUCCUGGACAUGUAACACCAACUAUCUCGAGUUACUCUACCCUCCCCGAAGAUAAGUUAUUCCAGGUAAGUUCCUUUUAUCACUGGCAUUAGCAUUUCCAUGCAUCAUAUAAAUCGCAUUUCAAAAAAAAAAAAAAAAAGGAUCCAUAGUCCCGCCAAAAUAUCAUUCAUUGCAUGUGCAUUGUCAAAAUUUAGGUAUCAUAUUGUCUUUGAAUGCAACCUCUGCGAGCUCACCUUCAAAGAGGGGCAGCUGUUGACACCUAAAUUUUGACUAAUCAUUUAGUAAUUAAUUGCAUAAAAAUUUAGGGAUUAAUCUUUAACCCCUAAGAAAAAAUAUUAAAAUUGCAUCUCAUGUAGUCGCAUUUGCAUCGGUACUAAGGGGACAACAAGAAGCAAGGGCUCGCGGUCGAUUGCAUACACAAACUUCGUGGAGUGCGGAUUCGGGAGAAAUCUUCCAAGAAACAAAAGCACCUCACAACAUAUUAUAUAAUAUGCCCAUAUUNNNNNNNNNNNNNNNNNNNNNNNNNNNNNNNNNNNNNNNNNNNNNNNNNNNNNNNNNNNNNNNNNNNNNNNNNNNNNNNNNNNNNNNNNNNNNNNNNNNNNNNNNNNNNNNNNNNNNNNNNNNNNNNNNNNNNNNNNNNNNNNNNNNNNNNNNNNNNNNNNNNNNNNNNNNNNNNNNNNNNNNNNNNNNNNNNNNNNNNNNNNNNNNNNNNNNNNNNNNNNNNNNNNNNNNNNNNNNNNNNNNNNNNNNNNNNNNNNNNNNNNNNNNNNNNNNNNNNNNNNNNNNNNNNNNNNNNNNNNNNNNNNNNNNNNNNNNNNNNNNNNNNNNNNNNNNNNNNNNNNNNNNNNNNNNNNNNNNNNNNNNNNNNNNNNNNNNNNNNNNNNNNNNNNNNNNNNNNNNNNNNNNNNNNNNNNNNNNNNNNNNNNNNNNNNNNNNNNNNNNNNNNNNNNNNNNNNNNNNNNNNNNNNNNNNNNNNNNNNNNNNNNNNNNNNNNNNNNNNNNNNNNNNNNNNNNNNNNNNNNNNNNNNNNNNNNNNNNNNNNNNNNNNNNNNNNNNNNNNNNNNNNNNNNNNNNNNNNNNNNNNNNNNNNNNNNNNNNNNNNNNNNNNNNNNNNNNNNNNNNNNNNNNNNNNNNNNNNNNNNNNNNNNNNNNNNNNNNNNNNNNNNNNNNNNNNNNNNNNNNNNNNNNNNNNNNNNNNNNNNNNNNNNNNNNNNNNNNNNNNNNNNNNNNNNNNNNNNNNNNNNNNNNNNNNNNNNNNNNNNNNNNNNNNNNNNNNNNNNNNNNNNNNNNNNNNNNNNNNNNNNNNNNNNNNNNNNNNNNNNNNNNNNNNNNNNNNNNNNNNNNNNNNNNNNNNNNNNNNNNNNNNNNNNNNNNNNNNNNNNNNNNNNNNNNNNNNNNNNNNNNNNNNNNNNNNNNNNNNNNNNNNNNNNNNNNNNNNNNNNNNNNNNNNNNNNNNNNNNNNNNNNNNNNNNNNNNNNNNNNNNNNNNNNNNNNNNNNNNNNNNNNNNNNNNNNNNNNNNNNNNNNNNNNNNNNNNNNNNNNNNNNNNNNNNNNNNNNNNNNNNNNNNNNNNNNNNNNNNNNNNNNNNNNNNNNNNNNNNNNNNNNNNNNNNNNNNNNNNNNNNNNNNNNNNNNNNNNNNNNNNNNNNNNNNNNNNNNNNNNNNNNNNNNNNNNNNNNNNNNNNNNNNNNNNNNNNNNNNNNNNNNNNNNNNNNNNNNNNNNNNNNNNNNNNNNNNNNNNNNNNNNNNNNNNNNNNNNNNNNNNNNNNNNNNNNNNNNNNNNNNNNNNNNNNNNNNNNNNNNNNNNNNNNNNNNNNNNNNNNNNNNNNNNNNNNNNNNNNNNNNNNNNNNNNNNNNNNNNNNNNNNNNNNNNNNNNNNNNNNNNNNNNNNNNNNNNNNNNNNNNNNNNNNNNNNNNNNNNNNNNNNNNNNNNNNNNNNNNNNNNNNNNNNNNNNNNNNNNNNNNNNNNNNNNNNNNNNNNNNNNNNNNNNNNNNNNNNNNNNNNNNNNNNNNNNNNNNNNNNNNNNNNNNNNNNNNNNNNNNNNNNNNNNNNNNNNNNNNNNNNNNNNNNNNNNNNNNNNNNNNNNNNNNNNNNNNNNNNNNNNNNNNNNNNNNNNNNNNNNNNNNNNNNNNNNNNNNNNNNNNNNNNNNNNNNNNNNNNNNNNNNNNNNNNNNNNNNNNNNNNNNNNNNNNNNNNNNNNNNNNNNNNNNNNNNNNNNNNNNNNNNNNNNNNNNNNNNNNNNNNNNNNNNNNNNNNNNNNNNNNNNNNNNNNNNNNNNNNNNNNNNNNNNNNNNNNNNNNNNNNNNNNNNNNNNNNNNNNNNNNNNNNNNNNNNNNNNNNNNNNNNNNNNNNNNNNNNNNNNNNNNNNNNNNNNNNNNNNNNNNNNNNNNNNNNNNNNNNNNNNNNNNNNNNNNNNNNNNNNNNNNNNNNNNNNNNNNNNNNNNNNNNNNNNNNNNNNNNNNNNNNNNNNNNNNNNNNNNNNNNNNNNNNNNNNNNNNNNNNNNNNNNNNNNNNNNNNNNNNNNNNNNNNNNNNNNNNNNNNNNNNNNNNNNNNNNNNNNNNNNNNNNNNNNNNNNNNNNNNNNNNNNNNNNNNNNNNNNNNNNNNNNNNNNNNNNNNNNNNNNNNNNNNNNNNNNNNNNNNNNNNNNNNNNNNNNNNNNNNNNNNNNNNNNNNNNNNNNNNNNNNNNNNNNNNNNNNNNNNNNNNNNNNNNNNNNNNNNNNNNNNNNNNNNNNNNNNNNNNNNNNNNNNNNNNNNNNNNNNNNNNNNNNNNNNNNNNNNNNNNNNNNNNNNNNNNNNNNNNNNNNNNNNNNNNNNNNNNNNNNNNNNNNNNNNNNNNNNNNNNNNNNNNNNNNNNNNNNNNNNNNNNNNNNNNNNNNNNNNNNNNNNNNNNNNNNNNNNNNNNNNNNNNNNNNNNNNNNNNNNNNNNNNNNNNNNNNNNNNNNNNNNNNNNNNNNNNNNNNNNNNNNNNNNNNNNNNNNNNNNNNNNNNNNNNNNNNNNNNNNNNNNNNNNNNNNNNNNNNNNNNNNNNNNNNNNNNNNNNNNNNNNNNNNNNNNNNNNNNNNNNNNNNNNNNNNNNNNNNNNNNNNNNNNNNNNNNNNNNNNNNNNNNNNNNNNNNNNNNNNNNNNNNNNNNNNNNNNNNNNNNNNNNNNNNNNNNNNNNNNNNNNNNNNNNNNNNNNNNNNNNNNNNNNNNNNNNNNNNNNNNNNNNNNNNNNNNNNNNNNNNNNNNNNNNNNNNNNNNNNNNNNNNNNNNNNNNNNNNNNNNNNNNUUGCUAGAUUAAAAAUAACGUCCUAGUUUAAAUUAGGAUUUAGCAUGACUUAAUCCUAAGUUUAAAUUGGAGGGAAUUUUAAUUUAGCUAGGUAUUUUUUGCACUUUUCUUAAUUUCGCAUAUCAUGAAAAAUACAAAAAAAAAUUUCUUUAGAUAAAUUAGUUUCAAGUUGUAGGAUAAAUUGCAUUUUUAGGAAUAGAAAUAUCAUGUGCACGUCAUCUAGAAUUGGGUUCAUAUAAUCAAAAAUUGCCCAUCAUUAUAAUUAUGGCAUUUUAAUUUGCAUAUUUAAUUAUUGCAUGUUCAUUAAGAAAACACGGAAAAAAGAUUUUACUCAUGUCAUGUAGCUUAGAAUACAUUAUCAAGCCAUUUCAUGUUAGAUUAGAUGCAUUGCAUAUUGCAUGAUUUUCAUUAAAAAAAAAGGUAAAAAAAAAACUGCGUGUUAGAAAUCAUAUUUAGGAUUGUUGAUGUGAAUUCUGAUUUAAUAUUGCAGAUGCUUUCGUUGCUAUAAGGUAAGGUCCUGCGAUUUAUUCAUCGCUUUCUUGGGUGUUAAAUUGGUGGUUUGCGCAUCCGCAUGAUCACCUCCCAUGUUAGGAUGAUAAAUUAAAAUCAAUUCAAGCUGCCUGCAAAAUAUUUUUUUUCAAAUAAAAAGAAAUGGUACCGAAAGGGCAUUAGAGAAAUCUAGUGUAACCAAGUCCCCGAACUCACAAUCUCUGGUUCGUAGGAGUGAAGUAAUUCUCCCAUUACUUUUACUUGGGGUUUCUAAUCGACCCACCAAAAAUAGAUUAGUGGCGACUCCAUGAUAAACAUCAUUUGCAUAUUAAGAACUUAAACCCUAAGUCGCGAAUUGGUAUGGGCUUGGGAGAGCUCGAGCUAAGUCUAGGCUUAGCAAUCCAUUAGCCGAACCCUUAGGUGGUCCAAACCCGCUUCGGGGAGGUCGCGACAAAUCCGAACAGAAGUGUUCCGGAAACGUUUCCAUGCACGCCCUAAUAAACUUACCUUAGGUUCUGUUUUCCAUGUAAGAGCUCAGAUUAUGUCGACUUUUUAAAUGUUGUAAAAUUUUGAUUAAGGUUACUUUAUAGUGUGAGUAUUGUUAGCCAAACAUUGAUGAGGGGGCUAUCUCUAUGGAGAUCGAAGUUGCUAUUGUUGGAUAAUCUCUGGUAUUAAAUGCUCUCCAUUGUUGUGCCUGAACAAUUAUUCAGACAUCAAAGCACUGUAAAACGAAGAUGGAUCUUUCUCUGGGGAUAUAUGGGGCGAAGUUGAUGCUCGUUUCCCUCCGAAGAUUCAGUAAAUGUGGAGAAGGCUAUAAGUUAUAUAGUGAGUCGCAAAACUUUGGAUGGCGGGUUUGGUUGAACUCCUGGUUUAGAGUCUCAUGAAGGGCAAAGUGUGUCAUAACCUUACGCCGGAGCUCUUUCGCUGGUUUCUAAUUUUUGAUUGGUGCUUAGUAAGUCAUGUAUUUGCUUAAAUACAUGGUGGUCUUCUAAUUAUGUUCCAAUGAACAUCCAAAGGAUAAACCGAGUUGCCACAAUUUUAAGACAUUCCUUAGGACUAAUCUUAGACUUGAGGAAAUAUAAUGAUUCCGGAGGAGAAUUAGGCAUAAAAGAAUGAAGCACCAAGCAAGUAAAUUAAGAUGCACAAGAGCCUGCCAAGCACCUUGCUACAAAGUGGCUCAUUUUUCUCGCUUCUUUCAAUUCAAAUAAGAAGAUAUGGAAACUAGUCAACAAGAAUGUAGGAGCAAUCAUGGAGCGAUAAGAUUUGGUGUUCAUGCUUCAAUAGAUAACAAAGCCAUGUGUAUUUGUUUAGCCAAUUGUCCAGUCGGCCACAUAGUAAAUUUGACUACGGAGUCCCCGGCCAUGUGCAACAGACCUCAUAUUACCAAUGGAAUAUAUAUAGACACACACACCUAAAUAUUCCAUUUUAAUUAUGGAUGAAGAACCAAGAAGCGAAGCAUUGUUUGAUUCAUUUUCAAUCAUUGAGAGCUCUUCACAAGUAAUAAAGAGACAAUGGAUACUCAUUAAUGCAACCAUUAUCCAAACCUUAAAAUAUACUUACAUAAAAACUCUUCAGGAGAAUAUGUUCAACAUCCUAUGUUGAAAGUUUCGUGCACUCUACAAUAACAUUCAUGGGAAUGGUUUAAUUCUCAUAUGGUCGAUUGCAAACAUUUACAUCGCCGUUCUCCAUCAUAGCUAUUUCUAGAAUUCUAAGGCUUUCUAAUCUCAAGUCAGCCCACCAAAUAGACAUAAUUCUUUUAAUACGCUAACUAACAGAUGCACAACACUCCGGCACAUGAUUCCACUCAAUCAAGCAGUCUACAAAAGCAUAGCAACAUAACUAGACUAGGCAUACAAAUAGUCAAACAAAUGCAAGAAAGCAGGCCCUUAUACAACUAUUACCAUAUUAAGCUAGAGCAUGAGCUCGAGCUCAUGCUUAACUACGUAAAUAUAAAUCACACCAUUACAUUCAACUAAACACCAACUGCCACACCAAAAAAAACAGCCAAAAAAAAAACUGUCACAUCACUCGUACCUGUUCUUCAGCGAUUAGCUAGUGAUCCGGAGCUUGACUCUGCCUUUUUACUCCUUUUCUUUCACAUUAUUGUAUGCACGCAUUGGGCAAGUAUGCUUUUUGGGGAAUCGGAUAUGCGGUUACGAUCCUGACCUCACAGGCUCACAGCACAUCCCUCUUUACACGUGGCGGGGGACCCACCUCGCCAUUGGUGAUGGCGAGGGAGGUGCUCACCGUCGAGCGCGCAACUGGACAAGUUGGGCUUGCGGUCUAGCGAGGGUCGGUUGUCUCAUUGUGAAUUUUCCUUUUUCCCAAAGCACGCGAGUCGCGCGUGUGGGCACCGAUCGCCGAAAAGUUGGAAGAGUAAGUCUUCUUUUUUCAAUCUAUCGAAUUCCUUACAGAAACAGUAAAUACAUGAUUUAAUCCAUAUCACGGUUCACUUGUAAUCACGACGUAAUAGGAGACGUGAGAUUGAUAUCAAAUUUACUAGAACAUCGCGGUUCUGCAUUUGAAAAAUGAGGGAACGAGAAAAUUAGGAAGAAGGCGGUGCUUUAUCAUAAAGUUGCGUUCAAGUCCGACCAUGUCUUUAAUUAUUGCUUUGCCUAAACUUUGUAUUAUUGAUGUAAUCAAACCAAUGAUUGUGCCCUCCACGUAGUAAAAUGACACAAUAUACAUGAGAUAUAAUCCAUCUCUUAGGCAUUGAGAGAAAUGUUUCAUAGCAAUGCUAAAGUUUAGAUGAUUGAUGUCAAAAACUUUCCCACUUUUCUUUUGCAAGUUGUCUUCUUGAUAUGGCGUAACGCUACCAGAAACUCUUAAGCUUUAUAAUUCUGUGCAAUGCCAUCUUUGACUUUUUUUUUUUUUUUGGCAAACAAAUUCUUGAACUAUGAUUUAUCCAUUCACAUUGGAUCUUCCAUUAAAAGACGAAAAAAAAAAUGCUUAUGUGACCGUUAAAUGCCAAGUUGACUCAAUGUGGCUCUUGUGUUCUUAUAAGAAAGAUUAAAGAAACAAAAAAAGUAAAUUUCUUCAUCGAAGAAAAUUUGGAGCGACAACACCAUCUUGAGCCCAAGCCCACAGGCAAUUUGUUGAUAGUGUUCGAGUUUGAUGAGGGGAGUAAGGACAAAGAUCGGAACACUUUUCAGUAGAAGCCCACCCAAUUGGCUUCGACUUUUGAAGCAGAGAGCGGUGGCUUCAGCCGCCAGUGGCUUUCUCAAGAUUUCCAACAGCGUUGUGGAUAUCGGAGAUGACUAGAAAUUCUUCGCGUCUUUUUCUCUCAUAUUUUAAGUCAGUCAUAUUUUGGGCCAAACCCAGCCCAAAAUUAAAUUAAUGCCAAUCCAAGAGGACUUGUUUAGGCCCGAACCUUUCAACCGGGCCUGAAGUUUGAUCGGGUGGGACAUAUUUUUCAAUAGAAAAGCCACCCAUUUGCAACUGUACUUCCAAUUACUAGACCCCAAUGGAACUCGCGAACUCAUUGCCGCACCAUUCUUUAUUUGCGGUAGACAAACAAGCAAUCCUAUUCUGUAACAUGGAAAUGGCAACAAUUUAUUGCUUAUGCCUCUUCAGGAUCAAUUUUUUUCCCAAAAAUGAACCAACUAAUACUAAAUUAGCCCCAAUAGCAACCGGUCACGGUAUUCCAACAAUAUUAACCCUAAAGCAGUGAAUAUGGUGCUGAAUAUUAAAGCAAGGGAAAACCAACACCCACAUAUUUUACGUGAAAAACUCAAUACAUGAAAAAUCAUUGGGCCAGUCAAAAUCUUCCACUAAUCAUUAAUAAUAGCAAAAUACAUAAUAGUUUAUCUCUAAUAACACAGCUAGAGGCUCUUCACAUUAGCAAAACAUCAUCACAGUAAAGGUGAAUUAACAUAAAGAAGCAAGAAAGAUCUAACCGCUGCAGAGAAAAUUAAGAGACAAUUUGGAGAAGAUUUUAACAAACAAAAUCAAUCAACUUGUAGUUCUUGGACUCACGUAUAGCAUACCAAACUUUCCGCCAAUUCCAACAAAGUUACACUAUUGAAUCCGAACUGCCUCUUCUCUUUUUCAAAGCAAAGCUCUCCGCCUCCUUCUCUUUGUAACAUUGAAUUGCUCUUCUCUAUCUUCUAAAUCAAGAACCUUCAGCCCUAUCUUUUUUUCUUUUCUUUUUUUUUUGAAUUUAAGAUGAUGAGAUGGGUCUCGCAAGAGGUGGAUCCAGCCCAACAAAUCUCCCCCUCUACCUCACAAGGGAAGUUCCAUCAUACCCACUAAAUCUCUACAAGAAUUAAGUUUCACAAUUAGCAAGGUUUAAGUCAACAUAUCAUAUCCAUUAUCAUCGGUGUAGUCUUUCUCAAGUAAGAAAAUUUUCUUUUUAAUUUUUCUUGGAUCCAAUGACAAGGAUAAAGCAUCAGUCUUGGGUAAAGCAACCAGAUGCAUUUCUAGUGAACAUCAAUCUUAUCUUCAGCAAUAUGACAAGGAUUAAAGCGUCCAGCAUAAAGCUGUCUUGUAUUUGCACGAAUAGAUCUGAUCUUGUUAGAGACAAGACCACUUAUCUCUAACUAAUAACGGCAGCUACCAAAGAGUUAAUAUAUCUAGGGCAAUGUCAUGAAUUGCUCUCUGAGGAUAAAAACCCUCUAGAAAUGCCAUGAGGGUGCCUCGAUGACACCACAGAUGAAGUGCCCUAUCCAUCACCAAUCGCAUGUCGCCUAAGAAUGGACCUAACUUUUUAGUAGUAACAGACCAUACAUAAAUCUGUUACAGCAAGUAAGCAAUAACCCAAGUAACCAAAACGGACUCUGCUCCUAGCAACAACUUCUACAAAUUCCUGAGAGCGCAAUCUUGAUUUUGUGUUUGUAGCUUCUUCAAGCCUAAACCACCUUCACAUGUUAUAAAACCAAGGGUCGUGUUAUAACGAGUUUGUACUUGUGUUUAAUAUCCCUUUUCAAACGGUGAAAAUAUAAUAUUGAAAUGGAGAUAUCAGUUCCCCUAUGUCUUGUUUAGUUUGCUUGCAAACCAUAAAUGAUGGAGGUUCUGAUCAAUGGAGUAAUCUGACAAGCCUAAAUUUCAGGCUGCUAAAACAUGUGUGUUGACAGUAUUGUCUCUUUUAUUAUCUAAUCUUUUGUUUUGAUAGGGAAUUUUUUCGAAACAUACUAAACUGACUUCAAAGGCACUUUUGCAACCAUGAUAUUAGGUUAUAGCAGAGUUGUGUUUGUCCGAGACUACAUGGGUGCACAGCUUAGAGGGAAUUUAAUGAAAUAUCGAUCGACUAAAUUAAAGUUCAACGCAAUCAAAUGCUAAGCUCUUAAGAAAUAUUGCCCGGUAGAGAGACUUGAUUAAGAAAUUUAGCCAAAGCUCUCUCCGUUUUUCUUUUCCAUACUGACGACGGGCCCAAUAAUAAUAUAAAAUUUCCUUUAAUCAUAUUAGGUUAGAUAUUAUUUUGUGGUGCCAAAUGCAGCUGGUUUCAGGUGAAGCAUUUGACAAUAAUUAUGCCGUGUUUGUUUCACGAAAAAAAAUGAUCCCGAAACUAUUUUUUAAAAAAUGAUCAUUGUAUCGUUCGAAAUAAUUAGUUAAUAAAUAAUAUUUUCAUUAUUAAUAACAAUUUAUGUUUAAACAUUUUGGUGAACGAUAAGAACCUUUCCCGAUCAUUCAUUUUUGCAAACAAUGUAAGUAAUAUUUUUGAAAAAUAUUUUUUAAAUUAUUCAUUUUCCACAAAAUAAAUAGAGGAUAAAAAAAAAUUCAGGAGAAGAAAAUGGACAAUUAGGCCCAUUUUUCAUCGGCCCAAAAAGCUUUAUGGGCUUAUUAAAACCUACGUUCCUCAGAAAAACGAAAUAAAGUUUCAUCUUUCGGUCGACUUGAAGAGCAUUUUUGGUUCUGAAUCGAGCUAAAACCUUCGUUUUCGCUCUAAUUCACCUUUGAUCGAUCGACUGCUAAGGUCUUCGGGGAGCUUCUACGAGCGUUUUGCACUACUAUUCGUCACGCCGCCGCUUAUUUUGCUUUUUAAAGCUAGUUUCCGUUGAUGUAGCGACUGUUUCUCGCUGAUUAGAUCGUCUUUGACCUGGGCCUGGCUGGUUUCUGGCUCGGGUAGCUAGAAAAUGUCGGAGAUCUCUUGUGGUGACUCGAAUAAAUAGUAGUGUCAGAAGGUGAGAUGAAGAUUUAAGAAAUGUUGUGCCGUAAUUGCGUUCGAGUCGUAAUUGCCGACGGGUGUCCGUGGAAUUACUUUCGUUGGACGUGCUUGUUCAUCUGUCGAAAUGGCGUGCUUUCUUUGAACUGGAGAUUAUUUUGUGCUCGAGGCAGAAAUUGGGAAUGCGAGCAAUUUGAGCAUGGACCUAUCUUCUCCAACUGGGAAGAGAGAUGUGCUUAAUUCCCUUUUUUCCAUGUUAAUGUGCAUGUGAUUGUUCAAAAGGAAGUUGAACAUAAUCUGUUGUUAAAUUUAUAGGAUCAUUAUGAUCCUUGAUGACCUCACGAAAUUUCGUAAUUGUAUACUUUUUUUGCGCUUGAGUUGCUAAGUUCUUAUGUGGCAUGUGUGAGAUUUGAUACCAUGUUCAUUGAUAUGUAGUCUCUUAUUGACUGAUGGGAGAGCUCGCUAGCGAUAAACAUGUCGAGUACAUAUUGUCUGAUGAAAAGGUAGGGAUGAAAUUUUAACAAUCCCCUUCUUGUUCUCUUGUCCACUUUUCUGCCAGUUACUGAAAAUGACUUGUUUAUCUAGAUCUAUCAUUCAGCAUUUCGGAGUUUACUGAUUUGAGAUUUUGGGUUGAUAUAGCACUCAGAAAAAAAAAGUCGGUGGUUUUGGAGUGCUAGAGAUUGAAUGGAGCAUAUUGGGGAUUGGCAAUUCUAGAUCUUCUUGGAAAACUUGGCAAUGUGGAUUCAGAUGAAGUUGUUUCUUGGAUCCUGCAAUGCCAGCACGAGUCUCAUUUGCAUUUAUUUGUCUCUCAGCUUCUUUUUUGCGAUUACCCACGAAAAACAUGCGGCUAACAGAACCUCCAUUCCACAUUCAAUCAAAUAUUUCUUAUUUGACAGGAUGAUUAAGAUUUUAGCUUGGGAUUAACAAUUCCAUCUGUUACAAUAAUGACUGCGCCUUAGAAGUGAUUAGUGUUGCUUAGAAGUGAUUAGUGUUGCUUUAUUUAUUUUCGAAACUUCACUCUAAAGAACAAAAUGUGAAUUUCACUUACGGCUGCUUGUGCUGGUUUGGAAUAAAGGUUCCUAGAUUUGCAAACUCUUACCAUCGAUGCAAGUUCCUUGGUGUUGUUUUAUGUUUUUAAGUUUUCAACAUCACGAGUGGCAAACUUACCUUAGGCUAGCCAGACAUUGAUGAAGGGGGCUCUCUAUAUGGAGAUUGAAGUUGCUACUGUCGGAUAAUCCCUGGUGUCAAAUGUUCUACAUUGUUGUGCCUGAACCAGGAUUCAACCAUCAGAGCAGUGCGAAACGAAGAUGGAUUUUUCUCUGGGGAUACAUGGGGAGAAGUUUAUACUCGGUGUCUUGUCCUCAUCUUGGAUCAAUUAUAAUUUUUGUUCUUCUUGAGGAUGUUUCUUAAAUUAUUGACAUCCCUUCAAUCCUUUUUUUCCCUUCGAAGGUUCUCUUAUUGUGCUAUAUGCUGUCUUGCGAUACUAAAACGGUUGGAUUCGAUAAAUGUGGAGAAUGCUGUCAGAUAUAUAGUGAGUUGCAAAACUCUGGAUGGCGGGUUUGGUUGCAAUCCCGGUGCAGGGUCUCACCUGAAAUGAUACCAUCGCAAACAGCCUUCGCUUCCAUCUUGAUGGUUAAUCAUUGUGUGCAUCACUGAUGUCUAUAUAAGAUAUCCUAAGACAACGCACUAAUGUCCUUGCUCUGUUUACUAAUCUAGCUGGUAGUAGUUAACAGUUGGAGAAAACCAUCUGCUCUAUCUAUAUCUACAAGGAACUAUUUGUCACCAAAAUGCCAACUAAAAGAUUCCAGAUCUCGCUGUACUAUCGCAAAAGGUAAAGAAACUUCAGAGUUGCCUAAAAUAUUAUUAAGCUAUGAUCUUCACAAGACAAUGAUCUCCUUUGGAUCGGUAAGACUAUAGUCUCAUAUAAAUUGAAUACAGUAUAAUCUUGGCGAUAUAUUUUGAGAAUGUAAACUCGACCUCAAGGCAUACUUAUUGAAUUUCAUAAAUCAUCAGUUUUGAAUAAUUUUUCUUUCCAAUUCCCAGGAUCCUACAAUGUGCAGUUCUAGAAGUCUAUAUUCGGGGACACAGCAGGUCCACAAUAGAUUGCAUGUAUUCCAAUCUGAAAAACCUCCGGACUUAGUAAAGUAGUAAUUAGGAGAUUAACAGAACCGCUUAAAUCCUAGAAUGCUUUGCUAACUGAGCAAGUAGGCACACUUCAAACGCGUGAAACCCGCAAUGAGCAACAAUCGAAAAAUGCAUUCUCAUAAGCAGCCACGAAGGGCCUCAAUGAAUUGCAAUUCUUUCCUCUCCUAGCUAAGCAAUAACGAAAGUUUCUCCAGUCCACCGUCCUACCCUUGAUUAACAUAGAGCAAAUCUAUCAACCCAACCAAAUCUAGCAAUCUAGCAAGUAUGUCAUAACCUCAUGCUGAGCUCUUUUAGCUGGUUUCUAAUUUCUGAUUGGUGCAUAGUAAGUCAUGUAUUUGCUUAAAUACGUGGGGUCUUCUAAUUGUGCUCCAUGGAACACAUCCAAAGGAUAAAUCGAGUCGCCACAAUUUUAAGACAUUCCUUAGGACUCAUCUUAAACGUGUGAAAGUAGGGAGGAAUUGAUGAUUUCCAAUGGAGAAUUAGGCAUAAAACAAUGAAGCACCAAACAAGUAAAUUAAGAAGCACGAGAGCCUCACCAAGCACCUUGCCACAAGUGACUCACUUUUCUCUCUUCUUUCAAUUCAAAUAAGAAGAUAUUUGCAAAACGGAGAACUGGAACGUGGGAGUAAUCCUGAAGCGACAAGAUUUGGUGUUCCUGCUUAAAUAGAUGACAAAGCCGUGUGUAUUUUGUCUAGCCAAUUGUCUAGUCGGCCACAUAGCAAUUUGACAUGCGGAAUGCCCAACCAUAUGCAGUAGACCUCAAACCAAUGGAAACCACAACUGCCCAAAAUUUGAAAAAAGAAAAAAAUGGAUAUCCCAUUUUAAUUCUGCAUGAUGAACCAAGAAGACAAGCACUGUUUGCUUCAUUUUCAAUCAUCAAGAGCUCCUCACAGUGAUAAACAGACAGUGGACACUCAUUAAAGCGACGAUUAUCCAAACCUUAGAAUAUACUUAUAGAUAAACUCUUAACGAGAAGAUGCACAACAUCCUCUGCACAUGAUUACACUCAAUCGAGCAGUCCACAAAAGCAUAGCAACAUAACUAGACUAGGUAUUCAAACAGUCAGACAAAUGCAAGAAAGCAGACCCUAAUACAAAUAUUACCAUAUGAAGCUCGAGCUCAUGCUCUACGCAAAGAUAAAUCACACGAUUACAUUCAACUAAACACCAAUUGCCACUCUGACCCAAAAAAAGAAAAAAAAAAGAAACACACCAACUGCCACACCAUUCUUACCUGUUAUUUAGCGAUUAGCUAGUGAUCCAGAGCUUGAGUUCAAGCCCAUGACUCCCGCCACUGAUGAAGUUAAUGAAUGCACUAAAUUCCUCCAGCUGUGCGGCACUGAAGAAGAAAAUGUGCACGAGAGUGAAAAGUGGCAUUGGAGAAGGACUUGACGCUCACGGACAUGGAACUAGAAUGCGAGCUUCAACCUCGCGGACGAAAAAAAGGCGCACCGUUUUCUGCAGAGAAUCCCCUGUUUCUGUUUCAGAGUCCACUGUUUCAGUUUCAGAGUCCACUGUUUCAGUUUCAGAGCUCCACGCUUGCUUUGCUCCAUUCAGAAUCUUCACUCUGUAAGACUUCCUGUCGUCACUACGCCAACCAUCGUCAGUACGACAGUCGGGUAACUCCCUGCUACCAUUUAUGAGUAUCCCGCAAUCAUCUGGUAUUUUUGAGCUUAAUGGAUCAAGAAUCCUUCCCACUGAUUUGCAGUUAUCAAUAUUCAACCACUGCAAGAACUCUAAUUCAUCAAUGCCCUCCACAACCUGCAGGCUCGGGCAACGGUGAAUCUUUAACCGCUUCAAGUUCUUCGAGUUUGACAAACCGCCUAAGCUUUUUAACGAAAAGCACUUUUUUACAUAAAUUUCUUCCAAUGAUUCGAACGUAGUAACAAAUUGAAUAUCCUGUACCUCGAGGAACCUUGACAGAAUAAAUUGUAUAAGCGUCUUUUGGGAGCUUGGGAAAAGUAUCACUCCCCUCCAAUGAUCAAUCAACUCGGGAGCUUGUAGUCCAUUGCACCCCGGCUCCUCCGGCUGACAAACCAAACUCUCGGAAGAUCUGCAGUCCUGAAUACGUGAUCUUUCUGACGAUUCUAAGACAUCGAGAGAUUGAACAUCAAGUUGCUCGGAGACCUUGUUUUCUUUCGAUUUUCCCAAACUUGUUGGAAGGAAUGGAGUCUCCUUUUCCGAUGGAGGAAGCCCAUCGAGGUGUACUUGUUUCCCUCCAGUUUCGUAGAGCUUUAAAACUAUCAAAUUUGACGGGAGGUGUUUGAAAGUUGGCAAGUCUUGUCCCUGUAGAGUAAGUUCUUUCAGCAGAGAAAGGGAACCCAACUCUGUAGUUGGCGCGCGAACAUUUGUAAAGCAGACGAGCAGGUUGCUCAAUUUGGUUAAACUCCCAAUCCACCCCAAGUCGCCAGUUUGGAAUUCAUUCGAUGGGUCUCUACCUUCAUUUGUGUCUCUGAAGCCGUAUCUGUCUAUGACGCCGUAUCUCUCUUCAUAGCCAUCAGAUAGGAGCAGUUCAACUAUAUUAGUAAGGUAUGAGAGGUUAGGGACAGUUUGCAGGGAAAAAGAACUAAGCCGUAAAGUGGUCAAACUUAUGGGGAGCUUUGGCAACUCUUGUAUCUUAUGACACUGAUCCAUGUCCAGUGUUUGGAGUUGACGAAACUUGACAAGUUUGGUAGUUCACCAAUGGUAUCCGGUAAUUUCAUAAUUUUUGUGUGUGAUACAUCCAGCUCCGUUAACGACUUUAUUUUCAAAACUGAGGCGGGGAGUUCAAUCAACCCGAAACAUCGCUUAAGACAGAGGCACUGCAAAUUUUGUAACUCUCCAAUUUGUUCAGGCAAUUUUUUAAUUGAACAACAAUGCUCAAAAGUCAAGUCAAUCAACCACCUCAGUUUCCCAAUAGAACGAUCAAUUUUCAUUAAAGAUCCAAAAGACUCAAUAGUCAACUUCUUUAAAUUUGAGUACUCGGGAAAGGUUGGUGUCUCACUUAUCAAAGCAUUACACCGAAUAGUGAGAACCGUCAAUUUCCUUGCCCCCUACAAAAGCCAAUAAAACAGUAAGACAUACAAGAAAUAAAUAUGGAUUUAGGUUACCAAUGAGAAAAUUAGUUAAUAAACACGUCAAAUUAUGUCCUUCAUUGAAUGAGAAAAUUAGACUAAGAGGGAAACCGGCAUACCUUGAUUAGGCUAUCUAACACAUCUUUUGUGAUUUCAAUCCCAUAAAGAUUCGCCACAACCACGUUUUCUAGAUGCAACAAAUUGGUUGCCUCCAAAUGUUGAUUACAAGAUCCGAUCGUACUAUAAUGGUAACAAUGCAAACGGAUCCAUUUCAACUCAGAAAGACAGCCCGUAAAGUCACCUCGGUAGGUUACAUUAGGCAAUGAAAGAAACCGCAUACGUGGAAACCGUUUAAUUUGCUCCGAAGUGACAGUCCAAUGAGGAGGAAAAUAACUCCAUGGCAAAUGGAGUGCUUGAACGCUUUCUUUGAUCUGCCAAUUCGUAGAAGAGAAGAGAAAAUGAAACAAAAGAGUAGCUCUCAAAUCAAAAAGUGAAUAUUGAAUUAAGAAGAGGUAUAAGCAAUUUUCUAUUCAAUUUAGGCCAUACUUUACCUCUGUUGAUCUUAAUUCGUGAAUGAUGUCGUCUCCAUCCCACAAUCCGGUACGCUCGUUUUUGGCAAUUGCCCUUCCAAGAUCUCUAAAUUGAUCGUGCAUCCAAAGGCUAUUAUUGUCUAACUCCUUUAUCAUGCAUCUGUUCAUGAGGACAUCCAUGGCAUCCUCUGGGUACAAAUUACAAUCUUUCCACACGUACAUUGGAUUAGUCUUAUUCUCACCAGCAAAAUAGCAUGCAAUAUCAAGAAAUAUCUAUUUUUCAUUCUGAUGUAAGGCAUCAUAGCUAAUCUUUAGUUUUGCCAAGACAUCCUCAUGAGGUGUUUUCUUUAGCCUCUCUAGCCACUCUUCCCAUAGCUCUCUCUUUUUCCCAAAAAGUGAUGAACCAAUUGCUUGAAGAGCUAAAGGUAGUCCACAUGUAGUAUCGACAAUGCCCUUUGAAAGAGCGCAAUAAUCAGCUGGAGGAGAGUCUUCAUUGAAGGCAUGCCUACUAAAAAGUUUAAGUGCAUCUUUACCGAUCAACCCCAUCAUUUCAUAAUCCUUAAAUUCAUACUUAAGUUUCCUGUUAGUCAAAACGUUCUUGUCCCUGGUGGUAACAAGUAUUCUACUACCUCGAUGCAAAGAUUUCUCUGCAAUUAGUUGUAGGAUCUGGUUGGCCUCAUCAACAUCAUCCAAUACAAUUAGCACCUUCUUGUUGGAAAUUGUUGCUUCAAUCGUAUCAAUCCCUUCAUCAAUCUUAUUAAUUUUGUGAGCCACUCCAGAAUAAGAGAUAUCAGACAAUAAUUUUUUUUGUAGCUCAACCAUGUUCUUGUUUUUUGCCGUUUCCCUCACGUCAUCAAGAAAGCUGCAGUUUCUGCCAAAUCGAGGACAUAGUUCGUUGAAGAUAGUCUUGGCGAGUGUUGUUUUACCAAUGCCGCCCAUCCCGUAGAUUCCAAUGAACUGCACAUCAUCAGAAUCAAUGUCUAAUAAUUUCUUUAUGUUUGCUAUUUGAUCUUCCAUUCCAACGAAAUCUCCGGUUACACGUCUCCGUUUUGUCAAGAGCUUGGCCAUAACCUCGUCAACAAUAGCCUGGAUGAGUUUUAAAGGGCUGCCACAAAGUUGAACAGUUUCAAUUGAGCAAACGUGACAAAUUUGCAUAUUGACCAUCUACUAACCAACCGGGUGGGGACGCGAUCAAGUUUAAAAAUAUAGAAGAGAAAUGUUCGAUCUUUAUAUCAGGUAGAAGAAUCAGAAUUUCUGGCAGAAAAGGGUACAAGAAUCAAAAUAUAAACAUCUAAUGAAUUAAUGUACUGAAAUAUUUACUUAAAUAAAAAAAAUGGCAGCCCGAUUAUACAAAAUAAUUUUCACAAUCAUGGUUAGAUUGUUACCUUAAAUGUUUCUCCACCUCCCAUCCCUUGAUGCCACCAACUUCUACGAGACUCCCGCCACGUCUUUAUAUUCUCGGAGCUGAACUUAUGCUCCUAAUCCUCCAUCUCUUGCUCCAAAUUCAAUAUGACAUCCUUGUAUAACGGUGUUUGCAGCUUCGCAUCUUUGGGCUUCACGUCAUAGAAGAUGGGUAAUAUGACCUUCUCUUUCCCAUCUUCUUUAUGUUUAGAGGUGUUCUCCACCAUUUUCGCAAGCUCAUCAAGGCACCAGUGACUUGAAGCGUAAUCGUUGGAGAAGAUGGGUAUGUAAAGCUUGCAAUUGUCAAUCACUUGCAAAAGGUUGCUAAUUUUUUCACCAGGUUGAAGCCCUACGUCAUCGAUGGAAACACGAAUCCCGGCAUCUACCAGGGCUUGGUGGAGGAUAUUGGUGAAUGGAAGACGAGUAUCAGGCCCUCUAAAACUCAGGAAAACCUGGUAUUCACCUCCUACCGUGUUGCUGGUGCUCGUCACUGUCUCUGAGUUUGCCAUAGGAGCUCACUUCGCACUUAACAACGUCAACCCUCUCACCUCGUCUCUGAGUUCGCAAUAUGACAUUUCACAUAUUUGAAUCCGAUCCCAUUUGCCAUCCAAAACGCGGUCAACGCGUGUCGAGUUUUCCGACACGUAGUCAACUUUUUUCGACUCGUCUCGACACGCGUGUCGGAUGGAAGCGAGGGCGGGGGAGGAGAGACGAGGCCGCGAGCGACAGCGAGCCCGCGACGGCGAGAAACCGCCAGAGAAAGAGUAGAGAUUGAGGCGCCAGAGAAAGAGUCGAGACCGAAGCAAGGGCGGCUGUAGAGACUGAGGAGAGGGCGGCCGCAGUGAUGCUGCGGAUCGGCGACGAGGCUGCAACUGCAAGUGAGGAAGGGCCGAAGCGAGGCGGAGGAGGAGGAGAGGAUCGAGAGGAGAGAGAGGACGGGGUUGUAUGGAGGUCGUCGUCCGGNNNNNNNNNNNNNNNNNNNNNNNNNNNNNNNNNNNNNNNNNNNNNNNNNNNNNNNNNNNNNNNNNNNNNNNNNNNNNNNNNNNNNNNNNNNNNNNNNNNNNNNNNNNNNNNNNNNNNNNNNNNNNNNNNNNNNNNNNNNNNNNNNNNNNNNNNNNNNNNNNNNNNNNNNNNNNNNNNNNNNNNNNNNNNNNNNNNNNNNNNNNNNNNNNNNNNNNNNNNNNNNNNGAGGGAAAAAAGUGAAAUAAAUUUGGGAGCGGGGGGAAACUUUGUUUUAAUCGGAAAAAAUAAAUGAAUAAUUUUAAAAAAUAAAAAUACUGAAUUUUAGAUGAUAAUAAAUUUUGAUCAUUGUAAAAAAAAUCAUAGAUUUAUUUAAAUAAGUUGAUUGUAAUUUUCAAUGAAUUAAUUUAUUAAUAUUAUUAGUGUAAAUUCAUUGUAGGUUCUUUUUUUAAUUAAUUAAUUAAUUAUGAAUUUAAAUCAAAUUAAAUAUAAAUAAAAAUAUUUAUUUAAUAUUUAACGUGUCGGAAGAUAUCGAAAUUUUUUACUUUUUGAGAAAUGACGUAUAAUGUAUCGUGUCGUGUCGUGUCACUUAUCGCAUAUCGCGUGUCGGUGCUACAUACGUGUACACUUAGUCAAGUUGAUGACUUCAAAAAAUAAAAAUAAGGAAAAUGACGCUAAUGGAGACGCACCUUUUUACACUCCCAAUGUCAUUCGAGUUUCUUCCUUUGUCCUUUUCACUUUGUGCUUUUGAAAAAGAAAAAUACGGUGGAGGACGAUAAUGGAGGUGCACCUUUUUGCAUGCCCAAUGUCUUCCGAGUUUCUCCUUUGUGCUUGUCGCGACCUAAUUUUCGCGGGUUCACCACCUAAAACUAGGUAAAUGGACUGCUAAGCUUUUACACUUAGCUCGGGCUCUCCCAAGCCCAUAUCAAAUCGCGACUUAAGUCUAAAUUUUUAAACAUGCAAGAGGUUAUUAUCUAGGAGUCGCUACUAAUCAGUUUAUGGUAGGUCGAUUAGACACCUAAGUAAAAUAAUGGGAGAAUUACUUUACUCCUACGAACCAGAGACUAAGGGUACGGGGACUUGAUUACAUUAGAUUUCUCUAAUGCCCUUUCGGUACCAUUCUUUUUAUUUUCAAAAAUGUUUGGCAAUUGAAUUGAUUUUAAUCUAACUUCCUAACAUGUGAGGUAAUCAUACGUGUGCGCAUACCACCAAUUUAACACACAAGACAGCAAUUUAAUAUUGCAAAACAUACCUAGGAGCAAUAAAAGCAUCUACAUUGUUAAAUCAGAAAUCACAUCAGCAGCCAUAGAUAUGAUUUCUAAUUAACACGCAAUUUCAAUUUUUUUGUUUUCACUUUAUUUAAUGAAAAUCAUGACUUAUGCAAUGCAUCUAAUAUGACAUGGCAGCAUGACCUAAACUAUAUGACAUGAAGAAAUGCAAGAAUUAAAUGCCAUCUAAAUGACCUAAUUCUAAUGACAUGCAAUGCGAAGCAAUGACAUACAAAAUUCUUUAAACUAAGAUGACAUGCCGCAUAUAAUUUAGCACGCGAGUUAUAUGUCAUGCGACAUUUAUUAAAUGAUUUAGUCUAAUGACGAUGAAGUUCUAAUGAACCUAAUAAAAACUAAAUGACGUGCAUUUGAUAUUUCUAUUUAAAAAUGCGAAAAUAAUCUAGCUAGAUUAAAAUUCAAUCUAACUUAAACUAAGGAUUAAGUCACAUUAAAUCCUAAUUUAAACUAAGAUAUUAUCUUAAUCUAACAUGUAAUUGGUCUAAUAUGCAAUGACGUGCGGAGCAAGCCCUAAUGACAUAUGCAUGAUAUUUUUUAUAUUUUAUUUUUUAUUUAAAAUUCAAAAUUUAAAAUUGCCACGUAAUUAAACAUGCAACUAAAGUCCUAAAUAAAUGCAUUUUUUUAAAUAUUUUUUGAACUAAAAUCCCUAUCCUAGCUAUGCAAGAUAACAAGAAAUAUUCUAAAACAAACUGAAUCCUAAUUCAAAUAUUUUUUUAGAUUUUUUUAAUGAUUCUCUAAAACAAGCCAUUAUCAAUUAAACAGUAAAUCUAAACAAUCAAGAUAUGCAAUCAUAUAAAGGAUCAAAAUAACCGAAAAAAAUAACCUGUUGUCUCACAGGUCAAAUUAACGAUUAUCCUAACCCUAAUUAUCACAACAAAGAGUUCAAAAUAACUAAAAUCUGAUCCGAAUUCUUACGGAUCAAAUUAAUAGUUAUAUUGAUUCAACACUAUCGACAAAUCCCAGAAAUUAUUAUAAUAAAAAAAAAAUGAUCCGAGAUCUUACGGAUCAAAUUAGUAAUUACAAUAAUUCUAGGGAAUAUCCUGUGGAUAAUGCCUACAAAAUCCAUAAAAUAAAGAUCACUCCUGAACUUAAAAGAAAUAAAUAAAAUAAAGUAAAUAGAAAAAGAAUAAAACUACCUAAUUUCCCUUUUCUUUUCUUUUUUUGUUUUUCUUUUCCUGCUUGUAACCGUGGGUCUCCAAGGCAGCGAGUUAAUCGGCACGGCAAAGGGGAUCACCGACGAGGGGGAAUUCCGGCGAGGCAAGGCAGCAGGCACAGCUGGUCACGGGUCAGGUGAGACAGGGACGGCAUGAGCGAAACCAUCGGUCUUCGGGCACCGGCAAAGGUGCGCGAGUGCAGCAGUAGCUGAGGCGGUCUGGCGUCGUGGGUGAGGAGGAAUCAGCGAGCAGUGGACUCACGGCUUCGAGCGGGCGGAGUAGGGCAGGAAAAGCUCCGGCGUCAGGCUUCACGGGCGGUGACCGGCGGGCUUUGUGAGGAGACAACAGACGCGCGGCGAGAGGCGAGCUGCUGUGGCGCCGGUGCUCGGGAGGAGGGAUGCAGGCGGAGAUGCGGCACGGAGAUCUGAGCGCGAUGGUGUGGCGCGGUGCAGGAGGGGUCACGGACGACUGGGCUGGCGUCGCGGGUUGCUCGCGAAGGAGGCGCGACGAGGCUCGGCGUCGUGGUGGCACGGUUCGUCGGGUCUUGUAGACGGAGACCGGCGGCUACGUCGACGCGGGGAAGGCGGAGGCGCGGCGGAGCUUCACGGAUCGUCGAGUUGGGCGAUGGGCAGUGCUCAAGUGUGGGGCACACGGAUGAUCAACCGGACAGGAGCAAGGAGACACGUCGGUGAAGGGACUGGACACCAGGAAAGCUUUGCCGAAGAAGAUGAAUAGGAAAAACUUUUCCUUCUUUUUUUACUUUUCCCUUUCCUCUCUCCUCUGCAGCCGCACACUUUCCUUUCUUUUUGCUUUUUGUGCUUCUUUCCUUUUCCCAAGACCUUCACGGACGGCCUCCCUCUCCUCUUUCACUUUUUGCUUUUUUCUCUCUUUUUUUAACUGCAAAACUUCUCUCCACUUUUCUGAAUUUUUUUUCAAAAGAAGCUCCUCCUUCUCCACAUACCUGAUUGCUUUUUAUAGGUGAAAAUAGGUAAUCUUCGUAGAAUAUUUUAUCUCGUUUUUUCAAUAUACACGAAGAUAAUCUAUAACCUCCCGAUCACCCAAAAUCUUCUUAUUUUCCUUAUCUCUUGAAUAUCUCUAAUGAUUUUAUUGCCUAUUGAUAAAGAUGAUAUUGCAAUGCGGUUUUCUCAAUCUUCAAAAAUCAUCAGAAUAUUGCAUCAAAAUUUCAAUUUUUCACAAGAUAAUUGAUUUGCAAAAAAUAAUGGGCUUGGGCUAUUUUGCUCAUUUCAUGGGCUUAGCCCGACCUGCCAAUUUAAAACCCGAAAACACCAAUUCGACCCAUCCGCCAAUCGGUUCAGUAAAUAAAUGCAAAAUAUGCAAACUAAAUGUAGCUAUGCAAUAUUUUUUUUCAGGGAUAAAAUUAACCCCUAAUUUUUUAUGCAAUAAAUGACUAAAUGGAUCGCCAAAAUUUAGGUGUCAACAGCUGCCCCUCUUUGAAGGUGAGCUCGAAGAGGUUGCCUUCAAAAACAAAUUGAGAUCUAAAUUUUGACAAUGCAAAUGCACUGAAUGAUUUUUUUUUUUUUUUCAGAAAAUGAAUUCCAUUUUUUAAUGCAAUGUAUAUGAUGCAUGGAAAUGCUAAUGCAGAUGAUAAAAGACUUACCUGGAAUGACUUACCUUCAAGGAGGGUAGAGUGAUUCAAGAUAGUUGGUGUUACAUGUCCAGGACUCGUACCAUUCUACGGUCGCCCGGAAUAGUAACAUGGUUUUGCAAAGAGACUGCUUCCCUAGGACCCGUACCAUUCUACGGUCGCCCAGUAUGGCAGUGUUUGAUUGUGUCUAGGACCCGUACCAUUCUACGGUCGCCUAAACAGGGAUUUACCUUCCAGGACCCGUAUCAUUUUACGGUCGCCUGAAUAGGGAAAUAGGUUUUGUCUAGGACCCGUUCUAUUCUACGGUCACCUAAACGGGGGUUUACCUUCCAGGACCCGUACCAUUCUACGGUCGCCUGAAUAGGGAAAUAGAUGUUGUCUAGGACCCGUUCUAUGCUACGGUCACCUAAACGGGGGUUUACCUUCCAGGACCCGUACCAUUCUACGGUCGCCUGAAUAGGGAAAUAGAUGUUGUCUAGGACCCGUUCUAUGCUACGGUCACCUAAACGGGGGUUUACCUUCCAGGACCCGUACCAUUCUACGGUCGCCUGAAUAGGGAAAUAGAUGUUGUCUAGGACCCGUUCUAUGCUACGGUCACCUAGACUGAGGUUUUGCUUGGCUAGGACCCGAACCAUUCUUCGGUCGCCCAGCCUUGCAAAAGAGAUCAACUGACCAGGACCCGAACCGUUCUUCGGUCGCCUUAAUCAGAUUGGCUCUGGAGGAAAAUCUUUGGGGGACAACUCAGUCGAGUGUCGAUUAAAAGGGACUCUGGGCUACAAAAGCACGCCAGGUCGAUAAAAGAAAUCCGGGCUACGGAAGCACGCCGAUUUGGUAUAAAUGGACAUCGGGCUACGAAAGCACACCGGGUCAAUGAAUGGGACUCUGGGCUACGAAAGCACGCCAGGUCAAUAUAAAGGACACCGGGCUACUGAAGCACGCCGGGUCAAUGAGAAAGGGACUCUGGGCUACAAAAGCACACCAGGUCAAUAUAGAGAGACAGCUUGACCGAGUCAAGUGUCGAUAAUGGGUAGAGAUAUACUUACCUGAUGAUAUCUCUGAUUCUUUGGGAUAUGUCUUUUGGAAAUUAGAUAUCCUGUGGAGGCCUUUCACCUCCUAAUAUCAUGAAACAUUCUGAAAGGAACUUGAAUUACCUGUCAGACAUGAUUUAGAGCAAAAACUGAUAUGCAUUCAUUAAAGAGAUAAACAAUCUAAGCUACUCUAGAAUGCACAUUUCAAAAUUCAGUGAGGUUUUCAUCAACUCAAUCGGGGUUUAUGCAUAAUGACCUUUGCAUCACCCAAAUUUCCACUGGAGAGAAUUAUCAUUCAAGACAAUUUUCACUCAUGACAUGGAUUUCUUAAGAAUACCAAAUGAGGGACCUUCAAUUAGAAAGGACUUUCACUCACUCUCAUUUAGAAGCUAUUUUAUGAGAAUCACUCCAUCUCACUAUCAUCACACCAACAAGGGUCCGAGUUUUCUCACAAGAGGUACAACCUUACCAAUCUGAGAGAUCUUUAAUAGGGACCGUAAUGUGGGCUUGGUUAAUGGCUUAACAAAGGGACUCUUUGAGUCAAGGCAAUUGAAAGAACAAUUUUGUAAUCAUCUCCGGGUUUACAAGUCAAGAACCUUGCAAAAUGAGAACGAAAUGAUCUUGCUCGUACUUCUUCGAGCGAUGCUUAUAAACAUAUGAACUCCUAUGUUAAUUCAAGUGCCCUAAUCUGAAGAGACUUUGUAAAGGACGUAACGUAGGCUAGGUUCAUGGGUUGAGAAAUGACAUGAUCAUUAGGCUCAAAACAUGUGUUAAGGGUGAGAGUUGAUGAUCAUCUUGGCAUUGCCACCAGUUUUCUUUUUCACCAUUGGGGAUUGUCUUCAUGAAGUGCCCCAUUGAUUAUGAAAACUCAACUUUUGAGUUCUUUGAGUAUUGCUCCAUUGAGACUCAAUUCUUGUCAUUAAGAGUCACCUAUCUUGACUCUUUUUUUCAUCUAUGGGCAUUGGCCUUGCUUUUACCAGGCACACCACUUUUUCACGCCCCCUAGUUUUCAUUCACUUUUCUUCACUUCUUUUCAUGGGCAUUGGCCUUGCUUUUACCAGGCACACUGCUUUUUUUAUGCCCCUUAGUUCUAUUUUGAAUUCAAUUCUUGCACAUAAUGCAUGCGUCAAGUAAACUACACUUUGAAUGACACUUGAACUUUUCAAGAGUCUUCAUUUGCCUUUUGUCUUGCCCCAGUGUGGGGGAUGAUCACCAACUGGGUUUAAAGAAAUAAAAUUGCAGGCUCAAAUGGGCUAUGCAAAGGAUAUAGGUGUAUGGGAUAGAAAAAGAAAUGCUCUUCAUCAUCCUAAAGCACUUAAAUUAACACAUGAAUUCACUGUAAUAGCAUGACUUGAAGAUUGAUGCAAGUGAGAGCAAGAAGAUUUCAAUUCAUUUUCCUCACCUCAUGAUGCCAUUUGAUCUCUUAGUUGCCCCGAUGUGGGGUGAUUCUUGACAGGGGUAAUUUGAAAAGAAUCUCCACAAGUGUAUAAGGCUCAAAAGGGUUAAGCAAUGGAUCACCUAUAGUGUUUGGGAUAGAGAAAUAAACUGCCUCUCAUCAUUUUGGUCAUCGUACCUUUUGCAAGAGAACUCUUUACCUUGAAGAUAUGGAACUUCCUACACUCAUCUAUCAAGUGUAUAAGUAGGGGACCGUGUAUAGGGUAAGGCUUGCCUUUCAUCAUACUGACACGUCUCAUUCAGCAUUCUUAAGCAUUGAUAUCACUCCAUUAAAUUGUCUAUCUUGACAAAUCUCCACAUGAAAUUGGUUAGCUAAAUCAAUAUGAAAAUUCUCUUUUCAAAUGAGUCCAGCAACUUUAAGCAUGAAAAGUGUUUGUGACUUCAAAACAAACAAUUUAUUGCACUCAAAACAUGGUUUUAAGCAUUCAUUCAGGGGAUUGCUCUAGAAAGGGAUAGCCGUCUUUUAUCAAUCAAAAGUGAAAAUUCGCCUUUUGAUUUGAUGAAUACUUCGUUCUUGCUUUUGCCCCUGCACAAGAGAACGUGCAUGAAUAGGAUACUAUGCAACUCAAAGUAAAUUCAAAUGGCACAACCAUUUUGGCUCGGAUCGAGAUUUUGUCUCAGUCAUGUCACUACUAGAAUCUAUAGUACCCCAAUUCUUCAUCUGCAAGGAAAAGAACAAAAGUGUCAAUUCCGAAAUUAAUUAUAUUCAUGAACGCAAUGUAUCCAUUUCAUUUAAGACGGAUGAUCUUCUUUUGACUUGUUUCAUCAUUUUCUCAUGGAAAUGAGAAACUUCAUUUGGCCUUCGAGAAUGACAUUUCACACAAAUUGUUAUGAGAUGUGCCACAUAUCACACUUUGGAGUCCAUAUGAUUUUCUUCACUCUUGGGAGAUGUCAUCAAGAUCAGUUAGGAAAUGAUCAUUUGCCCCCACAUCUAUUUUUCCUCUCAGAUGUAUGUUCCCAAAUCAAUGGGCCUACUAUCAUUGGAAAUUGAUGCGUUAUUUUCAAACGCCUCUCUGUUAUGCUCUGAGACAUGAAGUAAAUGAGUUAGAAAAACAUACAAAGGUAACCUAAUGCAUGCUUUUUGGAAAUGGCUUGAAAAAUGAUUUUUUUUUUUUGUUCUUUUGGAUUUUUUUUUUAUGAGGAAGCAUGAAGAAGCCCAGUCCUCAGAAUUCUCCUUGGAUGAUAUUUUCUUUUCAUUGUUGGAUAUCGUCACCGGGUUGGUUUGGUAUACCCCAUCAUGUCCUCAAAAUUAGAAAUAAAAUUGUAAUUUCGUCAGAUGAAUUACAUUAUUGGAAUGGAAAUUGUGAUUCCUAAACCCCCUAAAAGAGAAAAAAUCGAAAAUGAUUCCUAAAAAGCGAAAACUAAUUCCUAAAAAGCAAUAAAAAUUCCCAUGCAGGGGAAGAUGCAACUGAGCAUGCCCCAAGGAAAGUGAACUACUUAGGACUAUGAAUCAUGUAUGCUCGAGUUCUUCACCCUCCUUGCUCGUGUGAUGCGAACCUUUCAAGUCUGAGAUUCUUCCUUCUAGAUAUGUCACGAGUCUCUUCAUGGUGGCAUCAAAUUCAGCUACCUCGGGAAAGUGAGACGAUUCAAAAGUUCUCUUGGCUCUCUUCUUCGAGUCGCAAAUUCUUAUUGAAGAUGGAGUACCUAUGUCAUCGCAGCCUUUUUGCUUGAUGAGAAAAGUCACAGUAGUAGACAAUUCAUUGACUUGAUUUUGGUGGUGUGCAAUUUGCUUGUUCAUAUUAUCAAUGAUAUGGUCCAGCGCCUCAUUUCGAUCCGCCAUUUUAGCUCUCGACCGUGUACGGAUGGGUGAGCGAGAUCGCUUCAUAAUCACCUAAUAAAAAAAUAAAUGGGAACAUGUAAGCAUGAAGUGUAAAUAGAAAGCUAGUUCAUGACAACCAUUUAAUUUUAAUCAAGAAAAGUCCACAUAUGAAGAGGAAUUCCUAAAAACGGACUAGGAAAAUAAAGACAGGGGACGCCCCAGUAGGGACGAAAUUUCCUAAACAUGAACUAGCAAAAGCCAAGACAUAAAUUGAAAACAAAUUUCCAAUUUUUAUUUUCCAAAUGAUUCAUUGUAUGGCAAUUCAUUUCAUUUUUUAAAGGAAUUAGAUCAAAUGACUAUCCUAGAUUGUCAUGAACAAACCAAAAGCAUGACAAAAUAAGAUGCAUGGUAUAGGGAUAGAAAACUUACUUUACCAAGAAAAAUCAACGGCGAUCACAUAGACAUGCACAUGAAAUGUGAGGCUCGAUUUCUGUCUAAAUGGCUUAACAAGGUGGAGCUAAGAGGAUAAUCUUACCGUUGCAGUCUCGCAUUAACGUGUCAGGUCCCCCUAACUCCGGCUCAGUCGAAUGGAAUACCCAAUAAUCACGCAGUCUCGCGGAUAUGGAUAAACACAUUCGACACCAUGAAAGAAAUUUCGGGGAAGAGAAGGUCAACCUCUACAUAGCAGUCUCGCUUUGGAGGAAGUAUCCUUCUCAACACCAUCCUAAAAAUCCUAUCGCAGCCCAGGUCCGACCGCAGGUUGUGUGUGCAAAAGUGUAGUGCUAAAGCAAUAAAGCAUGCACAACAGUUUAAAUGCAAACAACACUUCUAUAGUUUUAAUUCAAACAUUCAUCCCUAACUCCAACCUGCAAAACAAGGGUUAGCAAAGACUACUCCCCUUAUACCUCCUAUCUGCAAGAACAUUUAACACCUUAGGAAUGUUAGGGACAUACCUGGGAUCCUAUGCUGCCAAACAAAAAUAUUUUUUUAAAAAGAAAUUGGCCUAAGUCCACUAAGUGUUUUAACACAAGUCCCCAGUGGAGUCGCCAAGCUGUCGCGACCUAAUUUUCGCGGGUUCACCACCUAAAACUAGGUAAAUGGACUGCUAAGCUUUUACACUUAGCUCGGGCUCUCCCAAGCCCAUAUCAAAUCGCGACUUAAGUCUAAAUUUUUAAACAUGCAAGAGGUUAUUAUCUAGGAGUCGCUACUAAUCAGUUUAUGGUAAGUCGAUUAGACACCUAAGUAAAAUAAUGGGAGAAUUACUUUACUCCUACGAACCAGAGACUAAGGGUACGGGGACUUGAUUACAUUAGAUUUCUCUAAUGCCCUUUCGGUACCAUUCUUUUUAUUUUCAAAAAUGUUUGGCAAUUGAAUUGAUUUUAAUCUAACUUCCUAACAUGUGAGGUAAUCAUACGUGUGCGCAUACCACCAAUUUAACACACAAGACAGCAAUUUAAUAUUGCAAAACAUACCUAGGAGCAAUAAAAGCAUCUACAUUGUUAAAUCAGAAAUCACAUCAGCAGCCAUAGAUAUGAUUUCUAAUUAACACGCAAUUUCAAUUUUUUUGUUUUCACUUUAUUUAAUGAAAAUCAUGACUUAUGCAAUGCAUCUAAUAUGACAUGGCAGCAUGACCUAAACUAUAUGACAUGAAGAAAUGCAAGAAUUAAAUGCCAUCUAAAUGACCUAAUUCUAAUGACAUGCAAUGCGAAGCAAUGACAUACAAAAUUCUUUAAACUAAGAUGACAUGCCGCAUAUAAUUUAGCACGCGAGUUAUAUGUCAUGCGACAUUUAUUAAAUGAUUUAGUCUAAUGACGAUGAAGUUCUAAUGAACCUAAUAAAAACUAAAUGACGUGCAUUUGAUAUUUCUAUUUAAAAAUGCGAAAAUAAUCUAGCUAGAUUAAAAUUCAAUCUAACUUAAACUAAGGAUUAAGUCACAUUAAAUCCUAAUUUAAACUAAGAUAUUAUCUUAAUCUAACAUGUAAUUGGUCUAAUAUGCAAUGACGUGCGGAGCAAGCCCUAAUGACAUAUGCAUGAUAUUUUUUAUAUUUUAUUUUUUAUUUAAAAUUCAAAAUUUAAAAUUGCCACGUAAUUAAACAUGCAACUAAAGUCCUAAAUAAAUGCAUUUUUUUUAAUAUUUUUUUGAACUAAAAUCCCUAUCCUAGCUAUGCAAGAUAACAAGAAAUAUUCUAAAACAAACUGAAUCCUAAUUCAAAUAUUUUUUUAGAUUUUUUUAAUGAUUCUCUAAAACAAGCCAUUAUCAAUUAAACAGUAAAUCUAAACAAUCAAGAUAUGCAAUCAUAUAAAGGAUCAAAAUAACCGAAAAAAAUAACCUGUUGUCUCACAGGUCAAAUUAACGAUUAUCCUAACCCUAAUUAUCACAACAAAGAGUUCAAAAUAACUAAAAUCUGAUCCGAAUUCUUACGGAUCAAAUUAAUAGUUAUAUUGAUUCAACACUAUCGACAAAUCCCAGAAAUUAUUAUAAUAAAAAAAAAAUGAUCCGAGAUCUUACGGAUCAAAUUAGUAAUUACAAUAAUUCUAGGGAAUAUCCUGUGGAUAAUGCCUACAAAAUCCAUAAAAUAAAGAUCACUCCUGAACUUAAAAGAAAUAAAUAAAAUAAAGUAAAUAGAAAAAGAAUAAAACUACCUAAUUUCCCUUUUCUUUUCUUUUUUUGUUUUUCUUUUCCUGCUUGUAACCGUGGGUCUCCAAGGCAGCGGGUUAAUCGGCACGGCAAAGGGGAUCACCGACGAGGGGGAAUUCCGGCGAGGCAAGGCAGCAGGCACAGCUGGUCACGGGUCAGGUGAGACAGGGACGGCAUGAGCGAAACCAUCGGUCUUCGGGCACCGGCAAAGGUGCGCGAGUGCAGCAGUAGCUGAGGCGGUCUGGCGUCGUGGGUGAGGAGGAAUCAGCGAGCAGUGGACUCACGGCUUCGAGCGGGCGGAGUAGGGCAGGAAAAGCUCCGGCGUCAGGCUUCACGGGCGGUGACCGGCGGGCUUUGUGAGGAGACAACAGACGCGCGGCGAGAGGCGAGCUGCUGUGGCGCCGGUGCUCGGGAGGAGGGAUGCAGGCGGAGAUGCGGCACGGAGAUCUGAGCGCGAUGGUGUGGCGCGGUGCAGGAGGGGUCACGGACGACUGGGCUGGCGUCGCGGGUUGCUCGCGAAGGAGGCGCGACGAGGCUCGGCGUCGUGGUGGCACGGUUCGUCGGGUCUUGUAGACGGAGACCGGCGGCUACGUCGACGCGGGGAAGGCGGAGGCGCGGCGGAGCUUCACGGAUCGUUGAGUUGGGCGAUGGGCAGUGCUCAAGUGUGGGGCACACGGAUGAUCAACCGGACAGGAGCAAGGAGACACGCCGGUGAAGGGACUGGACACCAGGAAAGCUUUGCCGAAGAAGAUGAACAGGAAAAACUUUUCCUUCUUUUUUUACUUUUCCCUUUCCUCUCUCCUCUGCAGCCGCACACUUUCCUUUCUUUUUGCUUUUUGUGCUUCUUUCCUUUUCCCAAGACCUUCACGGACGGCCUCCCUCUCCUCUUUCACUUUUUGCUUUUUUCUCUCUUUUUUUAACUGCAAAACUUCUCUCCACUUUUCUGAAUUUUUUUUCAAAAGAAGCUCCUCCUUCUCCACAUACCUGAUUGCUUUUUAUAGGUGAAAAUAGGUAAUCUUCGUAGAAUAUUUUAUCUCGUUUUUUCAAUAUACACGAAGAUAAUCUAUAACCUCCCGAUCACCCAAAAUCUUCUUAUUUUCCUUAUCUCUUGAAUAUCUCUAAUGAUUUUAUUGCCUAUUGAUAAAGAUGAUAUUGCAAUGCGGUUUUCUCAAUCUUCAAAAAUCAUCAGAAUAUUGCAUCAAAAUUUCAAUUUUUCACAAGAUAAUUGAUUUGCAAAAAAUAAUGGGCUUGGGCUAUUUUGCUCAUUUCAUGGGCUUAGCCCGACCUGCCAAUUUAAAACCCGAAAACACCAAUUCGACCCAUCCGCCAAUCGGUUCAGUAAAUAAAUGCAAAAUAUGCAAACUAAAUGUAGCUAUGCAAUAUUUUUUUUCAGGGAUAAAAUUAACCCCUAAUUUUUUAUGCAAUAAAUGACUAAAUGGAUCGCCAAAAUUUAGGUGUCAACAGUGCUUUUCACUUUGUCUUGAUCUCUCCGCCUUGAAAACUUAACUUCAAUUAUAACCAAUUUCCUUCAACAACUCAAUUAUUGUCGUAAAAUGUGCCUUUAUAUUAAAAGGUGAAUGAUCAUUUAUUUCCUACUAACAACUAUUAGAAUGUGAGCAUGGUGUAGUUAGUGCAGUUUGGAUGUCAAAUCAAGCCAAACUAUAUAAAUAUAUUUUGAGUUUGAGCACCUCGGAUGAAAUAGGAUCAGAUGAGAAUUAUAGGAGCUCGGCCACUGUUCAAAAUUGGUGAGAGGAAGGGCAGUGAUGGCUUGUCAAAGGCCAUGAUGCCAGUCCAUUGCGGUAUUGCUUUGAGCACGAAAGAAAGAAAGAGAAACCAUGAUGGUCCUGACCACAAGAGACGGCUUUUGCUCAGCUGAAGAAGAGAGAACGAGAUUAAUGAUGGCCAUUGCCGAUACUGGCCCGAAAGGGGAGAAGACGAAGAAAGUUGCAAGGACGGUGUCUUUUCAUGUUGGCCACUCAUUGUUUCCUUACUUCUGCUUUAUUUGGUUCCGCUGAAUUUCCUCUUCAAGUACCAAGAGGAAGAGCUCUUAAAGUCAAAGAGAGCUCUGAAGGCUGCACAGAGCAUAUCGAAAAGCGUGUCGAGGGUUCCUCUCGAUAACACCAAAUAUUUAUGUUCUAAAGAGGAGUAAAUCUUUCGUUAAGAUUUGCCUCGUACUUUUAAGAGAUUGGGAAAUUUUUUCAAAAUAAAAUUUGAAAGCUAAACAUUUUAUGAAUUAUUGAAUAUAACUAGGAUUUGAAAAAUAACAAGAGUGUUUAAAUGAUUCAAGUAUGAUUAUAAAUUUCCUCAUAUCUUUUGAUUUAUAAUUGAAUCUUGUAUUGCUCUCUCAUAAAUAUAAGUCAUAAACCGAAUCACGUAAAUUUAAUAUCUGAUUCAUUUCUUUAUUUUGUGCAUUUUAUUCAAUUUUUUUUCCAAAAGGGAAUAUGUUUUGAAGGAAAGUGAAACCCAACUAAAAAAUAUUCGAUAUGAUCAGCAUUAGGGGGUAUUGUUCUUUUGUUGCCAUUUUGUCCAUUGAAUCGCUCCAGGCCGUGUGUACCUUUCACUUUCCUUCCUUCAUUUUCCAUGAUUCUAUGGUCACAUAUUUUUUAUUUAUUUAGUUUUGGCACAACAUAUCAAGAAAACCCUAAAUUUGCAACUACAAUCUUAAUAUUUUAAAUAAGUCUAUUUUGCAUUAUUUGACAUAGAUUUUCACGGCAUUUGUUAGUGAUGCAUUUUUUUUAAUUGCAUGUUUAAUAUAAAUCAUUUUCAUAUUUCAUCUCUUAAUAAUUUUCCAUGAGAAAUUGAAAAUCAUUAGGAAUAUUAUCCUUCGAAAUUUGAAGUAAUGAAGCUCAGAUAGAGCCUAGACGCAAUAAUUUAUUUUUUAGCUUGUUUUAUUUAUAAAUGUUUUUCAUGGCGUUAUUGGUUGCUUUGACUUGUUGACUAAAUCGGUGCACUGUACAAAGUCCUCGAGAGGAUGACUUGUCCACAUUUAUUUUAGCUCAUUCAUGACACUAGUAUCCAAAUCAUUGGACUCAAUUAACACCGAUUUAUAAACACAAACCACUCCAUCCACGUACAUUAGAUUAGUUCCAUUCACAGGAUAGCUAGCAAGACACUCUAGGCAAUGAGUAAGAGACAUCAUGAUCAAAUUUGAACAAAAUAUUGUUUCGAGAAUAGCGUUCAAAAUACAUGUAAUGCACUCAUGACGGAGUCAUUUUCCUGGAAAAUAACUUAUCGAAAAAUGUUUUUCGGAAACAUGAUAUUUUCUACGAAACGAACGAACCCUUAAUAUGAAAAACUUCUCCUCCAAAUCAUCCUCCUUCAAAAAUAUACAAAAGAAGAACAACUGUGUUACAUUAGAAAAGGAGAAAAUGAUGUUUAUUAUGAGAAAUAAAUGAUGAAAUUCUUGAUUUGAAUGCCUGAAGUCCGAUGCCACUUUCUUUAGUAAGAGACAUCAUUUUGGACGUUUGUAUCGUGUAACUCACGUGAUUCAAUUAAAAAGCUUUUCCACCAUAUCAUCCUCCCUAAAAAAAUUACAAAAGGAGAACCACUACGUUACAUUAGAAAAAGGAGAAACGGAUAUUUAAUUAUAAGAUAUAAACGGUGAGCGCAAUGCCACUUUCGUCGGUUAGAGACAUCAUUUGGACGUUUGUAUUUCGUGACUCAGGGGUUUAAUUGAAAAUUAUGGAUAAAGACUCUUAAUUCCAUUUGCAUGACUCACAGGGUUUUAGGUUUCAAAUAAAUAUCGGAAUCGACAAAAUUUUAAAGGGAAACAAAUAUCACUAUAAAAUAUUCUUCCACGACCAUUUGCCAUCAAUUACGCUCACGGCCAACUUUCCAGCAGGUGCAGAAAACAUUAUAUAUUAUGGUCCCUUUUGACAUCAAAAACACGUCAUGGCAACUUCGAAGCAGGUGCAACUUCCAAUUUAUAGUCACUAAAGUCGAUGGCUUUAUAAAAAUAAAGGUGGAGGACAAUAAUGAAGGUGUAACUUUUCUAUAGUUGGACAUAUUUAAAAUUCCAAUCCAAUAUUGUAAAAUAAAAUUUAUCUAUAUAAAUACAUAAUAACAAAUUAUUUCCAAAGAAUCGCCUCUCAUUAUGACACAUGGGACUCCGGAUAAUUAGAUAAAUUUCCUUCAUGCCAUAGAGAUUGAAUUUGCAGCUUUCACUACAAAAAAAAAAAAAAAGGCUCCACCUAAGCGCUACCUAAGCAUAUACUUACUAUUCACUAUGAAAUAUUCGAUUUGAUCUUUUUACCUUAAAGACUUACCUUUUAUUUUAAUUAAUUGCCUUUAACCACUCAAGUAUUCUCAUUAAAUGUGCCUUUAUAUUAAAUAGCAAAUGAUUGUGCAAACACUUUUUCAACACUUAUUUCCUUAGAUUGUCAUUGCAUUUCUUAAAAAAAAUUUAGGGACCGAAUUUGCCAACAACACUAUAAUUUGACCCCUAACCAAAAACACUUACCACGCACGGUUUUUUGCAUUCGUUCCUCGCAUUCAUGACUAGAGGCAUGUUGAUUUCGAUACCUUGGGCCUGGCAUCAAAAUAAAUCUUGGAUAGGAAAAAGAAUUUCAUUUUAUUCUUUUCAAGAAUGGAGGAUUAGGAAAAUCCUAUUGAUUGCAACUUUCUCCAAACGUCCGAGAAAAGGAUGAAAAAAAGGCUUGAAUGGUACAAUCCCUCCAUAACCCCUGGGGAAAAAUAAAGAUAUAUCUUACAUUAAAAGGCUCAAAUGGUACGAUCCCUCCAUCACCCCAAAAUGAAAGGGAUCACAGACAUUUCUGGAACACCUCUAACAAAGGGACAAAUAGUCAAUUUUGAAAUAACUUAAACUCCAAUUCUAAAAUCCCUUCUCUCGCACUUUACACCUUAGAAUGCACCCUUAUUAUAGAGAGAAAGACGACCCAGUACGGUAUCGAUAUCUCUUGGAAUCCUAAACUAAAUAUGAUACUACCAAUAAUUGUAGCAAUCUACAUGUGUCCCUAUCCCAUUAAUCAAUACUGAUUGAUGGAAUUCUAAAGAAAUAUUCAAGGCCACUCAACAUUACUCAAUUGAUUUGUUCCUUUUAAGUUGACCUAUUUUUGUGCGCACCAUUAAACCUCAGCUAGCCUUAUCGCUUUAGCCUUGUUGGGGACAUGAAACUAAGUCGAGAUAUGGGCCAUCUAGUCAACAAUCGGCCAAGAGUCUCACCUGGGACCAAAGAGUGAGAGCGAGAUCGUGCGAAACAGAAAAAAAAGAAAAAAAAGAAAGUAGAGCAGAGGGCAAUCUUGGCAAUAGGAGGAAAUAACAAUAGUAGGACCUGUUCAGGCAGCUUAUCUGGCUGCAUAUUGGAAGUGAGUUAUUACGUGAACAGCCCAAGGAUAGCAGAGGAUAACAUCCAGGGAAUGUUUGUCAUUUUCUUACCUGUUCCUCCAUUAAUCUCGCGUACUAACCAAUCAUCGCUGCCAUCAAAGCCAAUUCGUUUUGAAACCCCGCUUCACAAUCGUCGUUUUGACCCUCCACGGCCUAAAAAAUUGUCUUCUCUCGAAUCUUUGGAUUGAGCCAUCACUCGAUGAGCUGAUCGCUUCCCCACAUGACCAGACAAAUCCUCGCCUUCCAUCACAGCGUAGUCCCUGUGUCACUGUGCGUUUCAUGGGUUACUCCUCUUGGCUGCUCUUCGCUGCCCAAAUUAUUAGUGCUAUGUUAGGUAAUCACACAUUGAUUCCAGAAAAAAUAACGCAAGCAAACAAUCCACCCAGACUAAAUAUAAUAGAAAAUUUAUUAUCAAAGUUCACCCAAACCUAGACUAUGUUUCCAUGUAGAGGUACUCUACAAAUUCACUAAACUUUAAAAAAAAGUUGAAAUAUAAUAAUGAUUUUCUCUCAAGAUCAAGGUACAAAUAGAUUAAGAACUCUCACAAAUAAGAAACUCGCUUUUUUCUUCUCUCUUUUUUUUUUUUUUAUAGCUCCUUGAUGGCUAGUGUUUGACUAUCACUGAUAUAAAGUGUAGCUUUUAACCUAAAAAAAAAUAAUAGAAAAGACAAAAAAAAACCUCUAAAAAAAUUUGGCUUCACCCGCUAACAAUCUCCCACUUGAAGCACUAUGCAACUUAGCAUCCAUCUACUUCAAAAUCUAGUAAUUGAAAUUUGUACCUUUGCGAUACUCCUCAUCAAUUAGGAUAGAAUAAUAUCGAUUGUAGUGUUGACACCUAAAUUUCGAAUGUUCAUAUAGGUUUUUAUUGCAUAGAAAAUUAGGGAUUAAAUUUUAACUCCUAAACAAAAACAGUUUACACCUAAAUUACAUAGCAUAUAGACAUUAGGAGCAUUUGCAUUAAGAUGUUUAAAAUUUAUAAGGAAAAAUAUUUAAAGAAGAGGAAAAAGAGAAAAAUAUAAUUAAUUAAAAAUUAUUAUUUAAAAAAAGAAAGAAGAAGAAAAGAAAAAGCGAGAUCGGGCUAGGGUCAGGCCAGCCCAGCCCGGCCCACUUUUCCUUUUCUUUUCCCCAAGCCCAGCCUCUUCCUUCAUCUUCUCCCUCACGAACUCCCGCUCGUUCACGCUCUCACACGUUCUACCAAAAAGAAAAACGAGAACGAAGGACGGACGCAGAGGCGGGACGGCGAGUGAGGAGCGCGCCUUUUGGGUCGGGAGCAGGCCGGCACGGCGAGCUGGCGGUGGCAAACGCGACGCGCGCCUGCCGGCCGUAGAGGGGGAUUCUGAGGGCUCGGACAGAGAGAGAAAUGGACGGAGAGAGAAACGGGGAGAUAGAGGGGAUCCGACCGAGAGGGAGACCGAGAGUGAGAGAGCAGAAAAUUCGCCCCGACUGAGCGCCGUUCAGCCAUCCUCGACACAAACCGGCGUCCCCUAGCUGUUACACGGUGUCCGAUUUUUGGUGAGUUGAGUUUCGGUUUCGAUCCGCCGUUUUCCCGUGGUUCCCGGCUUGGCGACACUGAGAAGGCCGGCUAUAGUUCCAUUCGCAUUGAGACCGACUUCCGGCCAUCUUCGCUAAGCCGGGUAAGGCCCCUGCGGUCGCGCGCCCUGGCGCCCCUUUUUUGUCCUUUCUUUACUGCUCUGUUUUCGCCCUAUUUCGGGCGCGCCGGGCCGGAGGUCGCGGCCGUCCGGCUCAUGCGAACUCCGCCGUCCGGCUCAUGCGAACUCCGGCCCCUUCGCCCCUGUUUUUUGAUAUUGUCGGUCUGGUGGGUCGUAUGUCGAGGGGACUGUGCGAGUUUGAGGCCCGGCUGAGCCGGGAGCCCCUCGUUCAGUAUCGCACGCCAUCCUCUCGAUGAAAUGCCUCAACGAUAUAAUUUUCGUCUCCUCCUCUUUUUGCCGAAAUCAAGUCGUCCGGACUGUUGUGUUCUAUUGCUAUGUCCCUGUGAUGUUUUCUGAUACGGGCACGGCCGUUUGGUCGCUCCACUGCCCCCGCCACCGUCGUUUACUUUGUUUUGUGUUUCGGCUUUGUGGCCAACUAUAAUGGAGGCUUGUUACUGUGUUUCGCCCAUGCUGGCCGUCGCCAAGAGUCCAGAGCCAUUGGAGUUAGAGCACGGUCAGGCCGAGGGCGACAACGUCGUUGGCUCACGGCCAUUUGGGGAAGAUGGUGGCAGCGGGAGGUCAGAAGGAAUUAGGUUAGAAGGCUUAAUUAGGUUUAAUUAGCAUGGGCUUAAGUUAGUUUAGUGGGUUUCAGUUCGUUUCUGUUUUCAUGGGAGUACAAAAGUGUAUUGGUUUUAGGGUCAACUAGGAUUUAUUAAGCUCAGGUCUAGUUCUCGUUAUAUUUGGACCAGUGAUUUCGGGCCUAAUUUACAUUAGGAUUUGUUUGUUUCGCAAAAUCUUAAUGAUAUAAGAAAAUGUUUUACUAAUGCUAGGAAUUUAUUUGAUGAUAUAUAAUUGAAGUUUUUUUUCGAUGCUCGGAUAUUAUUGCAAAAUGAUUUCAAUCUCAUUACUUUAUUUCAACUUUCAAGCAAAAAAAAAAAAAAUCAAAAUUUUCAAUUUUUAGAAAAAAAGAAUUGAAAUUUUAAUUAUUUUAUUUUUCUCUUAUUUUAUUUUAUUUUUUCAAAAUAUCGAAUUUUAAUUUCCUAAAAUAAAGAGACAGUGGAUUCUCAUUAAAGUGACCAUUAUCCAAACCUUAGAAUAUACUUACAGACAAACUCUUCUCGAGAAGAUGCUCAACAUCCAGUGCACAUGAUUGCACUCAAUCGAGCAGACCACAAAAACAUAGCAACAUAACUGGACUAGGCAUUUAGAUAGUCAAAUAAAUGCAAGAAAGCAUACCCUUAUACAACUAUUACCAUAUGAAGCCAGAGCUAGAGUUUGAGCUCAUGCUUAAAUACUCAAAGAUAAAUCAGACAAUUACAUUUCAACUAAACACCAACUACCACCCCAUUCUUACCUGUACUUCAGCAAUUAGCUGGUGAUCCAAAGCUCGAGUUCAGGCCCGUGACUCCCGCCAUUGAUGGAGUUAAUGAAUCCACCAAAUUCCCCCAGCUGAGGGGCACUGAAGAAGAAAAUGCGCGCAAGAGUGAAAAGUGACAUUGAACUUGAAGCUCGCGGACAAUGAGCAUCUAACUCGUGGAUAACGGAAGCUGGGAAAGGAGAGACGACAGCGAACAAUGGACUUGAGUUUGCGAGGAGCGAAUGAGGAUUGGGCGCAGAGUCGCCGAGGAUGAGCGAUAGCGAUUUGCUUGAGCAGCAGAUCGACUUAACCACCUCAUUCCGAAAAUACAGUUGAGGCCCUUUUUCCCCUUUCUUUUUUCUUCUUCUUUUGCCGACUCUGUCUGGCUCUCUCUUUUCUACUCUUCAUUUUGCUGACUGUCUUUCUCUUCCUUUUCUUCUCUUUAUUUUCCUGGUUCUGCAGAUAAGAAAUAAUAAGGUGAGUUGGGGUGAGGUCUCUUGGGCCUAAAUUUCUCUUAAGAAAGGCCCUUUUGUUAUAGAUGGGGAAGGAUGUAAUAGCCCCAACCUCACCACCGAAGUGGACACACGCACGCACGCACGCCCGCGCGCGCACAGAGCAUAUGGAGAUUCCCAGUGAGAUGAGGAAUUUUAAUAGGAUUGUCCUUGUCGUUUUAGAAUCAGUUCAUUGUCUCUCUUCAUCAGAAUAAAGCAGAAAUAGAAAGCAAGUAAAGCAGAAGAAACGGCGAUGAUCUAUGAAUAGAAAGAAGGCGUACUGUUUUCCGUAGAGAAUCCCCUGUUUCAAUUUCAAAAUCCGUCCCUUACUUGGAUCUAUUCAGAAUUUUCUCUCCGUAAGACUCCCAAGUGGCGUAAGAAUGAGAUGGAUCACUAUCGAGUAACUUCCCACUACAUACUAUGAUUAUCAAGCACUUAUUUGGUAUUUUUGAGCUCGAUGCAUCAGAAAUCCUUUCCAUUGAUUUGCACCCAUUAAUUUCCAACCGAUUCAAAAACUCUAAAUCGUCAAUGCCCUUGAUAACCUGCAAGCUCGGGCACCGGUCAAUCGUUAACCGCUUGAAGAUCUUCAAGUUUGACAAACCACCUAAGCUUUUGAGGCACAAAACGGAAUCACCAAGGAAGUAAAUUGAGAUGUACAACUACCUGACCAAGCACCUUGCUACAAAGUGGCUCACUUUUCUCUCUUCUUUCAGUUCAAAUCAGAAGAUCAAUACAAAACGGAGAACAGGAACACGGGAAUAAUCAAGAAGCGAGAAGAUCUAGAGUUUCUGCUUCAACAGAAAACAAAGCCGCGUGUACUUUGUCCAACCAAUUGUCCAGUCGGUCACACAGUAAUUUGAACUAUGGAAUCCCAAAAACUCUGGGUUGAACCCAUGAAACGCAUAAUGUUCCCUCCACUUGAUCGAUUAUGCCCUCAAUAAGAUGAAUCCGAGUUGAGAUUCUAAAUGUUUAGACUCUGUACAAUAAGGUAAAUACUUGAAUAUCAGUUUUCCAUUACGUAUGCUAGAGCAGAGAACAUGCAAGCAAUUACAAAAUCCAGGUAUUUGCCAUGACUGCGUAUGCAAAAAAGGGAAUUGUUCUCCAGAUAUUUAGCAACAGCACACUGACACAUGUCCAAAGCUCUUCUAUUCUUACACCAGAAAUAGUGGCGAAGGACAAUCUACGAGCAUGAAUAACUCAAAGUAAUCAUCUUUUACACCCCCCCAAUUAUGAAACAUAGCAUCAACAUGAAAGGAAUAAUAAGAAAUGCCGAUUCACAUCAGCCCCCACUUGUUGCAUGAAGCUAUUUAUGGUUGAUAAAUACUAGCUAAGUCUCCUAAUAGUGCGCAUGUUCACAGCAGCCAGUUUAGGCACAUUCUGUGCAACCAACCCACAAACUUCUAGUUCCUUCAACCAUAUGCAGCAGACCUCAAAUUACCAAUGGAAAAUACGACUGCUCAAGAAGAGAACCAAGAAGAGAAGCACUGUUCGCUUCAUUUCUAAUCAUUAAAGCCCCUCACAGGUAGUAAAGAGACAAUGGCUACUCAUUAAGAUGAUCAUUAUUCAAACCUUAGAAUGUACUUAACAGACAAACCAUUCGUGGGAAGACGCUCAACAUCCUGUGUAGAAAGUUCUGUGCGCUCUGCAAUAACAUUCAUGGGAAUGGUUCGAUUUUUAGAUGGUUGACUACAAACAUCGACAUCGCCGUUCUUCAACGAAGCUGUAAACUCUGUUUCCCAAAUUUUGUAACUCUCUAAUCUUAAGUCAGCUCACCAAAAUACCCAUAAUUCUUGUAAUACCCCAACUAACAGAUGCACAACAUGCCAGCACAUGAUUUCACACCAUCGAGCAGUCCACAGAAGCAUAGCAACAUAAAUAAACUACGAAGCUAUUACCAUAUGAAGCUAGAGCUCGAACUCAUGCUUCACUGCACAAAGAUAAUUCACACGAUCACAUUCAACUAAACACCAACUGCCACACUGCUCGUACCUGUUCUUCAGCGAUUAGCUGGUGAUCCGGAGCUUGAGUUCAGGCCCAUCCAUCCUGCCACUGGUGGAGUUAAUGAAUGCAAUCAAUGGAGCCUCAUGUGGCACCCGAAUUUCUCUAGCUGAGCAGCACUGAAGAAGAAGGCUUGAAGCUCGCGAACAUGGAACUUGAAGCUCGUGAUGGAACUUGGGAGAGAAGAGAGACAGCGGACGACGGACUGAAGCUUGCGAGGAGCGAGCGAGCAGCGGGGAGGACUGGGUGAUAGAGAUUUGCUUGACCAGCGGGAGAGAGGAGGAAGAAGAAAACAUGAAGGAGAAGCCUAAUCGCUGGUGCACGUUUUAGAAUCUGUUUGUCGUCUCUCUUUACUAGAGUAGAGCAGAAAUGGAAAGCAAAUAAAGCAGAACAGUCAUGAUCUAUCAAUAGAAAGAAAAAGAAGGGCGCACCGAGGAUCCCCUCUCUAUGUUUCGGGAGUCACUGGUUUCACAGAAUCCGAAUUCAUUCCGAGUCUUCACUCUUAAAGACUCCCAAUUGCCGCAAUAAGCAAACCAAUUGCCGCGUGGGCUCCAACUAGAUCUUAUGUCCAUCUGGCACUCAUUCGGUAUUUUUGAGCUGGAUGCAUAAAAAAUCCCUACAUCGUAUAACUCCCCACGAAAUCUCAACAGCUGCAAAAACUGUAAUUCGUGGAUGCCCUCCACACGGCGCAGCUUCUCGCAGUAGUUAAUAUGUAACAUCUUCAAUUUCUUCAAGUUUGACAAACCUUUCAUCAUUCUUAAUGAACCGCACCUUUCAACAGAAAAUACUUCCAAUGAUUCCAACGGAGACACAAAAUCGAUAGCUCUUACCUCCUUGCAACUCCCCAUAUGGAACUCUCGAAGCAUCUUCAGGGAGCUUAGGACAAGGAGUUUUUUUAUCGAGAGGGCAACCAUCAAGUCGCUCAUGCAACUCUUUUUUUCUCAAUUCUUCCGACGGAGGUUGCCCACUGAGAUGUACAAAUUUUACUCCAGGGCAGGAGAGCUUUAAAACUAUCAAGGUUGACGGAAGUUGUAAGAGGGUUCCGAAGUUUAGUCCAGAUAGAGUAAGUUCUUUCAGCAGAUAAAGGGAACCCAACUCCGUAGUUGGUGCAUGGACAUACCAUAAGCACAAGUGCAACUUGCGCAGUUUGGAUAACCUCCCAAUCCACCUCAAGUCACCGCUUGGAAUUUCAUUUGAUGUGGACAACCCACUACCAGAGCCAUCAUAUAGGAACAAUUCAACUAGAUUAGUAAGGUUUGAGAGGUUAGGGACAGUCAUCAGUGAUUUAGAUAUUAGUCGUAGAGUGGUCAAAUUUCUGGGGAGCUCCGACCACUCUCUUAUCCUAUGACAAUAUUGCAAGUUCAAUGUUUGGAGGUGAAGCAAUUUGCUCAUUAUACUAGGCAGUUCUACAAUUGGUGUGUGUGAUACUUUGGUAAAGGACAAGCUCCAUUGUCUACCAAUGAAAUCUAGUAAUCUUGUUCUGCAUGAUAUAUCUAACUUCGUUGACGACUCUAAUUUCGAAACUGAAUCCAGGAGCUUGCUCAAGCUAUCGCAUUUAUAAACAGAGAGGUGCUGAAGAUUUUGUAACUCUCCAAUUUCUUUAGGCAAUUUUUCAAGUUUCGGACAUAACUUAAUACUCAAGUCAGUCAGCUGCCUCAGUUUUCCAAUAGAGCUGUCAAUUUCCUUCAAAGAUGGACAAUGACAAAUAGUCAACUUCUCUAAAACUAAGUACUCAAGAAAGGUUGGUGUCCCAUGUAUCGAGUAAUUACUUUCAAGAGUGAGAACCUUCAAUUUCGUUGCCCCCUACAAAAGCAAAUCAAACAUUAGGACAAAUAAUUAGAUGUCUAUACAAGAAAUAAAUAUGAAAUUAGGCUCCCAACUGGGAUCAUAUGUCAUUCGAUCCUCUCACUAGCUGAGAAAAUUAUACUACAAAUCCAUCAGAUUGUGUCCUUCAUUGAAUGAGAAAAUUAGAGCAAGAGAGAAAGUCACGUACCUUGAUUAGGUAACUGAUCUCAUCUUUGCCGAGGUCAGAGGAACGAAUAUUCAUCACAACCACGUUUUCUAGACCCAAAUUGGUUUGCGAAUCAAGUUCUUCAGAAUAACCUGUUUUGCCCGUCAAAAUGAUCCAUUUCAACUUGGGAAGACAGCCCGUGAAGUCACCUUCGCAGAGUACGUCACUCAACCAAAGAAACUUGAGACGUGGGAACUGUCUAAGUUGCUCUGCCGUGAUAGUUGUACGAUUGCUAGAGGUCGUUCGCAAACAGAGUGCUUGGACGCUUUCCUUCAUCUGCUAAUGACAUUGAGGAGCAGGAGCAGGAAUUUGUCAAUAAUCCUACAAUUUUAUUUGUCCAAUGGAAGAAAAAAAUUAAAUAGUAAAGUAGCUCUCAAUUGAAAAACGUGAUUAAAUCCUCAAUUAAGAACAUGGUAAGCAAUUUUCUGUACGAAUUUGGUCAUACUUCACCUCUAUUGAUCUUAAUUCGCAAAUUAUGUCAUCUUCAUUCCACAACCUGGUAAGGUCUUGCAUAGCAAUUGCCCUUCCGAGAUCUCUACAUUGAUCAUGCAUCCAAAUUUCAUCUUUUUCUGAAACCUUUAUCAUGCACCUAUUAAUAAGGACAUGAAUAGCAUACUCCGCCUUAAACCCACAAUAUUUCCAGUGGUAGAUUAGAUCAGCCCUUUUCCAACCGAUGAAAAAGCAUGCAAUAUCGAGAAAUAUGUGUUGUUGAUCCAGCUCUAAGGCAUCAUAACUAAUCCUUAGCUUUCCCAACACAUCCCUAUGAGGUGUUUCCCUUAGCUUCUCUAGCAUCUCUUCCCAGAUUGUUUCCUCUUUCUCACCAAAAAGCAACGAACCUAUAGCUGUAAGAGCUAAAGGUAGUCCACCUGUAGUUGAGACAAUGUCUUCGGAAAGAGUGUAAUAAUUGGUAGGAGGAAAGCUAUCAUCAAAGGCAUGCCUACUAAAAAGCUGGAGUGCGUCUUUUUUGCUCAACCCCUCCAUUUCGUAACACAAGAUUUUAUACUUAAAUCCCCUGAUUUUUAAAACACUUUUGUCCCUAGUGGUAACAAGUAUCCUAGUACCAGAACACAAAGAGUUCACUUCAAUUAGUUUUUGGAUUUGGUUGUCCUCAUCGACGUCAUCCAAUACAAUUAGCAUCUUCUUGUUGCAAAUUGUUUGUCCAAUCAUAGUGAUCCCUUGAUCCAAGUUAUCAAUGUUAAGAUCCACUCCAGAAUUGGAGAUAUCGGACAAUAAUUUUCUUUGCAACUUGACCAACGAGCCCUUGGGUUUUGCCAUUUCCCUCACGUCUUCAAGAAAGCUGCAGUUUUUCCCAAAGCGAGGACAUAGUUGGUUGAAGAUAAUUUUGGCAAGUGUUGUUUUACCGAUGCCACCCAUCCCGUAAAUUCCAAUGAGCCGAACGCCACCGGAAUUGAUGUCUAAUAAAUUAUUUAUGACUGUCAUUCGAUCCUCCAUUCCAACUAAAUCUUUGGUCACUUGUCUUUGUCUUGUCUUGAGCCUGGUCACCACCUCCUUAACAAUGGACUUUAUAAGAUCCCCAUGGCUGCCACAAAGUUGAACAGUUUGAAUUGAAAUAAGGCAACAAAUUUGCAUGUUGACCAACUAUCUACUAAGAAACCAAGUGGGAGCACGACCCAGUUUAGGAUAUAAAAAAAUUCAACAUUACCCCCAAAAGCUUCGGGAACAUGAUGAAUUACAAACUUCAACAUCCAUUACAAGUUUAAGUUAAGGGAAUAGAACAAGAGAUAUGUUUGAUCUUUAUAUCAAGUAGGAGAAUCAAAAUUGCUGGCAAAAAAAAGUGGAAGAAUAAAAAUAUAAACGUUUGAUGAACUAUUGUGAUAACAAAUUUACUCACUUCUUUCGACAUGGAAAAGAACUUUGCAAAGGCAAAGUUCCUUAAUCAAAGUCAAAUUAGUAUGCAGUAAAAAUCUUAAGACAUACAUGGGUCAAAUUGGGAAAAUUAUCCAAAAAGCAUUGUACUUUUGCCAAUUUAGUCAUAAACAUUUUCACUUCUUCCCAAUUCAAUCAAUCUGGCCAAUUUUGGUUGGAAAAUGCUAAUGUGGACACCGACAUGCUAUAUAGAACUGUCAGUGCUGACGUGGAUAAUUUGUAAUAAUAUUUUAAUAAAUUUUGAACUUUUAUUAUAUAUUUCUAUUUUUUCCCUUUUUUUUUUCCUUUUCUUUCUUUUCUUUUUGGCUUUCUUCUUUCCCUUUUCCAAUGGUUGGCCACAGGCAAUGGCCAGCCACCGACCACAGCUAGCCGGCUAGCCUCGCUCGCCAUAGGCGAGGCCCCACCGGGCGAGGAGAAGCCCCAGCAAAGGGAGCCCUCGCCCAUGCGCAGCCUGGCAAGGGUCGCCUAGGUGAGGCCGACCCUCACCCAAGCCAGGGUGGCCUCACUGGGUGUCGGCCGGGGGAUGGUGACGCCAGGCAAGGCCGCCUUGGCCUGGGCGAGGGCUAGCCUCACCAAAUUUGGCGAGGAGAGCCCUUGCCAAGGCUUGCCUUUUCCUAGGAGAGUGUCAACCUCGCCUAGACCAGAUCUGGCAAGGCUGGCCCUCGCCCCUGGCCGGCCAAUGCCUAGCGAGGCCUCCUUGGCUUAGGCGAGGGUCGACACUCGCCUAGGCGAGGGCGAGCCCUAGCUGACGAUCGGCGACGCUGCCCUAGCCUAGGCGUAGGUCAACCUAACCUAGGCGACCCUUGCCAGGCCACACUUGGGUGAGGGCUCCCCUCACCGGGGCUCCUCCUUGCCCGACCGGGCCUCACUUGUGGCGAGCGAGUCCAACCGGCUGGUUGUGGCCAGUGGUCAACUAUCACCUGUGGCCAAUGGUCGGCCACCGAAAAAGGCAAAGAAAGUCAAAAAGAAAAGAAAGAAAAUAAAAUAAAAAUAAAAAAAAUAUUAAAAAUUCAAAAAAUAUUAAAAUAUUAUUAAAAAUUGUCAACGCCAGCGCCGACGGUCUUAUGUGGCACUGCCGGUGUCCACAUCAGCAUUUUCCGGUCAAGCCGAAUCAACUGAAUUGGCAAAAAGUGAAUGUUUAGAGCUAAAUUGUCAAAGUUAGAAGGUUUAUGACUAAAAUUGGUAAAAACGUAAUAGAUUUAAGACUUUUUUUGACAAUUUUCCAGAUCAAAUUAGUAUAAAGAAAGAAGCAAAGCCAAAUUUUUAUAUGAGGAAUAUUAGGUGAAAAACAAAAUCAUAACAACCCCAUUAGGUCAAAUAAAUUUGGAAAUCUCAUGACUUAAAACAACAAAAGAAAAUUUUGAAACUUUUUGUUUAAAUUUAGGGAAAUUAGAGUCGGACUAUAAUUGGUGAAUUUUUAUGAGAACCAUGGCUUGAUUGUACAAAAUAAAUUUCAAAAUCAUGGUUAGAUUGUUACCCCGAAUAUUUCUCUAGUUCCCAUCCCUUGGUGCCGCCAACUUCUUUAAGAGCUUGGCACCACGUCUCUACAUCCUUGGAGCUGAACUUCUUCUGAUCCUCCAUCUCUUGCUUUAAUUUCGAUAUGGCCUUUCCAUACAACAUGGUUUUCAGCUUCACGUCAUCUGGAUUCACAUCAUAGAAGAUGGGCAAUAUGACCCUCUUCUCAUCUUCUUUAGAAUUAGAGGUGUUUUCCACCAUCUUCGCAAGCUCGCGGAGGCACCAAUGACUUGAAGCGUAGUUUUUGGAAAAAAAUAGGUAUGUAGAGUUUGGAAUCGUUGAUCGCUUGUAGAAGGUUGCCACUAAUUCUUUCACCCGGUCGAAGCUCUUUGUCAUCCAUGAAAACAUGAAUCCCGGCAUCUGCCAAGGCAUGAUAGAGGCUGCUAGUGAAUCCACGACAAGUAUCUAACCCUCUAAAACUCAGGAACACCUGAAACUCGCUUCCUGCAGUAUUGCCGAUGCUUGAUCCUAUCUCUAAGUUCGCCAUAGGAACUCAAUUCACACGCGCACUUAGCAAAGUCAACCCUGAUAUUGCUAGUAUAAACACCUAGAGGGGGGUGAAUAGGCGCACAAACAAUUUAUCGAUAUAUGGAAGCAAUUCUCUACAAAUUGAAAUACGAUCGAGGUAGAGAGAGAGAAAUUUGAACACAGGAUUUAUAGUGGUUCGGCUUAUUCCAAGCCUACGUCCACUCUUCCGCACUGACAGCCCACCGGGUGGAUUUCACUAUGAUCAAAAGAGAAUUUACAGCACAGCUUUGCCUUGAUUCCACAGUGUAGAUAUUCUACCACACCUCCUCAAGGUCUCUCACAAAUAUAGACUCUCUUUUGUAUACAAGUAUUCGCUCAAACGAUUUAUCUAAACAAAUAGGAGCUUCAGACUUUGGAAUUCUUCUAUCGCGCACACCUUGAACAACUAAGAACAUCUUCCUUAUAUACUCCUUUAUGCCAUCAUACCCGUUGGCACUUACCAAAGGAAUUCCUCCAAUCUACCCAUUGGACGGAAUCAAUUAGAAAGAUUGUUCGAGCUAUUAAAGGAACGUGUUGAUAGCCCAUCAAUCCUGUUCGCCCAUACAAUCAGGAUCUCGGUUUCCAUAAGUAGAACCUUCCAAUAAUACUUAGACAAUCAUCGAAUCUUCAGUCAUUGAAUCAGACUUGAUCAAUCAAAGGAUUCUAAUACGUCUUCUCCAGCCACGAGAUCUUCUCCAGAUGAUAAGGUUAAAUCCUGAACAAAACAACCAGUUCUGGAUAACCUUUCUUCAAUGGAUUAGAGACUGUCAAUGAGGAUAGACUUUGAGUCUUGAGUCUGGCUGUCCGGAAGUCUUCAGACUUUAACUAACAGAGUCUGCAGACUUUCAGACUAGACUGAUGGAUACAUUUUGUCAACUUCAAAACUCUUCACGAGGAUUUCUCCAACAAUCUCCCCCUUUUUGAUGGUGACAAAACCUUCCUGCAGAUUUGGAUAACUUUGACCUGCAAAACAUUUCUCAAACACAUAUGCAUAUCUUAUAGAAAUAAAUGGCUAAUAGAAUAACACUAGAAUCUGUAACCACAGAAAAUAGGUUAGUCCAGUAUAUGACUAAGCCAUUCAUAAGAUAUCAAUAUUGAUUAAUAGAAGCAGUAAAGUCAAGUCCAAGUCUAGGCAGUUCUUAUCCAGACACAAAACAAAGUCAAACAGGUUCAAACCAUAAACCUUAAAAACAAUCCAACAAAAAGUUUAAUGAAAAGUUUUUGUAUCAAAUCAUGCAUCUCUCCCCCUUUUUGUCAUCAUUAAAAAGGAUGAGAUGAAGUCAAGAUUGCUUGGGAACUCGGACAAGCUGGAAAUCUUCCAUAGACUGAACAAUACCUUCCAGUCUUUUAAAGUCUUCCUUCAGCUGUACAACCUCCUCACUCUUGGCAUUGGCCUGAUUCUGAAUAGAGAGGGCUUGCAUCUUUUCAUUUAAUGAAUAGGAAGAAGCUUGACCUUCAUUCUUCAAGCUUUGAACUUCGCAUCCCAAGGCAUAAAUCUGACCUUUCAUCUCUAAGAGAAUAUCCAUGAUUCUGCAAAAAUCUGCUCCAUUAUCAGUCUGAGUACUUGCUUCGGCUCGAUCUGGAGUAAAAGCAGACGAUGGUGGAUCAGCAUAAUCUCGCAGGUUUGGCGAUGAAGCUUCAUGACCUUCCUCUGGAAAUUGAGAUGCAUAAACAUCUUCUGGGUCUGCAGGUGAGCGACUGACUCCUUCACUUGCAUCAGGAAAUGAAGAUGUCACUCAUUUCUCCUGAUCUCCCCCUGUUUCCAUGCCUACAGGUGGAGAAGAGAUUUCCUCAGGUUCUCCUUCUUCUCUUCUUUCUUCUUCAGGUCUUUCUUCCUCUGCUUCUUGCUCUGCUUCUCUUUCUUCUCCUUCCUUCUCCUCUGCCUCUUUUUCUUCUUCUUCCUUCUCCUCUGCUUCUUUCGUCUUUUGUUCUGAUUCUUUCUGAGGAACAGGACGACUUAAGUUCUUCAAAGCCAUUGCAGAGAUGGUGAUGUCUUCAUCAUCAUCUUCAUCCUCAACGAGGAGAGCUCUUCUUCUCUUUGAUGGAGCAGCCAUGGGUUCCUUCCCUUUUCUCUUAGCAGCAGAAGAGAGUUGAUGAGAUUUGGCAGGAGUCUUCUCCUUGAAUUUUUCCAAUUCCUUGCUCAGUUCCUUCAGACGCAUUUUGGUCACCAUUUUCAGUCUUACCACCAUAUGAUCGCAUGGUCGAACACAAAAGAUUUGCGGAGGCUGAAUAUUCAGAUGUCUGAAUAACUUCGUAACAAGGCUUGGGUAAGGAAGUUGACCUCUGUCCUUCAUCACUGCUCUAUACAUGUGAAACAUAACAGUAUGAGGGAGAGAAAACUUCUUUCCACUGAGGAUGGCAUACAUCAACUUUGCCUCAGAGCUUGAAACAUUAGUUUUGGAAGUUGAUUUCGGCCGAAGGCAAUUAAUCACAAUUUUGUGAAGCAAGAUGUUAAAUGCAUUCAUCCUUGAGUAGGUGAUCUUCUCAUCCGUUCUCCUGUCCUUCACCAGUUCAAGAGUGGCCCGAGCAAUGGAAACUUUGAUUGGUUGAUAUCUGCCUCUCUCAACUUCUAACAUGUCUGCCAGCAUAUUCAUAUCCACAACAUAGUCUUGUUCUUUAACACUGAAGGAGAAUCUAUUCGCAUCUAAAAAGCUAAGAUUCGAAUAGAAAUAGGCAGUCAAUUCAGCACAAGCCUCAGUUGAGUUAGAGCAGAACUUUUCAAGUUGAAGAUAACUGAACUUUUCCCUCAAGUUCACUUUCACAGAAUCCAGAAAUUCAAAGUCCACACUCCUAGGGUUUAUCACCCCACGCUUCAGCAAUUUCGAGUACAGAUCCUUUUGUUCCUUUGAUCUGAACAAAUCUCCCCUUUUCCCUUGAAUUUCAGCAGCAAUACCCAUUUUCGGUUGAAAUAGACUGAACAGAUUGUCAUCGUCAUUCCCAUCUACAGGAUUAGGCCCCCAGUCACGAGGAUCACUUGGGAUAUUCGCAAGGGUUUCCUCAGCCACCCCUUUACGAGCGAUUCCCAAACUUUCCAUUUUUCGAAGAAAGAUAUAUUUGUUCCUAUACCAUUUUUCUUUAACAAAAUCAUCAACAUAGUUCAAAGGAGUACGAAUUCCUUUUAAAGCACGAUAUAGCUUGUAAAAGAAGCAGGCUUUUGAACUCUUACGGGGUCUACAUCCUCGACGAUUUCUUCCUGAUGUUGAUUAACAACGCCUUGAGGACUAGAUGGUGGAGAAUGACGCUGCUGAGAAUGUUGUGGGCUCGGUUGCUGAUCUGGAGUAACUUCAUCUUCAGUAAGAUCGAAGUGCGUAGGCCCCUCACUCAUUCUCUGUGGUCCCCUGCUUGCGAUUCUUGAGGACUUUCGCGAAGAAGACAUCUUUCUCAGUGUUUGGAAGAUUCCUUGCUUGACUUUCCCAGAAAAGAUGACAACUUUUUUGAAGUUUUAGCGAAGAAGACAAACGGGAAUGGAAGAUCGAUGCUUUCUAGGGUUUUUUUUUUUUGAGAGAGAAGUGAUUAGAAAAGUGAAGAGAAAUCGACAGUGUUCGUUCGGUUAAAAAGAAGAGUAAACGAACUGUCACAAAGGAAAUAAAAAUAUGCCUUUUCAAAAUAACUGUCUUUAUCCGCAAAAAUAGCUAUUUCAAAAAUAACUUCCCUUUUGAAAAUGAAUCGAUGCGAUAUUUACGUCAAUUAAAUAUAGCAACAAUUUAAACAAGUCUGAUGAUCGUACCUUUUCAAGAUAAGAUUGGAGAGAGAGAAAGACUUACAGUCUGAAGGUCGAGCCAAGACUAUAGAUAAAGUCUUGUAAGCCUGAGUCUGAAAGUCUUUAGACUUUGAUAUCCUCAUACCUCAAAAUGUUGAGUCUUAUUCGUAUAGACUCAAAUUGAUUUUUCUCCAAAGGCUUUGUGAGUAUAUCAGCCAGUUGAUUCUUUGAGUCAACAAAUUGAAUUGAAACAUCUCCAUUUUGAACAUGAUCUCUAAUAAAGUGAUGUCGAAUCUCUAUAUGCUUCGCUCUUGAGUGGAGAAUUGGAUUUUUGGUGAGGUUGAUAGCGCUGGCGUUGUCGCAAUUAAUCUCCGUGCAUGAGUCUUUAAUUUCAAAAUCUCUUAGCUGUUGUUUUAUCCAUAGAAUUUGCGAACAACAGCUUCCAAGAGCUACAUACUCUGCUUCUGUUGUUGAAAGAGACACAGUGCUUUGUUUCCUUGAAAACCAAGACACUGUCCUGCUUCCAAGCAACUGGCAAGUUUCUGAAGUGCUCUUUCUAUCAACUCUGCAACCGGCCAGAUCUGCGUCUGAAUAACCCAGAAGUUUAAAGUCUCCCUUCUUAGGAUACCAAAGACCAAUGCUUGAUGAUGAAGCGACGUAUUUAAUGAUGCGUUUGGCAGCACUGAGAUGGGAUUCUCUAGGAUCUGAUUGAAACCUAGCACAGAUGCAAACACUCAACAAAAUAUCAGGUCUAGAGGCAGUAAGAUAAAGAAGUGAUCCAAUGAUGCUCCUGUAUAGCUUUUGAUCAACUUUCUUCCCUUCUUCAUCUUUGUCUAUCUUCAAAGAACUUGACAUCGGUAUGUCAGUCUUUUUGCACUUCUCCAGUCCAAACCUUUUGACAAGAUCAUUAACAUAUUUUUCUUGAUAAAUAAAAGUACCUUCCUUCAAUUGUUUUACUUGAAGACCAAGAAAGAAUGUUAAUUCUCCCAUCAUACUCAUUUCAAACUCAUCCUGCAUAGACUUUGAAAAUUUCUUGCACAGACUUUCAUUAGAGGAUCCAAAAAUAAUAUCAUCCACAUAUAUUUGAACAAGUAAGAAACUUUUGUUUUCCUUCUUGAUAAAUAAAGUCGUAUCUACUUUACCUUUGACAAAACCAUUUUGUAUUAGGAACUUACUUAACCUGUCGUACCAAGCCCGAGGUGCUUGCUUUAAACCAUACAAAGCCUUUUUCAGUCUGAAGACUGAGUCUAGCUUUUUUCGGUCUUCAAACCCUAGUGGUUGUUCCACAUAUACUUCCUCAUGGAUAAAUCCAUUUAGGAAGGCGCUUUUGACGUCCAUUUGGAAUAACCUGAAAUUAUUAUAACAGGCAAACGCAAGUAAAAGUCGAAUAGCUUCUAACCUUACCGUAAAUUCCAAUGAGCCGAACGCCACCGGAAUUGAUGUCUAACAAAUUAUUUAUGACUGUUAUUCGAUCCUCCAUUCCAACUAAAUCUUUGGUCACUUGUCUUUGUCUUGUCUUGAGCAUAGUCACCACCUCCUUAACAACGGACUUUAUAAGAUCCCCAUGGCUGCCACAAAGUUGAACAGUUUGAAUUGAAGAAAGGAAACAAAUUUGCAUGUUGACCAACUAUCUACUAAGAAACCAAGUGGGAGCACGACCAAGUUUAGGAUAUAUAAAAAUUCAACAUUGCCCCCAAAAGCUUCGGGAACAUGAUGAAUUACAAACUUCAACAUCCAUUACAAGUUUAAGUUAAAGGAAUAGAACAAGAGAUAUGUUUGAUCUUUAUAUCAAGUAGGAGAAUCAAAAUUGCUGGCAAAAAAAAGUGGAAGGAUAAAAUAUAAACGUUUGAGGAAAUAUUGUGAUAGCAAAUUUGCUCACUUCAACGUGGAAAAGAACUUUGCAAAGGCAAAGUCCCUUAAUCAAAGCCAAAUUAGUAUGCAAUAAAAAUCUUAAGACAGACAUGGAUCAAAUUAGUAUAAAGAAAGAAGCAAAGCCAAAUUUUUAUAUGAGGAAUAUUAGGUGAAAAACAAAAUCAUCACAACCCCAUUAGGUCAGAAAAAUUUGGAAACCUCAUGACUUAAAAUAGUAAAAGAAAAUUUUGAAACUUUUUGUUUAAAUUUAGGGAAAUUAGAGUCGGACUAUAAUUGUUGAAUUUUUAUGAGAACCAUGGUGGCUUGAUUGUACAAAAUAAUUUUCAAAAUCAUGGUUAGAUUGUUACCCCGAAUAUUUCUCUAGUUCCCAUCCCUUGGCGCCACCAACUUCUUUAAGAGCUUGGCACCACGUCUCUACAUCCUUGGAGCUGAACUUCUUCUGUUCCUCCAUCUCUUGCUUUAAUUUUGAUAUGGCCUUUCCAUACAACAUAGUUUUCAGCUUCACGUCAUAUGGAUUCACAUCAUAGAAGAUGGGCAAUAUGACCUUCUUCUCAUCUUCUUUAGAUUUAGAGGUGUUCUCCACCAUCUUCGCAAGCUCGCGGAGGCACCAAUGACUUGAAGCGUAGUUUUUGGAAAAAAUAGGUAUGUAGAGCUUGGAAUCGUUGAUCGCUUGUAGAAGAUUGUCACUAAUGUUUUCACCCAGUCGAAGCUCUUCGUCAUCGAUGAAAACACGAAUCCCGGCAUCUACCAAGGCAUGAUAGAGGUUGCUGGUGAACCCACGACGAGUAUCUAGCCCUCUAAAACUAAGGAAUACCUGAAACUCGCUUCCUGUAAUAUUGCCGGUGCUUGAGCCUAUCUCUGAGCUCGCCAUAGGAAUUCAAUUCGCAAUUGCACUUAGCAAAGUCAAUGGUCCCCCUCGCACGCGCACUUAGCAAAGUCAACGCUUCAAAGCAAUUUCGGAUAAAGCCUAGCGGCUCUCGAUUGCAAUUAGAGGGCUUUCAAUCGGACUUUUUGGCAACAAUAAUAAUACAUUCAGUGGGGAAGAGCUUUUAUUACAUUAUUAAUGUGAAAAAUUUCUCCACCAGAUCAUCCUCUUUCAAAAAUUUACGAAAGGAGAACCCGUGCAUUACUUUAGAAAAAGGAAAAUUGGAUAUUUAAUUAUAUGAUAUAAACGAUGAAGCCCGAUGCCACUUUCGUUAGUUAGAGAUACCAUUUUGGAGGUUUGUAUUGCGUGGCUCACGGAGUUUAAUAUUUCACGGACAAAAACUCUUAAUUCCAUUCGACGCAAAAAACAUGUCAAGGCAACUUCGCAGCGGGUGCAACUUCCAAUUCAUAGUAACUAAAGUCGAUGGCUUAUAAAAAAAUAAGGUGAAGGACAAUAAUGAAUGUGUACCUUUUCUAUAGUUUCACAUAUUUAAAAUCCCGAUCCAAUAUUGUAAAAUAACAAUUUAUCUAUAUAAAUGCAUAAUGACAAAAUAUUUUCAAAGAAUCACCUCUCAUUUGAAAAAAUGCUCCACCUAAGCGCUACCCAAGCAUAUACUUACUACUUACUAUGAACUAUUUAAUUUGAUCUCUUCAUCUUAAUGACUUACCUUUUAUUAUAAUUAAUUGCUUGUAACCACUCAAAUAUUCUCGUUAAAUGUGCCUUUAUAUUAUAUGAAGAUUCUGCAAAUCUUUUUCAACACUUAUUUCCUUACAGAUAACUACUAGAAUGUGAGCAUGGUUGUUGACAUCUAAAUUUUUGUGGUUAGAUUGUGCAUAUCUACAAAAAAAUUUAAAAAAUUAAAAAAUUAGGGACCAAAUUUGCCAAUAACGCUAUAAUUCAAUCCCUAACCAAGAACACCUAGCUUGCAUGAUUUUUGCAUUCAUUCCUCACAUUCGUGGUUAGGGGCAUGUUGAUUUCAAUACCUAGGGUUCGAUACCUAGGGCUCAGCAUCAAAACAAUCUUGGACCGACGAAGAUGACAGGCACUUUUGAUUACCUCCAAUCUCUGAAGAAAUAUUCAAGGCCACUCAACAUUACCCGAUUGAUUUUCUCCUAAGUUGAUCCAUUUUUGUGCGUACCAUUAAACCUCAGCUAACCUCAUCGCUUUAGCCUUACUGGGGACAUGAAACUGAGUUAACAUAUGGGCCAUCUAGUCAACAAUCGACCAAGAGUUUCACCUGGGACCAGAGAGCGAGAGCGUGCAAAACAGAAAAGAAAAGAAAGCAGAGCGGAGAGUAGUCUUGGCAAUAAGAGGAAAUAGCAAGAGUAGGACCUGCUCAGGCAGUUUAUCUCGCUGCAUAUUGAAAGUGAAUUAUUAGUUGAACAGCCCGAGGAUAGGAGAGGACAACAUGCGGGGAAUGUUUAUCAUUUUCUCGCCUGUUCCUCCGUUAAUCUCGCGUGCUAACCAAUCAUUACUGCCAUCAAAGCCAAUGCGUUUUGAAACCCCCCUUCACAAUAGUUGUUUUGACCCUGCACGGCCUGAACAAUCGGCUCCUCUCGAAUCUUUGGACUGAGCCAUUGCUCGAUGAGCUCAUCACUUCCCCAGCUGUCUAGAUAAAUCCUCACCUUCCAUCAGCAGCAUGGUCGUUGCGUCACCCCGCGUUCCAUGGGUUACUCCUCUUGGCUGCUCUUCGCCAACACUAUGUUAGGAAAUCAAGCGUCAAUUUAAAAAAUAAUAAUAAUAAUAAUGCAAACGAAAGAGUCCACCAAGAAUAAAUAUAAUAAUAAAAUAACAUAAUUGAAAGAACAUGACAUAAAAUUUAUUAUCGAAGUUUAUCCAAACUUAGACUAUGUUUUUGCGCAUAGACACUCUACAAAUCUAACAGACUUUGAAUAAAGUUGAAAUACAGCAUGAUCUUUCGUAAGAUUAGAGCACAAAUAGAGAGUUCUCAAAGAAAAAAACUCACUUUUUUUCUCUCUUUUUUCUUUUCUCUCUAUUUUCUUUUUCAGCCCUUUGAUGGCUAGCAUUUGACUCUCGCUGGUGUAAAGUUUAGCUUUUAACCUAAAAGCAAAACUAAUAGAAAAAAAAUGCCCCUAAAAAAAUUUGAUUUCAGUCGUCAACAACCUCCCACUUGAAGAAAAAUAUACUAAUGCACCAAGUAACUUAGCAUUCAUUUACUUAAAAAUCUAGUAAUAUAAAUUUGUGCCUCUGCAAUAGUCCUCAUCAGUUAAGAUAAAAUAAUACAAAUUGUAGUGUUGACUCAUAAAUUUUGUCAAUUCAUAUAGGAUUUAAUUGUAUAGAAAUUUAGGAAUUAAUUUUGAACCCCUAAACAAAAAUAGUUUUCACUAGAAUUGCAUAGCAUAUAGACAUUAGGGGCAUUUACAUUAGGAUGUAAAAAAGUAUUAUUUAUUUAAUUUAUAAGAAAACAUUUUAAAAAUGGAAAAAAGAAAAAUAAAAUAUAAACUAAUUGAUUAAAAAAUUAUUAUGUAAAAAAGAAAGAAGAAGAAAAGAAAAAGGGAGAUCGGGCCAGGGUCAGGCCGGCCCAGCCUUCUUUCCCUUUCUUUUCUACCUUUUCUUUUUGGCUAGGCCCAGCCUGGCCCACUUUUCCUUUUCUUUUCCCCAAGCCCAGCCUCUUCCCUCAUCUUCUCCCUCACGAACUCCUACUCGUUCACGCUCUCGUGCGUUCUGCAAAAAACAAAAAGGAGGACGAAGGACGGAAGCAGAGGCGGGACGAGAAGUGAGGAGCGCGCCUUUUGUGUUGGAGGUAGGUCGGCACGGCGAGCUGGCAGUGGCAGAGGCGAUGCGCGCCUGCCGGGCUUUAGUGGAGGAUUCUGGGGACUCGGACAGAGGGAGAAAUGGACGGAGAGAGAAAGGGGGAGACAGAGGGGAUCCGGCCGAGAGGGAGACCGAGAGUGAGAGAGCAGAAAAUUCGGCCCGGCUGAGCACCGUUCGGUCAUCCUUGACACAAACCGGCGUCCCCUAGCCGAUACCACCGAGCCUGCGGUCCCCAUUGAUGGUUUUAUGUGAUGGGCAUAAGGCCCGUCCGCCCAUGUUGGGCCUAAAAGCCCGGUCCACAAGAUUAGGGCCCAUGGAUGCAGGGAUAUAAUGAAGGGGUACGUUUCUAUUUUUUUAGGGAACGUAUAUAAGGGAGGAAAGAGAGAGACGAUGACACCAUUUUGGCAUUAUUACGUGCGUUCCUCUCCCUCUCUCCCUCCAAAAGAAAAACGAGCGUAAACGGCGACGCCAUCUUCCCUUCAAGGCCAAUCGACGUCAUCAGAUCGAACAGGAUCGGAUUUCUCUUCCUCUUAUCGGCAUUGGUGUUUAAUCUGUGGCUAACAAGGUACGCUCGAUUCCGUGGUGUGCUUUAGGAUCGGUGAUACAUGUUUUUCCUAGGCUUAUCUUCCGCAUUUGUUUUAGGGGUUCGAUUUACUGUCGAAUCUGGUUUUUUGGGAAUCCGACAUUCCCAACAUUGGUAUCAGAGCCCUAGUUCAUGUUUUCCCGACCCCUUUGAUGUUUUAUGAUUGAUUUUUCGCGAAAACAUUUGGCCGACACGAAUCGGGGCGAGAAAUCCCGACACCCGAGCACUGUUCAUCCGUUUUUUCGAGUUUCUGUAAGUCGAAAUCGAUUUUUGAAAGCAUAGGAUGAAAGACCUCGUCGAGACGAGUCCGAUGAUGUGUCGUACGCCACUGGGUGAUGCCGUAUCCGCCCACACGCGCGGCCAGAAGCCACUGCGCGUGGGCGCCAUGCGCCGGUGGCGAACCGGCACGUGCGCACUGCCGGCCGAUGAACCGGCAUGCGCCGGUCGGCGAACCAGCGCUAACAUCACCCAACGGUUGUUAACCGCUGGGAUGACGUCACCGAUGAUGUCAUUGCUGACAACAGUUGGCUGACCGGUUACUAGCCGGCGAACCGACUAGCGACCCGACCCGACCCGACAUGCGCGGAAGCCUGGCGCGUGCCGCGCACGUGCCGGCUGACAUCUGCGUGACGUCAUCCCGCGCACGGGCGCAGCACGUGCCGGAUGACAUCUGCGUGACGUCAGCCCGUGCACGCGCUCGGCACGUGCUGGUCAAUUCGCUCGACCGGCCCGAUCGGCUCGACCGGUCCGACUGGUCCAACCGGUUCGACGUCCCAUCGUCCAUUGACCCGUUGACCAUUGACUGACCGUUGACCGUUGACCCCGAAAAAAAAAAAAAAAAAAGGAAUAUGUUUCUUUUUCUCAAUCAUGCCUAUGUGGGUUAUAAGUAAUCCAUUGUUUAUUCUGCAUUUGUUGCAUGAAUUAUGGAAACUUAUGUAUUUUCCCUUAUGUACAUUAUGGAUUAUAAGUAAUCCAUUUUUAGUUCUGCAUUUGUUGCAGGAACUAUGAUGCGUUAUGUACAGAUACCUGCAAUCCCGAGAACGGACGAGGGAAGUGCAAGACUUAAAAGGUUGAUGACAGAAUUAGCUAAUUAUUGGUGGCAUGACGGUGAUUUAGUAUCACAUGUUGUCAGGGUCAAUCAGAUGAUACAGGAAAUCAUCUGGAAUUGUUAUCUUAUGCCGGAUUUUGAGAAUGUGCCGGUUUUGAUGAACACUCUUCCACCUGAAAGGCAAGUAGUGUUAGAUCGGCUAUGUGAGGUCAACGUGGUCCCGGGUUAUAGGAGACUAGUGGUAGCUUUUGUAAGAGAGUACUAUAGGAUUGAGUUAACCAAAACUUCAACCCUUAGAUUGAGCGCCACAUGGCGCAAAGUGAAUGCGCCUUGGAGGCGACAUGAAAGCUUUCCAAAAGUUUAUCCAUGGUUGGCAAAUGUGCCUUCAAAUUUCUCAGAUAUUUUGACUGAUAGAUUAGAAGGGACAUUCCCUAUUUAUUUCUUAGAUUAGUUUGAGAUGUUUUUGGGUAUGAAUAUCUCUUUCUAUAUUGAUAUUUUUCUUUGUAUAUAUUACUUAGUGUAAUGGAUAAUUGUAUUAUGUGAAAGCAUUGUUAUUCUUUUGGAUGUCGAAUAUUAUUUGCUUUCUGUUAUUGUUGACUGCUGUGGGUAGUUCAUAGAAGUUUUUGUAACUUCAUAGAAUUUAUUUUGCAUAAGACAAUUAUAUUAAUAAUAAUUUUGAGUUAGGAUUUUUUGGAGGAUGAUUGGAAACAUAGUGACCUUUUGAUUCUGAAACAUUACUUGAAAUUGUUCAUUGAUAUGAUGGGUCUGUGCAAAGUGGAUGCAUAAAUGAUAGGCAUUAAUUAUUCGUGCAUAUAUGUCUGAUGUGUUCAGAUCAAUGGUUUCAGCAACUAAGAACGUAAUUGCUGAUAUGAACAGCAACAAUUGUGAAAUAUUGAAUAUGAAGAUUCAAUAUAUGCUGAAAAAGCAAGAAGCACUAGAAGCUCUUGACCAUGUUAUGAAAGAUCUUGAGGUUGCUAUGCGCCACCUUGAGCUAGAAAAGGACCGCUUAACGGCAUUUAAGCCGAAAGUAGAUAUUUGCAAUGCUGGUUCUAGCUUAGAAAGGGCUUUGAGCUCGAAGCAUAAGCGUAUUGAUUCGUUCAAUAUGUGGGAAUGCAAAUGAUCAAGUCCUUAUUGCAAGAAAUCAAGAGUUAACCAACACAAGAGAGGAAAACGUCCUCAAGUGAAGAAAAUGUCAAGGGUGAGGUAUUAUAAUUGUGACAAGAAAGGUCACUAUGCUCGCGACUGUCAUGAGCCAAAGAAGGUAUACACCUCUUGUACAUUUGAGAAUUUUGCUUAUGUGUCAAGUUCUGUAUUAUUGGCUGAAUCCAAUCCUUUGUGGAAUAUAGAUUUAGGAGUGACAGACCAUGUAGCGAAGGAUAGAGAAUCUUCGUGGAAUUUAGACGAGUACCAACUGGAACUAAGUGGAUCUAUGUGGGAAACAACUCCAAAGCUUAAGUGAAAGGAAUUGGCACCUGCCAACUGAACAUGCGUGGUGGAUGCAUUUUGUUCCUACAUGAUGUUCUAGAUGCCUUGGAGAUUCGUCGAAAUUUAGUGUCUGUUUUGGUGUUGGUUAAGCUUGGUUUUAAUGUGAACUUCCGUAAUAGUUGUGUAGAUUUGUAUUUGGGUACAAACUACUAUGGUUGUGGUAAUUUUCUGGAUGGUUUUAUUGUACUAAAUGUUGACUGUGGUGAUGUCAAUAUUUGUUAUUCCCUUAUUUCACGUCUUCUACUUCAUAUGAUAAUGAUGUGAUUAUGUGGCAUGCUAAACUUGGUCAUAUUGGCCAACAACGUAUGAAUAGACUAGCCAAAAGGGGCUUGUUGGGCAGUAUUAAAAAAGUUGAUUUGUCCAUAUGUGAGCAUUGCCUAGAAGGGAAAACGACAAGGAAACCAUUUGGAAAAAGGUAAAAGAGCUGAAUUUCUUCUGCAUUUAAUCCAUUAUGACGUCUGUGGUUCAAUGAAUGUGAGGGGAAGGCAUGGGGCUGUUUAUUUCAUUACUUUUAUAGACGAUUAUACUCGAUUCGGAUAUGUCUAUUUGAUUUCUCAUAAAUCUGAAGCAUUGAGUUAUUUCAAAAGGUUUAUGAACCUGGUAGAAAAUCAAUUAGACAAGAAAAUAAAAGCAUUGAGAUUCAAUCGAGGUCGAGAAUAUUUAUUUGAUGAGUUCAAAAAACUAUGUGAUGAAAAAGCAAUAGAAAGACAGUUGUCUAUUUCGUAUACUCCUCAACAAAAUGGUGUUGCGGAGAGAAGAAACAGAACCCUACUGGAAAUGAUUAGGUCCAUGAUAGCGCAUGCUAACUUACCUAUUAUUUUUAGGAGUGAUGCGUUGUUAACUGCUGCCUAUAUACUUAACCGAGUGCCUUCCAAAUCAGUUACUUCCACUCCAUAUGAGUUAUGGACAGGUAGAAAACCGGACUUAAGUUUUCUUAAGCCAUGAGGUUGUGCUGCCUAUACUCAUGAAUCCUCUCACAAGUUUGGGAAAUUGGGUCCCAAAGGAAAUAUGAGUAUUUUCAUAAGAUAAUCGGAACACUCGAAAGGGUAUGUGUUUAUAGGUGAGAAUGAAAGUGGGAGUAUAACUGAAUUGAAUCACGAGAUGUCACAUUCUUAGAGGAUGAAUUUCCUAGAAGGGCAAAAUAGGGGAAGAUUACUCUCUAUUUGAAACCUUGGAUCAAGAUAAUGAUAUUAGUGGAGUUCGUCCAAAUGGGAGUAAUAUGAGAAGUGAUGAAUUGAAUUCAACUCAUUCUCAAUUACACCCACAUCAUGAGAUGACAUCAUCAUUAUCUAAUCCAAGUGGGAGCAUAAUGGGGAAUGAUGUGCAAAGUAUACAAUCUCCCAUAUGGCGAACAAGUCACCAAAGUAUUCCCCGUCGACGUUUUGACAUUGAAGGGGAAACUUUUAUGGUUGCUCCACAAGAUGAGGAUGAGUCAAGAAAUAUUAAUGAUGCUCUGAAUUGCCCUAGUAAGGAAAAAUGGAUUCAUGCAAUGGAAGAGGAAAUUGAGUCAAUGAAAUCAAACCAAGUCUGGGAACUGGUUGAUCUUCCAAAAGGACGCAGAGCUAUUGGGAACAAGUGGGUUCUCAAAAUAAAGCGAAAGGCUGAUGGCUCGAUAGAAAGGCAUAAGGCUCGCCUUGUGGCGAAGGGGUAUAAUCAACAUGAAGGAAUUGAUUAUGAAAAUACAUUUUCUCCUGUAGUGAGAUUUACCUCGAUUCGCAUUAUUCAAGCAAUAGUGGCUAGUAUGGAUCUUGAGUUACAUCAAAUGGAUGUAAAGACUACUUUCCUCAAUGGAGAACUAGAGGAAGAAAUAUGUAUGGAACAACCUACUAGUUUCAUAGUGAAAGGCCAAGAAAAAAAUGUAUGUCGACUUUUGAGGUCGAUAUAUGGCCUUAAGCAGUCAUCGAGACAAUGUUAUAUAUGUUUUCAUAAUGCCAUAAUGGCAUAUGAUUUUACAAUGAUUGAUGAGGAUCAUUGUGUAUAUAUCAAAAGAUCCAAGGAUCAAUUUGUGAUCAUAUCAUUAUAUGUUGAUGAUAUACUGAUUGCCGGAAGCAAUAUGGAGUUUGUUAAUACUGUCAAGAGUUGGUUGUCUUCCAACUUUGAGAUGAAAGAUAUGGGUGAGGCUGCAUACAUUCUUGGAGUUAAGAUUUCAAGAGAUCGUUCGAAGAUAGCGUUGUCUCUUUCGCAAGAAACAUAUAUAAAUAAGGUUCUUGAACGAUUUCGUAUGCAAGAUUGUAAACUCAUAGACACUCCUAUUGCAAAAGGUGAAGGAUUGAGCCAUAGACUGUGUCCAGGGACUCCACAAGAGAAGGAACAAAUGAAACAUGUUCCUUAUGCUAGUGUUGUUGGGAGCUUGAUGUAUGCUAUGAUGUGUACAAGACCCGACAUAUGUUUUGCAGUUGGAAUGGUAAGUAGAUACCAAUCCAAUCUAGGUCCAGCACAUUGGAAAGCCGUUAAGAGAAUACUGAGGUAUCUGAAGGGAACUGCUGAUUACAAGUUGAAUUACCAAGGAAAGAAUCUGCGACUUGAAGGCUAUUUAGAUGCUGAUUGGGGAGGAGAUUUAGAUAAAAGAAAAUCUACCUCAGGAUUUGCUUUCUUACUGAACAAUGGCGCCAUAUCAUGGAGUAGUAAGAAGCAAACGUGUAUAGCCUUAUCCACGAUGGAAGCUGAGUUCGUGGCAUUAUCAGCAGCAAUAUAAGAAGAUGUUUGGCUUAAGAGAUUUUUUGGAUCAUUUAGGUGUUAUUGGAAGUGUUGCAGAUUCAUUGUUGGUUAACUAUGGUAGCCAAGCAGCAAAAGUGUACACCAAAGAUCCAAAAUAUCAUGGCAAGACCAAACCUAUAGAUACCAAUUAUAAUUUUUGCCAAAGAUAUGAUUGCACGAAAAGAUGUGAACUUAGAGUACAUACUACGCAUAGAAUGGUAGCAGAUCCUAUGACAAAGCCAAUAUCUAGAGAUAUGUUUUGUGGCCAUAUGAAAUCUCUAGGAUUGCGUAGAGUAUGAUGUACUGGAUUGUAAUUUCCCUAAAGUGUUCACAUUUGAUGAAUUUGUGUUUUUCAUUAUUAAUGCCUAUGAAUCUUUGUUUGAUCUUUAUGCAUCUUAUUGCUCAAUGCAUUACUUUAGGUUGAGAAAGUAUGUUGGACAGAUAUAAAAUUAGCCCACUCACACGGGUAAUCGCCUCUAUUUACUAUGUGAUAAAUAGAGAUGAAACUGUUUUUAAGCUUAUUAUCUAGGUGAUAAUCGAGAGCUCCAGCUUAAAACACGUAUGUCGCCUUAACUGAGUGUUAAGAUGAUGACAUAAUACUUACUAUUUCCGAAAGUAAAAUACCCCACAUAUUUUACUUUAUCUAUCUAUGAUGCUAGAUGUGAAUUCUGAUGAAUUUUGUGAAUGAGUAGAUACGUGAACUCAAGUUAGACAUUGGGUAUGUUUGAACUAUCAUCUGUACGGUAUUGAAGGUGUAGACAUACGCUCCAUGGGAAAGGAUUUAAUACCGUAAUACGUAUUUCAUACUACGUAUGCAUAAGACGACCAAUAAGAGUGGCAAAAGUUUGAUCUCAACUUUUAUGCCGUGUGAGACUCUUAAGGAAAAGAGUUCCUCAAUUUUUAAGUCCCCUCAUGACUCUUACUUAUUCUCAAGAUUUCUAUUUAGUGUUUGCUAUCUUAGGAUGUUGCCAAUGGUCAUGAGUUGAUUCGAUCUAAUAGGGCAUUUCUAGAAAAGCAAGCUGAACUGAAAUUGAGAGUUUGACUGAAAGAGGAAGAUCGAAUUUGGAAAAUCACAUUAUAGUUUUGUAUUCACUGGUUAACUAAUUAUGAUUGUCUUUGGGAUAAUUAUAAUUGUGAAUACAAUAUAUAUAUAUAUAUAUAUAUCAUUUUUUAAAAGAGAUCAAGAGAGAUAUAAAUGUGAUCGAUCGAUCUAGGGUACUGCAUACUAAAUCUACUCAGGAUGUGAUGCCCAUUAUGAGCUGCUAUAUAUUCCUAAUAGGUGUAUGGCAACGAGCUCUCAAAGUAUGCUGGUCGCACAAAUUAUUCACCGGUAUGAAUGUUGAAGAGAGGUAAAGAGAAUCAUGUUUGGCCCACCAUGUGNNNNNNNNNNNNNNNNNNNNNNNNNNNNNNNNNNNNNNNNNNNNNNNNNNNNNNNNNNNNNNNNNNNNNNNNNNNNNNNNNNNNNNNNNNNNNNNNNNNNGAUGAUGGUUUUAUAUGAUGGGCUUAAGGCCCGUCCGCCCAUGUUGGGCCUGAAAGCCCGAUCCACAAGAUUAGGGCCCAUGGAUGGAGGGAUAUGAUGAAGGGGUACGUUUCUAUUUUUUGAGGGAACGUAUAUAAGGGAGGAAAGAGAGAGACGAUGACACCCUUUUGGCAUUAUUACGUGCAUUCCUCUCCCUCUCUCCCUCCAAAAGAAAAACGAGCGCAAACGGUGACGCCAUCUUCCCUUCAAGGCCAAUCGACGUCAUCGGAUCGAACAGGAUCGGAUUUCUCUUCCUCUUAUCGACAUUGGUGUUUAAUCUGUGGCUAACAAGGUACGCUCGAUUCCGUAGUGUGCUUUAGGAUCGGUGAUACAUGUUUUUCCCGAGUUUAUCUUCCGCAUUCGUUUUAGGGGUUCGAUUUAGUGUCGAAUUUGGUUUUUUGGGAAUCCGACAUUCCCAACACCCAUCUUUCACGGCGUCCGAUUUUUGGUGAGUUGAGUUCGGUUUCGAUCCGCCGUUUUCCUAUGGUUCCCGGCUUGGCAAAACUGAGAUGGCCGGCUAUAGUUUGAUUUGUAUCGAGACCGGCUUCCGGCUGUCGUCGCCAAGCCGGGUAAGGCCCCCGCGGUCGCGCGCUCCGGCGCCCCUUUUUUGUCCUUUCUUUAUUGCUCUAUUUUUGCCCUAUUUCGGGCAUGCCGGGCUGGAGCUCGCGGCCGUCCCGCUUACUCGAACUCUGGCCCCUUCGCCCCCGUGCUUUGAUGUUGUCAGUCUGGUUGGUCGUAUGUUGAGGGGACCGUGCGAGUUUGAGUCCCAGCUGAGCCGGAAGCGCCACCUGCACGAUGAAACGCCUCAACGAGAUCUAAUUUUCGUCUCCUCCUUUUUUAGCCGAAAUCGAGUCGUCCGCACUAUUACGUUCUAUUGCUAUGUCCCUGUGAUGUUUGGUGUUACGGGCACGGCCAUUUGGUUGCUUCCCUGCCCCCCGCGACCGCCGUUGUUUACUUUGUUUUGUGUUUCGGGCUUUGUGGCCGACAGUAAUGGAGGCUCGUUACUGUGUUUCGGCCAUGCUGGCCGUCACCAAGAGUCCAGAGCCGUUGGAGUGAGAGCGUGGUCAAGCCGAGGGCGUCGGCUUACGGCCAUUUGGACAAGACGGUGGCAGCGGGAGGUCAGAAGCAAUUAGGUUAGAAGGCUUAAUUAGUUUAAUUAGCAUGGGCUUAAGUUAGUUUAGUGGGUUUAGGUUCGUUUCUGUUUUCAUGGGAGUUAAAAAGUAUUGGUUUUGGGCUCAACUAGGAUUUAUUAAGUUUGGGUCUAGUUCUCGUUAUAUUUGGACCGGUGAUUUUCGGGCUUGAUUUGUUUUAGGGUGUGUUUAUUUAGCGAAAUCUUAAUGAUAUAGGAAAAAGCUUUCUAGUAAAACAUCUUUCAGGAAUAUGGUUAGUUUUUCCUUGUUUGAUAAUAUAUAAUCAAAAAUGUUUUUCAAUGUUUGGAUACUAUUUCAAAAUGAUUUCAAUCUCAUUAUUUUAUUUAGUAAAAAAAAAUCAAUUUUUUUUUUAAUUUUUAGAAAAAAUUGAAAUUUUCAAUUAUUUUCUUUUUCUCUUUUUUUUUCCUUUUUUUUUUCUAAAAGUUGAAUUUUUAAUUUUCUAUAAUAAAGAGACAUUGAAUUCUUAUUAAAGUGACCAUUAUCCAAACCUUAGAAUAUACAUACAAAUAAACUGUUCACGAGAAGAUGUACAACAUCCUUUGCACAUGGAGAAAAUAUUGGGUGGUCUGAGAGCUCCACAUCAGCGUGGUGUUCGGCCACUCACAAGGUGCCAUGUGGAGGGGUGGGCCCACUUGGUGUCUUCUGCUUUCUUCCCCUUUCUCCUUCUAGCCUGCACGCUCUCUCUCCUAUGCAGCGCAUUUAUUGCGGUUUAAACUUUUCUCUUUCUUUCUCAAAUGAGAAGGAAAGAGAAGCCCGUUCUUCUGUCCCUCUCCAUUUCUUUCCUUUCAAAUUUUGAAUUUGAAAUUUUCUCUCUCUCUCCGCGCUCGUUCCUGCUCCGCUGUGCAUCAAGCAGCCGUUCCCCUGCCGUCGCCAAUGAACCACAUUAUGGCCACCCCUACUCCGAUGCUCGCUUGCUUCCUCUCUUCGGGCUCGUUGUUGCUCCAUCGUUCGCUCCAGCAUUCCCGGGAUCACAGAUGUAGCACACGGAGGAGAAGCAGGCCUCUUUGAGUUCCCCUCAACGUCGGCGAGCAUCGCUCGCCGAGCAAGACCCCCACACACAGAAGGCUCGGAGGCGAGGUUGCUAGAGAAGCUGGUGCCGCACACUGCCAGCUUGCUGAGCUGCCUCGUUGUGUNNNNNNNNNNNNNNNNNNNNNNNNNNNNNNNNNNNNNNNNNNNNNNNNNNNNNNNNNNNNNNNNNNNNNNNNNNNNNNNNNNNNNNNNNNNNNNNNNNNNNNNNNNNNNNNNNNNNNNNNNNNNNNNNNNNNNNNNNNNNNNNNNNNNNNNNNNNNNNNNNNNNNNNNNNNNNNNNNNNNNNNNNNNNNNNNNNNNNNNNNNNNNNNNNNNNNNNNNNNNNNNNNNNNNNNNNNNNNNNNNNNNNNNNNNNNNNNNNNNNNNNNNNNNNNNNNNNNNNNNNNNNNNNNNNNNNNNNNNNNNNNNNNNNNNNNNNNNNNNNNNNNNNNNNNNNNNNNNNNNNNNNNNNNNNNNNNNNNNNNNNNNNNNNNNNNNNNNNNNNNNNNNNNNNNNNNNNNNNNNNNNNNNNNNNNNNNNNNNNNNNNNNNNNNNNNNNNNNNNNNNNNNNNNNNNNNNNNNNNNNNNNNNNNNNNNNNNNNNNNNNNNNNNNNNNNNNNNNNNNNNNNNNNNNNNNNNNNNNNNNNNNNNNNNNNNNNNNNNNNNNNNNNNNNNNNNNNNNNNNNNNNNNNNNNNNNNNNNNNNNNNNNNNNNNNNNNNNNNNNNNNNNNNNNNNNNNNNNNNNNNNNNNAGUUCCGAUAUCCUUGCAAGCUUGAAAGCACCUACAGUCACCCUCGACUCUGAUGCUGACCCAACACCGCCUCCUCCCUUGAACCCGACUCUGACGCCGACGCCCCUCCGCCAUUUUCCUUCGUCGGCAACAAAGUUCGUCGCCCCUAACUCCGACGCCGACGCCUCGGCCUCGGCCUACGUGCCCGACGCCAACGCCGACGCCAAUGCCCCUUCGCCUCCCUCUCGCUGCUCGCGUUUUGGCCUCCCUCUCCGCGAGCAAAGGUCACUCUGCUCGAUCUUUCUCUCUUUCCUCCAUGAAGCACCCCCUGCUCCUGAACAUAGACGCCGUCGCCUCCCGCUGUCACCUUCCCAAGCCCCACCUAUAGGCACCGUAUUGGCGAUUCCCAUACGUCCGAAGGUUCGAUUUUUUUUUUUUUUUUUGGAUUCUACUUAGUAGAAUUCGGUGUCGUGUUAAUGUUUAGGUUCAUAGAUACAUUUGCAUUAGGUAUUGCUUUUAUCUUACUUGUUGCUGACUUGCUGUGUUAUUCAGAUAGUUAAUGAAGAUUGGAAGAAAGUGAAAUGGUGGUAUCUUUUGAGAUUGUUUGCAUAUAGUCCUCCCAAGAGAUUAGAGGCUUCUGAGCCUAAAUUGGUCACUCCUUGUCUGAAGUAAGAGAUUGAGAAGCUGGUAUUAGGAUUGCUCAAGUGGACCUAUAGCCGAUUAUGUCCAAGUCAUGCCACACUCUCCACAUAUGCUCCUAAGUCUUGCUUUCAUCACUGCUGCUACUUUAUUCUCCCAUACAAAAUGCAAGCAAUUCAUUAAUUGAUUGUGUAAUUGGACUUGCAGGGUUGUCGGAAUGGUGGUUCAUGUUCUUUUUCUCAUAAUAUGGGCACGUCAUUUUCGUUAGUGAGUACUCCAUGCAUCGCAGAAAAUGGCGAUGCCGACCCAACAUUACUUAUUUAGUUAUUUCCUUUUGCUGAUGAUGGGGAAAUUCUCAUCUUGGACGAAAUUUUCUCUGUCAUCAUUGGCAAUGCCUAGCUGAAACACCAGGGUCAAAUCCUCAGUUUGGGUGUGGGUUUCUGUGAAUGGAUCAGUCCACUCCAAAACCUCCCACCAGUUCCAUGUGCCACUUGGGCUCUGCCCCAAAGUCAGUCUCAUUCUAGCUCAGUGUUUAAGGUUGGGCUUUGCCUUUGAUAUAAUUUAUAACUUUGAGCCUUGUGGCUUGGGAAUGAGGUUAAUCAUGGAUUGGUUAGAAGCAAAAAGAAAUGAUGAAAUUGAGAAGAGUUUAGUUGAAUCUAAUCACUAUGGUUUUGUGGGUGGAGGCGUUUGCUUUAUCCUCUGUCGUCACUCCUGAAUAUGUUUAUUUUGCUCAUAUUCUUUUGAAAUUAUUGUACAUGAAUCCCAAGGUACUUAUUGUUAAGUUUUACAGAAGAAACCUUUCUUUGCAGAGACCAAGGGUGUGUAUACUAGGUGGUGGAUUUGGGGGUUUAUACACUGCUUUGAGACUGAAAUCACUUGUCUGGCCUGACAGCAAGAAACCUCAUGUAAUUCAUUUGAUCCUUGUAUAGUUAGUAUGCGUUCUUCAUUGAUACAUCCCUGCUGCUCGAAUGGAAUCAUAAGCAGAACUUGCAUAUUUGAACAAAGAUCACUCCUCUAGACUAUACCAAACUGUCUUAUAGAAGUAUGUAUAUUCUGUUGAAACCAGUAUGUUGUCAUUUGAUGCCACUUAUAAUGUUCAAAUUACUUAUUCAGCUUGAGCCAUCUUAUUAAAUUGGGUCAUUUUGAUAAUGCAGUAGGUCCUUCUUAUUGACCAAUCUGAGCGGUUUAUUUUCAAGCCAAUGCUAUAUGAACUUUUAUCUAGAGGUAUGAAGAUAUGACACUACAGAGUUUGCAAUAGUUUUUUGCUGUUUAUAAUGAUAGUUCCAGUGAUAUGUUUAUUUGAAGAAGGGUGAGGGAGAUUCUCUCUGAGGACUUAUGUCUUGAUGCAGAAGUAGAAGAAUGGGAAAUAGCUCCUCGAUUUGCUGAUCUUCUUGCGAGCACUGAUGUCAAGCUUUUCCAAGAUAGGGUAAAACUCUUGCGUCCAAUGGAUCAUCUGGGAAUCAAUGCUCCUCCGGGAUCUGGUUCUGUAGGGACUGUGCAACUUGAAAGUGGCCUCCUUGUUGAAUAUGACUGGUAUCGUUUUCUCUUUGAAUAUCGUCUAGUAUGUCUUUAAUUUUUCAUAUAGGAAUAUAGUUUUGUCAGGCACCGGAGUAUAUAUAGCCUUUACCAGGUUUGUACUUCAUAACUUCAGACACUUGCUAGAUUUUUUCUGUCAACUUUCCUGAUUAAUUAGGAAAUAGUUUUAUGUGGAUAGUGUUGAUCGUCUUUUCUUAGGUGUUGCUCUAGGAUUGUCCCUUGCCUUUGUGAGCUAAAUGAGCUUUCUUUCAAUAUGCUGGGGGAUAGCAUCAGAUUAGUUCAAGCCUCCUUGGGAUUUGUUAAAGUUGAACUUGGAUUUGAUGAAUCAUUAGUUGAUAGAUAGAUGCUCAUUUGGUUUUUAUGUGUAUAAGGAUAUGCCAAUUCUCUCUUUUUGUCAUGGGCUGUCAGGUUGGUUCUUGCUUUGGGGGCUGAAGCGAAGCUUGAUGUUGUACCUGGUGCAGCUGAGUAUGCAUUGCCAUUCUCAACCCUCAGGGAUGCACUUGUAAGGCAACUUUUAGGGGGGUCUAUAAUGCUAUAAAUUACAUCUCUAGUUGAUUGACUCUGAUUUGGUACAUUUAUUAUUCUCUCACUUGUACAUUUCUGUUGCAGAAAGUUGACAACAAAUUAAAAGCUUUGGAGAGAAGGAACUUUGGGAAGGGGUCUGAAAUUCGCGUAGCUGUUUUCUNNNNNNNNNNNNNNNNNNNNNNNNNNNNNNNNNNNNNNNNNNNNNNNNNNNNNNNNNNNNNNNNNNNNNNNNNNNNNNNNNNNNNNNNNNNNNNNNNNNNAACUCACCAGUCGUGCAGCUCUAUAAGCCUGAUAGUCCACUUCUAGAUUAACAUGUAAUUAGAAGUCCUAUUGAAGAUGAAUUAUCACUGUUAUAGUUUUCAAGACUUCAGAAUCAUGUGAAACAUCAUGUUAUAUAUUCACGAUACUCUAUGCAUGUACUGUUUUGUUUGUUUGGAUGGACUAUAAUUUGUUGGUAUUUUGUCAGCUACAUAGAAACACAUAGAAACGAAUCAUAUGAAGAGGGUAGAGAGGAAUGAGUGGGCCAGCGAAUCUAUGUAAACUUCUUGCUUCAACCUGGUACUAGAAUCAGCUGGAGCAAUUUGAUAUGAAGCGAGGACUAAGAUUUCUAUUACUUGUAUUGGUUCAAACUUGUAGCGGUAUGAUUAAGAAUGGUACUUUGGUUAUGAAAGAUGCGUACGCCAUGCGAUGAUCUUCAUGGAGAACCUACUAGAUUAUAAUGUAAAAUAAGUUAGAAAGAGUUGGUUGGCUGUGCUUCUUUUCCAAAUGAAAUUCAGUUCCAUCCACAUUUUGCCGGUACAGAUGGUGUCUUAGGGCAAAAUGAAAUGGUUUAUGAACUACUCACAAUCGAGAAUUCACUGAAAGGACUUGAUAUUGUGAAAGCAAAGAAGGACAAGUAAGACUACAUAAAUUGCAGGAUGUAGAGUUGUACGGAUGGCAAGUUUCAGAGGAUAAACUGUUUUUCCGUUUAGUUUUCGUAUUGCUCCUACGCAACUCCUUUUCAUUUUAUUUUCCACCUCUAAUUUGAUUUAGUGGAAAACCUGAAUGCCAAGUUUGACCGAUAUCUAUGAAGUUAACGCCGUUGCACAAGCGGUUACCCUUGGCGGGACCAUCUUCUUGUUCAUGGUGAUUGUGAGAUUUGGGUGAGUGCAGUUCUACUUGAUGAUGCCGGAGACAAAGGGGCGGAGGCUGGAGGACUUGUUAUACAUGGAGUGGAGGUCCACAGUGAGGGAGAUGGAGAUGCAAAGGAACAACAACGUGACCAAGGAGGCAAACAGUGAGGCCUCACUUGUAAUGCAUGAUGUCCAAUUAAUAUUAGGUCCUAGACACAACAUUAACCGCACAUCAUGCAUGCAUUAUAGAUGAAGCCUCACUAUUUGCCCCUCAGUUCGCAUCUCCAUUUCCUUCGUUGCAGAUUUAUGGAACAACUCCUCUACCAUCCGCCCCUUCGUCUCCCACAUCAUCAAGUAGAAGAGCACUCACGCAAAACUCACGAUUUCCAUAAACAAGAAAGCGGCUCCACCAAGGGUAACCGUCUUGUGCAACAGUAUAAACUUCAUGGAUAACACUCCAAGGGAGUUUGAUUGGUCUCUCUUCUGUAUUGAUUCCUUCAAUUUCUCCAGACUUUCGACAGUGUCUUGCAAUCGGCUACAAGAACCGCCACGUAGUACAACUAAACUUUCUCAUGACAUUAGCCUACUAACACUUACUCCCAUAAAGAAACAUAGAAAAUUAGGAUAGCUACAUACAUUUCAUCCUAAUCAUCUCUCCAUCAGGACGUGCUCAUGCCAGUUAGUUCAACUUGAGCUGCAGGGGCAUUGAUCACGUCAAUUAGAUCCAAUUUCCCCCUGCUCUGCACAUUACCUGAAUGGAUGGAUUUACGAGUGCCGAAGUAUGUCAAAGACGUAGGAGGCAUUGCCUUGAGCAACAUCUCGUGCUAUCAACUUCAGUCUAAAAAAUGACUGACCGAUCUAGCAAGCUCGCAUUUGCUCUGGACAGAAUCAGAUUAUGGACCACCUGUAAUGUCAAUGUGCUAAGGAAUUUGAUAAAGAUGCGCUGCAAUCUUUGCAAUACGAUCAAACAAUAUCCUGAACAUGGUUGAGACAAGCCCAAUGAAGCGGAGCAUUCUUCUCCUCAUUACUGGCGUUAACAUCCUGAAAUUGGAAGAUUCCGGGUUUCAUAAAAGUCUCUUUCUACAUGUAACUAUGCAAUAAAUAACCGUAUAUAGAGCCUCAUAUCAACGCUAAUUCUAAUAAGACGCCGAGAUCAAGGCCAUAUCAGGACAACCACAGAGCAAUCAUAAAAAAUGCGCUGACCAACAUUUGAGAAAACUCAUCUAAGUCAGGACACGAUUGAAUAUCACCCCGAACCGAGAGUCGUGAGUACUAGUGCAAGUGACAAACAUCGACAUCUCCAAAAAACUAAAGAAAGAAUAAAGAGGAAGAGAGAGAAAGGGGGGGUGGGGAAUCAAUGAGAAUGGCAUAGUCGAAUGAAUUUAGCCAGAUUAUUGCAAAACACAGUUUGCGAGGAAGAAUGAAAGCCUGAGUUCACCGGAGAUAUGACCGAAAAGCAGGAGGCAAACAAGACCGGAUUUUUUUAAGUUCAACAUUACCAGAUACAUGGACCCUCGAGAUCAGCAGUCAAACAUAAAAGACGAUGAAGGGAACACAACUUCCGUCAGCAAGCGAGAAAUUCCAAAGAAAACAAGGCCAUGUCUACCACAGUAAUCACCUAUAACUCUGUAGCAUCCAAAAACCUUAUGAAUAUCCUUAAAUCCUAAACCCAGUAAACGAAUCACCUUUAACUGUGUAGGAGAGCUCUUCAGAAGCGCUCCAGUUGGUCUCGGCAAAGGGCGAGGCGUUGAGGAGAGGAAUGGAGAGGCAAGAGCGAGAGAGGAUGAAGGUGUGGAGCUGGGGAAGGGGAGCUGGAGACUGGAUAUGGGGAAGAAGGAGCGUUGUUUGGUCGUUCUCCUUUCUCCAGAAAGGAAACAGUAGCGAGCGGAAGGAGGGAGGAGGAGAGGGAAGAGCUGGGCAGCGGCUGCUGUGCAUUCACACUCCCCAACUGCAAAAUGAUACUUGAAGUAGAGAGCUCGGCGUGCAUGGGAAGUAUUGGUAACGGUCUGAAAAAGCAGGCUGGGCUUGGGGGGAAAGGUGAAUGGUGGAAUGGGACUUGGGAGGGUGAGUUCGAUGAGUCCCGAUGAGCAGAGGGAUGGUUUCUCACUUCACAACAUCACUCACUCACUCUCUCUCUCUCUCUUUGUUUCUCUCUCUCUCUCUGCUUCUUCUCGCUCAUCUUUAAAGUAGUUGAGUGGUUAGUAUCCGUUCGAAAUAAACUUUUGUUCCAUAUUUAAGAAGAUGCCUGAUCAUUCCCCUUAAUAAAUUAAUUAAUAAUUCAAGAAUUACGUUGGUAUUUAGUUAUUAUUAGCAGGUCAGUAAGAUGGAUUUAAAGUUAAAUGUGCGGUACAUAUUAAAAUUAAUUAUUGAUUGUGUUGGCAAAAAGACAAAAGCAAUAAACGGUGUUGGCCAAAAGACAAAAUGUUUGAAUUUUUCUUCUUCUGCAUUCAUUUUCUCAUCGCCAGUUCUUUUUUCUUGGAUUGCCAUCACCCGUAAUUAAUAAUCAUGGGGGAGAGACAGAGAUCGCUCAAUGUGGCAUGCAAAACCUGACAUGCAGGGGAGAAGGCUUUGCUUUUCACCUUCCUCAAAACUUGAACCAAAUUUAUUGCUCUCCCUUUGUUUGUCUAAUUAAGUGCCAAACCAUUAUAAUUCUUCCUUCUCACCCUUCAAUUUUUCUUUCAAUAAACUUUUCUACCUCAUUUGGCAAUGCCGAAGAACAAAUAAUUGCCCUAUUUGGCUAUGCCAAAUUACCUGUCGAGAAUUGUUUUGAAGAUAUGGUUGGCAUGACAUGUAUGUCCAAUGUAAUAGUCUUAAACCUUAGUUGAUUGAAGUUUUGUAUGGUAAGUGCAAAAGAUAACUUAUAUUUAUAUUUAUAUUUACAUUGUCAUGUUUUAAAUAAAGUGAAAUUCUUAUUGAAUGGCGGUGGAAGAGUGUAAUUACAAUGAAAAAUGGGGCUAAUCGAUGAGUAUUUGAGUAUUUUAUGGAUGAACGCAAUGACAAACCUCAAACGUCAUAAGCUCCUUCAUUUUCCAAGGCUUCACAAAAAACACAUGUGUACGAUCACAAAAACAAGUAAAAGUGAUGAGAAUGAGUAAUCCUAAUCUCUGCAAGUAAAGUGAUGAAGGGCCUAUUUUGUCGCUAUCAUAUAACAUUUAUUCCUAAUUCAAUUUACGGUAUAAAAUUUCAUUAUAUAAUAAGGUAUUUGUAAUUAAUUUGGAGACUUUAACAAUAUUUCUGAUUUUUUUUUUUUACUUUGAAUUACAAAAAUUUUAAAUUUUCAUUUGGAGAUGAAAGUUUGGAAAAAGGAAGACUCUUUUUAAAUUGAACAAAUUUAAUGUCCAAAAAUUUAUUUUUAAUAUAAUUAGUUAGAUAAGAUUGCUAGUCACAGAUAGAUAAAAUGCUUAUUUUUCCAGCAAAAGAAGUUAGAAACAAUGGUGGACUUAAUUUACAGAGUUAGUGACAAGUGCCCUUGCUAAAUGGACACAAUUUUCCCCUACACAAUCUACAAUAACAAUCCGUAAAGCCCACGUUUUAGCAGAAAACAAUCCAUUAGAAAAUAUAUGCUGAAUAUUCGCCAAAAAAUAAAUGCUGGAACUAAAAAUAUAUAUACCACAUCCUUUAGAUUCAUAGCAAAUUUAUUCAUUAACCAGCAUGCUUUGACAUUUGGUAAAGCUCAUUUAAAGAAGGGGAUCUUGACUUGACGUACAUUCGCUUAAAGUAAUUGAGUGGCUAGUAAAAUAGUAUUUUCUAAGCCCAUUGAAAUAAACUUUUAUUCGGUGUAAAGUAAUAUUUAAAAUAGUUAAUAUCAUGAAAAAUUACAAUUGAAAUAUUUAUGAUAAAUUUAUCUCAAACUAAUUUUUUAACCUUAAAAAAUUUUAAACUAAUACACUCAUAACAAAUUACCUCAAACUAAUUUUUUGAUCACUAAAAAAUACCAAAUUGAUAUAUAUGUAAUAAAUUUAUGAUUUGUUGAUUUCCAUUAAAUUAAAUUAAUAUCAUAAAAAAACCACAAAUUAUUACACAUGUAAUGACCAAUAGAGGGUAAAACCCCAAAUUAGUACGUUAAUCAAUUGUGACAUGUUAUCUAACUCAACAAUUUGACUAUAAAAUUUAAUAUUAACUAAUUAAUGGUAAGUACAUCAAUUUGGGAUUAGUUUACCAAUUUGGAAUUUAUCAUGGUAUUAACCCUAUUUAAAUUUUUUCUAAUAUUGUCUAAACAAAUAGUCAAAUAAUCCUUACCAAAAAAAUACAAAUAGUCAAAUAAUUCAAGAAUAACAUCAAGGUUGGUGGUUAGCUAUAAUUACCAUAUUACAAAGAUAGAUUAUAAAGACAAAUGUGUGGUACAUGUCAAAACUAAUCAUCUAAAUGAUCAAUUAAUAAAAGGCACAAGAACUAAAUGGUGUAGGCCGAAAAAACAAAAAAGAAAGUUGAAAUGUUCUUUCUUGUGAAUUCAUUCAUAAUAAUGAUGGGAGAGAGAAUCUUGUUGUUCAUCAUCCUCAACACCAAGAUCAAAUUAUGAAUAGAUUUGAAAUUCAUAAAUUUUGCUAUAUUUUAUUCAAUGUUGGGUGAAUCAUAGCAAUAAUAUGAGAUAUAUUCUUAUCCUAUUAUAUCUUAUUGUUUGUUAUAAACAAUUAUUAAUCAGUAAAUCUUAAAAAAAGAAUGGUGGUUUGGGAGAGUGACUGCAUUCACCAUCCCCAACUGCAAAGGAUAUUUUAUAAUUGAUGAAGUAGAGAUCAAUGUGCAUGUCAAGUAGGGAACGAUCUAAAAGAGUAGGCGUGUGGGCUGGAGUUUUGUAUGUUUGCGGAAAAAAGUGAAUGGUGGGAUGAGAGAGUGAGUGCGAUUAGUCCGACGAGAAAAGAGACGACGAGAAUGGCUUCCUCUCAUUUUAACCUUGAUGAAAUGGAGUUUUCGGGCAACUUCUUUUUUACUUUUAUCUCUUAUUUACGGUUCUUUCUUUUUUCAAAUUGAAAAAUAAUAAAAAAAUCACAAUCUUUCAAGUUUUGAAAAUUGUAAAAUUUAGUAUAUGAUUUUUAGGGGUGAUUGAUUCCGAAUUCAGUCACAACCAGUAACCGAGAACCCGAUCGGGAGGACCAAUUCCCAUUUUUUGGGAUCGAGAAUCGGCCAAACUAACCGGUCUAGGCCAAUGGAAUCAGCCAAUUAGCAAAACAAAUUCAAACAAUUUGAAAAAAAAAAUACUAGAGUUGUUACUAUUUUAGAGUUUAUUACAUUUUUUAAGAACAUAGAAAAUAUUUUUUUAUAAAAAAAUGUUGGUCUAGUCCGGUCCGGUCCGGUUUCCUCUUAAAAUCGGGAACCAAACCAAAAAUAGAUGAACUAAGAUUAGACCAACACCCCUCGACGAUUCUCGAUUUGGUUUGUUCAAUAUGCUCACCCCUAAUGAUUUUACUUGUUGGUAUUUAUUCUUUAUUGCGGAACUCGAAAAAUUUACAACAAAGAAAAGGUUUUACAAACUAGUUGAAAAUGUUUCAUCUCUAAAUUUAUAUUGUAUAUAAAUUGGAUCAAAACAGAUUAUUAGUCAGAAUUGAUAAUUAAUAUUUAGAGACAAUCAUACUGUGAUUUUAAUAAUAUAUUUACAUAAAUUAAUAAUAAAAAGCCAACUUAAAUGACAAAUGUUUAAUAAACUAAUAAAUUAUUAAAUAUUUUUUAAUAAAUCAAUAUUUAUAUUAAUCAAAUUUCAAUAAAUAUAUUAAAAAGUGAUUUAUAGCUUCUUAAAAUCUGAUCAAGCACUAUUUCUCCAUCGUGCUUUUAUGAUACAAGAUUAUAAAUAAAUACAAACAAUAAAGCACAACUCCAUGAAACAUCAAUAGUCAAGGAAAUAAUUUGUUUUUCCUAAGAAUUGAAAUACAAAAUCAUUUCUUUGUAUUCUGAUUAGUGUUUUAGGUGAUUUAUUCGCAAUGAAUUGAAAUUUUAUGCCACGUGAAAACGAGAAAUGCCAAAAUUAACCGAAGUAGCUAAAACACCCAAGUUCAUGUGAAUGGAUUCUUGGAAAAUAGCCUGAUAAUGAAUAGGAAUAACAAGCACCAAGAAGUCACCAUCACAGCUGGGUUUAAAAUAUAUAUAUUUGCAUCAGUAACUGUCUAUUCCUUUUCUCUUAAAAAUCCAUUCUUAGGCAAGGCAUAUUUUACAUUUAUUCUUCAUUUCCUGUAUUGCUUUAAACUCCCGAAAUUUUCUAUUAUAAAUAUGAGAAAAGCCAUAUCAUUCCUAAAAGUCCUAAAAUUUCAAUUUAUUAAUUUAUUUAAUGAUGUGGCAAUUUUAAAUUAAUUUCUCUCACUUGGCUUUUUUUUAUUGUUUUCUUUUUAAUAUCUUAUUCAAAUGAGAUUAAAAAACUGAAAAAGCUAAAAUUUUAUUUAAAAAAAAAAAACAAACUGAAAAGAGAGAGAGAGAGAGAGAGAGAGAGAGAGAGAGAGAGAGAGAGAGAGAGAGAGAGAGAGAGAGAGAGAGAGAGAGAAGAGAUAGGGAGGUAGGGCGCUGCCGCCACCACCAUCGGAGGGGUCGACCUUAGGCAAGGCUGGCCGGCCCUCGCCAGUCCCAUGCGAGGCCUCACUGGCCCUAAGCGAGGGGCCGGAGACCCUCGCUAGGCUUGGGCUUGCGCUCAAGCGCCCAAAUCUGGGUGACGCUGGUGCUCACCCAGGGCUGGCGAGGCUUGCCGACUCUAGUUGACCACCAGUGUCGCCCAGAUAUGGGUGCUCUCGCCCGAGUCGGCAAAGGUCGCCUACGCUUGCCUGGAGCUGGCGAGGGUUGGCCACCCUCACCCUAGGCCGGCGACCUCCACCGGCUCCUCCGACUAUGGGUGGUAUUGGCAGUGGCAGUGGUGCGCUUCUCUCUCUCUUUUCAGUUUUAUUUUUUAAAAUAAAAUAUUAGCAUUUUUUUAGUUUUUAAGCUGAAUUAAAUAAGAUUAAAAAAGGAAAACAAUAAUAAAAAAUGCCAACUAGAAGAAAGAAAUAAAUUUAAAAUUUAGAUUCAAUUGCACCUAAGUGGCAUCUUUGUCACAAAAUUUUGGAUUCUGCUCGUGAACUUAUCCUUAAAUAUUCUUAGGUAAUGGAUAUUACUUUUACUUUUCUCUAAAUUUAUUUGUACACGAUUUUGUAGUUAAAACGAGUUGUUUUUACGUAAAAGAUAGGUUAUUUUUCUUUUCUUUUUUCAAUUUUACACAAAUGGAUGACUUUCAUGUUUUGAUUGUCUUUCUAUUAACCUCCACAUUGUAAAUUUCGAAGUUCUCCAAAGGUGGUUCCUACAUAUUUUUCAGACGUUGGCUUUUUUUUUUUUUUUUCCUGUCUCUAUCUUUCAUAUAUUAUCUUUUCUAUAAUAUAUUUCAAAAGAAAAAAAAAAAAAAAAGAAGGUGGAGGACAAGUAUUAGAGGAGUAUUUGAUUUUGAAAGACGCCCACCCCAAUUUUUGGUCUUGACUUCAUGAUUUCGACCGUUGUGUAUUUAUUUCGCUCAGAAACGACAUGAUUUUAAAUUGGACACGGAAAAACUAAAAUUCAUGGGCAAGAUAAAAUGUACACAAAUAUAUAUAUAUAUAUAUAUGUAUAUAUAACAUAGUUAUAGUUAUAGUGUUAAAGCACAUCUUUCUAUAGUUAUAGCCACAGCACGAUCGUCACACAAUCAUCGCACGACUACCGCACGAUUGUCGCACGAUAACGUUUCACCCCAUCUCGUCAACAUGCAAUAGCUUAAGGAAUUUCCACCAGCAGGAGUCAUUUUUUUUUUUUUUUUGAAGGGGCACCUCAUUAGGCACACAUGCACGACCAUACAACCAUCUUCGGCCAUUUCUUCUAAUAAUAAAAUAAAAUACAAAUUAUUAAAAAAAGCAAAGCCAAAAAGAGUUUUGUAAUCAACACCCAUUUGCAAUCAUUGCAUUGCGGAAGAAAAAAAAAUUUUCUUUUCUGUACAUGAUCUUCCCCUAUCCACCUAUCCUAUCCACUGCAACAGUCUUAAAGUCCUGCCGCUGCAUGCAUUUAAAAACACGAACCAAUCUCUUCUCUUUUCUCUUCUCUCUAGCUGAAGAAGACUACAUAUAUCGACAAAUAUCACUAGACAAAAUUCCCAAUCUAUAGUGGAGGCACCAGCAAGAGGUGAAUGCCUUUAUUCAGAGGCACAUCAAAUGCGAUAAUUUGGAAGCUUUGUAUAGACAAUGACUGGUACGGGUUGUGUUUAAUUAUAUGAUUUAUACCUCUAAUAUUUUUAAUAUAAUUUCCUUCAAAGUUAGAAAUUGAAUAUUAACAAUUUGUGUAUGUUGUAGUACGAAUAUGUAAGUCUCAUGAAUGUGGAGUCGGGAAUGAAGCUACUUAAGAGAGCCGCACAAAUUGGCCACCUUGGGGCUUCCUAUAUGGUCGGGCUCUUCCUUGUCUGCGAUGAUGGCGAGUUGAAGAAGAAUGAAUGAGUCUGCUGACUAAGAACGAGUGGUGGAAUGCCGUGAUAAGUAUUUAAACACCGUUCGCAUUAUGUGGUGGAACAACACGAUGAUCUUUAGAAAAGAGCAAAGCUAUGAUUGCGAGAUGCAAACUGAGCACUGCAAGAGGAGGGGAUGGGUGUGUGACAUCGACCAUUACGAUGACACUGAAUGCGAACAAUGCAUUUGCCGAGCGGAGACAAAGAUUCUAUACAAGUAUUGCAGAUACCCCUGACAACAUCAUCGUAAAUUGGACGCGGAAAAAGUAAAAUUCAUGGGCAAGACAAAAUGUACACAAACACACAUGCACGCGCGCGCGCAAACACACACAUAUAUAACGUAGUUAUAGUUAUAGUGUCAAAGCACAUCUUUCUAUAGUUAUAGCCACCGCACGAUCGUCGCACGAUCAUCGCACGACCGCCGCACGAUUGUCGCACAACCACCACAUGAUCGCCGCACGAUAACGUUUCUCCCACAUCUCGUCAACAUGCAAUAGCUUAAGGAAUUUCCACCAACAGGAGUCAUGUUUUUUGAAGGAGCAUCUCAUUAGGUGCACAUGCACGACCAUACGACCAUCUUCACCCAUGUCUUUUAAUAAUAAAAUAAAAUACAAAUUAUUAAAAAAAACAAAGCUAAAAAGAGUUUCGUAAUCAACACCCAUUUGUAAUCAUUGCAUGCUGAAGACAAAAUUUUUUUCUGUACAUGAUCUUCCCCUAUCCUAUCCACUGCAACAAUCUUAAAGUCCUACCGUUGCUUGCAUUUAAAAACAAGAACCAACCUCUUCUCUUUUCUCUUCUCUCUAGCUGAAGAGGACUACAUAUAUCGACAAAUAUCACUAGACAAAAUUCCAAAUCUAUUAUGGUGGCACCAGAAAGAGGUGAAUGUCUUUAUUCAGAGGUGCAUCAAAUGCGAUAAUUUGGAAGCUUUGUAUAGACAAGAACUAAUACGUGUUGUGUUUAAUUAGAUGAUUUAUACCUCUAAUAUUUUCAAUAUAAUUUCCUUCAAAGUUAGAAAUUGAAUAUUAACAAUUUGUGUAUGUUGUAGUAUGAAUAUGUAAGUCUCAUGAAUGUGGAGUCAGGAAUGAAGCUACUUAAGAGAACCGCACAAUUUGGCCACCUUAAGGCUUCUUAUAUGGUUAGGCUCCUCCUUGUCUACGAGGGUGGCAAGUUGAAGAAGAAUGAAUGAGUCGGCUUGUUGAGAAAAGUCUACUCAAGCGGACGAGUGGUGGAAUGAUGUGAUAAGUAUUUAAACAUCAUUCACAGUAUGUGGUGGAAUAACACAAUGAUCUUAAGAGAAGAGCGAAGCUAUGAUUGCGAGAUGCAAACCGAGCACUGCAAUAGGAGGGGAUGGGUGUGUGACAUCGACCAUUAUGAUGACACUGAAUGCGAACAAUGCAUUUGCUGAGCGGAGACAAAGAUUCUAUACAAGUAUUGCAGAUACCCCUGAAGAAAUAAUUUUAAAUUGGACGCGGAAAAACUAAAAUUCAUGGGCAAGAUAAAAUGUACACAAACAUAUAUAACAUAGUUUUAGUUAUAGUGUUCAAGCACAUCUUUCUAUAGUUAUAACCACCGCACGACCGCCGCACGAUCGUCGCACGAUAACAUUUCACCCCCAUCUCGUCAACGUGCAAUAGCUUAAGGAAUUUCCAUCAGUAUGAGUCAUUUUUUUUUUAGAGAGCACCUCAUUGGGCGCACAUGCACGACAAUACGACCAUCUUCAGCCAUGUCUUCUAAUAAUAAAAUAAAAUACAAAUAUUUAAAAAAGAAGAGCCAAAAAAAGUUUUGUAAUCAACACCCAUUUGUAAUCAUUGCGUUGCUGAAGACAAUUUUUUUUUUUUUGUACAUGAUCUUCCCCUAUCCACCUAUCCUAUACACUGCAACAGUCUUAAAGUCCUGUCGCUGCUUGCAUUUAAAAACACGAACGAACCUCUUCUCUUUGCUAUUCUCUCUAGCUGAAAAGGACUGCAUAUAUCGAUAAAUAUCACUAGACAAAAUUCCAAAUCUAUUGCAGUGGCACCAGGAAGAGGUGAAUGCCUUUAUUCAAAGGUGCAUAAAAUGCAAUAAUUUGGAAGCUUUGUAUAGACAAGGACUGGUACGUGUUGUGUUUAAUUAUAUGAUUUAUACCUCUAAUAUUUUCAAUAUAAUUUCCUUCAAAGUUAGAAAUUGAACAUUAACAAUUUAUGUGUGUUGUAGUAUAAAUAUGUAAGUCUCAUGAAUGUAGAGUCAUAAAUUAAGCUACUUAAGAGAGCCGCACAAUUUGACCACUUGGGCUUCCUCUAUGGUUGGGCUCCUCCUUGUGUGCGAGGGUGGCGAGUUGAAGAAGAAGGAAGGAGUUGACAUGCUAAGAAAAGUCUACUCGAGCGGACGAGUGGUGGAAUUCCGUGAUAAGUAUUUAAUACCGUUCGUAGUAUGUGGUGGAACAACAUGAUGAUCUUUAGAGAAGGGCAAAGCUAUGAUUGCGAGAUACAAACCAAGCAUUGCAAGAGGAGGGGAUGGAUGUGUGACAUCGACCAUUACGAUGACACUGAAUGCAAACAAUGCAUUUGCCGACCGGAGACAAAGAUUCUAUACAAGUAUUGCAGAUACCCAUAACGACAUGAUCUUAAAUUGGACGCAGAAGAACUAAAAUUCAUGGGCAAUAUAAAAUGUACACAAACACAUAUAUAUAACAUAGUUAUAGUUAUAGUGUUAAAGCACAUCUUUCUAUAGGUAUAGCCACCGCAUGAUCAUCGCACGACCGUCGCACGAUCGCCGCACGAUAACGUUUCACCCCCAUCUCGUCAACGUGCAAUAGCUUAAGGAAUUUCCACCUGCAGAAGUAAUUUUUCUUUUUAAGGAGCACCUCAUUGGGCGCACAUGCACCACCAUACGACCAUCUUCGACCAUGUCUACAAAUAAUAAUAAAAAACACAAAUUAUUAAAAAAAGCAUAGCCAAAAAGAGUUUUGUUAUCAACACCUAUUUGUAAUCAUUGCGUUGUUGAAGACAAAUUUUUUUUUAUGUACAUGAUCUUCCCUUAUACACCUAUCCUAUCCACUGCAACAGUCUUAAAGUCCUAUCGCUGCUUGCAUUUAGAAACACGAACCAACCUCUUCUCUUUUUUGUUCUCUCUAGUGGAAGAGGACUACAUAUAUCGAUAAAUAUCGCUAGACAAAAUUCCAAAUCUAUUGUGGUGGCACUAGGAAGAGGUGAAUGCCUUUAUUUAGUGGUGCAUCAAAUGCGAUAAUUUGGAAGUUUUGUAUAGACAAUGAUUGGUACGUGUUGUGUUUAAUUAUAUUAUUUAUACCUCUAAUAUUUUCAAUAUAAUUUCCUUCAAAGUUAGAAAUUGAACAUUAACAAUUUGUGUAUGUUAUAGUAUGAAUAUGUAAGUCUCAUGAAUGUGGAGUCAAGAAUGAAGCUACUUAAGAGAGCCGCACAAUUUGGCCACCUUGGGGCUUCCUCUAUGGUUGGGCUCCUCCUUGUCUGCGAGGGUGGCGAGUUAAAGAAGAAGGAAGGAGUGGGCUUGCUGAGAAAAGUCUAUUCGAACGGACGAGUGAUGCAAUGCCGUGAUAAGUAUUUAAACAUUUUUCGCACCAUGUGGUGGAACAACAUGAUGAUCUUUAGAGAAGAGCGAAGCUAUGAUUGCGAGAUGCAAACCGAGCACUACAAGAGGAGGAGAUGGGUGUGUGACAUCGACCAUUACAAUGACACUGAAUGCGAACAAUGCAUUUGCCGAACGGAGACAAAGAUUCUAUUCAAGUAUUGUAGAUACCCCUGACGACAUGAUCUUAAAUUGGACGGGGAAAAACUAAAAUUCAUAGGCAAGAUAAAAUGUACACAAACAUAUAACAUAUAUAUAGUUAUAGUGUUAAAGCACAUCUUUCUAUAGUUAUAGCCACUGCACGAUCGUCGCACGACCGUCGCACGAUGGUCGCAUGACCGCCGCACGAUCGCCACACGAUAACAUUUCACCCCCAUCUCGUCAAUGUGCAAUAGCUUAAGGAAUUUCCACCAAUAGGAGUCAUUUUUUUUUUUUUGAAGGAGCACCUCAUUAGGCGCACAUGCACCACCAUACGACCAUCUUCAGCCAUGUCUUCUAAUAAUAAAAUAAAACACAAAUUAUUAAAAAAAGCAUAGCCAAAAGAGUUUUGUUAUCAACACCUAUUUGUAAUCAUUGCGUUGUUGAAGAAUUUUUUUUUUCUGUACAUGAUCUUCCCCUAUCUACCUAUUCUAUCCAUUGCAAUAGUCUUAAAAACCUACCGCUGCUUGCAUUUAAAAACACAAACCAACCUCUUCUCUUUUCUCUUCUCUCUAGCUGAAGAGACUGCAUAUAUCGACAAAUAUCGCUAAACAAAAUUCCAAAUCUAUUGGGGUGGCACCAGGAAAAGUUGAAUGCCUUUAUUCAAAGGUGCAUCAAAUGCGAUAAUUUGGAAGCUUUGUAUAGACAAGGACUGGUACGUGUUGUGUCUAAUUAUAUUAUUUAUACCUUUAAUUUUUUCAAUAUAAUUUCCUUCAAAGUUAGAAAUUGAACAUUAACAAUUUGUGUAUGUUGUAGUAUAAAUAUGUAAGUCUCAUGAAUGUAGAGUCAUGAAUUAAGCUACUUAAGAGAGCCGCUCAAUUUGGCCACCUUGGGACUUCCUAUAUGGUUAGGCUCCUCCUUGUGUGUGAGGGUGGCGAGUUGAAGAAAAAUGAAUGAGUCGACUUGCUGAGAAAAGUCUACUCGAGUGGACGAGUGGUGCAAUGCCGUGAUAAGUAUUUAAACACCUUUCGCACUAUGUGGUGGAGCAACACGAUGAUCUUUAGAGAAGAGCAAAGCUAUGAUUGCGAGAUGCAAACCGAGCACUGCAAGAGGAGGGGAUGGGUGUGUGACAUCGACCAUUACGAUGACACUGAAUGUGAACAAUGCAUUUGCCGAACGGAGACAGAUUCUAUACAAGUAUUGCAGAUACCCCUGACGACAUGAUCUUAAAUUGGACGGGGAAAAACUAAAAUUCAUGGGCAAGAUAAAAUGUACACAAACAUAUAACAUAGUUAUAGUUAUAGUGUUAAAGCACAUCUUUCUAUAGUUAUAGCCACCGCACGAUCGUCGCAUGACCGUCGCACGAUCGCCGCACGACCAUCGCACGAUCGUCGCACGAUCGCCACACGACCGCCGCACGAUAACGUUUCACCCCCAUCUCGUCAAUGUGCAAUAGCUUAAGGAAUUUCCACCAAUAGGAGUCAUUUUUUUUUUUGAAAGAGCACCUCAUUAGGUGCACAUGCACCACUAUAUGACCAUCUUCGGCCAUGUCUUCUAUUAAUAAAAAAAAACACAAAUUAUUAAAAAAAGCAGAGCCAAAAAUAAUUUUCUAAUCAACACCCAUUUGUAAUCAUUGCAUUGCUGAAGACAAACUUUUUUUUCUAUACAUAAUCUUCCCCUAUCCACCUAUCCUAUCCAUUGCAAUAGUCUUAAAGUCCUGCCGCUGCUUGCAUUUAAAAACACAAACCAACCUCUUCUCUUUUCUCUUCUCUCUAGCUGAAGAGGACUGCAUAUAUCGACAAAUAUCGCUAGACAAAAUUCCAAAUCUGUUGGGGUGGCACCAGGAAAAGUUGAAUGCAUUUAUUCAGAGGUGCAUCAAAUGCGAUAAUUUGGAAAAUUUGUAUAGACAAGGACUGGUACGUGUUGUGUUUAAUUAUAUUAUUUAUACCUCUAAUAUUUUCAAUAUAAUUUCCUUCAAAGUUAGAAAUUGAACAUUAACAAUUUGUGUAUGUUGUAGUAUGAAUAUGUAAGUCUCAUGAAUGUGGAGUUAGGAAUGAAGCUACUUAAGAGAGCCGCACAAUUUGGCCAACUUGGGGCUUCCUAUAUUGUUGGGCUCCUCCUUGUGUGCGAGGGUGGCGAGUUGAAGAAGAAUGAAUGAGUCGGCUUGUUGAGAAAAGGCUACUCGAGCGGACAAGUGAUGCAAUGCCGUGAUAAGUAUUUAAACACCUUUCGCACUAUAUGGUGGAACAACACAAUGAUCUUUAGAGAAAAGCGAAGCUAUAAUUGCGAGAUGCAAACCGAACAUUGCAAGAAGAGAGGAUGGGCGUGUGAUAUCGACCAUUACAAUGACACUUAAUGCGAAUAAUGCAUUUGCCGAACGGAGACAGAUUCUAUACAAGUAUUGCAGAUACCCCUGACGACAUGAUCUUAAAUUGAACACGGAAAAACUAAAAUUCAUGAGCAAGAUAAAAUGUACACAAACAUAUAGCAUAGUUAUAGUUAUAGUAUUAAAGCACAUCUUUCUAUAGUUAUAGCCACCGCACGAUCGUCGCACGAUCGUCGCACAAUCACUGCACAACCGUCGGACGAUGAUCGCACGACCACCGCACGAUCGCCACACGAUAACGUUUCACCCCCAUCUCGUCAAUGUGCAAUAGCUUAAGGAAUUUCCACCAAUAGGAGUCUUUUUUUUUUUUUUGAAGAAGCACCUCAUUAGGUGCACAUGCAUGACCAUACGACCAUCUUCGGCCAUGUCUUCUAAUGAUAAAAUAAAAUACAAAUUAUUUAAAAAAAGCAGAGCCAAAAAGAAUUUUGUAAUCAACACCCAUUUGUAAUCAUUGCGUUGCUGAAGACAAUUUUUUUUUUCUAUACAUGAUCUUCCCCUAUCCACCUAUCCUAUCCAUUGUAAGAGUCUUAAAGUCUUGCCGCUGCUUGCAUUUAAAAAUACGAACCAACCUCUUCUAUUUUCUCUUCUCUCUAGCUGAAGAGGACUGCAUAUAUCGACAAAUAUCGCUAGAAAAAAUUCCAUAUCUAUUGGGGUGGCACCAGGAAAAGGUGAAUGCCUUUAUUCAGAGGUGCAUUAAAUGUGAUAAUUUGGAAGCUUUGUAUAGACAAGGACUGUUACAUGUUGUGUUUAAUUAUAUUAUUUAUACCUCUAAUAUUUUCAAUAUAAUUUCCUUCAAAGUUAGAAAUUGAAUAUUAACAAUUUAUGUAUGCUGUAAUAUGAAUAUAUAAGUCUCAUGAAUGUGGAGUCAGGAAUGAAGCUACUUAAGAGAGCCGCACAAUUUGGCUCCCUUAGAGCUUUCUAUAUGGUUGGGCUCCUCCUUGUGUGCGAGGGUGGCAAGUUGAAGAAGAAGGAAGGAGUUGGCUUGCUGAGAAAAGUCUACUCGAGCGGACGAGUGGUGGAAUGCCGUGGUAAGUAUUUAAACACCGUUCGCAAUAUGUGGUGGAACAACACAAUGAUCUUUAGAGAAUAGCGAAGCUAUGAUUGCGAGAUGCAAACCGAGCACUACAAGAGGAGGGGAUGGGUGUGUGACAUCGACCAUUACAAUGACACUGAAUGCAAACAAUUCAUUUGCCGAGCGGAGACAAAGAUUCUACACAAGUAUUGUAGAUACCCCUGACGACGUGAUCUUAAAUUGGACACGAAAAUACUAAAAUUCAUGGGCAAGAUAAGAUGUACACAAACAUAUAACAUAGUUAUAGUUAUAGUGUUAAAGCACAUCUUUCUAUAGUUAUAGCCAUCGCACAAUCGUCGUACGAUCAUCGCAUGACUGCCGCACGAUCAUCGCACGAUUGUCGCACGACCACAGCACAAUCGCCGCAUGAUAACGUUUCACCCACAUUUCGUCAACAUGCAAUAGCUUAAGGAAUUUCCACCAGCAGGAGUCAUUUUUUCUUAAGGAGCACUUCAUUAGGUGCACAUGCACGACCAUACGACCCUCUUUAGCCAUGUCUUCUAAUAAUAAAAUAAAAUACAAAUUAUUUAAAAAAAGCAAAGCCAUAAAGAGUAUUGUAAUCAACACCCAUUUAUAAUCAUUGCGUUGCUGAAGACAAAUUUUUUUUUCUGUACAUGAUCUUCCCCUAUCCACCUGUCCUAUCCACUGCAACAAUCUUAAAGUCCUGCCGUUGCUUGCAUUUAAAAACACGAACUAACCUCUUCUCUUUUCUCUUCUCUCUAGCUGAAGAGGAUUGCAUAUAUCGACAAAUAUCACUAGAUAAAAUUCCAAAUCUAUUGUGGUGGCACCAGAAAGAGGUGAAUGCCUUUAUUCAAAGGUGCAUCAAAUGCGAUAAUUUGGAAGCUUUGUAUAGACAAUGACUAGUACGUGUUGUGUCUAAUUAUAUUAUUUAUACCUCUAAUAUUUUCAAUAUAAUUUCCUUCAAAGUUAGAAAUUGAACAUUAACAAUUUGUGUAUGUUGUAGUAUGAAUAUGUAAGUCUCAUGAAUGUGGAGUCAAGAAUGAAGUUACUUAAGAGAGCCGCACAAUUUGGCAAACUUGGGGCUUCAUAUAUGGUUGGGCUCCUCCUUGUGUGCGAGGGUGGCAAGUUGAAGAAGAAUGAAUGAGUCGGCUUGUUGAGAAAAUUCUACUCGAGCGGACGGGUGGUGCAAUGCCGUGGUAAGUAUUUAAACACCUUUUGCACUAUGUGGUGGAAUAACACAAUGAUCUUUAGAGAAGAGCGAAGCUAUGAUUGCGAGAUGCAAACUGAGCACUGCAAGAGGAGGGGAUGGGUGUGUGACAUCAACCAUUACGAUGACGCUGAAUGCGAACAAUGCAUUUGCUAAACGGAGACAAAGAUUCUAUACAAGUAUUGCAGAUACCUCUGACCAUGAUGCUGACCAUGACACCCCUGACCAUGACCAUGAGAGGUUUGUUUAAAGAGAGGGCAGGAGAGAGCCUGUUUUAGUUCAAAAUAAAUCUUAAUACACAAGUGCUUCUUUAGAGUAUCUGAUAUGGCUUCAUUUUCUUCUCUAUAGGUUCUUGAUAGGUUCUUGAUAGGUUCUUGAUGGUGCCCCUUGUGCUGACGAAAGCAAUGCUUAACAUCAAUUUGGUGUUCCUCAAACUAAGCAAAAUUCUGUUGCAAUAAGAGGAUUAUGUCAUCUAUAGCUGCCUUGUGGUUGUAACUAGAUUUCACUUUAUUCUAAGUGACCUAUUGUUGGAUUUGGUUUUGGUUUGGUCUCAACUAGUUUGUGUAAUCCUUCAAUCCAAGCGAGAAUUGUUGUUUGUUUCAGUUCGUGAUUUAUUUUGCUCUACUUCAUGGAUGAUUUCAACAUCAUCUAUUAGCAAUUCAAGCUCAUUACAUUCCCCAAGAACAUGACAUUUGAAUUGCUCCAUGCUUUUCAAAAUGAACUCAGACAGGUCCUAAAGAGUUGCCGUAUGCAUAUUCAAAUAAAACGCCUGUGACUUGUUCAGCAAAUAUUUAGGGAGUAUUGUUAUUUUGUUAUCUUUUGUAUCUUAUCUCUUAGAAUUAGUAAAUAUUUAGGGAAUACUUGUUAUUAUGUUGCCUUUUAUAUCUUAUCUUUUAGAGUCCUUUAUAUACAUUGUAUUGGCAAUACAUAUAUAAAGAAAAAAGGAAUAAACAUUUUUUUUUUUGGUCGAAAAGAAGUGACGUGGUAUUCUUACUUAAAAGGAGAAUUACAAGAUAAAAGCGGACUAAUGUCCGAACAUAAUAUGUUCCAAAGAGGCAAUGGCGGGUUAAUCCACCAGUUGAAAGGGAGCUUGUUCGCUCGAUGAAAGCGUGCAAUCCAGUCCGCAGCCCAGUUUUCUUCGCGUGUACAACAUUUCACUUGGACAUUCACACACUGGCCCAACUCUUGUUUGCAUUUUCUGACCACUUCUUUUAAAUUCCACUGAGAAUCGGCCCGGCCCAAUACUUGGUCAAUUGCUGGACUACAAUCAGAUUCGCAAAUCCAACGAAGCUUUUGACUUCUAAAGUCCCUCACGUGCCUCCUUUGGAAGUCUUGGAUAUAAAACAGACCGUGGAAGAGGGCGUGGAGUUCCGCCUCCUGCGAAGAAGAAGCCCUAGAAGUGCUCGCGAAACCCUCGACCAUCAGCCCCGACGAAUCCCUCACAACUCCAGCCACCGAGCAAAUAAACUCGCCUUGAAUCCAAGAUGCAUCCACAUUCAACUUCAGUUCUGAUCUAUCCAGGGGUUUCCAUCUCAGAGGUAAGUCUCGAUUAGGGUUUGGUCGAUUCUUUCUCUUCUGUCCUUGAGUACCACUUGAGUGUUGUUCUUGCGCACAUCUCAGAGUAUCAGCCGAAUUCUGUGCUUUUGCUCGGAAGAUCUAGCCGUUCCUUGCCUUCCAUAUGUACCAGAGGAUCAAUCCUGUAUAUUCCCAGUCAGGUAUGUCCUUAGUUGUGCGAAAAGCUUCUAUUAUCCACUUAUCUGCUCGGGUAAUCUCAUUUGUUGGACUUAAACCCCUGCAAGUUGAAUCUGCCCAUACGCGUUUGGUCCAUUUACACAAAAAGAAGAGAUGUUCAGUUGAUUCUACCUUCGUACAACAAAUUGGACAAAGUGGAUCUGUGAUGAUUUUUCUUCUGUGUAGAUUUUCCCUCGUGGGGAUGGCAUUUUGACAUAACGCCCAGAGGAAAGUCUUGAUUUUCGGUAACACUUCAAGGCUCCAGAUUCUUGUCCAUAAGGUACGUGGCGGUCGAAACGAGCAGGAGGCCUUAUUUAUAUUUUGCUGUGAAUUGACUACAAUUGCUCUGUUGUAGCCGCUUUUAACAGUAUAUUUCCCAGUAUUGUUGCCUGUCCAAACUAGAUAAUCUGGAUGCGAUAGUGGGUUCAGUGGAAUAGCCAGGAUCUCAUUGACAAUAUCUUCGUUGUACAUCUGUUGAAUCUUUUGAACAUUCCACUCUCUGGAAUUUUCCUGUAUGAGUUCAGAAACCAUAAGGGGUUCUGUUGUAUUGCUUUGUCCACCCCGUACCUCUUGCAUCAACCAUUUAUCUUGUCAAAUACGAAUAGAUUUACCAUCCCCAACUGACCAUUUGAUGUUUUCUUUAAUUGUAUCUCUGCCAACAAUCAAACUCCGCCAUCCCCAUGAGGGACAUUGUCCAGUACUCGCUAUCCAGAGGUCCCCAGUGGGAAAAUAGAGUCAGAGGUCCCUAGUGGGAAAAUAGAGUCCUUUCAGCACUCUACUACACAAUGCAGAUGGAGCAUUUGAUAGCCUCCAAACUUGCUUGCCUAGCAUGGCAUAAUUAAAGGUAAUCAAAUCUUUGAAACCCAUUCCUCCUUCAUCUUUACGAGUUUUCAUUACCUCCCACUUUUUCCAAUGAAUUCCCCUCUUCUUAUCAUCUUUUUUCCACCAGAAUGAUGCAAUUCGCUGUUCAAUGGAUCUACAGAUAGAUAUUGGAAGCUUAAAGAUGGACAUAGCAUGCAUAGGUAUGGACUGAACAACGCUUUUAAUCAGCACCUCCUUGCCUGCCUUGGUAAGUAAUUUCUCUUUCCACCCUUCAAGCUUUGAAUUGACCCUAGCUAAUAUCCAUGCAAAAAGUUCUUUUUUUGAUUGUCCCCAAUCUGUGGGAAUACCUAAAUACUUCCCUGUUUUUUCAAAUACCGGAACCCUUAAUUCUGUGGCCAUAUUUCUUUUUAAUGUAGAGGGACAAUUAGCACUAAAAUACACCCCCGAUUUGUUUAAGUUUAUAGCUUGUCCCGAAGCAUAGCAGUACUGUUUCAAUAGCAAUGCCAGGUUUUGACAUUCUAUGAUAGUACCAUCCAUAAAAAAGAUAGCAUCAUCCGCAAACAAUAAAUGUGAUAAUCUAGGACAAAACCUGUUCAACUGAAUUCCUUUGAGGCUGCCAUCUGUAAUAGCUUUAUGCAUCAGCCAAGUGAGAACAUUAGAGACCAGAAUAAAUAAAUAAGGUGAAAGAGGGUCGCCUUGUCUCAAACCCCUUGAGGGAUGGAAAAAAUUGGUAGGUUCUCCAUUAAUCUUCAUGCUGAAAGAAACUGUAGACACACAUUGCAUGAUAAGUGUGAUCCACUUUCCACAGAAUCCCAUAUGCUGCAUACAAUCCCUCAGAAAAUCCCAUUCAAUUCGAUCAUAUGCUUUCUGCAUGUCUAGUUUAAGGAUGGCUUGAUAUUUGUGCCUCUUUUUUGUGAUGCGCAGUUGGUGUAAUACUUCCUGCACAAUAAAGAUAUUGUCCUGUAUCUGUCUACCUUGGACAAAUGCACACUGCUCUGGUUCAAUAAUAGCAGGUAACCACUUCUUUAGUCUGUUUGCUAGAAGUUUUGAAAUUACUUUGUAACUGAAGUUGCAUAGGCUGAUAGGUCUGUAUUGACUGAUGGUUUCAGGGUUCUUCACUUUAGGGAUUAAGGAAAUAUGUGUCUAGUUGAUUAUGGGAUCAAGAAGUCAUGUCUGGAAAAAAUUCAGAACUAACUGGAACAGGACAGUUUUUAUAUUAUCCCAUGAUUUUUGAUAAAACAUACCAUUGAAACCAUCUGGGCCAGGAGCUUUAAGUGCUCCCAUUUGAAAAACAACUUCUUGGACCUCCUCAAUCGUAGGUACAGCCACAAGAUCAUCAUUCAUGUGUUGUGUUAUAGGUGAGGGACAUUGGGUAAGAAUAGGUUGGUAGUGCCUUGGGCCCUCUGAAGUAUAUAGCUCUUUAUAAAAUAACUGAAUAUGGUUGCGGAUUAGGAUUGGAUCUCUACACCAUUGUGCAUCUUCCAUUUGCAGCAUUGUUAUUCUAUUUCUCUGCCUCCGUUGGAUAGUUGAUGCAUGAAAAAAUCUAGUAUUCUUGUCUCCCCAUUGCAUCCAUUUAAUCCGGGACCUCAUACCCCAAAAUUGUUCCUCUUGUCUGUGUAGUUUUUCUAUCUGCUGAAUAAUGCUUUGUUUUCCUUCUGCUAGUGUGCNNNNNNNNNNNNNNNNNNNNNNNNNNNNNNNNNNNNNNNNNNNNNNNNNNNNNNNNNNNNNNNNNNNNNNNNNNNNNNNNNNNNNNNNNNNNNNNNNNNNNNNNNNNNNNNNNNNNNNNNNNNNNNNNNNNNNNNNNNNNNNNNNNNNNNNNNNNNNNNNNNNNNNNNNNNNNNNNNNNNNNNNNNNNNNNNNNNNNNNNNNNNNNNNNNNNNNNNNNNNNNNNNNNNNNNNNNNNNNNNNNNNNNNNNNNNNNNNNNNNNNNNNNNNNNNNNNNNNNNNNNNNNNNNNNNNNNNNNNGUACUUCGGCUUCAGAAAACGUAAUUCUCCACUCUAAGGUGCAUAGUACUCUGUCUAAACGUUUCUUCACAAGAUCUUCCCCAUCUCUAUUAUUGGCCCAUGUAUAUGCACACCCAUGACUAUCCAUAUCCAUUAGGGAGAGGUCAUUUAUCAUAUUUCUGAAUGCUGCAAUUCGACUAUUAUCCGCUUCUUUUUUCCCAAUUUUUUCCCACACAUAUAAAAUUUCAUUAAAAUCACCCAUGCAGAUCCACGGCCAGGAACUAUUCGGUUUAAUGUGACCCAAAGUUUGCCACAAGGUCAGUCUCUCUCCAAAAUUGGUAGAUGCAUGGAUAAAAGUAAUUUGCAUAUGUUGUCUACUAUCUGGAUACAUACAAUCUACAUCAAUAUAAUACUUUGAACUAGUUUUUACCUUCAAUAACACUUCCUCCUGCCACAUAAGAGCUAAACCCCCUGUUGUUCCUGAUGGAUUAACUAGGAAAAUUUUCUGGAAGAGUAAUUUUUUGCAAACUUUUUCCACCAUAAUUAUAUGCGAAUUGAGUCUGAAUUAAGAUUGAGUGACCUCAUGGCUGAUCUAAAUAAGACCAUGAAGUUUCAAGUAUAUGCGGCAACUCACUGUGGAGAAGUUUCAAGAAAUUUUCCACCCGUCCUCUUCUGUUGGACCAGCCGUUCUUUUUGGUGAAAAAUAAUGAAAAACAACGGCAUUGAUUCCAAAGAAAUAUUAAUAUAGAGUUGCUCUUUUUUUUUUCUUUUUUUUUGGCCAUCAAAUUUAACAUGGCUGUUGCUGUGUCACUUUCCUAGUCUUGAGUCUUGACCGGUUGAUAAGAAUUUCGAAUGAUAACGCAUUUGAUUUAGUUAAAACGCCUGCCCUUCGAGGACACGUUUUGGGACACUUUUCUGCCACGUAUUUUGUACACGAUAGCCAUAGACGGACUAUAUACGUAUAAUCACACUUAUAAUGAAGAAGCUUUAUUUAUUUUUGGAUAUAGAUAACGAUACUCAUUGCUGAUUGAUUGGUUUUUUGCGUGCUUGAGCAAAAAUGGUGAAAUUUCUUUUUCUGUCUUGCUUUUAUCAGCAAUAAGCAGAUACAUUUGAGGCGGAUAUGAUGGAUGUAUACGUGUCAGAAUCUCCUAAUCAAAUCAAUGUGAACAAGAGUACAAGAAGUCCAUCAGAACCAUGCCUAGAACCAUACAAAGAGCAAAAACUUCCACAAGCUAUCACCCUGACAUUAAUGCAUUAGACAGUUGUCGCAUGAUUAUGAUUACUUUGAUAGAGAGAAGGCAUUAUCGGUUUUCUAUCUCUAUUUCUUCAUUAUUUUACUGUCAAGUUAUAUGAUGUAGAAGUUUCAUCCCCGCCUAUGCCAUAUGUAAUGACUAUUGGAUUACAUCAUUACAACAUCACUGCAACCAUAAGUAAUCAUCUAUGUGAAAAUUAAGACAAUUAUUUUUUCAUGAAGCAUCUCUUAAAGCUUUUCAAAGCUAAUUUAAUAAUAUUUCAUUCUAAAAUUUGAUUAACUAGGAGUGCGAGAACUACGCAUGAGUAACUUGGGCUCAGCGUAAAAAAUACUUGAAUUUGACUCGAUUGAUUCCAAGUUAAGUUCAAGUUCAAGCUACUCCAGCAGAGUUGUCUAGUCAAGUUUGAAUUUCUCAAUUACUUUUCUAGUUGAGUGCAAGCAAGAUCGUAAAUAUUAAAUCGAGCUCGAGUUGCAUUUUCUUCUCUUAACACAUACGGUUGAAGUAGAUGUCAUCCUCAAAUCUGAAACUCCAUGUGAUUUUACUCUUGCUCUGAUUGAUCUUGUUACCCAGACAUUAGUGCUUAAUUUUGGUGCAAUUUGUGUAGUAUAUCAGAUAUUCCUCCCUCCUUCAUUCUCUGAUAUCUUGUUACUAUCCUCAUUAAUUUGCUACAGCUUUGGAUAUUAUAGGAGAAGGUUGCAUGUGUCGUCACAAUCUUCGUAAUUAGUGCGUGUAUAUAGAUGUAUAUGCCUAGGCAAAUUAACUUACAUGUGAAUUUAUUUCCUUUUUGCACUUUGGACUAUUUAUAGUGUCACUGAUCAUGAAAAAACUGGCUAGCGUUGCAAAUACUACAAACAUCAUCAGCUUUCAGCUUUCAUUCUCCUCUAUAUUCCCGGUGAACUCAAAGCCCGGAAGCUUCUGCCACCUGACUCACAGGAAAGUUAACAGGUCCUAAGCUCGCUGCUGCUGCAGACCAAGCCAAAGCACCCGCAGCCGCUGUGGCAGCCAAGCAAGCAAGCCUCCGGCACAGGGCAGCGGCUUUGGGACACUUUUUGCGUAACGACAUGGUCAUCACAGCCCCUGUGAACGCGAAGUUGAGAGCCAGGAGGUAGGCGUGGAAGCACGCGGGUCUCUUUGAGAAUACAACUCUUGGAACUGGGUUUCCAUCGACUUCCUCGAAGGGAAGUUGGAGAAGCAAGAAAGCCGCCAUGAAGGAGUGAAGGAGAGGACGAGGAUGAGUUCUUCGGCCCUGGUUCUAGUGAUGAAAUGGCUGCUCAUCUCUGUGAAGAGAAAUGGAGCAGGGAUGUUGGUGGAUUACUGGGUCGGGUCUGGCGAGCCUGCUCAUCCAGAGUUGCUGGCGGUCGUCGGAGGAUGUGACGGUGGUUUUGAGGCAAACGACUUUUUCUGAGGAGUGUAGGAGUUUCCUUUCGGCCAAAGAGGGUUAAGUGUUUGAUAUUCUCUGAAACUCAACUUGGACAUUUUGGCAACUUGUUUCCAUCUAAUAAAUGGAGAAUUACGUCCCAAAGAUAGGGACGUACUAAAAAAUUUCAUCUUGGGGUCUUGAACAAAUAAAAGGGACAAAAAUAUUAGCGAAAAUCAUGUAAGUUUAACCCUUUUUUUUUUCAUCUUCCAUAAACAUAAAUAUUUUUCCCAAGAGAACAUUACGAUCUUUGAGCGAAAUCAAGGAUACCUUCAUCGAUUUAGAAAUGGAGUCGUGUUUCCCUCCAUCUUUAAUUAGAGGUUAGGAGGAAAGGCUCUCUAACCCUGGUUGGGGGACAAAUUGGUAUGCUAUGUGAUGUAGCAGGCAUUUGAAUAAGUGUGUUAUAAUUAAAUUAAUAGUAUCAUCCAUUUAUUUGAAGGAAAAUUAUUUUUGAAAAAUAGUUUUCCAACUUUCUAAUAUUUAGAUGAUGGAAAACUAAUCGAUCUUAUGAAAAACAUAUUCCAGGACUGAAAAAUACAAGCUUAGAUUAGGAGAAAAUGACUUCUCUUUCUUAUAAGAAGGAAAAUCACUUUCCAUAAAUUAUAAAACAAAUGAAAACUAAUUAUUUUCCUUGAAUUUUUUUUUAUGGAAAAUAUUUUUCUCUAUUAUAAAGUUUCCAGUAAAACAAAUGCAUCUUUAGGGUGUGGUUGUUUAAGUGAAAGAAUUUCCAGUGAGUUAGUUCUUUUGGACUUUCAUGCAUUUGAUUUGUUGAAAAUUAUUAGUUAAGAACAGUCAGAAAAAACAUGUAUACUUAAGAAAAUGAACUUUCUAACCUGAAAAUGAGAAAUUAUUUUUUAUUUUUAAAAAAUAUUUUCUUUUAUCAUCAAUAUUAUUUCAAAAUAAAUAUGCCAUUAAUACGUAAACGUAUUUGCAGAUGAUUUCUUGACUUCAAGAUUGAAAUGUGACCAGUGAAGUUUUAAAAUUCCAUCACACCCCUCGAUUUGCAUGAACCCGGAUUUAUGGAUCCAAAGCAAUUAUAGCAGUCGAUCAUGUGAGAAUUAUACAUGGAACGCACAUAAUCAACGGCUAUAAUAAACCUUGUUUAUGUGGACUCUAGUCUAAACAAAAUUUGGCUCACAUCAUAUGAGAUUCACAUGCUUAAAAUUUUAUCCAUUGUAUGUACUCAUAUUAGUCUAUUGGGAUAAAGCCACCAGAGAUUUUUGAUUUUUUAUUGUACAAUUUCAUCAUUUUUUUAGUGUAAUAAUAUCCUCGAACUAUGUAUUUAUUUGUUUGAGUUGAUACUUCAGAGAGUUAGAGCAUAAGUUGACAUGGCCGUCUAUGUCACCACAAUGUCAGACUGCUUCUCCAACGAAUUUCUUAGGUGGAACUAAAGAUUUAAAAAAUCCAAAAUUGCAACCCAGAGAAAGAGAGUGAGAGAGAGAGAGAGGAUAGAGGGGAAGGGCGGACCAGUGGCUGGCGGCGGCGGUGCCGCCCAGCCACUAUCCAAGAUCCAUCAAUUGUGGCGGGCGGUUGGGUGCUCACCGGGAGAACGACAUCGCGAGAUGGAUCGAUGGCUAUAUCCAUCGUUGGUUCAUACCUCACGUAAACUGGCCAACAUCAGACGAACUUUUGUUUCCCUGUCUCAUCUUUCCCUCUCUUUACCUCAUCCUCGUGGAUUUUUACAUGCUUUACUGUCAUACAAUCGAAGCCUCUUCUGGCCGUUGUCCGCUUAAAGUGUCUUUUCAAAUCAAUGAUUGUGCCCUCUACGUAGCAAAAUGACGUCUAUGUACGGGAUAUAUAAUCCAUCUCUUAGGCAUCAAGAGAAAUGUUUCGUAGCGACGUUAAAGUCUAGAUGACAAAUGCUGAAAACUUCCCACUUUUUUUGGGAAGUUAUCAUCUUGUUAUGGAAUAACACUACGGGAUACCCCUAAACUUUAUUGGCUUGUGUAAUAUUGUCUUUGAAUUUAUUUUUUUGCAAUCAGAUUCUUGAACUAUGAUUUAUUCGUUCACAUUGGAUCUUCCAUUAAAAGACCCAAAAAAAAAAAUGCUUAUGUGACCGUUAAAUGCCAAGUUGACUCAAUGUGGCUCCUACGUCCUCAUUAGAAAGAUUAAAGAAAUAAAAAAAAUUAAAUUUCUUCAUCGAAGGAAAUUUGGAGCGACAACACCAUCUUGAGCCGGAGCCCACAGGCAAUUUGUCGAUAGUGUUCGAGUUUGAUGAGGAGAGUGAGGAUGGGUCGGAACACUUUUCAAUAGAGGCCCGCCCGAUGGGCUUCGACUUUUUUGGCAAAGGCGGUGGCAUCUAGGGCGAGGUGGUGAUGGCUCAGAAAUGGGAGGCUCGCCUUCGACCGCCUGUGGCUUUCUCAACAGUGUUGCGUCGAUUUCCAACAACGUUGAAGAGAUUGGAGAUGGCUGGAAAUUCUUUUGUGUCUUUUUUUUUUUCUCAUUUUUUAAGUCAGUCAUAUUUCGGGCCAAACCCAGCCCAAAAUUAAAUUAAUGCCAAUCCAAGAGGACUUGUUUAGGCCCGAACCUUUCAACCGGGCCUGAAGUUGAUUGGGUGGGACAUAUUUUUCAAUAAAAAGGCCACCCAUUUGCAACUAUGCUUCCCGUUACUAGACACCAAAGGAACUCGCGAACUCAUUGCUAAUUUAACCCUAAAGCAGUGAAGAUAGUGCUGAAUAUUAAAGCAAGGGAAAACCAACACUCACGAAUUUUACAUGAAAAUCUCAAUAUAGGAAAAAUCACGGGAUCACUCAAAGACUUUUACUAAUAACCAAGACUAGCAGGAUACACAAUAAUUUAUCCUUAAUAACACAACCAGAGGCUCUUUAGAUUAGCAAAAUAUCAGAGCACCACAGAGGUGGGUUAACACAGAAGCAAGAAAGGUAUAACUGCUGCCAAAGAAAAUUAUGAGACAAUUUGGAGAGGAUUAACAAACAAAACCAAUCAAUUUAUAGAUCUUACACUCACGAACAACCUAUUGAAAUUUCUGCCAAUUCUGACAAAGUUUCACUGUCGAAUCUAGACUACAACUUCUCUUCUUCAAAGCAAAGCUUUCUGCCUCCUUUUCUCUGUGACAACAAAUUGCUUGUAUCUCUCUCUCUCUCUCUCUUUCUCUCUCUCUUCUAAAUCAACAACAUUUAGCCCUAUCUUUUUAUUUUGUAUUUUUUUUUUUAAGAUGAUGAGAUGGGCAAGUCUCCCCCUUCACCUCAUGAGGGAAGUUUCAUUAUACCCGCUUUAUCUAUACAAGAAUCAAGUUUCACCAUUGGUAAGACUUUAGUUGUCAUAUCAUAUCUAUUAUCAGUAGUGUAGACUUUCUCAAAUAAAAAGAGUUUCUCUUCUAAUUUAUCUUGGAUCCAAUGACAAGGAUAAGGCAUCAGUCUGGGUAAAGCAACCAGAUGCAUUUGAACAUCACUCUACCUUUCAGCAAUAUGACAAGGAUAAAGCAUCCCUGCAUAAUGAUGUCUUGUAUUUGCACGAAUGGAUUUGGUCUUGUUGGAGGCAAGACCACUCAUCUCAGCGGCUACCAAAGAGUUGAUAUAUCUAGAGCACUAUCAUGAAUCACUCUAUGAGGAUAAACACCCUCUAGGAAUGCCACGAGGGUGCCCUGAUGACACCACGGACGAAGCGCCCUGUCCAUCGCCAAUCGCAUGUUGCCUAAGAAUGGACCUAACUAUUAGCAGUAACAGAGCAAAUAGAAAUCUGUUACAGCAAGUAAGCAUUAACCCAGGUAACCAAAGUGGACUCUGCUUUUAGCAACAACUUCUGCAGAUUCCUGAGAACGCAGGCUUGAUUAUUUGUUUCUAGCUUGUUCAAGCCUAAACCACCUUCACAUGUCAUAACUAAGGGUCAUGCUAUAGCAAGUUUGUACUGGUGUUUUAUAUCCCUUCUCAAACGGCGAAAAUACAACAUUGAAAUGGAGAGAUCAGUUUCCCUAUAUGUUGCCUAAUUUGCUUGCAAACCAUAAAUGGUGGAAGUUGAGAUCAAUGGAGUAACUUGACAAGCCUAAGUUUCAAACCACUAAAACAUGUGUGUUUACAGUAUUGUCUCUGUUAUCAUUUGAUCUUUUGUUUUGAUAGGACAUUUUUUUGGAAACAUACUAAUACUGACAUCAAAGGCACUUUUAACGGCAAUAAUAUUAGGUUAUAUCAGUGUUGUGUUUGUCCAAGACUACUGGUACAUAGCUUCGAGGAAAUUUAACAUGAUAUCGACCGACUAAAUUAAAGAUCAACGCAGCCAAAUGCUAGACUCUUAAGAAAUACUGCCCAGUAGAGAGAUUUGUCAAUUAAGAAAUUUAGCCGAAGCUCUCUCUGUUUUUCUUUUACACAUUGACGGCCAGCAUAUUAAUAAUAUAAUGUUUCAUUUAAUCAUACCAUGUUAGAUAUUAUCUCCUUGCUAACUGAGCAAGGAAGCACACUUCAAACGCGUAAGACCCGCAAUGAGCGACAAUCGAAAAUUGCAUUCUCAUAAGCAGUCACGGAGGGCCUCAAAAGAAUUGCAGUUCUUUCCUCCCCUAGCUAACCAAUAACGAAAGUUUCUCCAGUCCAAUGUCCUACCCUUGAAUAAUAUAGAGCAAAUCUAGCAACCCAACCCAAUCUAGCAAGUAUGUCAUAACCUCAUGCUGGAGCUCUUUCACUGGUUUCUAAUUUCUGAUUUGUGCUUAGAAACUCGUGUAUUUGCUUAAAUACAUGGUGGUCUUCUAAUUAUGUUCCAAUGUACACAUCCAAAGGAUAAAACCGAGCUGCCACAGUUUCAAGACAUUCCUUAGGACUCAUCUUAGACGUGAGAAAGUCGGAAGGAAGGAAUUGCUGAUUCAGGAGGAGAAUUGGGCAUAAAACAAUAAAGCACCAAGCAAGUAAAUUAAGAUGCAAAAGAGCCUGACCAAGCACCUUCCUAAGUGGCUCAUUUUUCUCACUUCUUUCAAUUCAAAUUAGAAGAUAUGUGCAAAAGGGAGAACAGGAACGUGGGAGCAAUCAUGACGCGACAAGAUUUGGUGUUUCUACUUCAACAGAUAACAAAACCGUGUGUAUUUUGUCUAGCCAAUUGUCCAGUCGAUCACGUAGUAAAUUUGACCUGUCCAACCAUAUGCAGCAGACCUCAAAUUAACAAUGGAAACCACAACUGCCCAAAAAAAAAAAAAAAAAAAACCUAGAUAUCCCAUUUUAAUUAUGUAUGAUGAAGCAAGAAGAGAAGCACUGGCUGCUUCAUUUUCAGUCAUCAAGAGCUCAUCACAGGUAAUAAAGAGACAGUGGAUACUUAUUAAAGCGACCAUUAACCAAACUUUAGAAUGUACUUACAGACAAACUCUUCACGAGAAGAUGCUUAAUAUCCUGUGCACAGGAUUACGCUCAAUCGAGCAGUUCACAAAAGCAUAGCAACAUAACUAGGCUAGGCAUACAGACCCUUAUACAGCUAUUAUCAUAUGAAACUAGAGCUACAGCUCAUGCUUAACUAUGCAAAAACAAAUCACACGAUUCCAUUCAACUAAACACCAACUGCCACACCAAAAAAUCACCCCAAAAAAAGAAAAAGGAAAAAAAGAACACCAACUGCCGCACCUUUCUUACCUGUUCUUCAGCGAUUAGCUAGUGAUCCAGAGCUCGAGUUUAGGCCCAUGACUCCCGCCACUCAUGGAGUUAAUGAAUGCAACCGUUCGAGCCUCAUGUGGCAACAAAUUCCUCCAGCUGAGCGGCACUGAAGAAGAAAGUGUGCACGAGAGUGAAAAGUGGCACUGAAGAAGGACUUGAAGCUCGUGGACAUCGAACUCGAAGCUCACGAAUGACGAGCUUCAAGCUCGCGGACGACAGAACCUGGGAAAGGAGAGACGACGGCGAAUGACAGACUUAAGCUUGCGAGGAGCGAGCAAGGAUUGGGCGCGGAGUCGUCGAGAAGCGAGCGACAGCGAUUUGAUUGAGCAGCGGGAGAAAGGAAUAAGAACCCUAAUCCUAAUUCGAUUCGCGAUUUGAGACCGACCAACCCGCUUCGGUCCUAAAAUCCACUUCAGGCCCUUUUUCCCCUUUCUUUUUUCUUGUUCUUUUGCCGACUCUGUCUCUUUCUUCCUUUUCUUCUCUUUAUUUUUCUGGCCCUGCAGAAGGAAACAAUAAGGUGACUUGAGAUCUAUUGGGACUAAAUUUCUCUUGAGAAAGGCCCUUUUGUUAUAGAUGGUGAGGGAGGUAAGAUACCCAACGUCGCCGCCGAAGUGGACACACACAACAUAUGGAGAUUCCCAGUAAGAUGGGGAAUUUUAAUAAGAUUUUCCUUGGUUGCGCGUUUUAGAAUCAGUUCACUGUCUCUCUUCACUAGAAUAAAGCAGAAAUAGAAAGCGAGCAAAGCAGAAGAAACAACGAUGAUCUAUGAAUAGAAAGAACGCGCACCGUUUUCUGCAGAGAAUCCCCUGUUUCUGUUUCAGAGUCCGUUGUUUCAGUUUCAGAGUUCCACGCUUGAUUUGCUCUAUUCAGAAUCUUCUCUCUGUAAGACUUCCAACAGAACCACGCGCCAUUCCAGCAGUCGGGUAACUCCCCGCUACCUGUGAUGAGUAUAUCGCAAUUAUCUGGUAUUUUUGAGCUCGAUGGAUCAAGAAUCCUUCCCACUGAUCUGCAACGCUGAAUUACCAACUCAUACAAAAACUCUAGUUCGUCAAUGCCCUCAACAACCUGUAGGCUCGGGCAGUGCCAAAUCUCUAACUGCUUCAAGUUCUUCAAGUUUGAUAAACCGCCUAAGCUUUUUAGCGAAAAGCACUCUCGAACAUAAAAUUCUUCCAACGAUUCCAACGCAGUAACAAAUUGAAUAUCCCGCACCUCAGGGAACCCUAACAGAUCAAAUUUUACAAGCAUCUUUUGGGAGCUUGGGAAAAGCAUCGCUCCCCUCCAAUGAUCAAUCAACUCGGGAGCUUGUAGUCCACUGCACCCUGGCUCCUCCGGCUGACAAACCAAACUCUCGGAAGAUCUGCAGUCCUGAAUACGUGAUCUUUCUGACGAUUCUAAGACAUCGAGAAAUUGAACAUCAAGUUGCUCGGACACCUCGUUUUCUUUCGAUUUUCCCGAACUUGUUGGAAGGGAUGGAGUCUUCUUUUCCGAUGGAGGAAGCCCAUCGAGGUGUACAUGUUUCCCUCGAAAUUCUUUGAGCACUAAAACUAUCAAGUUUGACGGAAGUUGCUUGAAAGCUGGCAAGUUUAUUCCACAUAUAGUAAGUUCUUUCAGCAAAGAUAGCGAACCCAACUGUGUAGGUGCGCAGACAUUUGGAAAGCAAAAGUGCAGCUUCUUCAGUUGGGAUAACAUCCCAACCCACGACACGUCGCUAGUUUGAAUUUCAUUUGACGUGUCUCCAAAUUCCAAGCUUUUGACUAGGACCAGCUCAACUAGAUUCGUAAGGUUUGAGAGGUUAGGGACUAUCAGCAACGAAGUAGAUUCUAGCCGUAGAGUGGUCAAACAUCCGGGGAGCUCCGGCAACUGUUGUAUCUCAUUACAACAAUUCAAGUCCAGUGUUUGGAGUUGAAUUAACUUGCUCAUUGUACUGGGCAAUUUCGCAACUUUUGUGAAUGAUACAUCCAGCUCUGUUAAUGACUUUAUUUUCGAAACUGAGGCAGGGAGUUCAAUCAAGCUAUAACAAUACUUAAGACAGAGGCACUGCAAAUUUUGUAACUCUCCAAUUUGUUCAGGGAGUUCAAUCAAGCUAUCACAAUACUUAAGACAGAGGCACUGCAAAUUUUGUAACUCUCCAAUUUGUUCAGGUAAUUUUUUAAUUGACGGACAACGCUUAAACCUUAAGUCAGUCAGCCAUCUUAGUUUCCCAAUAGAACAAUCAAUUUUCAUUAAAAAGUUAUAAAAUCCAUCAUUAAUAGUCAACUUCUCUAAAUUUGAGUACUCGGGAAAGGUUGGUGUCUUACUUAUCAAAGUAUUACAACCCAUAGUGAGAACCUUCAAUUUCCUUGCUCCCUACAAAAGCCAAUAAAACAGUAGGACAGACAAGAAAUAAAUAUGGAUUUAGGCUACCAAUGAGAAAUUAGAUAAUAAACUGAUCAAAUUAUGUCCUUCAUUUAAUGAGAAAAUUAGACUAAGAGGGAAACUGGCAUACCUUGAUUAGGCUAUCUAACACAUCUUCUGUGAUUCCAAUCCCAGAAAGAUUCGCCACAACCACGUUUUCUAGAUGCAACAAAUUGGUUGCCUCCAAACGUGAGUAUUGCAAAUCGAUCCAUUUCAACUCAGAAAGACAGCCCGUAAAGUCACCUCGGUAGAUUACAUUAGGCAAGCAAAGAAACCGCAUACGUGGAAACCGUUUAAUUUGCUCCGAAGUGACGAUCCUAACAGUAUGAUAAUAACCCUGUUGCAAAUGGAGUGCUUGAACGCUUUCUUUGGUCUGCCAAUUCGUAGAAGAGAAGAGAAAAUGAAACAAAAGAGUAGCUCUCAAAUCAAAAAGUGAAUCUUGAAUUAAGAAGAGGUAUAAGCAAUUUUCCAUUCAAUUUAGGCCAUACUUUACCUCCGUUGAUUUGAAUUUGCUUUUGAUGUCAUCAUUAUCCCAUAACCUAGUAUUCUCUUCUUUAGCAAUUUUCCUUCCAAGGUCUCUCAUCUGAUCAUGCAUCCAAAAUCUAUCAUCAGCUAGAACCUUUAUCAUGCACCUCUGAGUAAGGACAUCAAUGGCAUCCUCUGGGCAAAAUGCACAAUCUUGCCACAUGUAUAUUGGACUAGUCUUAUUUUGACCGACGAAAAAGCAUGCAAUAUCGAGAAAUAUCUGCUUUUGAUUAAGAUAUAAGGCAUCAUAGCUAAUCCUUAACUUUGGCAAGACAUCAUCAUGAGGUGUUUUCCUUAGCUUCUCUAGCCACUCUUCCCAUAUUGCUUUCUCUUUUUCACAAAGGUAUGAGCCUAUUACUUCAAGAGCUAAAGGUAGUCCACUUGCAGUAUGGACAAUGCCUUUUGAAAGAUCAUAGUAAUUGGCCGGAGGAGAGUCGUCACCGAAGGCAUGUCUACUAAAAAGUCGAAGUGCAUCUUCAUUGCUUAACCUCCAUUUCAUAAUCCUUCCAUAUAUACUUAAAUUCCUUGGUAUUCAGAACGCUCUUGUCCCUAGUGGUAACAAGUAUCCUAGUACCACGAUACAAAGAAUUCACUCCAAUUAGAUUUUCUAUUUGGCUGCCCUUAUCAACAUCAUCCAACACAAUUAGCAUCUUCUUGUUGCAAAUUGUUUCUCCAAUUCUUUUCAUCCCAUGAUAAGUACUUUUGAUAUUUUGAUCCACUUUAAAAUAAGAGAUAUCGGACAAUAAUUUUUCCUGUAGCUUGACCAAGCCUUCUUUUUGUUUUGCCGUUUCCCUCACGUCAUCGAGAAAGCUGCAAUUUUUCCCAAAGCGAUGACAUAGUUUGUUAAAGAUAACAUUGGCGAGUGUUGUUUUACCGAUACCGCCCAUCCCGUAGAUUACAAUGAGCCGCACAUCUUCGGAGUCGACGUCUAAUAAUUUGUCUAUGGCUGUUAUACAAUCCUCCAUUCCAACAAAAUUUUUAGGCACUUGUCUUUGUCUCGUCUGUAGCCUGUCUAGAACCUCGUCAACAACCGCCUUGAUAAGAUCCCCAUGGUUGCUACAAAGUUAAACAAUUUCAAUUGAGAAAGGGUGACAAAUUUGCAUGCUAACUAACCAUAUACCACUUAACCAGCGGGAAUGCAAUCAAGUUUAGGAUAUACAAAAAUUUAACGUUACCCCCAAAGCUUCACGAACAUGACAAAUUACUAACUUGAACAUCCAUUACAAGUUUAAGUUAAAGAAAUAGAGGAAGAAAAAUGCUUGAUCUUUAUAUCAAGUAGAAGAAUCAAAAUUUCUGGCAAAAAGGAUACAAGAAUCAAAAUAUAGAUGUAGGAUGAAUUACUGUAAUAGUCGAUUUGCUUAAUUUUUUCAGCGUGGAAAAGAACCUCGCAGAGGCAACAAUUCCUUAACCAAGUUCGCUAGCAUACCAUAGGAAUCUUAAUACAUAUAUGGAUCAAAUUAGUAUAAAAAGAUGAAGCAAAGCCAAUUUUUUUAAUACAAUGGAAAAUAGGUGAAAAAUGAAAUUAUAAUAACCCUAUUAUGUUAGAAAAGAUUUGGAAAUCUCGUGAUUCAUAAAAAUAAAAGAACUAUGGCCCGAUUGUACAAAAUAAUUGUUAAAAAAUUUGGAACUUUUAAAAAAACUGAGUUUAAACUUUCUGUGAAAAUUUAAAGAAAUUAGAGUUGGAAUAUAAUUAAAGAAUUUUUAUAAGGACUAUGGCCCGAUUGUACAAAAUAAUUUUCAGUCAUAGUUAGAUUGUUACCCUGAAUAAUCCUUCAGCUUGAAUCCCUUGGUGUCACUAACUUCUUUGAGAGCUUGCCGCCAUGUCUUCACGUCCUCUGAGUUGUACUUCUUCUCCUCUGAGUUUUGCUUCUUCUCUUCCGCCAACUGUGACAGUGCUUCGUCGUACACCCCGACCCCGGUUUUCAGCUUCACAUCAUCGGGUUCCACAUCAUAGAAGAUGGGCAAGAUGACCUUCCCAUUUUCGUUCGAUUUAGAGUUCUCUAUUAUCUUGGCAAGCUCACGGAGGCACCAAUGACUUGACGCAUACCUUUUGGAGAAGAUGGGUAUGUACAGCUUGGAAUCAUUGAUCGCUUGCAGAAGGAUGUCGCUAAGUCUUUCACCUAGUCGAAUUGCCUCGUCAUCAAAGAAAACACAAAUCCCGGCAUCUACCAAGGCAUGUUUGAGGCAGUUGGUGAAUCCAUGACGAGUGUCAAGCCCUCUAAAAUUCAGGAACACCUCAUACUGACCUCCAAAUGUAUCGUUAGUGCUCGUUCCAGGUUUCGAGCUCACCAUAGGAGCUUACUUUGCACUUAGCAGAGUCAACCCUCUCUCUCUCUUAAUAGACACUACUGGAAUAUUUUUUCUAGGCAAAUUCGCACAGAGCCUUGCUGUUCUCUGAUGUGAAAAGCCUUUACUACAUUCUCAAUGUGAAAGACUUUCUCCACCAGAUGAUCCUCCCUUGGGAAUUCAGAAAAGGAGAACUAUUGCGUUACAUUAGAAAAAGGAGAAAAGGCUGUUUAUUAUAGAGACAUUUGUAUUGCGUCACUCAUGAGGUUUAAUCAAAAGUUAAACGCGUACAGGCAACUUCAGUGCAACUUCCAAUUUAUAGUCAAUAAAGUUGGUGGGUCUACAAUUAAUAAGGUGGAGGACAAUUAUAGAUAUGUACCUUUUAACACGCCCAAUUUCUUUCUAGUUUAUUCUUCGUGCUUUUUCACUCUUUGCUUUUGAACUUUUGGAUUUAAAAAAUUUUGAUUCUCAAACAAUUAUUAUUCUAUAGACAUAUCUAUAGUUGGACAUAUUUAAAAUCCCAAUCUAGUAAUGUAAAUUCACAAUUUAUCUAUGUAAAUGGAUAAUAACAAAAUAUUCUUAAUAGGACUCUGCAUAAUUAGAAAAAUCUCCUUCAUAUUACUGAGAAUUGGAUUUGCCGCAUUCACUGCAAAAAAUGCUCCAUCUAAACACUACCAAGCAUAUGCGUCCUGCUCACUGCCACAUAUUUGUUUUGAUCUCAUCACCUUAAAAGACUUACUUUUUUUAUUAUAAUUAAUUUUAACCUCUUAAAUAUUAUCAUAAAAUGUGACUUUGUAUUAUAAAGCAAAUGAUUGCUCAAAUCUUUGACUUUUGCGCAAAUGGACUACCUCUUGGUGAGGAAAUGCAAUGAUGGCCUAUCAAUGGCCACGAUACCACUCAUCAUGGUGUUGCUUUGAGCGUGGAAAAGGGAAGGAAACCAUGAUUGUCUUGACCAUAAGAGGUGACUUUGCUCAGCGGAAGAAAAGGAAAAAGACAAAGGAAAGUUAAAAUGACGGUGUCUUUUCAUGUUGGCCACUCGUUGUUUCCCUUUUCUCUAUUUGGUUAUGCUGAAUUUCCCGUUUAGAUACCAAGAGGAAGAGCUCUUAAUGUCACAGAGUGCUCCGAAGGCUGCACAGAGCAUAUUGAAAAGCGUGCUGAAAGUUCCUCUUGAUCACACCAAAUAUUUCUUUUCUGAAGCCUAUUAAAUCUUUGUUAAGAUUUGUAUCAUUUCUUUAAGAGAUUGAAAAGAUUAUUAUGAGAGAAAUUUUAAAACCUAAACAUUGUGAGUUAUUGAAUAUAAUUAGAAGCUGAAAACCACCGAAAGUAUUUAAAUGACUCGAGUAUGAUUAUAACUUUCCAUAUAUAUAUAUAUAAUGGAAUCUUGUGCUGCUCUCCUUGUAGAUGUAAACACACGACUAAAUCAUAUAAAUCUAGUGUCCAAUUCAUUUUCUUGUUUUGUGCAUUUUAUUCAAUUGCUUUUUUUUUUUCCAAAAGGGAAUAUGGUGUGAAACCAAAGUAAAAGAUAUUCAAUAUGACCAGCAUUAGGCAUUCAUGAAUAAAUGCAUGAAAAAGUAUAUUUUAUUUUCUUAAGAUAUCAAUCAAUAUUUAUAAGCUUAAACUUGUGGUUAAUGAUAGAAUUUGUCCCAUCGCCUGCUUAACAUUAACUCUGAUCAUGAGGAUGAGAUUCAAUGCAAUCUACACGACCCGUUUCUUCUAAUGUCCCUUUGACAAUGCAUAGUGAUGUUCUUUUAUUGCCAUUUUCUCCGUUAAAUUGCGCUAGCCUGUGUGUAACUUUCACUUUGCCUCCUUCAUUUUCCAUGAUUUUAUGGUCAAAUAUAUUUUAUUUAUUUAGUUUUGAACGCGACAUAUCAAGAAAAUCAUAAAUUUGCAACUACAAUCUUGACAUAUUAAGUAUGUCUGUUUUGCAUGAUUCGACAUAGAUUUCAUGACAUUUGUUAGCAAUACAUUUCUUUGUUAGCAUGAUUUAACAUAAAUCAUUGUCAUAUUUCAUCUCUUAAAUAAUUUUUUUCGUGAGAAAUUGAAAAUCAUUAUGAACAUUAUUCUUCGAAUUUUGAGCCGUUGUAGUAGAAGUAGUGAAGAUCAGAUAGAGCCUAGCCGCAAGUAUUUAUAUUUUGGUUUGUUUUAUUUAUAUUUGUUUUUCGUGGCGUUAUUAGUUGCUUUGACAUGUUGACUAAAUAGGCGCACUGUACGAAGUCUUCGAGAAGAUGACUUGUCCACAUUUAUUUUAUCUCAUUGAUAACAAUAGUAUCUAAAUCAUUCGACUCAAUUAAUACCGAUUUAUGCACGCAAAUCACUCCAUUCACGUGCAUUAGGUUAGCUCCAUUCACAAGAUGUUUAAGGAGACACUAGGGGGUAAUGACUAAUGAGUAAAGGACACUGAUCAAAUUUGAACAAAAUGUUGCUCCAAAAAUAGCAUUCAAAAUACACAUAAUGCAUUCAUGACUGUUUUUACGAACCCAACUUUUCACAAAUUAUGUUUAAAACAACAAUCCUUCCAAAGAUAUGGCAAUCGGAUCAUAACUAUGGUCAUCUUUGAUGCACGACUUUCUACAACUUAGCAACACCUUUUGAAUAUGCUAUGAACAUGUACAUCCUAUGCUUUCAAGCCAUUGCCUCAAACGAUUGGAAUACAUAAAAUACGUUAAUGCUUGCUUUUUAGUAAAUUGGAAGAUCAUGCGAUAUCAUAUUACAAGAUCCCCAAAAGAUGCCAACAUGCCAUUCUUUGAAAUCACGUUUUUACCUUUUAAUUAAUGACGCAUGCUGCAUACAACUUCAAUAAAUCCGAAAGGUUUUAGGCAUGUGGAAAUUGAUGUUAUUGAACAAUUAGUUUUUGGACCUAUUUCUUCAAUAGCUAAAGGUAGUCAAUACGUGGUAUAGACAAUGCCUUUGAGAGUGUGUAGUAAUUGGCUGGAGGAGAGUUGUCGUCGAAGGCAUGCCUCAUUGUUCGUCAAAUUUCUGCCACUCUUUUGUAUUGGACAAUUCAAUAAUAAUAACAUUAUAUUCAUUAAUGGGAGCUUUUAUUACAUUCCUAAUGCGAAAAGCUUCUCCACCGUGUCAUCCUCCUUUAGAAAUUUACAGAAGAAGAACCAAGACGUUACAUGAGAAAAGGAGAAAGGAGUGUCUAUUACGAGAAAUAAACAAUGAAAUUCUUGAUUUGAAUGCCCGAAGUCCAAUGCCACUUUCUUUACCGAGAGACAUCAUUUUGGACGUUUGUAUCGCGUGACUCACGCGAUUCAAUUGAAACUUAUGAAUGACAACUUCACAGCAGUUGUGGCUAUCAAUUUAUAGUCAAUAAAGUUAAAUCUUUAGAAAAAAUGAAAUGGAGGACAAUAAUGGAGGUUUACCUUUUUACAAGCCCAAUUUCUUUCGAGUUCCUUUUAUUAGAGCUAACAUUAUCACCUAGAAAGGGGUGAAUAGUGAUUAUAAACAAUAAAAGCGGAGUUUAAAACAACCAAAUUCAAUAUCAUGAAAGAACAAAAUCUGACGAAAAACUUUGCAGUGAUUAGAUUUUCUGCAACGCCUGAUAAAAAAUAUACAAUAAUCAAACUUUACUAUGUAUAAUAAAUAGGAUAAAUGAGAGGUUAAAGGAUAGAGAAAAUUGUACACAACAAUUAUAGUGAUUCAGCUUAUGAUAACCCUACAUUCACUCUCCCAUGCUACGACCUAUUGGUUGGAUUCUGCUAUGAAGAACUAAUAAGAGGUUACAUGAUAUGAGCUCUAAACACUCAAGUUCAUGUGGAUAACUCCUCACACUCUCAAUUUCUAAAUGAUUAUACAAUGAUACUCAUAGAGACGAAUGUAUUUGACCGCAAAACACUCUUCAGACUUUGGAAUUAUAAGUUUUGAUCCUCUUGUGUUGCGUUUUUCCUUUUAGCUUUGAGACCUCCUUUUAUACUUCUCCCAAACCAAGCUAACCAUUAGACAUAUAUCCAAAAAAAUUAUCCAGCCAAUCUACCCGUUGGUCUAGAUCUCGUUAAGAAUGUUUGAUCACUUCAAGGACACCGAGAAUAAAGCUUCCCAUAGAUUCUAUCGCCCAUACAGUAGUUUGGGUUUUUAUAAGUCGAGUGCUUCAACUUGGAAAGAAUGUUUCGCCUCAAGUAUAUUGUUCUAGGAAAUCUAAAUCUUCGAUAAAUACUUUCCUUUGGAACUUCUUAUUUAUAAGACAAGGAAUCCAAUCAAUCGUCACUAACCGUUACAUGGCGAUAUUGUCUCAUUCCUAGCUAUUUGACAGAGUACAUAAGAAAGGAAAUAAUUAAGUCAUGAUUCUGGUUUUGAUUGAUAUCGUCUGAUCAUAUCCCAUCAGACUUUGAGCCGGAAAAAUACUCAUCGUCAGAAUUAAAGUUUUUAUACCAAAUAAGUUUUUUCAAUCUUCAAAAUCAAUUUGAUAAAUUUUCUCAACAAUCUCCCAUUUUUUUAUGAUGACAAAACUUUCCGAGCAGAACUUAACAAAAGAUUUUAAAAAGAUUUAGCAAUCAAAUAACUCUAUUGAAAGCAAGAUUUUAGAUAAGGCACAAUGUGAAUUCUAUAAGAACUUUGCUGAUUUUGUAAAGAUAAGUACAAGCUUCUUACAGAAUAUUGAGCUAAUUAGAGUUAAUAAGAUUUGUAAAGAAAUUCCUUGAUUUGUAAAGAAAUUCCUUACUCUGAUUAAGGAAGUUCAAGAUAAGAAUAGAUUCAAGAAAACUUCCUAUUUUUAUAUAGCUCCCCCUGAGCAUGAUCACAAAAGAUCUUCAUCUGCAUAUAGUGUUUUGCUUUUCUUGCAUUUUCUCUCCCUUUUUGUCAACAUCACAAAAUAGACAAUAAUAAUGGAAGGAGUAUCACAUAGAGAAUAUGCUAUUCAACUCAUCUUCACAUACAAUGUUCGAAACAUAUUUAGCAUGAAACACAAUUUUCAUAAACAUCUUAUAGAUGCUACGGUGAACAUAAAAUAAGUGCAAUAUAGCUCAUGUUCUUAUAGAAUCAAAUACCAUAUACAUAAGUAAAUAUAUAUAUAUAUAUAUGGAAAUAUGAGAUUAUAAUGACAAAAGGUAAGUGAAGUAAGAAAUAUACUAACCAGAUCAUGUAGAAUUUAGCAAGUUCCAAUAUACAUUAUCUUUUCUUCCAUAAUCAAGACGAGGCAAAAGUUAAAUUGACUUAAUCAGGAUUUUCUCACACUUGAUUUACACUCCUUUUCAAUUUAAUGCCUGUAUGAGAUGAUCACAAUUCUUCUCCUUUACCGGGCAUCCACUUUCUCCUUUAAUAAUUUGCACAAAUUUUGUGCUUGGAGGAGAAUUUUCGAUCCUUCAAAAAUGGUGCCGAAUCUUCAUGAUUUUUCGGAUCAAAUUUUCCAAAUUUAAUAUGGAAAGAUUCUUUUGGCACCAGCAAUUUCUUGUAAAAGAGACAGCAAUAUUUGCAAAAUAUAGAGAAUAUCAUGUACUUUCCUUCCUUCGAUUCACGGAUCAAUUUUGCCAAUUAUAAUAUAUGCUUCUAACAUAUAAAAACAAGCAUUAAUUUUUUUCAAGAUUAAAAAAGAUUCUAAUGUUUAAAAGAACAUCUGAUUUUCAAAUGUCUAAAUCAUUUAUAAUUAUUCUAUAGCUAUGGUUAAACAUAUUUAUAUAGAUACAAAUGGAAUUUAUCUAUAUAUAUGCAUAAUAAGAAAAUAGUCCUAUAGAAAAUUUUAAGUUUAAGUGCAUUUAUUUCAAGUGAGUAGUUCGUUUUUUUUUUUUUUGGUAAAGAUGAGUAGUUCGUUGUUCGUCAAAUUUUAACUUUUUUUUUUUUUUGGAUUGGACAUUUUAGCAAUAAUAACAUUACAUUCAAUAAUGUAAAAAGCUUCGCCAUUAUAUCAUCCUCCUUUAGAAAUUUACAAAAGAAGAACAAGCGCAUUACAUUAAGAAAAGGAGAAAAGGCUGUUUAUUGUGAGAUAUGACGACAAAGUCCUUGAUUUGAACACCCGUAAUCCGAUGCCACUUUCGUUAAUGAGAGACAUCAUUUUGAACGUAUGUACCGCAUGACUCGCGAGAUUUAAUUGAAAGUGAUGGAUAGGCAACUUCCCAGCAGCUGCAGCUUUUAAUUAAUAGUGAAUGAAGUUUUUUGUUUUUUUUUUUUGCAACAAUAGUGAAUGAAGUUGAUGGCUUCAGAAAAAACCAGAUGGAGGAGAGAUGUACCACUUUUUUUGGUCGGCCGAGAUGUACAAUUAUGGAGAUGUACCGUUUCACACGCCCAAUAUCUUUCGCCUUUCUUCUUGGUGCCUUUGAACUUUUGAAUUAAAAAAAAAAAAAACUCCAAUUUUCAAAUGUUUAAAUCAUUUAUAAUUAUUCUAUAGCUAUAUCUAUAAUCAAACAUAUUUAUAUAGAUAAAAUCACAAUCUAUAUAAAUGUAUAACAACAAAAUAUUCCUAAAGAAUAUCUCUCAUUAUGGCAUAUGAGACUUUGGAUAAUUAGAAGAUUUUCCUUUAAACUAUUGAGAUUGGAUUUGCUACAUUCACCAUAAAAAUGCUCCACCUAAGCACUACCUAACAGUAUGCUUACUACUCACUAUGACGUAUUUGUUUUGAUCUCUUCCCCUUAAAGACUUACUUUUUAUCAUAAUUAAUUACCUUCAACCCCACAAAUAUUGCAAUAUAUUUGCCUUUAUAUUGAAAAGCAAAUCUUUUACAACACUUAUUGUCUUAUUGAAAACUAUUAGAAUGUGAGCAUGAUAUAAUUAGUGUGGUUUGGACAUCGGCCAAAUCUAAUUAUAUAAAUAUUGAAAUAUAUCUCAAGUCGGAGCCGAAUUAAAACCGGAUCGAAAGGGACUUAUCGACACUCGUCCUCUAAUCAAGAGUGGUGAGAGGAAAUGCAAUGAUGGCCUGUCCAUGGUGUUGCUUUGAGCGUCGACAGAAAGAGAGACCGUCCUGGUCUUGACCAUAAGAGACGACUUUGCUCAGCUGAAGAAAGGGAAAAGAGAGAAUGAUGAUGGCCACCGCCGAUACGAGACAAAAGGGGAAGGAAAACGACGAAGAAAGUUGCAAUCAUGGUGUCAUUUAACGAUGGCCGCUCAUUGUUUCCUUUCUUCUUUAUUUGCUUCUUGUGUAUUUUCUCUCUGAAUACGAAGAGGAAGAGCUCUUAAUGAGAGCUCCGAGGGCCGCACAACGAGAUUGAAAAUUUCCUCUUUAAAGUUUUGAUUCAAAAAGUUUUUCUCUGUGAAAUCACACAAAAUGAAGUCAAUUAAAUAUCGUGUUAAUGUUCAGGUCAAUCUUUUAUGAGAUUGAAAUAUUAUUUCGAGAGAAAUUAUGAAGGUUAAAUAUAGAAUUAUUAGUUGUAUUUGAGGGAUAAAAACACAAAUUAUAUUUGAGUAACUCAAGUAUUAUUAUAAUCUCCAUUGCAUUGUAAUUUCAUGGUUUUCAUUUCCUCAUGGAUGUAGGUCACAUAACCGAACCACAUAUAUUUAGUGUUUGAUUUAUUUCCUUAUUUUGCAUUUUUAUUCAAGCACUUGUUUUAUUUCCAACAAUAAAUAUGGUUUGAAGAAAAGUGAAACCAAAUUAAACCAUAUUAUAGUCAAGAUCAAACCAAGCCAAACCAUUUUAUGUGGUUUGAUUCAGCUUAAUCGUUCUUUCUGCUUUUUUUUUUUUUUUACCUCUUCAUCAUAUGUAAUUUCAUGAUUAAAAAAAAAAACCAGAUUCUAUGCCACAACCCUCCCUGAGGAAGUUACCGAAUUACCAAGUAAGCAUGAAUGGUCCCUUUUGCAAGGUGACGCUUGCUCUUGGCAGGAUCAAUCACAACUUGGUUUCUAUUAAUUAUUUCAUUUGCUCAGGAGUGGCCAUUAAUUUUUUACAAACUGAUUAGGAGUCAAGUAAAACGCAAGAGCCCAUUUUACUUCUACAAACCAGAGAUUUGUGGGUCUAACGACUUGAUUAGGCUGGAUAUGUAAUGCGCAAUUAUUCAUGCGGUCUUCCCAAUCUUAGUUACCCAUUUUGUUCUCAAUAUUGAGGGAAGCAGGCGAUCAGGCAUGAAUUCACUCAAGCAAACACAAAUAAAAUUCAAUAAUACUGAAACAAAUAGAGCAAAUAAAAGGUACGAAAAUAAAGAAAUUGAGCCGUAUUACAAAGAAAAAUAAAAUAAAAUCAAUACAAAGCUUUGUUCUUAAGUUCCAAGAUAGGACCCCUUGAGCUAUAAAUAGAAACUCGAUGUUAGAUCUCCAACUAUGGCUCCAAACCGGAAAGUAAGGGCCUGUUUGUUUGUAUUCUUUUUUUGUUGUCAUGAACAUAAUUUUUGUUUUUUUGUUCCGAGCAAUAAAAAAAUAACAGAAAUGCGUUUUUUUACAUUUUUGUUCCAAAUCUAUAUUUUUUGUUUCCGGGAACAAAUUUGGAACAGAAAUAAGAAACAACAAAAACUUGUUUCUUAUUCUCGGAACACUUCUAAGAAACAAAUUUUCUCUCUCCUACUUUUUUCUUCUCUUUCCUUUAUUAUUCAUUUCUUCUUCUUUUUUCUUUGGCUAGUCGCCAGCCUCGGCCAUGGCUGGUGACGCCGUCGAGGGCCAGCGACCUUGCCGGAGCGUCGUCGGCCCCUAGCGACGCUUGGCCUCACCUUGGUUGGGCGAGCUUAGCCUCGCUGGAUCUGGGUGAGCUUGAGGUCGCCCAAAUCCGUUGAGGCCGAGCCUCGCUGUGGCUAAGCGAGGCCACCAGCCCUCGUCAACUAGUCGCCGACCAUGGCUGAGGCCGGUGACUAGCCAAAAGGAAGAAAAAAGAAAAAAAAAAGAGAAAAGGAAAAAGAAAAUAAAAAUAAAAAUAUUUAAAAAUUAAAAGAAACAAAAAAAUUAUACAAGUUUACCAAACGUGUUUUUGUUCUUUUUCUAUUCCAAGACCAAAAAUUUUGUGCAGUUACCAAACGAGUUAUUCUAUUCAAAAAUUGUUCCCCGGAACAAAAAUAAUUUUUCUACUAUUCCCUAGAACAAUUUUUAAACAGAAACAUUACCAAACACGCCCUAAAUAAAAUGAUACUUCAUUAAUAUCCACUAUAUAAACUACUUUCCUAAAAUGAACAAUUACUUCAAAACGUAAAAUCUACUCAAUGCAAUGUUAAGAAAACAAAAUUUAUUUAUGAAUAUGCAUUACUGGUAAAAUACACUCCUAGAUUUUUUUUUUUUAAUGAAUAUGCAGUUUAUCUUUCCACUUUUUUUUUUCUUUUUUGCAUUUCCCCCUUCUUUAUAUAUAUACACACAUUUAUAAGUGAAACAAAAUUUGACUACGUGUUGAAAUAAAUAUGAACUAGAAUCUAUAUGCCAAAAUAAUAUGUAAUAUAAAUCCGGAUUUUCAUGAAAAUUUGCACUACGUUCACUUGGAUUUUUUUUUUCUUUGGAAACGCUCAAUUAGAAUUUCAACCUUAAAAUUGCAUCAAGAACGACUUAGUGCACACGAGAAAAUAAAGAAAACUAAAGUGACAUAAUGCUAUGAAUUAGAGCCAAACUAAUCCACACUAUGUGAAAAUCAACGGUGGAUGAAUAAGGGCCUCUUUGGCAACGUGCCAAAUAGUGCUUGAUUAUGAUUUUUUGUUUUCAGAAUCAGUUUGGGACGAGAAUUGCGUUUGGUAAAAUUUUUGUUCCCGGGAAUAGAUUGGGAAGAGAAUUGAGAAUAAAAAAAAUAUGAUUCUCUGUCCGAGAAUCAAAAAAAGAAUCAAAACAGUAAAAAUCUCCUUCUUCCCUUCCAACAUCCUGCGUCGUCCACCAUCGCCUGCCGCCGCCCGUCGCCCACUGCUGCCGCUGCCGCCGCCGCCUACCGCUGGUCGCCGUCCAUCGGUCCGGUGAGCUCGCCAGGCCAGGGCGAGGUCUAGCGAGCUCGCCGGAGGCAAGCCUCACUAGUGGCUAGGCGGGCCUUGCCCAGCCUCGGCGAGGCCGGCCUAGUCACCGGCAAGGCUCGACCAACGAGGGCCGACCUUGCCGAGGGCCGGCAACGCCCCGGUGAGCAUCGUCAGCCCUCGUCUGGCCGUCGCCAGAUCGGCGACCGGCCACGUGAAGAAGAAGAUAGAAAAAAGGGGGAAAAAAAAAGAAAAGAAGAAAAGAAAAAAAAAAGGAAAAAAGAAAAGGAAAGAAAGUAAAAAAAGUAUUUAAAAAUUAAAAGAAAUAAAUUCGGAACAUAAUCAAUUAGCACGGUAUAAAACACAAUUAUAUUCCAGAAUAAAAAAUUUUGGACAGUUACCAAACGCGUUCUUUUACUCAUAAUUAGUUCCCGAGAAUAAAAUAAAAAAUAAUCAUUUUUAGUCAGAAUCAGCUCUCGGGAAUAUAAUUGUUACCAAACGCGCCCUAAAUCGAUAAAAAUAACCAAUUUUCUCUCUACCGCUUUUUUUAGGGUGCAGUUUAGCUUACCGUCCUCUGUCAAAUGAUGGAGUGACAGUCAACUAAUGACACAAAAUUCGCAUAGAUUCCAUCUUUUACCCUUUUUUUUUGAAUUUUAUGUUUUCUUAUUGCUAGCUUAAAUUGAGAGAUAAAAUCAUAAGAGGACCCAUACAAUCAAUUUUCAUGAGUAUUAUGAAAGAAAAGAUAAAUUAGAUACUGAAAUAUAAAUAAUUAGAAGUAAAAAAUAUUGUCAUCCACUAAAAAGAAAUCAUUCAUUUCAUUAUGUAGAUCUAUUAAAUUUAAAAGAUGAAAAAACACUUGAAUUGUUGGCUUUACAACUAAUAACAAAAUUAUUGUGCAAUGAAUUGGCUUCUCAAUCCUGUCGCCAAAAUCAAAUUGCUCUGGAAGGACUCUCCAAUAACCUAAAAUCAAGACGAGUAAUGUUAAUUACACAUAAAACAAAUGAAGUAAAGAAAAGAACAAAAUAAGAAUAAUGAAUUAGUAGAGAAGAAACUUUACUCCACUAAUCCAAAUCUCGUAGAUGAAGAUGAGUUGGGACCUAAAAUAUUACAAAAUCAAUCUUAGGAUCACACGAGUGAAAACUAAGUCAAAAUGAUUUUUGAUCAAUUUUUAUAAAUAUUUUAUCUAAUAUAGCUUCAAUGUUUGGUUUGUUGAGAAGAUUCACAUAACCACGUGAUAUGACCAUAUGUCAUUUUACAUAGAUAAAAAGUCAAUUUAUAGGAAGGCAUUUUAAAUAAAAUAAUAAUAAUACGUAUAAGUAACUAUUGAAAACCAUCAAUUCUUUCCUGAUUGCAAAUCAGAUUUCAAGAAUAGUUAUGGUACCUCAUAUCAUCCAAAUUACCAAUUAUAUUUUGGUAUCUAAUUUAUUUUUUCUUUCAUCAUAUUCAUGAAAAUUGAUUGCGUGGGUCCUCUUACGAUUUUAUCUCCUAAUUUAAGCUUAAAAUAACAAAACAUAAAAAGGGGUAAAAGAUGGAUUUCAACCGGUCUCCAUCCAAAAUGUGUGGUUCUCAACUGACCGUCACUCCAUCAUUUGAAGGAGUGAUGGUCAGCUAAGCCUUUUCCACAUUUUAACUAGAGGUAUGCCUGCAUAAAAGUUAAGUGCGUCUUCAUUGCUCAACCCAACCCACCAAUUCUUAAUCCUUGCAUAUAUACUUAAGUCUCUUGUCCCCUAGAGGCAACAAGUAUCCUAGUACCAAUAUAUAAAGAAUUCACUCCAAUUAAUUUUUGGAUAUGGUUGUCCUCAUCGACGUCAUCCAAUACAAUUAGCAUCUAUCAAUGUUAUCAAUGUCACAAGUCACUCUAGAAUAACAUAUAUCAAAAAAUAAUUUUUCUUGUGGCAUGACUAGGCCCUUGGUUUUUAGCAUUUCCCUUGUGUCAACAAGAAAGUUGCAGUUUUUCCCAAAGUGAGGAUAUAGCUAGUUGAAGAUAACAUUGGCAGGUGUUGUUUUGCUGAUGCUGCCCAACCCAUAGAUUCCAAUGAACUGCAUAUCGUCAAAAGCGAUGUCUGAUAAAUUGUAUAUGGCUGCUAUUCAAUCCUCCAUUCCAACUCAAUCUUUGGUUAGUUGCCUUUGUCUUGUCUUCACCUUGACCACAAUCUCAUUAACAACCGACGUGAUAAGAUUCCCAUAGCUGCCACAAUGUCAAACAGUAUUAAUUGAGAAAAAGUGACAAAUUUCCAUGUUGACAAACUAUUUACAUAUAUCAGAACUUGAAUUAGCCUCAAUUUAUUUCGAAUGCGUAGCUCUUAUAUUUCUAUUAGAUUGCACAUUUCAGAAACAAUAAUGACAUUUCAUUCAUUAAUGGGAAGAGCUCUUGUUACAUUCUUAAUAUGAAAAGCUUCUCCACCAGAUCAUCCUUCUCAAAACAUUUACAAAAGAAGAACCAACGCAUAACAUUAGAAAAGGAGAAAAGGAUGUUUAUUAUGAGAAAUAAAUGAUGAAAUUCUUGAUUUGAAUGCCCGAAGUCGGGUGCCACUUUCUUUAGUGAGAGACAUCAUUUUGGACAUUUGUAUCACGUGACUCACGUAAUUCAAUUGAAACUUACGAACAGACACCUUCACAGCAGUUGCAGAUUUCAAUUUACGGUCAAUAAAGUGGAUGGCUUAAGAGAAAAUGAGAUGGAGGACCAUUAUGGAGGUCUACCUUUUCACAAGCCCAAUUUCUUUGGAGUUUCUUCUUAGUGCAUUUGAACUUUUGAAUUUAUGACCAUUUUUUUAAUUAAAAAAAUCUGAUUUUCAAACGUUUAAAUCAUUUAUAAUUAGUUUAUAGCUAUAUCUAUGGUUAAACAUAUUUAUAUAGAUAAAAACGGAAUUUAUCCAUAUAAAUGCAUAAUAAAAGAUAUUCCUAAAGAAAAGUUUAAGUUAAAUGCGUUUAUUUCAAGUGAGUGAUUCAUUGUUAGUCAAAUUUCCGCUGUUUUUUUUUUUUUUGGACAUUUUAGCAAUAAUAACAUUACAUUUCAUUAAUGGGAAGAGCUUCUCCACCGUAUCAUCCUCCUUCAGAAAUUUACAAAAGAAGAGCAAGCGCGUUACAUCUUAAAGGAGAAAAGGCUGUUUAUUGUGAGAUAUGAUGACAAAAUUCUUGAUUUGAACACCCGAAGCCCGAUGCCAGUUUCAGUAGUGAUAGACAUCAUUUUGGACUUUUGUAUUGCGUGACUCAUGAGAUUUAAUGAAAGUACGACAGCACUUGACAGUAGCCGUAGCUUCAUAAAAAAUCAGAUGGAGGACAAUUAUAGAAGAUGUUACCAGUUUUUUGGUCGGUUGAAUACAAUAAUGGAGAAUGUACCCAUUUCACCACGUCUUUCCGCCUUUCUUCUUGGUGCCUUUGAACUUUUGAAUUAAAAAAAAAAAAAAAUCUGAUUUUGGGCGUGGAAAGAAAGAGAGGCCGUGCUCGUCUUGACCAUAAGAGGACGACUUUGCUUGGCCGAAGAAAGGGAAAAAGACAGACUGAUAAUGGCCACUGCUGACAUCGGACAGUACAGAAGGGAAACGAAAACGACGAAGAAAGUUGCAGUAAUGGUGUCUUUAAACGAUGGCCAGUCAUUGUUUCCUUUCUUCUUCUUUAUUUUCUUCUAGUGAAUUUUCUCUUUAAAUUCGAAGAGGAAGGGCUCUUAAUGAGAGCUCCGAGGACUGCACAGAGGAGAUUGAAAAUUUCCUCUUAAGGGUUUGAUUCAAAAAAGUUCUCUUCGUGAAGUUAGUCAAAAUCGAAGCUGAUUAAAUCUUGUGUUAAUAUUCAAAUUGAGAUAUUAUUUCAAAAGAAAUUAUGAGGGUAAAAAACAUAGAGUUAUUAGUUGUACUUAAGGGAUAAAAACACUAAGGAUAUCUGAGUGACUUGAAUAAAAUUAUAAUCUUCGUUGCAUUGUAAUUUUAUCUAUAAUGGAAUUGUGUGCUCCUUUUCUCGUGAACGUAGAUCACACAAUCAAAUUACGUAAAUUUGAUAGCCGAUUUAUUUUAUUAUUUUGUAUAUUUUAUUCAAUCACUUGUUUUAUUUUAAUAAUAAAUAUGGUUUGAAGAAAAGAGGAACCAGGCUAGACUGUAUUAUAGUUAAAGAUCAAACCAAGCCAGACCAUUUUUUUUUUUUUGGGUUUGAUUUGGCUUAAUCUUUCUUUCUUCUCUAGUUUUCCUCUUCAUCAUUUGUAAUUUUAUGAGAAAAAAAACCAAAUUCCAUGUCACGAAACUUCCAAAGCGAGAUCCCCGAGGAAGUUGCUGGAUCACCAAUCAAGCACAAAUGGCCCCUUUGCGAGGUGAUGCUUGCCCUUGGCACGAUCAAUCUCAACUUGUUUCAAUUAAUUAUUUUGCUUGAUUGAGAGUCACCAAUAACUUUUUAUGAACCAAUUAGGAGUCAAGUAAAAUGCAAGAGUCCGUCUUACUUCUGGAAACAUGAGAUUUGUGAGUCCAGAAACUUGAUUACGCAAGAUAUAUCUCAAGCCCAAUGUUGCAUACUUUCUCUUUCUAUUAAAACAAUUAUUCAUGUGGUCUUCCCAAUCUUAGUUACCCAUUUUAUUCUCAAUGUUGAGAAAGGCAGGCGAUCAUGCAUAAAUUCACUCAAGCAAACACGUAUAAAAUCCACUAAUACUGAGACAAAUAGAGCAAAAAAAAGGUAGGAAAAUAAAGGACCCAACCCGUAUCAGGGAAAAAAAUCAAUAAAAGCCUUGUUAUAAGGUUCCGGGACAUGCCCCUGGAGCUAUUAAUAGAAACUCAGUGUAAAAUCUCCAAAAUAAACUAUGGCUUAAAACCAGAAAGUAAAUAACUGAUACCUCAUGAAUAUAUAUAAACUACUUUCCCAAAAAGAAGUAUUACAUCAAGAAAUAAAAUCUACUUAAUGCUAUAUAAAGUGCAAUGCAAUGUUUAGAAAACAAAAUCUAUUUAUGAUUAUGCAUGAUUCCUAAAUUAUCCUCCUAGAUGUAUAUAUAUAUAUAUAUAUAUUUAUUUAUAUUUUAUAAAUAAAAUCUAUCUGUUUUUUUGCUUUUUCACAUUAACCCCUUCAAUAUAUAUUAUAAUGAAACGAAAUUAAACUAAAAAAUAACUAAGUGCCGAGAUAAAUUUGAACUAGAAACUAGAUACCAAAAUAAUAUGUUAUAUAAACCCAGAUUUUCGUGAAAAUUUGCACUAUGUUGCGUUGGAAUUUCAACCUAAACUUCUUGUGGGAACGAGCUAAUAAACACCAGAAAAUAAAGAGAACUAAAGCGAUAUAAUGCUAUGAAUUAAAGCAAAACCAUUCCACAAUAUGCGAAAUCAAGGGUGGAUGAGUACAUCUAUACGAAUUGCCGAAAUAAAAUAUUCAUUAAAAAAAAAUUCUACGCUGUUACAGGUCUGAAGUGUUAAAAUUGAAUCACAUCAUGUAGAUUAUUUAUAUUUCCAUGUUUAUGUUUGCUGAGACACGAGGAACAAUCAACAUGAACUAACACAAAAAUCCACGCAGGUUCUUGAUUUUAUUUCCUUUCUUCUUUCGUCUUUCUUUUCACACGUGCAGCAUAAUUCCUUUUCACUUGUGCUGGUCGGAUAAGGCUGUCGCAUAUUUCCCUCUUGGUCUAGCCCAUGAAAGGGAGCCAGGGUCGUGCGGCUUGGACUCGGAAGUUCAAAUAAAUUCAUGGCACAUUUUGCGUGUUGGGAUACACUCAANNNNNNNNNNNNNNNNNNNNNNNNNNNNNNNNNNNNNNNNNNNNNNNNNNNNNNNNNNNNNNNNNNNNNNNNNNNNNNNNNNNNNNNNNNNNNNNNNNNNNNNNNNNNNNNNNNNNNNNNNNNNNNNNNNNNNNNNNNNNNNNNNNNNNNNNNNNNNNNNNNNNNNNNNNNNNNNNNNNNNNNNNNNNNNNNNNNNNNNNNNNNNNNNNNNNNNNNNNNNNNNNNNNNNNNNNNNNNNNNNNNNNNNNNNNNNNNNNNNNNNNNNNNNNNNNNNNNNNNNNNNNNNNNNNNNNNNNNNNNNNNNNNNNNNNNNNNNNNNNNNNNNNNNNNNNNNNNNNNNNNNNNNNNNNNNNNNNNNNNNNNNNNNNNNNNNNNNNNNNNNNNNNNNNNNNNNNNNNNNNNNNNNNNNNNNNNNNNNNNNNNNNNNNNNNNNNAUUAAGGCAAGGCUGCCUCCAUCAAGAUGGAUAGGGAAAGCAACGCUAUCAACCCAUAGAUCCAAAUGCCGCGAGAAUCGAUCCAGGCAUACUGGUUCGAGACGAAGGCCCCCGGAUCGUGAACUGAAGCUUCAUGGAUAUCAUGAUUUUCUAGAUUACUUUAAAAAAGAUCAUACUUUCAAGAAUAUUUUUUACACAUCAUUGCAUACUUUCAAGCACAAACGGACAUGGCACAUGAAGUCAUGCCAGGGCAUAAAAUGACAAAGGAAUUUUCCUGAUGACAUCUCUAAAAAUAUCAUAAGUCGCAUAAGUAAUGUUAGGAAUUAUUUGAGAAUUGAAUUUAGAGGACGAAAUUGGAAAAUGUGGUACUGAAAGAGCGUUGUGGGAAGUCUAACCCCUCCCCGCACAUAAAUGAAUCCUUCGACAAUAAGUUUCAUUGGCUUUCGCAAAUGAUCAAUAUCACACGUGGACCUAGUUUCAAAUCAGCCUAACUUUUUAAAUUGAUUGGCAGUUACUCCAUCUCAUACUUAGUUGAGCGGACCGAAAAAAAAUAUUAUAUUCUUUUAUAUAAUAAUAGACCGUAAAAUCCAGCCAAUAAAAUGGGCCCAAAUUCUGUCCGCCCCAAAGCCUCUUAAGCUUUUGAUAUCCGAAACAAAAGAAGCCCUUCGUUCUUCAAGAAGAUCGAAGCCCGUUGCGAAAGGAAGCCAGCGGUCCAGCCGAGUUGGAAGACUCGGAAUCUUCAGUCGAGCGAAUAGCGUUUUCGGGUUUCCGAAUCGAACCCACGUCUUCAUUUUCACUCAAGUUCAUCUUUUUCGAUCGACCCGUAAGGUCUUCUGGAAACUUCUGCGUGUUUUCCGCUUUGAAUCGUCGCGCCAGAUGCUUCUGCUCUUCAAUUUGAUUCUUUUUUAUUCUGUUUUAAGUUAAUUUGCGUUGAUUUUCGUCGAUGUUGCGACUGUUUUUGCUGGUUAGAUCGUCUUUAACCUGGAGUUGUGCGGUUUCUAGCUCGGGUGGCUAGAAAAUAAGAAAGAUCUGCUUUGGUAAUCAAGAUAGAUAGUAGUGUAAGGAGGUGAAAUUGAGAUUUCAAAAAUGUUUUGUCGUGGUUGUUUUUGAGUCGUAAUUGCUGAUGGGUGUCUGUUGAAUUGCUUCAGUUGAAUUUGCUUGUUGGUCUAAAUGGCCUGCUUUCUUUGAAGUUUGAACUGGAGAUCAUUUUAUGCUUGAGUCGGAUAUUGGGAAUGUGAGUAAUUUGAGCAUGGACACAUCUUCUUCUAUUAGAAAUGGAGAUGAGCUUCUUUCCCACUUUUCAUUUUCAAUAUGCAUGCGAUUGUUCAAAACAAAGUUGAACAUAAUGUGUUGUUAAAUAUAUAGGAUCCUCAUGAUCCUUGAUGACCUCACAUAAUUUUGUAAUAGUAUAUAUUUUGCACUUGAGUUGCUGAGAUCUUACGUGGCAUGUGCAAGAUUUGAUUCCAUGUUCAAAGAUACGUGGUUUCUUAUUGACAGAUGGGGGAGCUCGCAGGCAAUAAACAUGUCAAGUAAAUAUUGUCCGUUGAAAAGGUAGGUAUGAAAUUUCACAAUCCUCUUCUUGUUUUCUUGUUCACUUCUUGCCAGUUACUGAAAAUGACUUGGCUUAUCUGGACUUGCUAUUCACAUUUCGGAGUUUACUGAUUUGAGGUUUUGGGUUGAUCUUGCGCUCAGAAAAAGGAUAGUUUUGAGUCGGUGGUUAUGGAGCACCUGAGAUUGAAUGGAGCAUAUUUGGGAUUGACCACUCUAGAUCUUCUUGAAAACUUGACACCGUGGAUUCAAAUGAAGUUGUUUUGUGGAUCCUGCAAUGCUAGCUUGAGUCUGGUUUGUAGUUAUUUAUCUCUUGGCUUCUUUCUUAAGUACCCAUGAAAAACAUGCAGUAUUUGAAAGAACGAUCAACAUUUUAGCUCGGGAUUAACAGAUUUCCUUUAUUACAAUAAUGACCACAUCUUAGGGGUCAUUAGUGUUGCUUUAUUCAUCUUUUAUUAUAGCUUCACUCUAAGGGACAAAGUGCAUGUCACCUACGGCUGCUUUUACAAGUGUCUUUGGUGGAAACACGGGACAUGUUCCGCAUCUGCUGUAUACGCUCAGUGCCGUGCAAGUUUUGGCCCCUUUUUGACAAGUUACAUGUUCUUGACAUCAACAAGGAGACAGAUUGUAUCCUUUGGAAUGAAGUAUCCUAAUUUGCCAAACUCUUACAUAGAUGCAAGUUCCUUGGUAUUAUUUUAUGUUUUUAUGUUUUCAACAUCAUGAGAGUAAUAAACUUACCUUAGGUUCUGUUUUUCAUGUAAGAGCUCAGAUUAUGUCAACUUUUUAAAUGUUGUAAAAUUUUGAUUAAGGUUACUUUAUAGUGUGAGUAUUGUUAGCCAAACAUUGAUGAGGAGGCUCUCUCUAUGUAGAUCGAAGUUGCUAUCGUUGGAUAAUCUCUGGUAUUAAAUGCUCUCCAUUGUUGUGCCUGAACAAUGAUUCAGACAUCAGAGCACUGCAAAACGAAGAUGGAUCUUUCCCUGGGGAUAUAUGGGGUGAAGUUGAUGCUCGGUUCCCUUCGAAGAUUCAGUAAAUGUGGAGAAGGCUAUAAGUUAUAUAGUGCGUUGCAAAACUUUGGAUGGCGGGUUUGGUUGCACUCCUGGUGUAGAGUCUCAUGAAGGGCAAAGUAUGUCAUAACCUUACGGCGGAGCUCUUUCGCUGGAUUCUAAUUUCUGAUUGGUGCUUAGUAAGUCAUGCAUUUGCUUAAAUACAUGGUGGUCUUCUAAUUAUGUUCCAAUGAACAUCCGAAGGAUAAGACCGAGUUGCCACCAUUUUAAGGCAUUCCUUAGGACUCAUCUUAGACGUGAGAAAGUAUACUGAUUCUGGAGGAGAAUAGGCAUAAAACAAUGAAGCACCGAGCAAGUAAAUUAACAUGCACAAGAGCCUGACCAAGCACCUUGCUUUACAAAGUGGCUCAUUUUUCUCUCUUCUUUCAAUUCAAAUAAUAAGAUAUUUGUAAAAUAGAGAACAGGAAUGCAGGAGCAAUCAUGAAGCGAUAAGAUUUGGUGUUCUUGCUUCAAUAGAUAACAAAGCCGCGUGUAUUUUGUUUAGCCAAUUGUCCAGUCGGUCACGUAGUAAAUUUGACCUGUGGAAUCCCCCGCCAUAUGCAACAGACCUCAAAUUACCAAUGGAAAAUACAACUACCGAAAAUAUACAUACACACACACACACACAUAUAUGUACAACUUGGAUAUCCCAUUCUAAUUAUGUGUGAUAAACCAAGAAGAGAAGCAUUGCUUGCUUCAUUUUCAAUCAUUGAGAGCUCCUCACAGGUGAUAGAGAGACAAUGGAUAUUCAUUAAUGCACCAUUAUCCAAACCUUAUAAUAUACUUACGGACAAACUCUUCAUGAGAAUAUGCUCAACAUCCUGUGUAGAAAGUUUUGUGCGCUUUUUAAUAACAUUCAUGGGAAUGGUUCGAUUCUUAAAUGAUCGGUUGCAAAUAUUUACAUCACCGUUCUCCAUCAAAGUGGUUUAAAAAAUUUUGAAGCUUUCUAAUCUCAAGUCAGCUCACCAAAUAGACAUAAUUCUUGUAAUACCCCAACUAGCAGAUGCACAACACACCGGCACAUGAUUCCACUUAAUCGAGCGGUCUACAAAAGCAUAGCAACAUAACUAGACCAGGCAUACAGACAGUCAAACAAAUGCAAGAAAGUAGACCCUUAUACAACUAUUAUCAUAUGAAGCUGGAGCUAGAGCUCGAGCUCAUGCUUAACUACACAGAGAAAAAUCACACGAUUACAUUCAACUAAACACCAACUACCACACCAAAAAAAAGAAAAAAUCAACUGACACAUCAAAAAAACACCAAAAAGAAAAUAUAUAUAUCAAAUGCCACACCACCCGUACCUGUUCUUCAGCGAUUAGCUAGUGAUCCGGAGCUUGAGUACGCCUUUGUAUUCCUUUCUUUCACGUUCUCGUGCGCACACCUUGGGCAAGCAUGCUUUUUGAGGAAUUGGAUAUGCGGUUAACAAAGCGCGCGAGUCGCACGUGCGGCACCAACCGCCGAAAAGUUGGAAAAACUAAGUCUUUCUUUUUUGAGUCUAUCUAAUUCCUUACAGAAAUGGUGAAUCCAUGAUCUGACCCAUAUCACGAUUCACUUCUUGUAAUCAUGACGUAAUACGGGAUGCGAGACCGAUAUUGAAUUUACUAGAACAUUGCAGUUCUGUAUUUAAAAAUGAGGGAAUGAGAAAAUUAGGAAGAAGGCGGUGCUUAAUCAUUAUGUUGUGUUCAAGUCCGACCAUGUCUCUAAUUAUUACUUUGCCUAAACUUUGUAUUAUUGACGUACUCAAACCGAUGAUUGUGCCCUCCACAUAGUAAAAUGAUGUCAAUGUACGUGAGAUAUAAUCCAUCUCUUAGGCAUUGGGAGAAAUGUUUCAUAGCGAUGCUAAAGUUUAGAUGACAAAUGCCAAAAACUUCCCACUUUUCUUUUACAAGUUAUCAUCUUGAUAUGUAACCUUACUGGAAAUCUCUUAACUUUAUCGUCUUUGAAUUUUUCUCUUUUUACAAUCAAAUUCUUGAACUAUGAUUUGUUCGUUCACAUUGGACCUUCCAUUAAAAGAAGAAAAAAAGUGCUUAUGUGACCGUCAAAUGCCAAAUUGACUCAAUGUGGCUCCUACGUCCUUAUUAGUAAGAUUAAAGAAAUAACAAAAUUAAAUUUUCUUCAUCGAGGAAAAUCUGGAGCAACGACACCACCGUGAGCCCGAGCCCACAAGCAAUUUGUUGAUAGUGUUCGAGUUUGAUGAGGGGAGGGAGGACAGAGGUUGGAACACUUUUCAAUAUAAGCCCGCCCGAUCGGCUUCGACUUUUGAAGCGGAGGCGUUGGCAUCUAGGGUGAGGUGGUGAUGGCUCGGAAUUGGGAGGCUCACCUUCGGCUCUCAUGGCUUUCUAAACGGUGUUGCGUCAAUUUCCAACAACAUUGAAGAGAUUGGAGAUGACUGGAAAUUCCACUCGUCUUUUUUUUCUCCUUUUUUUUUUUUUUUUAAGUCAGUCAUAUUUCGGGCCAAACCCAGCCCAAAAUUUUAAAAAAAUGCCUAUCCAAGAGGACUUGUUUAGGCCCCAACCUUUCAACCGGGCCUGAAGUUGAUCGGACGGGGCAUAUUUUUCAAUAAAAAAGCCACCCAUGUGCAACUAUACUUCCGAUUACUAGACGCCAAAGGAACUCACGAACUCAUUGCUACACCAUUCUUUAUCUGCGGUAAACAAACAAGCAUUCCUAUUCUGUAACAUAGAAAUGGCAACAAUUUAUUGCUUAUGCCCAUUCAUGAUGAAUAUUUUCCCCUAAAGUCAAUCAACUAACAUUAAAUUAACCCCAAUAACAACUAGUCACAAUAUUCCAGCAAUAUUAACCCUAAAGCAGUGAAGACAGUGCAGAAUAUUAAAGCAAGGGAAAACCAACACUCGUUCGUAAAAUUUUACGUGAAAAACACAAUACAAAAAAAAUCACGAGACCAGUCAAGAUCUUCCACUAAUCACCAAGAAUAACAUAAUACAUAAUAGUUCAUUUCAAAUAACAGAGCUAGAGGCUCUUCACAUUAACAAAAUAUUAUCACCACAAAGGUGGAUUAACAUAAAGAAGCAAGAAAGAUCUAACCGUUGCUAGACAAAAUCAGGAGACAAUUUGGAGAAGAUUUUAACAAACACAGCCAAUCAACUUGUAGAUCAUGGACUCACGAACAGCAUAUGAAAUUUCGGCCAAUUCCGACUAAGUUUUCUAUCAAAUUUAGACUGCUUCCUCUUCAAAGCAAAGCUCUCCGCCUCUUUUUUCUCUAUAACAACGAAUUGCUCAUCCCUCUCUUCUAAAUCAAGAACAUUCAGCCCUAUUUAUUCUUUUUCUUUUUUAUUUUAUUUAACAUGAUGAGAUGAGCCCCACAAGAGGUGGACCCAACCCAACAAACUUCCCCUUUACCUUAUGAAGAAGUUUCAUUAUGCUAGCGUUAUCUAUACAAGAAUCAAGUUUCACCAUUGGCAAGGUUUUACUCAUCAUAUUAGAUCCAUUAUCAUCAGUGUAGACUUUCUCAAGUAAGAAAAGUUUCUCAUCUAAUUUAUCUCGGAUCCAAUGACAAGGAUAAAGCAUCAGUCUGGGUAAAGCAACCAGAUGCAAUUCUAGUGAACAUCACUCUAUCUUCAGCGAUAUGACAUGGAUAAAGCAUCCCGCAUAAUGCUGUCUUGUAUUUGCACGAAUAGAUUUGAUCUUGUCGGGGGCAAGACCGCUCAUCUCUAACUAAUAACAGCAGCUACCAAAGAGUUUAUAUAUUUAGAGCAGUAUCAUGAUUCACUCUCUAAGGAUAAACACCCUCUAGAAAUGGAGAGAUCGGUUUCCUAUAUCUUCUUUAGUUCGCUUGCAAACCAUAAAUGGUGGAAGUUGAGAUCCAUGGAGUAACCUGACAAGCCUAAGUUUCGAGCCACUAAAACAUGUGUGCUUACAGUAUUGUCUCUUUUAUUACAUAACCUUUUGCUUUGAUGGGGCAUUUUUUCGAAACAUGCUAAAACCGACAUCAAAGGCACUUUUACAGCAAUAACAUCAGGUUAUAUUAGUGUCGUGUUUAUCCUAGACUAUGUUAAUACAGAGCUUCGAGGAAAUUGAUUGAAAUAUCGACCGACUAAAUUAAAGUUCAACGCCACCAAAUGCUAGGCUCUUAAGAAAUACUGCCCGGUAGAGAGACUUAUCGAUUAAGAAAUUUAACCAAAGCUCUCUCCAUUUUUCUUUUACAUCGACGGCAAGCUUAACAAUAAUAUAAAGUUUCAUUUAAUCAUAUUAUGUUAAAUAUUAUUUCCUAGCGACCAAAUGCAGCUAGUCAAAUUCAAAUGAAGAAUUCGAUAAUAAUCAUGCUCUGUUUGUUUCACAACAAAUAAAUAAUUUGGAAAGUAUUUUCCAAAAAAUAAUUACAUUGUAUCUCUUGAAAUAAUUAGUCAAUAAACAAUGUUUUCAUUAUUAAUAAUAAUUUUAUGUCCAAGCAUUUCGGUGAAUGAUGGAAAAAAUACCCUAUCAUUUAUUUUUAUAAGUGAUUGCAAGUGGUAUAAAUAAUAUAUAUAUAUAUUUUAUAUUUCAAAUCAUUUAUUUCUCGCGAAACAAGAAGAUAACGAAAUGAUAUUUACCCGAAGAAAAUGGGUAAUUGGGCCCAGUUAUCGUUGGCCCAAAAAUUCUCUUGGGCUAUAUGAAACCUUCGUCCCUCGUAAUCACGAAAGAAAGUCUCGUCUUUCAGUCGACUUGAGGAUCAUUUUUGGUUCUAAAUCGAGCUCAAACGUUCGUUUUCACUACUCAUCUUCGUUUUCAUCUAAGGUCUUCGGGGAGCUUCUGUGAGCGUUUUUCACUACUAAUCAUUGCACCGCCGCUUUUGUUCUUCAAUUUGAUAUCUAUUUUGCUCUUUUAAGCCAGUUUUCGUUGAUGUCGCGACUGUUUCUUGCUGAUUGGAUCGUCUUCGACCUGGGGCUGGAUGGUUUCUAGCUCGGGUAGCAAGAAAAUGUCGGAGAUCUCUUGUGGUGAUCGAGAUAGAUAGUAGUGUAAGAAGGUGAGAUGAAGAUUUAAGAAAUGUUGUGCCGUAGGUUUGUUCCAGCCGUAAUUGCGAAUGGGUGUCCGUGGAAUUACUUCCGUUGGACGUGCUUGUUUGUCUGUCUAAAUGGCGUGCUUUCUUUGAACUGGUGAUUAUUUUGUGCUUGAGUCAGAAAUUGGGAAUGCGAGCAAUUUGAGCAUGGACUCAUCUUCUCCAAUUGGGAAAAGAGAUGUCCCUAGUUCCCUUUCUUCCAUAUUAUUGUACAUGUGAUUGUUCCAAACAAAGUCUAACACAAUCUGUUGUUAAAUUUAUAGGAUCGUUACGAUCCUUGAUGACCUCACGAAAUUUUGUAAUGGGGCAUGCUUAAGAUUUGAUUCCGUGUUCAUUGAUAUGUAGCGUCUUACUGGAAGAUGGGCGAGCUCGCUGGCAAUGAAAAUCUCAAGUACAUGCUGUGUUGAAAAGGUCGGUAUGAAAUUUUUACUACUCUCUUCUUGUUCUCUUGUCCACUUUCUGCCAGUUACUGAAAAUGACUUGGUUUAUCUGGAUCUGCUACUAUUCAGCAUUUUGGAGUUUAUUGAUUUGAGUUUCUGGGUUUGAUCUUGCACUCGGAAAAAUGAUAGUUUUGAGUCAUUGAUUAUGGAGCACUUGAGAUUGAAUGGAGCAUUUUGGGGAUAGAACACUGUAGAUCUUCUUGGAAAACUUGGCACUGUGGAUUCAAAUGAAGUUGUUUCUUGGAUCCUGCAAUGCCAGCAUCUGUCUGGUUUGUAUUUAUUUGUCUCUCAGCUUCUUUUUCACGAUUACCCACCAAAAACAUGCGGCUGACAGAUCCUCCACUCCACAUUUAGUCAAGUAUUUCUCAUUUGACAGUAUGCUUAAGAUAUUAGCUUGGGAUUGACAAGUUCCAUCUAUUACAUUGAUGACCACAUCUUAGGAGUGAUUAGUAAUGCUUUAUUUAUUUAUAUUCUAAAACUUGACUCUAAAGAGCAAAGUGUGAAUGACACUUAGGGCUGCUUGUGCAGGUGGCUUUGGUGCCAAAUAUUGGACAUGAUCCGCAUCUGCUGGAUGCACUCAGGGCCGUGCAAGUACUGGCCCUUUAUGACAAGUUUGAUGUUUUUGACAUCAAUAAGGUGACAGAUUGUAUCCUUUGGAAUAAAGCGUCUUAGACUCUGUUUUGCAUGUAAAAGGUCAGAUUAUGUUAUGUUAUGGAAUUUUAUAGUGUGUAUAUUGCUAGCCAGACAUUGAUGGAGAUUGAAGUUGCUAACGUUGGAUUAUCUCUGGUAUCAAAUGUUCUACAUUGUUGUGCCUGAAUGAAGAUGAAUCUUUUUCUGGGGAUAUAUGCGGAGAAGUUGAUGCUUGGUGUAUUGUCCUCAUCUUUGAUCAAUUAUUAUUUUUGUGCUUCUUGAGGAUGUUUCUUAAAUAAUUGACAUCCCUUCACCCCUUUCUUCCCCUCGAAGGUUCUCUCAUUGUGCUAUAUGCUAUCUUGCGAUACUUAAAUGGUUGGAUUCGAUAUGUGGAGAAUGCUCAAUUGCAAAACUUUGGAUGGUGGGUUUGGUUGCAUUCCUGGUGCAGGGUCUCACCUGAAAUGAUAUCAUUGCACACAGCCUUCGCUUCCAUCUUGAUGGUAUAAUCACUGCGUAAACCACUGAUGUCUAUCUAAGAUAUCCCAAGACAACGCACUAAUGUCCUUCCUCUCUCAACUAAUCUAGCUGGUAGUAGUUAACAGUUGGAGAAAACCAUCUAGUCUAGCUAAAUCUACAGGGAACUAUUUGUUGCCAAAAUGCCAACUAAAAUUCCAGAAUCUCACCGUACUAUCACAAAAGGUAAAGAAACUUCAGAGUUGCCUAACUUAUUAUUAAACUACGAUCUUCACAAGACAAUGAUCUCCUUAGGAUUGGUAAGACUAUAGUCUCAUAUAAAUUGAAUACAAUUUAAUAUUGGUGACAGUGUAAUUCGAGAAUGUAAACUCGACCAUAAGGCAUACUUAUUGAAUUUCAUAAAUCAUCUGUUUCAAAUAAUUUUUCUUUGCAAUUCCCAGGAUCCAACAAUCUGCAGUUCAAGAAGUCUAGAUUCGGGAUCCAGCAGGUCCGCAAUUGAUGGCAAGUUUUCCAAUCUGAAUAACCUCAGGACUUAGUAAAGUAGUAAUUAGGAGAUUAACAGAACCGCUUAAAUACUCGAACGCUUUGCUAACUGAGCAAGUAAACACACUUCAAACGUGUAAAACGCGCAAUGAGCAACGAUUGCAAAAUGCAUUCUCGUAAGCAGCCACGGAGGGCCUCAAUGAAUUGCAGUUUUUUCCUCUCCUAGCUAAGCUAUAACGGAAGUUCCUCCUGACCACUGUCCUGCCCUUGAAUAAUAUAGAGCAAAUCUAGCAACCCAACCAAAUCCAGCAUGUCAUAACCUCAUGCUGAGCUCUUUCGCUGGUUUCUAAUAUGUGAUCGGUGCAUAGUAAGUCAUGUAUUUGCUUAAAUACAUGAUGGUCUUCUAAUUAUGCUCCAAUGAACACAUCCAAAAGAUAAAACCAAGUCGCCGCAGUUUUAAGACAUUCCUUAGGACUCAUCUUAGACAAGAGAAAGUACAAAGGAAUUGAUAAUUUCCAGUGGAGACUUAGGCAUAAAACAAUGAAGGACCAAGCAAGAAAAUUAAGAAGCACAAGAGCCUGAUCAAAUAUCUUUCAAUUCAAAUAAGAAGAUAUUUGCAAAACGGAGAACUGGAACGUGGGAGUAAUCGUGAAGCAAUAAGAUUUGGUGUUUCUACUUCAACGGAUAACAAAACCGUGUGUAUUUUGUGUAGCCAAUUGUCGAGUCGAUCACGUAGUAAAUUUGACCUGUGGAAUCCUCAACCAUAAGCAGCAGACCUCAAUAAAGCAAUGGAAACCACAACUACCCAAAACAUGAAAGAAAAAGAAAAGCUGGACAUCCCAUUUUAAUUCUACAUGAUGAACUAAGAAGAGAAGCACUCGUUGCUUCUUUUUCAAUCAUCAAGAGCUCCUCACAGGUAAUAGACAGCUCCCCACAGGUAAUAAAGAGACAGUGGAUACUCAUUAAAGCGACCAUGAACCAAACCUUAGAAUAUACUCACAGACGAACUCUUCAAGAGAAGAUGCUCAACAUCUUGCGCACAUGAUUACACUCAAUCGAGCAGUCCACGAAAGCAUAGUAACAUAACUAGACUAGGCAUACAGACCCUUAUACAACUAUUAGUAUAUGAAGCUAGAGCUAGAGCUCAAGCUCAUGCUUAAUAUUUAAAGAUAAAUCACACAAUUACAUUCAUCUAAACACCAACUGCCACACCAAAAAAAACACCCAAAAAAAAAAAAAAAAACCCAACUGCCCCCCACCACUCUUACCUGUUCUUCAGUGAUUAGCUAGUGAUCCAGAGCUCAGGCCCAUGACUCCCGCCACUGAUGAAAUUAAUGAAUGCACCAAAUUCCUCCAGCUGAGCGGCACUAAAGAAGAAAAUGUGCAAAAGAGUGAAAAGUGGCGCUAGAGAAGGACUUGAAGCUCACAGACCUGGAACUUGAAGCUCGUGAAGAAGGACUUGAAGCUUGUGGACGACGAAGAAAGAAGAGACGGUGGCAACCGACACGGCCAACGACGGACUUAAGUUUGCGAGGAGCGAGUAGCAUGGUGGAUGGAAUGACAGCGAAUUGCUUGUGCAGCGAGAGAGAUGAAGAAGAAAACAUGAAAAAGAACCCUAAUCCCAAUUCAAUCCAUCGUUCACGAAUAAUCAUCCAACUUUCUUUUCCCUUUUUGUUUUGCUGACUCUGUCUGCAGAAGGAAACGAUAAGGUGAGUUGAGGUGAGGUCUCUUGGGCCUAAAAGGCCCCCAAUCAUUAACCCUCAGUUCAGUUCUCCUCUCCCGUUAUCUCCCUCUGUCCCGUCUCCGACGCCGCUCGCCCUCAACGCCACCGCCGGACGCCGCUUGUCCCGCCGCUGGACGCCAAUCGCUCCGUGCUCGCCCCGCCCUUGCCUCCCUCGACGCUGUCACCCCCGCUCGCCUCGCCUCUCAGCCGCUGGACGCCGCUUGCCCUCGACGCCGCCGCUGGACGCUGCUCGAUCCCCCAGUGGACGCCUCUCGCCACUCGCCGCUGGAUCCCCCGGUGGACGCCGCUCGCCGCUCGCCCAAUCGCCCCUGACACCGCUCGCCCAGCUGCCCCCGACGCCGCUCGCCGCUCGCCCAGCCACCCUAACGCCGCUCGCCCGGUCACCCCUGACGCUGCUCGCCCCCGACGCCGCUCGCCCAGUCGCCCCCGACGCUGCUCGCCCCCGACGCCGCUUGCCCUCGACGCCGCCACUGGACGCUGCUCGAUCCCCCGGUGGACGCCUCUCGCCACUCGCCGCUGAAUCCCCCGGUGGACGCCGUUCGCCGCUCGCCCAAUCGCUGCCCCCGACGUCGCUCGCCGCUCGCCCAGCCGCNNNNNNNNNNNNNNNNNNNNNNNNNNNNNNNNNNNNNNNNNNNNNNNNNNNNNNNNNNNNNNNNNNNNNNNNNNNNNNNNNNNNNNNNNNNNNNNNNNNNNNNNNNNNNNNNNNNNNNNNNNNNNNNNNNNNNNNNNNNNNNNNNNNNNNNNNNNNNNNNNNNNNNNNNNNNNNNNNNNNNNNNNNNNNNNNNNNNNNNNNNNNNNNNNNNNNNNNNNNNNNNNNNNNNNNNNNNNNNNNNNNNNNNNNNNNNNNNNNNNNNNNNNNNNNNNNNNNNNNNNNNNNNNNNNNNNNNNNNNNNNNNNNNNNNNNNNNNNNNNNNNNNNNNNNNNNNNNNNNNNNNNNNNNNNNNNNNNNNNNNNNNNNNNNNNNNNNNNNNNNNNNNNNNNNNNNNNNNNNNNNNNNNNNNNNNNNNNNNNNNNNNNNNNNNNNNNNNNNNNNNNNNNNNNNNNNNNNNNNNNNNNNNNNNNNNNNNNNNNNNNNNNNNNNNNNNNNNNNNNNNNNNNNNNNNNNNNNNNNNNNNNNNNNNNNNNNNNNNNNNNNNNNNNNNNNNNNNNNNNNNNNNNNNNNNNNNNNNNNNNNNNNNNNNNNNNNNNNNNNNNNNNNNNNNNNNNNNNNNNNNNNNNNNNNNNNNNNNNNNNNNNNNNNNNNNNNNNNNNNNNNNNNNNNNNNNNNNNNNNNNNNNNNNNNNNNNNNNNNNNNNNNNNNNNNNNNNNNNNNNNNNNNNNNNNNNNNNNNNNNNNNNNNNNNNNNNNNNNNNNNNNNNNNNNNNNNNNNNNNNNNNNNNNNNNNNNNNNNNNNNNNNNNNNNNNNNNNNNNNNNNNNNNNNNNNNNNNNNNNNNNNNNNNNNNNNNNNNNNNNNNNNNNNNNNNNNNNNNNNNNNNNNNNNNNNNNNNNNNNNNNNNNNNNNNNNNNNNNNNNNNNNNNNNNNNNNNNNNNNNNNNNNNNNNNNNNNNNNNNNNNNNNNNNNNNNNNNNNNNNNNNNNNNNNNNNNNNNNNNNNNNNNNNNNNNNNNNNNNNNNNNNNNNNNNNNNNNNNNNNNNNNNNNNNNNNNNNNNNNNNNNNNNNNNNNNNNNNNNNNNNNNNNNNNNNNNNNNNNNNNNNNNNNNNNNNNNNNNNNNNNNNNNNNNNNNNNNNNNNNNNNNNNNNNNNNNNNNNNNNNNNNNNNNNNNNNNNNNNNNNNNNNNNNNNNNNNNNNNNNNNNNNNNNNNNNNNNNNNNNNNNNNNNNNNNNNNNNNNNNNNNNNNNNNNNNNNNNNNNNNNNNNNNNNNNNNNNNNNNNNNNNNNNNNNNNNNNNNNNNNNNNNNNNNNNNNNNNNNNNNNNNNNNNNNNNNNNNNNGAAUAUCAGAUGAGAGACGUUCUCAAAGAUUUCUGUGGCACUUCUGCACCAUUGUAGUCCCAAGUGCUUAUUGAUCUAACUUAAUGUUUUAUUUUCUUUUAAGUACCCCUUUCAACAUAUCAAAGAAAUUUGAUGGAGAAACAGUAACAGAGAUUGUCCGUCCCCACCUUGCAAGGAUUAGAUAUCGUGUUAAGAGAUUGCCUUGGUAUCUCAUUCUCCAUAUGCAGAGAUUUACGAUUUAUAUUUUAUAUUUUAUUUAUUAUUAUUAUUAUUAUUAUUAUUAUUACCAUUCUUAUUACCCUUAUUUUAUUUUUUUUGUGGAGAAGAACCCAACUCUAGUUAAAGCAGAAAUAGAAAGCAAGCAAAGCAGAAGAAACAACAAUGAUUAAUGAACAGAAAGAAGGCGCACCGUUUUCUGUAGAGGAUCCCCUGUUUCUGUUUCAGAGUUCGUUGUUUCAAUUUCAGAGCCCGGCGCUUGCUUUGUUCUGCUCAAAAUCUUCUCUCUGUAAGACUCCCAAGUGUGGAAAUAUUUAGUGUAGCCAAGUUCACUAUCGUCUUCACUAUCGUCGGAUGACUUCUCGCGUGGUAUGAGUAUCUCGCAAUUAUCUGGUUCUUUUGAGCUCAAUACAUCAAAAAUCAUUUCGAAUAUGCACCCACUAAUUUCCAAGGAACAUGAAGACUUUAGUUCGUAAAUGCCCUCAAUAACCUGCAGGCUGGGGCACUGGUCAAUCUUUAUCCGCAAGUUCUUCAAGUUUGACAAACUGCCUAAUCUUUUUAACGAAGAGCACCGGUAAAUGUCUAACCACUUCAAGUUCUUCAAGUUUGACAAACCGCCUAAGCUUUUUAACGAAGAGCACUCACGAAUGGAAAUUUCUUCCAAUAAUACGAAAGUAGAAUCAAAUUGAAUAUCCUGUACCUCAUGGGACUCCCACAGAUAGAAACUUUUAAGCAUCUUUCGGGAGCUUGGGAAAAGGAUCGCUUCCCUACAAUGAUCAGUCAACUCGGGAGCUUGUAGUUCACUGCACCCCCGCUCCUCCGGGUGACAAACCAUACUCUUGGAAGAUCUGCGGAUUUUUGAGCUCGAAGCAUCAAAAAUCCUUUCCAAUGAUCUGCACCUCCCAAUUUUCAACGAACGCAAAAACUUCAGUUCGUCAAUGCCCUCAACAACCUUCAAGCUCGGGCACUGGUCAAUCUCUAACUUCUUCAAGUUUUUCAAGCUUGACAAACCGCCUAAGCUUUUUAAUGAAGAGCACUCUUUAACUGAAAAUUUUUCCAAUGAUUCUAACAGAGAAACAAAUCGAAUAUCCUGUACCUCUGGGAACCCCGACAGACAGCAUUCUAUAAGCAUGUUUAGGGAGCUGGGGAAAAGGAAGGCUUCCCUCCAAUGAUCAAUCAGCUCAGAAGCUUGUAUUUUAUUGCACCCCGGCUCCUCCGGCUGACAAACCAAACUCUCGGAAGAUUUGCAGUCCUGAAUACGUGAUCUCUCCGACGAUUGUAAGACAUUGGGAGAUUGAACAUCUAGUUGCUCGUACGCCUUGCUUUCUCUCGAUAUUCCCAAACUUGUUGAAGGGAAUAUGGUCUCCUUUUCCAAUGGAGGAAGCCCAUCGAGUUGUACUUUUUUCCCUCUAGCUUCGUAAAGCCUUAAAACCAUCAAGUUUGACGGAAGUUGUUUGAAAGGGGGCAAGUCUAUUCCGUGCAGAAUAAGUUCCUUCAACAGAGAAAGGGAACACAACUGUGUAGUUGGGGCACGGACAUUUGGAAAGUGAAAGUACAGCUUCCUCAAUUUGGAUAACAUGCCAAUCCACUGCAAGUCGCAAGUUUGAAUUACACUUGAUUUGUCUCUAGAUUCAGAGCGAUCGGAUAGGUGCAGCUCAACUAGAUUAGUAAGGUAUAAGAGGUUAGGGACAGUCAGCAACGAAGUAGAACUUAGCCGUAGAGUGGUCAAACAUUUGGGGAGUUCUGGCAACUCUUGUAUCCCAUCGCAACCCAUCAAGCUUAGUGUUUGGAGUUGAUGAAACUUGCUGAUUGUACUGGGCAUUCCCGCAAUUGGUGUGCAUGACACAUUGAUAGAUGACAAGCUUGCUAGUCUACCAAUGGAAUUUGGUAAUCUUGUAAUUUUGGUGCCAGAUACAUCCAACGUCGUUAACGACUCUAAUUUCAAAACUGAGUCGGGGAGUUCAAUGAAGUCGUGACAACCCUCAAGAGAGAGGUGCCGCAGAUUAUGUAACUCUCCAAUUUGUUUUGGCAAUUUUCUAAGACGCCAACAUGACUCAAAACUCAAGUCAGUCAACCACCUCAGUUUUCCAAUAGAGCAAUCAAUUUCCUUCAAAGAAAAAAAAUCAAAAAUAGUCAACUUCUCUAAAACUAAGUUCUCGGGAAAGCUUGGCAUCUCAUGUAUCAAGUUAUUAUAACGAAUAGUGAGAACCUUCAAUUUCCUUGCCCCCUACAAAAGCCAACGAAACAUCAAGACGGACAAUAAAUAAAUAUGGAUUUGUGCUACUAAUGAGAAAAUAAGAUUAUAAAUCCAGCGGAUUUUGUCCUUCUUUGAAUGAGAAAAAUAGACUAAGAGGAAAACUGGCAUACCUUGAUUAGGCUCUCGAACGCAUCUUUUGUGAUAUCGAGCCCAAAAAGAUGCACCACAACCGCGUUUUCUAGAUGCAACAAAUUGGUUGCCUCCAAACGUUGAUUGGAUCGACAGCCAACUACUGCAUAAUUGUAACUCAAACUGAACCAUUUCAGCUUGGAAAGACAGCCCGUAAAGUCACCUUGGCAGAUUACCUUAUUCAUCAAGAGAAGCCGUAAACAUGGGAAACGCUUAAUUUGCUCUGAAGUGACAGUCAUACGAGGAUGAGUUAAACGAUUCCAUGACAAAUCGAGUGCUUCAACGCUGUUCUUGGUCUGCCAAUUCAAAGGAGAAGAAAAAACAAAACAGAAGAGUAGCUUCCGAAUCAAAAACGGGAAUCCUCAAUUAAGAAGAGGGUGUAAGAAAUUUUCUAGUCAAAUUUGGCCAUGCUUUACCUCUGUUGAUGUUAAUUCAGAAAUGAUGUCGUGUGUAUUCCACAAUCUAGUACGCUCAUUUUUGGCAAUUGCCCUUCCAAGAUCUCUAAAUUGAUCGUGCAUCCCAAAUCUAUCAUCGUUGAAAACCUUAAUCAUGCACCUCCUAGUAAGAACCUCGAUGGCAUCCUUUGGGCAAAACUCACAAUCUUUCCACAUGUACAUUGAAUUAGUCUUAUUGUGACCAAUGAAAAAGCAUGCAACAUCGAGGAAUAUCUGUUGUUGUUCCAGCUCUAAGGCAUCAUAGCUAAUCUUUAGCUUUCCCAAGACAUCUUUAUGAGGUGUCUUCUUUAGUUUCUCUAGCAUCUCUUCCCAUAUUUCUCUCUGUCUUUGAAAAAGCGAUGAACCUAUUGCUUCAAGAGCUAAAGGUAGUCCAUCUGUAGUAGAGACAAUGCUUUUUGAAAGAGUAUAGUAAUUGGCUAGAGGAGAGUUGUCGUCGAAUGCAUGCCUACAAAAAAGUUUGAGUGCGUCUUCGUCACUCAACCCCACCAUUUCAUAAUCCUUGAAUCCAUAUUUAGUUCCCCUGAUUUUCAAAACGCUGCUGUCCCUAGUAGUAACAAGUACUCUAGUACCAGGAUGCAAAGAUUUCUUUCCGAUUAGGUUUUGGAUCUGCUUGGCCUCAUCAACAUCAUCCAAUACAAUUAGCAUCUUCUUGUUGCAAAUUGUUUCUUCAAUCAUAUUGAUCCCAUGAUCAAUGUCGGAAAUGUUAGGAGCCACUCGAAAAUAAGAGACAUCGAACAAUAAUUUUUUUUGUAGCUCAACUAAGCCCUUGGUUUUUGCCGUUUCCCUCACGUCAUCAAGAAAGCUGCGGUUUCUCCCAAAGCAAUGAAGUAGUUGGUUGAAGAUAAUCUUGACAAGUGUUGUUUUACCGAUGCCACCCAUCCCAUAAAUUCCAAUGAACCGCACAUCAUUAGAAUCAAUGUCUAAUAAAUCUUUUAUGGUUACUAUAUGACCUUCCAUUCCAACUAAAUGUUCGGUUACAUGUUUCUGUCUUGUCUCGAGCCUGACCACAACCUCGUGAACAACCGCCUGGAUAAGUUUCGCAUAGCUGCCAACAAGUUGAGUAGUUUCAAUUGAGAAAAGGUGACAAAUUUGCAUGUUGACCAGCCAUCUACUAACCAACCAGGUGGGAACUCGAUCAAGUUUAGCAUAUAGAAGAGAAAUGUUUGAUCUUUGUAUCAAGUGGAAGAAUUAGAAUUUUUGGCCAAAAAGGGUAGAAGAAUCGAAAUAUAAAAAUCUAAUGAGUUACUAUAAUAGAAGAUUUAGUUAAAUAUAAAGUGGCCUGAUUGAACAAAAUAAUUUUCAGAGUAAUGGUUAGAUUGUUACCCAGAACAUUUCUCCAGCUCCCAUCCCUUGGUGCGACCAACUUCUUCGAGAGCUUGCUGCCAUGUCUUUAUAACCGUGGAGCUGAACUUAUUCUUCUGAUCCUCCAUCUUUUGCGCCAAAUUCGAUAUGGCAUCUUUGUACAACGGGGUUUUCAACUUCACGUCAUCGGGUUUCACGUCAUAGAAGAUGGGCAAUAUGACCUUCUCUUUCCCAUCUUCUUUAUAUUUAGAGGUGUUCUCCACCAUCUUCGCAAGCUCGUCGAGGCACCAGUGACUUGAAGCAUAAUCUUUGGAGAAGAUGGGUAUGUAGACCUUGGAAUUGUCAAUUGCUUGUAGAAGGUUGCCACUAAUUCUUUCACCUGGUCGAAGCCCUUCAUCAUCGAUGAAAACACUAAUCCCAGCAUUUACCAAGGCUAGGUAGAGGAUAUCGGCGAAUGUACGACGAGUAUCAGGCCCUCUAAAAUUCAAGAAGACCUGGUACUCACCUCCUGAUGGAUUGCUGGUGCUUGUUCCUGUCUCUGAGUUCACCAUCGAAGCUCACUUCGCACUUAGCAGGUUAGCCCUCUCACUUGGUCCUUGAGUUUGCCAUAUGACAUUUCACAUAUUUGAAUCCAAUCCAAUUUGCCGUCCAAAACGCGUAUAGGCAACUUCGUAGCAGGUGCAAUUUCCAGUUUGCAAUCAAUAAAGUCGAUGGCUUUAAAAAAGAAAAAUAAGGCAGAGGACAAUUAUGGAGGUGCCCCUUUUUAUACGCCCAAUUUCUUUCCAGUUUCCCCUUUGUGUUUUUGAACUUUUGGAUUAAAAAUAUUUGAUUCUUUAUAUCUAUAGUUAGGCAUAUUUAAAAUCCCAAUCUAGAAUUGUAAAAUGACAAUUUAUUUAUAUAGAGAAACAAAUUAUUCCUAAAGGAUCGCAUCUUAUUCUAAUACUUGGGACUGUAGAUAAUUAGAAAUAUCUCCUUCUUACUAUAGAGAUUGGAUUUGCUGCAUUCUCUACAACAAAUGCUCUACCUAAGCAUAUACGUACUACUUACUAUGAAAUAUUUGUUUUGAUCUCUUUGCCUUAAAGACUUCCUUUAAUUAUAAGUCAUUUCCUUUAACAACUCAAAUAUUCUCAUAAAAUGUGCCAUUAUAUUAAAAAGCAAAUGAUCAUUUAUUUUCUACUGAUGACUAUUAGAAUGUGAGCAUGGUGCAGUUAGUGUGCAUUGGACGUUAAACCAAAUCAAAUUAUAUAAAUAUGUUAGAAUAUAUUUCGAAUUUGAAAUUGUUGGAUGAAAUAGGACCAGAUGAGACUUAUGGAUGCUCCACCACUAUUCAAAAUUGGUGAGAGGAAAUGCAGUGAUGGCCUGUCAAUGGCCAUGAUGCCACUCCAUCCUGGUGUUGCUGUGAGCACGAAAGAAAGAAAAAGAAACCAUGAUGGUCUUGACCAUAAGAGAUGGCUUUGCUCACCUGAAGAAAGGGAAAACGAGAUCAAUGAUGGCCAUUGCCAAUAAUGGGCGGAAAGGGAAGAAGUCGAAGAAAGUGACGAGGACGAUGUCUUUUCAUGUUGGCCACUCGUUGUUUCCUUUCUUCUCUAUUUCGCUGAAUUUCCCCUUUAGAUACCAAGAGGAAGAGCUUUUAAUGUCACAGAGAACUCCGAAGCCUGCACAGAGCAUAUUGAAAAGCGUGCUGAAAGUUCCUCUUGAUCACACCAAAUAUUUCUUUUCUAAAGCCUAUUAAAUCUUUUGUUGAGAUUUGUAUCGUUUCUUUAAGAGAUUGAAAAAAUUAUUUUGAGAGAAAUUUUAAAAACUAAACAUUGUAUAGUUAUUGAGUAUAAUUAAAAACUGGAAACCACCAAGAGUAUUUAAAUGACUCGAGUGUGAUUAUAACUUUCAUUAUAUAUAUAUAUAUAUUUUUUAUCUAUAAUAGAAUCUUAUGCUGCUAUCCUUGUAGACGUAAACCACACAAUUAAAUCACAUAAAUCUAGUGUCCGAUUCAUUUUAUUGUUUUGUGCAUUUUAUUCAAUUGCUUUUUCUUUUUUCUUUUUUCAAAAGGGAAUAUGGUUUGAAGAAAAGUGAAACCAAAGUAAAAGAUAUUCAAUAUGACCAGCAUUAGGCAUUCAUGAACAAAUGCAUGAAAGAGUAUCUUUUAUUUUCUUAAGAUAUCGAUAAAUAUUUAUAACCUUAAACUUGUGGUUAGUGAUAGAAUUUGUCCCAUCGCCUGCUUAACAUUAACUCUGAUCAUGAGUACGAUAUUCAAUGCAAUCUACACGACCCGUUUCUUCUAAUGUCCCUUUGACAAUGCAUAGUGAUGUUCUUUUAUUGCCAUUUUCUCCGUUAAAUUGCGCUAGCCCGUGUGUUUCAGUUUGACUCCUUCAUUUUCCAUGACUUUACGGUCAAAUAUAUUUUAUUUAUUUAGUUUUGAACGCGAUAUAUCAAGAAAAUCAUAAAUUUGCAACUACAAUCUCGACAUAUUAAGUAUGUCUGUUUUGCAUGAUUUGACAUAGAUUUUCACGACAUUUGUUAAAGAUACAUUUUUUUGUUAGCAUGAUUUAACAUAUAUCGUUUUCAUAUUUCAUCUAUUAAAUAAGUUUUUGUUGAGAAAUUGAAAAUCAUUAUGAACAUUAUUCUUCAGAUUUUGAACCGUUGUAGUAGUAGUGAAGAUCAGAUAGAAGCUAGCCGCAAUUAUUUAUAUUUUGGUUUGUUUUAUUUAUAUUUGUUUUUCGUGGCGUUAUUAGUUGCUUUGACUUGUUGACUAAAUUGGAGCACUGUACGAAGUCUUCCAGAGGAUGACUUGUCCACAUUUAUUUUAUCUCAUUUAUAACACUACUAUCUAAAUCAUUCGACUCAAUUAAUACCGCUUUAUGCGUGCAAAUCACUCCAUUCACGUGCAUUCAGUUAGCUCCAUUCACAAGAUUGUUAAGGAGACAUCGGGGGUAAUGAGUAAAGGACACUGUGAUCAAAUUUGAACAAAACGUCGUUUCAAAAAUUGCAUUCAAAUUACACAUAAUGCAUUCAUGACGGUUUUUACAACAUUUCACUAAUUAUGUAUAAAACAACAAUCCUUCCAAAGAUAUGGCAAUCGGAUCAUAACUAUGGUCAAUAUUUGAUGCGCAACUUUCUACAACUCCGCAACACCUUUUGAAAAUGCUAUGAACAUGUACAUCUUAUGCUUUCAAGCCAUUGCCUCAAACGAUUGGAAUACAUGAAAGAUGUUAAUGCUUGCUUUUUAGUAAAUCGGAAGGUCAUGCGAUACCAUAUUACAAGAUCCCCAAAAGAUGCCAACAUGCCAUUCUUUGAAAUCAUGUUUUUACCUUUUAAUUAAUCAUGCAUGCUGCAUACAGCUUCAAUAAAUCCGAAAGGUUUUAGGCAUGUGAAAAUUGAUGUUAUCGGACGAUUAGCUUUUGGACCUAUUUCUUCAAUAGCUAAAGGUAGUCAAUAUGUGGUAUAGACAAUGCCUUUGAGAGUGUGUGGCUGGAGGAGAGUUGUUAUCGAAGGCAUUUCUACAAAAAAAGUUUAGAUGUGUUUAUUUUGAGUGCGCGCCUCAUUGUUCGUCAAAUUUCUGCCAUUCUUUUGUAUUGGACAAUUCAGUAAUAAUAACAUUACAUUCAUUAAUGGGAGCUUUUAUUACAUUCUUAAUGCGAAAAGCUUCUCCACCGUGUCAUCCUCCUUCAGAAAUUUACAGAAGAAGAAUCAAGGCAUUGCAUGAGAAAAGGAGAAAAGAAUGUCUAUUAUGAGAAAUAAACAAAGAAAUUCUUGAUUUGAAUGCGCGAAGUCCGGUGCCACUUUCUUUAGCGAGAGACAUCAUUUUGGACGUUUGUAUUGCGUGACUCACGUGAUUCAAUUGAAACUUAUGAACGACAACUUCAUAGCAGUUGCAGCUUUCAAUUUAUAGUCAAUAAAGUUGAUGGCUUUAGAAAAAACGAAAUGGAGGACAAUAAUGGAGGUGAACCUUUUUACAAGCCCAAUAUCUUUCGAGUUUCUUUGUUAGAGCUAACACUAUCACCUAAAAAAGGGUGAAUAGGUGAUUAUAAACAAUUAAAGCGGAGUUUAAAACAACCAAGUUCAAUAUCAUGAAAAACAAAAUCUAAUGAAAAACUUUGCAAUGAUCAGAUUGUCUCCAAAAUCUAAUGAAAUACUACACAAUAAUAAGACUUUACUAUGUGCAAUAAAUAGAAUAAAGGGAAAAUUCCAAAUAAGGACCCGAAGUGAACCAAUUUUCUCAAAUAAGGAUCCGAAAUGAACUUUGUGUCAGAUAAAGACCUAAAGUGGACCCAUUGUCUCAAAUAAAGACCCAAAGUGGUUGAAUCAAUUCCAAAUAAGGACCUAAGCUUGCUAGUCAACCAAAUAUUCGCUAACUAUCAAGCAUGUGACAUUUCCGACGAUUGGAGUUUGGGUAAUUUUGUCCAAAAAAAAAAUCUAGGGAAAAUUAACAAAUCAUAAAACAUAAACAAAAAAACCCUAGGUUUUCUAUGGUCUCCCUGUUCCUUGUACCCAUCCUCUGCAAAGUCAAAGACCGAGGUUCUCCCCAUUCCUUGUACCCAUCCUCUGCAAAGUCGAAGACCCAAAUUCUCUGCCGGUUGAGGCAUGAAUUCAAAAACAAGAACAAAACCAUAUCCUUCUUUCUUUGUUUGCGGAGACCCAAAUUCUCCGCCGAUCGAGCAAGGUGAGGAGCGACAAGAAUUGAGUCAUGACAAUGACCGGCUAGCGAUUUGGUUGAGGAGCAACGGGGGAGAAGAAAGAAGAAAAUGUAAACAUCUAAAUAAAUAACAUAAACUUAAUUAAUUUAGAAUUUUCCCUUUUUUCCAAUCACAAAUUUCUGACAAAAUUGCCCCUAUUUUAAUCGCUGAAAAAUGUCUGUCGGCGAGCUAAGGUCCUCAAUAGAGAUUAACUCGAGCACUUUGGGUCCUUAUAUGACACAAAAUUCACGUCGGGUCCUUAUUUGAAACAAUGGAUCCACUUCGGGUCUUUAUUUGACACAAAGUUCACUUUGGGUUCUUAUUUGAGAAAAUAGAUUCACUUCAGGUCCUUAUUUGGACUUUUCCCUAGAAUAAAUGAGUUAUUAAAGGAUAGAGAAAAUCGCACACAACAAUUAUAGUGGUUCGGCUUAUGAUAAAACUACAUUCACUCUCUCAUGCUACAACCUAUUGGUUGGAUUUCACUAUGAAUAACUAAUAAGAGGUUACAAGAUAUGAACUAUAAACACUCAAGUUCAUGCGUAUAACUCCUCACACACUCUCAACUUCUAAAUAAUUAUACAAUGAUACUCAUAGAGACAAAUGUAUUUGACCGCAAAACACUCUUUAGACUUUGGAAUUAUAAGUUUCGAUUCUCUUGUGUUGCGUUUUUCCUUUUAACUUCGAGACCUCCUUUUAUGCUUCUCCCAAACCAAGCUAACCAUUGGACAUAUAUCCAAAAAGAUUAUCUAGCCAAUCUACCUCUUGGCCUGGAUCUCAUUAAGAAUGUUUGAUCACUUUAAGGAUGCCAAGAAUAAAGCUUCUCAUAGAUUCUGCCGCUUAUACAGCAGUUUGGGUUUUCAUAAGUCAAGUGCUUCAACUUAGAAAGAAUGUUUCUUCUCAAGUAUAUCGUUCUAGGAAAGACGAAGAAUCCAAUCAAUCGCUGCUAACCUUUACAUGAGGAUAUUGUCUCAUUCUAGCUGUUUGAUAGAGUACAUAAGAAAGUCAUGACUCUGGUUUUGAUUGAUAUUGUCUACUCAUAUUCCAUUGGACUUUGCACUUGAAAAAUACUUAUCAUCAGAAUUGAAGUCUUUACGCUAGAUAAGUUUUGUCAAUCUUCAAAAUCAAUUUGGGAGAUUUUCUCAACAAUCUCCACUUUUUUAUGAUGUCAAAACUUUCCAAGUAGAACUUAAGAAAAGAUUUUAAAAAGAUUUAGUAAUCAAAUAGCUCUAUUGAAAGCAAUAUUUUAGAUAAGGCACAAUGUGAAUUUUAUAAGAACUUUGCUGAUUUUGUAAAGAUAAGUACAAACUUCUUACAGAAUAUUGAGCUUCAGAGUGAAUAAGAUUUGUAAGGAAAUUCCUUGAUUUGUGAAGAAAUUCCUUGCUCUGAUUAAGGAAGUUCAAGAUAAGAAUAGAUUCAAAGAACUUCCUUUUUUUUUAUAUAGCUCCUCCUGAGCAAGAUCACAAAAGAUCUUCAUCUACAUAUAGUGUUUUGCUUUUCUUGCAUUUUCUCUUUCUUUUUGUCAGCAUCACAAAAGAGACAAUAAUAAUGGAAGGAGUAUCACAUAGAGAAUAUGCUAUUCAGCUCAUCUUCACACACAAUCUUCAAAACAUAUUUAGCAUGAAACGAAAUUUUCAUAAACAUCUUAUAGAUGCUAUGGUGAACAUAAAAUAAUUGCAAUAUAGCUCAUGUUAUUAUAGAAUCAAAUACCAUAUACAUCAAUAUAUAUAUAUAUAUAUAUGAUAACAUAUGCAAUAUAUAAAUUUCAUAUACAUUUUUUGUCAUAGUAAAAUGAUAAUGGAAAUAUGAGAUUUAUAAUGACAAAAGGUAAGUGAAGUAAGAAAUAUACUAACCAGAUCAUGUAGAAUUUAGCAAGUUCUAAUAUACAUUAUAUUUUCUUCCAUAAUCAAGAGGAGGCAAAAAUUAAAUUGACUUAAUCAGGAUUUUCUCACACUUAAUUUACACUCCCUUUCAAUUUAAUGCCUUUAUGAGAUGAUCACGGUUCUUCUCCUUUAUUGUGCAUCCACUUUCUCAUUCUUUAAUAAAUUUAAUAAAUUUUGCGCCUAGAGGAGAAUUUUUGCUCCUUCGAAAAUGGUGUGGAAUCUUCGCGAUUUUUCUGAUCAAAUUUUCCAAAUUUUAGAUGGAAAGAUUAUUUGCCACCUGCAAUUUUUUUGUAAAAGAGAUAACAAUUUGCAAAAUAUAGAGAAUAUCACGUACUUUCCAUCCUUCAAUUUGCGGAUUAAUUUUGCCAGUUAGAAGAUAUGCUUCUUACAUAUAAAAGCACACAUUAAUUUCUUUCAAGAUUAAAAAGAUUAUAUUGUUUAAAAGAAAAUCUGAUUUUCAAAUGUUUAAAUCAUUUAUAAUUAUUCUGUAGCAAUGGUUAAACAUAUUUAUAUAGAUACAAAUGGAAUUUAUCUGUAUAAAUGCAUAAUAAGAAAAUAGUCCUAUAGAAAAGUUUAAGUUUAAGUGCAUUUAUUUCAAGUGAGAAGUUCGUUGUUCGUCAAAUUUUAACUAUUUUUUUGGAUUGGACAUUUUAGCAAUAAUAACAUUACAUUCAUUAAUGGGAAGAGCUUUUAUUACAUUCUUAAUGUGAAAAGCUUCUCCACCAUAUUAUCUUCCUUUAGAAAUUUACAAAAGAAGAACAAGCCCAUUACAUUAAAAAAGGAGAAAAGGCUGUUUGUUGUAAGAUAUGACGACAAAAUUCUUGAUUUGAACACCCAAAGUCCGAUGCCACUUUCGUUAAUGAGAGACAUCAUUUUGGAUGUUUGUAUCGCGUGACUCGUGAGAUUUAAUUAAAAGUGAGGAACAGGCAACUUCCCAGCAGUUGCGGCUUUUUAUAAAUAGUGAAUGAAGUUGAUGGGUUCAGAAAAAACCAGAUGGAGGACAAUUAUGGAGAUGAACCACUUUUUUCAGUCGGUCGAGAUGUGCAAUUAUGGAGAUGUACCAUUUCACACGCCCAAUAUCUUUCGCCUUUCUUCUUGGUGCCUUUGAACUUUUGAAUUAAAAAAAAAAUCCAAUUUUCAAAUGUUUAAAUGAUUUAUAAUUAUUCUAUAGCUAUAUCUAUAAUUAAACAUAUUUAUAUAGAUAAGAUCACAAUCUAUAGAAAUGUAUAAUAACAAAAUAUUCCUAAAGAAUAUCUCUCAUUAUGACAUAUGAGACUUUGGACAAUUAGAAGAUUUUCCUUCAAACUAUUGAGAUUGGAUUUGCUACAAUCACCGCAAAAAUGGUCCACCUAAGCACUACCUAACAGUAUGCUUACUACUCACUAUGACGUAUUUGUUUUGAUCUCUUCUCCUUAAAGACUUACUUUUUAUCAUAAUUAAUUACCUUCAACCCCACAAAUAUUGCAAUAUAUGUGCCUUUAUUUUGAAAAGCAAAUCUUUUACAACACUUAUUAUCUUAUUGAAAACUAUUAGAAUGUGAGCAUGAUAUAAUUAGUGUGGUUGGACAUCAGCCAAACCUAAUUAUAUAAACAUUGAAAUAUAUCUCAAGUCGGAGCCGAAUUAAAACCGGAUCGAAAGGGACUUAUCGACGCUCGUCCUCUAAUCAAGAGUGGUGAGAGGAAAUGCAAUGAUGGCCUGUCUAUGACCAUGAUGCCUGUCUAUGACCAUGAUGCCAUCCCAUCAUGGCGUUGCUUCGAGAGUCGAUAGAAAGAGAGACCGUCCUGGUCUUGACCAUAAGAGACGACUUUGCUCAGCCGAAGAAAGGGCAAAGAGAGAAUGAUGAUGGCCACCGCUGACACGAGACAAAAGGGGAAGGAAAACGACGAAGAAAGUUGCGAUAAUGGUGUCAUUUAACGAUGGCCACUCAUUGUUUCCUUUCUUCUUUAUUUGCUUCUAGUGAAUUUUCUCUGUGAAUACGAAGAGGAAGAGCUCUUAAUGAGAGCUCCAAGGACUGCACAACGAGAUUAAAAAUUUCCUCUUAAAAGUUUUGAUUUAAAAAGGUUUUCUUUGUGAAAUUACACAAAAUGAAGUCAAUUAAAUCUUGUGUUAACGUUUAGGUCAAUCUUUUUAUGCGAUUGAAAUAUUAUUUUGAGAGAAAUUAUGAGGGUUAAAUAUAGAGUUAAUAGUCAUAUUUGAGGGAUAAAAAUACAAAUAAUAUUUAAGUAACUCAAGUAUUAUUAUAAUCUCCAUUGCAUUGUAAUUUCAUGGUUUUCAUUUCCUCAUGGACGUAGGUCACAUAACCGAACCAUGCAAAUUUAGUGUUUGAUUCAUUUCCUUGUUUUACAUUUUUAUUCAAGCACUUGUUUUAUUUCCAACAAUAAAUAUGGUUUGAAGAAAAGUGAAAUCAAAUUAAACCGUAUUAUAGUCAAGAUCAAACCAAGCCAAACCAUUUUAUGUGGCUUGAUUCGGCUUAAUCGUUCUUUUUGCUUUUAUUUUACCUCUUCAUCAUAUGUAAUUUCAUGUUAAAAAAAAACAAAAAACAAAUUCUAUCCCACAACCCUUCCGAGGCGAGAUCCCUGAGGAAGUUACCGAAUUACCAAGUAAGCAUGAAUGGUCCCUUUUGCAAGGUGACGCUUGCUCUUGGCAGGAUCAAUCUCAACUUGGUUUCUAUUAAUUAUUUCAUUUGCUCAAGAGUCGCCAUUAAUUUUUUAUAAACCGAUUAGGAGUCAAGUAAAACACAAGAGCUUGUUUUACUUCUACAAACAAGAGAUUUGUGGGUCUAACGACUUGAUUAGGCUGGAUAUGUAAUGUGCAAUUAUUCAUGCGAUCUUCCCAUCUUAGUUACCCAUUUUGUUCUCAAUAUCGAGGGAAGAAGGCGAUCAUGCAUGAAAUCACUCAAGCAAACACAAAUAAAAUCCAAUAAUACUGAAACAAAUAGAGCAAAUAAAAGGUAUGAAAAUAAAAAAAUUGAGCCGUAUUGCAAAAAAAAUAAAACAAAAUCAAUACAAAGCUUUGUUCUUAAGCUCCAAUAUAGGACCCCUUGAGCUAUAAAUAGAAACUCGAUGUUAGAUCUCCAACUAUGGCUCCAAACCGGAAAGUCAAUAAAUGAUACUUCAUGAAUAUCCACUAUAUAAACUACUUUUCUAAAAUGUGGCUAAUCACUAAAAAUUGGCUGCGAACUCAAACCUUACUCCUUUCUCAUGGAAGAAUCGAGUUUUCAGUGUGCGCCUUCUGCAGUUCCGUUCCUGAUUCCGUUGACCACUUGUUUUUUGAAUGUGAGACCUCCACAACUCUUGCAUAUUUUUGGGCUUCCAGGUGUAAUCUUCCUUGGAGGAAUAGGAUGUAGGUGGAUAACUUGGCUUGGGCGUUAAAAUUCCUAACUGGAAAGGAUUUCUUUCAUAGUAUUGCACGUUUCUCUUUUGGGGCCAUGUGCCACCUUAUCUGGAAGAAGAUGAAUUCCAUCAUUUUUCGGGGAGAUUCAUUGGUGAUCCUAGCUAUGAAAAAUCACCUAAUCAAGAUUGUCAAGGACAAGGCUCUUAUGUUUAAUAAUGCUCCACCUACUCCAAGAAACAAAAGACUCCAGAGAAGCUGGGGAUUCGAUCCCUCCGUGUUUGAAUCAGCUACAUCUUCCUAACACCCCUCCAUUCUUCGCCUUUUGAUUGAGGGUCGACGGUCUGGUUUGUCGUAGUUUGUAGUGCUGUGGGUUGUUUAGCUUGUUCUUUUUGCCUUUGUAUCUUUUGAUUUGGCUCCCUCUCACUCUCCCUGUUUUCCCGCACCUAGAGUGUGAGCUUUGGCUCCGAAUUCUUGUAUUUUUUUCCUUUGCUUAAUAUAUUCUUACCCUUUACCAAAAAAAAAAAAACUACUUUCCUAAAAUGAACAAUUACUUCAAAACGUAAAAUCUACUCAAUGCAAUUUAUAUGCAUUAUUGGUAAAAUACACUCCUAGAUGUUUUUUUUUUUUAAAUUUUAUUUUAUGAAUAUGCAGUUUAUCUUUCCAUUUGUUUUUUUUUUCUUUUUUGCAUUUCCCCCUUCUUUAUAUACACACACACACAUAUAUAAGUGAAACAAAAUUUGAUUACGUGUUGAAAUAAAUAUGAACUAGAAUCUAUAUGCCAAAAUAAUAUGUAAUAUAAAUCCGGAUUUUCAUGAAAAUUUGCACUACGUUCACUUGGAAUUUUUUUUCUUUGGAAACGCUCAAUUGGAAUUUCAACCUUAAAAUUGCAUCAAGAACGACUUAGUGCACACGAGAAAAUAAAGAAAACUAAAGUGACAUAAUGCUAUGAAUUAGAGCCAAACUAAUCCACACUAUGCGAAAAUCAACGGUGGAUGAAUAAAUCUAUACGAAUAACCAAUUUUCUCUCUACCGCUUUUUUUAGGGCGCAGUUUAGCUAACCGUCCUCUGUCAAAUGACAGUCAACUAAUGACCACACAAUUCGCAUGGAUUCCAUCUUUUACCCUUUUUUUUUAGUUUUAUGUUUUCUUAUUGCAAGCUUAAAUUGAGAGAUAAAAUCAUAAGAGGGCCCAUACAAUCAAUUUUCAUGAAUAUUAUGAAAGAAAAAAUAAAUUAGAUAUCGAAAUAUAAAUAAUUAGAAGUAAAAAAUAUUGUCAUCCACUAAAAAGAAAUCAUUCAUUUCAUUAUGUAGAUUUAUUAAAUUUAAAAGAUGAAAAAACACUUGAAUUGUUGGCUUUGCAACUAAUAACAAAAUUAUUGUGCAAUGAAUUGGCUUCUCAAUCCUGUCACCAAAAUCAAAUUGCUUUGGAAGGACUCUCCGAUGACCUAAAAUUAAGACGAGUAAUGUUAAUUACGCAUAAAACAAAUGAAGUAAAGAAAAAGAACAAAAUAAGAAUAAUGAAUUAGUAGAGAAGAAAAUUUACCCCAUUGAUCCAAAUCUCGUAGAUGAAGAUGAUUUGGGACCUAAAAUAUUACAAAAUCAAUCUUAGGAUCACACGAGUGAAAAGUAAGCCGAAAUGAUUUUUGAUCAAUUUUUAUAAAUAAUUUACCUAAUAUAGCUUCAAUGUUUGGUUCGUUGAGAAGAUUCACAUAACCAUGAGAUAUGACCAUAUAUCAUUUUAUAUAGAUAAAAAGUCAAUUUAUAGGAAGGUAUUUUAAAUAAAAUAAUAAUAAUACGUAUCAGCCACUAUUGAAAACCCUCGAUUCUUUCCUGAUUGCAAAUCAAAUUUCAAGAAUAGUUAUGGUAACUCAUAUGAUCCAAAUUACCAAUUAUAUUUUGGUAUCUAAUUUAUUUUUUCUUUUAUCAUAUUCAUGAAAAUUGAUUGCGUGGGCCCUCUUACGAUUUUAUCUCCUAAUUUAAGCUUACAAUAACGAAACAUAAAAAAAGGGUAAAAGAUGGAUUUCAACCGGUUUCCAUCCAAAAUGUGUGGUUCUCAACUGACCGUCACUCCAUCAUUUGAAGGAGUGAUGGUCAGCUAAGCCUUUUCCACAUUUUAACUAGGGGCAUGCCUACAUAAAAGUUAAGUGCGUCUUCAUUGCUCAACCCAACCCACCAAUUCUGAGAAAAGUGACACAUUUGCAUGUGGACAAACCAUUUACGUAUAUCAAAGCCCAAAUCUUUCUCAUUUAUUUCGAAUUCAUUUGCAUUGCACAUUGUAGAAACAAUAACAUCACAUUCAUUAAUUUGAAGAAUUUUAUUACAUUCAUAUUGUGAAAAGUUUCUCCACCAGAUCAUCCUCCUUUAGAAAUUUAUAAAAGAAGAACAAGUUCGUUUCAUUAGAAAAGAAGAAGAGGAUGUUUAUUGUAAGUUAUAUAUGAUGAAAUUCUUGAUGUGAACACCUGAAUUUAAAUGCCACUUUUGUUUGUAAGAGAUAUCAUUCUGGACGCUUGUAUCCCAUGACUAACCUGAUUUAAUUAACAAUUAUGGACAGCUAACUUCACAGCAGCUGCAGCUUUCAAUUUAUAGUAAAUUAAAGUUGAUGGCUUCAGAAAAAGUGAGAUGGAAGACAAUUAUGGAGGCGUACCUUUUCCACGCCCAAAUUCUUUCGAGUUUCUUCUUGGUGCUUCUGAACUUUUGAAUUGAAAAAAUCCGAUUUUCACACGUUUAAAUCAUUUAUAAUUAUUCUAUAGCUAUAUCUAUGGUUAAAUACAUUUAGAUAAAAUCACAAUUUAUCUAUAUAAAUGCAUAAUCAUAAGUUUAAGUCUGUCUACGUCGCUCAACACACCAAUUCAUAAUCCUUGCAUUGAUACUUUCGUCCCCUGAUGUUCGAAACGCUCUUCUCCCUUGUGGCAAAAAGAAUCCUAGUACCAAGAUACAAAGAAUUCACUCCGAUUAGUUUUUGGAUAUGGUUGCCCUCAUUGACAUCAUCCAAGACAAUUAGCAUUCAUCAAUGUUAUCAAUUUCACUAGUCACUCUAGAAUAAGAGAUAUUCGACAGUUAUUUUUCUUGCAGUUGGACAAAGCCCUUUGUUUUUGGCGUUACCCUCACGUCAUCAAGAAAGUUGCCGUUUUUCCGAGAGCGAGGAUAUAGCUGGUUAAAGAUAUCCUUGGUGGGUUCUGAUUUAUUGAUGCUGCCCACCCUGUAGAUUCCAAUGAACUGCACAAUACCAAAACUGAUGUCUUAUACAGUGUUUAUGGCUGCUAUUCAAUCCUCCGUUCCAAUUAAAUCUUCGAUCACUUGUCUUUGUCUUGCAUUGAGCCUAACCACAAUCUCAUUUACAAUCGACUUGAUAAGAUUCACAUGGCUGCCACAAAGUCAGUCAAUUUCAAAUGAGAAAAGGAGACAAAUUGCACGUGGACAAAGCCUUUACAUAUAUCAAAGCCCGAAUCUACCUCAAUUGAUUUCAAAUGCGCAGCUCUUGUUUGCCAAAUUUCAGUCAUUCUUUUGCAUUGCACAUUUUAGAAACAAAAAACAUUACGUCCAUUAAUGGGAAGAGUUUUGUUACAUUCUUAAUGUGAAAGGCUUCUUCACAAGAUCAUCCACCUUCAAAAAUUUACAAAAGAAGAAGUGUGCAUCGUUAGAAAAGGAGAAAAGGACCCACCAAGAAAUUCUUGAUUUGAAUGCCCAAAGCCCGAUGCCACUUUCGUUAGUGCGGGACAUCAUUUUGGACACUUGUAUCGCGUGACUCACGGGAUUUAAUUGAAAAUUACGGAUAGGCAAUAAAGUCAAUAAAGUCGAUGGCUUUCGGAAAAAUGAGACAAAGGACAAUUAUGAAGGCGUACCUUUCACAGGCCCAAUUUCUUUUGGGUUUCUUCUCGGUGCCUUUGAACUUUUGAAUUAAAUAAAAAUCUGAUUUUCAAAUGUUUAAAUCAUUUAUAAUUAUUCUAUAGCUAUAUCUAUGGUUAAACAUGUUUAUAUAGAUAAGAUCACAAUUUAUCUAUAUAAAUGCAUAAUAAAAAAGUCUAAAGAAUCCUCUUUCAUCAUGACACAUGGGAUUAUGGAUAAUUAGAAGAUAUUUCUUCGUAUCAUUGAGAUUGGAUUCGCUGCUUUCACUAUAAAAAAGUGCUCCACCUAAGCAUAUAUUUACUAUGUAAUAUUUGUUUGAUCUCUUUGCCUUAAAGACAUACCUUUUAUAAUUAUUAAUUACUUUUAACCACUCAAAUAUUGUCAUAAACGUGCUUUUAUAUUAAAAAGCAAAUCUUUUACAACACUAAUUUCCUUAUUGAGAACUAUUAGAACGUUAGCAUGGUGUAGUUAGUGCUAUCAGCCAAACCAAAUUAUAUAAAUGUGGAAAUAUAUCUCCAGCCGGAACCCGAUCAAGUUAAGAUCGGACGAGAAUUAUAGAGGCUCGACCUCUAUUCAAGAGUGGUGAGAGGAAAUGCAAUGAGGGCGCGUCCGUAGCAAUGAUACCAUCCCAUCGAGUCGUUGCUUUGAGCGUGGAAAGAAAGGGAAAAUAUGAUGGUCUGGACCACGAGGGACGACUUUGCUCAGCUGAAGAAAGGGAAAAGAGAGAUUGAUGAUGGGACUAAAGGGUAAAAACGACGAAGAAAGUUGCAAUAAUGGUGUCUUUUAACGAUGGCCACUCAUUUUUUCCUUUCUUCUUUAUUUGCUUCUAGUCUUUAAAUUCGAAGAGAUGAGACCUCCGAGGACUGCACAGAGGAGACUGAAAAUUUCCUCUUAAGGGUAUGAUUUAGAAAGGUUUUCUUCGUGAAAUUACAGAAAAUGAAGCCGAUUAGAUCUUGUCUUAAUUUUUUAUAUCAUUCUCUUAUGAAAUUGAUAAAUUAUUUCGAGAGAAGCUGUGAGGGUUCAAGACAGAGUUAUUAGUUGUAUUUGAGGAUGAAAAACACCAAGAAUAUCUAAGUGCUUUGAAUAUGACUAUAAUAUCCAUUACUUUGUUUUAUCUAUAAAGGAAAUGUAUACUGAUUUUCUCGUGGACGUCCGAUUCAUUUCCUUAUUUUGCGCAUUUUUUUUAUCCUUUGUUUUAUUUUCAAUAAUAAAUAUGGUUUAAAAAAAAUAGAAAACAAACCAAACCAUAUUUUAGUCAAACCAUUUUCUGCGGCUUGAUUCGGCUUAAUUGUUCUUUCUUCUUUUAAUUUAUCUCUUCAUCAUUUGAAAUUUCAUGAGAAGAAACCAAAUUCUAUGUUGAGACCCUUCCGAGGUGAGAUCCCCAAGGAAGUUGUUGGAUGGCCAAGCAAGUGCAAAUGGUCCCCGUUGCAAGGCGACACUUGCUCUUGGCAUGAUAGGUCUCAACUUGGUAUUUGAUUAAGAGUCGCAGCUAAUUUUUUGAAGCAAAUAGGAGUUAAGUAGAAUGCGGGAGCCCGCCUUACUUCUACAAAUCGGAGAUUUGUGAGUCUAGAGACUUGAUUAGGCUGGAUAUAUCUAAAGCCCAAUUUGGUACUUUUAUUUCUCUUUUAAAAAAAAAACAAUUAUUCAUGCAGUCUUUCCAAUUUUAGUUACCAUUUUUAUUCUCAAUGUUGAGCAAGGCAAGUGAUCUCACAUAAAUUCACUCAAGCAAACACAUAUAAAAUCCAACAAUACCGAAACAAAUCUAGCAAAUAAAAGGUACGAAAAUAAAGAACCCGAGCUGAGAAAAAAUCCAAUACAAAGCCUUGUUAUUAAGUUCCGGAAUAGGACCCCUUAAGCUAUAAAUAGACACUCAUUGUAAAAUUUCCAAAAUAAAAUAUGGCCCAAAAAUGGAAAGUAAAUAAAUGAUACUUCAUGAAUAUGUACCAUAUAAACUACUUUCCUAGAAUGAUCUAUUGCAUCUAGAAAGUAAAACCUACUUAAUGCAAUCUAAAGCGCAAUGCAACGUUAAGAAAACAAAAUCUGUUUAUGAAUAUACAUGAUUUCUAAAAUACAUUGCCAGAUAUAUAUAUAUAUAUAUAUAUAUAUAUAUAUAUAUUAAUGAAAAUGCAGUUCAUCUUUUUUUUUUUUUCUUUUCCCCUUCUUUAUGGAUAUUGUAGUGAACCGAAAUUAAACAAAAAAUUUACUAAGCGCUGAAAUAAAUUUGAACUAGAAUAUGUAUGCCAAAAUAAUAUGUAAUAUAAACCCGGAUUUUCAUGAAAAUUUGCACUACGUUCACUUGGAAUUUUUUUUUGGGUCUAAACGUUCACUUGGAAUUUUAACCUUAAAAUUCUUCCAAGAACGAGUCAUUGCACACCAGAAAUAAUGAAAACUAAAGUGACAUAAUGCUAUGAAUUACAUCGAAACUAAUCCACACUAUGCGAAAAUCAAUCGUGGAUGAAUACAUCUAUACAAAUUCCCCAUUUUCUCUCUUCCGCUUUUUACAUUUAACUGAAGGCAUGCCUGCAAAAAAAUUAAGUGCGUCUUCAUCGCUCAAGGCACCAUUCGCCAUCCUUAAAUUUAUACUUAAGUCCCCUGAAAUUUGAAACACUCUUAUCCUUACUAGCAACAAGUAUUCUAGUACCAUAAUACAAAAAAAAUUCACUCUGAUUAGUUUUUGAAUAUGGUUGCCCACAUCAACAUCAUCCAUUAUGAUUAGCAUCUAUCAAUGCUAUCGAUGUCACAAGUCACCCCUGAGUAAGAGUUAUUGGACAAUAAUUUUUCUUGUAGCUAGACUAAGCUCUUAGUUUUUGACGUUUCCCUCAUGUCAUCAAAAAGCUGUAGUUCUUUCAAAUGCGAGGAUAUAGCUUGUCGAAGAUAACCUUGGGGGGGUGCUGUUUUACUAAUGCUGCCUAUCCCCUAGAUUCGAAUGACAGCACGUUACCAUAACCGGUGUCUAAUAAAUUGUUUGUGGCUGCUAUUGGAUCCUCCAUUCCAACAAAAUGUUUGAUAACUUGUCUUUGUCUUGUCUUGAGCCUAACCCCAACCUCAUUAACAACUGACUUGAUAAGAUUCCCAUAGGUGCCACAAAGUUAGAUGGUUUCAUUUAAGAAAAUGUAACAAAUUUGCAUGUUGACAAACCAUUUACAUAUAUUAGAGCUCAAAUUUGCCUCGAUCCAUUUUGAAAGCGCAACCGUUGUUUGUCAAAAUUUAGCCGUUCUUUUGGAUUACAUGUUUUAGAAACAAUAACAUUACAUUCAUCAAUGGGAAGAGUUUUAUUACAUUCUUAAUGUGAAGAGCUUCCCCACAAGAUUAUCCUCCUUCAGAAAUUUACAAAAGAAGAACAAGUGCGUUUCAUUAGAAAAUGAGGAAAUAAUACACUAUGAAAUUCUUCAUUUGAACACUCAAAGCCAGAUGCCACCUUCAUUAGUGAGAGACAUCAUUUUGGACGAUUGGAUUGGGUGACUAACGGGAUUUAAUUGAAAGGUACAGACAUGCAAUUUCAUAGUAGUUGCAGCGUUUAAUUUAUAGUCAAUAAAGUUGAUGGCUUUAGAAAAAAUGAGAUGGAGGACACUUAUGAAGGUGUAGCUUUCAGAGGCCCAAUUUCUUUCGAAUUUCUUCUUGGUGCCUUUGGACUAUUGAAUAAAUAAAAGUCUGAUUUUCAAACGUUUAAAUCAUUUACAAUUAUUCUAUAGCUAUAUCUAUGGUUAAACAUAUUUAUAUAGAUAAAAUCAUAAUUUAUCAAUAUAAAUGCAUGAUAACAAAAUAUUCCUAAAGGGUCCCUCUCAUUAUGAGUUGGAUAAUUAAAGGAUUUUUCUUCAUAUUAUUGAGUUGGAUUUGCUACAUUCACCACCCAAAAAAGAGAGGGGAAAUGCCACUGAAAACCCCAAACUUUGCCUAAAGUGACAAAUUUACCCUAAACUUUUUUUAUGACAUGAAAAAUCAUAAAUUUUGCAAACCGUGACACAUUUACCCCCAACCAAGGGCAUUUUUGUCUUUUUAUUUUCUAUUUUUCCUCCUUCUUCUUCUUCUUCUCUCUUCCCUCCGCUGGCCAUGGCGGAGCCAAUGGAGGGAAGCCGGAGUUAGGCAAGGGCCGCCCUUGCUAGUGUCAGGUGAGGGUGGCUCUCAGUUUGAGGGCCGCCCAAUACUAUGAUAAAUUUGUCACCUUGAGCAAAGUUUGAAGGUUUUAUUAUGGUGUUUCCUAAAAAAAAAAAAGAAAACUCCACCUGAGCUUAUUCUUACUACUCACUAUGAAAUAUUUGUUUGAUCUCUUUGCCUUAAAGACGUACCAUUUAUCAUAAUUAAUGACCUUUAACUGCUCAAAUAUUGUCAUAAACGUGCUUUUAUAUUUAAAAAAAAAAAUCUUUUAUAACACUUAUUUCCUUAUUGAGAACUAUUAGAAUGUGAACGUGGUGUAGUCAGGGCCAUCAGCCAAAUCAAUUAUGUAAAUGUGGAGAUAUUUCUCGACCCAGAGCCUGAUCAAAUCAGAUCGGAGGAAAAUUGUGGACGCUCGACCUCUAUUCAAGAGUGGUGAGAGGAAAUGCGAUGAAGGCCUGUCCAUAGCAAUGAUGCCAUCCAUCAUGGUGUUGCUUUGAGCGUGGAAAGAAAGGGAGACCAUCAUGGUCUCGACCAUGAGAAACAGCUUUGCUCAGCUGAAGAAAGGGGGAAGAGAGAGUGAUGAUGGGACAAAAGGGGAAGGAAAGCGACGAAGAAAGUUGCAAUAAAUGGCGUCUUUUAAUGAUGGCCACUCAUUGUUUCCUUUCUUCUUCUUUAUUUGGCUCUAGUAACUUCUGUCUGAAUUCGAAAAGAGGAGCGCUCCGAGGACUGCACAGAGGAGAUUGAAGAUUUCCUCUUAAAGGGUUUUGAUUCAGAAAGGUUUCUUCGUCAAAUUACACAAAAUGAAGCCAAUUAAUUCUUAUCUUAAUAUUCAUGUGAUUCUUGUAUGAGAUUGAGAAAUUAUUUCGAAAGAAAUUAUGAGGGUUAAAGACAGAGUUAUUAAUUAUAUAUAAGAGAUGAAAAAUUACCAAGAGCAUAUAAGUGACAUUAAAAAAAGAGAAAAGGAUACACGAAGAAGUUCUUGAUUUGAAUGCCCGAAGCCCGAUGUCACUUUCGUUAGUGCGAGACAUUAUUUUGGACGAUUGGAUCGCGUGACUCACGGGAUUUAAUUGAAAGUUAUGGAUAGGUAACUUCACAAUACCGCGAAAAUGAUGGCUUGGAAAUGGGAGGCUCGCCUUCGGCCGCCUGUGGCUUUCUCAACAGUGUUGCGUCGAUUUCCAACAACUUUUAAGAGAUUGGAGAUGGCUGGAAAUUCUUCUGUGUCUUUUUUUUUUCCUCUCAUUUUUUAAGUCAGUCAUAUUUCGGGCCAAACCCAGCCCAAAACUAAAUUGAUGCCUAUCCAAGAGGACUUGUUUAGGCCCCAACCCUUCAACCGGGCCUGAAGUUGAUCGGGCGGGGCGUAUUUUUCAAUAAAAAAGCCACCCAUUUGCAACUAUACUUCCGAUUACUAGACGCCAAAGGAACUCACGAACUCAUUGCUACACCAUUCUUUAUCUGCCGUAGACAAACAAGCAUUCCUAUUCUGUAACAUAGAAAUGGCGACAAUUUAUUGCUUAUGCCCAUUCAUGAUGAAUAUUUUCACCAAAAUUCAAUCAACUAAUAUUAAAUUAACGCCAAUAACAACUAAUCACAAUAUUCCAGCAAUAUUAACCCUAAAGCAGUAAAGAUAGUGCUGAAUAUUAAAGCAAGGGAAAACCAACACCUGUAAAAUUUUACAUGAAAAACACAAUACAGAAAAAAUCACGAGACCAGUCAAAAUCUUCCUCUAAUCACCAAGAAUAGCAUAAUACAUAAUAGUUCAUCUCAAAUAACACAGAGGCUCUUUCACCUAAACAAAACAUUAUCACCACAAAGGUGGAUUAACAUAAAGAAGCAAGAAAGAUCUAACCGCUGCUAGACAAAAUCAGGAGACAAUUUGGAGAAGAUUUUAACAAACACAGCCGAUCAACUUGUAGAUCAUGGACUCAUGAACAGCAUAUGAAAUUUUGGCCAAUUCUGACAAAGUGUCACUAUCGAAUUUAGACUACCUCUUCUCUUCUUCAAAGCAAAGUUCUUCGCCUCUUUUUCUCUAUAACAACGAAUUGUUCAUCCCUCUCUUCUAAAUCAAGAACAUUCAGCCCUAUCAAUUCUUUUUUCUUUUUAAUUUUAUUUAACAUGAUGAGAUGAGCCCCACAAGAGGUGGACCCAACCCAACAAACUUCCCCUUCACCUUAUGAAGAAGUUUCAUUAUGCCAGCAUUAUCUAUAUAAGAAUCAAGUUUCACCAUUGGCAAGGUUUUACUCAUCAUAUUAAUCCAUUAUCAUCAGUGUAGACUUUCUCAACUAAGAAAAGUUUCUCAUCUAAUUUAUUUCGAAUCCAAUGACAAGGAUAAAGCAUUAGUCUGGGUAAAGCAACCAGAUGCAAUUCUAGUGAACAUCACUCUAUCUUCAGCAAUAUGACAAGGAUAAAGCAUCCCACAUAAUGCUGUCUUGUAUUUGCACGAAUAAAUCUGAUCUUGUCGGAGGCAAGACCGCUCAUCUCUAAAUAAUAACAGUAGCUACCAAAGAGUUGAUAUAUUUAGAGCAGUAUCAUGAUUCACUCUCUAAGGAUAAACACCCUCUAGAAAUGGAGAGAUUGGUUUCCCUAUAUCUUCUUUAGUUUGCCUACAAACCAUAAAUGGUGGAAGUUGAGAUCCAUGGAGUAACCUGACAAGCCUAAUUUUCGAGCCACUAAAACAUGUGUGUUUACAAUAUUGUCUCUUUUAUUACGUAACCUUUUUGUUUUAAUAGGGCUUUUUUCGAAACAUACCGACAUCAAAGGCACUUUUACAGCAAUAAUAUCAGGUUAUAUUAGUGUUGUGUUUAUCCUAGACUAUGUUGGUACACACCUUCAAGGAAAUUGAAUGAAAUAUCGACCGACUAAAUUAAAGUUCAACGCAACCAAAUGCUAGGCUCUUAAGAAAUACUGCCCAGUAGAGAGACUUAUUGAUUAAUAAAUUUAACCAAAGCUCUCUCCAUUUUUCUUUUACACUGACGGUAGGCUUAACAAUAAUAUAAUUUUUCAUUUAAUCAUAUUAUGUUAAAUAUUAUUUCCUGGCAACCAAAUGCAGCCAGUCAAAUUCAAGUGAAGAAUUCAAUAAUAAUCGUGCUCCAUUUGUUUCACAAAAAAUAAAUAAUUUGAAAAAUAUUUUCCAAAAAAUGAUUACAUUAUAUCUCUUAAAAUAAUUAGUCAAUAAACAAUGUUUUCAUUAUAAAUAAUAAUUUUAUGUCUAAACAUUUUGGUGAAUGAUGAAAAAAAUACUCUAUCAUUUAUUUUUAUAAGUGAUACAAGAAAUUGAAAGUGAUAUAAAUAAUAUUUUUUGAAAUUUCAAAUCAUUUAUUUCUCAUGAAAUAAAAAGAUAACCAAAUAACAUUUAGCCGAAGAAAAUGAGUAAUUGGGCUCAGCUUUCGUUGGCCCAAAAAUUCUCUUGGGCUAAAUGAAACCUUCGUCCCUCACACUGACGAAAGAAAUUCUCAUCUUUCAGUCGACUUGAAGAGCAUUUUUGGUUCUAAAUCGAGCUCAAACCUUCGUUUUCGCUACUCAUCUUCGUUUUCAUCUAAGGUCUUCGGGGAGCUUCUGUGAGCGUUUUUCACUACUAGUCGUUACGCCGCCGCUUUUGUUCUUCAAUUUGAUAUCUAUUUUGCUUUUUUAAGCCAGUUUUCGUUGAUGUCGCGACUGUUUCUUGCUGAUUGGAUCGUCUUCGACCUGGGGCCGGAUGGUUUCUAGCUCGGGUAGAAAGAAAAUGUCGGAGAUCUCUUGUGGUGAUCGAGAUAGAUAGUAGUGUAAGAAGGUGCGAUGAAGAUUUCAGAAAUGUUAAGCGGUAAUUGCUGAUGGGUGUCCGUGGAAUUACUUCCGUUGGACGUGCUUGUUUGUCUGUCUAAAUGGCGUGCUUUAUUUGAACUGGUGAUUAUUUUGUGCUUGAGUCAGAAAUUGGGAAUGCGAGCAAUUUGAGCAUGGACUCAUCUUCUCCAAUUGGGAAAACAGAUGUGCCUAGUUCCCUUUCUUCCAUAUUAAUAUACAUGUGAUUGUUCUAAACAAAGUUGAACACAAUCUGUUGUUAAAUUUAUAGGAUCGUUACGAUCCUUGAUGACCUCACGAAAUUUUGUAAUGGGGCAUGCUUAAGAUUUGAUUCCGUGUUCAUUGAUAUGUGGCGUCUUACUGGAAGAUUGGCGAGCUUGCUGGCAAUGAACAUUUCAAGUACAUACUGUGUUGAAAAGGUAGGUAUAAAAUUUUUACUACUCUCUUCUUGUUCUCUUGUCCACUUUCUGCCAUUACUGAAAAUGACUUGGUUUACUGGAUUUGAGUUUCUGGGUUUGAUCUUGCACACAGAAAAAGGAUAGUUUUGAGUCGUUGAUUAUGGAGCACUUGAUAUUGAAUGGAGCAUUUUGGGGAUAGAACACUGUAGAUCUUCUUGGAAAACUUGGCACUGUGGAUUCAAAUGAAGUUGUUUCUUGGAUCCUGCAAUGCCAGCAUCUGUCUGGUUUGUAUUUAUUUGUCUCUCAGCUUCUUUUUUGCGAUUACCCACCAAGAACAUGUGGCUGACGGAACCUCCACUCCACAUUCAGUCAAGUUUUUCUUAUUUGACAGUAUGCUUAAGAUAUUAGCUUGGGAUUGACAAGUUCCAUCUAUUACAUUGAUGACCACGUCUUAGGAGUGAUUAGUGUUGCUUUAUUUAUUUAUAUUCUAAAACUUGACUCUAAAGAGCAAAGUGCAAAUGACACUUAGGGCUGCUUGUGCAGGUGGCUUUGGUGCCACAUAUUGGACAUGAUCCGCAUCUGCUGUAUGCACUCAGAGCCGUGCAAGUACUGGCCCUUUAUGACAAAUUAGAUGUUUUUGACAUCAAUAACGUGACAGAUUGUAUCCUUUGGAAUAAAGUGUCUUAGAUUCGCAACUUCCUUGAUGAUCUUACCUUAGGCUCUGAUGUCAAAUGUUCUACAUUGUUGUGCCUGAAUGAAGAUGAAUCUUUUUCUGGGGAUAUAUGCGGAGAAGCUGAUGCUCGGUGUGUUGUCCUCAUCUUUGAUCAAUUAUUAUUUUUGUGCUUCUUGAGGAUGUUUCUUAAAUAAUUGACAUCCCUUCACCCCUUUUUUCCCUUCGAAGGUUCUCUCAUUGUGCUAUAUGCUGUCUUGCGAUACUUGAAUGGUUGGAUUCGAUAUGUGGAGAAUGCUGUCAGUUGCAAAACUUUGGAUGGCGGGUUUGGUUGCAUUCCUGGUGCAGGGUCUCACCUAAAAUGAUAUCAUUGCACGCAGCCUUCGCUUCCAUCUUGAUGGUAUAAUCACUGCGUAAACCACUGAUGUCUAUCUAAGAUAUCCCAAGACAACGCACUAAUGUCCUUGCUCUCUCAACUAAUCUAGCUGGUAGUAGUUAACAGUUGGAGAAAACCAUCUGGUCUAGCUAUAUCUACAGGGAACUAUUUGUUGCCGAAAUGCCAACUAAAAUUCCAAAAUCUCACCGUACUAUCACAAAAGGUUAAGAAACUUCAGAGUUGCCUAAGUUAUUAUUAAGCUACGAUCUUCACAAGACAAUGAUCUCCUUAGGAUUGGUAUGACUAUAGUCUCAUAUAAAUUGAAUACAGUUUAAUAUUGGUGACAGUGUAUUUCGAGAAUGUAAACUUGACCGUAAGGCAUACUUAUUGAAUUUCAUAAAUCAUCUGUUUCGAAUAAUUUUUCUUUGCAAUUCUUAGGAUCCUACGAUGUGCAGUUCAAGAAGUCUAGAUUCGGGAUACAGUAGGUCCGCAAUUGAUGGCAAGUUUUCCAAUCUGAAUAACCUCAGGACUUAGUAAAGUAGUAAUCUGGAGAUUAACAGAACCGCUUAAAUCCUUGAAUGCUUUGCUGACUGAGCAAGUAAACACACUUCAAACGUGUAAAACGCGCAAUGAGCAACGAUUGCAAAAUGCAUUCUCGUAAGCAGCCACGGAGGGCCUCAAUGAAUUGCAGUUUUUUCCUCUCCCAGUUAAGCAAUAACGGAAGUUCCUCCUGUCCACUGUCCUGCCCUUGAAUAAUAUAGAGCAAAUCUAGCAACCCAACCAAAUCCAGCAAGUAUGUCAUAACCUCAUGCUGAGCUCUUUCGCUGGUUUCUAAUAUCUGGCUGGUUUCUAAUAUCUGAUUGGUGCAUAGUAAGUCAUGUAUUUGCUUAAAUACAUUAUGGUCUUCUAAUUAUGCUCCAAUGAACACAUCCAAAAGAUAAAACCAAGUCGCCGCAGUUUUAAGACAUUCCUUAGGACUCUUCUUAGACAAGAGAAAGUACAAAGGAAUUGAUAAUUUCCAGUGGAGACUUAGGCAUAAAACAAUGAAGGACCAAGCAAGAAAAUUAAGAAGCACAAGAGCCUGAUCAAAUAUCUUUCAAUUCAAAUAAGAAGAUAUUUGCAAAACGGAGAACUGGAACGUGGGAGUAAUCGUGAAGCAAUAAGAUUUGGUGUUUCUACUUCAACGGAUAACAAAACCGUGUGUAUUUUGUGUAGCCAAUUGUCGAGUCGAUCACGUAGUAAAUUUGACCUGUGGAAUCCUCACCCAUAAGCAGCAGACCUCAAUAAAGCAAUGGAAACCACAACUGCCCAAAACAUGAAAGAAAAAGAAAAGCUGGACAUCCCAUUUUAAUUCUACAUGAUGGACCAAGAAGAGAAGCACUCGUUGCUUCUUUUUCAAUCAUCAAGAGCUCCUCACAGGUAAUAGACAGCUCCUCACAUGUAAUAAAGAGACAGUGGAUACUCAUUAAACCAACCAUUACCCAAACCUUAGAAUAUACUUACAGACGAACUCUUCAAGAGAAGAUGCUCAACAUCUUGUGCACAUGAUUAUGCUCAAUCGAGCAGUCCACGAAAGCAUAGUAACAUAACUAGACUAGGCAUACAGACCCUUAUACAACUAUUAGCAUAUGAAGCUAGAGCUAGAGCUCAAGCUCAUGCUUAAUAUUUAAAGAUAAAUCACACAAUUACAUUAAUCUAAACACCAACUGCCACACCAAAAAAAACACCCAAAAAAAAAAGAACAAAACCCUCUCUGUCCUCACCACUCUUACCUGUCCCUCCUCCUGAUUAGCUAGUGAUCCAGAGCUUGAGUUCAGGCCCAUGACUCCCGCCAUAGAUGAAAUUAAUGAACGCACCAAAUUCCUCCAGCUGAGCGGCGCUAAAGAAGAAAAUGUGCACUAGAGUGAAAAGUGGCGCUGGAGAAGGGCUUGAAGCUCACAAACCUGGAACUUGAAGCUCGUGAAGAAGGACUUGAAGCUUGUGGACGACGAAGAAAGAAGAGACGAUGGCAACCGACACGGCCAACGACGGACUGAAGUUCNNNNNNNNNNNNNNNNNNNNNNNNNNNNNNNNNNNNNNNNNNNNNNNNNNNNNNNNNNNNNNNNNNNNNNNNNNNNNNNNNNNNNNNNNNNNNNNNNNNNGCCGUUCGCCGCUCGCCCAAUCGCCCCUGACACCGCUCGCCCAGCUGCCCCUGACGCCACCCGCCGCUCGCCCAGCCGCCCUGACGCCGCUCGCCCGGUCACCCCUGACGCUGCUCGCCCCCAACGCCGCUCGCCCAGUCGCCCCCGACGCUGCUUGCCCCCGACGCCGCUCGCCCAGUCGCCCACGACGCUGCUCCCCCCCUGACGCCUAAGCACAUCAGAUGCCUCCCGCUCGGUCAGUUCUUACAACAAUUUGGUACCAUUUAUUGAAAGAAUCGAGUCAAAUAAUACACUUUAAGAUAGUUUGGGAUUGUGAUCAUAUCACAAUUUUCAUCAUGGGCUUGUAUCAUGUGAUGGGAAAUCUUCAAGUUGAAUAUCAGAUGACAGAGGUCCUCAAAGAUUUCUGUGGCACUUCUGCACCAUUGUAGUUCCAAGUGCUUAUUGAUCUAACUUAAUGUUUUAUUUUCUUUCAAGUACCCCUUUCAACAUAUCAAAGAAAUUUGAUGGAGAAACAGUAACAGAGAUUGUCUGUCCCCGCCUUGCAAGGAUUAGAUAUCGUGUUAAGAGAUUGCCUUAUGAUCUCAUUCUCCAUAUGCAGAGAUUUACAAUUUAUUUAUUAUUAUUAUUAUUUUUUAUUUUUAUUAUUAUUUUUUAUUUUUGGUGGAGAAGAACCCAACUCUAGUUAAAGCAGAAAUAGAAAGCAAGCAAAGCAGAAGAAACAACAAUGAUUAAUGAACAGAAAGAAGGCGCACCGUUUUCUGUAGAGGAUCCCCUGUUUCUGUUUCAAAGUUCGUUGUUUCAAUUUCAGAGCCCGGCGCUUGCUUUGUUCUGCUCAAAAUCUUCUCUCUGUAAGACUCCCAAGUGUCGAAAUAUCGAAUGCUGAAAAGUUCACUAUCUAAUUCAAUAUCGUCGGAUAACUUCUCGCGUGGUAUGCUUAUCUUGCAAUUAUCUGGUUUUUUUGAGCUCAAUACAUCAAAAAUCCUUUCGAAUAUGCACCCACUAAUUUCCAAGGAACAUGAAGACUUUAGUUCGUAAAUACCCUCAAUAACCUGCAAGCUGGGGCACUGGUCAAUGUUUAUCCACAAGUUCUCCAAGUUUGACAAACUGCCUAAGCUUUUUAACGAAGAGCACUGGUUAAUGUUUAACUGCUUCAAGUUCUUCAAGUUUGACAAGCCGCCUAAGCUUUUUAACGAAGAGCACUCACGAACGUAAAUUUCUUCCAAUGAUUUGAACGUAGAAUCAAAUUGAAUAUCCUGUACCUCAUGGGACCCCGACAGAUUGAAACUUCUAAGCAUCUUUCGGGAGCUUGGGAAAAGGAUCGCUUCCCUCCAAUGAUCAGUCAACUCGGGAGCUUGUAGUUCACUGCACCCCCGCUCCUCCGGGUGACGAACCAUACUCUUGGAAGAUCUAUGGACUUUUGAUCUCGAAGCAUCAAAAAUCCUUUCCAAUGAUCUGCACCCCCCAAUUCGCAACCAACGCAAAAACUCCAGUUCGUCAAUGCCCUCAACAACCUUCAGGCUCGGGCACUGGUGAAUCUCUAACCACUUCAAGUUCUUCAAGCUUGACAAACCGCCUAAGCUUUUUAAUGAAGAGCACUCUUUAACAGAAAAUUCUUCCAAUGAUUCUAACGGAGAAACAAAUUGAAUAUCCUGUACCUCUGGGAACCCCGACAGACAGCAUUUUAUAAGCAUGUUUAGGAAGCUGGGGAAAAGGAAGGCUUCCCUCCAAUGAUCAAUCAACUCAGGAGCUUGUAUUUCACUGCAACCCGGCUCCUCCGGCUGACAAGCCAAACUCUCGGAAGAUUUGCAGUCCUGAAUACGUGAUCUCUCCGACGAUUCUAAGACAUUGGGAGAUUGAACAUCUAGUUGCUCGUACGCCUUGCUUUCUUUCGAUAUUCCCGAACUUGUUGGAAGGAAUGGAGUCUCCUUUUCCGAUGGAGGAAGCCCAUCGAGUUGUACUUUUUUCCCUCUAGUUUCGUAAAGAUCUACAACCAUCAAGUUUGACGGAAGUUGUUUGAAAGGUGGCAAGUCCAUUCCGCGUAGAGUAAGUUCCUUCAGCAGAGAAAGGGAACACAACUGUGUAGUUGGGGCGCGGACAUUUGGAAAGGAAAAGUACAGCUUCCUCAGUUUGGAUAACAUGCCAAUCCACCGCAAAUCGCAAGUUUGAAUUGCAUUUGAUGUGUCUCUAAAUUCAGAGCCAUUGGAUAAGUGCAGCUCAACUAGAUUAGUAAGGUAUAAGAGGUUAGGGACAGUCAGCAACGAAGUAGAACUUAGCUUUAGAGUGGUCAAACAUUGGGGGAGUUCUGGCAACUCUUGUAUCCAACCACAAUCCAUCAAGCUUAGUGUUUGGAGUUGAUGAAACUUGCUGAUUGUACUGGGCAUUCCUGCAAUUGGUGUGCAUGACACAUCGAUAGAUGACAAGCUUGCUAGUCUACCAAUGGAAUCUGGUAAUCUUGUAAUUUUCGUGCCAGCUACACAUAACGUCAUUAACGACUCUAAUUUCAAAACCGAGUCGGGGAGUUCAAUGAAGUCCUGACAACUCUCAAGAGAGAGGUGCUGCAGAUUAUGUAACUCUCCAAUUUGUUUUGGCAAUUUUCUAAGACACCAACAUGACUCAAAACUCAAGUCAGUCAACCACCUCAGUUUUCCAAUAGAGCAAUCAAUUUCCUUCAAAGGAAAAAAAUUAACUAUAGUCAACUUCUCUAAAACUAAGUUCUCAGGAAAGGUUGGCAUCUCAUGUAUCAACUCAUUAUAACGAAUAGUGAGAACCUUCAAUUUCCUUGCCCCCUACAAAAGCCAACGAAACAUCAAGACGGACAAGAAAUAGAUAUGGAUUUGUGCUACUAAUGAGAAAAUAAGAUUAUAAAUCCAGCGGAUUUUGUCCUUCAUUGAAUGAGAAAAAUAGACUAAGAGGGAAACUGGCAUACCUUGAUUAGGCUCUCGAACGCAUCUUUUGUGAUAUCGAGCCCAGAAAGAUGCACCACAACCGCGUUUUCUAGAUGCAACAAAUUGGUUGCCUCCAAACGGUGAUUGUAUUGAGAGUUAACUACUAAAUAACGGUAACUCAAGCUGAACCAUUUCAGCUUGGAAAGACAGCCCGUAAAGUCACCUUGGCAGAUUACCUCAUCCAUCAUGAGAAGCCAUAAACAUGGGAAACGCUUAAUUUGCUCUGGAGUGACAGUCAUACGAGGAUUCCGUGACAAAUCGAGUGCUUCAACGCUGUUCUUGGUCUGCCAAUUCAAAGAAGAGAAGAAAAAACAAAACAGAAGAGUAGCUUCCGAAUCAAAAACGGGAAUCCUCAAUUAAGAAGAGGGUGUAAGAAAUUUUCUAGUCAAAUUUGGCCAUGCUUUACCUCUGUUGAUGUUAAUUCAGAAAUGAUGUCGUGUUCAUCCCACAAUCUGGUACGCUCGUUUUUGGCAAUUGCCCUUCCAAGAUCUCUAAACUGAUCGUGCAUCCAAAAUUUAUUGUCUAAAACCUUUAUCAUGCACCUCUGACUAAGGACUUGGAUGGCAAGCUGUGGGCAAAACUUACAAUCUUUCCACAUGUACAUUGGAUUAGUCUUAUUCUGACCAAUGAAAAAGCAUGCGACAUCGAGGAAUAUCUGUUGUUGUUCUAGCUCUAAGGCAUCAUAGCUAAUCUUUAACUUUCCCAAAACAUCCUUAUGAGGUGUCUUCUUUAGCUUCUCUAGUGUCUCUUCCCAUAUUCCAUUCUCUUUAAUAUUAAAAAGCAUUGAACCUAUUGCUUCAAGAGCUAAAGGUAGUCCAUCUGCAGUAGAGACGAUUGCUUUUGAAAGAGUGGAGUAAUUGGGCAGAGGAGAGUUGUCAUUGAAGGCAUGCCUACUAAAAAGUUUAAGUGCGUCUUCCUCGCUCAACCGCAUCAUUUCAUGCUCCUCGAAUUUGUACUUAAAUCCACUGAUAUUGAAAACACUCUUGUCCCUAGUAGUAACAAGUAUUCUAGUACCUGAAUACAAAAUUUUCUCUCCGAUUAGUUUUUGGAUAUGCUUGGCCUCAUCAACAUCAUCCAAUACAAUUAGCAUCUUCUUGUUGCAAAUUGUAUCUUCAAUAAUAUUGGUCCCAUGAUCAAUGUCAGAAAUGUAAGGAGCCGCUCCAGAAUAAGAGACAUCGGACAAUAAUUUUUUUUGUAGCUCAACUAAGCUCUUGGUUUGUGCCAUUUCCCUCACGUCAUGAAGAAAGCUGCAGUUUCUCCCAAAGUGAGGAAGUACUUGGUUAAAGAUAAUCUUGGCGAGUGUUGUUUUACCGAUGCCGCCCAUCCCGUAGAUUCCAAUGAACCGCACAUCUUUAGAAUCAAUGUCUAAUAAAUCUUUUAUGGUUGCUAUUCGGCCUUCCAUUCCAACUAAAUGUUUGGUUACAUGUUUCUGUCUUGUCUCGAGCCUGACCACAACCUCGUGAACAACCGCCUGGAUAAGUUCCGCAUAGCUGCCAACAAGUUGAGUAGUUUCAAUUGAGAAAAGGUGACAAAUUUGCAUGUUGACCAGCCAUCUACUAACCAACCAGGUGGGAACUCGAUCAAGUUUAGCAUAUAGAAGAGAAAUGUUUGAUCUUUGUAUCAAUUGGAAGAAUCGGAAUUUUUGGCCAAAAAGGGUAGAAGAAUCAAAAUAUAAACAUCUAAUGAGUUACUAUAAUAGAAGAUUUGCUUAAAUAUAAAAUGGCCUGAUUGUACAAAAUAAUUUUCAGAGUCAUGGUUAGAUUGUUACCCAGAAUAUUUCUCCAACUCCCAUCCCUUGUUGCAACAAACUUCUUUGAGAGCUUGCUGCCAUGUGUUUAUAUCCGCGGAGCUGAACUUAUUCUUCCGAUCCUCCGUCUCUUGCGCUAAAUUCGAUAUGGCAUCUUUGUACAACGGGGUUUUCAAUUUCACGUCAUCGGGUUUCACGUCGUAGAAGAUGGGCAAUAUGACCUUCUCUUUCCCAUCUUCUUUAUUUUUAGAGGUGUUCUCCACCAUCUUCGCAAGCUCGUCGAGGCACCAGUGACUUGAAGCAUAAUCUUUGGAGAAGAUGGGUAUGUAGAGCUUGGAAUUGUCAAUUGCUUGUAGAAGGUUGCCACUAAUUCUUUCACCUGGUCGAAGCCCUUCAUCAUCGAUGAAAACACUAAUCCCAGCAUUUACCAAGGCUUGGUGGAGGAUAUCGGUGAAUGUACGACGAGUAUCAGGUCCUCUAAAAUUCAAGAAGACCUGGUACUUACCUCCUGAUGGAUUGCUGGUGCUUGUUCCUGUCUCUGAGUUCACCAUCGGAGCUCACUUCGCACUUAGCAAGGUCAGCCCUCUUACUUGGUCUUUGAGUUUGCCAUAUGACAUUUCACAUAUUUGAAUCCAAUCCAAUUUGCCGUCCAAAACGCGUAUAGGCAACUUCGUAGCAGGUGCAAUUUCCAGUUUGCAAUCAAUAAAGUUGAUGGCUUUAAAAAAGAAAAAUAAGGCGGAGGACAAUUAUGGAGGUGCCCCUUUUUAUACGCCCAAUUUCUUUCCAGUUUCCCCUUUGUGUUUUUGAACUUUUGGAUUAAAAAUAUUUGAUUCUUUAUAUCUAUAGUUAGGCAUAUUUAUAAUCCCAAUCUAGAAUUGUAAAAUGACAAUUUAUUUAUAUAGAAAAACAAAUUAUUCCUAAAGGAUCGCCUCUUAUUCUAAUACUUGGGACUGUAGAUAAUUAGAAAUAUCUCCUUGUUACUAUAGAGAUUGGAUUUGCUGCAUUCUCUACAACAAAUGCUCUACCUAAGCAUAUACGUACUACUUACUAUGAAAUAUUUGUUUUGAUCUCUUUGCCUUCAAGACUUCCUUUAAUUUUAAGUCAUUUCCUUUAACAACUCAAAUAUUCUCAUAAAAUGUGCAAUUAUAUUAAAAAGCAAAUGAUAAUUUAUUUUCUACUGAUAACUAUUAGAAUGUAAGCAUGGUGCAGUUAGUGUGCAUUGGACGUUAAACCAAAUCAAAUUAUAUAAAUAUGAUAGAAUAUAUUUCGAAUUUGAAAUUGUUGGAUGAAAUAGGACCAGAUGAGACUUAUGGAUGCUCCACCACUAUUCAAAAUUGGUGAGAUGAAAUGUAGUGAUGGCCUGUCAAUGGCCAUGAUGCCACUCCAUCCUGGUGUUGCUGUGAGCACGAAAGAAAGAAAAAGAAACCAUGAUGGUCUUGACCAUAAGAGAUGGCUUUGCUCAACUGAAGAAAGGGAAAACGAGAUCAAUGAUGGCCAUUGCCAAUAAUCGACCGAAAGGGAAGAAGUCGAAGAAAGUCACGAGGACGAUGUCUUUUCAUGUUGGCCACUCGUUGUUUCCUUUCUUCUCUAUUUGGUUCUGCUGAAUUUCCCCUUUAGAAACCAAGAGGAAGAGCUCUCAAUGUCAUAGAGAGCUCCGAAGGCUGCACAGAGCAUAUUGAAAAGCGUGCUGAAAGUUCCUCUUGAUCACACCAAAUAUUUCUUUUCUGAAGCCUAUUAAAUCUUUUGUUGAGAUUUGUAUCAUUUCUUUAAGAGAUUGAAAAAAUUAUUUUGAGAGAAAUUUUAAAAACGAAACAUUGUAUAGUUAUUGAGUAUUAGAAACUAAAAACCACCGAGAGUAUUUAAAUGACUCAAGUGUGAUUAUAACUUUCAUUAUUUUUUUUUAUCUAUAAUGGAAUCUUGUGCUGCUAUCUUUGUAGACGUAAAUCACACGAUUGAAUCAUAUAAAUCUAGUGUCCGAUUCAUUUGUUGUUUUGUGCAUUUUAUUCAAUUGCUUUUUUUUUUCAAAAGGGAAUAUGGUUUGAAGAAAAGUGAAACCAAAGUAAAAGAUAUUUAAUAUGACCAGCAUUAGGCAUUCAUGAACAAAUGCAUGAAAAAGUAUCUUUUAUUUUCUUAAGAUAUCGAUAAAUAUUUAUAACCUUAAACUUGUGAUUAGUGAUAGAAUUUGUCCCAUCGCCUGCUUAACAUUAACUCUGAUCAUGAGUACGAGAUUCAAUGCAAUCUAUACGACCCGUUUCUUCUAAUGUCCCUUUGACAAUGCAUAGUGAUGUUCUUUUAUUGCCAUUUUCUCCGUUAAAUUGCGCUAGCCCGUGUGUUUCACUUUGACUCCUUCAUUUUCCAUGAUUUUAUAGUCAAAUAUAUUUUAUUUAUUUAGUUUUGAAUGCGAUAUAUCAAGAAAAUCAUAAAUUUGCAACUACAAUCUUGACAUAUUAAGUAUGUAUGUUUUGCAUGAUUUGACAUAGAUUUUCACGACAUUUGUUAGUGAUACAUUUUUUUUUGUUAGCAUGAUUUAACAUAAAUUAUUUUCAUAUUUCAUCUCUUAAAUAAGUUUUUGGUGAGAAAUUGAAAAUCAUUAUGAACAUUAUUCUUCGGAUUUUGAACCGUUGUAGUAGAAGUAGUGAAGAUCAGAUAGAGCCUAGCCGCAAUUUGGUUUGUUUUAUUUAUAUUUGUUUUUCGUGGCGUUAUUAGUUGCUUAGACUUGCUGACUAAAUUGGAGCACUGUACGAAGUCUUCGAGAGGAUGACUUGUCCACAUUUAUUUUAUCUCAUUUAUAACACUAGUAUCUAAAUCAUUCGACUCAAUUAAUACCGAUUUAUGCACGCAAAUCACUCCAUUCACGUGCAUUCGGUUAGCUUCAUUCACAAGAUUGUUAAGGAGACACCGGGGGUAAUGAGUAAAGGACACUGUGAUCAAAUAUGAACUAAACGUCGUUUCAAAAAUAGCAUUCAAAAUACACAUAAUGCAUUCAUGACUGUUUUUACGAACCCAACAUUUCACAAAUUAUGUAUAAAACAAUAAUCCUUCCAAAGAUAUGGCAAUCGGAUCAUAACUAUGGUCAUCUUUGAUGCGCAACUUUCUACAACUCAGCAACACCUUUUGAAAAUGCUAUGAACAUGUACAUCUUAUGCUUUCAAGCCAUUGCCUCAAAUGAUUGGAAUACAUAAAAGACGUUAAUGCUUGCUUUUUAGUAAAUCGGAAGGUCAUGCGAUACCAUAUUACAAGAUCCCCAAAAGAUGCCAACAUGCCAUUCUUUGAAAUCAUGUUUUUACCUUUUAAUUAAUCACGCAUGCUGCAUACAGCUUCAACAAAUCCGAAAGGUUUUAGGCAUGUGAAAAUUGAUGUUAUCGGACGAUUAGCUUUUGGACCUAUUUCUUCAAUAGCUAAAGGUAGUCAAUAUGUGGUAUAGACAAUGCCUUUGAGAGUGUGUGGCUGGAGGAGAGUUGUUAUCGAAGGCAUUUCUACAAAAAAGUUUAGAUGUGUUUAUUUUGAGUGCGCGCCUCAUUGUUCGUCAAAUUUCUGCCAUUCUUUUGUAUUGGACAAUUCAGUAAUAAUAACAUUACAUUCAUUAAUGGAAGCUUUUAUUACAUUCUUAAUGCAAAAAGCUUCUCCACCGUGUCAUCCUCCUUCAGAAAUUUACAGAAGAAGAAUCAAGGCGUUGCAUGAGAAAUGGAGAAAAGAAUGUCUAUUAUGAGAAAUAAACAAAGAAAUUCUUGAUUUGAAUGCCCGAAGUGCGAUGCCACUUUCUUUAGCGAGAGACAUCAUUUUGGACGUUUGUAUCGCGUGACUCAUGCGAUUCAAUUGAAACUUAUGAACGACAACUUCAUAGCAGUUGCAGCUUUCAAUUUAUAGUCAAUAAAGUUGAUGGCUUUAGAAAAAAAUGAAAUGGAGGACAAUAAUGGAGGUGAACCUUUUUACAAGCCCAAUAUCUUUCGAGUUUCUUUGUUAGAGCUAACACUAUCACCUAAAAAAAAGGUGAAUAGGUGAUUAUAAACAAUUAAAGCGGAGUUUAAAACAACCAAGUUCAAUAUCAUGAAAAACAAAAUCUAAUGAAAAACUUUGUAGUGAUUAGAUUUUCUACAACGUCUAAUGAAAAACUACACUAUAAUAAGACUUUACUAUGUGCAAUAAAUAGAAUAAAUGAGUUAUUAAAGAAUAGAGAAAAUCACACACAACAAUUAUAGUGGUUCAACUUAUGAUAAACCUACAUUCACUCUCCCAUGCUACAGCCUAUUAGUUGGAUUUCACUAUGAAGAAUUAAUAAGAGGUUACAAGAUAUGAACUAUAAACACUCAAGUUCAUGCGUAUAACUCCUCACACACUCUCAACUUCUAAAUAAUUAUACAAUGAUACUCAUAGAGACAAAUGUAUUUGACCGCAAAACACUCUUUAGACUUUGGAAUUAUAAGUUUUGAUUCUCUUGUGUUGCGUUUUUCCUUUUAGCUUCGAGACCUCCUUUUAUACUUCUCCCAAACCAAGCUAACCAUUGGACAUAUAUCCAAAAAGAUUAUCUAGCCAAUCUACCUCUUGGCCUGGAUCUCAUUAAGAAUGUUUGAUCACUUUAAGGAUGCCGAGAAUAAAGCUUCUCAUAGAUUCUGCCACUCAUACAGCAGUUUGGGUUUUCAUAAGUCGAGUGCUUCAACUUAGAAAGAAUGUUUCGCCUCAAGUAUAUCGUUCUAGGAAAGACGAGGAAUCCAAUCAGUCGCUGCUAACCUUUAUUGUCUCAUUCUAGCUGUUUGACAGAGUACAUAAGAAAGGAAAUAAUUAAGUCAUGACUCUGGUUUUGAUUGAUAUUGUCUGAUCAUACUUCGUUGGACUUUGCACUUGAAAAAUACUUAUCAUCAGAAUUAAAGUCUUUACGCUAGAUAAGUUUUGUCAAUCUUCAAAAUCAAUUUGGGAGAUUUUCUCAACAAUCUCCACUUUUUUAUGAUGACAAAACUUUCCAAGCAGAACUUUAGAAAAGAUUUUAAAAAGAUUUAGUAAUCAAAUAGCUCUAUUGAAAGCAAUAUUUUAGAUAAGGCACAAUGUGAAUUCUAUAAGAACUUUGCUGAUUUUGUAAAGAUAAGUACAAACUUCUUACAGAAUAUUGAGCUAAUCAGAGUGAAUAAGAUUUGUAAAGAAAUUUCUUGAUUUGUGAAGAAAUUCCUUACUCUGAUUAAGGAAGUUCAAGAUAAGAAUAGAUUCAAGAAAACUUCCUUUUUUUUUUUAUAUAUAUAGCUUCUCCUUAGCAAGAUCACAAAAGAUCUUCAUCUACAUAUAGUGUUAUGCUUUUCUUGCAUUUUCUCUUUCUUUUUGUCAGCAUCACAAAAGAGACAAUAAUAAUGGAAGGAGUAUCACAGAGAGAAUAUGCUAUUCAGCUCAUCUUCACACACAAUCUUCAAAACAUAUUUAGCAUGAAAAUUUUUUUUCAUAAACAUCCUAUAGAUGCUAUGGUGAACAUAAAAUAAUUGCAAUAUAGCUCAUGUUAUUAUAGAAUCAAAUACCAUAUGCAUCAAAUAAAUAUAUGUCAAUGAUAACAUAUGCAAUAUAUAAAUUUCAUAUACAUUUUUUGUCAUAAUAAAACGAUAAUGGAAAUAUGAGAUUUAUAAUGACAAAAGGUAAGUGAAGUAAGAAAAAUACUAACCAGAUCAUGUAGAAUUUAGCAAGUUCUAAUAUACAUUAUAUUUUCUUCCAUAAUCAAGAGGAGGCAAAAAUUAAAUUGACUUAAUCAGGAUUUUCUCACACUUAAUUUACACUCCCUUUCAAUUUAAUGCCUUUAUGAGAUGAUCACGGUUCUUCUCCUUUAUUGUGCAUCCACUUUCUCAUUCUUUAAUAAAUUUAACAAAUUUUGCGCCUAGAGGAGAAUUUUUGCUCCUUCGAAAAUGGUGUGGAAUCUUCGCGAUUUUUCUGAUCAAAUUUUCCAAAAUUUAGAUGGAAAGAUUAUUUGCCACCUGCAAUUUUUUGUAAAAGAGAUAACAAUUUGCAAAAUAUAGACAAUAUCACGUACUUUCCUUCCUUGAAUUCGCGGAUUAAUUUUGCCAGUUAGAAGAUAUGCUUCUAACAUAUAAAAGCACGCAUUAAUUUCUUUCAAGAUUAAAAAGAUUCUAAUGUUUAAAAGAAAAUCUGAUUUUCAAAUGUUUAAAUCAUUUAUAAUUAUUCUAUAGCGAUGGUUAAACAUAUUUAUAUAGAUACAAAUGGAAUUUAUCUAUAUAAAUGCAUAAUAAGAAAAUAGUCCUAUAGAAAAGUUUAAGUUUAAGUGCAUUUAUUUCAAGUGAAAAGUUUAAGUUUAACUGCAUUUAUUUCAAGUGAGAAGUUCGUCAACUUUCAAACUGUUUUUUUGGAUUGGACAUUUUAACAAUAAUAACAUUACAUUCAUUAAUGGGAAGAGCUUUUAUUACAUUCUUAAUGCGAAAAGCUUCUCCACCAUAUCAUCCUCCUUUAGAAAUUUACAAAAGAAGAACAAGCCCAUUACAUUAAAAAACGAGAAAAGGCUGUUUAUUGUAAGAUAUGACGACAAAAUUAUUGAUUUGAACACCCGAAGUCCAAUGCCACUUUCGUUAACGAGAGACAUCAUUUUGGACGUUUAUAUCGCGUGACUCACGACAUUUAAUUGAAAGUGAUGGAUAGGCAACUUCCCAGCAGCUGCGGCUUUUAAUUAAUAGUGAAUGAAGUUGAUGGGUUCAGAAAAAACCAGAUGGAGGACAAUUAUGGAGAUGUACCACUUUUUUCAGUCGGUCGAGAUGUACAAUUAUGGAGAUGUACCAUUUCGCACGCCCAAUAUCUUUCGCCUUUCUUCUCGGUGCCUUUGAACUUUUGAAUAAAAAAAAACUCCAAUUUUCAAAUGUUUAAAUCAUUUAUAAUUAUUCUAUAGCUAUAUCUAUAAUUAAACAUAUUUAUAUAGAUAAAAUCACAAUCUAUAUAAAUGUAUAAUAACAAAAUGUUCCUAAAGAAUAUCUCUCAUUAUGACAUAUGAGACUUUGGACAAUUAGAAGAUUUUCCUUCAAACUAUUGAGAUUGGAUUUGCUACAUUCACCACAAAAAUGCUCCACCUAAGCACUACCUAGCAGUAUGCUUACUACUUACUAUGACGUAUUUGUUUUGAUCUCUUCCCCUUAAUGACUUACUUUUUAUCAUAAUUAAUUACCUUCAACCCCACAAAUAUUGCAAUAUAUGUGCCUUUAUAUUGAAAAGCAAAUCUUUUACAACACUUAUUGUCUUAUUGAAAACUAUUAGAAUGCGAGCAUGAUAUAAUUAGUGUGGUUUGGACAUCAGCCAAACCUAAUUAUAUAAACAUUGAAAUAUAUCUCAAGUCGGAGCCGGAUUAAACCGGAUCGAAAGACUUUGACACUCGACCUAUAGUCAAGAGUGGUGAGCGGGAAAUGCAUGGUGCCAUCCCAUCAUGGUGUUGCUUUGAGCGUCGAAAGAAAGAGAGACCGCCCUGGUCUUGACCAUAAGAGACGACUUUGCUCAGCUGAAGAGGAAAAGAGAGAAUGAUGAUGGCCACCGCUGACACGAGACAAAAGGGGAAGGAAACGACGAAGAAAGUUGCAAUAAUGGCGUCAUUUAACGGUGGCCGCUCAUUGUUUCCUUUCUUCUUUAUUUGCUUCUUGUGAAUUUUCUCUGUGAAUACGAAGAGGAAGAGCUCUUAAUGAGAGCUCCAAGGACUGCACAACGAGAUUAAAAAUUUCCUCUUAAAAGUUUUGAUUCAAAAAGUUUUUCUUUAUGAAAUUACACAAAAUGAAGUCAAUUAAAUCUUGUGUUAACGUUUAGGUCAAUCUUUUUAUGUGAAUGAAAUAUUAUUUUGAGAGAAAUUAUGAGGGUUAAACACAGAGUUCUUAGUCAUAUUUGAGGGAUAAAAAUACAAAUAAUAUUUGAGUAACUCAAGUAUUAUUAUAAUUUUCCAUUGCAUUGUAAUUUCAUGGUUUUCAUUUCCUCGUGGACGUAGGUCACAUAACCGAACCACGCAAAUUUAGUGUUUGAUUCAUUUCCUUGUUUUACAUUUUUAUUCAAGCACUUGUUUUAUUUCCAACAAUAAAUAUGGUUUGAAGAAAAGUGAAACCAAAUUAAACCGUAUUAUAGUCAAGAUCAAACCAAGCCAAACCAUUUUAUGUGGCUUGAUUCGGCUUAAUCAUUCUUUCUGCUUUUAUUUUACCUCUUCAUCACAUGUAAUUUCAUGACUAAAAAAAAAACAAAUUCUAUGCCACAACCCUUCCGAGGCGAGAUCCCUGAGGAAGUUACCGAAUUACCAAGUAAGCAUGAAUGGUCCCUUUUGCAAGGUGACGCUUGCUCUUGGCAGGAUCAAUCUCAACUUGGUUUUCAUUAAUUAUUUCAUUUGCUCAAGAGUCGCCAUUAAUUUUUUAUAAACCGAUUAGGAGUCAAGUAAAACACAAGAGCCUAUUUUACUUCUACAAACCAGAGAUUUGUGGGUCUAACGACUUGAUUAGGCUGGAUAUGUAAUGUGCAAUUAUUCAUGCGAUCUUCCAAUCUUAGUUACCCAUUUUGUUCUCAAUAUCGAGGGAAGAAGGCGAUCAUGCAUGAAAUCACUCAAGCAAACACAAAUAAAAUCCAAUAAUACUGAAACAAAUAGAGCAAAUAAAAGGUACGAAAAUAAAGAAAUUGAGCCGUAUUGCAAAAAAAAAAAAAAAUUAAUACAAAGCUUUGUUCUUAAGUUUCAAGAUAGGACCCCUUGAGCUAUAAAUAGAAACUCGAUGUUAGAUCUCCAACUAUGGCUCCAAACCGGAAAGUCAAUAAAUGAUACUUCAUGAAUAUCCACUAUAUAAACUACUUUCCUAAAAUGAACAAUUACUUCAAAAACGUAAAAUCUACUCAAUGCAAUGUUAAGAAAACAAAAUUUAUUUAUGAAUAUGCAUUAUUGGUAAAAUACACUCCUAGAUGUUUUUUUUUUAAAAUUUUAUUUUAUGAAUAUGCAGUUUAUCUUUCCAUUUGUUUUUUUUUUCUUUUUUGCAUUUCCCCCUUCUUUAUAUAUACACGCACACAUAUAUAAGUGAAACAAAAUUUGAUUACGUGUUGAAAUAAAUAUGAACUAGAAUCUAUAUGCCAAAAUAAUAUGUAAUAUAAAUCCGGAUUUUCAUGAAAAUUUGCACUACGUUCACUUGGAAUUUUUUUUCUUUGGAAACGCUCAAUUGGAAUUUCAACCUUAAAAUUGCAUCAAGAACGACUUAGUGCACACGAGAAAAUAAAGAAAACUAAAGUGACAUAAUGCUAUGAAUUAGAGCCAAACUAAUCCACACUAUGCGAAAAUCAACGGUGGAUGAAUAAAUCUAUACGAAUAACCAAUUUUCUCUCUACCGCUUUUUUUAGGGCGCAGUUUAGCUAACCGUCCUCUGUCAAAUGAUGGAGUGACAGUCAACUAAUGACCACACAAUUCGCAUGGAUUCCAUCUUUUACCCUUUUUUUUUUUUUUAAUUUUAUGUUUUCUUAUUGCAAGCUUAAAUUGAGAGAUAAAAUCAUAAGAGGGCCCAUACAAUCAAUUUUCAUGAAUAUUAUGAAAGAAAAAAUAAAUUAGAUACCGAAAUAUAAAUAAUUAGAAGUAAAAAAUAUUGUCAUCCACUACAAAGAAAUCGUUCAUUUCAUUAUGUAGAUCUAUUAAAUUUAAAAGAUGAAAAAACACUUGAAUUGUUGGCUUUGCAACUAAUAACAAAAUUAUUGUGCAAUGAAUUGGCUUCUCAAUCAUGUCACCAAAAUCAAAUUGCUUUGGAAGGACUCUCCGAUGACCUAAAAUUAAGACGAGUAAUGUUAAUUACGCAUAAAACAAAUGAAGUAAAGAAAAAGAACAAAAUAAGAAUAAUGAAUUAGUAGAGAAGAAAAUUUACCCCAUUGAUCUCGUAGAUGAAGAUGAUUUGGGACCUAAAAUAUUACAAAAUCAAUCUUAGGAUCACACGAGUGAAAAGUAAGCCGAAAUGAUUUUUGAUCAAUUUUUAUAAAUAUUUUACCUAAUAUAGCUUCAAUGUUUGGUUCGUUGAGAAGAUUCACAUAACCAUGAGAUAUGACCAUAUAUCAUUUUAUAUAGAUAAAAAGUCAAUUUAUAGGAAGGUAUUUUAAAUAAAAUAAUAAUAAUACGUAUUAGCAACUAUUGAAAACCCUCAAUUCUUUCCUGAUUGCAAAUCAAAUUUCAAGAAUAGUUACGGUAACUCAUAUCAUCCAAAUUACCAAUUAUAUUUUGGUAUCUAAUUUAUUUUUUCUUUUAUCAUAUUCAUGAAAAUUGAUUGCGUGGGUCCUCUUAUGAUUUUAUCUCCUAAUUUAAGCUUACAAUAACGAAACAUAAAAAAAAGGGGUAAAAGAUGGAUUUCAACCGGUUUCCAUCCAAAAUGUGUGGUUCUCAACUGACCGUCACUCCAUCAUUUGAAGGAGUGAUGGUCAGCUAAGCCUUUUCCACAUUUUAACGAGGGGCAUGCCUACAUAAAAGUUAAGUGCGUCUUCAUUGCUCAACCCAACCCACCAAUUCUGAGAAAAGUCACACAUUUGCAUGUGGACAAACCAUUUACGUAUAUCAAAGCCCAAAUCUUUCUCAUUUAUUUCGAAUUCAUUUGCAUUGCACAUUGUAGAAACAAUAACAUCACAUUCAUUAAUAUGAAGAAUUUUAUUACAUUCAUAUUGUGAAAAGUUUCUCCACCAGAUCAUCUUCCUUUAGAAAUUUAUAAAAGAAGAACAAGUUCGUUUCAUUAGAAAAGAAGAAGAGGAUGUUUAUUGUAAGUUAUAUAUGAUGCAAUUCUUGAUGUGAACACCUGAAUUUAAAUGCCACUUUUGUUUGUAAGAGAUAUCAUUCUGGACGCUUCUACCCCAUGACUAACCUGAUUUAAUUAACAAUUAUGGACAGCUAACUUCACAGCAGCUGCAGCUUUCAAUUUAUAGUAAAUUAAAGUUGAUGGCUUCAGAAAAAGUGAGAUGGAAGACAAUUAUGGAGGUGUACCUUUUACACGCCCAAAUUCUUUCGAGUUUCUUCUUGGUGCUUCUGAACUUUUGAAUAAAAAAAAAUCCGAUUUUCACACGUUUAAAUCAUUUAUAAUUAUUCUAUAGCUAUAUCUAUGGUUAAAUACAUUUAGAUAAAAUCACAAUUUAUCUAUAUAAAUGCAUAAUCAUAAGUUUAAGUCUGUCUGCGGCGCUCAACACACCAAUUCAUAAUCCUUGCAUGGAUACUUUCGUCCCCUGAUGUUCGAAACGCUCUUCUUUUUUCUCCCUUGUGGUAAAAAGAAUCCUAGUACCAAGAUACAAAGACUUCACUCCGAUUAGUUUUUGGAUAUGGUUGCCCUCAUUGACAUCAUCCAAGACAAUUAGCAUUCAUCAAUGUUAUCAAUUUCAUUAGUCACUCUAGAAUAAGAGAUAUUCGACAGUAAUUUUUCUUGUAGUUGGACAACGCCCUUUGUUUUUGGCGUUACCCUCACGUCAUCAAGAAAGUUGCAGUUUUUCCAAAAGCGAGGAUAUAGCUGGUUGAAGAUAUCCUUGGCGGGUUCUGAUCUAUCGAUGCUGCCCACCCUGUAGAUUCCAGUGAAUUGCACAAUACCAAAACUAAUGUCUUAUACAGUGUUUAUGGCUGCUAUUCAAUCCUCCGUUCUAACUAAAUCUUCGAUCACUUGUCUUUGUCUUGCAUUGAGCCUAACCACAAUCUCAUUUACAAUCGACUUGAUAAGAUUCCCAUGGCUGCCACAAAGUCAGUCAAUUUCAAAUGAGAAAAGGAGACAAAUUUGCACGUGGACAAAGCCUUUACAUAUAUCGAAGCCCGAAUCUACCUCAAUUGAUUUCAAAUGCGCAGCUCAUGUUUGCCAAAUUUCAGUCAUUCUUUUGCAUUGCACAUUUUAGAAACAAAAACAUUACGUUCAUUAAUGGGAAGAGUUUUAUUACAUUCUUAAUGUGAAAAUCUUCUCCACAAGAUCAUCCUCCUUCAAAAAUUUACAAAAGAAGAACAAAUGUGCGUCGUUAGAAAAGGAGAAAAGGACCCACGAAGAAAUUCUUGAUUUGAAUUCCCAAAGCUCGAUGCCAGUUUCGUUAGUGCGGGACAUCAUUUUGGACACUUGUAUCGCGUGACUCACGGGAUUUAAUUGAAAAUUAUGGAUAGACAACUUCACAAUAGCUGCAACUUUUAAUUUAUAGUCAAUAAAGUCGAUGGCUUUCGGGAAAAUGAAAUAGAGGACAAUUAUGAAGGCGUAUCUUUCACCGGACCAAUUUCUUUUGAGUUUCUUCUCGGUGCCUUUGAACUUUUGAAUUAAAUAAAAAUCUGAUUUUCAAACGUUUAAAUCAUUUAUAAUUAUUCUAUAGCUAUUACUAUGGUUAAACAUGUUUAUAUAGAUAAAAUCACAAUUUAUCUAUAUAAAUGCAUAAUAAAAAAUUCUAAAGAAUCCCUUUCAUCAUGACACAUGGAAUUAUGGAUAAUUAGAAGAUAUUUCUUCGUAUCAUUGAGAUUGGAUUCGCUGCAUUCACUAUAAAAAAGUGCUCCACCUAAGCAUAUAUUUACUAUGAAAUAUUUGUUUGAUCUCUUUGCCUUAAAGACAUACCUUUUAUAAUUAUUAAUUACUUUUAACCACUCAAAUAUUGUCAUAAACGUGCUUUUAAAUAUUAAAAAGCAAAUCUUUUACAACACUAAUUUCCUUAUUGAGAACUAUUAGAACGUGGGCAUGGUGUAGUUAGUGCUAUCAGCCAAACCAAAUUAUAUAAAUGUGGAAAUAUAUCUCCAGCCGGAACCUGAUCAAGUUAAGAUCGGACGAGAAUUAUAGAGGCUUGACCUCUAUUCAAGAGUGGUGAGAGGAAAUGCAAUGAGGGCCCGUCCAUAGCAAUGAUACCAUCCCAUCGUGUCGUUGCUUGGAGCGUGGAAAGAAAGGGAGAGUAUGAUGGUCUGGACCACGAGGGACGACUUUGCUCAGCUAAACAAAGGGAAAAGAGAGAUUGAUGAUGGGACAAAAGGGUAAGGAAAAACGACGAAGAAAGUUGCAAUAAUGGUGUCUUUUAACAAUGGCCACUCAUUGUUUCCUUUCUUCUUUAUUUGCUUAUAGUCUUUAAAUUCGAAGAGAUGAGAGCUCCGAGGACUGCACAGAGGAGACUGAAAAUUUCCUCUUAAGGGUAUGAUUUAGAAAGGUUUUCUUCGUGAAAUUACAGAAAAUGAAGCCGAUUAAAUCUUGUCUUAAUUUUUUAUAUCAUUCUCUUAUGAAAUUGAUAAAUUAUUUCGAGAGAAGCUGUGAGGGUUAAAGACAGAGUUAUUAGUUGUAUUUGAGGAUGAAAAACACCAAGAAUAUCUAAGUGCUUCGAAUAUGACCUUAAUAUCCAUUACUUUGUUUUAUCUAUAAAGGAAAUGUAUACUGAUUUUCCCGUGGACGUCCGAUUCAUUUCCUUAUUUUGCGCAUUUUUUUUAUCCUUUGUUUUAUUUUCAAUAAUAAAUGUGGUUUUACAAAAAUAGAAAAAAAACCAAACCAUAUUUUAGUCAAACCAUUUUCUGCGGCUUGAUCCGGCUUAAUUGUUGUUUCUUCUUUCAAUUUAUCUCUUCAUCAUUUGAAAUUUCAUGAGAAGAAACCAAAUUCUAUGUUGAGACCCUUCCGAGGUGAGAUCCCCAAGGAAGUUGUCGGAUGGCCAAGCAAGUGCAAAUGGUCCCUGUUGCAAGGCGACGCUUGCUCUUGGCAUGAUAGGUCUCAACUUGGUUAUUUGAUUAAGAGUCACAACUAAUUUUUUGAAGCAAAUAGGAGUUAAGUAGAACGCGGGAGCCGCCUUACUUCUACAAAUCGGAGAUUUGUGAGUCUAAAGACUUGAUUAGGCUGGAUAUAUCUAAAGCCCAAUUUGGUACUUUUUUUUUUCUCUUUUUAAAAAAACAAUUAUUCAUGCAGUCUUUCCAAUUUUAGUUACCAUUUUUAUUCUCAAUGUUGAGCAAGGCAAGUGAUCUCGCAUAAAUUCACUCAAGCAAACACAUAUAAAUCCAACAAUACCGAAACAAAUCUAGCAAUAAAAGGUACGAAAAUAAAGAACCCGAGCUGAGAAAAAAAUCAAUACAAAGCCUUGUUAUUAAGUUCCGGAAUAGGACCCCUUAAGCUAUAAAUAGACACUCAUUGUAAAAUAUAAAUAUGGCCCAAAAAUGGAAAGUAAUAAAUGAUACUUCCUGAAUAUAACUAGAUAAACUACUUUCCUAAAUGAACUAUGCAUCUAGAAGUAAAACCUACUUAAUGCAAUCUAAAGCGCNNNNNNNNNNNNNNNNNNNNNNNNNNNNNNNNNNNNNNNNNNNNNNNNNNNNNNNNNNNNNNNNNNNNNNNNNNNNNNNNNNNNNNNNNNNNNNNNNNNNUUAUGAAUAUACAUGAUUUCUAAAAUACAUUGCCAGAUAUAUAUAUUUUAAUGAAAAUGCAGUUCAUCUUUUUCUUUUCUUUUCCCCUUCUUUAUAUAUAUUAUAGUGAACCGAAAUUAAACAAAAAAUUUACUAAGCGCUGAAAUAAAUUUGAACUAGAAUCUGUAUGCAAAAAUAAUAUGUAAUAUAAACCCGGAUUUUCAUGAAAAUUUGCACUACGUUCACUUGGAAUUUUUUUUUUUUUUGGGUCUAAACGUUCACUUGGAAUUUUAACCUUAAAAUUCUUCCAAGAACGAGUCAUUGCACACCAGAAAUAAUGAAAACUAAAGUGACAUAAUGCUAUGAAUUACAUCGAAACUGAUCCACACUAUGCGAAAAUCAAUCGUGGAUGAAUACAUCUAUACAAAUUCCCCAUUUUCUCUCUUCCGCUUUUUACAUUUAACUGAAGGCAUGCCUGCAAAAAAAUUAAGUCAUCCUUGAAUUUAUACUUAAGUCCCCUGAAAUUUGAAACACUCUUAUCCUUGCUGGCAACAAGUAUUCUAGUACCAUAAUACAAAAAAAAAUUCACUCUGAUUAGUUUUUGAAUAUGGUUGCCCACAUCGACAUCAUCCAUUAUGAUUAGCAUUAUCAAUGCUAUCGAUGUCACAAGUCACCCUAGAGUAAGAGAUAUUGGACAAUAAUUUUUCUUGUAGCUAGACUAAGCCCUUAGUUUUUGACGUUUCCCUCGUGUCAUCAAAAAGCAAGCGAGGAUAUAGCUUGUCAAAGAUAACCCUGGGGGGUGCUGUUUUACUAAUGCUGCCUAUCCCCUAGAUUCGAAUGACUGCACGUUACCAUAACCGGUGUCUAAUAAAUUGUUUGUGGCUGCUAUUGGAUCCUCCAUUUCAACAAAAUGUUUGAUCACUUGUCUUUGUCUUGUCUCGAGCCUAACCACAACCUCAUUAACAACUGACUUGAUAAGAUUCCCAUAGGUGCCACAAAGUUAGAUGGUUUCAAUUAAGAAAAUGUAACAAAUUUGCAUGUUGACAAACCAUUUACAUAUAUUAGAGCUCAAAUUUGCCUCGAUUCAUUUUGAAAGCGCAACUAUUGUUUGUCAAAAUUUAGCCAUUCUUUUGGAUUACAUGUUUUAGAAACAAUAACAUUACAUUCAUCAAUGGGAAGAGUUUUAUUACAUUCUUAAUGUGAAGAGCUUCCCCACAAGAUUAUCCUCCUUCAGAAAUUUACAAAAGAAGAACAAGUGCGUUUCAAUUAGAAAAGGAGGAAAUAAUACACGAUGAAAUUCUUCAUUUGAACACUCAAAGCCAUAUGCCACCUUCAUUAGUGAGAGACAUCAUUUUGGACGAUUGGAUUGGGUGACUAACGGGAUUUAAUUGAAAGUUAUAGACAUGCAAUUUCAUAGUAGCUGCAGAUUUUAAUUUAUAGUCAAUAAAGUUGAUGGCUUUAGAAAAAAUGAGAUGGAGGACACUUAUGAAGGUGUAGCUUUAGAGGCCCAAUUUCUUUCGAAUUUCUUCUUGGUGCCUUUGGACUAUUGAAUAAAUAAAAGUCUGAUUUUCAAACGUUUAAAUCAUUUACAAUUAUUCUAUAGCUAUAUCUAUGGUUAAACAUAUUUAUAUAGAUAAACUCAUAAUUUAUCAAUAUAAAUGCAUGAUGACAAAAUAUUCCUAAAGAGUCCCUCUCAUUAUGACACAUCGGACUAUGGAUAAUUAAAGGAUUUUUCUUCAUAUUAUUGAGAUUGGAUUUGCUGCAUUCACCACCCAAAAAAGAGAGAGGAAAUGCCACUAAAAACCCCAAACUUCGCCCAAGUGACAAAUUUACCCUAAACUUUUUUUGUGACAUGAAAAACCCUAAAUUUUGCAAACCGUGACACAUUUACCCCCCACCAAGGGCAUUUUCAUUUUUUUUUCCCUUCUUCUUCUUCUCCUCUCUUCCCUCGGCCGGCCAUGGCGAAAGCCAAUGGAGGGAAGCCGGAGUCAGGCAAGGGACGCCCUCGCUGACGUUGAGCGAGGGUGGCCCUCAGCUGGGUUAGGCAAGGGCCUCCUUCCCUAGAUCUGGCAAGGGUGGCCCUCAUUUGCGUUUGGUGAGGACGGCCUUCACCCGACGCCGACAAGGGCUUGGCAAGGGAGGCUCUUGCCGGACCCAAUUGAGGGCUGCCCUCACCUAAUGUUGGCGAGAGCAGCCCUAGCCAGCCCAGGUGAGGGCAGCCCUCGCCUGACUCUGGCUUCCCUCCACCAUGGCUGGUGGAGGGAAGAGAGAAGAAGAAGAAAAAAAGAAAAAAAAGUAACAUACCAACAUGCCCUAUAGUUUAUGGUAAAUGUGUUACACGAAAAUAUAAGUUCAGGGUCUUUUGUAUAAUGAAAAAAAAUUUGGGAUUAAUGUGUCACGGUUGGCAAAGUUCAUGAUUUUUCAUGUCACAAAAAAAAGUUUGGGGUAAAUUUGUCACUUUGGGCAAAGUUUGAGGUUUUUUUUUUAUGGUGUUUCCUAAAAAAAAAAAAAAAAAAACUCCACCUAAGCUUAUUCUUACUACUCACUAUGAAAUAUUUGUUUGAUCUCUUUGCCUUAAAGAUGUGCCAUUUAUCAUAAUUAAUGAUCUUUAACUGCUCAAAUAUUAUCGUAAACGAGCUUUUAUAUUUAAAAAACAAAUCUUUUAUAACACUUAUUUCCUUAUUGAGAACUAUUAGAAUGUGAACGUGGUGUAGUCAGGGCCAUCAGCCAAAUCAAUUACGUAAAUGUGGAGAUAUUUCUCGAGCCAGAGCCUGAUCAAAUCAGAUCGGAGGAGAAUUAUGGUCGCUCGACCUCUAUUCAAGAGUGGUGAGAGGAAAUGCGAUGAAGGCCUGUCCAUAGCAAUGAUGCCAUCCCAUCAUGGUGUUGCUUUGAGAGUGGAAAGAAAGGGAGACCAUGAUGGUCUCGACCAUGAGAGACAGCUUUGCUCAGCUGAAGAAAGGGGGAAGAGAAAUUGAUGAUGGAACAAAAGGGCAAGGAAAGCGACGAAGAAAGUUGAAAUAAUGGUGUCUUUUAAUGAUGGCCACUCAUUGUUUCCUUUCUUCUUCUUUAUUUGGCUCUAGUAAAUUCUGUCUGAAUUCGAAAAGAGGAGCGCUCCGAGGACUGCUCAGAGGAGAUUGAAGAUUUCCUCUUAAAGGGUUUGAUUCAGAAAGGUUUUCUUCGUCAAAUUACACAAAAUGAAGCCAAUUAAAUCUUGUCUUAAUAUUGUAUGAGAUUGAGAAAUUAUUUCGAAAGAAAUUAUGAGGGUUAAAGACAGAGUUAUUAAUUAUAUUUAAGAAAUGAAAAAUUACCAAGAGCAUAUAAGUGACAUUAAAAAAAGAGAAAAGGAUACACGAAGAAGUUCUUGAUUUGAAUGCCCGAAGCCCGAUGCCACUUUUGUUAGUGCGAGACAUCAUUUUGGACGUUUGGAUCGCGUGACUCAUGGGAUUUAAUUGAAAGUUACGUAUAGGUAACUUCACAUUACCGGGAAAAUGAUGGCUCGGAAAUGGGAGGCUCGCCUUCGGCCGCCUGUGGCUUUCUCAACAGUGUUGCGUCGAUUUCCAACGACUUUGAAGAGAUUGGAGAUGGCCGGAAAUUCUUCUGUGUCUUUUUUUUUUCUCUCAUUUUUUAAGUCUGUCAUAUUUCGGGCCAAACCCAGCCCAAAACUAAAUUGAUGCCUAUCCAAGAGGACUUGUUUAGGCCCCAACCCUUCAACCGGGCCUGAAGUUGAUCGGGCGGGGCGUAUUUUUCAAUAAAAAAGCCACCCAUUUGCAACUAUACUUCCGAUUACUAGACGCCAAAGGAACUCACGAACUCAUUGCUACACCAUUCUUUAUCUGCCGUAGACAAACAAGCAUUCCUAUUCUGUAACAUAGAAAUGGCAACAAUUUAUUGCUUAUGCCCAUUCAUGAUGAAUACUUUCCCCAAAAUUCAAUCAACUAAUAUUAAAUUAACCCCAAUAACAACUAAUCACAAUAUUCCAGCAAUAUUAACCCUAAAGCAGUAAAGAUAGUGCUGAAUAUUAAAGCAAGGGAAAACCAACACCUGUAAAAUUUUACGUGAAAAACACAAUGCAGAAAACAUCACGAGACCAGUAAAAAUCUUCCGCUAAUCACCAAAAAUAGCAUAAUACAUAAUAGUUCAUCUCAAAGAACACAGUUAGAGGCUCUUUCACCUAAACAAAAUAUUAUCACCACAAAAGUGGAUUAACAUAAAGAAGUAAGAAAGAUCUAACCGCUACCAGACAAAAUCAGGAGACAACUUGGAGAAGAUUUUAACAAACACAACCGAUCAACUUGUAGAUCAUGGACUCACAAACAGCAUAUGAAAUUUUGGCCAAUUCCGACAAAGUUUCACUAUUGAAUUUAGACUACCUCUUCUCUUCUUCAAAGCAAAGCUCUUUCCCUCUUUUUCUCUAUAACAACGAAUUGUUCAUCCCUCUCUUCUAAAUCAAGAACAUUCAGCCCUAUCAAUUCUUUUUCUUUUUUAUUUUAUUUAACAUGAUGAGAUGAGCCCCACAAGAGGUGGACCCAACCCAACAAACAUCCUCUUCACCUUAUGAAGAAGUUUCAUUAUGCCAGCAUUAUCAAUACAGGAAGCAAGUUUCACCAUUGGCAAGGUUUUACUCAUCAUAUUGGAUCCAUUAUCAUUAGUGUAGACUUUCUCAAGUAAGAAAAGUUUAUCAUCUAAUUUAUCUCGGAUCCAAUGACAAGGAUAAAGCAUUAGUCUGGAUAAAGCAACCAGAUGCAAUUCUAGUGAACAUCACUCUAUCUUCAGCAAUAUGACAUGGAUAAAGUCGCGACAUAAAGCAUCCCGCAUAAUGCUGUCUUGUAUUUGCACGAAUAGAUUUGAUCUUGUCGGGGGCAAGACUGCUCAUCUCUAACUAAUAACAGCAGCUACCAAAGAGUUUAUAUAUCUAGAGCAGUAUCAUGAUUCACUCUCUAAGGACAAACACCCUCUAGAAAUGGAGAGAUCAGUUUCCUAUAUCUUCUUUAGUUUGCUUGCAAACCAUAAAUGGUGGAAGUUGAGAUCCAUGGAGUAACCUGACAAGCCAAAGUUUCAAGCCACUAAAACAUGUGUGUUUACUGUAGUGUCUCUUUUAUUACGUAACCUUUUGUUUUGAUAGGGCAUUUUUUCAAAACAUACCAAAACCGACAUCAAAGGCACUUUUAGAGCAAUAAUAUCAGAUUAUAUUAGUGUUGUGUUUAUCCUAGACUAUGUUGGUACACAGCUUCGGGGAAAUUGAAUGAAAUAUCGACCGACUAAAUUAAAGUUCAAUGCAACCAAAUGCUAGGCUCUUAAGAAAUACUCCCCAGUAGAGAGACUUGUCGAUUAAGAAAUUUAGCUGAAGCUCUCUCCAUUUUACUUUUACACUAACGGCAGGCUGACCAAUAAUAUAAAGUUUCAUUCAAUCAUAUUAUGUUAAAUAUUAUCUCCUUAUAACCAAAUGCAGCCAGUCAAAGUCAAGUGAAGAAUUCAAUAAUAAUUAUGCUUCAUUUGUUUCACGAAAAAUAAAUGAUUUGGAAAAUAAUUUCUAAAAAAAUGAUACAUUGUAUUUCUUGAAAUAAUUAGUCAAUAAAUAAUGUUUUCAUUAUUAAUAAUAAUCUUAUAUCUAAAAAUUUUGGUGAAUGAUAAAGAAAAUAUUCUAUCAUUUAUUUUUAUAAGCGAUACAAGUAAUUGUAAGUGAUAUAAAUAAUAUUUUUUGAUAUUUUAAAUUAUUCAUUCUUGUGAAACAACAAGAUAACGAAAUAAUAUUUAGCCAAAGAAAAUGGGUAAUUGGGCCCAGUUUUCGUUGGCCCAAAAAUUCUCUUGGGCUAAAUGAAACCUUCGUCCCUCACGCUGACGAAAGAAAUUCUCAUCUUUCAGUCGACUUGAAGAGCAUUUUUGGUUCUAAAUCGAGCUCAAACCUUCGUUUCCGCUACUCAUCUUCGUUUUCAUCUAAGGUCUUCGGGGAGCUUCUGUGAGCGUUUUUCACUACUAAUCGUUACACCGCCGCUUUUGUUCUUCAAUUUGAUAUCUAUUUUGCUUUUUUAAGCCAGUUUUCGUUGAUGUCGCGACUGUUUCUUGCUGAUUGGAUCGUCUUCGACCUGGGGCUGGAUGGUUUCUCGCUCGGGUGGCAAGAAAAUGUCGGAGAUCUCUUGUGGUGAUCGAGAUAGAUAGUAGUGUAAGAAGGUGAGAUGAAGAUUUAAGAAAUGUUGUGCCGUAGGUUUGUUCCAGCCGUAAUUGCGAAUGGGUGUCCGUGGAAUUACUUCCGUUGGACGUGCUUGUUUGUCUGUCUAAAUGGCGUGCUUUCUUUGAACUGGUGAUUAUUUUGUGCUUGAGUCAGAAAUUGGGAAUGCGAGCAAUUUGAGCAUGGACUCAUCUUCUCCAAUUGGGAAAAGAGAUGUCCCUAGUUCCCUUUCUUCCAUAUUAUUGUACAUGUGAUUGUUCCAAACAAAGUCUAACACAAUCUGUUGUUAAAUUUAUAGGAUCGUUACGAUCCUUGAUGACCUCACGAAAUUUUGUGAUGGGACAUGCUUAAGAUUUGAUUCCGUGUUCAUUGAUAUGUGGUGUCUUACUGGAAGAUGGGCGAGCUCGCUGGCGAUGAACAUCUCAAGUACAUACUGUGUUGAAAAGGUAGGUAUGAAAUUUUUACUACUCUCUUCUUGUUCUCUUGUCCACUUUCUGCCAGUUACUGAAAAUGACUUGGUUUAUCUGGAUCUGCUACUAUUCAGCAUUUUGGAGUUUACUAAUUUGAGUUUCUGGGUUUGAUCUUGCACUCAGAAAAAGGAUAGUUUUGAGUCAUUGAUUAUGGAGCACUUGAGCUUGAAUGGAGCAUUUUGGGGAUAGAACACUCUAGAUCUUCUUGGAAAACUUGGCACUGUGGAUUCAAAUGAAGUUGUUUCUUGGAUCCUGUAAUGCCAGCAUCUGUCUGGUUCGUAUUUUUUUGUCUCUCGGCUUCUUUUUUGGGAUUACCCACCAAAAACAUGUGGCUGACGGAACCUCCACUCCACAUUCAGUCAAGUUUUUCUUAUUUGACAGUAUGCUUAAGAUAUUAGCUUGGGAUUGACAAGUUCCAUCUAUUACAUUGAUGACCACAUCUUAGGAGGGAUUAGUGUUGCUUUAUUUAUUUAUAUUCUAAAACUUGACUCUAAAGAGCAAAGUGCAAAUGACACUUAGGGCCUGCUUGUGCAGGUGGCUUUGGUGCCAAAUAUUGGACAUGAUCCGCAUCUGCUGUAUGCACUCAGAGCCGUGCAAGUACUGGCCCUUUAUGACAAAUUAGAUGUUUUUGACAUCAAUAAUGUGACAGAUUGUAUCCUUUGGAAUAAAGUGUCUUAGAUUCGCAACUUCCUUGAUGAUCUUACCUUAGGCUCUGUUUUGCAUGUAAAAGGUCAGAUUAUGUUAUGGAAUUUUAUAGUGUGUAUAUUGCUAGCCAGACAUUGAUGGAGAUUGAAGUUGCUACUGUUGGAUUAUCUCUGGUAUCAAAUGUUCUACAUUGUUGUGCCUGAACGAAGAUGAAUCUUUUUCUGGGGAUAUAUGCGGAGAAGUUGAUGCUCGGUGUACUGUCCUCAUCUUUGAUCAAUUAUUAUUUUUGUGCUUCUUGAGGAUGUUUCUUAAAUAAUUGACAUCCCUUCACCCCUUUCUUCCCUUCGAAGGUUCUCUCAAUGUGCUAUAUGCUGUCUUGCAAUACUUAAACGGUUGGAUUCGAUAAAUGUGGAGAAUGCUGUCAGAUAUAUAGUGAGUUGCAAAACUUUGGAUGGCGGGUUUGGUUGCAUUCCUGGUGCAGGGUCUCACCUGAAAUGAUAUCAUUGCACGCAGCCUUCGCUUCCAUCUUGAUGGUAUAAUCAUGGCGUAAACCACUGAUGUCUAUCUAAGAUAUCCCAAGACAACGCACUAAUGUCCUUGCUCUCUCAACUAAUCUAGCUGGUAGUAGUUAACAGUUGGAGAAAACCAUCUGGUCUAGCUAUAUCUACAGGGAACUAUUCGUUGCCAAAAUGCCAACUAAAAUGCCAGAAUCUCACCAUACUAUCACAAAAGGUAAAGAAACUUCAGAGUUGCCUAAGUUAUUAUUAAGCUACGAUCUUCACAAGACAAUGAUCUCCUUAGGAUUGGUAAGAUUAUAGUCUCAUAUAAGUUGAAUACAGUUUAAUAUUGGUGACAGUGUAUUUCGAGAAUGUAAACUCGACUGUAAGGCAUACUUAUUGAAUUUCAUAAAUCAUCUGUUUCGAAUAAUUUUUCUUUGCAAUUCCUAGGAUCCUAUAAUGUGCGGUUCAAGAAGUCUAUAUUCGGGACACAGCAGGUCCACAAUUGAUGGCAAGUUUUCCAAUCUGAAUAACCUUAGGACUUAGUAAAGUAGUAAUUAGGAGAUUAACAAAACCGCUUAAAUCCUCGAAUGCUUUGCUAACUGAGCAAGUAAACACACUUCAAACGUGUAAAACCCGCAAUGAGCAACGAUCGCAAAAUGCAUUCUCAUAAGCAGCCACGGAGGGCCCCAGUGAAUUGCAGUUCUCUCCUCUCCUAGCUAAGCAAUAACGGAAGUUCCUCCAGUCCACUGUCCUACCCUUGAAGAGCAAAUCUAGCAACCCAACCAAAUCUAGCAAGUAUGUCAUAACCUCAUGCUGAGCUCUUUCACGGGUUUCUAAUAUCUGAUUGGUGCAUAGUAAGUCGUGUAUUUGCUUAAAUACAUAGUGGUCUUCUAAUUAUGCUCCAAUGAACACAUCCAAAAGAUAAAACCGAGUCGCCACAGUUUUAAGACAUUCUUUAGGACUCAUCUUAGAAGAGAGAAAGUACAAAGGAAUUGAUGAUUUCCACUGGAGAAUUAGGCAUAAAACAAUGAAGGACCAAGCAAGAAAAUUAAGAAGCACAAGAGCCUGACCAAGCACCUUGCUACUAAGUGGCUCACUUUUCUCUCUUCUUUCAAUUCAAAUAAGAAAAUAUUUGCAAAACAGAGAACUGGAACGUGGGAGUAAUCAUGAAGCGAUAAGAUUUGGUGUUUCUACUUCAACGGAUAACAAAACCUGUGUGUAUUUUGUGUAGCCAAUUGUCGAGUCGAUCACGUAGUAAAUUUGACCUGUGGAAUCCUCAACCAUAAGCAGCAGACCUCAAAUUAGCAAUGGAAACCAAAACUGCCCAAAACAUGAAAGAAAAAAAAAAAAAACCGGACAUCCCAUUUUAAUUCUACAUGAUGAACCAAGAAGAGAAGCACUAGUUACUUCUUUUUCAAUCAUCAAGAGCUCCUCACAGGUAAUAGACAGCUCCUCACAUGUAAUAAAGAGACUGUGGAUACUCAUUAAAGCGACCAUUAACCAAACCUUAGAAUAUACUUAUAGACAAACUCUUCAAGAGAAGAUGCUCAACAUCUUGUGCACAUGAAUACGCUCAAUCGAACAGUCCACAAAAGCAUAGUAACAUAACUAGACUAGGCAUACAGACCCUUAUACAACUAUUAGCAUAUGAAGCUAGAGCUAGAGCUCAAGCUCAUGCUUAAUAUUUAAAGAUAAAUCACACAAUUACAUUCAACUAAACACCAACUGCCACACCAAAAAACACACCCAAAAAAAAAAAAAAAACCCAACUGCCCCACCACUCUUACCUGUUCUUCAGUGAUUAGCUAGUGAUCCAGAGCUCAGGUCCAUGACUCCCGCCACUGAUGAAAUUAAUGAAUGCACCAAAUUCCUCCAGCUGAGCGGCACUAAAGAAGAAAAUGUGCACUAGAGUGAAAAGUGGCACUGGAGAAGGACUUGAAGCUCACAGACCUGGAACUUGAAGCUCGCGAAGAAGGACUUGAAGCUUGUGGGCGACGAAGAAAGAAGAGAUGAUGGCAACCGACACGGCCAACGACGGACUGAAGUUCGAGAGGAGCGAGUAGCAUCGUGGAUUGAAUGACAGCGAUUUGCUUGUGCAGCGAGAGAGAGGAAGAAGAAAACAUGAAAAAGAACCCUAAUCCCAAUUCAAUCCAUCGUUCACGAAUAAUCAUCCAACUUUCUUUUCCCUUUUUGUUUUGCCGACUCUGUCUGCAGAAGGAAACGAUAAGUGAGUUGAGGUGAGGUCUCUUGGGCCUAAAAAUUUCUCUUAAGAAAGGCCCUUUUGUUAUGGAUGGUGAGGGAUGUAAGAUCCCCAACCUCGCCACCGAAGUGGACACACACAACAUAUGGAGCUUCCCAGUAAGAUGGGAAAUUUAAUAAGAUUUUUCUUGGUUGCGCGUUUUAGAAUCAGUUCAUUGUCUCUCUUCACUAGACUAAAGCAGAAAUAGAAAGCAAGCAAAGCAGAAGAAAAAACGUAUGAUCUACGAAUAGAAAGAAGGCGCACCGUUUUCUGUAGAGGAUCCCCUGUUUCUGUUUCAGAGUUCGUUGUUUCAAUUUCAGAGCCGCGCUUGCUUUUUUCUGCUCAAAAUCUUCUCUCUGUAAGACUCCCAAGUGUCGAAAUAUUCAGUGUAGCCAAGUUCACUAUCGUCUUCACUAUCGUCUUCACUAUCGUCGGAUGACUUCUCGCGUGGUAUGAGUAUCUCGCAAUUUUCUGGUUCUUUUGAGCUCAAUACAUCAAAAAUCCUUUCGAAUAUGCACCCACUAAUUUCCAAGGAACAUGAAGACUUUAGUUCGUAAAUGCCCUCAAUAUGCUGCAGGCUGGGGCACUGGUCAAUCUUUAUCCGCAAGUUCUUCAAGUUUGACAAACUGCCUAUCCUUUUUAACGAAGAGCACUGGUCAAUCUCUAACUGCUUCAAGUUCUUCAAGUUUGACAAACCGCCUAGGCUUUUUAACGAAGAGCACUCAUGAACGUAAAUUUCUUCCAAUGAUUUGAACGUAGAAUCAAAUUGAAUAUCCUGUACCUCAUGGGACCCCGACAGACUGAACCUUCUAAGCAUCUUUUGGGAGCUUGGGAAAAGGAUCGCUUCCCUCCUAUGGUCAGUCAACUCGGGAGCUUGUAGUUCACUUUUCCCCCGCUCCUCCGGGUGACAAACCUUACUCUUGGAAGAUCUGCGGAUUUUUGAGCUCGAAGCAUCAAAAAUCCUUUCCAAUGAUCUGCACCCCCCAAUUUCCAACCAACGCAAAAACUCCAGUUCGUCAAUGCCCUCAACAACCUUCAAGCUCGGGCACUGGUGAAUCUCUAACCGCUUCAAGUUCUUCGAGCUUGACAAACCGCCUAAGGUUUUUAAUGAAGAGCACUCUUUAACAGAAAAUUCUUCCAAUGAUUCUAACGGAGAAACAAAUCGAAUAUCCUGUACCUCUGGGAACCCCGACAGACAGCAUUCUAUGAGCAUGUUAAGGGAGCUGGUGAAAAGGAAGGCUUCCCUCCGAUGAUCAAUUAACUUGGGAGCUUGUUGUUCGUUGCACCUCGGCUCCUCCGGCUGACAAACCAACCUCUCGGAAGAUCUGCAGUCCUGAAUGCGUGAUCUCUCCAACGAUUCUAAGACAUCGGGAAAUUGAACAUCAUGUUGCUCGCACACCUUGUUUUCUCUCGAUUUUCUCAAUGGAGGAAGCCCGUCAAGGUGUUCUUGUUUCCCUCGAGUUUCGUAGAGCUUUAAAAUUAUCAAGUUUGACGGAAGCUCUUCAAAAGUUGGCAAGUCUAGUCCAUGUAGAGUAAGUUCUUUCAGCUGAGAAAGGGAAGACAGCUCUGUAGUUGGUGCGCGGACAUUUGGAAAGCGAAUGUGCAGCUUGCUCACUUUGGUUAAACUCCCAAUCCACCCCAAGUUGCCAGUUUGGAAUUCAUUUGAUGGGUGUCUAUGUCCAUAGCGACCAGAUAGGAACAGUUCAACUAGAUUAGUAAGGUAUGAGAGGUUAGGGACAGUCUGCAAUGAAUCAGAUGCCCAUUGUAGAGUGGUCAAACUUCUGGGGAGUUCCGGCAGUUCUUCAAUUUUUGUGGCUGAUGCAUUGAUAAAUAACAGGCUUCGUAGUCUACCAAUGGAAUUAGGUAAUCUUGAAAUACUUGUGCCAAAUACAUCCAGUUUCAUUAACUUCUCUAAUUUUGAAACUGAGUCAGGAAGUUCAAUCAGGUCAAAACAACUAUUAAGAGAGAGAUGUUGCAGAUUCUGUAGCUUUCCAAUCUGUUCAGGCAAUUUUCUCAGUCUGUAACAGGAUUUAAUUAUCAAGUGAGUCAGCCACUUUAGCUUCCCAAUAGAGUGGUCAAUUCGCAUCAAAGACCAAAAUGAAGAAAUAGCCAACUCCUCUAAAACUGAGUCCUCAGGAAAGGUUGGUAUCUCAUUUAUCAACCCAUUGUACCUAAUAGUGAGAACCUUCAAUUUCCUUGCCCCCUACAAAAGCCAAUGAAACAUCAGGACCAAAAAGAAAUAAAUAUGGAUGUAGGCUACCAACGAGAAAAUUAGAUUAUAAAUCCAUCAUAUUUUGUCCUUCGUUGAAUGAGAAAAUUAGACUCAGAGGGAAACUGGCAUACCUCGAUUAGGCUUUGAAGCACAUCUUCUGUGAUAUCAAGCCCACUAAGAUUCACCACAACUGCGUUUUCUAGAUGCAACAGAUUGGUUGCCUCCAAACGUUUAUUGGAGGGGGCAUGGGUACGAUCAAAAUAACUGUAACUCAAAUCGAUCAAUCUCAAAUCGGAAAGACAGCCCGUAAAGUCACCUUGGCAGAUUACCUCACGCAACCAAAGAAUCCGCAAAUGCGGGAACCGCUUAAUUUGCUCCGAAGUGAUGAUUUCAUCAUCUGCCCACAAACGAAGAGAUUGAACGCUUCCCUUAAUCUGCCAAUGACAUUGAGGAGCAGAAGCAGGAAUUUGUCAAUAUCCCCCUAUGUUAUUUCUUAGAAGAGAAGAAAAACCGAAACAAAAGAGUGGCUACCAAAUAAAAAACGGGAAUCCUCAAUUAAGAAGAGGGUAUAAACAAUUUCUAUUCAAAUUUGGCCAUACUUUACCUCUGUUGAUCUUAAUUCGCGAAUGAUGUCAUCUUUAUCCCACAAUCUAGCACCCUCUUUUUUGGCAAUUGCUCUUCCAAGAUCUCUAAACUGAUCAUGCAUCCCAAAUCUAUCAUCAUCUAAAAAUAUCAUGCACCUCAUAGUAAGGAGCUUGAUGGCAAUCCUCACGGAAAACUGACAAUCUUUCCACAUGUACAUUGCAUUAGUCUUUUUCUGUCCAAUGAAAAAGCAUGCAAUAUCGAGGAAUAUUUUUUGUUGAUCCAAAUCUAAGGCAUCAUAGCUAAUCCUUAGCUUUUCCAAGACAUCAUUAUGAGGUGUUUUCUGUAGCUUCUCUAGCCACUCUCCCCAUAUUUCUUCUUCUUCCUCACCAAAAAGCGAUGAACCUAUUGCUUUAAGAGCUAAAGGUAGUCCAUUUGCAGUAGAGACAAUCCUUUCUGAAAGAGUGUAGUAAUUGCGUGGAGGAGAGUCGUCAUCGAAGGCAUGCUUACUAAAAAGUUGAAGUGCAUUUUCCUUGCUUAAUGGCACCAUUUCAUAUUCCUUGAAUUUACACUUUAAUCCCCUUUUAUUAUUCAGAAUACUCUUGUCCCUAGUAGUAACAAGUAUCCUAGUACCUCCUGGAUACAAUAUAUUCUCUCCAAUUAGGUUUUUGAUUUGGUCGGCUUUAUCAACAUCAUCCAAUACAAUUAGCAUCUUCUUCCUGCAAAUUUUUUUUUCAAUCAAACGAAUUCCAUGACCAAUGUUAAAAAUGUUAGGAGCCACUUCAGGAUAAUAGAUAUCGGACAAUAUUUUUUGUUGCAGCCUGACAAUGCCAUUGAUUUUUGCCAUUUCCCUCACGUUAUCAAGAAAGCUGCAAUUUCUCCCAAAGCGAUGACAUAGUUUGUUGAAAAUAGUCUCAGCAAGUGUUGUUUUACCGAUGCCGCCCAUGCCAUAGAUUCCAAUGAGCCGCACACCAUCGGAAUCAAUGUCUAAUAAAUCUUCUAUGGCCACUGCUCGAUCCUCCAUUCCAACUAAAUCUUUGGAUACUUUUAUUUCUCUUAUGGCCACUGUUCGAUCCUCUAUUCCAACUAAAUCUUUGGGUACUUUUAUUUCUCUUGUCUCAAGCAAGACCGCUACCUUGUCAACAAUCGCUUGGAUAACUUCUGUGUAGCUGCCACAAAGUUGAAUAGUUUCGAUUGAGAAAAGGUGACAAAUUUGCAUAUUGACCAACCAUCUACUAAGCAACCGGGUGGGAGCGUAAUCAAGUUUAGGAUAAAUCACAAUUCAACGUUAGCCCCCAAAGCUUUGGGAACAUGAUGAAUUACAAACUUGAACAUCCAUUACAAGUUUAAGGAAUAGAGUACGAGAAAUAUUUGAUUUUAUAUCAAGUAAUCGAAUCAAAAUUUCUAGCAAAAAGGGUAGAAGAAUCAAAAUAUAAACAUCUAAUGAAUUGCUGUAAUAGAAUAUUUACUUAUUUCUUUGGACGUGUAAAAGAACUUUGCAAAUGCAACAGUUCCAUAAUCAAGUUCUCUUGCAUACAAUGGGAAUCUUAAUACAUACAUGGAUCAAAGACGAAGCAAAGCCAAAUUUUUCAUACGAUGGAAAAUAGGUGAAAAACGAAAUUAUAAUAACCCUAUUGGGUCAGAAUUUUUUUUUGGAAAUCUCGUGAUUUACAAAAAUAAAAAGAAGAAUUUGAAACUUUCUGUUUAAAUUUGCAAAAACUAGAGUUGUAAUGUAAUUAAAUAAUUUUUAUAAGAAUUAUGGCCCAAUCGUACAAAAUAAUUUUCAGUCAUGGUUAGAUUGCUACCCUGGAUAUUUUGCCAACUCCCAUCCCUUGAUGCCACCAACUUCUUUGAGAGCCUGCUGCCAGGUCUGUAUAUCCUCGGAGUUGAACUUAUUCUUUUGACCCAAAUUCGAUAUGGCAUUCUUGUACAAUUCAGUUUUUAACUUCACGUCUUCGGGUUUCACGUUGUAGAAGAUGGGCAAUAUGACCUUCUUCUUCCCCUCUUCUUUAGAUUUAGCAGUGUUCUCCACCAUCUUCGUGAGCUCGUUGAGGCACCAGUGACUUGAAGCAUAGUCUUUGGAGAAGAUGGGUAUGUAGAGCUCGGAGUUGUCGAUUGCUUGUGGAAGGUUGUCACUAAUUCUUUCACCAAAUUGAAGUUCCUCAUCAUCAAUGAAAACACGAAACCCAACACGUAACAAGGCGUGGUAGAGGCUAUUGGUGAUGUACGGCGAGUAUCAGGUCCCCUAAAACUCAAGAACACGUGAUACAAACCUCCAAAUGUACUGCUGGUGCUUGUUCUGGUCUCUGGGCUUGCCAUAGGAGCUCACUUCACACUUAGCAGGUUCAGCCGUCUCUCUCUCUCUGAUUGACACUGUUGAAAUACUUCUUCCAUGCAAAUUCGCACAAAGCCUUGUGGUUCUCUGAAUGUGAAAAGCUUUAAUUACAUUCUUAAUGUGAAAAGCUUUCUCCACCAGAUCCUCCUCCCUCUAGAAUUUACAAAAAGAGAACCAGUGCGUUACAUCAAAAAAGGAGAAAAGGAUGUUUAACUAAUUGAAAGUUACGGACAGGCAACUUCGCAGCACCUACGGCUUUCAAUUUAAAGUCAAUAAAGUUGAUCAACUUUAGAAAAGAUGAGGUUAAGUUUCUCCUUCGUGCUUUUCCCUCUGUGCUUUUGAACUUUGGGAUUAAAAAAAAUUUGAUUCUCAAACAUUUAAAUCAUGCAUGAUUAUUCUAAAGCUAUAUCUAUAGUUGAACAUAUUUAAAAUCCCAAUCCGGUAUCGUAAAAUCACAAGGUAUCUAUAUAAAGUAAGAAGAUACUCCUAAAGAAUUAAAGCAGGUUUUGCUGCAUUCAAUUUAUCGGAUAAUUAGAAAAAAUUUCUCCAUACAUAGAGAUUGGAUUUGUAGCAUUCUCAACAACAAAUGCCACACCUAAGCACUACCUAAGCAUAUAUGAGAUAUUUGAUUUGAUGUCUUUGCCUCAAAGACUUACCUUUUAUUAUAAUUAAUGACCUUUAAAACUCUAAUAUUCUCAUAAAAUGUGCCUUUAUAUCAACAGGCAACUUCCCAAAAGAUGCAGCUUUUAAUUAAUAGUGAAUGAAGUUGAUGGCUUCAGAAAAAACCAGAUGAAGGACAAUUAUGGAGAUGUACCACUUUUUUCGGUCGGUCGAGAUGUACAAUUAUGGAGAUGUACCACUUUUUUUUUUGACAGCGGAGAUGUACCAUUUCACACGCCCAAUAUCUUUCGCCUUUCUUCUUGGUGCCUUUGAACUUUUGAAUUAAAAAAAACUCCAUUUUUCAAAUAUUUAAAUCAUUUAUAAUUAUUCUAUAGCUAUAUCUAUAAUUAAACGUAUUUAUAUAGAUAAAAUCACAAUCUAUAUAAAUGUAUAAUAACAAAAUAUUCCUAAAGAAUAUCUCUCAUUAUGACAUAUGAGACUUUGGACAAUUAGAAGAUUUUCCUACAAACUAUUGAGAUUGGAUUUGCUACAUUCACCACAAAAAUGCUCCACCUAAGCACUACCUAGCAGUAUGCUUACUACUCACUAUGACGUAUUUGUUUUGGUCUCUUCCCCUUAAAGACUUACAUUUUAUCAUAAUUAAUUACCUUCAACCCCACAAUAUUGCAAUAUAUGUGCCUUUAUAUCAAAAAGCAAAUAUUUUACAACACUUAUUGUCUUAUUGAAAACUAUUAGAAUGCAAGCAUGAUAUAAUUAGUGUGGUUUGGACAUCAGCCAAACCUAAUUAUAUAAACAUUGAAAUAUAUCUCAAGUCGGAGCGGGAUUAAACCGGAUCGAAAAAGACUUAUCGACACUCGACCUCUAAUCAAGAGUGGUGAGAGGAAAUGCAAUGAUGGCCUGUCCAUGGCCAUGGUGCCAUCCCAUCAUGGUGUUGCUUUAAGCGUCGAAAGAAAGAGAGACCGCCCUGGUUUUGACCAUAAGAGACGACGACUUUUUUUUUUUUUGUGCCGAAAGAACUGCUUUGAUUGACAGCCGCCACGUAAACCCUCAAAUGACGCUAGCCCAGAACCCACCACCAGGGCGCCACACGUAAUACACCUAAUAGUUUGCCAGCCUCUCUACAACUUGUGUUGUAGAGGCUUCGAACACCUGACUUUUCCCUUCAAAGACAGGAGCCUACUCAGUAAAGCCACCACACGGCCGGUGGUAUAAGGGACGACUUUGCCCAGCUGAAGAACGGGAAAAAAGAGAGAAUGAUGAUGGCCACCGCUGAUACGAGACAAAAGGGGAAGGAAAACGACGAAGAAAGUUGCAAUAAUGGCGUCAUUUAACGAUGGCCGCUCAUUGUUUCCUUUCUUCUUUAUUUGCUUCUUGUGAAUUUUCUCUGUGAAUACGAAGAGGAAGAGCUCUUAAUGAGAGCUCCGAGGACUGCACAACGAGAUUUAAAAUUUCCUCUUAAAAGUUUUGAUUCAAAAAGUUUUUCUUUAUGAAAUUACACAAAAUGAAGUCAAUUAAAUCUUGUGUUAACGUUUAGGUCAAUCUUUUUAUGCGAUUGAAAUAUUAUUUUGAGAGAAAUUAUGAGGGUUAAAUACAGAGUUAUUAGUCAUAUUUGAGGGAUAAAAAUACAAAUAAUAUUUGAGUAACUCAAGUAUUAUUAUAAUCUCCAUUGCAUUGUAAUUUCAUGGUUUUCAUUUCCUCAUGGACGUAGGUCACAUAACCGAACCACGCAAAUUUAGUGUUUGAUUCAUUUCCUUGUUUUACAUUUUUAUUCAAGCACUUGUUUUAUUUCCAACAAUAAAUAUGGUUUGAAGAAAAGUGAAACCAAAUUAAACCGUAUUAUAGUCGAGAUCAAACCAAGCCAAACCAUUUUAUGUGGUUUGAUUCGGCUUAAUCGUUUUUUCUGCUUUUAUUUUACCUCUUCAUCAUAUGUAAUUUCAUGAUUAAAAAAAAAAAAAAAAAAACAAAGUCUACGCCACAACCCUUCCGAGGCGAGAUCCCUGAGGAAGUUACCGAAUUAUCAAGUAAGCAUGAAUGGUCCCUUUUGCAAGGUGACGCUUGCUCUUGGCAGGAUCAAUCUCAACUUGGUUUCUAUUAAUUAUUUCAUUUGCUCAAGAGUCGCCAUUAAUUUUUUAUAAACCGAUUAGGAGUCAAGUAAAACACAAGAGCCUAUUUUACUUCUACAAACCGGAGAUUUGUGGGUCUAACGACUUGAUUAGGCUGGAUAUGUAAUGUGCAAUUAUUCAUGCGAUCUUCCAAUCUUAGUUACCCAUUCUGUUCUCAAUAUCGAGGGAAGAAGGCGAUCAUGCAUGAAAUCACUCAAGCAAACACAAAUAAAAUCCAAUAAUACUGAAACAAAUAGAGCAAAUAAAAGAUACGAAAAUAAAGAAAUUGAGCCGUAUUGCAAAAAAAAAAAAAAACAAAACAAAAUCAAUACAAAGCUUUGUUCUUAAGUUCCAAGAUAGGACCCCUUGAGCUAUAAAUAGAAACUCGAUGUUAGAUCUCCAACUAUGGCUCCAAACCGGAAAGUCAAUAAAUGAUACUUCAUGAAUAUCCACUAUAUAAACUACUUUCCUAAAAUGAACAAUUACUUCAAAACGUAAAAUCUACUCAAUGCAAUGUUAAGAAAACAAAAUUUAUUUAUGAAUAUGCAUUACUGGUAAAAUACACUCCUAGAUGUUUUUUUAUUUUAUUUUAUUUUCUGAAUAUGCAGUUUAUCUUUCCACUUGUUUUUUUUUUUCUUUUUUGCAUUUCCCCCUUCUUUAUAUAUACACACACACAUAUAUAAGUGAAGCAAAAUUUGAUUACGUGUUGAAAUAAAUAUGAACUAGAAUCUAUAUGCCAAAAUAAUAUGUAAUAUAAAUCCGGAUUUUCAUGAAAAUUUGCACUGCGUUCACUUGGAAUUUUUUUUCUUUGGAAACGCUCAAUUGGAAUUUCAACCUUAAAAUUGCAUCAAGAACGACUUAGUGCACACGAGAAAAUAAAGAAAACUAAAGUGACAUAAUGCUAUGAAUUAGAGCCAAAUAAUCCACACUAUGCGAAAAUCAACGGUGGAUGAAUAAAUCUAUACGAAUAACCAAUUUUCUCUCUACCGCUUUUUUUAGGGUGCAGUUUAGUUAACCGUCCUCUGUCAAAUGAUGGAGUGACAGUCAACUAAUGACACACAAUUCGCAUAGAUUCCAUCUUUUACCCUUUUUUUAUUUUAAUUUUUAUGCUUUCUUAUUGCAAGCUUAAAUUGAGCGAUAAAAUCAUAAGAGGGCCAUACAAUCAAUUUUCAUGAAUAUUAUGAAAGGAAAAAUAAAUUAGAUACCAAAAUAUAAAUAAUUAGAAGUAAAAAAUAUUGUCCUCCACUAAAAAGAAAUCAUUCAUUUCGUUAGGUAGAUCUAUUAAAUUUAAAAGAUGAAAAAACACUUGAAUUUUUGGCUUUGCAACUAAUAACAAAAUUAUUGUGCAAUGAAUUGGCUUCUCAAUCCUAUCGCCAAAAUCAAAUUGCUUUGGAAGGACUCUCCGAUGACCUAAAAUUAAGACAAGUAAUGUUAAUUACGCAUAAAACAAAUGAAGUAAAGAAAAUAACAAAAUAAGAAUAAUGAAUUAGUAGAGAAGAAAAUUUACCCCACUGAUCCAAAUCUCGUAGAUGAAGAUGAGUUGGGACCUAAAAUAUUACAAAAUCAAUCUUAGGAUCACACGAGUGAAGACUAAGCCAAAAUGAUUUUUGAUCAAUUUUUAUAAAUAUUUUACCUAAUAUAGCUUCAUGUUUGGUUCGUUGAGAAGAUUCAUGUAACCACAAGAUAUGACCAUAUAUCAUUUUAUAUAGAUAAAAAUUCAAUUUAUGGGAAGGUAUUUUAAAUAAAAUAAUAAUAAUACAUAUCAGCAACUAUUGAAAACCCUCGAUUCUUUCCUAAUUGCAAAUCAAGUUUUAAGAAUGGUUACGGUAACUCAUAUCAUCCAAAUUACCAAUUAUAUUUUGGUAUCUAAUUUAUUUUUUUCUUUCAUCAUAUUCAUGAAAAUUGAUUGCAUUGGUCCUCUUAUGAUUUUAUCUCCUAAUUUAAGCUUACAAUAACAAAAAAAAAAAAAAAAGGGUAAAAGAUGGAUUUCAACCGUUUCCAUCCAAAAUGUGUGGUUCUCAACUGACCGUCACUCCAUCAUUUGAAGGAGUGAUGGUCAGCUAAGCCUUUUCCACAUUUUAACUAGAGGUAUGCCUGCAUAAAAGUUAAGUGCGUCUUCAUUGCUCAACCCAACCCACAAAUUCUUAAUCCUUGCAUAUAUACUUAAGUUCCCUCAUAUACGCUCGUCCCCUAGAGGCAAUAAGUAUCCUAGUACCAAGAUACAAAGAAUUCACUCCAAUUAAUUUUUGGAUAUGGUUGUCCUCGUCGACAUCAUCCAAUACAAUUAGCAUCUAUCAAUGUUAUCAAUGUCACGAGUCACUCUAGAAUAACAUAUAUCGAAAAAUAAUUUUUCUUGUGGCAUGACUAGGCCCUUGGUUUUUAGCAUUUCCCUUGUGUCAACAAGAAAGUUGCAGUUUUUCCCAAAGCGAGGAUAUAGCUAGUUGAAGAUAACCUUGGCGGGUGUUGUUUUGCCAAUGCUCCCCAACCCAUAGAUUCCAAUGAACCGCAUACCGUCAAAAGCGGUGUUUGAUAAAUUGUCUAUGGUUGUUAUUCAAUCCUCCAUUACAACUAAAUUUUUGGUCAGUUGCCUUUGUCUUGUCUUCACCCUGACCACAAUCUCAUUAACAACCGACGUGAUAAGAUUCCCAUAGCUGCCACAAUGUCAAACAAUAUUAAUUGAGAAAAAGUGACAAAUUUCCAUGUUGACAAACAAUUUACAUAUAUAAGAUCUUGAAUCAGCCUCAAUUCAUUUUGAAUGCGCAGCACUUAUAUUUCUGUUAGAUUGCACGUUUCAGAAACAAUAAUGACAUUACAUUCAUUAAUGGGAAGAGCGUUUUGUUACAUUCUUAAUGCGAAAAGCUUCUCCACCAGAUCAUCCUUCUUGAAAAAUUUACAAAAGAAGAACCAACGCAUAACAUUAGAAAAGGAGAAAAGGAUGUUUAUUAUGAGAAAUAAAUGAUGAAAUUCUUGAUUUGAAUGCCCGAAGUCCGGUGCCACUUUCUUUAGUGAGAGACGUCAUUUUGGACAUUUGUACCGUGUGACUCACGUAAUUUAAUUGAAACUGACGAACAAACAACUUCACAGCAGUUGCAGCUUUCAAUUUAUGGUCAAUAGAGUGGAUGGCUUCAGAGAAAAUGAGAUGAAGGACAAUUAUGGAGGUCUACCUUUUCACAAGCCCAAUUUCUUUGGAGUUUCUUCUUAGUGCAUUUGAACUUUUGAAUUUAUGACCAUUUUUUAAUUAAAAAAAUCUGAUUUUCAAACGUUUAAAUCAUUUAUAAUUAGUUUAUAGCUAUAUCUAUGGUUAAACAUAUUUAUAUAGAUAAAAACGGAAUUUAUCCAUAUAAAUGCAUAAUAAAAAAUAUUCCUAAAGAAAAGUUUAAGUUAAAUGCGUUUAUUUCAAGUGAGUGAUUCAUUGUUAGUCAAAUUUCCGCUGUUUUUUUUUUGUUUUGUUUUGGACAUUUUAACAAUAAUAACAUUACAUUUCAUUAAUGAAAAGAGCUUCUCCACCAUAUCAUCCUCCUUCAGAAAUUUACAAAAGAAGAGCAAGCACAUUACAUUAUUAAAGGAGAAAAGGCUGUUUAUUGUGAGAUAUAAUGACAAAAUUCUUGAUUUGAACACCAAAGUCCGAUGCCACUAUCGGUAGUGAUAGACAUCAUUUUGGAUUUUUGUAUUGCGUGACUCAUGAGAUUUAAUUGAAAGUUACGGACAGGCAACUUGACAGCAUCCGCAGCUUUCAAUUAAUAGUGAAUAAAGUUGAUGGCUUCAUGAAAAAUCAGAUGGAGGACAAUUAUGGAGAUGUACCAGUUUUUUGGUCGGUUGAAUACAAUUAUGGAGAUGUACCAUUUCACACGUCCUUUCGCCUUUCUUCUCGGUGCCUUUGAGCUUUCGAAUUAAAAAAAGAAAAAUUCUGAUUUUGGGCGUGGAAAGAAAGAGAGGCCGUGCUGGUCUUGACCAUAAGAGGACGACUUUGCUUGGCCGAAGAAAGGGAAAAAGACAGACCGAUAAUGGCCACUGCUGACAUCGGACAGUACAGAAGGGAAACGAAAACGACGAAGAAAGUUGCAGUAAUGGUGUCUUUUAACGAUGGCCAGUCAUUGUUUCCUUUCUUCUUCUUUGUUUUCUUCUAGUGAAUUUUCUCUUUAAAUUCGAAGAGGAAGGGCUCUUAAUGAGAGCUCCGAGGACUGCACAGAGGAGAUUGAAAAUUUCCUCUUAAGGGUUUGAUUCAAAAAAGUUUUUCUUCGUGAAGUUAGUCGAAAUUAAAGCUGAUUAAAUCUUGUGUUAAUAUGCAAAUUGAGAUAUUAUUUCGAAAGAAAUUAUGAAGGUAAAAAACAUAGAGUUAUUAGUUGUACUUAAGGGAUAAAAACACCAAGGGUAUCUGAACGACUUGAAUAAAAUUAUAAUAUUCGCUGCAUUGUAAUUUUAUCUAUAAUGGAAUUGUGUGCUCCUUUCCUCGUGGACAUAGAUCACACAACCAAAUCACGUAAAUUUGAUAUCUGAAUUAUUUUCUUAUUUUGUAUAUAUUUUAUUUAAUCACUUGUUUUAUUUUCAAUAAUAAAUACGGUUUGAAGAAAAGAGGAACCAAGCUAGACUGUAUUAUAGUUAAAGAUCAAACCAAGCCAGACGUUUUUUUUUUUUUGGGGGGGGGUUGAUUUGGCUUAAUCGUUCUUUCUUCUUUAGUUUUCCUCUUCAUCAUUUGUAAUUUUAUGAGAAAAAAACCAAAUUCCAUGUCACGAAACUUCCAAAGCGAGAUCCCCGAGGAAGUUGCUGGAUCACCAAGCAAGCACAAAUGGCCCCUCUUGCGAGGUGAUGCUUGCUCUUGGCACGAUCAAUCUCAACUUGUUUCAAUUAAUUAUUUCGUUUGAUUGAGAGUCACCACUAACUUUUUAUGAACCAAUUAGGAGUCAAGUAAAAUGCAAGAGUCCGUCUUACUUCUGCAAACAUGAGAUUUGUGAGUCCAGAAACUUGAUUAGGCAAGAUACAUCUCAAGCCCAAUGUUGCAUACUUUCUCUUUCUAUUAAAACAAUUAUUCAUGUGGUCUUCCCAAUCUUAGUUUCCCAUUUUAUUCUCAAUGUUGAGAAAGGCUGGCGAUCAUGCAUAAAUUCACUCAAGCAAACACGUAUAAAAUCCACUAAUACUGAGACAAAUAGAGCAAAUAAAAGGUAGGAAAAUAAAGGACCCAACCCGUAUCAGGGAAACAAAUCAACAAAAGCCUUGUUAUAAGGUUCCGGGACAUGCCCCUUGAGCUAUUAAUAGAAACUCAGUGUAAAAUCUCCAAAAUAAACUAUGGCUUAAAACCAGAAAGUAAAUAACUGAUACCUCAUGAAUAUAUAUAAACUACUUUCCCAAAAAGAAGUAUUACAUCAAGAAAUAAAAUCUACUUAAUGCUAUAUAAAGUGCAAUGCAAUGUUUAGAAAACAAAAUCUAUUUAUGAUUAUGCAUGAUUCCUAAAUUAUCCUCCUAGAUGUAUAUAUAUAUAUAUAUAUUUUAAAUAGAAUCUAUCUGUUUUUUUGCUUUUUCACAUUAACCCCUUCAAUAUAUAUUAUAGUGAAACGAAAUUAAACUAAAAAAUAACUAAGUGCCGAGAUAAAUUUGAACUAGUAACUAGAUACCAAAAUAAUAUGUUAUAUAAACCCAGAUUUUCGUGAAAAUUUGCACCAUGUUGCGUUGGAAUUUCAACCUAAACUUCUUGUGGGAACGAGCUAAUAAACACCAGAAAAUAAAGAGAACUAAAGCGAUAUAAUGCUAUGAAUUAAAGCAAAACCAUUCCACAAUAUGCGAAAUCAAGGGUGGAUGAGUACAUCUAUACUAAUUGCCGAAAUUAAAUAUUUAUUAAAAAAAAUUUCUACGCUGUUACAGGUCUGAAGUGUUCAAAUUGAAUCACAUCAUGUAGAUUAUUUAUAUUUCCAUGUUUAUGUUUGCUGAGACACGAGGAACAAUCAACAUGAACUAACACAAAAAUCCACGCAGGUUCUUGAUUUUAUUUCCUUUCUUCUUUCGUCUUUCUCUUCACAUGUGCAGCAUAAUUCCUUUUCACUUGUGCUGGUCGGAUAAGGCUGUCGCAUAUUUCCCUCUUGGUCGAGCCCAUGAAAGGGAGCCAGGGUCGUGCGGGCUUGGACUCGGAAGUUCAAAUAAAUUCAUGGCACAUUUUGCGUGUUGGGAUCCACUCAAAUUCAAUUCACAAGCGGACUAAUUUAAAUGAAAUUCGUAGUCAGGUUUCACGCUUUCUUUGGUGCGAAUCCAUUAUUCCUAACAAAAUGUUGGUACUAUCUAAAUGCCGUAAAUGAGGAUGCAAAAAAUGUGCAAUCUCAAAAAAUUUAGGCAUUAGCAUUCUGCGUUGACAACAAUUCAUAAAUUCACACAAAGUGAAAAUCAAACCUAUUUAAAUAGCUAUUUCAUGUAUAAAUGGUCAAAAUAAUUAGCAAUAUCAAUCAUUUAUACAAUGCGGGGUCGCGGUUUUGGUUUGGUUUCAAAAAAGUUGAAACCAAGCCAAACCACAAAAAACGAUUUGUUUCAUGGACAACAUGGAUAUUGUUAAGAGGGACCCUCGAGCUCGAAGGGAAGGUGUUUUGGUUGCCAGCAACAUCGUGGAGCUUGGAUUAAGGCAAGGCUGCCUCCAUCAAGAUGGAUAGGGAAAGCAACGCUAUCAACCCAUAGAUCCAAAUGCCGCGAGAAUCGAUCCAGGCAUACUGGUUCGAGACGAAGGCCCCCAAUCGUGAACUGAAGCUUCAUGGAUAUCAUGAUUUUCUAGAAUACUUUCAAAAAGAUCAUACUUUCAAGAAUAUUUUUUACACAUCAUUGCAUACUUUCAAGCACAAACGGACAUGGCACAUGAAGUCAUGCCAGAGCAUAAAAUGACAAAGGAAUUUCCCUGACGACAUCUCCAAAAAUAUCAAAAGUCGCAUAAGUAAUGUUAGGAAUUAUUUGACAAUUGAAUUUAGAGGACGAAAUUGGAAAAUGUGGUACUGAAAAAGCGUUGUGGGAAGUCUAACCCCUCCCCACACAUAAAUGAAUCCUUCAACAACAAGUUUCAUUGGCUUUCGCAAAUGAUCAAUAUUACACGUGGACCUAGUUUCCAAUCAGCCUAAUUUUUUAAAUUGAUUGGCAGUUACUCCAUCUCAUACUUUAAAGAAAACUUUGGAGUUGGCCCAAAACUUCCAAAACUCCUUUUCCAACAACAUAUUUGCUCCUUGCCGAGUGAAACCUUUGAUCUCAAGACCGUUGGGCAAGGUGCUACAUGACCUAUAUGAAGACUCCAACGUAAUUGUUGUAGGGUUGGCCGAGAAGAUCAAAACGCUUUCAAAGCUUUUCUUUUUCUUUUUGGUUCUUUGCUUAUUCUUUGAUAUAUAUAAUAUUAUUUAUUAUCGCGAUUCUACUCUUAAUUCUCUAAGAGAGUGUUGAUGUAAUUAUUGUUCAGAGUGCUUUGCGUGUAAAGUAAAGUCAAGGUACUUGUAGAGUGAGCUUCAGUUCCUCUUAGAGAGGCAAUUCCGUUCAUAAUUAGUGAAUUCAGCCUUGUUGUUAGAUAGGAAAAUCAUUCAAAAAAUUCAUCAACUUAUUGCAUGGCGGUUAAUUCAGUCAUAAACUUUUCAAUUUGACAAAUUUAGUCUUCAACGUUUUAACGAUUUUCUAACGUAGAUCAUCCAGUCAAUUUUGAUUGGAAAUAGUUAAUAUGGCAGUCCAGUAAGCACUAGCCAUUCUAUGUGUAAUGGCCAGGCUAUCGGCGAUUGAUGUAAACUAUUUUUAAAUUUUUUUAAUAUAUAUAUUUUUUUCGUUUUCUUGUCCUUCAUCCGAAUAGAAAUGAAGUAUGAGGCGCUUGCCUUGUGCAUCCACCUAUAAAUUGAUUUGUAGUCUAUUCUUUCUAUCGUUCUUUACAUUUUUUAUGAUAGAAGAUAUUUUCUAUACGUAGCAUAUUUUGUCUACAAAUAUUGUUUCAUCCUCUACGCAUUUUUUUGCAAGAAAAAAAGUGUCAAAAAUCCUAAAAUAACCUAUUCAUUCUCCUCUUGAUUGUUUAAUUAAGUCCAUUUCACACAUAAGCAUUUUCUUUGUAUAAAUAUUAAGUGAAAUGGCACCAAUUGUCCGUUUAUUCUUGCCGAAAAUUCAAGAACGUCCUUGUAUCAUUUUUUGUCCAAAAUCAUCCCUAUACUUUUUAAAAGGGUCAUUGCUCGUCCUCCUAUUAUGUCACUACUUUUUUCAAUCGAUUUAUACCAAUAUGGAUAAUCGGAACAUUGAGUAGAAGCCACGUGGCAGCCAUGGCUGCUUAAGCUUUAAGCUCACAAUUGUGGUCAUUUGAGCUCGAAGCUUGCCACCACCAUGGUUGCUUGAGCACGAGCUCAAAGCUAAUGGCCAUGGUCACUUGAGCUCGAACCUUGUGACCACUAUUGCCAAAUCUGGAUUCGAAGUUCACAGCAGUCAUGGCUGCUUGAGCUUGAAGCUUGCGGAUGCUAUGAUCAAAUAUGGCAUCGAAGGUUGUGGCUGCCGUGGCCAAAUUUGGCCACCAUGGCUGCUCGAGCUCCAAACUCAUGGCCAUGUCCGUUUGAGAUCAAAGCUUGCAGCCUCUACAACCAAAUUUGGCUUUGAAGCUCAUGGCUUGAGCUCUAAGCUUGCGAUUUGCUGCUAGAUCUACUUCAAAGCUCAUAACCACCGUGAUCACUUGAGCUCGACCUUGAAACUUGCGGCCAUCAUGGCUUUUCGAGCUGGUGGCCAGGGUGGAGCUUGAGUGGUCAUGCGUGUGAGGUCUUAAAGGUCGUAGAUCUUGAGCUCGCGAUCACCAUGGCUACUCGAGCAUUUGAGCCGCGGGCAUUAUAAGUGAUAACGUGAUUCUUUUAUGUGGAAAUACAAAAUAGGAGAUCUUUUUUUUUUUUUUUGGUAAAACAAAAUAGGAGAUCUUUGAUCUUUAUAAUUUUCACAAUAAGAAAGAUGGAGACAUACCUUUAUUCAUAGUAAUACACUUGAAAGUAUUUGUCGCGGAAAAAUCGAAGAGAUGAAGAAAUUUGAUUUCUCUCCCUUAACCCAUGCUUUUCUUUAAUGUAUUCUAUUUGAUAGAGGAUAUAAUACAGCAUUAUUUUUUAUGUUGUAGGUGAAAAGAGGACUAGACUCUUAUUUAUGCAUGCUAUUAAUAUGCGCUUUCAAUUAAAGCGCCUUUUAACUUCUAUGAGAGUCGCACCUCUUUGGAAGAAUGGUAACUUCUCAAUGAGGAUUGUACUAUUUUAUUAGAGUUGUAAUUUCUUAUAACCAAUACAUUUUAGCAUUAAAUAUUUAUUAAACCAUUAAUCAAUAAUAUCAUGUGUGCCACAAUAAUUCUUACAUUCUCCCGCUUGGCCCAUAUGACCUUCCUUUCAAGGUUUAAUAAAGACCAUAAUGUGCACAAUAACGUUAUGCUAAAACCUUUCAUAAAUUGGCUAUCAUAUAAUAAUCACAAUUAAGUAAAAAAAAAAAAACUAAUGCAAGUCAUGGCAGUUGUAUGCCAUUAAUCGAGAUAGUUCCUUUCAUGUACUACAACAUAGCUCUCUACUUAACAUAAUCAUAAAUGAGGAGUACGGUAAUGGUCCAACCAUAAUGUCUUUAUAAGAAACUAACCUGUUUAACAUUCAUCUAUUUCCAUAAGGUAUACUAAAUAGAAACAAGAAAUAUCAAAGAUGCAUAAUUGAGCUCAGAGUGUCAAAUACAUAAACUUAAUGCAAUCAUAAUACAAUAAUUAAUGAUGUCCAAUAAUGUCCAUCCUUUCAACAUGCUCAUUAAAUGUUUUGGGUGGAAUCUCUGUCACGACCCAAUCUCAUUGUCCAUCCCUCGUGAGGAGAGGAAGAGGAAAGGUUGGAUUUAUGUGUACUUGACCACAAAAGUUCCCUCAUGGUUCCCAACCACAGGGAUGUCAUCACCUUACCCCGUGGACGAACCUCGUGUGAGUUCACUUAAUCGUAAUCUUGAGUUUUCCAAACUUGUACACCACAUGACAGUGAAGUGUCGCAACCCUCCCUCAACACCACGGUAUGUCUUGAUCGACAAUUUUAAGGUCGAAAGGAAUCUGGACGUAAAUGUGAGUUUAGGGAUGCCUUUACCACGAUAACCCUAUCGAUGGAACAUUUUGCCCAUAAGAAUGACAUCACUUCAUCCUUUAGCGGUACAACCAAUAUCAAGUAUGCUAAAUUGCGGUGAGUCUUAUCAAGACCCAUAUCCCGCGCGACGGGUUCAUUUAUAACAUCUAGUUAUUUAAGACAACCUAAAAAUAGGACGGGAGUCACCACUAGCCUUAUUUUUGGGGGGUCGGCCAGAAAAUUCAAUCGAGGAUUGAGAGUGUUUCCUCGAUUUCUACGCAAUCAAAUAUCUAGGUUCAGAGACUUAGGUUACAAGUAUUCUAGAACCAAUAAACAAAGAUUUAACUCCAAUUAGUUUUUGGAUUUGGUUGCCCUUAUCAACAUCAUCCAAUACAAUUAGCAUCUUCUUGUUGCAAAUUGUUUCUCCAAUCAUAUUGAUACCAUGAUCAAUGCUAUGAAUUCUACAAGCCACUCAAGAAUAAGAGAUAUCAGACAAUAUUUUUUCUUGCAAUUUGUCUAAACCCUUGGUUUUUGCCAUUUCCCUCACGUCUUUGAGAAAGUUGCAAUUUUUCCCAAAGUGAGGACAUAGUUGGUUGAAGAUAAUUAUGGCAAGUGUUGUUUUACCGAUAUCGCCUAUCCCAUAGAUUCCAAUUAGUCACACACCACCAUAAUUGAUAUCUAAUAAAUUGUUUAUGGUUGUUAUUCAAUCCUCCAUUCCAGCUAAACCUUGGUUACUUGCCUUUGUCUUGUCUCGAGCUUGACCACAACCUCGUCAAUAGCUGCCUGGUUAAGUUUUGUUUAGCUGCCACAAAGUUGAACAGUUUCAAUUAAGAAAAUGUGACAAUUUGGUAUGUUGACCAACCGUCUACUAAGCAAAGAGGUGGGAAUGCGAUCAAGUUUAGAAUAUAUCAAAAUUUAACAUUACCUCAAAGCUUUGUGAACAUGAUGAAUUACAAACUUGAACAUCCAUUACAAUAGAAGAAAUGAAAUGUUUGAUCCUUAUAUCAAGUAGAAGGCUCAGAAUCUCUGGCCAAAAAGGGUGGUGAAUCAAAAUAUAAACAUCUAUUGAAAAACUGUAAUAGAAGAUUUACUUAUUUCUUCCGAUGUGGAAAAAGAACUUUGCUAUGGAAACAGUUCCUUAAUCAAGUUCUCUAGCAUACAAUACGAAUCUUAAUACAUACAUGGAUCAAAUUAGUAUUAAAAAGAUCAAGCUAAUCCAAAUUUUUCAUAUGAUGGAAAAUAAAUGGAAAACCAACUUAAAUAACCACAUUAGGUUAAAAAAAUUUGGAAAUCUCGUGAUUUAAAAAAACUAAAAGAAGAAUUUGAAACCUUCAGUUUAAAUUUAGGUAAUUAAAGUUGGAAUAUAAUUAAUGAAUUUUCAUAAGAACUAUGCUUGAUUGUACAAGAUAAUCUUCACAAUCAUGGUCAAAUUGUUACCCUGGAUAUUUCUCCAUCUUCCAUCCCUUGGUGCCAACAACUUCUUUUAGGGCCCGCCCCCACAUCUCUAUAUCCUCAGAGCUGAACUUAUUCUUCUGACCCUCCAUCUAUUGCUCCAAAUUUGAUAUGGCCUUGUUGUACAACAUUGUUUUCAACUUCACGUCAUCGGGUUCCACAUUGCAGAAGAUGGGCAAUAUGACCUUCUUCCCAUCUUCUUUAGAUUUAUAGGUGUUCUCCACCAUCUUCGCAAGCUUGUCAAGGCACCAAUGACAUGAAGUGUAGUUUUUGCAGAAGAUGGGUAUGUAGAGCUUGGAGUCAUCAAUCAUUUGUGGAAGGUUGUCACUGAUUCUUUCACCAAAUCUAAGUUCCUCAUCAUCAAUGAAAACAUGAAUUGCAGCAUGUAACAAGGUAUGGUAGAAGCUAUUGGUGAAUGUACGAUGAGUAUCAAGCCCUCUAAAACUUAGGAAGACCUGGUACUCACCUCCAAAUGUAUUAUUAGUGCUUGUUUCAAUCCCUAGGCUCGCCAUAGGACCAAACUGUCACGCCCCGAACCUCAAGCGCGCCAACAUCCCACCAUGGUCAUGCAAAUGUGACAUUCCCAGGUAGUGUGGCCGACCCCAUUCAUAUAUUAUUGUGCAAGCGGAACAUAUUAUAAAACCCUUGACAAUGAAAUAUGGGAUAGACAAGCAGGAAGCAAAACCACAACAUAACACUUUCAUAAUUCAACAGAAUUACAAACAGAGGUCUACGGCCAAAAGUCUACAAAAAACCGACUCUUAAAAAGGAACUGUCCUACGACCUACAAGUCAGACACGUUCUCCAAUCCUUAUGACUUCACCUCUACAACUCCUCAAGGCCAACCAAAGCUAUCUGGUCACUCCGUCCACCAAGGACCUGAAAUUUUAAUCCCACAACCGGGAUGAGACAUUGUCUCAGUAAGUUCAACCCCCUAAACCCCUAUUAGAAAGAAAAUACACCUCGGGUGGCCUAGCCACAUCACACAAAAGACUUAUCUCGUCUUAAUUCCUUCCUACAUAUUAGCACAAUUUGUAUCACACAAUCUCAGGUAGUAAUAAUAAUUCAAACAAAUGGAAACGCCAUCACUUUCAUAUAAAUCACAAUCGCACUUAGUGCGCAUUCCAAUUAUUAUUCACUACCACACAAGAGCAUAGCCUACUCGCAGUUCGGCUAUCUACUGACAUUAAUGCCAGGCAUCGCCUCCCCCCCUUGGAGCGCGGCUUCGUCACCACGAUGACGGCAUUCCUGAAGGAGCAUGGGUCUAGUUGGCAUAGCCUCUACUACGACUCGAGCCACGUCACUCUGUUGACGGCAUUUCUAAAUGAAUAAAGGUCCAGUUGGUGUAGCCACUAUUGCGACCGAGUCUUUCAACCAGCACACGACAAUUCAAUAAUCAAUUGCACAAAUCAUCACUCAAUUUGUAAUAUCUAAUCAUCAAAUUCAUAAUCUGAAUACACAACAAUGAUCAGCAUGAAAUUCUGAGAAUUUAGGGUCCCAAAAUAAUUUUCGGAAUUUAUUAAAUAAUUAAAUUUAUUUCGAAAAUUAAUUAAAUAAUAAUAUCCAUAUUUUUCACAAUCCACACUCAAUUUAUAAUAUCCAAUCAUCAAUUUCAAAAUUUGACUACACAGCAGCGACCGGCACGAAAUUCUGAGAAUUUAGGGUCUUGACAAAAUUUUCGGAAUUUAAUAAAUAAUUAAAUUUAUUCCGAAAAUAAUUAAAUAAUAAUAUUUUAAUAAUUUUGAAUAAUAAUAUAUUAUUAAAUUAUCUAAUAAUUUCGAGAUAUUUAAAUAAAUCAAAAGUAAAUUCAUUUAUGUCACAUCAAGGUUUAUAUUAAUAUAACAUUCACUUAAUCUUAAAUUAAACACACUUUAAGUUAAUUAAGCACCUUAAUAUAAAUCUACACUUAAAUAAAUUAAACUAACCACCUAAUAAUACUUAACAAAAACUAAGCACAUCUAAAGCAUCAUUAACCUUCUAAUCAAGGUUUAGUGAGCUAAACUCACAGAUUAGCGAGCCGAGCGGACUGGAACGAUGGGGACGCCGGGGGGAACAACUUUCCUCAAAGCAGGCCAAGCAUUCGAGGUCGGGAAGCCGGCCAAAACGGGCCAAAACGGAGUUGAGAAACCCAUUUUUGCUUGCUAUUGGUUAAGGCCGACGGAGGGCUGCACGGCAGCGGUUCGAGCACGAAAUCGGCGGGGAUGGGCGGCAGCAGCUCAGGCGGUUGCUGCUGGUGGCUCCGACAGCUUUCCGGUGGGCUUGGCGAUAGCAGGCAGCUCGGGACGACGAAGGACGACGGUUGGGACGCGCGAACGAAGGUUGGAUGCGGCGCGACAGCGGAGCGGCGAGCGGGACAACGGUAAGCGGGCACAGUGCUUAGGCGACGCGCACGGACGACGGUGGCGGCGACGGACUCCGGCGAUGAAGUAGGGUGGCCGGUCGAGCGUGCGGGCUGGCCUAGUUCGCACAGUGCAGCUCCUCUCUCCUCUCUCUCUCUCCCCAAGCUUGAAGAUGAUAGUGAUGGGUCACCUUUUUGGGGAACAAAUCUCCACCUUACACUUGUCAACAUCCUAGCUAUUCUUGCCCCACACCAUGACAUCAUCACCAAGUGAUGUCAUACUCCACUAUCUCAAUUUCUCCCCACAACAAUAUUCAAUAGGUGCAAUUUAUUUUUCCGCCGUGGCAUGAAAUCUCGUACAUUAAUUUCUCCAAUUUCAUUCAAUUCUCUUCCAAUUGAGUCCAAUUGAAGUACAUAAAAUUAAUUCAAUGUUACCACACUUCAAUUCACAUAAUCACUUGACCAUAGAACCCUCUUAGAUCUCAAAAGUAUAGCCAAAAGAGGGCCUACCAAUUUUCCGAACCAAAUUAGCCAUGCUUUGAUUAUUUUGCUGAAAAACUCUUAUUGCAUGAAAAAUCUUCCGAAGACGAGUUAAUGAUCCUAAAAUGAUUUGUGACACACCAUGACUUCCAAUUUCUGAAUUCGAUCUCAAUUUCACGGUUAAUUUCACUUUGGCACGAUACUAGCGUGUCCUGAUCUACCGGGUAGCUUUUAGAAAUUUUUAUGCAUUUGACCUGUGGUUGAUUAAUUCAAGCCACAAUAUACAUCUUUGACACAUUGACGACUCUUGGUUGUCGAGAUAAUCUCAAGAUUUCAAACACAGACAUAUGGUACCCAAACGACAGAAAAGCCGGUCCAGUGCCGAUCGACAAGAAUUGUGAGAUCUAGUGGAAUCACCCACACUCGAUCACAUGCCUCUAUCUAGUCGACCUAUCUCCGAUUUCUAAUCGAUUUUUAACUGCGCCGUAAUGACCCUUGUAGAUUAACUCGGUCGAAAGGUCGUUUCCUGAUCAAAUUCUCGAGUCUGAUGCAUUAGAAUUUCUUAACAGCUUCACCUGAUAGACUAGUUAUCCCAUGAGUGAUCAGUUCAGGGAAAAGAACUAUAUGCGUACUAACGAAAUGCCCAUCUCAAUUUAUUGAAAAUAGAAUUGGAAAAUCAGGAUGUCACACAAACUUCGCACUUAGCAGGGCCAGCCCUCUCUCUCUCUCUCUCUCUCUCUCUCUCUCUCUCAUAGCCACUGUUGAAAUACUUUGAGGCAAAUCCACACCAAACCUUGUGCUUCUUCAAUGUGAAAAGCUUUUAUUACAUUCUUAAUAUGAAAAGCUUUCUUCCCCGGAUCAUCCUCCCUAAGGAAUUUACAAAAGGAGAACUAGUGCAUUGCAUUAGAAAAGGAGAAAAGGCUAUUAUUAUAGGGAUGUUUGUAUUGCAUGACUCAUGGGGUUUAAUUGAAAGUUUAACGCGUACUGGCAACUUCAGUGCAGCUUCCGAUUUAUUGUCAAUAAAAUUGGUGGGUUUACAAUUAGUUAGGUGAAGGACAAUCGUAACAUCCUCGAUUCCGGCUCUGUAAGGAUCGGUCAUAAUGUCCUAAAAGGAUCGAUCAUGGGCCAUUGGCCAUAAAUUGAUCGGUUCGAUCAGCAAGGAAUCACGGAUCAGUCACGAUCAACCGAUCGACCAACCGACUGUUCACAAAUUAGUCGAGGUGUCGGCCGUGAAUUUUUACCGACCAUACUAAUAGGAUAUGAUCACCAGCUCAUAAGAUGACUUUUUGAUCGUGAGAAUUGGUCACAUGAUGAUUUUGGAUCGGUGGAUGGUUAUGGGUCGAUCCAAUCGGUCACAAUUUCUGGUCGCGAGUGAUUCCGCCCAGUUAUGCACCGAUACACGGAUGAUCCAAAUUGACCAAAUGUGACUUCAUUCCGAUAAAAAAUGCAUCAUUCCAAAUUUAAUUCUUAGUGAUCUGAAUGGAAUCUCGAAUUGGUGAUGUCUGAUCAUGGAUCGGUAAUGCACCAACCAUGAACCCUAUCGAUGGAUUGGGUGCCGGCUGGAAUGAGCCCAAGGAUAGACUUGGCUAUUCCGUCACUAAUUCUAAGGUCCAUGAGUGCCUUGGCUUAGUGCUAGGCCAUGGGUAGCCUUAAAAUAGGUCUUGAAUCAAGUAAAGGACAACCGACCCUAUUAGUCGAUCGACAUCCAAAGGAAUAGUUUGGGCGAUAUGACAUAUGUGACUCGGGUGUGCAUGAUCGAUUUUCAGUGUGCUAUGAUCUCUUCCUCGGCCCCGGAAUCAACUUGCAUAAUAGAAUUCUGUAGACUGCUUCAUUAAUGAAGAAAAAAGACAAAGGCAUGGAAUAUUCUAGAAACCCUUCGUUAAAUGAAGGGGUGAGUUGUCCUUGGAAUGGUCAAAAGUCAUUAUGGUGGCCAAAAUAUCUUUCAAGAUUCUAGAGAAAGGCGGCACACAAGUGGACCAAUUAGAGAGGAUUACACGAGCCCUCAUUAAUAACCGAAUAUUCUAGAAUGGCUUAGGUGGCAACCUAGAGUAGCAUCAUCAUUAAACUUCAUAAAAUGCCCAUUAAAUGAGGGGUAUCGGUGGACCAAUGAGAGAAUGAAAAGUGGGUGAUAAUCAAUGACAUCUAGGGACCUAGAUUGCCGAGUAAGGUCUUUAGCUUGGCCAACUCAUCUUCUAGGCAUAAUCAUGAGGCAAAGUAGGCUUGCCACCCAAGAAAAGUAGGCGGGACACUUGAAAACAUUGGAGAAGACCGCUUGGCUUGGUAAUGAUGGCUCCAAAGGCUAUAAAUAAGAUGAGAACUUCCCAUAUUCCUCACUUGCCUUCAAUUUUCUCCUCCCACCAUCUCCUUGAACACCCUCUCCUCAUGCUCUCUCUCUUUCUUUUGGCCUCCAAGCCAAGCCACCCAAUCUUUGUAGCUCAUGUCCUAGUUCGAGGUUCAUCCAGGAAAGUAAAAUCCCUAUGUCUCCUCUAGGGCGGUAAUCUCUAUUGUCGAGCCUAGUUAGGUGCUCACCUAUCAAGCCGUUGGUUGGAUGUUAGAUCUUUUGUAUGGUCUUACUCAUGUUUGUGCUUGAAUGUGUGCUUGAGUUGUUCACGUUCAGAAUGGAGUCAAGGUUCGUUUGAAUUGAGUUCAGCGCAAGGCAAGGUCGCCCCAAGCCAUAAAGCCUUGGUUUCGGCAUAAAUAAGAUGCUGGGUCCAAGCCUCGCUUGGUGCGGGAAUCGCCUAAGGCUGUAAGGUCUUAAGUUGACAUUGAGGCGUGUCGAUCUUAUCCUUGAUCGGUACGGGGAUCGCCCUAAUCCAUGAGGUCUUGAUAAAACAUUGAACAUGCCGAUUUCCAUAGUCCACGUGGACGUGGGGACUUUGUGCUUGGCUUUGAAUGAAACCGCGAGUCGAGGUUCAUCAAGCUUGGGAUCGUCACUAAAGCAAGGUGUACCCAAGCCUCGAGGUCUUGGAUUGGUAUUGAGGUGUACCGUUUCCGAGCCUUGUUUGGUGCGGGAAUCGGUGCUAAGUGAUUGAUUCAAGUUACGGAUGAAAGGUCAUUCCCGACAUUUUUGCUAGUCAAGUAUAAGAAAUUCAUGACACACAUGAAUGAAUGAACACGCCUUCGGGCCAUGUAUGCGUUGGCUAAGAGAAAAAAUAAUAACCGGUUUGUAUGAUGCAUUUGUACAUGCAUUUAAAGAGAAAAAAGCGCCCGUUGCCACAUAGCAUUGUUGGCGAUGCCUCGUUCGUUGAACGGGAAGCCUCGAUUGAUCCCAGAUGUCCUAAUUGAGCCAAUAUGCCUAGAUCUUGAACCCGGAAGCCUUGGGAAGCUAGCCCCGAGAAGUCUCGGUUGAGCCGAGAUGCCCUGGUCGAGCCAGGAAGUCCAACAAGAAGCUAGAAGCCUCGGUCGAGCCGAGAGGGCCUGGUCAAGCUAGGACGACAAUAAAUGAAUUUGCAUGAAUGUUGGUUAUGCACAAGCAUGAUAUGUUGGUAUAUUAAUUGAUAAGCUUAUGGUAGUUUUGAUAUGGACGACAUGUAUUUAGAUAAAGCAUGACAUAUAAUUCGCAAUUGAUCUACCAUCGACACUGUUUGCGAGUGUUGUACUAACUAAGCUUUGACAAUAAGAUGAUUUCCAAGUAGAAAACUAGGAAUUUUACUUAUUGAAUUUCCCCAAAACUCAUCUCUCAUCUCUCAGUCUUGUAGGCAUUGAAGUCUCUCGUCAAUUUUGGGAGCUGCAGUCACGCUAGAGGAGAUAGGAUUUCACUUGGCCUAUGUGGAAAACUUGUAUUGUGAUGUAAAAAGAAAAAAGAGCUCGUAGAGAAAUGGCUUGUAAAAGUAUAGUUAUGAUACAAAUCAAUGUGUUUUGCGUGAUGUAUGUCCCAGUCUUCCAACUGUUGUUUGUUCGGUGAGUUGUUUGUUCAUGUUUCCACAUGUGCAUAAUAACAAGAUAAAAAGAAUUGGGACGGCGACGAGCCUGGGACUUCACAAAAAUAACCCUUGCUGCUCGUGAUCCUAGGGAUGGAGUUGGGGUCGUGACAACAAUAAUGGAGGUGUACCUUUUAGCAUGCCCAAAUUCAUUUGAGUUUCUUCUUCGUGCCUUUCACUAUGUGCUUUUGAGGUUUUGGAUUAAAAAAAUAUUUGAUUCUCAAACAUUUAAAUCAUUUAUGUUUAUUCUAUGGCUAUAUCUAUAGUUGCGGUAAGAUCAAUAAGAGUGCUAAAACUUUCAUACAGCACUCACUUGAAUAUCAAAACUUUUUUCUCAUUCACUUAAGUGUCAUAUUGGAAUAAAAUCGAUCAGUUGAUUAUCAAUUUUGACAAAUCAUCCUACAUUGAAUUUUUUUAACUUUUUUAAUUUUUUUUAUUUAUUUUGCUUUUCCUAAGGGCCCUCAUUGGUCAGGAAACCUGGGUGGCCUUGCCCUAGGCUACGAAUGCCUUGGGCGAGGCCAUUGGGGCCUUAUCGGUCACUGUCAUUUGCUUUGGCUUAUGCGCACCAUUAACUCUAUGAUUGAUGUAAUCAUGGUGGGAUUUGCUGUUGGAUAUGGACAUUGUGUCAUGUCUUUAAGGGUCUGUUGAUGGUGGUGGCAGAUAAUGCAACCCCUAGAUAAAGAAAAGAAAGGGUUGCGGCAGUCUAGAAUUUUUUCUAAGUGUUUACAUAAUACUAAAUUAUUUCGUAUUUAAAUUAAUCUCUAUAUUUUUAAAAUCAACUGAAAUGUGAUUCCUCCGUCAAUUGGAGUUCAAUGUCAUGGGUAAUCUGUCGCCGAGAUACGUCGAUGUGGCAAAAACCAUCCAUUGUUGAUGUGGAUUGGACAGCUCAAUUAAAUUUAUUCUUUUUAUUAAACGAACUCUUCUAUUUUCUCUUUAAUUCUUCUACUACAUUCAUCAACUAUCGAUGUCAUUGGCCAAUCCUUAAAGCAGCAAGCCAUCACAACCGGUGCCAUCCCCGGUAGGAGUGUCCAAAAACCUGACCCGACCCAAACACGACCCAAACAAGAACUAAACACAAAACAAGUGGAGUACAUGUUUCGGGUCUUAAUAUUGUUCGGGUAAUUGUUAGGAAACAAGAAAAUAAACAUGUUUUGGGUUGGGUUAGGGUCAAAAUAUUGUUCAGCCCUGAACACAUUAUUGGCUCCAUGUGUUUGAAACAAACACACUCUCCUCUCACCCAAACCCAAACACUCUUCAGUUUUCGCCCAAACACAUUAUUGACCCUCCCAACACGAUGAUUGCACCUUCUCCGGUCGUUGACUCCGCCGCCGCCGCCACCGCCACCGCCACUAUUGACGAAUGCACCCUCUCGUUGAUUCCAUAGCCGCCCUCUUCUUUGCUCCUUGUCCUCGUCCUUGUCCUCAUCGGCUUCCUCUCCUUCCUCGACUUCCUCCACCGCCUCCUUCUCCUCGAGAGGAUGCCCUCCUUCUGCCGCCUUUGCCUACAGACACACCGAGCAGGAGUCAAUGCCAAGCGAAACCCACAUCGCAAAAACUGAAAAUAUAGACAAUUGGAGCCACUGAAGCUUAUCACUGCCGUUGGCAACGGGGGUCAUCGUGGGGUCGUCUUCAAGAAGACCUUCGCUUGACGCUACCACACUCUUUUUCUUACCUCCACCCUUCACCUUCAUCCUCCCCUCCCCCCCCCCCCCCCCUAUGGAUUGAGUGAUUGAUGGAAUUUCAAAGUCCUGUCUUUGAAGGGGAGGAGGCUGGAAUUCCUUUGCUAGUCUCUGACUUGAGCUGGGAGCCUGAGUUGCUGCAGCCGAGUUGAAAUUGCUCCACGGAGGAGAGAGAAAGAGGAGAGAGAGAGAGAGAGAGAGAGAGAGAGGUGAAAAGCCUUUUGGCUUUGCAAGGUUUAUUUUCGCGUGUGUUUGGCGUCUCACGAUAGGGCUGAAGCAUUUGGUCAAGUUUUUACUGUGUGUUUUUUUUUUUUUUACUUAGAAAGAGGUAGGUGGAAAAAAACAAAGGAAAACCCAGAAACCCGACCCGACUUGAAUUUUCGAUGCGGGUCUAAUAUGUUUCGGGUCGGUUUGGGUCGGGUAACAUCUAAACCCGAUCUGACCCGACCCAUUGACAUCCUUAAUCCCGGUGUGGUCUUGUCGUGCCUCACCGCCAUCAGAACCUUCUUGACUAGCUCAACGCUCUCUCUCUCUCUCUCUCUCCAUGCAUACGUGUGUGACAUCCAAUCGAGGUUGAGACAAGACAUGUGACCUCCAUUGGUGGAGGCGCUCAAGUUCAUAUCUGGAUCGCCCAACUUGUCCUCCUAUCUAGUCUAAAUUGAAUUAGCUAGUUAAUCGUAUACACGUAGGUGUCCUCAUUGACGUAUUAAAUGGCUAGUUAAUAUUAUUAACUGCCUCAUCAGCAAUUUUUGUUAGUCUACUUCAUGAAAAUAUUGAAUGAAAUUCAUGAAGUACAAGUACCAUUAUAUUGCCAGAUAUUUUUGGCGCAACAUUGAAAAAUAGGGAAAACUCCCCCAGGGCGUGAUUAAAUGAAUGCGUGGUUUAAUAUUUAAAUAUUCUUACACCCAUACUAUUACUGAAAAACAAAAGAAGAUAAUACAAAUCAUCAAGAUCGUCAAUCGGGUACCUAAGCGAGAGAGCUUGAUUAAUAGAGGAAGGUCUUUAAUGGGAAUCAUAUUUGCAGAGAAAGGACGUGAAUAAUGUAUGUUUUACCUCUAGAUAAAUCAUUCAAUGCAACUGAGUGAUGUGAAGAUGCUAUUCUGUUAAUUUGUUUCAAUCUCCCUUAUGGAAACUAGUAGAAACGUUUUCUUGUAAAUUACGAAAACCAAUCCUCGGCUUUCACUUAAAUACUAACUUCAUAUCCACUAAUUCCGAAAUCUAUCCACACUUUGCAAGAAGAGGUUUCAAAAAAAAAAAAAGUACAGUUCGCACAAUCUAAUUUCCACAAUUUUUUAGACUCAAAAAGAUAUUAAAUCUGACCUUUUUUUUUACAUCAAGGCACAAAAUGCAUGCUCAAAAUAAUAGCAGACGCAAAAUAAAUCAUAAUAAAAAGUUGAUAAUGAUUUUUGUGUUUUCCAUGCAUAAUGAAAAAUGUAGUUGAGCCACAUAGGUGAAUAAAAGAUUAAUGGAAAAAUUGUCUAAUUGGUAUUAAACCUAUUGUAAGGACAUUAAUUCAAUUAUAAAUGAUCUAUUUUUACCAAUUUAGCGUUAAAAUUUUAUGCAAAAUUCUAGAUUCUAUUUAAAAUUGGCCAGAAUGACUAUAUUGAAAUUUUGCGUAAAAGUUGAAGACUAAAUUGGUAAAAUUGAAAGAUUUAUGACCAAAGUAACAUCCGUUAAAUAAGUUUAGGACUAAUGGGAUAAUUUUUUGAAGGAUUGAUCGCUCCAUUAUUUUCCCUGCUCUUAUAGCCCGUUUGGAUAAGAGAAUAAAUAAUAUAUAAAAAACACACACAUUUAUAUCAAUUAAAAAAGAAGUAUAUAUUUGUGUCUUACAAAAAAGAGAUAUGUGAUAUCUUUCACCCAGAUGGUUUUCAUUAAGUUAGUUGCUUGAAAUUUGUCGAUGUUGAUCAUCACGUUUGUCUACCAAAGGUCAACUUUCGCGUUUGCCUCAACUAAUUUAGUAUUUAGGUUAACUCCAAGUUCUAUUCUCGCGAAAGCAGUGUAUAAUCAUGGUGUUCUGUUCGAGUGCAAACGUAUCUUUAAUUAUUGCUUUGCCUGAACUUUGUAUUAUUGACGUAAUCAGCCCAAUGAUUGCAGAUUGUGCCCUCCACAUAGUAAAAUGACGUCAACGUACGUGAGAUAUUAUUAUCUCUUAGGCAUUGAGAGAAAUGUUUUGUAGCGAUGCCAAGGUUUAGACAACAAAUCCCAAAAACUUACUACUUAUCGUUCACAAGUUAUCAUCUUAUUAUGGAAUAAAGCUGUUGAAAACUCUUAAUGUUUGUGCAAUGUUGCCUCUGAAUCUUUCUUUUUUGCAAUCAAAUUCUUAAACUAUGAUCUGUUCGCUCCAAUUGGACCUUCCAUCAAGGGGAAAAAAAAUGAAAAUGUUUAUGUGGCCGUUAAGGAUCACGAUGGCCACAUGGCUCCUACGUGCUAUUCGUGAAAAACCAAAGAUGAGAAAAGUUAAAUUUUGUUCCUAAAGGAAAUUUAGUGCAACCACGUCACUGCGGGCUUGAGCCCUCAAGCAACUAGCGGUCGUGUUCGAGUUUGAUCAAUGGAGCGAGGACAGAGGUUGGAAUCUUUCCCAAUAGAAGCUCCCUUCAUCGGCUUUGCGUUUCGAAGCGGCGACAGCAGCAGCAUCUGGGCAAGGUGGUAAUAGCUCAAAUAGGGAGGCUCUCCUCCAACCUUUGAUGGCUUUACUGAUGAUGCUGCAUUGAUUUUCAAGGAAUUCGUGGAGCCCGAAGAUGACUAGAGAUUCUUCGCAUCUUUUUCUCGUCAUUUAAGUCAGUCAUAUUUGGGGCCUGGCCUAGACCGAACCAGACGAGCUCAAAAUAAUUUAUGCCGUGCCCAUAGGACUUGUUUAGGCCUGAUGUAAUCGGGUCGGGGCUGCUUUUAAAUGAAAAGCAACUUGAAAAGCAGCUUGCGAGCUCACAUUAUGAUUUGCCAUUUCCCACAAAAUUAUUUAUCUACGGUAGACAAACAAGCAUUCCUAUCCCUUUACAUAGCUAGGAUACAAACUUUCGCAGCAAAACAUUACCAUGCGAAUCAUUCUAUCAGAUUUUGCAACAAUCAAGCGAAUUCCCUGUCCCAAGCUCCAACAGGCUUACUUAUACCCAUCAGUUCUAGAAAGGAGCACCUGAUAGUCUAUGGGAAAGCACACUCAAAAAGCAUAUGUUGUCUAGAUUCAAGAGCAGCUGAGCACAAGCCACAUCGAUCAACUGCAGAAGCCCCAUUUCUUCAUCCUCCCACAGGUCUGCAACCCAUUCAAGAUUGCUAAUCAAGGGCCGAAACAGAACUUAGAAGUGUUCGGAUUAACCCAAAUCAGUUUAUGACAUACAACCUUUGGCCUUCUUUCUCUAACCAGGUUCCAAAACUCAGUCCAAGUAAAACAACCAUAUGCAAUUCCAGUGAACAUCACUCUGAUCGUCAGCAAUAUGACAAUGCUAAAGCGUCCCGCAUAAUGCUGUCUUGUAUUUGCACCAAUAGAUCUGAUCUUGUUGGAGGCAAGACCACUCAUCUCCGACUAGUAACAGUAGCUACCAAAGAGUUGAUAUAUCUAGAGCAGUAUCAUGAAUCACUCUCUGAGAAUAAACACCCCCUACAAAUGCCAUGAGGGUGCCAUGAUCACACCACAAAUGAACUGUCUUAUCCAUUGCGAGUCACUUGUCAAGUAUGUCGCUUAAGAAUGGACCUAACUUUUUGCAGCUUCCUUCAAGUAUAGGUGAGUUACUUUUAGGAGCAACAGACCGAAUAGAAGUCUGUUUUAGCAACAAAAGGACCCUGCUUUUAGCAACAACUCCUACCGAUUGUGAUUGUUUAUGCUAAUCUGCUGGUCUUUAACCUAAAGUUGUAUGGUUUAUUGUUCUCGCCCAUGCCUCGCCCAAUCCUUGUGGCUUCAUGAGCUUGAGUCUAUCGUCUCCUUUCCCAGCUUCCAUCUCAUGUUCAACCAACCUUUGAUCAUGCACUUGCCAUUUUCUUUUAUGGAGCAGCAUUGGUGGGUAGAUUUAGUAAAGGGCCUCGAAAUACUUUAAUCUGUGUUUUCCAUCACAUGUAAGAUUCAGUAGCUCGAAAAAUGUCAAAUUUGGGGCUUUGCAUAUGUGCUGUUUAGCAGCCGAAUUUUGAUAUAGAUACUGGUUAGUGUUAGGAUUGUGGUAAGAUGAUUGCAAAGUAUAUUGAGCUUAUUGAUAUGAGGAUGUUGCAAAUGUUUAUUCUCCAAUCCUUGUUGAUAUUUUUCGGUACUGACUUGGAUUUUGCAGCCAAUCUCCCUAACGGACUAAGAGAAUUACUGUUACUGGUAAGAAGGAAAAGGAGCCAAAUAGCCAGUAUACUUGCAUUCGAUGUCCCUAUUUUGAGGAAUCUAGAUUUAGAUGAGCACGGUGAGACAUUNNNNNNNNNNNNNNNNNNNNNNNNNNNNNNNNNNNNNNNNNNNNNNNNNNNNNNNNNNNNNNNNNNNNNNNNNNNNNNNNNNNNNNNNNNNNNNNNNNNNNNNNNNNNNNNNNAACGGUUUGAAAGGGAAUGGUCAAAAGAUGAUAAUCAAUCGUAUUCCAAAUGGUUUCUUUUGUUGCUGAAUACAAAAGUUAAUGGACAAGAUCUUGCCCAUUCAAGCAAUUAAGAAUCUCACCUUCGACAUUAAGGCAGAUAGCUACAGAGGUUACGCAGCAUCCUGAGAAAUUACUGAGACUCGCAGUGAUCCGUAUGGCGGCACUCUUGGUUUGAUAGCAGACAUCUACCAAGAAGGUUGAGCGACUUAUUCUGUUCUUUAGGUGUAUCGUCAAUUUAACUUAUUUUACAGUAGUCCAAGAGUCCGAAGGCUGAUAUACCAAAUUGAUUUGCAAAAUAAUCUGACAAACUAAAGCCAAAUAUUUAACAAAUGAACAAUAUUUAACUACUCGACUAGAGUCACAUUUCUUCGAGUCAGUUCUAUAUUCCCAGCAUUGGUUGUUUCUCAUAUAGCCACACAAAGCUUGUGUGGUUAUAAGCGAUGGGCACAUUGAAGUGACCAUUCAAUGCAUCAGUACACAGGGAAGCAACCCCCCCAAAUCAGCUUUGAAGAGGGAGUGCAUUCAUUUAAAUAUAUUCAUUCCAGAAGUCAUAAAAGCUACAAAAAUUCUCCCACAGCAUUCGUCAAUCCACAUGAUGGUGGAUCGAAAUGGACUCAACUGAGGAAAAGAAAGCAGCAAAUGUUCCAGGGACAACAUCCAAAGGAUAAAACCGAGUCGCCACAGUUUUAAGACAUUCCUUAGGACUCACCUUAGAUGUGAGAAAGUACGAAACACUGAUUCCGAAGGAGAAUUAGUAUAAAACAAUGAAGCACCAAGGAAGUAAAUUGAGAUGCACAAUUGCCUGACCAAGCACCUUGCUACAAAGUGGGUCAUUUUUCUCUCUUCUUUAAGUUCAAAUCAGAAGAUUGUCACAAACGGACAACGGGAACGUGGGAGUAAUCAUGAAGUGACAAGAUCUGGUGUUUCUGCUUCAACAAAUAACAAAUCCAUGUAUACUUNNNNNNNNNNNNNNNNNNNNNNNNNNNNNNNNNNNNNNNNNNNNNNNNNNNNNNNNNNNNNNNNNNNNNNNNNNNNNNNNNNNNNNNNNNNNNNNNNNNNUACGAGGCCAUAAACGAGAAAUAGAAAGCAAGCAAAGCAGAAGAAAAAACGUAUCAUCUAUGAAUAGAAAGAAGGCGCACCGUUUUCUGCGGAGAAUCCCCUGUUUCUGUUUCAAAGUCCACUGUUUCUGUUUCAGAGUACAUUGAAUCAGUUUCAGAGCUCCACGCUUGCUUUGCUCCAUUCAGAAUCUUAUCUUUGUAAGACUUCCAAGAGUCAUAACUACAACGACAGUCGGGUAACUCCCCGCUACCUGUUAUGCGUAUCAAGCAAUUAUCUGGUAUUUUUGAGCUCGAUGGAUCAAGAAUCCUUCCUACUGAUCUGCAACCCCGAAUUUGCAACUCACCCAAAAACUCUAGUUCGUCAAUGCCCUCAACAACCUGUAGGCUCGGGCACUGGUGAAUCUCUAACUGCUUCAAGUUCUUCGAGUUUGACAAACCGCCUAAGCUUUUUAGCGAAAAGCACUCUUCUACAUAAAAUUCUUCCAAUGAUUCGAACGCAGUAACAAAUUGAAUAUCCUGUACCUCGAGGAACCCCGACAGAAGAAAUUUUACAAGCGUCUUUUGGGAGCUUGAGAAAAGUAUCGCUCCCCUCCAAUGAUCAAUCAACUUGGGAGCUUGUAGUCCAUUGCACCUCGGCUCCUCCGGCUGACAAACCAAACUCUCGGAAGAUCUGCAGUCCUGAAUACGUGAUCUUUCUGACGAUUCUAAGACAUCGAGAGAUUGAACAUCAAGUUGCUCGGACACCUUGUUUUCUUUCGAUUUUCCCAAACUUGUUGGAAGGAAUGGAGUCUCCUUUUCCGAUGGAGGAAGCCCAUCGUGGUGUACUUGUUUCCCUCCAGUUUCGUAAAGCUCUAAAACUAUCAAAUUUGACGGGAGGUCUUUGAAAGUUGGCAAGUCUAGUCCGUAUAGAGUAAGUUCUUUCAGCAGAGAAAGGGAACCCAACUCUGUAGUUGGGGCGCGGACAUUUUUAAAGCAGAUUUGCAGGUUGCUCAAUUUGGUUAAACUCCCAAUCCACCCCAAGUCGCCGGUUUGGAAUUCAUUUGAUGGGUCUCUAUGUUCAUAGCCAUCAGAUAGGAGCAGUUCAACUAUAUUAGUAAGGUAUGAGAGGUUAGGGACAGUUUGCAGGGAAAAAGAUCUAAGCCGUAAAGUGGUCAAACUUAUGGGAAGCUUUGGCAACUCUUGUAUCUCAUGACAACCAUACAAGUGCAGUGUUUGGAGUUGACGAAACUUGCUCAUUGUACUGGGCAUUUCCGCAAUUGGGGUGCGUGAUACAUUGAGAGAUGACAAGUUUGGUAGUUCACCAAUGGUAUCCGGUAAUUUCAUAAUUUCUGUGUAUGAUACAUCCAGCUCCAUUAACGACUUUAUUUUCGAAACCGAGGCAGGGAGUUCAAUCAAGCUAGAACAAUGGUUAAGACAGAGGCACUGCAAAUUUUGUAACUCUCCAAUUUGUUCAGGCAAUUUUUCAAUGACUGACAAAACUGAAAAUUCAAGUCAGUUAGCCACCUCAGUUUCCCAAUAGAACAAUCAAUUUCCAUUAAAGAGUCAAAUGAACUAACAAUCAACUGCUUUAAAUUUGAGUACUCGGGAAAGGUCGGUGCCUUACUUAUCAAAGUAUUAAACCGAAUAGUGAGAACCUUCAAUUUCCUUGCUCCCUACAAAAGCCAAUAAAACAAUAGGAUAGACAAGAAAUAAAUAUGGAUUUAAGCUACCAAUGAGAAAAUUAGAUAAUAAACCCGUCAAAUUCUGUCCUUCAUUGAAUGAGAAAAUUAGACUAAGAGGGAAACUGGCAUACCUUGACUAGGCACUCGAACGCCUCUUCUGUGAUAUUCAUCCCAAAAAGAUUCACCACAACCGCGUUUUCUAGAUGCAACAAAGCGGUUGCCUCCAAACAUUUACUAGGACCAUCAUCAAGACUUGUAACGCUGCCAUACAAACGGAUGCAUUUCAACUCAGAAAGACAGCCCAAAAAGUCACCUUGGUAGGUUACCCCACUCCACGAAAGAAACCGUAUAUGUGGGAACCGCUUAAUUUGCUCCGAAGUGACAGUCAUACAAUCUGACAAACAGAGUGCUUGAACGCUUCUAUUGAUCUGCCAAUGACAUUGAGGAGGAGAAGCAGGAAUUUGUCAAUAUCCCACUAUUUUAUUUCAUAGAAGAGAAGAAAAAACGAAAUAGGAGAGAAUCUUCCAAAUCAAAAACAAGAAUCCUCAAUUAAGAAGUGGGCAUAAGCAAUUUUCUAUUCAAAUUUGGCCAUACUUUACCUCUGUUGAUCUUAAUUUGUGUUCGAUGUCCUCAUUAUCCCAUAACCUGGUAUUCUCUUCUUUAGCAAUUUUCCUUCCAAGGUCUCUCAUCUGAUCGUGCAUCCAAAAUCUAUCAUUAGCUAGAACCUUUAUCAUGCACCUCUGACUAAGGACUUGGAUGGCAAGCCGUGGGCAAAACUUACAAUCUUCCCACAUGUACAUUGGAUUUGUCUUAUUCUCACCAAUGAACAUGCAUGCAACAUCAAGAAAUAUCUGUUGUUGCUCCAGAUUUAAGGCAUCAUAACUAAUCUUUAGCUUUCCCAAGACAUCUUGAUGAGGUGUUUUCCUUAGCUUCUCUAGUGUCUCUACCCAUAUUCCAUUAUCUUUUAAAUUAAAAAGCAUCGAACCUGUUGCUUCAAGAGCUAAAGGUAGUCCAUCUGCAGUAGAGACAAUCGCUUUUGAAAGAGUGGAGUAAUUGGGCAGAGGAGAGUUGUCAUUGAAGGCAUGCCUACUGAAAAGUUUAAGUGCGUCUUCCUCGCUCAACCGCAUCAUUUCAUGUUCCUCGAAUUUGUACUUAAAUCCCCUGAUAUUCAAAACGUUGUUGUCCCUAGUAGUAACAAGUACUCUAGUACCAGGAUGCAAAGAUUUCUUUCCGAUUAGGUUUUGGAUCUGCUUGGCCUCAUCAACAUCAUCCAAUACAAUUAGCAUCUUCUUGUUGCAAAUUGUUUUUUCAAUCAUAUUGAUCCCAUGAUCAAUGUCAGUAAUGUCAGGAGCCAUUCCAAAAUAAGAGACAUCGAACAAUAAUUUUUUUUGUAGUUUGACUAAGCCCUUGGUCUUUGCCGUUUCCCUCACAUCAUCAAGAAAGCUGCAGUUUCUCCCAAAGCGAUGAAGUAGUUGGUUGAAGAUAAUCUUGGCGAGUGUUGUUUUACCGAUGCCUCCCAUCCCGUAAAUUCCAAUGAACCGCACAUCAUCAGAAUCAAUGUCUAAUAAAUCUUUUAUGGUUGCUAUUUGAUCUUCCAUUCCAACUAAAUGUUCGAUUAAAUGUUUCUGUCUUGUCUCGAGCCUGACCACAACCUCGUGAACAACCGCUUGGAUAAGUUCCGCAUAGCUGCCAACAAGUUGAGUAGUUUCAAUUGAGAAAAGGUGACAAAUUUGCAUGUUGACCAGCCAUCUAAUAACCAACCAGGUGGGAACUCGAUCAAGUUUAGCAUAUAGAAGAGAAAUGUUUGAUCUUUGUAUCAAGUGGAAGAAUCGGAAUUUUUUGCCAAAAAGGGUAGAAGAAUCAAAAUAUAAACAUCUAGUGAAUUACUAUAAUAGAAGAUUUACUUAAAUAUAAAAUGACCUAAUUGUACAAAAUAAUUUUCAGAGUCAUGGUUAGAUUGUUACCCAGAAUAUUUCUCCAACUCCCAUCCCUUGUUGCGACCAACUUCUUUGAGAGCUUGCUGACAUGUCUUUAUAACCGUGGAGCUGAACUUAUUCUUCCGAUCCUCCAUCUCUUGCACCAAAUUCGAUAUGGCAUCUUUGUACAACGGGGUUUUCAACUUCACGUCAUCGGGUUUCACAUCAUAGAAGAUGGGCAAUAUGACCUUCUCUUUCCCAUCUUCUUUAUAUUUAGAGGUGUUCUCCACCAUCUUCGCAAGCUCGUCGAGGCACCAGUGACUUGAAGCAUAAUCUUUGGAGAAGAUGGGUAUGUAAACCUUGGAAUUGUCAAUUGCUUGUAGAAGUUGCCACUAAUUAUUUCACCUGGUCGAAGCCCUUCAUCAUCGAUGAAAACACUAAUCCCAGCAUUUACCAAGGCUUGGUGGAGGAUAUCGGUGAAUGUACAACGAGUAUCAGGCCCUCUAAAAUUCAAGAAGACCUGGUACUCACCUCGUGAUGGAUUGCUGGUGCUUGUUCCUGUCUCUGAGUUCACCAUCGGAGCUCACUUCGCACUUAGCAAGGUCAGCCCUCUCACUUGGUCUUUGAGUUUGCCAUAUGACACUUCACAUAUUUGAAUCCAAUCCAAUUUGCCGUCCAAAACGCGUAUAGGCAACUUCGUAGCAGGUGCAAUUUCCAGUUUGCAAUCAAUAAAGUUGAUGGCUUUAAAAAAGAAAAAUAAGGCGGAGGACAAUUAUGGAGGUGCCCCUUUUUAUACGCCCAAUUUCUUUCCAGUUUCCCCUUUGUGUUUUUGAACUUUUGGAUUAAAAAUAUUUGAUUCUUUAUAUCUAUAGUUAGGCAUAUUUAAAAUCCCAAUCUAGAAUUGUAAAAUGACAAUUUAUUUAUAUAGAGAAACAAAUUAUUCCUAAAGGAUCGCAUCUUAUUCUAAUACUUGGGACUGUAGAUAAUUAGAAAUAUCUCCUUCAGAUUGGAUUUGCUGCAUUCUCUACAACAAAUGCUCUACCUAAGCAUAUACGUACUACUUACUAUGAAAUAUUUGUUUUGAUCUCUUUGCCUUAAAGACUUCUUUUAAUUAUAAGUCAUUUCCUUUAACAACUCAAAUAUUCUCAUAAAAUGUGCCAUUAUAUUAAAAAGCAAAUGAUCAUUUAUUUUCUACUGAUGACUAUUAGAAUGUGAGCAUGGUGCAGUUAGUGUGCAUUGGACGUUAAGCCAAAUCAAAUUAUAUAAAUAUGAUAGAAUAUAUUUCGAAUUUGAAAUUGUUGGAUGAAAUAGGACCAGAUGAGACUUAUGGAUGCUCCACCACUAUUCAAAAUUGGUGAGAGGAAAUGUAGUGAUGGCCUGUCAAUGGCCAUGAUGCCACUCCAUCCUGGUGUUGCUGUGAGCACGAAAGAAAGAAAAAGAAACCAUGAUGGUCUUGACCAUAAGAGAUGGCUUUGCUCACCUGAAGAAAGGGAAAACGAGAUCAAUGAUGGCCAUUGCCAAUAAUGGGCCGAAAGGGAAGAAGUCGAAGAAAGUCACGAGGACGAUGUCUUUUCAUUUUGGCCACUCGUUGUUUCCUUUCUUCUCUAUUUGGUUCUGCUGAAUUUCCCCUUUAGAUACCAAGAGGAAGAGCUCUUAAUGUCACAGAGAGCUCCGAAGGCUGCACAGAGCAAAUUGAAAAGCGUGCUGAAAGUUCCUCUUGAUCACACCAAAUAUUUCUUUUCUAGAGCCUAUUAAAUCUUUUGUUGAGAUUUGUAUAAUUUCUUUAAGAGAUUGAAAAAGUUAUUUUGAGAGAAAUUUUAAAAACUAAACAUUGUGAGUCAUUGAGUAUAAUUAGAAACUGGAAACUACUGAGAGUAUUUAAAUGACUCGAGUGUGAUUAUAACUUUCAUUAUAUUUUUUAUCUAUAAUGAAAUCUUGUGCUGCUAUCCUUGUAGACGUAAACCACACGAUUGAAUCACAUAAAUCUAAUGUCUGAUUCAUUUUCUUGUUUUGUGCAUUUUAUUCAAUUGUUAUUUUUUUUUUUCAAAAGGGAAUAUGGUUUGAAGAAAAGUGAAACCAAAGUAAAAGAUAUUCAAUAUGACCAGCAUUAGGCAUUCAUGAACAAAUGCAUGAAAAAGUAUCUUUUAUUUUCUUAAGAUAUCGAUAAAUAUUUAUAACCUUAAACUUGUGGUUAGUGAUAGAAUUUGUCCCAUCGCUUGCUUAACAUUAACUCUGAUCAUGAGUACGAGAUUCAAUGCAAUCUACACGACCCGUUUCUUCUAAUGUCCCUUUNNNNNNNNNNNNNNNNNNNNNNNNNNNNNNNNNNNNNNNNNNNNNNNNNNNNNNNNNNNNNNNNNNNNNNNNNNNNNNNNNNNNNNNNNNNNNNNNNNNNNNNNNNNNNNNNNNNNNNNNNNNNNNNNNNNNNNNNNNNNNNNNNNNNNNNNNNNNNUGCAACUACAAUCUUGUGCACCAACGGCAUGUCUGUUUUGCAUGAUUCAACAUAGAUUUUCACGACAUUUGUUAGCGAUACAUUUUUUUGUUAGCAGGAUCUAACAUAAAUCAUUUUCAUAUUUCAUCUCUUAAAUAAAUAUUUCAUGAGAAAUUAAAAAUCAUUAUGAACAUUAUUCUUCGGAUUUUGAACCGUUGUAGUAGUAGUGAAGAUCAGAUAGAGGCUAACCGCAAUUAUUUAUAUUUUGGUUUGUUUUAUUUAUAUUUGUUUUUCGUGGCGUUAUUAGUUGCUUUGACUUGUUAACUAAAUCGGCGCAUUGUAGGAAGUCUUCGAGAGGAUGACCCGUCCACAUUUAUUUUAUUUCAUUUAUAACAAUAGUCUCUAAAUCAUUCGACUCAAUUAAUACCGAUUUAUGCACGCAAAUCACUCCAUUCAAGUGCAUUAGGUUAGCUCCAUUCACAAGAUGGUCAAGGAGACACUGGGGGGUAAUGAGUAAAGGACACUGUGAUCAAAUAUGAACAAAACGUUGUUUCAAAAAUAGCAUUCAAAAUGCACAUGAUGUAUUCCUGACGGUAUUUACAAACCCAACAUUUCACAAAUUAUGUAUAAAACAACAAUCCUUCCAAAGAUAUGGCAAUUGGAUCAUAACUAUGGUCAUCUUUGAUGUGCAACUUUCUACAACUUAGCAACACCUUUUGAAAAUGCUAUGAACAUGUACAUCCUAUGCUUUCAAGCCAUUGCUUCAAACGAUUGGAAUACAUAAAAGACGUUAAUGCUUGCUUUUUAGUAAAUUGGAAGAUCAUGCAAUACCAUUUUACAAGAUCCCCAAAAGAUGCCAACAUACCAUUCUUUGAAAUCACGUUUUUACCUUUUAAUUAAUCACGCAUGCUGCAUACAACUUCAAUAAAUCUGAAAGGUUUUAGGCAUGUGGAAAUUGAUGUUAUCGGACGAUUAGUUUUUGGACCUAUUUCUUCAAUAGAUAAAGGCAGUCAAUAUGUGGUAUAUACAAUGCCUUUGAGAGUGUGUAGUGAUUGGCUGGAGGAGAAUUGUCGUCGAAGGCAUGCCUACAAAAAAGUUUAGAUGUGUUUAUUUCGAGUGCCUCAUUCUUUGUCAAAUUUCUGCCAUUCUUUUGUAUUGGACAAUUCAGUAAUGAUAAAAUUACAUUCAUUAAUAGGAGCUUUUGUUACAUUCUUAAUGCGAUAAGCUUCUCCACUGUGUCAUCCUCCUUUAGAAAUUUACAGAAGAAGAAUCAAGGCGUUACAUGAGAAAAGGAGAAAAGAAUGUCUAUUAUGAGAAAUAAACAAUGAAAUUCUUCCUUACCAAAAAAAAAAAAAAAACAUUGAAAUUCUUGAUUUGAAUGCCCAAAGUCCGAUGCCACUUUCUUUAGCGAGAGACAUCAUUUUGGACGUUUGUAUCGCGUGACUCGCGAUUUAAUUGAAACUUAUGAACGACAACUUCACAGCAGUUGCGGCUUUCAAUUUAUAGUCAAUAAAGUUGAUGGCUUUAGAAAAAAUGAAAUGGAGGACAAUAAUGGAGGUGUACCUUUUUACAAGCCCAAUUUCUUUCGAGUUUCUUCUAUUAGAGCUAACACUAUCACCUAAAAAGGGUGCAUAAGUGAUUAUAAACAAUUAAAGCGGAGUUUAAAACAACCAAGUUCAAUAUCAUGAAAGAUCAAAAUCUGAUGAAAAACUUUGCAAUGAUUAGAUUUUCUGUAAUGUCUGAUGAAAAACUACACAAUAAUCAGACUUUGCUAUGUGAAUAAACAGAAUAAAUGAGAGAUUAAAGAAUAGAGAAAAUUGCACAUAACAAUUAUAGUGGUUUGCUUAUGAUAAGCCUACAUUCACUCUUCCAUACAAUAGCUUAUUGGUUGGAUUCCACUAUGAAGAACUAAUCGAAGGUUAGAAAAUCUGAGCUCUAAACAUUCAAGUCCAUGUGUAUAGCUCCUCAUACACUCUCAAUUUCUAAAUAAUUAUACAAUGACACUCAUAGAGACGAAUGUAUUUGACCACAAAACACUCUUCAGACUUUUGAAUUAUAAGUUUCAAUUAUUUUGUAUUGCGUUUUUCCUUUUAGCUUCGAGACCUCCUUUUAUACUUCUCUUAAACCAAGCUAACCCUUGAACAUAUAUCCAAAAAAAUCAUCUAGCCAAUCUACCUGUUGGCCUGAAUCUCGUUAAGAAUGUCCGAUCGAUUUCUGUUAUAGUUUUCCUUACGAUGGUCUGGGACGAGGCGGUACUUGUGAUAUUUCUGCUUGGGAUGCAUUUUAAGGGACUCUACUGGAUCUGCACAAACCUCCUGAUAAUAUCUAUAAAUGGCUUGUUCUUGGUAAAAGAUGGACAUUACUAUAUGUAAAUUUAGGUGCAUGAUACACAUCGGUGCUCCAAUGCAUUUGAGUCCAACUCAUUGCCAGAAUCCAUCUUCUAUAUAUUUAUAUUUGAAAGAAAGAGGUUGAUCUCCUCGCUUCUCUCAUGAUAUGAUCCUCUUCCCGCUGAGCCCCCUAGUUUUUCUCUUGUCAACAAAGAGAUUUUUCUUUAUAUCAUUUCCAAGAAAGUUGACAAAUUAGGGGAUAUGUAAAAGAUAUUAUUUCUUUUCCAUUGUUUCGACAUAUAUAAAAAAAAAUAUUGCGACACUUCAUUACGCCAAGAAUAAAGCUUCCUAUAGAUUCUGCCGCCAUACAGCAGUUUGGGUUUUCACAAGUCAAGUGCUUCAAUUUGGAAAAAAUGUUUCACCUCAAGUAUAUCGUUCUAGGAAAUCUAAAUCUUCGAUAGAUACUUUCUUUUGGAACUCUUAAUAUGUAAGAUGAGAAACCCAAAUAAUCGUCACUAACCGUUACAUGAGGAUAUUGUCUCCUUCCUAGCCGUUUGACAAAGUACAUAAGAAAUGAAAUAAUUAAGACAUAACUCUAGUUCUGAUCGAUAUCGUCUGAUCAUAUCCCAUCAGACUUUGCAAAAUUGUGCAAACGGUNNNNNNNNNNNNNNNNNNNNNNNNNNNNNNNNNNNNNNNNNNNNNNNNNNNNNNNNNNNNNNNNNNNNNNNNNNNNNNNNNNNNNNNNNNNNNNNNNNNNGACAGAUAGAGAAACAAAAUAAUUGAAAUUUUCCAUUUUUCUAAAAAAUUUAAAAAAAAUGAUUUUUUUUUACUAAAAUAAAAUAAUGAGAUUGAAAUCAUUUUGAAAUAGUAUCCAAACAUUGAAAAACCUUUUUGAUUAUAUAUUAUCAAACAAGGAAAAACUAAACAUAUUCCUAGAAAAUAUUUUUCUAGAAAGCUUUUUCUUGUAUCAUUAAGAUUUCGCUAAAUAAAUACACCCUAAAACAAAUCAAGCCUGAAAAUCACCUGUCCAAAUAUAAUGAGAACUAGACCCAAACUUAAUCAAUCCUAGUUGAGCCCAAAACCAAUACUUUUUAACUCCCAUGAAAACAUAAACGAACCUAAAGCCACUAAAUCAACUUAAGCCCAUGCUAAUUAAACCUAAUUAAGCCUUCUAAUGUAAUUGCUUCUGACCUCCCACUGCCACCGUCUUGUCCAAAUGGCCGUAAGCCGACGCCCUCGGCCUGACCAUGCUCUCACUCCAACGGCUUUGGACUCUUAGUGACAGCAACCACAGUAACGAGCCUCCAUUACUAUCGGCCACAAAGCCCGAACCACAGUAACGAGCCUCCUCCUAGCCAGCACGCUCUCUCUCCUGUGCAGCGCAUUUAUUGCGGCUUAAACUUUUCUCUUUCUUCCUCAAAAGAGAAGGAAAGAGAAGCCCGUUCAUAUGUCCCUCUCCAUUUCUUUCCUUUCGAAAUUUUGAAUCUGAAAUUUUCUCUCUCUCUCCGCACUCGUUGCUGCUCCUCUAUGCAUCAAGCGGCUGUUCCCCUGCCAUCGCUGAUGAACCACAUUACGGCCGCCCCUACUCCGGUGCUCGCUCGCUUCUCUCUUUGGGCUCGUUGCUGCUCCGGCGUUCCCGAGAUUGCAGAUGCAGCACGCGGAGGAGAAGCAGGCCUCUUCGAGCUCCCCUCAACAACGGCAAGCAUCGCCCACCGAGUGAGACCCCCACACACGGAAGGCUCGGAGGCGAGGUUGCUGGAGAAGCUGGUGCCACACAUUGCCAGCUUGCUGAGCUACCUCGUCAUGUUCGUGGGGCUCCGCCACCUCGACCCGAACCGUUCUCUCCCCGUUCUCUGUUCUGUUGUAGUGAGAACAAAAUUGUGGAGGGUCCAGAGGAAAACAUAAAGGUUGAGCCCCUCCGCCUCCGCUGGUUGCUUCCAUCGCCCCCCACCCCAAUGCCGACACCGUUGACACUCCUUCGCGUCCCUCUCACGACAUCCGCUAUGCUCUCUCUCUCUCCCCCCUCCGCGAAGUCGUGCCUCUCUUCCAGCGAAACACGACGCCAACGGCCCUCCACCUCCGCCUCCGCCGGUUGACUCCGUUGCCCUCGACUCCGAUGCCGACGCUGACGCCGCCUCCUCCCUUGAACCCAACUCUAACAUCGACGCCCCUCCGCCAAUUUCCUUCGUCGGCGUUGGAGUCCGUCUCCCCCGACUCCAACACCGACGCCUCAGCCUCCGCCUACACGCCCGACGCCAACGCCGACGCCGACACCGACACCCCUUCGCCUCCCUCUUGCAACCUCCGCUUUGCUCUCUCCCUCUUUCCUCUACGAAGCGCCCUUACUGGCCAACCCCGACGCCGACGAACCCUUGCUCGCAUUUUGGCCUCUCUCUCCGCAAGCGAAGGUCGCUCCGCUCGCUCUUUCUCUCUUUGCUCCGCGAAGCGCCUUUGCUCCUGAACACAAACGCCAUCACCUCCCGCCGUCACCUUCCCCAGCCCAUCGAUAUGCACCCCAUUUGGUGACUCCUGUACAUUCGAAGGUUCGUUUUUCUUUUCUUUUCUUUUUUGGAUUCUACUUAGUAGAAUUGGGUGCCGUGUUAAUGUUUAGGUUCAUAGAUACAUCUGCAUCAGUAUUGCUUUAUCUUACUUGUUGCUGACUUGUUGUGUUAUUCAGAUAGUUAAUGAAGAUUGGAAGAAAGUGAAACGACGGUAUCUUUUGGAAGAUAGUUUUUUGUCCUCCUAAGAGAUUAGAGGCUUCUAAGCCUAAAUUGGUCACUUCUUGUCUGAAGCAAGAGACUAAGAAGUUGGUAUUAGGAUUGCUCAAGUGUACCUGUAGCCGAUUAUGUCCAAGUCAUUCCACACUCUCCACAUAUGCUCCCAAGUCUUGCUUUCAUCAUUGCUGCUACUUUAUUCUCCCAUACAAAAUGCAAGCAAUUCAUUAAUUGAUUGUGUAAUUGGACUUGCAGGGUUGUUGGAAUGGUGAUUCAUGUUCUUUUUCUCAUAAUAUGGGCAAGUCAUUUUCGUUAGUGAGUACUCCAUGCAUCGCAAAAAAUGGUGAUGCCGACCCAACAUUACUUAUUUAGUUAUUUCCUUUUGCUGAUGAUGGGGAAAUUCUCAUCUUGGACGAAAUUUUCUAUGUCAUCAUUGGCAAUGCCUGCCUGAAACGCUAGGGUCAAAUCCUCAGUUUGGGAGUGGGUUUCUGUGAAUGGAUCAGUCCACUCCAAAACCUCCCACCAGUUCCAUGUGCUACUUGGGCUUUGCCCCAAAGUCAGUCUCAUUCUAGCUCAGUGUUUAAGGUUGGGCUUUGCCUUUUAUAUAAUUUAUAACUUUGAGCCUUGUGGCUUGGGGGAAUGAGGUUAAUCAUGGAUUGGUUAGAAGCAAAAAGAAAUGAUGAAACUGAGAAGAGUUUAGUUGAAUCUAAAUCGCUAUGGUUUUGUGGGUGGAGGUGUUUGCUUUAUUCUCUGUCGUCACUCCUGAAUAUGUUUAUUUUGCUCAUAUUCUUUUGAAAUUAUUGUACAUGAAUCCCAAGGUACUUAUUGUUAAGUUUUACAGAAGAGACCUUUCUUUGCAGAGACUAAUGGUGUGUCUAUUAGGUGGUGGAUUUGGGGGUUUAUACACUGCUUUGAGACUGGAAUCACUUGUCUGGCCUGACAGCAAGAAACCUCAGGUAAUUCAUUUGAUCCUUGUAUAGUUAGUACGCGUUCUUCAUUGAUACAUCCCUGUUGCUGGAAUGGAAUCAUAAGCAGAACUUGCAUAUUUGAACAAAGAUCACUCCUCUAGACUAUACCAAACUGUCUUACAGAAGUCUGUACAUUUUGUUGAAACCAGUAUGUUGUCAUAUGAUGCCACGUAUAAUGUUCAAAUUACUUAUUCAGCUUGAGCCAUCUUAUUAAAUUGGGUCAUUUUGAUAAUGCGAUAGGUCCUUCUUGUUGACCAAUCUGAGCGGUUUGUUUCCAAGCCAAUGCUAUAUGAACUUUUAUCUGGAGGUAUGAAGAUAUGACACUACAGAGUUUGCAAUAGUUUUUUGUUGUUUACAAUGAUAGUUCCAGUGAUAUGUUUAUUUGAAGAAGGGUGAGGGAGAUUCUCUCUAAGGACUUAUGUCUUGAUGCAGAAGUAGAAGAAUGGGAAAUAGCUCCUCAAUUACUGAUCUUCUUGCGAGCACUGAUGUUCAGUUUUUCCAAGAUAGGGUAAAACUCUUGCAUCCAAUGGAUCAUCUGGGAAUCAAUGCUCCUCCGGAUCUGGUUCUGGAGGGACUGUGCAACUUGAAAGUGGCCUCCUUGUUGAAUAUGACUGGUAUCGUUUUCUCUUUGAAUAUCGUCUAGUAUGUCUUUAAUUUUUCAUAUAGGAAUAUAGUUUUGUCAGGCACCGAGGUAUAUAUAGCCUUUACCAGGUUUGUACUUCAUAACUUCAGACACUUGCUAGAUUUUUUCUGUCAACCUUCAUGAUUAAUCGGGAAAUAGUUUUAUGUGGAUAGUGUUGAUCGUCUUUUCUUAGGUGUUGCUCUAGGAUUGUCCCUUGUCUUUGUGAGCUAAAUGAGCUUUCUUUCAAUAUGCUGGGGGAUAGCAUCAGAUUAGUUCAAGCCUCCUUGGGAUUUGUUAAAGUUGAACUUGGAUUUGAUGAAUCAUUAGUUGAUCGAUAGAUGCUCAUUUGGUUUUUAUGUGUAUAAGGAUAUGCCAAUUCUCUCUUUUUGUCAUGGGCAGUCAGGUUGGUUCUUGCUUUGGGGACUGAAGUGAAGCUUGAUGUUGUACCUGGUGCAGCUGAGUAUGCAUUGCCAUUCUCAACCCUCGAGGAUGCACUUGUAAGGCAACUUUUAGGGGGGUCUGUAAUGCUAUAAAUUACAUCUCUAAGUUAAUUGACUCUGAUUUGGUACAUUUAUUAUUCUCUCACUUGUACAUUUCUGUUGCAGAAGGUUGACAACAAAUUAAAAGCUUUGGAGAGAAGGAACUUUGGGAAGGGGUCUGAAAUUUGCGUAACUGUUUUGUAGGUUAUGGCUACUCAGGAGUUGAAUUAGCUGCCACUAUAUCAGAGUGAUUACAGGAGUUGUGGCCAUUUUGGACGAAAAGGAAUUUGACAAUGGCAACUCACCAGUUGUGCAAGUCUACAGCCUGAUAGUCCACUUCUAGAUAACAUGUAAUCAGAAGUUCCUAUUGAAGAUGAAUUAUCACCGUUAUAGUUUUCAAGACUUCAGAUUCAUGUGAAACAUCAUGUUAUAUAUUCACGAUACUCUAUGCAUGUACUAUUUUGUUUGUUUGGAUGGACUAUAAUUUGUUGAUAUUUUGUCGGCUACAUAGAAACACAUAGAAAUGAAUCAUAUGAAGAGGGUAGAGAGGAAUGACUGGGCCAGCGAAUCUAUGCAAACUUCUUGCUUCAACCUGGUACUAGAAUCGGCUGGAGCAAUUUGAUAUGAAGCGAGGACUAAGAUUUCUAUUACUUGCAUUGGUUCAAACUUGUAGCAGUAUGAUUAAGAAUGGUACUUUGGUUAUGAAAGAUGUGUCUGCCAUGCAAUGAUCUUCAUGGAGAACCUACUAGAUUAUAAUGUAAAAUAAGUUAGAAAGAGUUGGUUGGCCGUGCUUCUUUUCCAAAUGAAAUUUAGUUCCAUCCACAUUUUGCCAGUACAGAUGGUGCCUUAGGGCAAAAUGAAAUGGUUUAUGAACUACUCAUAAUUGAAAAUUCACUGAAAGGACUUUUGAUAUUGUGAAAGCAAAGAAGGACAAGUAAGACUACAUAAAUUGUAGGAUGUAGAGCUGUACGGAUUGCAAGUUUCAGAGGAUAAACUGUUUUUCCGUUUAGUUUUCGUACUACUCCUACGCAACUCCUUUUCCAAGUGAAAUUCAGUUCCAUCCACAUUCUGCCACAGAUGGUGUCUUAGGGCAUGAAAUGGUUUAUGAACUACUCAUAAUUGAAAAUUCACUAAAAGGACUUGAUAUUGUGAAAGCAAAGAAGGACAAGUAAAACUACAUAAAUUGCAGGAUGUCGAGCUGUACGGAUGGCAAGUUUCAGAGGAUAAAUUGUUUUUCCGUUUAGUUUUCGUAUUGCUCCUACGCAACUCCUUUUCAUUUUAUUUUCCACCUCUUAUUUGAUUUAGUGGAAAACCUGAAUGCCAAGUUGGACCGAUAUCUAUGAAGUUAAUGCCGUUGCAUAGGCGGUUACCCUUGGCGGGACCAUCUUCUUGUUCAUGGUGAUUGUGAGAUUUGGGUGAGUGCAGUUCUACUUGAUGAUGCCGGAGACAAAGGGGCGGAGGCUGGAGGACUUGUUAUACAUGGAGUGGAGGUCCACAGUGAGGGAGAUGGAGAUGCAAAGGAACAACAACGUGACCAAGGAGGCAAACAGUGAGGCCUCACUUGUAAUGCAUGAUGUCCAAUUAAUAUUAGGUCCUAGACACAACAUUAACCGCACAUCAUGCAUGCAUUAUAGAUGAAGCCUCACUAUUUGCCCCUCAGUUCGCAUCUCCAUUUCCUUCGUUGCAGAUUUAUGGAACAACUCCUCUACCAUCCGCCCCUUCGUCUCCCACAUCAUCAAGUAGAAGAGCACUCACGCAAAACUCACGAUUUCCAUAAACAAGAAAGCGGCUCCACCAAGGGUAACCGUCUUGUGCAACAGUAUAAACUUCAUGGAUAACACUCCAAGGGAGUUUGAUUGGUCUCUCUUCUGUAUUGAUUCCUUCAAUUUCUCCAGACUUUCGACAGUGUCUUGCAAUCGGCUACAAGAACCGCCACGUAGUACAACUAAACUUUCUCAUGACAUUAGCCUACUAACACUUACUCCCAUAAAGAAACAUAGAAAAUUAGGAUAGCUACAUACAUUUCAUCCUAAUCAUCUCUCCAUCAGACGUGCUCAUGCCAGUUAGUUCAACUUGAGCUGCAGGGGCAUUGAUCACGUCAACUAGAUCCGAUUUCCCCCUGCUCUGCACAUUGCCCGAAUGGAUGGAUUUACGAGUGCCGAAGUAUGUCAAAGACGUAGGAGGCAUUGCCUUGAGCAACAUCUCGUGCUAUCAACUUCAGUCUAAAAAAUGACUAACCGAUUUAGCAAGCUCGCAUUUGCUCUGAACAGAAUCAGAUUAUGGACCACCUGCAAUGUCAAUGUGCUAAGGAAUUUGAUAAAGAUGCGCUGCAAUCUUUGCAAUACGAUCAAACAAUCACCUGAACAUGGUCGAGACAAGCCGAAUGAAGCGGAGCAUUCUUCUCCUCAUUACUGGCGUUAACAUCCUGAAAUUGGAAGAUUCUGGAUUUCAUAAAAGUCUCUUUCUACAUGUAACUAUGCAAUAAAUAACCGUACAUAGAGCCUCAUAUCAACGCUAAUUCUAAUAAGACGCCGAGGUCAAGCCCAUAUCAGAACAACCACAGAGCAAUCAUAAAAAAAUGCGCUAACCAACAUUUGAGAAAACUCAUCUAAGUCAGGACACGAUUGAAUAUCACCCCGAACUGAGAGUCGUGAGUACUAGUGCAAGUGACAAACAUCGACAUCUCCCAAAAACUAAAGAAAGAAUAAAGAGGAAGAGAGAGAAAGGGGGCAGGGGGCGGGGGCGGGAAAUCAAUGAGAAUGGCAUAGUCGAAUGAAUUUAGCUAGAUUAUUGCAAAACACAGUUUGCGAGGAAGAAUGAAAGCCCGAGUUACACCGGAGAUAUGACCGAAAAGCAGGAGGCGAACAAGACCGGAUUUUUUUAAGUUCAACAUUACCAGAUACAUGGACCCUUGAGAUCAGCAGUCAAACAUAAAAGACGAUGAAGGGAACACAACUUCCGUCAGCAAGCGAGAAAUUCCAAGAAAACAAGGCCAUGUCUACCACUGUAAUCACCUAUAACUCUGUAGCAUCCAAAAACCUUAUGAAUAUCCUUAAAUCCUAAACCCAGUAAACGAAUCACCUUUAACUGUGAAGGAGAGCUCUUUGGAAGCGCUCCAGUUGGUCUCGGCAAAGGGCGAGGCAUUGAGGAGAGGAAUGGAGAGGUGAGAGCGAGAGAGGAUGAAGGUGUGGAGCUGGGGAAGGAAAAAAAAAAGAAAAAAAAACUUUUAACUUUUUUUUUUAAAGAUUUAAAAAUUUCUCCAGAAAGGAAACAGUAGCGAGCGGAAGGAGGGAGGAGGAGAGGGAAGAGCUGGGCAGCGGCUGCUGUGCAUUCACACUCCCCAACUGCAAAAUGAUACUUGAAGUAGAGAGCUCGGCGUGCAUGGGAAGUAUUGGUAACGGUCUGAAAAAGCAGGCUGGGCUUGGGGGGAAAGGUGAAUGGUGGAAUGGGACUUGGGAGGGUGAGUUCGAUGAGUCCCGAUGAGCAGAGGGAUGGUUUCUCACUUCACAACAUCACUCACUCACUCUCUCUCUCUCUCUUUGUUUCUCUCUCUCUCUCUGCUUCUUCUCGCUCAUCUUUAAAGUAGUUGAGUGGUUAGUAUCCGUUCGAAAUAAACUUUUGUUCCAUAUUUAAGAAGAUGCCUGAUCAUUCCCCUUAAUAAAUUAAUUAAUAAUUCAAGAAUUACGUUGGUAUUUAGUUAUUAUUAGCAGGUCAGUAAGAUGGAUUUAAAGUUAAAUGUGCGGUACAUAUUAAAAUUAAUUAUUGAUUGUGUUGCNNNNNNNNNNNNNNNNNNNNNNNNNNNNNNNNNNNNNNNNNNNNNNNNNNNNNNNNNNNNNNNNNNNNNNNNNNNNNNNNNNNNNNNNNNNNNNNNNNNNNNNNNNNNNNNNNNNNNNNNNNNNNNNNNNNNNNNNNNNNNNNNNNNNNNNNNNNNNNNNNNNNNNNNNNNNNNNNNNNNNNNNNNNNNNNNNNNNNNNNNNNNNNNNNNNNNNNNNNNNNNNNNNNNNNNNNNNNNNNNNNNNNNNNNNNNNNNNNNNNNNNNNNNNNNNNNNNNNNNNNNNNNNNNNNNNNNNNNNNNNNNNNNNNNNNNNNNNNNNNNNNNNNNNNNNNNNNNNNNNNNNNNNNNNNNNNNNNNNNNNNNNNNNNNNNNNNNNNNNNNNNNNNNNNNNNNNNNNNNNNNNNNNNNNNNNNNNNNNNNNNNNNNNNNNNNNNNNNNNNNNNNNNNNNNNNNNNNNNNNNNNNNNNNNNNNNNNNNNNNNNNNNNNNNNNNNNNNNNNNNNNNNNNNNNNNNNNNNNNNNNNNNNNNNNNNNNNNNNNNNNNNNNNNNNNNNNNNNNNNNNNNNNNNNNNNNNNNNNNNNNNNNNNNNNNNNNNNNNNNNNNNNNNNNNNNNNNNNNNNNNNNNNNNNNNNNNNNNNNNNNNNNNNNNNNNNNNNNNNNNNNNNNNNNNNNNNNNNNNNNNNNNNNNNNNNNNNNNNNNNNNNNNNNNNNNNNNNNNNNNNNNNNNNNNNNNNNNNNNNNNNNNNNNNNNNNNNNNNNNNNNNNNNNNNNNNNNNNNNNNNNNNNNNNNNNNNNNNNNNNNNNNNNNNNNNNNNNNNNNNNNNNNNNNNNNNNNNNNNNNNNNNNNNNNNNNNNNNNNNNNNNNNNNNNNNNNNNNNNNNNNNNNNNNNNNNNNNNNNNNNNNNNNNNNNNNNNNNNNNNNNNNNNNNNNNNNNNNNNNNNNNNNNNNNNNNNNNNNNNNNNNNNNNNNNNNNNNNNNNNNNNNNNNNNNNNNNNNNNNNNNNNNNNNNNNNNNNNNNNNNNNNNNNNNNNNNNNNNNNNNNNNNNNNNNNNNNNNNNNNNNNNNNNNNNNNNNNNNNNNNNNNNNNNNNNNNNNNNNNNNNNNNNNNNNNNNNNNNNNNNNNNNNNNNNNNNNNNNNNNNNNNNNNNNNNNNNNNNNNNNNNNNNNNNNNNNNNNNNNNNNNNNNNNNNNNNNNNNNNNNNNNNNNNNNNNNNNNNNNNNNNNNNNNNNNNNNNNNNNNNNNNNNNNNNNNNNNNNNNNNNNNNNNNNNNNNNNNNNNNNNNNNNNNNNNNNNNNNNNNNNNNNNNNNNNNNNNNNNNNNNNNNNNNNNNNNNNNNNNNNNNNNNNNNNNNNNNNNNNNNNNNNNNNNNNNNNNNNNNNNNNNNNNNNNNNNNNNNNNNNNNNNNNNNNNNNNNNNNNNNNNNNNNNNNNNNNNNNNNNNNNNNNNNNNNNNNNNNNNNNNNNNNNNNNNNNNNNNNNNNNNNNNNNNNNNNNNNNNNNNNNNNNNNNNNNNNNNNNNNNNNNNNNNNNNNNNNNNNNNNNNNNNNNNNNNNNNNNNNNNNNNNNNNNNNNNNNNNNNNNNNNNNNNNNNNNNNNNNNNNNNNNNNNNNNNNNNNNNNNNNNNNNNNNNNNNNNNNNNNNNNNNNNNNNNNNNNNNNNNNNNNNNNNNNNNNNNNNNNNNNNNNNNNNNNNNNNNNNNNNNNNNNNNNNNNNNNNNNNNNNNNNNNNNNNNNNNNNNNNNNNNNNNNNNNNNNNNNNNNNNNNNNNNNNNNNNNNNNNNNNNNNNNNNNNNNNNNNNNNNNNNNNNNNNNNNNNNNNNNNNNNNNNNNNNNNNNNNNNNNNNNNNNNNNNNNNNNNNNNNNNNNNNNNNNNNNNNNNNNNNNNNNNNNNNNNNNNNNNNNNNNNNNNNNNNNNNNNNNNNNNNNNNNNNNNNNNNNNNNNNNNNNNNNNNNNNNNNNNNNNNNNNNNNNNNNNNNNNNNNNNNNNNNNNNNNNNNNNNNNNNNNNNNNNNNNNNNNNNNNNNNNNNNNNNNNNNNNNNNNNNNNNNNNNNNNNNNNNNNNNNNNNNNNNNNNNNNNNNNNNNNNNNNNNNNNNNNNNNNNNNNNNNNNNNNNNNNNNNNNNNNNNNNNNNNNNNNNNNNNNNNNNNNNNNNNNNNNNNNNNNNNNNNNNNNNNNNNNNNNNNNNNNNNNNNNNNNNNNNNNNNNNNNNNNNNNNNNNNNNNNNNNNNNNNNNNNNNNNNNNNNNNNNNNNNNNNNNNNNNNNNNNNNNNNNNNNNNNNNNNNNNNNNNNNNNNNNNNNNNNNNNNNNNNNNNNNNNNNNNNNNNNNNNNNNNNNNNNNNNNNNNNNNNNNNNNNNNNNNNNNNNNNNNNNNNNNNNNNNNNNNNNNNNNNNNNNNNNNNNNNNNNNNNNNNNNNNNNNNNNNNNNNNNNNNNNNNNNNNNNNNNNNNNNNNNNNNNNNNNNNNNNNNNNNNNNNNNNNNNNNNNNNNNNNNNNNNNNNNNNNNNNNNNNNNNNNNNNNNNNNNNNNNNNNNNNNNNNNNNNNNNNNNNNNNNNNNNNNNNNNNNNNNNNNNNNNNNNNNNNNNNNNNNNNNNNNNNNNNNNNNNNNNNNNNNNNNNNNNNNNNNNNNNNNNNNNNNNNNNNNNNNNNNNNNNNNNNNNNNNNNNNNNNNNNNNNNNNNNNNNNNNNNNNNNNNNNNNNNNNNNNNNNNNNNNNNNNNNNNNNNNNNNNNNNNNNNNNNNNNNNNNNNNNNNNNNNNNNNNNNNNNNNNNNNNNNNNNNNNNNNNNNNNNNNNNNNNNNNNNNNNNNNNNNNNNNNNNNNNNNNNNNNNNNNNNNNNNNNNNNNNNNNNNNNNNNNNNNNNNNNNNNNNNNNNNNNNNNNNNNNNNNNNNNNNNNNNNNNNNNNNNNNNNNNNNNNNNNNNNNNNNNNNNNNNNNNNNNNNNNNNNNNNNNNNNNNNNNNNNNNNNNNNNNNNNNNNNNNNNNNNNNNNNNNNNNNNNNNNNNNNNNNNNNNNNNNNNNNNNNNNNNNNNNNNNNNNNNNNNNNNNNNNNNNNNNNNNNNNNNNNNNNNNNNNNNNNNNNNNNNNNNNNNNNNNNNNNNNNNNNNNNNNNNNNNNNNNNNNNNNNNNNNNNNNNNNNNNNNNNNNNNNNNNNNNNNNNNNNNNNNNNNNNNNNNNNNNNNNNNNNNNNNNNNNNNNNNNNNNNNNNNNNNNNNNNNNNNNNNNNNNNNNNNNNNNNNNNNNNNNNNNNNNNNNNNNNNNNNNNNNNNNNNNNNNNNNNNNNNNNNNNNNNNNNNNNNNNNNNNNNNNNNNNNNNNNNNNNNNNNNNNNNNNNNNNNNNNNNNNNNNNNNNNNNNNNNNNNNNNNNNNNNNNNNNNNNNNNNNNNNNNNNNNNNNNNNNNNNNNNNNNNNNNNNNNNNNNNNNNNNNNNNNNNNNNNNNNNNNNNNNNNNNNNNNNNNNNNNNNNNNNNNNNNNNNNNNNNNNNNNNNNNNNNNNNNNNNNNNNNNNNNNNNNNNNNNNNNNNNNNNNNNNNNNNNNNNNNNNNNNNNNNNNNNNNNNNNNNNNNNNNNNNNNNNNNNNNNNNNNNNNNNNNNNNNNNNNNNNNNNNNNNNNNNNNNNNNNNNNNNNNNNNNNNNNNNNNNNNNNNNNNNNNNNNNNNNNNNNNNNNNNNNNNNNNNNNNNNNNNNNNNNNNNNNNNNNNNNNNNNNNNNNNNNNNNNNNNNNNNNNNNNNNNNNNNNNNNNNNNNNNNNNNNNNNNNNNNNNNNNNNNNNNNNNNNNNNNNNNNNNNNNNNNNNNNNNNNNNNNNNNNNNNNNNNNNNNNNNNNNNNNNNNNNNNNNNNNNNNNNNNNNNNNNNNNNNNNNNNNNNNNNNNNNNNNNNNNNNNNNNNNNNNNNNNNNNNNNNNNNNNNNNNNNNNNNNNNNNNNNNNNNNNNNNNNNNNNNNNNNNNNNNNNNNNNNNNNNNNNNNNNNNCACUAUAGAUGAAGAUCUUUGUGAUCUUGCUUAGGGGGAGCUAUAUAAAACUAGGAAGUUUUCUUGAAUUUAUUCUUAUCUUGAACUUCCUUAAUCAGAGUAAGGAAUUUCUUUUUCAAAUCCUUUUCUCUCUGAUUAGCCUGAUAUUUUUGUAAUAAGUUUGUACUUAUCUUUACAAACUCAGCAAAGUUCUUAUAGAAUUCACAUUGUGCCUUAUCUAAAAUCUUGCUUUCAAUAGAGCUAUCUGAUUACUAAAUCUUCUUAAAAUCUUUUGUUAAGUUCUGUUCCCUAAUCGGCCGGUUGCCAAACAUGGCAGGGUCCGGCGACCGGCCAAAAGUAGAAAAAAGGAAAAAGGAAAAAGAAAAAAGAAAAAAGGAAAAAGAAAAAAGAAAAAAGGAAAAAUAAGAAAGAAAAUAGAAAAUUAAAAAUUAAAAGAAAUAAAAAAAUUAUACAAACUUACCAAAUGUGUUUCUAUUCUUUUUAUAUUUCUGGAACAGAUUUACCAAACGCGUUUUUUUGUUCAAAAAUUGUUCCCUGGAACAGAAACACUUUUUUUUUAAUUUCUGUUCCCAGAAACAAUUUUUAAACAGAAAUGUUACCAAACGCACCCUUACUCGUCACUAUCAGGUGGUGGGGGAGGGAAACAGGGGAAGGGAAAUAAAAGUGAAAUUUUUUUUGUGGGGUUUUGAAAUGGACGAGGGAAAGAGUGGGGUGUGGGAACUUUUAUUUUUAAUGAAAAAAUAAAUAAAUGACAUUAACAAAUAAUUUUGAAAAAUAAAAGUACUGAAUUUUGAAUAAUAAUAAAUUUGGUCAUUUGUAGAAGAUUAUGGAUUUAUCUAAAUAAAUUGAUUCUAAUUUCUUAUUAAUCAUUAGUUUCAUCAAUAACUUUUGUUAAAAUUAAAAACACGUUUCCAAACAUGAAUACACGUUAACUAUUGAUUUUAUUAGUGUAAAUUCAUUGUAGGUUCUUUUUUAAUUAAUUAAUUAGAAUUAAAUUAAUUAAAAAUAAAAUAUUUAUAUAAUAUAUAACGUGUCGCAAAGUGUAAGAAUUCUCUAUUUUUGAGAAAUGACGUGUCGUAUCGAGUCAUGUCACGUGUCUGUUUCGCGUGUCCGUGCUACUUAGAUUAUUAUUAGGAGGUCAGUAAGAUGGAUUUAAAGUUAAAUGUGCGGUACAUAUUAAAAUUGAUUAUUGAUUGUGUUGGCAAAAAGACAAAAGCAAUAAACGGUGUUGGCCAAAAGACAAAAUGUUUGAAUUUUUCUUCUUCUACAUUCAUUUUCUCAUUGCUAGUUCUUUUUUCUUGGAUUGCCAUCGCCCGUAGUUAAUAGAGAUCGCUCAGUUUGGCAUGCAAAACCUGACAUGCAGGGGAGAAGGCUUUGCUUUUCACCUUCCUCAAAACUCGAACCAAAUUUAUUGCUCUCCCUCUUAGCACCCCCAGCCACUAGCCACGCCACGGGGACCACAAGACCCUCCUCGAUCAUUUUUUUGUCUAAUUAAGUGCCAAACCAUUAUAAUUCUUCCUUCUCACCCUUCAAUUUUUCUUUCAAUAAACUUUUUCUACCUCAUUUGGCAAUGCCGAAGAGCAAAGAAUUGCCCUAUUUGGCUAUGCCAAAUUACCUAUCGAGAAUUGUUUUGAAGAUAUGGUUGGCAUGAUAUGUAUGUCCAAUGUAAUAGUCUUAAACCUUAGUUGAUUGAAGUUUUGUAUGGUAAGUGCAAAAGAUAACUUAUAUUUAUAUUUACAUUGUCAUGUUUUAUAUAAAGUGAAAUUCUUAUUGAAUGGCGGUGGAAGUGUGUAAUUACAAUGACAAAUGGGGCUAAUCAAUGAGUAUUUGACUAUUUGAGUAUUUUAUGGAUGAACGCAAUGACAAACCUCAAACGUCAUAAGCUCCUUCAUUUUCCAAGGCUUCACAAAAAACUCAUGUGUGCAAUCACAAAAACAAGUAAAAGCGAUGAGAAUGAGUAACCCUAAUCUCUACAAGUAAAGCGAUGAAGGGCCUAUUUUGGAUUGUCGCUAUCAUAUACCAUUUAUUCCUAAUUCAAUUUACGGUAUAAAAAUUCAUUAUAUAAUAAGGUAUUUGUAAUUAAUUCGGAGACUUUAACAAUAUUUCUGAAGGUUUUUUUUUUUUUUUUUUACUUUGAAUUACAAAAAUUUUAAAUUUUCAUUUGGAGAUGAAAGUUUGGAAAUAGGAAGACUCUUUUUAAAUUGAACAAAUUAAAUGUCCCAAAAUUUUAUUUUAUAUAAUAGUAGAUAUGAUUGCUAGUCACAGAUAGAUAAAAUGCUUAUUUUUCCAGCACAAGAAGUUAGAAACAAUGGUGGACUUAAUUCACAGAGUUAGUGACAAGUGCCCCUACUAAAUGGACACAAUUUUCCCCUACACAAUCUACAAUAACAUUCAGUAAAGCCCACGUUAUAGCAAAAAACAAUCCAUUAGAAAAUAUAUAUGCUGAAUAUUCGCCCAAAAAUAAAUGCUGGAACUAAAAAUAUAUAAACCGCAUCCUUUACAUUCAUAGCAAAUUUAUUCAUUAACCAGCAUGCUUUGACAUUUGGUAAAGCUCAUUUAAAGAAGAAGGGGAUCUUGACUUGACGUACAUUCGCUUAAAGUAAUUGAGUGGCUAGUAAAAUAGUAUUUUCUAAGCCCAUUGAAAUAAACUUUUAUUCAGUGUAAAGUAAUAUUUAAAAUAGUUAGUAUCAUGAAAAAUCACAAUUGAAAUAUUUAUGAUAAAUUUAUCUCAAAUUAAUUUUUUAACCUUCAAAAAUUUUAAACUAAUACACUCAUAACAAAUUACCUCAAACUAAUUUUUUGAUCACUAAAAAAUACCAAAUUGAUAUAUAUUUAUAUGUGUGUGUGUGUUUGCGUGUGUGUGUAUGUAUUUACAAUUUGUUGAUUUCCGUUAAAUUGAAUUAAUAUCAUAAAAAAACCCCAAAUUAGUACGUUAAUCAAUUGUGACAUGUUAUCCAACUCAACAAUUUGACUAUAAAAUUUAAUAUAAACUAAUUGAUGGUAAAUUUGUCGCAAAUAUAUCAAUUUGGGAUUAGUUUACCAAUUUGGAAUUUAUCAUGGUAUUAACCCUAUUUAAAAAAUUUCUAAUAUUGUCUAGUCUUAACAAAUAGUCAAAUAAUCCUUACCAAAAAAAUACAAAUAGUCAAAUAAUUCAAGAAUAACAUCAAGGUUGGUGGUUAGCUAUAAUUAGCAUAUUACAAAGAUAGAUUAUAAAGAUAAAUGUGCGGUACAUGUCAAAACUAAUCAUCUAAAUGAUCGAUUAAUAAAAGGCACAAGAACUAAAUGGUGUAGGCCGAAAAAACAAAAAAGAAAGUUGAAAUGUUCUUUCUUGUGAAUUCAUUCGUAAUAAUGAUGGGAGAGAGAAUCUUGUUGUUCAUCAUCCUCAACACUAAGAUCAAAUUAUGAAUAGGAUAAGAUUUGAAGUUCAUAAAUUUUGCUAUAUUUUAUCCAAUGUUGGGUGAAUCAUAGCAAUAAUAUGAGAUAUAUUCUUAUCCUAUUGUAUCUUAUUGUUUGUUAUAAACAAUUAUUAAUCAGUAAAUCUUAAAAAAAAGAAUGGUGGGUUGGGAGAGUGACUCUGCAUUCACGAUCCCCAACUGCAAAGGAUAUUUUAUAAUUGAUGAAGUAGAGAUCAAUGUGCAUGUCAAGUAGGAGACGAUCUAAAAGAGUAGGCGUGUGGGCUGGAGUUUUGUAUGUUUGGGGAAAAAAGUGAAUGGUGGGAUGGGAGAGUGAGUGCGAUUAGUCCCGACGAGAAAAGAGAAGACGAGAAUGGCUUCCUCUCAUUUUAACCUUGAUGAAAUGGAGUUUUCGGGCAACUUCUUUUUUACUUUUAUCUCUUAUUUACGGUAUUUUCUUUUUUCAAAUUGAAAAAUAAUAAAAGAUUCAUAAUCUUUCAAGUUUUGAAAAUUUUAAAAAUUAGUAUNNNNNNNNNNNNNNNNNNNNNNNNNNNNNNNNNNNNNNNNNNNNNNNNNNNNNNNNNNNNNNNNNNNNNNNNNNNNNNNNNNNNNNNNNNNNNNNNNNNNUUCUUGGAAAUAAAUAGCCUGAUAGUGAAUAGGAAUAACAAGCACCAAGAAGUCACCAUCACAGCUGGGUUUAAAAAAAAAAAAUCUUUGCAUCAGUAACUGUCUAUUCCUUCUCUUAAAAAUCCAUUCUUAGGCAAGGCAUAUUUUACAUUUAUUCUUCAUUUCCUGUAUUGCUUUAAACUCCCGAAAUUUUCUAUUAUAAAUAUGAGAAAAGUCCAUAACAUUCCUAAAAGUCCUAAAAUUUCAAUUUAUUAAUUUAUUUAAUGAUGUGGCAAUUUUAAAUUAAUUUCUCUCUCCUUGGCUUUUUUAUUGUUUUCUUUUUAAUAUCUUAUUCAAAUGAGAUUAAAAAACUGAAAAAGCUAAAAUUUUAUUUUAAAAAAAAACUAAUUGAAAAAGAGAGAGAGAGAGAGAGAGAGAAGAGAUGGGGAGGUAGGGCGCCGCCGCCGCCACAGUCGAAGGGGCCAACCCUAGGCAAGGCUGGCCGACCCUCGCCAGUCCUGGGCGAGGCCUCACCGACCCCAAGCGAGGGCCAGUGACCCUCGCUAGGCUUGGGCUCGUGCUCGGGCGCCUAGAUUUGGGUGAUGCUAGCGCUCACCCAGGGCUGGCGAGGCUCGCCGGCUCUAGUUGACCGCUGGUGUGGCCCAGGUAUGGGUGCCCUCGCUCAAGUUGGCAAGGGUCUUCUACCCUUGCCUGGAGCUAGCGAGGGUUGGCCACCCUCGCCCCAGGCCGGUGACCUCCACUAGCUCCUCUAGCGAUGGGUGGUAUUGGCGGCGACAGUGGUGCGCUUCUCUCUUCUCCCUCUCUUUUCAAUUUUAUUUUUUAAAAUAAAAUAUUACCGUUUUUUAGUUUUUUAAGCUGAAUUAAAUAAGAUUCAAAAAGGAAAAAAAAUUUAAAAAAAAAUGCCAACUAGAAGAAAGAAAGAAAUUUAAAAUUUAGAUUCAAUUGCACCUAAGUAGCAUCAUUGUCACAAGUUUUUGGAUUCUGCUCGUGAACUUAUCCUUAAAUAUUCUUAGGUAAUGGAUAUUACUUUUACUUUUCUCUAAAUUUAUUUGUACCCGAUUUUGUAGUUAAAACGAGUUGUUUUUACGUAAAAGAUAGGUUCUUUUUCUUUUCUUUUUUCAGUUUUACACAAAUGGAUGACUUUCAUGUUUUGAUUGUCUUUCUAUUAACCUCCACAUUGUAAAUUUCAAAGUUCUCUAAAGGUGGUUCCUACAUAUUUUUCAGACGUUGGCUUUUUUUUUUUUUCUUGCCUCUAUCUUUCAUAUAUUAUCUUUUCAAUAAUAGAUUUCAAAAGAAAAAAAAAAGAAAAAAAGAAAGAAGGUGGAGGACAGGUAUUAGAGGAGUAUUUCAUUUUGAAAGACGCCCACCCCAAAUUUUGGUCUUGACUUCAUGAUUUCGACCGUUGUGUAUUUAUUUCGCUCGGAAACAACAUGAUCUGCUAUAGCCACCGCAUGAUCGUCGCACGAUUGUCGCACGACCGCCACACGAUUGCCGCACGAUAACGUUUCACCGCCAUCACGUCAACGUGCAAUAGAUUAAGGAAUUUCCACCAACAUGAGUCAUUUUUUUUUUUGAAGGAGCACCUCAUUAGGCGCACAUGGCACGACCAUACGACCAUCUUCGGCCAUGUCUUCUAAUAAUAAAAUAAAAUACAAAUUAUUUAUAAAAAAAAAACAGAGUCUAAAAGAGUUUUGUAAUCAACACCUAUUUGUAAUCAUUGCGUUGCUGAAGACAAUUUUUUUUUUUUAUGUACAUGAUCUUCCCCUAUCCACCUAUCCUAUCCACUGUAACAGUCUUAAAGUCCUGCCACUGCUUGCAUUUGAAAACACGAACCAACCUCUUCUCUUUUCUCUUCUCUCUAGCUGAAGAGGACUGCAUAUAUCGACAAAUAUCACCAGAUAAAAUUCCAAAUCUAUUGUGGUGGCACCAGGAAGAGGUGAAUGCCUUUAUUCAGAUGUGCAUCAAAUGAGAUAAUUUGGAAGUUUUGUAUAGACAAUGACUGGUACGUGUUGUGUUUAAUUAUAUGAUUUAUACCUCUAAUAUUUUCAAUAUAAUUUCCUUCAAAGUUAAAAAUUGAACAUUAAUAAUUUGUGUAUGUUGUUUUAUGAAUAUGUAAGUCUCAUGAAUAUAGAAUCAGGAAUGAAGCUAUUUAAGAGAGCCGCACAAUUUGGCCACCUUAGGGCUUCCUAUACUAUUGGGCUCCUCCUUAUGUGCGAGGGUGGCAAGUUGAAGAAGAAGGAAGGAAUCGGCUUGCUGAGAAAAGUCCACACAAGCGAACGAGUGGUGGAAUGCCGUGAUAAGUAUUUAAACACCGUUCGUAUUAUGUGGUGGAACAACACGAUGAUCUUUAGAGAAGAGUGGAGCUAUGAUUGCGAGAUGCAAACCGAGCAUUGCAAGAGGAGGGGAUGGGUGUGUGACAUCGACCAUUACGAUGACACUGAAUGCGAACAAUGCAUUUGCCGAGUGGAAACAAAAAUUCUAUACAAGUAUUGCAGAUACCCGUGACGACAUGAUCUUAAAUUGGACGCGGAAAAACUAAAAUUCAUGGACAAGAUAAAAUGUACACAAAUAUAUACAUAUAUACAUAUAUAUGUAUAUAUAUAACAUAGUUAUAGUUAUAGUGUUAAAGCACAUCUUUCCAUAGUUAUAGCCACCGCACGAUCGUCACACGAUUGUUGCACGACCGCCGUACGAUCGCCGCACGAUAACGUUUCACCCCCAUCUCGUCAAUGUGCAAUAGCUUAAGGAAUUUCCACCAACAUGAGUCAUUUUUUUUUUUAAAGGAGCACCUCAUUAGGCGCACAUGCACGACCAUACAACCAUCUUCGGCCAUGUCUUCUAAUAAUAAAAUAAAAUACAAAUUAUUAAAAAAAGCAGAGCUAAAAAGAGUUUUGUAAUUAACACCCAUUUGUAAUCAUUACGUUGCUGAAGACAAAUUUUUUUUUUUUUUUUUGUACAUGAUCUUCACUUAUCCACUUAUCAUAUCCAUUGCAACAGCCUUAAUGUCAUGCUACUGCUUGCAUUUAAAAACACAAACUAACCUCUUCUCUUUUCUCUUCUCUCUAGCUGAAGAGGACUACAUAUAUCGACAAAUAUCACUAGACAAAAUCCCAAAUCUAUUAUGGUGACACCAGGAAGAGGUGAAUGUAUUUAUUUAGAGGUGCAUCAAAUGCGAUAAUUUGGAAGCUUUGUAUAAACAAUGACCGGUACGUGUUGUGUUUAAUUAUAUGAUUUAUACCACUAAUAUUUUCAAUAUAACUUCCUUCAAAGUUAGAAAUUGAACAUUAACAAUUUAUGUAUAUUGUAGUAUGAAUAUGUAAGUCUCAUGAAUGUGGAGUCAGGAAUGAAGCUACUUAAAAGAGCUGCACAAUUUGGCCACCUUGGAGCUUCCUAUGUGGUUGGGCUCCUCCUUGUGUGCGAGGGUGGCGAGUUGAAGAAGAAGGAAGGAGUUGGUGUGCUAGGAAAAGUCUACUCGAGCGGACGAGUGGUAAAAUGCCAUAAUAAGUAUUUAAACACCGUUUGCAGUAUGUGGUGGAACAACACGGUGAUCUUUAGAGAAGAGCAAAGCUAUGAUUGCGAGAUGCAAACUGAACACUACAAGAGGAAGGGAUGGGUGUGUGACAUCGACCAUUACGAUGACACUGAAUGCAAACAAUGCAUUUGCCGAGCGGAGAUGAAGAUUCUAUACAAGUAUUGUAGAUACCCCUAACGACAUGAUCUUAAAUUAGACGCGGAAAAACUAAAAUUCAUGGGCAAGAUAAAAUGUACACACACACACACACACACACACACACACACACACACACACACACACACACACACAUAUAUAUAUAUAUAUAAAUAUAUACAUAAUUAUAGUUAUUGUGUUAAAGCACAUCUUUCUAUAGUUAUAGCCACCGCACGAUCGUCGCACGAUUGUCGGACGACCGCCGCAUGAUAACGUUUCACCCCCAUCUCGUCAACCUACAAAAGCUUAAGGAAUUUCCACUAGCAUGAGUUAUUUUUCUUUGAAGGAGCACCUCAUUAGGCAUACGUGCACGACCAUACGACCAUCUUCAGCCAUGUCUUCUAAUAAUAAAAUAAAAUACAAAUUAUUAAAAAAAAACAAAAUCUAAAAGAGUUUUGUAAUCAACACCUAUUUGUAAUCAUUGCGUUGCUAAAGACAAAAUGUUUUUUUUCUAUACAUGAUCUUCCCAUAUCCACCUAUCCUAUCCAUUGUAACAAUCUUAAAGUCUUGCUGCUGCUUACAUUUAAAAACACAAACCAAUCUCUUCUCUUUUCUCUUCUCUCUAGCUGAAGAGGACUACAUAUAUCAACAAAUAUCACUAGACAAAAUUCCAAAUCUAUUAUGAUGGCACCAGGAAGAGGCGAAUGCCUUUAUUCAGAGGUGCAUCAAAGGCGAUAAUUUGGAAGCUUUGUAUAGACAAGGACUAGUGCGUGUUGUGUUUAAUUAUAUGAUUUAUACCUCUAAUAUUUUCAAUAUAAUUUCCUUCAAAGUUAAAAGUUGAAUAUUAAUAAUUUGUGUAUGUUGUAGUAUGAAUAUGUAAGUCUCAUGAAUGUGGAGUCAGAAAUGAAGCUACUUAAGAGAGCUGCACAAUUUGGCCACCUUGGGGCUUCCUAUAUUGUUUGGCUCCUCCUUAUGUGCUAGGGUGGCAAGUUGAAGAAGAAGGAAGGAAUCGGCUUGCUGAGAAAAGUCCACUCGAGCGAACAAGUGGUGGAAUACGGUGAUAAGUAUUUAAACACCGUUCGCAUUAUGUGGUGGAACAAAAUGAUGAUCUUUAGAGAAGAGCGGAGCUAUGAUGGCGAGAUGCAAACCGAGCACUGCAAGAGGAGGGGAGGGGUGUGUGACAUCGACCAUUACGAUGACACUGAAUGCGAACAAUGCAUUUGCCGAGUGGAAACAAAGAUUCAAUACAAGUAUUGCAGUACCCGUGACGACAUGAUCUUAAAUUGGACGCGAAAAAACUAAAAUUCAUGGACAAGAUAAAAUGUACACAAACAUAUAUAUAUAUAUAUAUAUAUAUAUAUAUAUAUAUAUAUAUAGCAUAGUUAUAGUUAUAGUGUUAAAGCACAUCUUUCCAUAGUUAUAGCCACCGCACGGUCAUCGCACGAUUGUCGCAUGACCGCCGUACGAUCGCCGCACGAUAACGUUUCACCCCCAUCUUGUCAAUGUGCAAUAGCUUAAGGAAAUUUCCACCAACAUGAGUCAUUUUUUUUUUUAAAGGAGCACCUCAUUAGGUGCACAUGCACGACCGUACAACCAUCUUCGGCCAUGUCUUCUAAUAAUAAAAUAAAAUACAAAUUAUUAAAAAAAGCAGAGCUAAAAAGAGUUUUGUAAUCAACACCCAUUUGUAAUCAUUGCGUUGCUAAAGACAAUUUUUUUUUUUUUUUGUACAUGAUCUUCCCUUAUUCACCUAUCCUAUCCAUUGCAACAGUUUUAAAGUCUUGCUGCUGCUUGCAUUUAAAAACACUAACUAACCUCUUCUCUUUUCUCUUCUCUCUAGCUGAAGAGGACUACAUAUAUCGACAAAUAUCACUAGACAAAAUCCCAAAUCUAUUAUGGUGGCACCAGGAAGAGGUGAAUGUAUUUAUUCAAAGGUGCAUCAAAUGCGAUAAUUUGGAAGCUUUGUAUAGACAAGGAUUGGUACGUGUUGUGUUUAAUUAUAUGAUUUAUACCUCUAAUAUUUUCAAUAUAAUUUCCUUCAAAGUUAGAAAUUGAACAUUAACAAUUUAUUUAUAUUGUAGUAUGAAUAUGUAAGUCUCAUGAAUGUGGAGUCAGGAAUGAAGCUACUUAAAAGAGCUGCACAAUUUAGCCACCUUGGAGCUUCCUAUAUGGUUGGGCUCCUUCUUGUGUGUGAGGGUGGCGAGUUGAAGAAGAAGGAAGGAGUUGGUGUGUUGAGAAAAGUCUACUCGAGCGAACGAGUGGUGAAAUGCCAUGAUAAGUAUUUAAAUACCGUGGUGGAAUAACACGAUGAUCUUUAGAGAAGAGCAAAGUUAUGAUUGCGAGAUGCAAACUGAACACUACAAGAGGAAGGGAUGGGUGUGUGACAUCGACCAUUACGAUGACACUGAAUGCAAACAAUGCAUUUGCCGAGCGGAGAUGAAGAUUCUAUACAAAUAUUGUAGAUACCCCUGACGACAUGAUCUUAAAUUGGAUGCGGAAAAACUAAAAUUCAUGGGCAAGAUAAAAAGCGCGCACACACACACACACACACAUAUAUAUAUACAUAAUUAUAGUUAUUGUGUUAAAGCACAUAUUUCUAUAGUUAUAGCCACCGCACGAUCGUCGCACGACCGCUGCACGAUCGCCGCAUGAUAACAUUUCACCCCCAUCUCGUCAACCUACAAAAGCUUAAGGAAUUUCCACUAGCAUAAGUCAUUUUUCUUUGAAGGAGCACCUCAUUAGGCACACGUGCACGACCAUACAACCAUCUUCAGUCAUGUCUUCUAAUAAUAAAAUAAAAUACAAAUUAUUAAAAAAAAAAAAAGCAGAGUCUAAAAGAGUUUUGUAAUCAACACCUAUUUGUAAUCAUUGCGUUGCUGAAGACAAAUUUUUUUUUCUAUACAUGAUCUUCCCAUAUCCACUUAUCCUAUCCAUUGUAACAAUCUUAAAGUCAUGCUGCUGCUUGCAUUUAAAAACACAAACCAAUCUCUUCUCUUUUCUCUUCUCUCUAGCUGAAGAGGACUGCAUAUAUCGACAAAUAUCACUAGACAAAAUUACAAAUCUAUUAUGGUGGCACCAGGAAGAGGCGAAUGCCUUUAUUCAAAGGUGCAUCAAAUGCGAUAAUUUGGAAGCUUUGUAUAGACAAGGACUGGUGCGUGUUGUGUUUAAUUAUAUGAUUUAUACCUCUAAUAUUUUCAAUAUAAUUUCCUUCAAAGUUAAAAAUUGAACAUUAAUAAUUUGUGUAUGUUGUAGUAUGAAUAAGUAAGUCUCAUGAAUGUGGAGUCAAGAAUGAAACUACUUAAGAGAGCCGCACAAUUUGGCCACAUUGGGGCUUCCUAUACUAUUGGGCUCCUCCUUAUGUGUGAGGGUGGCGAGUUGAAGAAGAAGGAAUGAAUCGGCUUGCUGAGAAAAGUCCACUCGAGCAAACGAGUGGUGGAAUGCAGUGAUAAGUAUUUAAACACCGUUCGCAUUAUGUGGUGGAACAACACGAUGAUCUUUAGAGAAGAGCGGAGCUAUGAUUGCGAGAUGCAAACCGAGCACUGCAAGAGGAGGGGAUGGGUGUGUGACAUCGACCAUUAUGAUGACACUGAAUGCGAACAAUGCAUUUGCAGAGUGGAAACAAAGAUUCUUUACAAGUAUUGCAGAUACCGUUUAUGACAUAAUCUUCAAUUGGAUGCGGAAAAAUUAAAAUUCAUGGGCAAGAUAAAAUGUACACAAACAUAUAUAUAUAUAUAUAUAUAUAUAUAUAUAUAUAUAUAUAUGUAACAUAGUUAUAGUUAUAUUGUUAAAGCACAUCUUUCUAUAGUUAUAGCCACCGCACGAUCGUCGCACAACCGCUGCACGAUUGUCGCAUGACCGCCGCAUGAUCGCCGCAUGAUAAUGUUUCACCCCCAUCUCAUCAACAUGCAAUAGCAUAAGGAAUUUCCACCAACAUGAGUCAUUUUUUUUUUGAAUGAGCACCUCAUUAGGCGCACAUGCACGACUAUACGACCAUCUUCGGCCAUGUCUUCUAAUAAUAAAAUAAAAUACAAAUUAUUUAUAAAAAAAAAAAAAAGCAGAGCCAAAAAGAGUUUUGUAAUCAUUGCGUUGCUGAAGAUAAAAAUUUUUUCUAUACAUGAUCUUCCCGUAUCCACCUAUCCUAUCCACUACAACUAUGUUAAAGUGCUGCCGCCGCUUGCAUUUAAAAACACGAACCAACAUAUGUCUCUUUUUUCUUCUCUCUAGUUGAAGAGGACUGCAUAUAUCAACAAAUAUCACUAGACAAAAUUCCAAAUCUAUUGUGGUGGCACCAGGAAGAGGUGAAUGCCUUUAUUCAGAGGUGUAUCAGAUGUGAUAAUUUGGAAGCUUUGUAUAGACAAGGACUGGUACGUGUUGUGUUUAAUUAUAUGAUUUAUACCUCUACUAUUUUCAUUAUAAUUUCCUUCAAAGUUAGAAAUUGAACAUUAACAAUUUGUGUAGUAGUAUCAAUAUGUAAGUUUCAUGAAUGUGGAGUCAGGAAUGAAGCUACUUAAAAGAGCUGCAUAAUUUGGCCACAUUGGGGCUUCCUAUAUGGUUGGGCUCCUCCUUGUGUGCGAGAGUGGCAAGUUGAAGAAGAAGGAAAGAGUCGACCUGCUGAGAAAAGUUUACUCGAGCGGACGAGUGGUGGAAUGCCGUGAUAAGCAUUUGAACACCGUUCACAAUAUGUGGUGAAACAACACGAUGAUCUUUAGAGAAGAGCAAAGCUAUGAUUGCAAGAUGCAAACCGAGCACUGCAAGAGGAGGGGAUGGUUUGUGACAUUGACCAUUACGAUGAUAUUGAAUGCGAACGAUGCAUUUGCCGAGCAAAGACAAAGAUUCUAUACAAGUAUUGUGGAUACCCCUGACCAUGAUGCUGACCAUGACGCCCCUGACUAUGACCAUGAGAGGUUGGCUUAAAGAGAGAGUGGGAGAGAGGCUAUUUUAGUUCAAAAUAAAUCUUAAUACACAAGUGCUUCUUUAGAGUAUCUGAUAUGGCUUCAUUUUCUUCUCUAUAGGUUCUUGAUAGGUUCUUGAUGAUGCCCCUUGUGCUGAUGACAGCAAUGCUUAACAUCAAUUUGGUGUUUCUCAAACUAAGCAAAAUUCUGUUGCAACAAAAAGAUUAUGUCAUCUAUAACUGCCUUGUAGUUGUAACUAGAUUUCACUUCAUUCUAAGUGACCUAUUGUUCGAUUUGAUUUUGGUUUGGUCUCAAUUGAUUUGUGUAAUCCUUCAAUCCAAGUGAGAAUUGUUGUUUGUUUCAGUUCGUGAUUUAUUUUGCUCUACUUCAUGGAUAAUUUCAGCAUCAUCUAUGAACACUUCAAGCUCAUUACACUCCCCGGGAACACGACAUUUGAAUUGCUCCAUGCUUUCCAAAAUGAACUCAGAGAGCUCCUAAAGAGUUUUUGUAUGCCUGUGACUUGUUCAGCAAAUAUUUAGGGAGUAUUGUUAUUCUAUUAUCUUUUGUAUCUUAUCUCUUAGAAUUAGUGAAUAUUUGGGUAUACUUGUUAUUAUGUUGCCUUUUAUAUCUUAUCUUUUAGAGUCCUUUAUAUACAUUGUAUUUGCAAUACAUAUAUAAAGAAAAAAAGGAAUAAUUUUUUUAAUUAUAUGCGAAUUGAGUCUGAAUUGAGAUUGAGUGACCUCAUGGCUGAUCUAAAUAAGACCAUGAAGUUUCAAGUAUAUGCGGCAACUCACUGGAGAAGUUUCGAGAAAUUUUCCACCCGUCCUCUUCUGUUGGACCAGCCGUUCUUUUUGGUGAAAAAUAAUGAAAAACAACGGCGUUGAUUCCAAAGAGUUGCUCUAUUUUUAUUUUUUAUUUUUUUUGGCCAUCAAAUUUAACAUGGCUGUUGCUGUGUCACUUUCCUAGUCUUGAGUCUUGACUGGUUGAUAAGAAUUUCGAAUGAUAACGCAUUUUGAUUUAGUUUAAACGCCUGCCCUUUGAGGACACGUUUUGGGACACUUUUCUGCCACUUAUUUUGUACACGAUAGCCAUAGACGGACUGUAUACGUAUAAUCACACUUAUAAUGAAGAAGCUUUAUUUAUUUUUGGAUAUAGAUAACGAUACAUUGAUUGGUUUUUUGCGUGCUUGAGGAAAAAUGGUGAAAUUUCUUUUUCUGUCUUGCUUUUAUCAGCAAUAAGCAGAUACAUUUGAGGCGGGUAUGAUGGAUGUAUACGUGUCAGAAUCUCCUAAUCAAAUCAAUGUGAACAAGAGUACANNNNNNNNNNNNNNNNNNNNNNNNNNNNNNNNNNNNNNNNNNNNNNNNNNNNNNNNNNNNNNNNNNNNNNNNNNNNNNNNNNNNNNNNNNNNNNNNNNNNCAAGCUAUCACCCUGACAUUAAUGCAUUAGACAGUUGUCGCAUGAUUAUGAUUCCUUGAUAGAGAGAGAAAGGCAUUAUCGGUAUUCUAUCUCUAUUUCUUCAUUAUUUUACUGUCAAGUUAUAUGAUGUAGAAGUUUCAUCCCCGCCUAUGCCAUACGUAAUGACUAUUGGAUUACAUCAUUACAACAUCACUGCAACCAUAAGUAAUCAUCUAUGUGAAAAUUAAGACAAUUAUUUUUUCAUGAAGCAUCUCUUAAAGCUUUUCAAAGCUAAUUUAAUGAUCUUUCAUUCUAAAAUUUGAUUAACUAAGAGUGCGAGUGAGUUGAACUACGCAUCAAUAACUUGGGCUCAGCAUAAAAAAUACUUGAAUUUGACUCGAUUGAUUCCAAGUCAAGUUCAAGUUCAAGCUACUCCAGCAGAGUUGUCUAGUCAAGUUUGAAUUUCUCAAUUACUUUUCUAGUUGAGUGCAAGCAAGAUACAUAAAUUUUAAAUCGAGCUCGAGUUGCAUUUUCUUCUCUUAACACAUACGGUUGAAGUAGAUGUCAUCCUCAAAUCUGAAACUCCAUGUGAUUUCACUCUUGCUCUGAUUGAUCUUGUUACCCAGACAUUAGUGCUUAAUUUUGGUGCAAUUUGUGUAGUAUAUCAGAUAUUUCCUCCCUCCUUCAUUCUCUGAUAUCUUGUUACUAUCCUCAUUAAUUUGCUACAGCUUUGGAUAUUAAAGGAGAAGGUUGCAUGUGUCGUCACAAUCUUCGUAAUUAGUGCGUGUAUAUAGAUGUAUAUGCCUAGGCAAAUUAACUUACAUGUGAAUUUAUUUCCUUCUUGCACUUUGGACUAUUUAUAGUGUCACUGAUCAUGAAAAAACUGGCUAGCGUUGCAAAUACUACAAACAUCAUUAGCUUUCACCUUUCAUUCUCCUAUAUAUUCCCGGUGAACUCAAAGCCCGGAAGCUUCUGCCACCUGACUCACAGGAAAGUUAAUAGGUCCUAAGCUCGCUGCUGCUGCAGACCAAGCCAAAGCUCCAACUGCCGCUGUGGCAGCCAAGCAAGCAAGCCUCCGGCAUAGGGCAGCGGCUUUGGGGCACUUUUUGCGUAACGACAUGGUCAUCACAGCCCCUGUGAACGCGAAGUUGAGAGCCAGGAGGUAGGCAUGGAAGCACGCGGGUCUCUUUGAGAAUGCAACUCUUGGAACCGGGUUUCCAUCGACUUCCUCGAAGGGAAGUUGGAGAAGCAAGAAAGACGCCAUGAAGGAGAGGACGAGGAUGAGUUCUUCGACCCUGGUUCUAGUGAUGAAAUGGUUGCUCAUCUCUGUGAAGAGAAAUGGAGCAGGGAUGUUGGUGGAUUACUGGGUCGGGUCUGGCGAGCCUGCUCAUCCAGAGUUGCUGGCGGUCGUCGGAGGAUGUGACGGUGGUUUUGUGGGCAUCGGUGGUGGGUGAAGUCCUCCUAUUUAUAUAUUUACAGAGGCAAACGACUUUUUCUGAGGAGUGUAGGAGUUUCCUUUCGGCCAAAGAGGGUUAAGUGUUUGAUAUUCUCUGAAACUCAACUUGGACAUUUUGGCAACUUGUUUCCAUCUAAUAAAUGGAGAAUUACGUCCCAAAGAUAGGGACGUACUAAAAAAUUUCAUCUUGGGGUCUUGAACAAAUAAAAGGGACAAAAUAUUAGCGAAAAUCAUGUAAGUUUAACCCUUUUUUUUCAUCUUCUAUAAAUAUAAAUAUUUUUCCCAAGAGAACACUACGAUCUUUGAGCGAAAUCAAGGAUACCUUCAUCGAUUUAGAAAUGGAGUCGUGUUUCCCUCCAUCUUUAAUUAGAGGAUUGGAGGAAAGUCUCUCUAACCUUGGUUGGGGGACAAAUUGGUAUGCUAUGUGAUGUAGCAGGCAUUUGAAUAAGUGUGUUAUAAUUAAAUUAAUAGUAUCAUCCAUUUAUUUGAAGGAAAAUUGUUUUUCAAAAAUAGUUUCCAACUUUCUGAUAUUUAGAUGACAGAAAACUAAUCGAUCUUAUGAAAAACAUAUUCCAGGACUGAAAAAUACAAGCUUAGAUUAGGAGAAAAUGACUUCUCUUUUUUAUAAGAAGGAAAAUCACUUCCCAUAAAUUACAAAACAAAUGAAAACUAAUUAUUUUCCUUGAAAUUGUUUUUUAUGGAAAAUAUUUUUCUCUAUUAUAAAGUUUCCAAUAAAACAAAUGCAUCUUUAGGGUGUGGUUGUUCAAGUGAAAGAAUUUCCCGUGAGUCAGUUCUCUGGACUUUCAUGCAUUUGAUUUGUUGGAAAUUAUUAGUUAAGAAAAAUCGUAACAGUUAGAAAAAACAUGUAUACUUAAGAAAAUGAACUUUCUAACCUGAAAAUGAGAAAUUACUUUUAUUUUUAAAAAAUAUUUUCUUUUAUCAUCAAUAUUUUUUCAACAAAAUAUGCCAUUAAUAUGUAAACGUAGUGAUUUCUUGACUUCAAGAUUGAAAUGUCACCAGUGAAGUUUUAAAGUUCCAUCAUACCCCUCGAUUUAGGAGAAACCUUGCACGAACCCGGAUUUAUGGAUCCAAAGCAAUUAUAGCAGUCGAUCAUGUGAGAAUUAUACAUGGAACGCACAUAAUCAACGGCUAUAACAAACCUUGUUUAUGUGGACUCUAGUCUAAACAAAAUUUGGCUCACAUCAUAUGAGAUUCACAUGCUUAAAAUUUUCUCCGUUGUAUAUACUCAUAUUAGUCUCUUGGGAUAAAGCCACCAGAGAUUUUUUUUUUUUUUAUUGUACAAUUUUUUUUUAUUGUACAAUUUCAUCAUUUUUUUUAGGGUAACCAUAUCCUCGAACUAUGUAUUUAUUUGUUUGAGUUGAUACUUCAGAGAGUUAGAGCAUAAGUUGACCACAAUGUCAGACUGCUUCUCCAACGAAUUUCUUAGGUGGAACUAAAGAUUUAAAAAAUCCAAAAUUGCAACCUAGAGAAAGAGAGAGAGAGAGAGAGAGAGAGAGAGAGAGGAUAGAGGGGAAGGGCGGACCAGUGGCGGCGGCGGUGCCGCCCAGCCACUAUCCAAGAUCCACCAAUUGUCGCGGGCGGUUGGGUGCUCACCGGCAGAACGACAUCGCGAGAUGGAUCGAUGGCUAUAUCCAUCGUUGGUUUAUACCUCACGUAAACUGGCCAACAUCAGACGAACUUUUGUUUCCCUGUCUCAUCUUUCCCUCUCUUUACCUCAUCCUCGUGGAUUUUUACAUGCUUUACUGUUAUACAAUCGAAGCCUCUUUUGGCCGUCGUCCGCUCAAAGUGUCUUUUCAAAUCAAUGAUUGUGCCCUCCACGUAGCAAAAUGACGUCAAUGUACGGGAUAUAUAGUCCAUCUCUUAGGCAUCGAGAGAAAUGUUUCGUAGCGACGUUAAAGUCUAGAUGACAAAUGCCGAAAACUUCCCACUUUUUUUGGGAAGUUAUCAUCUUGUUAUGGAAUAACACUACAAGAUACCCUAAACUUUAUCGGCUUGUGUAAUAUCGUCUUUGAAUUUAUUUUUUUGCAAUCAGAUUCUUGAACUAUGAUUUAUUCGUUCACAUUAGAUCUUCCAUUAAAAGACCAAAAAAAAAAAUGCUUAUGUGACCGUUAAAUGCCAAGUUGACUCAAUGUGGCUCCUACGUCCUCAUUAGAAAGAUUAAAGAAAUAAAAAAAAAUUUUAAUUUCUUCAUUGAAGGAAAUUUGGAGCGACAACACCAUCUUGAGCCGGAGCCCACAGGCAAUUUGUCGAUAGUGUUCGAGUUUGAUGAGGUGAGUGAGGAUGGGUCGGAACACUUUUCAAUAGAGGCCCGCCUGAUCGGCUUCGACUUUUGAAGCGGAGGGCGGUGGCAUCUAGGGCGAGGUGGUGAUGGCUCAGAAAUGGGAGGCUCGCCUUCGACCGCCUGUGGCUUUCUCAACAGUGUUGCGUCGAUUUCCAACAACGUUGAAGAGAUUGGAGAUGGCUGGAAAUUCUUUUGUGUCUUUUUUUUUUCUCUCAUUUUUUAAGUCAGUCAUAUUUCGGGCCAAACCCAGCCCAAAAUUAAAUUAAUGCCAAUCCAAGAGGACUUGUUUAGGCCCGAACCUUUCAACCGGGCCUGAAGUUGAUUGGGUGGGACAUAUUUUUCAAUAAAAAGGCCACCCAUUUGCAACUAUGCUUCCCGUUACUAGACACCAAAGGAACUCGCGAACUCAUUGCUAAUUUAGCCCUAAAGCAGUGAAGAUAGUGCUGAAUAUUAAAGCAAGGGAAAACCAACACUCACGAAUUUUACAUGAAAAUCUCAAUAUAGGAAAAAUCACGGGAUCACUCAAAGACUUUUACUAAUAACCAAGACUAGCAGGAUACACAAUAAUUUAUCCUUAAUAACACAACCAGAGGCUCUUUAGAUUAGCAAAAUAUCAGAGCACCACAGAGGUGGGUUAACACAGAAGCAAGAAAGGUAUAACUGCUGCCAAAGAAAAUUAUGAGACAAUUUGGAGAGGAUUAACAAACAAAACCAAUCAAUUUAUAGAUCUUACACUCACGAACAACCUAUUGAAAUUUCUGCCAAUUCUGACAAAGUUUCACUGUCGAAUCUAGACUACAACUUCUCUUCUUCAAAGCAAAGCUUUCUGCCUCCUUUUCUCUGUGACAACAAAUUGCUUGUAUCUCUCUCUCUCUCUCUCUCUUUCUCUCUCUCUUCUAAAUCAACAACAUUUAGCCCUAUCUUUUUAUUUUGUAUUUUUUUUUAAGAUGAUGAGAUGGGCAAGUCUCCCCCUUCACCUCAUGAGGGAAGUUUCAUUAUACCCGCUUUAUCUAUACAAGAAUCAAGUUUCACCAUUGGUAAGACUUUAGUUGUCAUAUCAUAUCUAUUAUCAGUAGUGUAGACUUUCUCAAAUAAAAAGAGUUUCUCUUCUAAUUUAUCUUGGAUCCAAUGACAAGGAUAAGGCAUCAGUCUGGGUAAAGCAACCAGAUGCAUUUGAACAUCACUCUACCUUUCAGCAAUAUGACAAGGAUAAAGCAUCCCUGCAUAAUGAUGUCUUGUAUUUGCACGAAUGGAUUUGGUCUUGUUGGAGGCAAGACCACUCAUCUCAGCGGCUACCAAAGAGUUGAUAUAUCUAGAGCACUAUCAUGAAUCACUCUAUGAGAAUAAACACCCUCUAGGAAUGCCACGGACGAAGCGCCCUGUCCAUCGCCAAUCGCAUGUUGCCUAAGAAUGGACCUAACUAUUAGCAGUAACAGAGCAAAUAGAAAUCUGUUACAGCAAGUAAGCAUUAACCCAGGUAACCAAAGUGGACUCUGCUUUUAGCAACAACUUCUGCAGAUUCCUGAGAACGCAGGCUUGAUUAUUUGUUUCUAGCUUGUUCAAGCCUAAACCACCUUCACAUGUCAUAACUAAGGGUCAUGCUAUAGCAAGUUUGUACUGGUGUUUUAUAUCCCUUCUCAAACGGCGAAAAUACAACAUUGAAAUGGAGAGAUCAGUUUCCCUAUAUGUUGCCUAAUUUGCUUGCAAACCAUAAAUGGUGGAAGUUGAGAUCANNNNNNNNNNNNNNNNNNNNNNNNNNNNNNNNNNNNNNNNNNNNNNNNNNNNNNNNNNNNNNNNNNNNNNNNNNNNNNNNNNNNNNNNNNNNNNNNNNNNNNNNNNNNNNNNNNNNNNNNNNNNNNNNNNNNNNNNNNNNNNNNNNNNNNNNNNNNNNNNNNNNNNNNNNNNNNNNNNNNNNNNNNNNNNNNNNNNNNNNNNNNNNNNNNNNNNNNNNNNNNNNNNNNNNNNNNNNNNNNNNNNNNNNNNNNNNNNNNNNNNNNNNNNNNNNNNNNNNNNNNNNNNNNNNNNNNNNNNNNNNNNNNNNNNNNNNNNNNNNNNNNNNNNNNNNNNNNNNNNNNNNNNNNNNNNNNNNNNNNNNNNNNNNNNNNNNNNNNNNNNNNNNNNNNNNNNNNNNNNNNNNNNNNNNNNNNNNNNNNNNNNNNNNNNNNNNNNNNNNNNNNNNNNNNNNNNNNNNNNNNNNNNNNNNNNNNNNNNNNNNNNNNNNNNNNNNNNNNNNNNNNNNNNNNNNNNNNNNNNNNNNNNNNNNNNNNNNNNNNNNNNNNNNNNNNNNNNNNNNNNNNNNNNNNNNNNNNNNNNNNNNNNNNNNNNNNNNNNNNNNNNNNNNNNNNNNNNNNNNNNNNNNNNNNNNNNNNNNNNNNNNNNNNNNNNNNNNNNNAUUUCUGAUUUGUGCUUAGAAACUCAUGUAUUUGCUUAAAUACAUGGUGGUCUUCUAAUUAUGUUCCAAUGUACACAUCCAAAGGAUAAAACCGAGCUGCCACAAUUUCAAGACAUUCCUUAGGACUCAUCUUAGACGUGAGAAAGUCGGAAGGAAGGAAUUGCUGAUUCAGGAGGAGAAUUGGGCAUAAAACAAUAAAGCACCAAGCAAGUAAAUUAAGAUGCAAAAGAGCCUGACCAAGCACCUUCCUAAGUGGCUCAUUUUUCUCACUUCUUUCAAUUCAAAUUAGAAGAUAUGUGCAAAAGGGAGAACAGGAACGUGGGAGCAAUCAUCACGCGACAAGAUUUGGUGUUUCUACUUCAACAGAUAACAAAACGGUGUGUAUUUUGUCUAGCCAAUUGUCCAGUCGAUCACGUAGUAAAUUUGACCUGUCCAACCAUAUGCAGCAGACCUCAAAUUACCAAUGGAAACCACAACUGCCCAAAAUAUAAAUAAAUAAAUAAAUAACCUAGAUAUCCCAUUUUAAUUCUGCAUGAUGAAGCAAGAAGAGAAGCACUGGCCGCUUCAUUUUCAAUCAUCAAGAACUCAUCACAGGUAAUAAAGAGACGGUGGAUACUUAUUAAAGCGACCAUUAACCAAACUUUAGAAUGUACUUACAGACAAAUUCUUCACGAGAAGAUGUUUAAUAUCCUGUGCACAGGAUUACGCUCAAUCGAGCAGUUCACAAAAGCAUAGCAACAUAACUAGGCUAGGCAUACAGACCCUUAUACAACUAUUAGCAUAUGAAACUAGAGCUACAGCUCAUGCUUAACUACGCAAAAAAUUCCACUCAACUAAACACCAACUGCCACACCAAAAAAACACCCCAAAAAAAGAAAAAAGAAAAAAAGAACACCAACUGCCGCACCUUUCUUACCUGUUCUUCCGCGAUUAGCUAGUGAUCCAGAGCUCGAGUUCAGGCCCAUGACUCCCGCCACUCAUGGAGUUAAUGAAUGCAACCGUUCGAGCCUCAUGUGGCACCAAAUUCCUCCAGCUGAGCGGCACUGAAGAGGAAAGUGUGCACGAGAGUGAAAAGUGGCACUGAAGAAGGACUUGAAGCUCGUGGACAUCGAACUCGAAGCUCACGAAUGAUGAGCUUCAAGCUCGCGGACGACAGAACCUGGGAAAGGAGAGACGACGGCGAACGACAGACUUAAGCUUGCGAGGAGCGAGCAAGGAUUGGGCGCGGAGUCGCCGAGAAGCGAGCGACAGCGAUUUGAUUGAGCAGCGGGAGAAAGGAAUAAGAACCCUAAUCCUAAUUCGAUUCGCGAUUUGAGACCGACCAACCCGCUUCGGUCCUAAAAUCCACUUCAGGCCCUUUUUCCCCUUUCUUUUUUCUUGUUCUUUUGCCGACUCUGUCUCUUUGUUCCUUUUCUUCUCUUUAUUUUUCUGGCCCUGCAGAAGGAAACAAUAAGGUGAGUUGAGAUCUAUUGGGACUACAUUUCUCUUGAGAAAGGCCCUUUUGUUAUAGAUGGUGAGGGAGGUAAGAUACCCAACGUCGCCACCGAAGUAGACACACACAACAUAUGGAGAUUCCCAGUAAGAUGGGGAAUUUUAAUAAGAUUUUCCUUGGUUGCGCGCGUUUUAGAAUCAGUUCACUGUCUCUCUUCACUAGAAUAAAGCAGAAAUAGAAAGCGAGCAAAGCAGAAGAAACAACGAUGAUCUAUGAAUAGAAAGAACGCGCACCGUUUUCUGCAGAAAAUCCCAUGUUUCUGUUUCAGAGUCCGUUGUUUCAGUUUCAGAGUUCCACGCUUGAUUUGCUCCAUUCAGAUUCUACAGAGAAUCCCCUGUUUCUGUUUCAGUUUGAGAGCUCCACGCUUGCUUCGCUCCAUUCAGAAUCUUCUCUCUGUAAGACUUCCAACGGUCACGCCUAAAACCUAAUUCACAAGUCCUACAGUCGGGGAACUCCCCGCUACCUAGUAUGGCUAUCGAGCAAUUAUCUGGUAUUUUUGAGCUCAGUGGAUCAAGAAUCCUUCCCACUGAUCUGCAGUCUCUAAUUUCCAAAUCACCCAAAAACUCUAAUUCAUUAAUGCCCUCGACAACCUUCAGGCUCGGGCACUGGCCAAUCUCUAACCGCUUCAAGUUCUUCGAGUUUGACAAACCACCUAAACUUUUUAACGAAAAGCACUCUUUUACGCAAAAUUCUUCCAAUGAUUCAAACGCAGUAACAAAUUGAAUAUCCUGUACCUCGGCAAACCCUGACAGAAUAAAUUUUACAAGCAUCUUUUGGGAGCUUGGGAAAAGGAAGACUUCCCUCCCAUGAUCAGUCAACUCGGGAGCUUGUGGUUCACUGCACCCCGGCUCCCCCGGCAGACAAACCAACCUCUCAGAAGAUUUGCAAUCCUGAAUACGUGAUCUCUCCGACGAUUCUAAGACAUCUAGAAAUUGAACAUCUAGUUGCUGGUACACCUUGCUUUCUCUCGAUUUUCCCGAACUCGUUGAAAGGAAUAGAGUCUCCUUUUCCGAUGGAGGAAGCCCACCGAGGUGUACUUGUUUCCCUGGAGUUUCGUAGAGCUCUAAAUCUAUCAAGUUUGGAGGAAGUUGUUUGAAAGCUGGCAAGCCUAUUGAUCCAUCGAAGCACAUAAUGCUACGUUGGAUGCUCCCGCAUCACCUAUGCCAUGUACACUAAGUUCUUUCAGCAGAGAAAGCGAAUCCAACUGUGUAGUUGGUGCGCAGACAUUGCAGACAUUUGGAAAGCGAAGGUACAGCUUCCUCAGUUUGGACAGCAUCCCGAUCCACCGCAAGUCACAAGUUUGAAUAACAUUUGAUGCGUUGCUAAAUCUAGAGUGAUUGGAUAGGACCAGCUCAACUAGAUUUGUGAGGUAUGAGAGGUUAGGAAUAGUCAGCAACAAAAUAGAUUCCACCCGUAGAGUGGUCAAACUUAUGGGGAGCUUUGGCCACUCUUGUAUCUCAUGACAAUAAUCCAAGUCCAGUUUGUGGGGUACACGAAACCUGCCCGCCAUAUCGGGCAUUUUUGGAAUUGGUAUCCAUUCUACAUCCAGCUUCGUUAACAACUUUAAUUUUGAAACAGAGCCAAGAAGUUUAAUCAAGCGAUCCCAACCAUCAAAACAGAUGUGCCGCAAAUUCUGUAAUUCUCCAAUUUGUUCAGGCAAUUUUUUAAGUUGCGAACAAUCCUUAAAACUCGAGUCCCUCAGCCAGCGAUCACUUUCCAUCAAAGCAGCAAAUAUAGAAAAUUUCAACUUCUCUAAAUUUGAGCACUCAGAAAAGGUUAGUGUCCCACUCAUCGAAGAACUAUUCUCAAUAGUGAGAACCUUCAAUUUCCUUGCCCCCUACAAAAGCCAAUGAAAGAGCAGGACAAACAAGAAAUAAAUAUGCAUUCAGGGUAACAAUGAGAAAAUUAAAUAAAAAAUCCAUAAAAUUCUGUCCUUCAUUGAAUGAGAAAAUUAGACUAAGAGAGAAACUAGCAUACCUUGAUUAGGCUAUCUAACAAAUCUUUUGUGAUUUCUAUCCCAUAGAGAUUGGCCACAACCACGUUUUCUAGAUGCAACAAAUUGGUUGCCUUCAAACGUUGAUCAUGACGACAGUAACGCAAACGGAUCCAUUUCAACUCAGAAAGACAGCCCGUAAAGUCACCUUGGUAGAUUACAUCAUCCAAACAAAGAAACCGCAGACGUGGAAACCGUUUAAUUUGCUCCGAAGUGACAGAAGUGACAAUACCACGGUGAUAAUAACCCCAUGGCAAAUUGAGUGCUUGAACGCUUGCUUUGAUCUGCCAAUUCGUAGAAGAGGAGAAAAUGAAACAAAAGAGCAGCUCUCAAAUCAAAAAGUGAAUCUUGAAUUAAGAAGAGGGUAUAAGCAAUUUUCCAUUCAAUUUAGGCCAUACUUUACCUCCGUUGAUCUUAAUUCGCGAAUGAUGUCGUCUUCAUCCCACAAUCCGAUACGCUCUUCUCUGGCAAUUUUCCUUCCAAGGUCUCUAAAUUGAUCGUGCAUCCAAAGGCUAUUAUUGUCUAACUCCUUUAUCAUGCAUCUGUUAAUGAGGACAUCCAUGGCAUCCUCUGGGUACAAAUUACAAUCUUUCCACACGUACAUUGGAUUAGUCUUAUUCUUUCCAGCGAAAAAGCAUGCAAUAUCAAGGAAUAUCUGUUUUUCAUUCUGAUCUAAGGCAUCAUAGCUAAUCUUUAGCUUUGCCAAGACAUCCUUAUGAGGUGUUUUCUUUAGCCUCUCUAGCCACUCUUCCCAUAUCUCUCUCUUUUUCCCAAAAAGUGAUGAACCAAUUGCUUGAAGAGCUAAAGGUAGUCCACAUGUAGUAUUGACAAUGCCCUUUGAAAAAGCGCAAUAAUCAGCUGGAGGAGAGUCUUCAUUGAAGGCAUGCCUACUAAAAAGUUUAAGAGCAUCUUUACCGAUCAACCCCAUCAUUUCAUAAUCCUUAAAUUCAUACUUAAGUUUCCUGUUAGUCAAAACAUUCUUGUCCCUAGUGGUAACAAGUAUUCUACUACCUUGAUGCAAAGAUUUCUCUCCGAUUAGUUGUAGGAUCUGGUUGGCCUCAUCAACAUCAUCCAAUACAAUUAGCACCUUCUUGUUGGAAAUUGUUGCUUCAAUCGUAUCAAUCCCUUCAUCAAUCUUAUUAAUUUUGUGAGGCACUCCAGAAUAAGAGAUAUCAGACAAUAAUUUUUUUUGUAGCUCGACCAUGUUCUUGUUUUUUGCCGUUUCCCUCACGUCAUCAAGAAAGCUGCAGUUUCUGCCAAAUCGAGGACAUAGUUCGUUGAAGAUAGUCUUGGCGAGUGUUGUUUUACCAAUGCCACCCAUCCCGUAGAUUCCAAUGAACUACACAUCAUCAAAAUCAAUGUCUAAUAAUUUCUUUAUGUUUGCUAUUUGAUCUUCCAUUCCAACGAAAUCUCCGGUUACACGUCUCCGUUUUGUCUCGAGCUUGGCCACAACCUCGUCAACAAUAGCCUGGAUGAGUUUUAAAGGGCUGCCACAAAGUUGAACAGUUUCAAUUGAGCAAACGUGACAAAUUUGCAUAUUGACCAUCUACUAACCAACCGGGUGGGGACGCGAUCAAGUUCAAAAAUAUAGAAGAGAAAUGUUGAUCUUUACAUCAGGUAGAAGAAUAAGAAUUUCUGGCAAAAAAAAGGGUAGAAGAAUCAAAAUAUAAACAUCUAAUGAAUUAAUGUACUGGAAUAUUUACUUAAAUAACAAAAAUGGCAGCCCGAUUAUACAAGAUAAUUUUCACAAUCAUGGUUAGAUUAUUACCUUGAAUGUUUCUCCACCUCCCAUCCCUUGAUGCCACCAACUUCUAUGAGGGACUCCCGCCACGUCUUUAUAUUCUCGGAGCUGAACUUAUGCUCCCAAUCCUCCAUCUCUUGCUCCAAAUUCGAUAUGACAUCCUUGUAUAACGGUGUUUGCAGCUUCACAUCUUUGGGCUUCACGUCAUAGAAGAUGGGCAAUAUGACCUUCUCUUUCUCAUCUUCUUUAUGUUUAGAGGUGUUCUCCACCAUUUUCGCAAGCUCGUCAAGGCACCAGUGACUUGAUGCAUAAUCUUUGGAGAAGAUGGGUAUGUAAAGCUUGCAAUUGUCAAUCACAUGCAGAAGGUUGCUAAUUUUUUCACCAGGUUGAAGCCCUACGUCAUCGAUGAAAACACGAAUCCCGGCAUCUACCAAGGCUUCGUGGAGGAAAUUGGUGAAUGGAAGACGAGUAUCAGGCCCUCUAAAACUCAGGAAAACUUGGUAUUCACCUCCUACCGUGUUGCUGGUGCUCGUCACUGUCUUUGAGUUUGCCAUAGGAGCUCACUUCGCACUUAACAACGUCAACCCUCUCACCUCGUCUCUGAGUUCGCAAUAUGACAUUUCACAUAUUUGAAUCCGAUCCCAUUUGCCAUCCAAAACGCGGUCAACGCGUGUAGAGUUUUCCGACACGUAGUCAACUUUUUUCGACUCGUCUCGACACGCGUGUCGGAUGGAAGCGAGGGCGGGGGAGGAGAGACGAGGCCGCGAGCGACGGCGAGCCCGCGACGGCGAGAAACCGCCAGAGAAAGAGUAGAGAUUGAGGCGCCAGAGAAAGAGUCGAGACCGAGGCAAGGGCGGCCGUAGAGACUGAGGAGAGGGCGGCCGCAGUGAUGCUGCGGGAUCGGCGACGAGGCUGCACUGCAAGUGAGGAAGGGCCGAAGGCGAGGCGGAGGAGGAGGAGAAGGAUCGAGAGGAAGAGGAGAGGAAGGGGGUUGUAUGGAGGUCGUCCGGCGAGGAGAUGGAGAUGGAUCGAGAGGAAGACCGUGCGGCCAGGGGAAAAAAGUUUCGGUAGCUAGGGUUUUGGAAACUCAAUGGGGUGACAGCCUGUUACGUGCGUGGGGGAGGGGAAAAAAGUGAAAUAAAUUUGGGGUGGACGUGGCAAGGUAGGGAAAAAAAAUUGAAAUAAAUUUAGGAGGGGGGGGGGGAAUAGUCUCUCGUGGGGGAGGGAGGGAAAAAAGUGAAAUAAAUUUGGCAGUGGGGAGAAACUUUGUUUUAAUCGGAAAAAAUAAAUGAAUAAUUUUAAAAAAUAAAAAUACUGAAUUUUAGAUGAUAAUAAAUUUUUAUCAUUGUAAAAAUAUCAUAGAUUUAUUUAAAUAAGUUGAUUCUAAUUUUCAAUGAAUUAAUUUAUUAAUAUUAUUAGUGUAAAUUCAUUGUAGGCUUUUUUUUAAUUAAUUAAUUAAUUAUGAAUUUAAAUAAAAUUAAAUAUAAAUAAAAAUAUUUAUUUAAUAUUUAACGUGUCGGAACGUGUCAAAAUUCUCUACUUUUUGAGAAAUGACGUAUAACGUGUCGUGUCGUGUCGUGUCGCGUAUUGCGUGUCGCGUGUCGGUGCUACAUAGGUUUACAGUCAAUCAAGUUGAUGACUUCAAAAAAAAAAAAAAAAAGGAAAAUGACGAUAAUGGAGACACACCUUUUUACACUCCCAAUGUCCUUCGAGUUUCUUCCUUUGUCCUUUUCACUUUGUGCUUUUGAAAAAGAAAAAUACGGUGGAGGACGAUAAUGGAGGUGCACCUUUUUGCAUGCCCAAUGUCUUUCGAGUUUCUCCUUUGUGCUUUUCACUUUGUCUUAAUCUCUCCGCCUUGAAAACUUACCUUCAAUUAUAACCAAUUUCCUUUAACAACUCAAUUAUUGUCGUAAAAUGUGCCUUUAUAUUAAAAGGUGAAUGAUCAUUUAUUUCCUACUAACAACUAUUAGAAUGUGAGCAUGGUGUAGUUAGUGCAGUGUGGAUGUCAAAUCAAACCAAACUAUAUAAGUAUAUUUUGAGUUUGAGCACCUUGGAUGAAAUAGGAUCACAUGAGAAUUAUAGGCGCUCGGCCACUGUUCAAAAUUGGUGAGAGGAAGUGCAGUGAUGGCUUGUCAGUGGCCAUGAUCCCAGUCCAUUGCGGUAUUGCUUUGAGCACGAAAGAAAGAAAGGGCCUGUUUGGUUCAGCAUUGCAAAUGCUUAUUUGGACUCUAAAGUCCUUUGGCCAAAUGCAAACGCGUUUGGUUCGUAUUUUUGCGCGACUUUGGUAAGAUGCAAUUGCAUCUCCAAAGGAGUCUAAAGGCCUUUAGCCCAAUGGAGGUCUUGAGGUGCAUUGGCAAGUUGUAUCCUGGGAAUGCAAAUAGCUCGAUUACUGUUCAUCUUCUCCAACCUCUCCAAACUGCUGAUUGGAGGCCGACGACCACCGGCGAAGGGAUGGCGCGCGCCGGCGACCGCCGCCUAAGGGUCACCCGACCCCGGCGACCGUCGCCUGGGGUCGCCGGACCUCAGGCGACGCCCGGAUCUCGCGACCCAGGCGUCGCUGCCCAAAUUACUACCACUAUGUUAGGUAAUCACACGUCGAUUUCAGAAAAAAAAAAAAAUAACGCAAGUAAGUGAUCCACCUAGACUAAAUAUAAUAAUAAAAUAACAUAAUCGGGAGAACACAAUAGAAAUUUUAUCAUCAAAAUUCACCCAAACCUAGGCUAUGUUUCCACACAAAGGUACUCUGCAAUUCCAUUAGACUUUGAAAAAAAUUGAACUACAAUAAUGAUUUUCUCUCAAGAUUGAGGUACAUAUAGAUUAAGAACUCUCACAAAUAAGAAACUCACUUUUUUCUUCUCUCUAUUUUCUUUUAUAGUUCCUUGAUGGCUAGCAUUUGACUAUCGCUGAUAUAAAGUGUAGCUUUUAACCUAAAAGAAAAACUAAUUGAAAAGACAAAAAAAGCCCCUAAAAAAAAUUGGCUUCACCCCCCGACAAUCUCCCACUUGAAGCACUAUGCAACUUAGCAUCCAUCUACAUCAAAAUCUAGUAACUAAAAUUUGUGCAUUUGCGAUACUCCUCAUCAAUUAGGAUAGAGUAAUACCAAUCAUAAUAUUGACACCUAAAUUUCGAAUGUUCAUAUAGGUUUUUAUUGCAUAGAAAAUUAGGGAAUAAAUUUUAACUCAUAAACAAAAACAGUUUACACCUAAAUUGCAUAGCAUAUAGACAUUAGGAGGAUUUGCAUUAAGAUGUACAGAAUUUAUAAGGAAAAAUAUUUUAAAAAGAGGAAAAAGAGAAAAAAAAUUAAUUAAUUAAAAACUAUUAUUUAAAAAAAAAGAAAAAAAGCGAGAUCGGGCUAGGGACAGGCCGGCCAGCCUUCUUUCUUUUUCUUUUCUACCUCUUCUUUUUGCCUAGGCCCAGCCCGGCCCACUUUUCCUUUUCUUUUCCUUUUCUUUUCCCCAAGCCCAGCCUCUUCCUUCAUCUUCUCCCUCACGCUCUCACGCGUUCUGCAAAAAAGAAAAAGGAGGACGAGGGAUGGAAGCAGAGGCGGGACGGGGAGUGAGGAGCGCGCCUUUUGGGUCGGGAGCACCGGAGCAGGCCGGCACGGGGAGCUGGCGGUGGCAGAGGCAAUGCGCGCCUGCCGGGCGUUAGAGGGGGAUUCUGGGGGCUCGGGCGGAGGGAGAAAUGGACGGAGAGAGAAAGGGGGAGAUAGAGGGGAUCCGGCCGAGAGGGAGACCGAGAGUGAGAGAGCAGAAAAUUCGCUCCGGCUGAGCGCCGUUCGGCCAUCCUCGACACAAACCGGCGUCCCCUAGCUGUUACACGGCGUCCGAUUUUUGGUGAGUUGAGUUUCGGUUUCGAUCCGCCGUUUUCCCGUGGUUCCCGGCUUGGCGAAACUGAGAUGGCCGGCUAUAAUUCGAUUGCAUUGAGACCGGCUUCUGGCUGUCGUCCCAAAUCCGGGUAAGGCCCCCGCGGUUGCGCGCUCCGGCGCCCCUUUUUUGUCCUUUCCUUACUGCUCUGUUUUUGCCCUAUUUCGGGCACGCCGGGCCAGAGCUCGCGGCCGUCUGGCUCACGCGUCCGGCCCCUUCGCCCCUGUGUUUUGAUAUUGUCGGUCUGGUGGGUCGUAUGUCGAGGGGACUGUGCGAGUUUGAGUCCCGGCUGAGCCAGGAGACCCUCGUUCAGUAUCGCACGCCACCCGCUCGAUGAAAUGCCUCAACGAGAUCUGAUUUUCGUCUCCUCCUCUUUUUGCCGAAAUCAAGUCGUACGGACUGUUGUGUUCUAUUGCUAUGUCCCUGUGAUGUUUUCCGAUACGGGCACGGCCGUUUGGUCGCUUCACUGCCCCCACCACCGUGGUCGUCUACUUUGUUUUGUGUUUGGCUUUGUGGCCGACGAUAAUGGAGGCUUGUUACUGUGUUUCGGCCAUGCUGGCCGACGCCAAGUGUCCAGAGCCAUUGGAAUUAGAGCACGGUCAGGCCGAGGGCGACAAUGUCGUCAGCUCACGGCCAUUUGGAGAAGACGGUGGCAGCGGGAGGUCAGAAGGAAUUAGGUUAGAAGGCUUACUUAGGUUUGAUUAGCAUGGGCUGAAGUUAGUUUAGUGGGUUUAGGUUCGUUUCUGUUUUCACGAAGAAAAUAUUCAGUAGUUUGCUCUCACCACGUCAUCAGCUGAUGUGGCGAGCAUUUUUCGCUCUCAUCCAAUAACAACUCGACACGUGUAUGAUGAUGUGGAAUUAAUCACAAAAAUUGAAAACUUCAUUUCUCUCUUCCUCUGCCAUGGCGGCGUGAUCGUUGCCACCACCCAAGCCACUGCAACCUCCAUCCUGGAGCCCUCUGCAUCGCCGUGGCUGUCUCACCCUUGCCGUCAAGGUUUGCAGCCAUGGACAAUUCACGGUCAUCAGAUCUGUGAAUGAGGCGCCUCGGAGCCAUGGACAAGCAAAGCUUGCGGCCAUGGAUGAUGGAGGACCCCUUCCGACGUCGCUCGCGGUCGGCUCGAGAAGCCCUUUCGGCUCCGUCUUUUUCUAUUUUUCUCCAACCUCCAGAUCUGGGACCACAUCCUUCGUCCAUGGCUACUGUCAGUUUCGCUGGCCUCGUUCUCCAAAUCUCCAGAUCUAGCCAUUCAUGGCUGAAAGCAUUCGGGCAUCGAGGAAGUCGAACAGGGGAAGACGAAGUUGAAGACAAACGAACAAAGGAAGGCAAAGCCAAAGACAAACAGAGAAAGACGAAGCUGAAGACCAAAUCUGGAGCCACAGUGACAGCUUGCCGAAGCUACCAAAUCUAGUGCCAUGGUGAAAGCAGGAAGAUGAAGCGACUAGAUCUGGCCGAUGACCCGAAGAUGAAGACGAGCAGACGCUGGGAAAAAGACGAAGCCGAAGACGGAAAGGGUGACUCGGUUUGGAUGUGCAAUUGGCCUGAACACGGCGUUGACGCCGACAAUAGCGGGAGGUGUGGAGGUCAAGCCCAAGAGGUGGUGUGGACGGAGGAGCAACAAAGGAGGAAGAGAGGGAAAGUGGUGGAAUGAGAGAAUUUUUAUUUUUUAUUUAAUUCCAUAUCAACAAAUACGUGUCAAGCUGUAAUUGGAUGGAAGCAAAAAAAUGCUUGCCACGUCAGCUGAUGACGUGGUGAGAGCAAACGUCGAAUAUUUUCUCGUUUUCAUGGGAGUAAAAAAGUGUAUUGGUUUUGGGGUCAACUAGGAUUUAUUAAGCUUGGAUCUAGUUUUAGUUAUAUUUGGACCAGUGAUUUUCGGGUCUGAUUUGCAUUAGGGUGUGUUUAUUUCACGAAAACUUAAUAAUAUAAGUAGUAAAAUAUUUUCUAGUAAUAUGGUUAGUUUUCCUUUAUUUGGUAAUAUAUAAUUGAAAAUGUUUUUCAAUGCUUGGAUAUUAUUGCAAAAUGAUUUCAAUAUCAUUACUUUAUUUCAAGCAAAAAAAAAAACAUUUUUUAAUUUUUAUAAAAAAAAAUUGAAAAUUUAAUUAUUUUAUUUUUCUCUUUUUUAUAUUUAUAUUUUUUUUCAAAAAAUCGAAUUUUUUAUUUUUUGUAAUAAAGAGACAGUGGAUUCUCAUUAAAGUGACCAUUGUCCAACCAUAGAAUAUACUUAUAGAUAAACUCUUCUCGAGAAGAUGCUCAACAUCCGGUGCACAUGAUUGCACUCAAUCAAGCAGUCCACAAAAACAUAGCAACAUAACUAGACUAGGCAUUCAGAUAGUCAAACAAAUGCAAGAAAGCAGACCCUUAUACAACUAUUACCUUAUGAAGCUAGGGGUAGAGCUAGAGCUUGAGCUCAUGCUUAAAUACUCAAAGAUAAAUCACACAAUUACAUUCAACUAAACACCAACUGCCACCCCAUUCUUACCCGUACUUCAGCAAUUAGCUGGUGAUCCACAGCUCGAGUUCAGGCCCGUGACUCCCGCCAUUGAUGGAGUUAAUGAAUCCACCAAAUUCCUCCAGCUGAGCGGCACUGAUGAAGAAAAUGCGCACAAGAGUGAAAAGUGGCAUUGAAGGACUUGAAGCUCAUGGACAUCGAACGAUGGACUUGAGUUUGCGAGGAGCGAAUGAGGAUUGGGCGCAGAGUUGCCGAGGAUGAGCGACAGCGAUUUGCUUGAGCAGCAGAUCGACUUAACCACCUCAUUCCGAAAAUACAGUUGAGGCCCUUUUUCCCUUUUCUUUUUUCUUGUUCUUUUGCUGUCUCUAUCUGGCUCUCUCUUUUCUCCUCUUCAUUUUGCCGACUGUCUUUCUCUUCCUUUUCUUCUCCUUAUUUUCCUGGUUCUGCAGAUAAGAAACAAUAAGGUGAGUUGAGGCGAGGUCUCUUGGGCCUAAAUUUCUCUUAAGAAAAGCCCUUCUGUUAUAGAUGGUGAAGGAUGUAAUAGCCCUAACCUCACCACCGAAGUGGACACGCGCACGCACGCACACGGAGCAUAUGGAGAUUCCCAGUGCGAUGAGGAAUUUUAAUAAGAUUGUCCUUGUCGUUUUAGAAUCAGUUCAUUGUCUCUCUUCAUCAGAAUAAAGCAGAAAUAGAAAGCAAGUAAAGCAGAAGAAACGGCGAUGAUCUAUGAAUAGAAAGAAGGCGUACUGUUUUCCGUAGAGAAUCCCCUGUUUCAAUUUCAAAGUCCGUCCCGUACUCUGAUCUAUUCAGAAUCUUCUCUCUGUAAGACUCCCAAGUGGCGUAAGAAUGAGAUGGACCACUAUCGAGUAACUUCCCACUACAUACUAUGAUUAUCAAGCACUUAUUUGGUAUUUUUGAGCUCGAUGCAUCAGAAAUCCUUUCCAUUGAUUUGCACCCGUUAAUUUCCAACCGAUUCAAAAACUCUAAAUCGUCAAUGCCCUUGAUAACCUGCAGGCUCGGGCACCGGUCAAUCGUUAACCACUUCAAGAUCUUCAAGUUUGACAAACUGCCUAAGCUUUUUAGGCACAAAACGGAAGCACCAAGGAAGUAAAUUGAGAUGUACAACUACCUAACCAAGCACCUUGCUACAAAGUGGCUCACUUUUCUCUCUUCUUUCAGUUCAAAUCAGAAGAUCGGUACAAAACGGAGAACAGGAACACGGGAAUAAUCAAGAAGCGAGAAGAUCUGGUGUUUCUGCUUCAACAGAAAACAAAGCCGCGUGUACUUCGUCCAACCAAUUGUCUAGUUGGUCACACAGUAAUUUGAACUGUGGAAUCCCGAAAACUCUGGGUUGCACCCAUGAAACGCAUGAUUUUCCCUCAACUUGAUCGAUUAUGCCCUCAAUAAGAUGAAUCUGAGUUGAGAUUCUAAAUGUUUAGACUCUGUAAAAUAAGGUAAAUACUUGAAUAUCAGUUUUCCAUUACGUAUGCUAGAGCAGAGAACAUGCAAGCAAUUACAAAAUCCAGACUGCGUACGCAAAAAAGGAAAUUGUACUCCAGAUAUAUAGCAACAGCACACUGACACAUAUCCAAAGCUCUUCUAUUCUCACACCAGAAAUAGUGGCGAAGGACAAUCUACAAGCAUGAAUAACUCAAAAGUAAUCAUCUUUUACAAUCCCCCCUCCCCCCACCAAUUAUGAAACAUAGCAUCAACAUUAAAGGAAUAAAAAGAAAUGCUGAUUCACAUCAUCCCCCACUUGUUGCAUGAAGCUAUUUAUGGUUGACAGCAGCCAGUUUAGGCACAUUCUGUGCAACCACCCACAAACUUCUAGUCCCUUCAACCAUAUGCAGCAGACCUCAAAUUACCAAUGGAAAAUACGACUGCUCAAGAAGAGAACCAAGAAGAGAAGCACUGUUCGCUUCAUCUUCAAUCAUUAAAGCCCCUAACAGGUAAUAAAGAGACAAUGGAUACUCAUUAAGAAGAUCAUUAUUCAAACCUUAGAAUAUACUUAACAGACAAACCCUUUGUGGGAAGACGCUCAACAUCCUGCGUAGAAAGUUUUGUGCGCUCUGCAAUAACAUUCAUGGGAAUGGUUCGAUUCUUAGAUGGUCAACUACAAACAUCUACAUCGCCAUUCUUCAACGAAGCUGUAAACUCUGUUUCCCAAAUUUUGUAACUCUCUAAUCUUAAGUCAGCCCACCAAAAUACCCAUAAUUCUUGUAAUACCCCAACUAACAGAUGCACAACAUGCCGGCACAUGAUUUCACACCAUCGAGCAGUCCACAGAAGCAUAGCAACAUAAAUAAACUACGAAGCUAUUACCUUAUGAAGCUAGAGCUCGAACUCAUGCUUCACUGCACAAAGAUAAUUCACACGAUCACAUUCAACUAAACACCAACUGCCACGCUACUCGUACCUGUUCUUCAGCGAUUAGCUGGUGAUCCGGAGCUUGAGUUCAGGCCCAUCCGUCCUGCCACUGGUGGAGUUAAUGAAUGCAAUCAAUGGAGCCUCAUGUAGCACCCGAAUUCAUCCAGCCGAGUGGCACUGAAGAGGAAGACUCGAAGCUCGCGGACAUGGAACUUGAAGCUCACGAUGGAACCUGGGAGAGAAGAGAGACAGCGGACGACGAACUGAAGCUUGUGAGGAACGAGCGAGCAGCGGCGAGGGCUGGGUGAUAGAGAUUUGCUUGAGCAGCUGGAAGAGAGGAGGAAGAAGAAAACGUGAAGGAGAAGCCUAAUCGCUGGUGCACGUUAAAAGAAAUGGAAAGCAAAUAAAGCAGAACAGUCAUGAUCUAUCAAUAGAAAGAAAGGCGCACCAAGGAUCCCCUCUUCAUGUUUCGGAGUUGCUGGUUUCACAGAAUCCGAAUUCAUUCCGAAUCUUCUCUCUUAAAGACUCCCGAUUGCCGCAAUAAGCAAACCAAUUGCCGUGUGGGCUCCAACUAGAUCUUAUGUCCAUCUGGCAGUCAUUCGGUAUUUUUGAGCUCGAUGCAUUUCCCCAUAUCGCAUAACUCCCCACGAAAUCUCAACAGCUGCAAAAACUCAAAUUCGUGGAUGCCCUCCACACGGCGCAGCUUCUCGCAGUCUUUAAUAUGUAACCUCUUCAAUUUCUUCAAGUUCGACAAACCUUUCAUCAUUCCUAAUGAACCACACCUUUCAACAGUAAAUACUUCCAAUAAUUCCAACGGAGAAACAAAAUUGAUAGCUCCUACCUCCUCGCAACUCUCCAUAUGGAACUCUCGAAGCAUCUUCAGGGAGCUUAGGACAAGGAGUUUUUUAUCGAGAGGGCAACCAUCAAGUCGCUCGUGCACCUCUUUUUUUCUUAAUUCUUCCGACGGAGGUAACCCACUGAGAUGUACAAGUUUCACUCCAGGGCAGGAGAGCUUUAAAACUAUCAAGGUUGACGGAAGUUGUAAGAGGGUUCCGAAGUUUAGUCCAAAUAGAGUAAGUUCUUUUAGCAAAUAAAGGGAACCCAACUCCGUAGUUGGUGCACGGACAUACCAUAAGCACAAGUGCAACUUGCGCAAUUUGGAUAACCUCCCAAUCCACCUCAAGUCACCGCUUGGAAUUUCAUUUGAUGUGGACAACCCACUGCCAGAGCCAUCAGAUACGAAUAAUUCAACUAGAUUAGUAAGGUUUGAGAGGUUAGGGACAAUCAUCAAUGAUUUAGAUAUCAGUCGUAGAGUGGUAAAAUUUCUGGGGAGCUCCGACCAUUCUCUUAUCCUAUGACAAUAUUGCAAGUUCAAUGUUUGGAGGUGACGCAAUUUGCUCAUUAUACUAGGCAGUUCUACAAUUGGUGUGUGUGAUACUUUGGUAAAGGACGGGCUACAUUGUCGAUCAAUGAAACCUAGUAAUCUUGUUCUGCAUGAUAUAUCUACCUUCGUCGACGACUCUAAUUUCGAAACUGAAUCUAGGAGCUUGCUCAAGCUAUUGCAUUUAUAAAUAGAGAGGUGUCGAAGAUUCUGUAACUCUCCAAUUUCUUCAGGCAAUUUUUCAAGUUUCGGACAUGACUUAAUACUCAAGUCAAUCAGCUACCUCAUUUUUCCAAUAGAGUGGUCAAUUCCCUUCAAAGAUGGACAAUGACAAAUAGUCAACUUCUCUAAAACUAAGUACUCUAGAAAGGUUGGUGUCCCAUGUAUCGAGUAAUUACUUUCAAGAGUGAGAACCUUCAAUUUUAUUGCCCCCUACAAAAGCAAAUCAAACAUUAGGACAAACAAUUAGAUGUCUAUACAAGAAAAAAAUAAUUAUGAAAUUAGGCUCCCAACUGGGAUCAUAUGUCAUCCGAUCCUCUCACUAACUGAGAAAAUUAUACUACAAAUCCAUCAAAUUAUGUCCUUCAUUGAAUGAGAAAAUUAGAGCAAGAGAGAAAGUCACGUACCUUGAUUAGGUAACUGAUCUCAUCUUUGCUGAGGUCAGAGGAACGAAUAUUCAUCACAACCACGUUUUCUAGACCCAAAUUGAAUUGCGAAUCAAGUUCUCCAGAAUGACCUGUUUUGCCCGUCAAAAUGAUCCAUCUCAACUUGGGAAGACAGCCCGUGAAGUCACCUUCGUAGACUACGCCACUCAACCAAAGAAACUUGAGACGUGAGAACCGCCUAAGUUGCUCUGCUAUGAUGGUUGUAGGAUUGCUAGAGGUCGUUCGCAAAUAGAGUGCUUGGACGCUUUCCUUCAUCUGCUAAUUACAUUGAGGAGCAGGAGCAGGAAUUUGUCAAUAAUCCUACAAUUUAAUUUGUCCAAGGGAAGAAAAAAAUUGAAUAGUAAAGUAGCUAUCAGUUCAAAAACGUGAUUAAAUCCUAAAUUAAGAACAUGGUAAGCAAUUUUCUAUACGAAUGUGGUCAUACUUCACCUCUAUUGAUCUUAAUUCGCAAAUUAUGUCAUCUUCAUUCCACAACCGGGUACGGUCUUGCAUAGCAAUUGCCCUUCCGAGAUCUCUACAUUGAUCAUGCAUCCAAAUUUCAUCUUUUUCUAAAACCUUUAUCAUGCACCUAUUAAUAAGGACAUGAAUAGCAUACUCCGCCUUAAACCCACAAUAUUUCCACUGGUAGAUUAGAUCGGCCUUUUUCCAACCAAUGAAAAAGCAUGCAAUAUCGAGAAAUAUGUGUUGUUGAUCCAGCUCUAAGGCAUCAUAGCUAAUCCUUAGCUUUCCCAACACAUCCCUAUGAGGUGUUUCCCUUAGCUUCUCUAGCAUCUCUUCCCAUAUUGUUUCCUCUUUCUCACCAAAAAGCAAUGAACCUAUAGCUGUAAGAGCUAAAGGUAGUCCACCCGUAGUUGAGACAAUGCUUUCGGAAAGAGUGUAAUAAUUGGUAGGAGGAGAGCUAUCAUCAAAGGCAUGCCUACUAAAAAGCUGGAGUGUCUUUUUUGCUCAACCCCUCCAUUUCGUAACACAAGAUUUUAUACUUAAAUCCCCUGAUUUUUAGAACACUUUUGUCCCUAGUGGUAACAAGUAUCCUAGUACCAGAACACAGAGUUCACUUCAAUUAGUUUUUGGAUUUGGUUGUCCUCAUCGAUGUCAUCCAAUACAAUUAGCAUCUUCUUGUUGCAAAUUGCUUGUCCAAUCAUAGUGAUCCCCCGAUUUAAGUUAUCAAUGUUAAGAUCCAAUCUAGAAUUGGAGAUAUCGGACAAUAAUUUUUUUUGCAACUUGACCAACGAGCCCUUGGCUUUUUCCAUUUCCCUCACAUCUUCAAGAAAGCUGCAAUUUUUCCCAAAGCAAGGACAUAGUUGGUUGAAGAUAAUUUUGGCAAGUGUUGUUUUACCGAUGCCACCCAUCCCGUAAAUUCCAAUGAGCUGAACGCCACCGGAAUCGACGUCUAAUAAAUUAUUUAUGACUGUUAUUCGAUCCUCCAUUCCAACUAAAUCUUUGGUCACUUGUCUUUGCCUUGUCUUGAGCCUGGUCACCACCUCCUAACAANNNNNNNNNNNNNNNNNNNNNNNNNNNNNNNNNNNNNNNNNNNNNNNNNNNNNNNNNNNNNNNNNNNNNNNNNNNNNNNNNNNNNNNNNNNNNNNNNNNNAGUUUGAAUUGAAAAAGGCAACAAAUUUGCAUGUUGAUCAACUAUCUACUAAGAAACCAAGUGGGAGCACGGCCAAGUUUAGGAUAUAUAAAAAUUCAACAUUACCCCCAAAAGCUUCGGGAACAUGAUGAAUUACAAACUUCAACAUCCAUUACAAGUUUAAGUUAAAGGAAUAGAACAAGAGAUAUGUUUGAUCUUUAUAUCAAGUAGGAGAAUCAAAAUUGUCGGCAAAAAAAAGUGGUUUAAUAAAAAUAUAAACUUUUGAUGAACUAUUGUGAUAGCAAAUUUACUCACUUCUUUCAACAUGGAAAAGAACUUUGCAAAGGCAAAGUUCCUUAAUCAAAGUCAAAUUAGUAUGCAAUAAAAAUCUUUAAGACAUACAUGGAUCAAAUUGGGAAAAUUGUCGAAAAAGCCUUAAACCUAAUGUACUUUUGUCAAUUCAGUCUUAAACCUUUUAACGUUGCCAAUUUAAUCAUAAACCUUUUCACUUCUUCCCAAUUCAGUCUAUCCAACCAAUUUUGGUCGGAAAAUGCUGAUGUGGAUGCCGACGGUGCCACGUCAACGCUGACGUGGAUACUUUUUAAUAAUAUUUUAAUAUUUUUUGAAUUAUUAUUUUUUUCUGUUUUUUUCCCCUUUUUUUUUUUCUUCUUUUCCUUCGUUUCUUUUUGGCUUUCUUCUUUGCCUUUUCCGAUGGUCGGCCACCAGCCACAGGCGACAACCAGCCAGCCAUUGACCACCGCCAGCCAGCCGGCCUCGCUCGCCAUAGGCGAGGCCUCGUCGGGCGAGGAGGAGCCCCGAUGAGGGGAGCCCUCACCUAGGCACGGCAAGGCCGACACUUGGCUGCACGAGGGCAAGCCCCGGCUGACAGCCAGCGACACCGCCCUACCCUAGGCGCCCGUCGGCCUCGCCUAGGCAACCCUUGCCGGGCCGCACCUGGGCUAGGGCUCCUCCUUGCCUAGCCAGGCCUCGCCUAUGGCGGGCAAGGCCAGCCAGCUGGUUGUGGCCGAUGGUCGGCCGUCCCCUGUGGCCGAUGGCUGACCACCGAAAAAGGCAAAGAAAGCCAAAAAGAAAAGAAAGAAAAGAAAAAAAAAUAGAAAAAUAUUAAAAAUUCAAAAUAUAUAUUAUUAAAAACUAUCCACGUUAGCGCCGGCAGUCCUACAUGGCACCGCCGGCAUCCACAUCAGCAUUUUCCGGCCAAGUCGGAUAAAUCAGCAAUAAGUGAAAAUGUUUAAAACUGAAUUGACAAAAUUAAAAUGUUUAUAACUAAAUUGGCAAAAGUGUAAUAGAUUUAGGAUUUUUUGGACAAUUUUCUAGAUCAAAUUAGUAUAAAGAAAGAAGCAAAGCCAAAUUUUCAUAUGAGGAAUAUUAGGUGAAAAACAAAAUCAUAACAACCCAAUUAGGUCAAAUAAAUUUGGAAAUCUCAUGACUUAAAACAACAAAAGAAAAUUUUGAAACUUUUUGUUUAAAUUUAGGGAAAUUAGAGUCGGACGAUAAUUGGUGAAUUUUAUGAGAACCAUGGCUUGAUUGUACAGAAUAAUUUUCAAAAUCAUGGUUAGAUUGUUACCCCGAAUAUUUCUCUAGUUCCCAUCCCUUGGUGCCGCCAACUUCUUUAAGAGCUUGGCACCACGUCUCUGCAUCCUUGGAGCUGAACUUCUUCUGAUCCUCCAUCUCUUGCUUUAAUUUCGAUAUAACCUUUCCAUACAACAUGGUUUUCAGCUUCACGUCAUAUGGAUUCACAUCAUAGAAGAUGGGUAAUAUGACCUUCUUCUCAUCUUCUUUAGAUUUAGAGGUGUUCUCAACCAUCUUCGCAAGCUCGCGGAGGCACCAACAACUUGAAGCGUAAAUUUUGGAAAAAAUAGGUAUGUUGAGUUUGGAAUCGUUGAUCGCUUGUAGAAGGUUGCCUCUAAUUCUUUCACCCAAUCGAAGCUCUUCGUCAUCGAUGAAAACAUGAAUCCCGGCAUCUACCAAGGCAUGAUAGAGGCUGCUGGUGAAUCCACGACGAGUAUCUAACCCUCUAAAACUCAGGAACACCUGAAACUCGCUUCCUGUAGUAUUGCCGCUGCUUGAUCUUAUCUCUGAGUUCGCCAUAGGAACUCAAUUCGCACGCGCACUUAGCAAAGUCAACCCCCCCGGCACGCGCAAUUAGCAAAGUCAACGCCGCCAACCCCUACGCCGGGGGACUUCUAGGCAAUUUCGGAUAAAGUCUUGUGGCUCUCGAUUGCAAUCAGAAGACUUUCGACCGGACUUUUUGGCAAAAAUAAUAAUACAUUCAGUGAUGGUGAGAGCUUUUAUUACAUUAUUAAUGUGAAAGCUUCUCCACCAGAUCAUCCUCCCUCAAAAAUUUACAAAAAGAGAACCCGUGCAUUACAUUAGAAAAAGGAAAAAUGGUUAAUUAUAUGAUAUAAACGAUGAAGCCCGAUGCCACUUUCGUUAGUUAGAGAUACCAUUUUGGAGGUUUGUAUUGCGUGGCUCACGGAGUUUAAUUGAAAAUUUCACGGACAAAAACUCUUAAUUCCAUUCGACAUAAAAAAAAACACGUCAAGGCAACUUUCAUCAUUCUUAAUGAACCGCACCUUUCAACAGUAAAUACUUCCAAUGAUUCCAACGUGUUGGGAAUAACCGAUUCCCUAAAAUCGAUCUGACAAUAAAUCGAAUCCCUGAAAUGAAUGCGAAAGACGAGCCCGGGAAUUACAUGUAUCACCGAUCAAAGAUAUACCACGAAAUCGAACAUACCUUAUUUGUCACAGACUGAUGUAGUUCGAGGAAGAAUCCUGAUCCCGUUCUACCGAAAAGCGUGCUUUCGCUAUUUGGGGGAGAAAAAACAUUGUUUUGAGGGUACUGUUCUCUUAGGUUUUUUAGAGGGAGAGAGAGACAAAAAACAAUGUAUGUAAGUUGAAGGGGCACAUUCCCUUUUUGUUUUCUCUCUUACAUCUUCUCUAACAGACAUAACUCUUCAACGUAAAACAUUCCCCCAAAAGACACAACUCCUCAUUCUAAACAACGUAGCCUUUCACAUUGCAACCGUUCCUCCAUGGGCCCUUAUCUUGUGGGCCGGGCUUUUAGGCCCAACAUAGGCAGACAAGCCCACUUAGGCCCGUCAUCACAUAUAAAAAAACCCAUCACAACGGAGACACAAAAUCAAUAGCUCUUACCUCCUCACAACUCCUCAUAUGGAACUCUCGAAGCAUCUCCAGGGAGCUUAGGACGAGGAGUUUUUCAUCGAGAGGGCAACCAUCAAGUCGCUCGUACACCUCUUUUUUUCUUAAUUCUUCCGAUGGAGGUAGCCCUCUAAGAUGUAGAAGUUUCACUCUAGGGCAGGAGAGCUUUAAAACUAUCAAGGUUGACUGAAGUUGUAAGAGGGUUCCGAAGUUUAGUCCAAAUAGAGUUAGUUCUUUCAGCAGAUAAAGGGAACCCAACUCCGUAGUUGGUGCACGGAAAAAACAUAAGCACGAGUGCAACUUGCUCAAUUUAGAUAACCUCCAAAUCCACCUCAAGUCACCGCUUGGAAUUUCAUUUGAUGUGGACAACCCACUGCCAGAGCUAUCAGAUAGGAACAAUUCAACUAUAUUAGUAAGGUUUGAGAGGUUAGGGACAGUGAGCAAUGAUUUAGAUAUCAGUCGUAGAGUGGUCAAAGUUUUGGGAAGCCAAACUUUUUAGGAGCUCCGACCACUCUCUUAUCUUAUGACAAUAUUGCAAGUUCAAUGUUUGGAGGUGAAGCAAUUUGCUCAUUAUACUAGGCAGUUCUACAAUUGGUGUGUGUGAUACUUUGGUAAAGGACGGGCUACAUUGUCAAUCAAUGAAACCUAGUAAUCUUGUUCUGCAUGAUAUAUCUACCUUCGUCGACGACUCUAAUUUCGAAACUGAAUCUAGGAGCUUGCUCAAGCUAUUGCAUUUAUAAAUAGAGAGGUGUCGAAGAUUCUGUAACUCUCCAAUUUCUUCAGGCAAUUUUUCAAGUUUCGGACAUGACUUAAUACUCAAGUCAAUCAGCUACCUCAGUUUUCCAAUAGAGCGGUCAAUUCCCUUCAAAGAUGGACAAUGACAAAUAGUCAACUUCUCUAAAACUAAGUACUCUAGAAAGGUUGGUGUCCCAUGUAUCGAGUAAUUACUUUCAAGAGUGAGAACCUUCAAUUUUGUUGCCCCCUACAAAAGCAAAUCAAACAUUAGGACAAACAAUUAGAUGUCUGUACAAGAAAUAAAUAUGAAAUUAGGCUCCCAACUGGGAUCAUGUCAUCCGAUCCUCUCACUAACUGAGAAAAUUAUACUACGAAUCCAUCAAAUUAUGUCCUUCAUUGAAUGAGAAAAUUAGAGCAAGAGGGAAAGUCACGUACCUUGAUUAGGUAACUGAUCUCAUCUUUGCUGAGGUUAGAGGAACAAAUAUUCAUCACAACCACGUUUUCUAGACCCAAAUUGGUUUGCGAAUCAAGUUCUCCAGAAUGACCUGUUUUGCCCGUCAAAAUGAUCCAUUUCAACUUGGAAAGACAGCCCGUGAAGUCACCUUCGCAGACUACGUCACUCAACCAAAGAAACUUGAGACGUGGGAACCACCUAAGUUGCUCUGCGGUGAUAGUUGUAGGAUUGCUAGAGGUCGUUCGCAAACAGAGAGCCUGGACGCUUUCCUUCAUCUGCUAAGGCAAAGUUCCUAAUCAAAGCCAAAUUAGUACGCAAUAAAAAUCUUAAAACAUACAUGGAUCGAAUUAGUAUAAAGAAAGAAGCAAAGCCAAAUUUUUAUAUGAGGAAUAUUAGGUGAAAAAAAAAGUCAUAACAACCCCAUUUCGUCAGAAAAAUUUUGAAAUCUCAUCACUUAAAACUACAAAAGAAAAUUUUGAAACUUUUUGUUUAAAUUUAGGGAAAUUAGAGUUGGACAAUAAUUGGUGAAUUUUAUGAGAACCAUGGCUUGAUUGUACAGAAUAAUUUUCAAAAUCAUGGUUAGAUUGUUACCCCGAAUAUUUCUCUAGUUCCCAUCCCUUGGUGCCGCCAACUUCUUUAAGAGCUUGGCACCACGUCUCUGCAUCCUUGGAGCUGAACUUCUUCUGAUCCUCCAUCUCUUGCUUUAAUUUCGAUAUAACCUUUCCAUACAACAUGGUUUUCAGCUUCACGUCAUAUGGAUUCACAUCAUAGAAGAUGGGUAAUAUGACCUUCUUCUCAUCUUCUUUAGAUUUAGAGGUGUUCUCAACCAUCUUCGCAAGCUCGCGGAGGCACCAACAACUUGAAGCGUAAAUUUUGGGAAAAAAUAGGUAUGUUGAGUUUGGAAUCGUUGAUCGCUUGUAGAAGUUGCCUCUAUUCUUUCACCCAAUCGANNNNNNNNNNNNNNNNNNNNNNNNNNNNNNNNNNNNNNNNNNNNNNNNNNNNNNNNNNNNNNNNNNNNNNNNNNNNNNNNNNNNNNNNNNNNNNNNNNNNNNNNNNNNNNNNNNNNNNNNNNNNNNNNNNNNNNNNNNNNNNNNNNNNNNNNNNNNNNNNNNNNNNNNNNNNNNNNNNNNNNNNNNNNNUCAACCCCCCGCGCACGGCUCAUUUGCAAAAGUCCAUCCCGCCCACCCCGUUCGCCGGGGGACUUAUAGGCCUAUUUCAGAUUAAAUUCUUGUGGCUGUCGAUUGCAAUUCAGAGGACUUUCGACCGGACUUUUUGGCAAAAAAUAAUUAUUACAUUCAGUGAUGGUGAGAGGUUUUAUUACAUUAUUAAUGUGAAAAGCUUCUCCCCCGGAUAUCCUCCCUCAAAAAUUUACAAAAAGAGAACCCCGUGCAUUACAUUAGAAAAAGGAAAAAAUGGAUAUUUAAUUAUAUGAUAUAAACUAGGGGUGUCAACGGUUCGGUUUGGUUCGUUUUUUAAAACCGAACCAAACCGAACCGUUAGGAAAAACUUCUGAACCGAACCGAAUAAGAUCCGAACUGAAUACAAACUUAACCGAAAUUUCAGUUCGGUUCGGUUUUUUGAUUUUUGGUUUUCAACUUUUAGUUUUCGGUUUUUACAUUUGUUUUUUUUUUGUUUUUUUUUUGUUGUAUUUCCAAGAAAUAAGCCCUUAUUGGUUUAUUAGUUCGGUUCAGUUCGGUUCAGGUAACCAAUAAAAACUGAACUGAUAAAAAUAUUUCAAUUUUUAAUAAGAACCGAACCGAAUGAAAACAGAAUUGAAAAAACCGUAUUUUCGGUUUAGUUCGGUUUUUGACACCCCCGAUGCCACUUUCGUUAGUUAGAGAUACCAUUUUGGAGGUUUGUAUUGCGUGGCUCACGGAGUUUAAUUGAAAAUUUCACGGACAAAAACUCUUAAUUCCAUUUGACAUGAAAAAGACGUCAAGGCAACUUUGCAGCGGGUGCAACUUCCAAUUCAUAGUUACUAAAGUCGAUGGCUUUAUAAAAAAAAUAAGGUGGAGGACAAUAAUGAAUCUGUACCUUUUCUAUAGUUUCACAUAUUUAAAAUCCCAAUCCAAUAUUGUAAAUUAACAAUUUAUCUAUAUAAAUGCAUAAUAACAAAAUAUUUCCAAAGAAUCACCUCUCAUUUGAAAAAAUGCUCCACCUAAGCGCUACCCAAGCUUAUACUUACUACUUACUAUGAAAUAUUUAAUUUGAUCUCUUCAUCUUAAAGACUUACCUUUUAUUAUAAAUAAUUGCAUGUAACCACUCGAGUAUUCUCAUUAAAUGUGCCUUUAUAUUAAAUGGCAAAAGAUUGUGCAAAUCUUUUUCAACACUUAUUUCCUUAGUAAUAACUACUAGAAUGUGAACAUGGUUGUUGACAUCUACAUUUUUGUGAUUAGAUUGUGCGUUUUAAAAAUAAAAUAAAAAAUUAGGGACCAAAUUUGCCAAUAAUGCUAUAAUUCAAUCCCUAACCAAGAACACCUAGCCCACACGAUUUUUGCAUUCGUUCCUCACAUUCGUGAUUAGAGGCAUGUUGAUUUCAAUACCUAGGGCCCGGCAUCAAAACAAUCUUGGACCGACGAAGAUGAUAGGCACUUUUGAUUCCCUCCAAUCUCUGAAGAAACAUUCAAGGCCACUCAACAUUACUCGAUUGAUUUUCUCCUUCUAAGUUGAUCCAUUUUUGUGCAUACCAUUAAACCUCAGCUAACCUGAUCGCUUUAGCCUUACUGGGGACAUGAAACUAAGUCAACAUAUGGGCCAUCUAGUCAACAAUCGACCAAGAGUUUCACCUGGGACCAGAGAGCGAGAGCGUGCGUAACAGAAAAGAAAAGAAAGCAAAGCAGAGGGUAGUCUUGGCAAUAGGAGGAAAUAGCAAGAGUAGGACCUGUUCAAUCAGUUUAUCUCGCUGCAUACUGAAAGUGAAUUAUUAUGCGAACAGCCCGAGGAUAGGAGAGGACAACAUGCAGGGAAUGUUUGUCAUUUUCUCGCCUGUUCCUCCGUUAAUCUCGCUGCACAUUGAAAGUGAAUUAUUAGGUGAACAGCCCGAGGAUGGGAGAGGACGACAUGCAGGGAAUGUUUAUCAAGUUUCUCGCCUGUUCCUCCGUUAAUCUCGUGUGCUAACCAAUCAUUGCUGCCAUCAAGGUCAAUUCGUCUUCACAAUAGUCGUUUUGACCCUGCACGGCCUGAACAAUCGGCUCCUCUCGAAUCUUUGGACUGAGCCAUCGCUCGAUGAGCUCACCGCUUCCCCACUUGUCCAGAUAAAUCCCCGCCUUCCAUCAGUAGCGUGGUCGUUGUGUCACCCCGCGUUCCAUGGGUUAAUCCUCUUGGCUGCUCUUUGCCAACACUAUGUUAGGAAAUCCCGCAUCAAAAAAUAAUGCAAACAAAUAGUCCACCGAAACUAAAUAUAAUAAUAAAAAAACAUAAGCGAAAUAACACGACAUAAAAUUUAUUAUCAAACUUCAUCCAAACUUGGACUAUGUUUUCGCGCAGAGACACUUUGCAAAUCUACCAGACUUUGAAUAAAGUUGAAAUACAGCAUGAUCUUUCGUAGAUCAAAGCACAAAUAGAGUUCUCAAAGAAAAAACUCAUUUUUUUUCUCUUUUUUUUUAAAAAAAAAAAUUUCUCUCUAUUUUCAUUUUCAGCCCCUUGAUGGCUAGCGUUUGACUAUCACUGAUGUAAAGUUUAGCUUUUAACCUAAAAGCAAAACUAAUAGAAAAAAAAAUGCCAUUAAAAAAAUUUGAUUUCACUCGCCAACAAUCUCCCACUUGAAGAAAAACAGACCAAUGCACCAAGCAACUUAACAUUCAUUUACUUAAAAAUCUAGUAAUUAAAAUGUGUGCCUUUGCGAUAGUCCUCAUCAACUAAGAUAAAAAUAAUACAAAUCGUCGUGUUGACUCAUAAAUUUUGCCUGUUCAUAUAGAAUUUAAUUGUAUAGAAAUUUAGAAAUUAAUUUUUAACCCCUAAACAAAAACUAGUUUUCUCUAGAAUUGCAUAGUAUUAGACAUUAUGAGCAUUUACAUUACAAUGUAUAUAAUUUAUAAGAAAAAAUUUAAAAAAUGGAAAAAAGAAAAAUAAAAAAUUAACUAAUUGAUUACAAAAUUAUUAUUUAAAAACGAAAGAAGAAGAAAAGAAAAAGUGAGAUCGGGCCAAGGUCAGGCCGGCCCAGCCUUCUUUCCCUUUCUUUUCAACCUUUUCUUUUUGCCUAGGCCCAGCCCGGCCCACUUUUCCUUUUCUUUUCUCCAAGCCCAGCCUCUUCCUUCAUCUUCUCCCCCGCGUUCUCCUACUCGCUCACGCUCUCACGCGUUCUGCAAAAAAGAAAAAAGGAGGACGAAGGACGGAAGCAGAGGCGGGACGGGGAGUGAGGAGCGCGCCUUUUGGGUCGGGAGCAGGCCGGCACGGCGAGCUGGCGGUGGCUGAGGCGAUGCACGCUUGCCGGGCGUUAGAGGGGGAUUCUGGGGGCUCGGACAGAGGGAGAAAUGGACAGAGAGAGAAACAGGGAGAUAGAGGGGAUCCGGCCGAGAGGGAGACCGCGAGUCAGAGAGCAGAAAAUUCCCCCCAGCUGAGCGCCGUUCGGCCAUCCUCGACACAAACCUAGAAUAGUAUCAUGAUCAUCAGUGUAGACUUUUUCUCAAGUAAGAAAAAAUUCUCUUUUAUUUUAUCUCAGAUCCAAUGACAAGGAUAAAGCGUCAGUUUGGGCAAGCAACCGGAUGCAAUUCUUUAGCAAUAUGACAAGGAUAAAGCAUCCUGCAUAAUGCUGCCUUGUGUUUGCACGAAUAGAUCUAAUCUUGUCGAAGGCAAGACCGCUCAUCUCUAACUAAUAACAACUACCAAAGAGUUGAUAUAUCUAGAGUAGUAUCAUGAUUCACUCUCCAAGGAUAAACACCCUCUAGAAAUGGAGAGAUCAGUUUCCCUAUGUCUUCUUUAGUUUGCCUGCAAACCAUAAAUGGUGGAAGUUGAGUUCAAUGGAGUAACCUGACAAGCCUAAGUUUCGAGUCACAAAAAUUUAUGUGUUUACAGUAUUGUCUCUCUUACUACGUAAUCUUUUGUUUUGAUGGGGCAAUCUUUCGAAACAUACUAAAACUGACAUCAAAGGCACUUUUACAGCAAUAAUAUUAGGGUAUAUUAGUGUUGUGUUUAUCCUAGACUAUGUUGGUACAUAGCUUCGAGGAAAUUUAAUGAAAUAUCAACCUGACUAAAUUAAAGUUCAAUGCAACCAAAUGCUAGGCUCUUAAGAAAAAAUGCUCGGUAGAGAGACUUGUCAAUUAAGAAGUUUAGCCGAAGCUCUCUCCGUUUUUCUUUCACACUGACGGCAGGCUUAAUGAUAAUAUAAAAUUUUCAUUAAAUCAUAUUAUGUUAAAUAUUAUAUUUUGGUGACCAAAUGCAGCCAAUCAAAUUCUGGUGAAGAAUUCUAUAAUAAUUAUGCUCUAUUUGUUACACGAAAAAUAAAUUAUUUGAUAAAUAUUUUCCAAAAAAUAAUACCUUGUGUCACUUAAAAUUAUUAAUCAAUGAACAAUGCUUUCAUUAUUAAUAAUAAUUUAUGUCUAAACAAUUGGGAAAAUGUCACAAAGAGUCCAUAUACUUUUACUUAUUGUGCAAUCUCGUCCCUAAAUUUUCGAUUGGCUCAAUUUAGUCCCUGAACUAUCGAUAAAUGUUCAAUUUAGUCCUUCCGUUACUGUUUUUCCCUUCUUCUUUUUUUCUUCCCUCCGCCGGCUCCGACGGAGGCGGCAGAGGGAAACCGGCAUCAGGCAAGGGUUGCCCUCACUUGGGCUGGCUAGGGCAACCCUUGCCCUCACCGGCGUCGGGCAAGGGCCGUCCUUGUUGGACGUAGGCGAGGAAGCCCCGCACCUCCCUCUAGAUCUAGCAAGGGCGCACCCCUGCCGGCAUCGGGCGAGGGGUGCUCUCGUUAGAUUUGGUGAGGGGCGUCCUUGCCUAACCCAGGUGAGGGAAGCCUAACGUCGAAGAGGGCCACCCUCUCCUACGUUCGGCGAGGACGGCCCUCGCCCAACGCCGGCAAGGGCGGCCCUCACUUGGCGCCAACUUCCCUCCAUCGGCUCCACCAUGGCUGGUAGAGGGAAGAGAGAAGAAGAAAACAAAAUAAAAAUAAAAAUAAAAAUAAAAAAAGACUAAAAUGCCAAAUUCUGUUAACUUUAAUUGACAAGAUGACGAAAUUGGUCAAUUUUCAAAUAGUCAUGGACUAAAUCGGACAUUUAUCAAUAGUUUAGGGACCAAAUUGAGCCAAUCAAAAGUUCAAGGAUAAGAUUGCACAUUAAAUACAAGUAUAAGGACCAUUUGUGACAUUUUUCCUAAACAAUUUGGUGAACAAUGAAAAAAUUUCUUAUCAUUCAUUUUUAUAAGCGAUACAAAUAAUUACAAGCAUUAUAAGUAAUCUUUUUUGAAAAAUAUUUUUUGAAUCAUUCAUUUCCCUCAAAUAGGAGGACAAUGAAAUAAUAUUCAGCCGAAGAAAAUGGAUAAUUGGGCCCAGUUUUCGUUGGCCCAAAAAUUCUUGGGCUUAAUUAAACCUUCGUCCCUCAGCCGAACGAAAGAAAGUCUCAUUUUUCAGUCGACCUGGAGGGCAUUUUUGGUUCUGAAUUGAGCUCAAACCUUCGUUUUCGCCCUAAUUCAUCUUCGAUCGAUCGAUCGACUGGUGAGGUCUUCAGGGAGCUUCUGUGAACGUUUUUCACUACUAAUCGUUACGCCGCUGCUUCUGUUCUUCAGUUUGAUAUCUAUUUUGCUUUUUUAAGCUAGUUUUCGUUGAUGUCGCGACUGUUUCUUGCUGAUUAGAUCGUCUUUGACCUAGGGCCGGAUGGUUUCUAGCUCGGGUAGCAAGAAAAUAAUGGAGAUCUCUUGUGGUGAUCGAGAUAGAUAGUAGUGUAAGAAGGUGAGAUGAAGAUUUCAGAAAUGUUGUGCCGUAGUUGUGUUCGAGCCGUAAUUGCUG